Molecule: long non-coding RNA, 426902 nt
Filed under: Gossypium barbadense (sea-island cotton)
Lineage: Eukaryota; Viridiplantae; Streptophyta; Magnoliopsida; Malvales; Malvaceae
Description: long non-coding RNA (GBAR_LNC016096)
Rfam family: MIR7502 microRNA precursor family (bases 248450-248594)
Source: RNAcentral
AAAGAGAACUGGGAAUGGAACGGAGUGAAGAUGCUAACAACGUUAGUAAUGAGAAUAGAGAAGAUGAACAGGUUGUUAUGGAUGAUAACGUGGACAGUAAUUCAUCUAUAAUUGAACCGUCUGCCUCAUCCAAUAUUAUUUCUAGCAAUGGGAUGUCUGGGAGUUCAUCUGAUCCAGUAGCCUCUGAGAAUAUUCCCUGUGAACAGGUGCCUCAAAUCUUAGGCAAAUCUUCUGACCCUGAUCGUACAUCAAAUACUGGUUUAUGCAUAAGUGAGGAAAUCUGUAAUGGCUCACAAGCGGAAUUUGUCAUCAGUGAUCCAUCACCAUCCUCUGGCUCCACAGUUUCUGAUAUGCAUGAUCCAGCCGGUGAUAGGAUCAUGAACAGUGUUAAUGACUCUCAAAACUCCCAGACUGAAUCUUCUUCUGUGCAUUCAGUUGGGUUCUGGACAAAUGGUGGCCUUUUGGGACUUCAGCCAUCAAAACCUCCUGAUUUUGCUGUAUCAACUGUAGGUCAGGGUUCUGCAGCUACAACUAGUGAAGUAUUUGGUCCUCCAAAUCAAAUACUUAUGUCUUUGCAAGAUGGACUCAAAGGAAAUGCAGGCACUGUGGUUGAGAAUGCUAAUUUAGAUGCAAACCUUGGAAGACCUGUUAAUUCUCAUUUUAAUGAUAAUCUUGAUAAUUUAAAUGGUGUUGGCUCUAGCCUAAAUACCUCCUUGCCACAUGGAAACAAGAACCCGGUCAAUCCUAACAUCAAAGCUACAUCUAUUGAAUCUGAUGAGGAGGAGGAUGACAAGUCAUCUAGGAUGUUUGGACUUGGCCAUAAAUUACUUGUAAAUGGUUUUCGCAGAAAGGUGUCAAUUGGCAAUGAUGAUGAUUCUGAACCAGCCACUUCUAGAAAAACUGGGGUAUUGGAGCCUAGGAAUGAGCAGCAGCGCAUAUCGUAUCAGAAAAUUCCUCAGACGACCGUUAAUGAACAGAUCGGAAAUGGAUCUCCCAUAAAUUCACUUACUUCUUCUCCACCACUUGAACAUAUGAAAAUAUCCUUCAACCCUUUAGAUGGAUUUGGGACUUCCAAACUCAAAUUGCAAUUUCCUGACGGGAAUCAUUAUCAUGAAAACAUUAGAGACAUGUUUCCUUCAUUUCAGUUGGUCCCAGUGCCUGCUAUUUCAGCGCAUGGUGUUGCUUCAGACUCUGAUGAUGAUACUUUCUGCAGAUCAUCCCCUUAUAUGUCUGAUGACUGCCUUAGUCAUUGCUCUGAGUCAAAUUCUGAGCGGUGGGAAUCUGGUGAAGCACCUGAAAGCAAUGAUCCUGCGCUGCAUGAUGCAUUAAGCAGAUUGUCAUCGAUGGAAUCUGUUUCAAGCUGUUUACAAGUUAGGGGAGCAGCCAAUAAUGGCAUCUGUGUUAAUAGGGGAAAUAAAAAACCUAUAGCACCGGGGUCUAGUGCAGCAGAACCAUCUCUAUCUAUGCCACUCGAUCUCCCAGGUUUUGAUGUCAUUAACCCUGUACUACAUGAUGAAACCAAAAGUAAUUCUGAUCAAAAGAAUCAGGUAAAAUUGCAAAAUGCAAUGCAGCUCAAACCAUUGCCUCCACCUCCCCCCCCUGCACAAUGGCGGGUUUCAAAACCCUGCUUCAACGAGGCAGAAGAAAGACAACAUGCUUUAUCAGAGUCACUGAGACAUGAGCUUGAUCUGAAACUUCUUAGUUCUUUCGUCUCUCAGAAGCCUGAGCCAGCUUUAGUUAAUCAACAGAAAAUAAAUGAUAAGGCAAAUGCAUUGAAACCAGAGAAGAAGGUACUUCAGCAAUGUUGUCAAUCUGUAUUAUUAUUAUUGUUAGUAUUACUAUUUUGAAAUGAAUGUUGUGAAAUGGGAACUGGUUGUAUAUAAAUGGUAAAAAUUUGAUGAAUGCGGUAGGUGGACGAAGAGAAAAAUAAUGGACAGAAAGGCGUAAGCCUGCUCAGUGGUGGCCGAGGGAUGGAUGAAAAGGAAGAUUUCUUGCAUCAGAUCAGAACUAAAGUGAGUAUUCAUUUAUUUUCUUUUAUGUCACUUGUCAUCGUCCAAAUGAAUAAUGAGCCCCUAAUUUAGAUGUACAUAUACAAAUGUGAAUUUCACUGUUUGAAGAAACAAUUUAUUUGAUCAAAUUCUGAAAAAGAAGGAAAACAAAAGCAGUAGAUAGCUAUGUAAAUACUAAAAUAUCAUUGAUCAUUUUAAUGGCUUAUUUGUCAGUACUUUUUGAAUUUGACAACAAUAAUUGCAUAUGCCUUACAGAUGUAUUUUUCAGAUAAGAAUUUCCCACUGCUCUUCCCUCUUUUUCUCCUAUAGAAGAGAAAAUAAGAGAAAGAAGUUCCUUUGUUAUAGAGCGGGAGUUAGUCUGUGUAGUUUGAGCAUGUUUUAUGCAUGGACGCAUGUAUCUCGUAGAGAGUUGAUGGCUAUUGUGAUAAAAUGGAGUAUAUUUCAUUCACUUGCCUUUGUUCAUUGUCAUUUCAGUCUUUCAACCUAAGACCCACAGCCACUGCAAGACCAACUGUUAUUUCUGGUCCCACUGCAAAUGUCCAGGUCACUGCAAUUUUGCAGAAAGCAAAUGCAAUUCGCCAGGUUUGUAAUUCCUCCUCUUUUACUUUUCCCCCCUCUCAUCUCAGUUCUCUUAUGAAUGAGGCAACCAGAUUAACACUUACGAAACUUGUUCAGGCUGUUGGGAGUGAUGACGAUGAUAACUGGAGUGACAAUUAAUUAUUUUGGAAUACGAAUGCAAAAGACAAUCAGAAGUUCUCCCAGUCUUGGGUUUUCAAAUUUGGGUGAGGUUGUUUGAAAUGUGUAUAAUCCUUGUUUCUUCUUGUAAUUAGUUACUUGGGCUCAUCUUGUAUCGUAUAGUGAUUAUUUGCAUUCGUUUCUUAAAUAGUUAAUGUUUUGAACAGGUAUUUAGGUGGAUCAUGAUGCAUAAUGCAUGAGAAUAUGAUAGUCUAUUAAGUUGUGUAUUCCCCCCCUUUUUUUUUAGUUUAUAUUUAACGGACUCUACCAUGCUCGCAAUUUUCUGUUGUUUUGCCUCAUAGGGAAUUGUUAUUUCCUCUUAGGACUGAGGACGCGAGGUUAUUGCUACCGAAAAUUGCUUUACUAUUUUGGCACGUCAACUAGGAGUCAGAAAUUAUAAUGCAACUUGAUAUGGAUGAAUUGUGUGUAAGAAAGCAUUUCAGUUUGGCCGUUGAAUAUAAGGAAAGCUGGAUGUUGUGUCGUCGUUAGAACAUGGAUGUUGCCAAUUUAUGCAGCAAAUAAAGAAUGAUUACAAUUGCCCGUUUCUCCGUCUUGCUUGAAAGUGUAAUUUUCAGCGGCAACAAAAACAGGGAUUAGCAGUGCCGGUUAAUUGCGUGCACAGUAGCCACUAACUUGGUUUUGAAUCAUCAUUACUUUGUUUUUCUUGUGUUUUGCAUUCAAAUAUUUAGUUUAAUUAAACCGUUUCGGGAGUGUUUCAAUACAGAAGGUAAAUGAUUAGAAUAUUGAGUUUUUUCUGAUUUUGUUUAAUGUGACAUAGGGCACUGGCAGUAUAUGUUUUUAAUUAAUCAAUUUAAUUUGCUGUUCUUUUUUCUGCCAAGAAUCAAGGGAUAAGAACCCAUCAUCAAAUAAAUAAUAAAGAAAAAGGCUCAAAGGAGUUGACAAAAUUGACGCUAGCCAGCAAGUUUAGAUUAAUUUUAAACGGAAUAGGUUUCAGAAACUCCCAUCAACUGGGUGAAUUAAUUAAGCACCCACGUUUAUUUUGCAACUUGCACGCAGCAGCAGCAGCAGCAUAGAAAACUAAUCGAGUCAAGCUCAUCCCAACAUUCACCGCCCAAACAUCAAUAUAAAUUUGCCAAGACAGUUUGUGUUUUAGAUCCAGUCAUUGUUUUUUCAGUGAAUUUAUAACAGCGGAGUGUAAUUGUAUUCGAAAGUCAACAUAUGUUUUUCCUGUUUACAAAACAAAUUUAGUAUCAACAUCGCAGUUGCAAUUUGUUGCCUAAUUUUGUUCAUUGAGGGCCUUUAUCAAAUAAUUAAAAUUAAUUUAAUUAAAUUGAUUCAUAUAAUCACUUUUCACAUAACCUAUUAGCAAGUGUAAUAUUUUAAUCCUAAUAUUUGCAGCAACCUGUUUUAUUAUUCUUAGAGUGCGGUCCUUUUUAUUAUUAAAUAGUAUUAUAUUCAGAUAUGGAUAGCAUUAGCCCCACGCUAUAAAACCAACUGACACUCCAAAUCCAGCUGCAAAUUUGGGAGAAGAAAGAAACUUAAGAACCAAGGCACUAACUUCAUUAGUUUUUUCUUUCUUUCUAGAAGACGAGUUUCAUUUCCAAAAUACUAACAUAAUGGUGACUUAUUUUAAUAAUAGAAAAGAAUGAACAAAGUUAAUUAUUUUUGACUAAUAAUUUAUUAAUUGCUAAUUUAAUAAUUGUCCCACUACGUAAAGGAACUUUCCCUCUAAAACAAAGUAGAUUAACAUUAUUAUACGUGUCAUUUCAGUGCAAAUUAAAAGGAAUUAGCACGAGCUUGAGAAGAAAAGAUUAGAGAGAAUACUUUCUUUUAAAAGUGUCUGCUUUUGAAUAUUGGUGAUGGUCAAAGAAAAGUAAAAAGAUUUAUGAUCGAUAUCAAACUUUUUAAACACACAAGUUGCCCUAAAAACAUGCAUGCAUCUUUUGCGAUUUCUCCAUCUCCUACUGUUCAAAAGCUGUCCGUAACAAAAAAGUUUUUGGAGCUCUCCAAAACCUUUUGCCUUCCAACCAAAUUAACACUCAUGCUAUACCCCCUUUUUAUUUUCUCACCCUUUGCCUUUGCCAUGCCUCCGAUGCUGAGAGAUGGGUUCCAUCAGGCUUUGCCUCCACUAUGGACCGCCAUGGAUUUCAUUAGGUGGAUAAAAUCCGAUUUGAUAUAAAAAAUUUAAAUUUUUAAUUAAUUAAUUCGUGUUAUUUGAGUUAAUCAAGUUAUUCGAAUCAAUUCGAAUAAAAAAUCAAGUUUUUCUGUUUAACUCGAAUAUGAAUUACACAAUCUGAGUUAUCCGAAAAUCCGAAUAAGAGAAGGCAAAACUACGUCGUUUUGAUAAAUGUUUACCUUUCUAAAAUUAAAAGUCAAAACAAUUCAAUUCAAAGGUAAAAUUACGUCAUUUUGAUAAAUGUUUACUCAUUAAGUUAAAAGGCAAAAUCAUUAUAUUGUUUACGUAGUUAAUUAAAUAAUCAGUUCAUGUAAACGCAAUAUUGAGUAUAAAUAAUAGGAUUCGUUAACUCGACUCGAAAUUUUUUAACUCGAUUUAAAAAAAAAAUUCAAAUUGAGUUUGGUUGCUAAAAUAAGAUUCGCUAAUUCGACUAACUUAAAAUUUUUUGACUCGAUUCGACUCGACUCGAUCCGAUCGAAUACUCACCCCUAAAUUUUAUAGAUGGACAUCCGCUCUUUUUAGUAUUUAAAUGGGUUUGUAGUAAAUUCAUUUUACUUUUGCCAAUAAUAAAUUUAGAUUUAGAUAUUCAAAUCUUUUUUUUUUUUUUACAUUUUAAAAUUUUUAUUUAAAAGAUUAUGGCUAAUUCAAAUAAGACUCAAAUUGGAUACAAAUAAUAAAUUGAUUCAAAAUUUAAAACAAUUCUAUAAAUUCAAUUUCUACAAAAAUUACAAACAUCAAGCUCACUACUAUUAUGACUUGUAAGUACCAUUGUAAUAAUAAAUUUAGACAUGAAUAUCCCCCUUCCAAACUACCCAGACAUGAAUUGAUAAAAAGAAAAAAAGAAAAACUUUUAAGUGAUUAAACAGAGAAAUAAAGUAAUGGAGAGAAACUUUCUUAACUAAAGCAACUUGACAUUAUAUAAUCAACAACCGCAAGAAGAAGCAGCAAUAUGUUAAUCUUCGUCCUACACCGAAAACUUGUUAAAAAACUUGAUGAGGGGUACACUUUUUUGGAAAAUCAACUGAAUCCCCGUGAUGAAAUAAAGAGUUUUCAUUUUUAGCUUUACUAGUGUGUUAUAAUCUAAAACACCAUAUUUUUAUUUAAAAAAGAAAAGGCAUCAAGAAAAAAUGCAUCUUUUUCCAACUAAAAGAAACAAAAAUAUUUGUUUGUCUGCAUUAUAGAAUUGGAAAAAGUGAUGUUAAUGAUUAAUGAUUGCUUUAUUAAAGGGAAGGAUUAAAACAAAGUUAUCACUGAAAUUUCAAAAUCCGCAUGGAAAAGCAAAAAAGGAAUUGCUGCAAUUCCAUAUGCUUAAUUCAACUUUAUUUCAAGAUAUGUAUAGUGAAAAGGUACUAUCAAUUUUUUAACUUGUAUUAUAUUAAUAUUCAGCAUUCACAAAUUUUUUAGACUUUAAUUAUCAUCUUCUAAAAUGGAAUGAGAAACUAGACUCUGCUUACAACAUUGGAAUGAGAAACCCACAAUAAUGGUAGUACUCUUUUUUUUUUAAUAAAAAAAAUUGAAGAAGUCAAUACAUCUUUUACUAUAUACAAAAUAUAAUUUUUUCCAAGUUUUAUUUUCAUCACUUUAAUUUUGAAUUUUUUUUUUUUAUAAUUUUGUUGUACUAAAAACAUGAUAAAAAUGUUUAAAGAAAAAAUAAUUAUUUUGGACCAUGAAUUAUGAUUAUAAAUUGUUCUAUAAAUUUAUAAAGUUAAUAAAUGUGAAGUGAUGAAGCUGGGAAGCAAGGUAGCUUAUUGGUGGGAUCUGAUUGGACAUACCACACUAAUUAAUUUAAAUUAUCAAUGCCAAUGUAUAGCUUUUGGAAGGGGAAAUUUUUAUCAUUAUUUCCAUUGAUUUGGAAAUCGAAUUUCACAACAGUUGGUAUGUCACCCAAAAAAUAAAAAUAAAUAAUUUCUUCAAGAGAACCAAGUUCUUAUUCUUUAUUAAAUCACCAUUUUUUUUCUCCUGAGCAAUGCAUCCAUCAUUUCAUGCAACUAGUAGUGGGAAUUCUCUCUUUUUCUUCUUUACCAUGCAUUACACACUCUUUUCUUUUUCCUUGGAUUUAUAGUAUAUAUAAUAUAACCUUAGAAACCAUAUCUAUGAAAAGAAAGAAAUUUUAUAGAUUUUUAAAGGCAAAGUAGGAAGGUUUUACCUUUAUCUCUCUAUCUCUUUAUACAAAAUAGAAUAUUGUAAUAUUGGGAAAUAAACCCAUUGGCCAUUUCCAUUAGAACCAAACUUUAUCUCUUUUAUUUAUGCUCCAAUUCUCCAUCACUUUGAUACUCUGUACGCAAACCUACUAGGAUCGGACCCACUUUUGCAUUUUUUUCAUGGGAAUUACAAAUCAUGAGUGUAUGUAGUCAUUAGCUAAAAUCCAUCUCUUUAUUACUCUAUUUUUGUGAAAAAUUUUAAAUAUUAUAUUUAAGCAAAUUAAGAAAAAUAUUAUGUAUUAAUUAUAAAUAUUGAUGACUUGGAGUAAUGAUUUGGAUAAAAAGCUCAUCAUCAGCUUUUCCACGCCACUUGGUUCUUUGGCGUUGGCGGCGGCUACUUCCCUCACAUGCCAUCUUCUUCUUUUUUAUUUCCUUUCAAUUCCACCCACUUUUCCUGUGCGUUUCCCCCUCACUCCCUUCCCCAUAUAUAUAACCAUAAUUCCCAGACACCCUUUCGCCCCAAACCAAAGAAACACUCGUCAUAUUUUGUCGUCCGCUAUUUCUGUCUCUAUCUUUGUCUCUAAAUGGUCAUGGCUAGCCAUGAAGGCCAAGGGAUCAAGCUAUUUGGGGCAACAAUUACGUUGCAUUCAGGAAGACAAGUGAAAGAAGAACACAAAGAAGACGACCAUUCAAAAGCCGACAAGAGGCCUGACAAGAUCAUACCUUGCCCUAGAUGUAAGAGCAUGGAGACCAAAUUUUGUUACUUCAAUAACUACAACGUGAAUCAGCCCAGACAUUUCUGUAAAGGUUGCCAGAGGUACUGGACUGCAGGUGGUGCCCUUCGGAACGUUCCGGUAGGGGCUGGUCGCCGGAAAGCGAAGCCAGUACCGGGUCGUGGUCUUGCUGGGUUUCAGGAGGGGUACUUGUUUGACGGCUCUAGUGGGGUGCACGUGCACCAGUUUGAGUUGGAGGGGAUGGUGUUGGACGAGUGGCACUCGGCGGCAGCGAAUGGUGGUUUCCGGCAAGUUUUCCCAAUGAAGCGGAGGCGAAUAAGCUGCUCAGGAGGUCAACUUAAUUGAUCUUCUUCUUUUUUUUAUUUUAUUUUAUUUUCUUCUUUCGCGUGCUGAAGUUUCAACACGGAUUAGAAAAUUGUAGGGAUUAUAUUAUGAUAAUAGACUAAUGUAAAUACAGGCUGGUUUUUGAAGAAUUAAUAAAUCCAUCCUUCUACUGCUACUAUUUAUUAUUUUAAAAUCUGUAAAAAAAAUCAAUAAGUCUGGAUUGAACUUAGAUGGUUUCCAAAGGGAGAAUCAAAUCUUGGAUUGAAUAAAUUAACAAGGAGAAAUGUGGUAUUCGCAGAUCAUGGGGACUCAUGUGGCCUCUCAGUAGACCAAAAUCAACCCACUAGUGAGGAGUCCAUGAUCCAAUUCCAUUAAUCCAAACCAGCCGCAAAAUUUAUCAAGCGAUAUGGAUGGGAUGGGAUGGGAUGGGAAAGCGAAAGCAAAACCAUGAUCAGCACCAGCAUCCUCUUUGGUUAUGCACCUGCUAAAUUUUGACGGAUAAGAUGGGACAGGUUGGUCGGACAAUAGCAAAGAUUCUUCGGACAAAAGGUUGAUUGCUUGAAACAGUUAAAGCUAAUGUAAAUGGAUAACAUCUAGAUUUCGGAGCCAGGCCCAGAAGAACUUUAAUCUCAUCAAAUCAUAUUCAUCUGAGAUUUUGAUAUAAAAAAGCAAACCGACAUGAUUAUAAUAUAAGCAUGUACAGAUGUUGCAGUAGGGAAAACAGAUGCCUUGAGGUUAUAGGAUUAGGCAUCUUAUCAACUACCAUGAAGUAAAUUUCCUACUCAGAUUAGUCGAAACUUGUUCUUGUAUCUUUAGAGAUUAAACAAGUGCAUUUGACUGAGUAUGUAGCUUCACAAAGAAUAAGAGUAAUAUUCCAUUGUAAGACUUUCUACACAGUUCCUUUUUUACUUUUUCCUUGUAUCUGUUCUGUUAAAUAGAGUUCUUUCCAGAAGGAAUUCGUGACAUGAUUCCUGCCAAGUGCAUGGCUCUAAUCCUACCUUCGUUUUAAUGUUUCAUUAAUAUUCUUGUUGUUGUUAUCAAGUAUCUGUAGCUAAAUACAAGUGAACACUAAGAAGCGUGAGAAUUGUAGAUUCAAGUGACCAAUGAAUGCCAUCAGCCCACAAAGUUUUCAUGUUUUAGACAAAGCAGCUGAAGAACACAAUAAGCAACAAAGAAACAGAAUGGGUUUUCACAUCUCACUAACAUAGAAUGACUUAACAGUCAAAUGCUACUGCAGACUAAUAUCUAAGCUAAUCAAAGUUAGCCCCAAUUUGUUCCCUCAUGUUUGCUUAGUUGCCAGGAUCUGCAGGUUGAUCCCCUCGCGCUGAUCUGUUUUCUUGGCUGCUUUCGGAUCUGAUAAAACGAAUCAACCCAGAUAAAUUAGAUUCAAUACUCACAGUCCUCGUACAUCAUUGUAGUGGAAACAAAGUGCUUAUGAAUAAAAAUAUUAAUUACAUAUUUAAGUCAUAGACAUCUGAAAUAAAGAACAUAAAAAGCACUACAUUCUGGCAGCUAAUUUUCAGUACUUAAUUUACAGGUAAAUGUGGCCGCAUGUCUAAGUUCUACAUUCAGCGGAGGAGACUAGCAAUUGGCCUGGCUAAAACAUGGAUAUUAGCUUCUGAGAGGUGUAGAUCCAGAAUGCUGUAACAUUUGGGUUGGGCUAGACAAGAAAUUAAACAGGAUGUUCCAUCCCAGAAGUUGACAGUAUUAGUCCAAGAAAUAAAGGGCAAGGCCUGGUUGAUAUAGGGGUGGUUGGUGCAUCGUUGGAAUGGGUGCAUUUUCUCAUACAAGAUGCCAAACGUACUAAAGAAUUCCCACCUAUAAGCUUGCAAACAAUGGAAUCCAAUGCUGGAAAUGGAAAGCCAAUGCUCUUAGUUGACCUGUUGACCACAGUAGUAGACUGAAAGAAGCUCAAGUCUUGCUUUAGAAAUCAAUAACUUUCAGGACCAAAAUAUUAGUACAGGUAGUACUAAAGUAUCUUGUUACCUAAACUUAAACUUUGCACCCUGGAUCAGCAAGAAGUCUAAUCAAAGCAGAAUAUGAAACGCAAAAAAUAUUUGAAAUAAGAAUGUUAAUAUUGCAUUUGGAACAAAAAAUUAUAGGAAAAAGUUGGCAGAAACUCCCCAAGAUUCUAAACCAAUUAGCUAGAAAUACCAAGUAAAAAGAAAAAAAGUCACGAUAAUAGAUGCAAAACAGCAACUAUUUGAAUCACUAACAUAUAAGACUAGCAAGAAUAAUAAGUGCUUAAAACAGAAAAAGUUAAUCAAGAAGGACCAAGAAGCAGAAGACUUUGGCAGAUGACUCUGGACAAAAAACCCAAUAGCAAGAAGAUAAGGAAAGCAAGAUUACCCAGUUGCAGGAGAGAGCCAAGUCCCAUUUUGCCAUUCAAGAUGACGCCUAACUUUAAAGAAAGGACAGUGAUGUUCCUUGCCAUUGCAAUCCAACUUGACAUAGUAGUUGGGGUCAACUUUUCUAAUGACAGUUCCAACCCUCCAAGCAAAGUCGACGAAGGCUUCAACCCUUUCAGCCAUGGCGAAAUUGUAGCCAGAAGGUUGUGGGGGAGAAGGCCUGAUUUCAUCGGAGUCAACAGCUUCAGUGAGGAACCUUGAUCCGUCCUCGUUGAAACGAUUCUCAUACCGUACCAAGUAUCUCUUUCUUCCUACCGCGGCUAGAAGAAUGGCUGUGUAAUAGACGCCAGAGAACCCCUCUUCCUUCUUGCAUAUCUCCACCAGGUCAUUUAGUUUGAAAGCCAUUGUCUUGUAUUGCCGCCUUGACGAAAGAGAGAAAAAGGGAUGGCGCAGGCCAGGGCUCAAGAGGGGUUAAGGCCUUGAAAAAGUGCCUUGUUAACUGGAUUCCUGAAAUGGGAUGAUCAUCAACCACAGUAAUUAAACAAACUUAUGACGGAAGUUGGAAUCCUGCUUCGGUAAGCUUUAUAUGGCGAACUUAAACCAACGGUCUUGGGCAUUCAACACUUCUUGAGGACUUAUAUCAGCCGUUGGAUUUUACUUCUGUCCUGCAUGAUUCUGAAUCACUUCUAAAAAGAGCAUAUAAAAAUUUUAUGACGCUAGCAGCUGGUAAAGCAGUAUUCCACAAAUUCUAUAUCCAAAGUUUCAAUUUAGAAAGAAGAGAAAUUUAUAAAAUUUCGAGAUUUAUAAAUGAAGGGGAUUAGGAAUUUGGCAUCCAUUUCCCUUUUGUUUUAUGGUAAAUGUUGCAGAAUUUGCAGUUAAAUUGCUACAAGAAUACAUUUAAUCAAAGGUUUAGAACAAUUACCAGAUCCGAACCAUCACAAAUUUGUCACUUCAUGAAAAUAGUAAUGUUUGAACAUGUCAAAAAGGUUCACUGCAAGAUGGAAGAUCCAUGUUACUCAUGAAUAUCUUGUAAAAUCAAUUGUUCUGAUCAAUAAGCACAUUGAAGAUCAAAUAUAUUUAUUACACAUAUAUCAGGGAGGACAGUAGAUUUUCGGGAACUAUUCUUGUAAAACUUACCAUGAUAAAUAAAACUAAGAACUAGCUUGUUUCAUAUUAUAUCUCUGGCAAGAUUGGCAAGUGAAAUUGUUAAGAAAAAUAAACCGACCUCUGUUUAUUGAAUAUAUCAACUUUCACUUUGUUUUGCCAUUAACGAAGGAAUGGCCUUUAUUCAAUAUCAACUCCAAUCAGUCCGACUUCUUUGAGGAUUUUCGAGCACUAGGGCACGGAUAUUUUGUCAUGAAGCUGAGAGGGUUGACAAGACUAAUGGUGUUGGUGAAUCUGGUGACCUUGAUGAGGCUAACCUCAGCAGUCUUCUUAAGGUGAGAUGCAGUGUUGAUCUCAACGCAUUUAGGAUAGCUUGUUUCUGCCGGUGAUACCUCACGUACAUCUUCCUCAUGGUAUCUGCCCAUGCUAAGACGGUAGGUCCACAACUCAUGGUCUCACCUUAUGAAGAGUGGGAUGCCUGUCCAUCUUCAUGACUGCAACCGCACUUUUGCACUUGUUUAUAGAGCACACCCAACGUUACCUUGUGCCAUAAGAAACCUGACAACAUAGGAGAAAUGUGUCUCAAAUGUUGGUUGAAACUUCAAAUGUUUAUCAAAUACAUGACAGGCAAGAUUACCUGCCAUGUACUUGCUGAUUCAAGUUACGAACUGGAAACAGGAGUUGCCGCAGAGAACUUUUCUCUCCACUGCGAAUUUGAGGGAAGGUCCAUUAGCAUGAGCAAGACAGAGGGAUCAGAUGCAAAGGGCCGAGGGAAAGAAUAAGAUGGCUUUGAUAGAUGAUGUCAUUGUAUCUUUUCUCCUCGUUUGUAGAACAAAUAUUUACAUCCGUUCAUCUAUCUCUUUCCUUGCGAAAAAAGUGGUUCACAUUGAUCAACUCAUACUUUAACCGACUUAAGUCUUAAACGACCUAAUCAAUCUGACAUAAAAUGGAUCCAUUAAAAAUUGAUUAAACCAAACUGAAUUGGGCUGUUUUUUUAUUUUUGGUUAAAUUAUAUUUUAAAAGAUAAACAUAUAAAUAUCAAAAGACCAUUAAGUCCAUUAAAUUGAUCUAUUCGAUUAUGGAUAUUCAUUAUCAACAAAUGAUCGACAUAACUUAUUUUAAUGGCCUACAAAACCACCUUAACCAUAGUUACAAACUUAACCAAACCCACUUGACUAAAAGCUAUCGAUCAUAUAUAUUUGAACCGUCCUUUAGUCACCCCUAGUACAAGAUCCGAUGACAAAUUUAACUUCUUUCUAAAAAACAUUAUAAAAGAGAUUUUAUCAAUUUGGAGAUAAUAACCUGAAUUUCCUUCCAAAAACUAACAAUUUCCAUGGAAUCUAUGAACUCAGCUAGCUGCAAAGUAGAUUUGGGUCUUCGUUUUCGAGUCAAGAAUCCAAAUGGGAUUUGAAAUUUCAAUGAACAAAGCUGCACAUAAAGCAGGAAAAAUCCUGAAAAUAGUUUUUAUUUGAUCACAGAGGGAAGGAUGUAAAAAAGAGACAGACAAAAACGUAAAAUGCCAUUGACACUCCACAGUCCAAACAUCAAACAAUAGCUCAUAAAAAGUCAUAACAAUUGAAUCUCUCUUGACAACAGGGCAUUUCCAACAGUUUCAGAUUGUACUAUUUCCUUUCAUGAUACAGGUCCCAAUCCACUGCAACAUAACAAACUCAAAUACAUAAACAAAUACAAAUAUAGUAAAAAGAAAAUAUUAGCUAUGGCCACAAUUUACAAAAAAGGAUUUUCUUAAUGAAGAUAAGAACUGACUUUAAGUAGCUUCAUUCAUCUCCUUCACCCACUUUAGCAGCACCAAGCUUUGCGGCUUCUUCUGUAAUGAGACAAAUACAUGGACGCAGAAACUUAUGUAUCAAAUGGCAGAACUAGGUAAGAAGUAUUAAAUGUAAUAAUAAAGAGGCAAAUCCUAGCUAAGGAAUAUUCAGUCGUGCAAAAUCUGAAAAGUUACCUCCAUCCUCUGGGAUGUCAGAAGUCCAUAAAGUAAGGUUGUCCCUUAAAAGCUGCAUAAUCAAUGUGCUAUCUUUGUAUGACUCCUCGCUUAAAGUAUCCAACUCUGAGAUAGCUUCAUCAAAAGCUUGUUUAGCAAGGUGACAGGCCCUGGUUUACAAGUUUAACGUGUAACACGGCUUUCCAAAAUUAUGCAGAAGUAGCUCGACAAGAAAGUUAAGACAUAGAGAGGAAACAACAUGCAUGCAUACCUUUCAGGAGAGUUCAUAAUUUCAUAAUAAAAGACAGAGAAGUUCAAGGCCAAACCCAACCGGAUUGGAUGCGUAGGAGGCAACUCAGCUUCUGCUGUAGUUGUUGCAGACUGCAAACAAAUAAUAUCCACAGGCUCGGAAAAUGUUUGGCAUUAUAAGAAUACAGACAUUCCAAAAGUAUUUACAGGCAUCUUAGGAUUUUCUAAGACAAGGUAGACAACUUAUAUCCACAAGCUCAGCACAAGGGAUCAAGCAAAUGUCAUGGAAGUAGCCAUAAUUAAAAAGCAUAGCAAUAGGGGCAAAAUUUUCUUCUUACAUCGCUUCGAAUAUUUUUUUUUUCGGCCUAUGACAUUUGAUUUAUAAAUACAGGGUGAAAAGAGAACAUAUGUUAAAAAUGGGAAAACCAUUGGUACAAUUCCGCAUGCAAAGGCCAUGAAGUUCUUUAAUAAAAUCAUUCCAUGUAAUAAAUUGCAGACUAAACAAUAGGAGCUAAAGUCCAAAAACUUAGGAUGCCUGUUGUUGUGAAAUAAAUAAUUCUUGCCCACCUAUAUUUUCUCCCAAGAAUAGGGAGAGAGAAACAGGUGCAGCAAAGAUGAAAACAGACAAAGCAUUUUCCAACUUCUAUUGUCCCUUCACUUCUCAUCAACCAACCAACAAAUUCAUAAGCAAAAAAUGUACAUUUAGCUACCAACAUUUUAUAAACCAAAUUUCUUCUUUUAAGCCAAUUUAAACAUAAUUGAACUUGCCUGAUAUGCUUUCAUGGACUGAUCAGCGGCCUCUUUCCUCUCAUCACCCAUCUUAAACUCCGCCAAGUACCUAUAAUAAUCUCCUUUCCUGCAACCAAACAAUCCCCAAGAAUAUGAGAAAAAAAAAAAGAAAAAAAGAACCCAGGGUCAAUAAACAAAGAAAACCCAAAAAUAGUUCUCACAUUUUAUAAUAAAACACAGUAGACUCUCCACCCGAGCAAGAAGGAAUGAGAUGCUCAUUAAUGACACCCAUAAUAUCUUUACAAAUAUUGGACAACUCCGAUUCUACUUUCUGCCUAGACGUUUUGAUUUUCUUAACAUUUUGCUCAUUCCCUUUGCUCUCUUCCUUUUGCUCAAUCGAAGACAGGAUCCUCCACGAUGCUCUUCGAGCACCGAUCACGUUUUUGUACCCAACAGAGAGCAGGUUCCGCUCUUCUACGGUCAGUUCCACAUCAAGCUCCGCUAGCUUUUUCAUGGAAGUCACCAUAUCUGGAAAACAAAACAAAAAAUCCCACAAUUUUAAAAGCUUAAAUGAAGAAAAGAACCAAAGUUUAUGACCUUGUCAAUUAGAUCGGACCAUCAAAGCGUUCUGCUUGCUCAGCGAGCUUGGCGAUGUAAACGAAUCUUUCACGUUCUUCGGAGAAAUCCAUGGCCGAUUACAAGCUUUUUCUUUUGUAGGAGAAAUGAAAAAACAAGGAGAAGGGACUCGGAGAGGAAGAAGAUGGUCCUUCUUUUUCAGGGGUUUUAUUUUUUUUGGUGGGGGGUGGGGUUGGUUGAGGAGGACCAAUCAGGGAGAACUAAGAUGGGCAAAAGUGGAGGAAGCGGGGACAAGACAUGACUGGCCGGCCUCGAUUUGGAAUGUCAAUGACCCACGCGAGAUUGGGGCUGUGGCCUACACUCCUUGUUAAAUAAGGCAGUGUUACGAGGUCGUUUUAAGGAGUUUGGGACGUAAUCGUUGGUUUUGAGAGUGUUGCUUUCUUUGAAGUUUGAAUGGAAAAGGAAAUGAUGGAGAUAGGUCAGCAUUUAAGUGAAAUUAAGUUUUACCUUAAGAAAACUGAAAUUGUUUAACAGAGUUAGAAAGAUUCAGACCCCCAAAUCUACCAGUCGGUUCUUUUUGUUGUAUACAUGAAAAUGGCUCCACCAACCCCAAACUCUGCCGAGGGAAAGAAUUGGGCUUUCACUAAUCCGAAUUAAGGACAAGGGAAAUGGGCUUCUAUAUCAAUACAAUAAUAGACCAUUUAACUUAAUUCCAUCAUGCAGUACAAAUACACAACAGUGCUUGGGCAGAUGGGCAUGCAAUCCAAGGCAAGAAGAUUGCCUUAAAGUAUUUGACCAACUAAAAUUCAAACCCCAUUUGUCAUUUAAGCACCUACUACCUAGUUAAUAAGAUAUGCGAUGAACAAGAGGAAGGUGGCGAGGGAUGUCACAAAGUUCCUCUAGUGGGGGCAUGGGUGAUGAAGCCACUCCUUGCUUCUGCUCAAAGGCCUUGAUGAUGCAUGGUAUUCUUCCCAAUUAGUAUUUACAGGCUUAAGAAAAUGAAUCAGAGAAGCCGCUGUGUUGCCAUUUCUUUCUAUGUUUGCAUCAUUAUCCUUAUCGUUAUCCAUCCCCUGACCGCAAGUUUCCGCAUUAGCAUUCCCUUGUCUAAUUUAACUUUGGAUAAAAUUAGAUGGGUUUAUAUACAAUACAUUAAAUAUUAUUUCGUUAUCUAAUUUUUGAUAAGGGGACAUAAAAAAGGAUUGGAGAAAACAACUUUUAAAUAGAUCUAUUUAAUAGUUAAGUUUUUUGUUCAAGUUAGAAGGACUCUUCAAAAUUUAAGAGAGUGUAAAUAAAAUUAUUAGACAAAAAAUAAAGUUUGACAAAAAAUAUACUCAAUUAAAAUAUGGCCCAUACUUAGGUUUCAAUAUUUAAAACUCGAGCUUAGUUCGUUUAUGAUAUGUUUUUUUAUAUUUUGUUUUAUAUAGUAUGUAAUUUAUAUUAUAAUGUAAAUAAAAAAACAUGUUAAGUUGUGUAUAUUUAGAUUUAAUUAAAAAACAUAAUAAUAAAAUAUAUAACUACUAAGUAAUUAUAUUUUUAAAAAUAUUGGCAAGCUUAAAUGGACUUGAAUUAGCCAUUUACAAAUAUUCGAGUUUAAGCAAAAUUUGAAACUCAUACUUCAAGUCCGACUAAAUUUGGACAAUUAUAUAUAAUAUUAAUACCAUGUAUAGGCCCGAUUGAACUAGACUCAUGAUCAUCUCUGUCUUUUAGUUAUGUCGAAUGAUGACUUGUCUUUUGUGGGUUAAUCAAUUAAAUGGCUACAUUUUUUUAGAGAAAUUUAGGAGUUGAAUUACAAAUAUAAUUAUAAAUGAUAAAUAAUACAUGUUCAAUCAACUAGAAUUAGAAUAACUCAAUACAAAACAAAAUAGUUCGAAAAAUGAAAUAUAUUCGAAUCUAAACCAAAAUAAAUCCUAACAUGACACACAUGAUGGAACUUAUACUCAAAAUAAUCUCAAGGAUAAUAUACAUAACAUUUAUACAUGAUGUAACUUAAAUUACACUCAAAAUUCCAACUAGAUUGAUAAAUAUUUACAUACCUUUUUCUUUAUUUAAUUUUAUUAAAAAAAUAUUUUAUGUUGAUGUAAAUUUUUUAAAACAAAUUGGGAAUGAGAAAUAGAAUUUAUGUUUAUAACAUAAUAUUAUUUGUUAAUAAUAUUACGUUAAGAAGUUAUCGGAGUUUAUGUAUUUUUAUGUGAUGGUAUUGUCGUAGUAAAAAUUAUAUUUGUUUCUACAAUGUGCCAUUAGAAAGAGAUGUAGAUCGAAGUGCCAAGUAAGCGACCCUAAACAAAUACUAACAGAAUGCACUAGAAAAUUCUUCAUCUUCAACGCACAAAAUUACAACAGUUCUUAGGCUUACUAGGGAAAUUCAGCUCACAAAUACUAGUAGCUUUUAUUUACACAGUCAUUCAUAUAUAUAUAUAUCUCACAUUAUGGAGCAAGCGUGUGGAUUUUCAUCGCUGAAGAUAGAGUUGGCUUGUUCAUCAACAAGAGUUGAAUAAGGUGGUGGCUGAUAGUAACCAUGAUCAUGGCCAUCAUUCCCAUGCUUGUAGUAGUUGUAGGACGAUGAAUGGCCGGUUGCAUGGUACGUAAUCGUGGGUUCUCUUUCAUAGUAUUCGUAGUAAAAUUGGUUGUAAGGUUUGUAUGGAUACGGCCACAGCUCUGCUCUUUUUCCACUUUUUCUCACUCUUUCCAACAUCUUCUUCUGGUCUGACGCAGCCCACCCCAUGACCGUUACCUUUUGCAUCCUCAUAUCUACAUCUACACUGUCCACUCCUGAAACAAAACACCCAAAUUAAGUCAUUAACAUUAAUAUCGUUUUAGAGCUUCAAGAGAAAGCUUGCAUCAUAUGCAAGUUGAUGAUGGACUACAUAUUUUUUUUUCAAUGAUGGACGGACACGAAAGUUGAACAUACCUUUGAGUUUUCCAAGAGCCUUCUUUAUCUUGACCGCGCAGCGCCGCAGCCCUCACAGUCCAUAUGUACUCUCAUCUCUAAUAUCUGCAGAGGAAGAACAAACAAAAAAUACAAUCAGUAAUUAAUUAGCCAAUAUUUGUCUAAUAUGACGAUGGCAGAUACACUACAGUUUGAUGCAAAACUGAUUUUUCUCUGGUAAUUUGUUACAUAUAAAAACGAUAGAAAACAAAACUAACCGCCAUUUUGAGUAUCUGUAAUCUUGGGCUUUAAAAAGAAAAAUGAUGGAUGAGAAUUGAUAACCAUGGGGACGUACUUAUAUAUAGGAAACGUCAAGACUCAAGAUAGUCCUCACUAAGGGUUUUUGUUUUUCUUCAAGUUGCUUCUUGGGGACAAAGCAGUACUCAAAGGAUUCUAGGGAAAAAGCUUGGCAGCUGCUUCGAAAUUAAAUAAAGGAGCUCGCAAACGUAACAAUACAAUAUACAAAUAAUUAAUUAGAUUACUUACAUAACCCGCCCGACUUUAAAACACUAGUCAAAUACAGUAUGGGGGAAUUUCUCUGUUUUUGCCUUUUGUUUUACCCAGUGAAGAAAUUAUUGAUUUGUUGGUAAUACAGUAAUUCAAGCUGCAACCUUUGUCAUAACCCUCCUGAAUCGAGUAAUUCAGAUGAUUAAGGAUGCUAAUUGCUGGUCGACUAUAUUACAAGCCUGCAUGCAAGUUUUGUGAAAUUAACCAUUGGUAUACGCGUGGGAGAACAAGUCAAAAAUUAAUUGGUGGUGGUGAGAUUUCGGUGAAAGUUCCUGUAAUUAUUAGGAGUCGGUAAGGUCAACCUCAUCACUCGCGAUGGUUAAUGAAACUCCAACUCCACGAGUUUCAAUUAGACUUGGGUUUUGGGUGAGUUUAAUUUUAAAAUUAGUUGAAUGAAGUUUAAAAAGAAUUUGUUCUGUUUUGUUUGGAUAUAAUUAUCUACAAUUAUUUGAAGUGGGAUCAUAAUAAGCAAAGUGUAUCUUAAAAAUCUAUUUUAUUUGCUUGAUAAAAAUAUUAAAAAUAAAAAAUUAGUAUAUCAAGGUUGGUUAGAGCCAACCAUAUGAUGUACCUUUAAUUUUUGGCUCAGUAAAAAAAUUAAUACUUAAUUUAAUAUUGAUGUGGAUUGGAUUAAAUUGGGAUAUAUUAAAUCAAGUUGGGGUAAGUGGAAUAUCGUUCUAUCUCGCCAUGUUGCCAUCUCUAUGUAGGCUUGAUCUAUAUUUAGGGCCAGUUCUUUAUUGCUUUUGAAAAAUUUGAGUGUUUGACAUUGCUGUUAAAAAGUGCUUUUGAAAAAUAAAAUGUCAAUUUUAGACAUGAUAUUAUAAAGUAACAAAUAUGUAUUUAAAUAAUGUUCAAAUUAGUUAAUAUUAUGAUAUUUUAGCAAAAAUAUAAAAAAAAUAAUUUAUUAUAACUUAUUGUUAAUAUUUUAAUAUAUAAUGUUAAUUUUAAAUAUUUCUAAGUAAUUAAUAUUAAUUAUUUAUAAAAUUUAAUUAGAAUAUAUAAAUUAUAUUUAAAUAUUUAAAUAUAAAAAUUAAAUAUUUGUAAUUAGAUAUUGACACGAUUGUAUUAUUAUAAAAAUCAUUUUUUAUUUUUAAUUAAUGCUUUUAACACAUCUGUAUUAUUUUAUUUUAAAAUGUAUUUGAAUAUGUAACUCAUAUUAUUUUAAAAUAAACACUUCAUAAAAAUAGUUAUACAUUAUUUUAAAAUUUUAUUUUAUUUAGUACUUAAAUAAAGUGAAGAGUCCAUAUAAAUUUGUUUAAAUGUUGUGAUUCUCGUGUUCAAUUUCAUCUAAAUUUUAGUGCAUUAUUUUCAAUCAGUGUCCGUCAACAGAAAUAAAAGAAAUUGGUUUGCAGUUCAUGCAUUUAUCAUGUGUUUUAACUAAUUUUAUAUUUACGAUUGAGAAAGUCCCAAAUUCAUCAUUAAGACCAUAAGCAAUGUGAAAACGGCAAAGUUUGGCUUCCGAAAGAGAAACACUGCAUAAUUCACAACUCAAUAGACCAGAUCACAACGCCUGAAGAUUUCUAAGACCUUGUAGUACAUUUACUUACAAUAUCAACAUUAGAUUUAACGUCCCCUUUCAAUGAGCUGUAUGGAGAAUACUGUUUAGUGUGCGGUGUGAUUGGACUGCACAAGCUCAAUGCACGGACGUUAAGUUCAAGCAGCCUUUCAUGACGAGGGAAUGCCUUCCAGAGCAGGUGUGAAGAGCAGGGAACGUGUCACAUAAUGCCUAAACAGCUGAAGGAGUCAGUGCAGUACACUGGCUUAUAUUCAAACUUCUAAGACCUUCCUCAUCAUAUCUACCCUUCAUCGGCUGCCAGAUUGAAGCCUUGUUCUUCACUCGGCUGUAAGCCAGUGAGUACAUUGCCCUGUCUAUGAUAUUUCGGCAAUAGUACAGACCAAUCGACCUCAAAUGGAGACAUCCACUCGCCAAAGCAAUCAAGCUAUCAUCUGCAAUACAAUGUAAAAGCUAAUCAGUCCUCAUCUUCAAAGCAUACAAUGUUUGCCUUCCGUUCUUGAAAGUGAAAAUGGUAAACAAGCUUAGUUAUUCAAAGACUGAACAUCAACCUGCUUUAGAAGCUAGAAAUGACGGUAAAAGUUUCUUGAUAUUGUAGUCCACUCUCAUGCAAACUUCACAUAUGUUUUAAACUAGAUUAUAGGGAAGCCAAUUUAAAGUCAAUAAAUAGAUGAUAUCCACAUUUGAGAAUACGAAUGCAUAAUUUUAAAUUGUGUCUACCGACAACCAUUAGCACUAGGUGCUGCCAAACUUCACUAGAUAUAAGUGGAAGCAAAAUGCCAUGUCAAAUUUCAAAGGGGGAUGAAUUAGGCUAGAGUGUUGGAAUUUGGAACUGAAACAAUAUGUUGAAUUUCAAUGUCAAAGCAGUAAGUUAUACUACAUUGAAAAUACCAAAUCUGAACCCAAUGAAAGCAAUACCUGUUAUGCGGACACAGCCACACAAGUCAAGGCAUCUGAGAUCAGGGCAUCCAUAUGCUAGACUCGUAACUCCUAGAUCACCAACAUUGUCACACCAUCCCAGAUUUAAAGAGUGCAACAUAUUGUUGUUCUGUCCAAUAGCCUAUACCAAUAUUUCUGACUCAAGUAAGUCAAUUUUCUAAUCAGCAAGUAAAUAAUAGUAUUUGUAACGACCCAAAAUCCGUGGGCACCGAAAAAGUGUGUGUAUUAUCGGGCCUCUGUCUUAGUGAAUUGAGUUCGAAAAUAAUUAUUAGAAGUAUUUACGAGACUAGUUGUGUGAUUAAUUAGGUAUUAAUUAAGUGAAUUUAGUCUAAUUAAGAAUAAUUAGGAAAAAGGAUUAAAUUGCAAUAAAAGUGAAAGUUUAAUUAUAGAUUAAAAGAAAAUAAUAGGGACUAAAAUGGAAAUUAAGCCAUUUACAUGGAAAGAGGCGUCAUAUAUGCAUUAAAUCCAAGAUUUUGUUUAAGUUAUAUAUAAAUAUUAUAUGUGUAUAAUUAUUAUAAUUAUUAUUAUAAUUAUUUAUUCAAAUGGUAAUUUAUAUUAAUUAUAUUAUUUUAUUAUGGAAUAAAUUAAAAUUAAGACAAAUGUAUGGCGAAAAGAUGGUACAAGUGUAAUAAGAUAUAUCUAUAUAUAUACACUUGUAUUAUAAUUAUUAUUUACUUAAAAUUUAAGUAAAAAAUAUUAAUUAAUUAAAUAAUUAUAUUAUGAGAUUUUUGUUUGAUAAACAAAAUAAAUAAAGACAAGUGUAUGAUGAUGAUUUAAUACAAGUGUAUUAAUAAAAUACAUAUAGUUGUAAUACUUAUAAUUAAUUAAUUAAACAUAAAGUAAAAUAAAACAAAGAAAAGAAAGAAACAGAAUAGAAGGAGACGAAACAGAGAAGAAACAGGGGAGAAAGAAAGAAAGAAAAAGAAAAAGAGAAAGAAAGGAAAAAUUUGGGUUUAAGGCUUUAAAGCUUUAAAGGUAAGUUUAAUCAAGUCCUUUCCUUUUAAAUUUGAUAUUUUUGGAAUCCUAGAGUGAAAUACUCUUGGAUUUAAGUUGAAAUUUUGAAAGUUGAUAGAUUUUUUUUUGAGUAGGGUUUAUGUUGAAUAAAUGAUAGAAUUGAGGGUUUAUUUGAUAGAAAUUUUAAUUGGAAUUGAAUAAAGGAUUGAAUUGUAAACUAAACUAUAAGUUUUGAAUUUUAGGGAUUAAAUUGAAAUAAAUUCGAAAUUAUGAAAAUAUGAUAAAAAUUAGAUAGUUAAAUGUUAGUUUGAUAGGAAAUUAAGUAGUAAAAAGGUAUGAAUUGAGAAAGAAAAAUAUAUAGGUUUAGUUAGGAUUAAAUUAGAAUUAAAGUAAAUGUUAGAUAAAAAUUUCAGCAGUUAAAUUAUAUUGUAUUAAUGGUUAUGAAAAUUAUCUUAAUUUUUUUCGUAGCUAAUAUCGCACCCGAGGCAUCCACGAAGAAAGGAAAAGAAAAAGUGGACGAGGAAUAGACACGAGAACCACGGUUUGUAUCACUAUAAUUCAAACUUUAUUAUUAUUAAGUGUUUAAUUUGAUAAUUAUGUGUGGUAAGUAUUUUAAGGUAAGUGUUUAAUAAAUGAUAAAUUUAUAAUGUGAUAAUGAAAUUGAAACUGAUACUGAACUGAAUUAUGGAAUACUGGAUAUUGUUUUGAGUACUGAGUGAAUUGUGAAAAUACUGAAUAUUGUAUGUAUAAUGCAUUGAAUUGUGAAAUUACUGAAAUAAUGAAUUACUGCAAUACUGUGAAACUGAUUGAAAUAAGGAAUUUAUAAUUGAUACUGAACUAAGAAGGAAAAUUGUACUGAAAAGUGAAUUAAAUACCCUAUUAACUAGUCGGGCUAGUCGGAUAUAGUUGGCAUGCCAUAGGAUAUGGAAGAGAACGGGGUAUUUGCCGGCUUACUGAUCAGGCACUUAUGUGCCGACUAUUGUUACUGUUACCGAUUCGGCACUUUGUGUGUCGAAUACUGUUACCGUUACUGAUUACUGCUACUGGUGUGUUUGGUUGAAAUCCGUGUAUCCGCCAAGUCCGAGUCAAGUUAAUAGGGAUAAAUGAAAUAAAUUUACUAAUAAAACUAAUCUCGAAUGAUAUAGUAUAGGUGAAAAGUGAAAUUUGAAAUAAAGAAAUAAGAAUGAUAUUUAUAUAUAUAAUUAAUUGAUAAUAUAAAAAUAUUGAAUUGUUUAUUAGUAGUGAUAAUUGUAAUAAAAAGUAUGUGUGUGAUUUAAUGUAAUUAAUUAUAAAUUGAAUUAUAGUGAUAACACUGAGUAUAUGCAUACUCAGCGUACGGUUGUUUCAGUGCGCAGGUUGUAGAAGUCAAGUACUGAACCAGCAUCCAAAGCCAGACCCGACUUCAGCAAACUUUUGGUGAUGUAUAUUUUCUUUUGGUAAUGUGGCAUGUACAUAGGAUGUGUAUAAAUGUUAUUAUGUUUUUAAUAUAAAUGGUUAAAAAAAAUGUUAGUAUUAUAAGUUUAUGCAUUAAAAUGAAAGAAGUUUAAUUAUUUUUAUUUAAUUUAAUAUAUUGUUAAAUUUAAAUUGAUAUUAUGUUGAUUAAGUUGAUUAGAAUGUAUUUGGAAUAGAAAUUGAGAAUGUUAAAUGAAUUGGUUGUGAUUGGAAAUGAUAUGGUUUUUAAUUGCAGGGGGUUUUAUGUGAAAAUAAACAAAAAUGCUGCCGAAAUUUGGUAAAAAAAAAUUAAAGUACUUGAACGAGUUUCAUUUCACUUUUAAUUCACGUUUUGGAUUUCAAAAGUUUAUUACAGGGACUUAGUUAUACAAUUAUAUUACGAAUGUUAUUUUAUUAUGAAUUAUCCGUAAAUUGUUUGAUAUGUCUGGUAAUGCCUCGUAACCCUGUUCCGGUGACGGUUUGGGGUUAGGGGGUGUUACAGUAUCGUUCAUACCUGCAAUGCAAUGCGCAAUCAGUUGCAGCUUUAACGCAUCCACAGAGAUUUAAUAUUUUUAGUUUUCGACAAAAUUUAGUCAAAUAUUCAAGACCUUCAUCACUGAAUGAUGUGCAGCCACUAAUGUUAAGUUUUGCAAGAUUACGGCAACCAUAGGCCAAAGCAUACAAUGAGCGAUCACCAAGCUUGAAACUUUUGCUGAGGUCCAGAUCCUGCAGACCAUGACAAAAUUUCGCAAUCGUCUCCACAGCAGUGUCCUAAAGCUGCGGAUUUUCUUAGCCUAGUACGAGAGUUAGCAAUUUGGUAAAUUUAGGAGCAAGGGAUAAAACCAAGUUGUUCAUGUUCUUCCAGCACCUGCAGCAAGAUACCAUACAACCCAAUUUUAGCGAGGAAGUAAACUACCACAAACAAAAUGACAAAUCUAAAUGCAGCCAAGCAUAACAUGAAAAAGUUUCCAACCAAUAAGGUAGAUAUAAGAUAUUUCAACAUCUCCACAUCAAACAAGCUUUAACCAUUACUACUAAGAUUAAAUGUUAAGCAAGUUAAUAAGCAUCAGGGGGGCACAAAAAUACUACCAUAACCACCAAUAUACAUUGAUAAAUAUAUUUAAGAAUUGAUAAACCCGACUAGGAGAGUGUUUUCAAGUCAUGCAUUAUUUUAUCCUACCUAUCAGAAACUAACGUACUAGGUGCUACAAAUUUGGAGAACACUGAAUACAUCUUCCUAAAUCAACCAAAUACUUUCUUCAAGAUUCAUAAAAGGGAACAAUGGCAAAUAUAUUAUUUGUAAACUCGUAUCAUUUAUGAAGGUUCAAAAAUCAAAAGCAUAGCCAAAUGAAUGGUACUUCAACAAAAAAUCAUGCAAGUUUGCUGGAUAAUUAUAGUUAAAACAGAAAGUGACACGGGCAAUUGUAAAGGCAAUAAUCAAGGGCUAACUGAAAAUGGAACUUUAUGAGGUUAACCUAGACAUCUCAAGAUGGGUAGGAAAUGCAGGUUCAAUCAAAGGGAAUUACAUAUUAAAGAAAAAGAAGAUGAAGCUUCGCUAGUCAUAAUUUCAAACAAUAAAAACGCAAACACUAAAUUAAAUCGGCAAAACACGAUCUUAAUCUUAGACAUAAAUUAUGCAACAAAUCGCCGAAAACAUUGAAGAGCUAGGCAGGUCACGUUUACAUCUAAAAAUAUCCAACUCUAAGAGCUCAAAUAAUUGAAAUCAAUGAGUCGACCAAGAAAGGUCAACGAAUAAAGAAGAUGAGGAAAAAAGCGAAAGAAAUAUUUAAAGCGAUAAAAAUUAUGAGCCAAAACAAUCAAUGAAAUGAAAUGAAUUUUCAAAAAAAAAAAGAUCAAGCAAUUUCGUAAAUUCAUAAAUAGGAUACAAAAAGGUUUUACAAAUUUAGGUUAGACUGUAGCGUUUCCAGCAGAACUGGGGAGCACAGGUUUUACAAAUUGGGGAGCAUCAAAAACAGCUAUGUAUUUAAACAAACCAACGUACCUUCUCCUGGGUAUCUUUUAAGCUUUUAAGCACUGGAGGGUUGCCUCAAAGCAGUAGCAGUUAUCCUGAAUGAGAAAUCAAAUUUCUGUUCUUUUCGGCCAAAAGCACGUUUGUGGGAGAAGACAGUUCCAAAGAACCAGCAGAUGAGGGAAAAGAAAGUUUGUGGGAGAAGACGACAAGUUAAUUUGGUCAAUUUUCAGCCAAAAGCACUUUAAGCUGAAGAAAAUGAGAAAUUUUUAGCUUUUCAUCUGGAGAGAAGUCCUUUUCCGAUGGUGAAAUUUUCUGAAGAAAAGGAGGCUGUUUUUCAUUCCUUUUAAGGGAAAAAGACUUUUUCAGCCAAAAGUCCUUCUAAAACGUGCAGAAGAACAGGGCCUUAAUAUAACUGCUUUUUUCAGAACUAAACGGUUGGUUGCUAAAAGAAAAGUGACCAUAUUUGUCAAAGUUUAAAUAAAGAGGGAAUAAAAAUAUAGAUUAUAUUUAAAUCAUUUAAAUGAUUGAAUCCUAUGAGAUGAUGUGAUGGUUAAUAUUAUUUAUCGCUCUAGGUGUAGCCUAGAUUUGAGUCAUGCUAAUUAUAUUAGUUGUUCGGGCUUUAUUAUGUUAUUGUAAUAUAUUUAAAAAUUAUUAAUAAUAUUAUUUCAUUUUGAACUUGAUUUAAUUUAUAAUGCCUCUAGAAAUAACAAGCGCAUGCAAAUUACCAAGCUAUAUAUUGUUGGAUUAUAAAUAUAUUUAAUUUUUUAAUAUUUCUACUUAUUAAAAGUUAGAAAAAACAAAGACAACAACAUCAUUUCAAUGCAACAUUGAAAGAGAUGAAAGUAGUAUUCACCAUUGACUUCAAGCAAAGUGCCAAAAAUGGAGAUGAUAUUCUUAAAAGAUUACUAGCAAAGAAAGGGAAACUUACGUGCUCUAAAUGUGAACUUCAGACCAGUUAACUAAUACCCAUUUUCACGGUAAAAAAAGAAACCACUUCCAAUACUGAAAACAUCAGCAGAAAGUUGCCUCUUUAUGUGCAUCUAUUGUAACAUCUUCGAAAAUUCAUUGGUCUUAAUAGUAUUAUUUUCAGUAAUUAUGAAUCCAACUUUUCGAAAUAAAUUAAAUGUGAUUUGUAAGUAUUAGUGGAGAAGGUAGUAGGAGAACAUAAAAAAUUCAAAAGAUUAUGUAUUAAAAAAUGUUAAUUCGAAGUAUAGACUAAAUUGUAAGGUUUUACAAAGUGAGAACUUUAAAUUAUAAAAAAAUUAAAUUGAAUUAGUGGUGAAAUGUGUGAGAACAUGGUGAGCAAUUUUUACCAAAAUUAAGUGGAUAAGGAUGAUGAAUAUAUUUAUAUUAUUAAGUUAUAAUGUAUUAAGUUUUUAUUAAAAUAAAUAUAUAGCAUGAUGGAAAAGAUGUAGGGAUUUCUUCAUCUUUCUUUUCAUCCUCUUACUCAUGUCACCCACCAUUGUUGGACAGAAAAUUCUUUUUCCUUCCAAUUUGGUCCUUAUCAUCAACAAAUACCCCUCCAAGCCAAAAACUAUUAAACUUUACAACUUAGCAAGCUUAGUGUUAAUGUUUGAAGAGAGAGAAAAUCUAGAUAAUAUGACAAACUAAGACUUUAAGGUAAGAUUUUCAUGAUUUAGUAGUAGUAUUAUAUUUAUUAUAAUUAUUUCAACACGAAAAUGUUAUGAAAUAAGUAUAUUGAUUUCUCAUGUUUUACGGAAUUACCAUGAAAUGAAGAGAAAGAUAAGAAAGAAGAUGGAAGGAGUGUAGGCAAGAGGAAACAAGUAAAUAAAGUUUGAAGAAAACAUAACCUAGUACUUUAGACAUCUUUCUUAACUAAUUAGAUUUUUGAAAAUAAUAAAUUAAUGAACAUGUUAAUGUCAUGAAUUUAAGUCAUUGUAACUUAAUAAAUGUGUGAAUAAUUCAAGAAAGUAGUAAAUGAUUGUAGUUAUUGUUGAUGUAAUUAAAUGUGUAGAAAAAAGGACUAAAUUAUAAAAUAUUGAAAAGUUAUGUGUGAUUAUGAAAUUAUGAAACUUGAUUGUGCUUGUGAUGAAUAUUGAUUUUAUAUUAAUGUUAAAGCUAUUGUAAACAAGUUUUGAACUUGUGGGAUAUAGAUGACAUGUCAUUGGAAAUUCUAUAGCGGGCUCGUGUAUUUAGCACUUUGAUACUUGUGUUUAAACACUUUUAGUGUUCGUGAUAAUCUAACACUUGCGUGCUCAUCUACUUCUAAAUGAUGAAAGUAUGGUAAGUGAAAUUGUGUUAAUUAUCUUUAGUUUAAUUCUUGUAAUCAUGUUAAAUAUGUUUAUUCAUUAAAUUAGCUAAUUAAAUUAAUUGUAAGAUUUGAAUUUAUGAGUAAGCUUUCAUAAGCUUAACGCAUUGUUUUGGACGCGUAGGUAAAGAUCGUUUUGAAGUGGUCAUCCUUAUCUCAUCAUCAAGCAAAGUUUGAAGUGUAUGGAAAUUGUAUUCUGAUAAUUGCAUGCCAUGUACAUAGGAUUAGAACCAUUGAAAUAUUUGUAGUAAAUUAUUAGGUAAGUGGUUUCAAAACUAUGUUAUGCAUGUUUAACGUUAUUUUGUACCUUAGGAUGAUCUUUAUUGGGUGGAUAUUUACAUGUGUUAUAUGUGAUUUUUAAAUGAUAUUUUGAUAUAUUUAAAUUUUAAAAAAGUUUAGAAAUGUUGUGGAGUGAUUGAAGAUAGUUUUGACUUAGUUUUAGGUGUUCAAGUCAUGUUGUGGCCGACAUUUAAUAUUUAGUGUUGCAACGUUGGACUAUGUUGCGACAUCACGAGUUAGUGUCGCAGCAUUGGAAUAUUCUACCCUCAGUGUCGCGACACUCAUUUUUUAAUAUUACGUCAUUGACUUUGUUUUGACCCAAAAAACCCCCCAAAUAGUUCUCAUUUGUGACCAAACUCUAAAGGAAGAAUAGAAAUUAUUUGAAAAACUUCAAAUAAUCUUAAAUAUAUUAAAAUAAAGUGUUUAAAUAAAUAUUCAAAUUAAACGAUUGUGGUGUUUAAAUAUAAUAUUUCUUACUGGAAAUACAGGUUGAAUCCGGAUAAAGGAUAUUAGAUGUAUAGUAUGAUAUGUAUAGGUUUUUGUGCUCCUGUUUUCCAUAGAGUACACAGUCUCGCAUUAAGAUAGUGCUAAAAAUAUUAAUAAACAAAUUGGUUUGGACACCUCGUAAGGCGCUGCAUCUCGACAAUGAUCGUUGGUUGUCUCCGAUUGUCGAAUUCAAUAAAAAUCACUAUUCAAGAAUAUGUCAUCUCCACCUCAACCUUGAUUAAUCAUAUCUACAAAGUUUGUAUAAGUUGGCCCAUAAAAGCAAGCAAUAGUAGUAAAAUAAAAUGAUUUGGUUUAUAUGGUUAAGGUUAUAGUUUGACCAAUAAAAGGUGACACUUUCGAUUUUUAGAAGUAGGCUUUUGGAUAAAAUGACAUUUUAAUUUCUUAUGAAACUUUUAACUGUAUUGUCAAACUCCUGUAUGGGAUAAAUUUGGCGCAGAUUAUUAGACGCCCAUAAAAAAAGUAAUAUAUUAGUUGCCAAGCUCAUUUCUUUGCAUGACCAAAAGAUAUUUCCUGCUCGUCUCCCCUCGCCUUGUUUUGGUACAGGGUGCAGGCCAUACAGUUUUUCCUUAUAAGAAGGCUAAACAACAAGAGAACCCGGACAAUAACAGCAGAAACAAUGCAGAUCAAGCGAUAGAAACAACUGAAACAGGCUAUUCAGUAAUUUACUAAUGCAAAAAAUACAGAAAAAACCUUGAAUCCAUUUUCGACCCCAAAAAUAUAGAUUUAAAAUGCCAGUUAUUAUUUCAGCUUACAAAUCAAACAUGGGAUAACAAUGUAAGUUUUUAUGGGAUUAACGCGUACAACAGAACAGUAAUGCAGUGAGUGAUAACAGGUCUCCCACUCCCUUUUCUUUUUUCUAUGAUGUUACUUGUUAAAUACAUCACGGGAAAAAAUUUUAUGGACUUUGUUUAGAGAUUUAAAAAACGUUAAUGGACUGUUUUAUGUGAAAAACCCCUUGUGGUGGCUCACACAAUGUAAUUAACCUCGAUUUCUCAUUUCAUUUUUUGUCGUAAGCGUGGCUGCGAGCAGUAUAAGUAAUCUCCUUACUUCAUGUUUAAGGUCACACACAACUGCAAGCAAUUGCAACAAAGUGAAAAAAAAGUUGAGAAAUAUUCUAAAUUCAAUGGCAGAGAAGGAGGGAGAGAUUGUGAAGGAAGGGCAUGAUGAGGGAAUGAAUAUGGCUAUUGGUCUUCUGGAAGAGUUUGGGCUCCCAUUGGGACUUCUCCCUCUUGCAGAUGUGAUUGAAGUUGGUUUCGUAAGGAAUACAGGUUACAUGUGGAUUGUGCAGAAAAAGAAGGUUGAACACAAAUUUCAGAUGAUCAGCAAACUGGUGAGUUAUGACACUGAAAUUACCGGUUUUGUUGACAAGAAGCGGAUCAAGAAGCUGAAGGGAGUUAAGGCUAGAGAACUCAUGUUAUGGCCUCCAGUAAAUGAGAUUGUAGUGGACGAUCCACCCACUGGAAAAAUUCACUUCAAGAGCCUUGCUGGUGUAACCAAGACCUUUCCCGUUGACGCAUUCGCUGCCGGGAAGUAAAAAUAGGCACCGUCUUGUUCUUUGGGAGCCACCAGAGUCCAGAAGCUAUGGGGGUUUUUUGUGCUGCUUUAUGUUCUACUUGUAUGCAAUUUGUGUUGAUACGGAUUAAUGAUGCAUUAAUCAUGCCAAUAUUCAACCAAACAAAUAUAUAUACAAAUGUAAAUAAAACCAAGUGACUUCAUUAUUCAGUGCAGUGGUCACUUCAAAUCCAAUUUCAACAACAACGGUGAUGACAUCCUUUGUCCUCUGAUUAUCAGAUGUUGCCGUCAGAAACAAAAGCAGCAUUAAUAAAAAAUAAAAUAACCAUUAAUUCCAACAGGCAAGCAUUUGUUAAUCUCCUAGUAUAAAGGAACAAUAGUAGGGCUACUCCAUUCACAUAUGACACACAUCUAACGAGCUUUUGUGCGAUUGAAAAGCAGAAAAGGAAUAACUCAAGCUGCACAAUUGCAUUCCAUCAGCCCAAAUACAAUGAACCCAAUCGAGCUUUGCAGCCGAGGCAUUGAAGUUUCUCCUUCUUGAACUGGUUCAAGGCCUUCACGGAUAUGGUGGAACACUGGGUCAGCUGCUUAACCUCGCCAAGGUAGAUUUUAUUAGAUUUCUUUUUUUCUCGUUACUGGUACAUGGCCUCCGGCCCCACAUUAGAGGUUUAAAUUGGAUCUCUGAACAUAAAUUUUUUGAUAAUUUAUCAACCCAACCAUUGGUUAAUUAGUAAAGGAGAUUUUCUCCUCCCUUAUUAAAGAAAAAAAUAACAUAAUUUGAAUUAGUAUUUAAUAUUUAAAUUGGAAAUUGAUCCGAUUUGAUGAUUACAGAAUUGAUAAUCCGAAAAUGUAAUUAAAAUUUUUAAAAUUCAGGACAAAUAUAAUAUCUCAACCAUAGUUUAACGAUGUUUAGUGAGAUUAACCUUUAUUUUAAUUUAUAUUAUUAUUUAAUAAGAUUAAUAUAAUUUUUAAAUAAUAAAAUGACUUGAGCAAUUUUGUAAUAAUACUAUGACGUCAAGUUCGUUUUUAUUAAUUUUAUAUAAAAAUAUAAAAACCAAAUAAUAUCAUAAUAAUAUAAUUUACGAUUUUUAAUUAUUUCUCUGAGUAAAUUUAAAUUUUAUUGAUGAGUGAGGCUAAUUCAAUUAGACAUUUAAAUGAUAAUAUAAAUUAUUAUACUCAUAUUUUACAAAAUAACUAACAAUUAUGAUAAUUCUUUUAUAUUUUUACUGUAGACUUUUAAUUUAUACUUACAAAUCAAUAUUUGGGUGGGUUUGUAAAGUAUUUAAAAAUUAUAUUUAGAUGUAAUUGUAUCUCAUGCAUGAGUAAUUAUUGAAUACCUCAAUUAUUGCUACCAAAUAUAAUAUAAUUACAUUUUAUCACUCAAACAUAUCUAAAUUCUAAAAGUUAAAAAGUAAAAUAAUUCAAGGAUUUUUACUGGAUUGUUGGUUAUGGGUGAUUAGAGAUUAAGCCCCAGCCACAUCUUCUUUCAAAACAAAAUAUACCUCGCAGUAACUAAUAUUAUUUGAGCGAAUUCAAUAUACAUAAGUCGAGAUGGCAAGGAUGCAGGAGAAGGAGAUUUUUUUGCUCGCCUCAACCUUCAUCAGAUGUACUUCUAAAAUCCGAUUCCAAAUUAAAUGUUUUUUUUUUUGUUUUAAUGAAAAAUUAAAGUUAUACUUAAUUCUAAUCGAGAUCUGAUUCAAUAUGUUAUAAUCUUUAUUUUUAUUUACUUUUAUCUAAUAAAACAAUAAAAUUUAAUGUUUUUAUUAUUAGCGUGCUUCUAUUUUGGUCACUUAGGUUUAAAGUUUUUCAUUUUAGUCACUAACGCUUCCGUUAAAUCACCAAUUGUGACCUUUUUUCUAUUGCAAUAAAAACAAAUUUAGCCCUCAACUUUACACAUUUUGUCAAUUUAGUCUUGAUUCUUAUAAUUUUAAAAAUUAGAAAAUAUUUAAAAUUUUAUUUUUGAUAAAAGUACAUAAGAUUUUAUAAAAAUUACAUACAAAUUUAUCAAAAUAUUUAUAAAUUAAUAUCUCUUUUUUCUCAUUUUCUAACAUAAAAUUUAUUUAUUAAAAUAAUAAUUUUAUAAAAAUAAUAAUCUUAUAAAUAAAACAAAUUAAUGGGGAAAACCAUGAAGAAGAUUUACAUAGAUUCAACUUUGCCCUUUUUUCAACAUCAACGAUCAUCAUGUCCAAGUUGGGUGAAAAAUUAUAGCCUAAGGUCAAAAAGGGAGAGAAUUAAUGUCUUUAAAGUUGUUUCUCAAAACGGGUUUGUUACGUUUGAGGUUGUGCUCGAAGGUAAGCAUGUUUGGGGAUGUAUAGGUUAGGAUAGCGUCUUAGAGACCCGAUAGGUGGAAGGCUAUGCCAACAACUCUAAAACUAAUUUCUAGUUCAAUGGCGCAAUGAUGGAGGAUGUGGAGACUAAGGAGUUCAGAGUAAAUGUUAUAUUAGUGUCAAUGGUUGUGGGUGAAGAUAGUGCAAAUUUGCGCAAAUUUGACAAGGACUAAAGAGUAAGGCCACACAUAUAAUAGAAUUUAUUAUUUAUAAAAUAAACUAAAAAAUUUGAAUUUGGUUUAGAUCUUGUUUGUGGGUUUUUAAAAAAAUAUUUUAUCAAAAAGGGAGAGAAUUAAUGUUUUUAAAGUUGUUUCUCAGAACAGGUUUGUUACGUUUGAGGUUGUACUUGAGGGUGAGCAUAAUUGGGGAUGUAUAGGUUAAGAUAAGGUCUUAGAGACCCGAUAGGUGGAAGAUUAUGCAACAACUCUAAAACUAAUUUCUAGUUUAAUGGCGCAAUGAUGGAGGAUGUGGAGACUAGAGGUGCUCAUGGGCCGGGCCGGGUUCGGGCCGGGCCUAGAAAAAAAUUUCAGCCUGGCCCGAAAUAUGGGCGUAGAAUUUUGCCCAGGCCCAACCCGGGAAAAAAGUCAUAAGCCCGGGCCCGGCCGUUUUUUAAAUAAAUACCAAAAAUUUAUUUUAAAAAUUAAAACAAAAAUUAAAAAAAGUAUUUUAAAAAUAUUUUAAAAUUAAAAAAAUUAAAAAAGUAUUUUAAAAAAAUUUUAAAAUUUAAAAAUUUUAAAAAAAGUAUUUUAAAAGUAUUUUAAAAUUUAAAACAUAAAAAAAUAAAAAUAUUUAUUAUAUUCGGGCUGGGCCAGGCCGGGCCCGGGCCAAAAAAGUGUUGCCCGAUGCCCAGCCCAUUUUUUAAUCGGGCCUCGUUUUUUUGCCCAAGCCCAUAUUUCGGGCCUAUAUUUUUACCCAAACUCUCUCAUAUUUCGGGCCGGGCGGCCCAUGAGCACCUCUAGUUGAGACUAAGGAGUUCAGAGUAAAUGUUAUAUUGGUGUCCGUGGUUGUGGGUGAAGAUAGUGCCUAGUACUCCGCAAAUUUGACAAGGACUAAAGAGUAAGGCCACACAUAUAAUAGAAUUUAUUAUUUAUAAAAUAAACUAAAAAAAUUUGAAUUUGGUUUAGAUCUUGUGGGUUUUUUUUAAAUAUUUUAUUUUAAAAUAUAAUUUUAAUAAGUAAAUUUCAUGUCAAAAAAAGAGAAAAAUGAGUAUUCAUUUAUUUAUAAUUGUGUAUGUAUUAUUUUAUAAAAUCUUAUUUAUUUUUAUAAAAAAUGAAACUUUAAAUGUUAUUUUUUUAUUUUUUUUAUUUUUCAAUUUUUAAGAAGUGAGACUAAAUUGAUAGAAUGUGUAAAGUUGAGGGUUGAAUUUGUUGAAUUUUUAGAAUUAACACUAAAUUGAUAGAAUUUGUAAACAUUGGAGGGCUAAAUUUGUUAUUAUUCCUAUAAAAAAAUGCCACUAUUAGUUAUUUAACAGAUGAAUGACCAAAAUAUUAAAAUUUGAACAUGUUAGUUACUAAAACAAAAAAAUUUAAACAUGGAUGACUAAAACAAAAAUACAAUAAUAAUUGGGUGAUUAUUUUUAGAAUUUACCCUAUUGUUUUUUUGGUAUAAGUAUGCUAAAGCAAAUAUUAAUAAAAUUUUAUUAUUAUAUUUAUAUAUAAAAGUAUUUUGGUAAUUAUAUUAAUCUCGACUUCAAUAAUUGAAAAAUUAAAUCCAACCUAAAAAAAAAACCUUGAUGGGGUCAUAUUGGAAGCGUUGGGUCAGGGUUUUUAUGCCCUCCAAUGGUUUAAAGCUGCAGGUUAAAAAGAUCCAAACAAGAAAAAAGCAAAGGCUGCUGCAAUGAAGAAAAAGGAAAACUUUUUCCAUAAAAUAGAUUGAGUGGGAGCUUGCUUAACGUAACAAAGUUUGCUUUCCCAGGUUGAAUGUGAUUGACAUACACAUUCUGUUAUGAGAAAGGAGUGGAGGGAUCUGACUACCACGCCAAGCUAGUAUUUCAAAGCUGGUUUUCAUGUGGUCCACCUCACUUCAUCCCAAGCAUAAACUAUUACAAAGAUGGUUUUUUCAUAUGGAUUCCAAAAUGAAAGGAAUCUUGGAAUCUGCAUGAUGUUGAUUUCAAGUAGUGAGCGUCAGUACGUUAUAAUGAUUGAUAGGUAAGGUUAGUGAUUUUGGUUCAAGGAUUGAUUUUUGUGGACCUAUCGAUUGAAAUUGCGGCUUGGGUGUUUCACAAAAAUGGUAAUGCAGUUCUCAUUUUGUUCUCUGUCCUGUGAAUUCUGUGAUGGGAAAAUAUUUCAAAGUUUUAAUUUAUUUCCCUUCUCUCAUUAUUUAUCUUAUACGGAUUACGAUCAUGUUGAUGAAGAGUAAUUACAUCUGCUAUAAAUCAGAUUAAAAACGGCGUAGUGUACCAUAAUUAAUUUGGUCAUAAUCUUAUGCCUUGUCAAAGAUAACAUAAUGAAAGCCAACUAACUGCUGUCUUGUUUUGAUAUAUCUGUUGCUUGUUAAACAUGAUCUCAUGUGUUGUAAUGAUGCUUAAUCCUACUGCUGUCUUGUUUUGAUAUAUGUUGCUUGUUAAACAUGACUUCAUGUGUUGCAAUGAUGCUUAAUCCUACCUUUGAAUCUCAUCACACCAAUGGUGAAAUGGAACCUGAGGAGUAUAUCCUCAUGUAUUCUUUUUCACCGAGGAUAACUAAUGGUGAGAUCAACCAAAACCAUCACAACCCUUAAUUCUCACUGGAGCAACAAACUACAGUUGGUAAAAGCAAUGCCCAACCAGGUUGUGCUUUUACUUUUAACUCCUACAUUCCUUUUAUAUAAUUGCAACUUUUUCCUUUCAAUUAAAAUUAUACAUAAACAACUUCUUUUUGUUAUUAUAUGAAACAUGUAUAAUUUUGAUUUGUAUACUAAUUUAAUAAAUAUAUAAAAUUUAUUAUUACAAAAUUGAUAAGAUUAAAAAAUAAUCUUAAUGAUUAAUUACUUUUAUAUGAAUAAAAAUCUUUUACAAAUUUUUUAUAUAAUAAAAAAAUAUAGAAAUGAUUUAUGUUUUUUUAUAAAAUUUUAAUUAUUUAAUACUAAAAUUAUUAUUAACAUAAAUAGAAUUUUAAUAUAUAUUUUAUAAUUUAGUAUAAAAUUAAUUUUAAUUAUUCAUUGUUUUUUUUAAUUAAUUAGUAUUUAUAAUAAAUUUAAUUAUUAUUUAACAUAUUUUAUUUUUAAAAUAUUUUUAAUUAAUUAUUCUAUAUAUACAUAAAAUUUAACUUAAUGUCAUUAAUAAUCAUUUUCCAUUCUUACCACAUAUCUCACCUCUUAUUUUAAUCUCACUGUUAUAGUAACUAAUUUCAUUAAUAUUAUUUUUAAUCUCAUCGUCUAUCCAAAAAGUGUAACACCCCUUACCCGAGACCGUUGCCGGAGUCGAGCACGAGGCAUUACCUAACUUACUAGUUCGGAGCAUAAAAAUUUGCUUUUAAAAAAUUUAAUUCACUCACGUUCAUUCAAUAUGUCCCUAAAAAGAAAUCUCGAGACCCUAAAUCAUGCAAUAGAAACAGUUCGAGUCCAAACCGGGAACAUUAAUAAUUUUUCAAAUACUAAAACAAAUUAAAACAAUUCAUUUCAUUAUUCACAAUAAAACUGUCCACAUGCGUAACAGUCACUAAUUUAAUUAUAACUCGAGUUUUCAAAACUAAAAAUUUAGAUCCGUAAAUUUUUCCUGAAACUAGACUCAUAUAUCUUCUUACCAUAAAAUUUUCAGAAUUUUUGGUUUAUCCAAUUAGUACAGUUUAUUCUUUAAAAUCUCCUCUGUUUCACUAUUCGACAGCUCUGACCCCUCUUAACUAAAAAUUAAUCAUCUCAAUGAACAGAAUUCGGAUAAUAUUCUCGUUUGUUUCUAUUGAAAAUAGACUCACUAAUGAAUCUAAACAUAUAAAUUAUAACUCCAAAUUAUUUUUGUACAAUUCUUAAUGAUUUUCUAAAUUCAGAACAGAGAAUUUCAAAAGCUAUUCUGAUCCCAUCUCACUAAAAUUCAAAUAUCUAAAAAUAUACAACUCUUUUGCUUACUCUAUUUCUUUUAUGUGAAAGUAGACUCAUUCAGCUUUAAUUUCAUAUCUCAUUCAGCUUCUAAUUCAACUUCUACUAUUUUUGGUAAUUUUUCAAAUUCAUGUCAAUGCUGCUGUCUAAAAACUGUUCCAUUGCAAAUUCUUACUCUUUUAUCAUUUCUUUGUAUUAACUAUCAUUUAAACACACAAAACACCAAAACACGUUCCUACAUAGCCAUUUCAAUAACUAAUCAUUAUCGAAUAUUUACUUGCUACUCCUUAGACAUAUCAUAAGGAUACACACAAAAUGACCAAGUCCCUAUACAUGCCAUAUAAAUCAAAAAGUUGUUUAACAAAAUCUACCGGAGUAAAUCUGGAUGGUGUGGUUGUUGAUGUAGAUCCGAUCCUCCAAACAUAUAUAUAUAUAUAUAUAUAUAUAUAUAUCAAUCUACAAGAAACAAUAAUCACACACAAGUAAGCUUACAGAAAGCUUAGUAAGUUCAUAGGCUCAUAAUAAAAUCUUACCAAAAUUUCACUAACAAUAUUAAUAAACAAUAAAAAUUUAACAUUUCUUGCCAACCAUAAUCUCAAACAGUGAAUCUAUCCAAUCGAGCUCAAUAUCAGAUGUCAACUUAUAUUCCGACAUUUAGCUUCAUUUGCACUUACAAAUACCUGCCAAAUUAAGGAUCGUCUUACGGAUUUAAGUACAUCGUUUGCCCGGUGCUAUGAUUUGCUUGAAUAUUUCACAUUGCUAUAACUCAGUAUGGUUUUCUUCACGGAGAUACCAUACCUACUUUUCACAACUCAGUAUGGUUUUCUUCACUGAAACACCAUAUCUACUUUUCACAACUCAGUAUGGUUUUCUUCACUGAAAUACCAUACCUACGUUUCACACUUUGCCAUGGAUCCACCAUGGACUUAUUCGUAAAUUCAUCACUGGUUACCGAACGUAUGUACUCAAUCCUGCGUAUCCCUUAAUUUGAACUAACAAUCUCAUUUUAUUCUUAUUUUUACCAUAAUCAUAAUUCAACAAAAAUAUACGAAUUGAUACAUUAUAUCAAUCCCACAUUAACAAUUAAUCAUAAAAGUUCAACCAUAUGAACUUACUUGGGCCAAUUUGUAGAAGUUGUAAAAGUUUAGAGACUAAUUUGAUACUUUCUCUUUUCCACGUUUAUCUUCGGAUUCCCGAUCUAUAAUAUAAAUUUUUCCAUUCAUUAGCAUCUAAUUCAAUACUAAUUCACUUCACAAUUUAUGCCCUUCAAUUUUCGAAAUUAUACUUUUACCCUAAAAUUUACAAUUUAGUCCCUACUCAAUUAACACUUUAAUUGAUCUAAUUUUUCUCAAUUUACACCUUGUCCAACCAUUUUAGACUACUAUAUUACCUUUGAUAUUCAAAACCACAACACCAAACCCUAAUUCUAAACUUUUUUACAAUUAAGUCCCUAAAAUCAAUUUCUAUCAAAAUUACUUAAUAAGAUCAUCAUAUAAUAAAAUUAAAGCUUUAAUUCCAUAUUCACUCAUCAUAAAAAUCCAGCACUCAUCAAUGGUAACUUUAAAAAUCAGCCAUGAAAUCAAUAACUAAUGAAAUAAUUAGUUGGACCUAAUUGUAAAAGUGUCAAAAUCAUAAAAAUUACAAGAAAUAAUCAAGAAUUAAAUUUACAUGGUUCAAAUAUAUAAAAAAUCAGCUUGGAGGGACUCUUCAAUGGCGUUUUUGGCUGAGAAAUAUGAAGAAUUGCCUAGAAACUCUUUUAAUUAAGAUUUUUAUUUGUUAACUUUUACAAAAUUUCCAAUUUUGCCCUUAUUACAUCACUUUUACAGAUUUUUCUUUUCUUAUGCCGUCUCAACUAUCCUUUAUUGGCAUAUUUAUGCCUUAAGUCCCUCCUUAUAUAUCACUUAAGCUAUUUAAUCACAAUUUAACAAAUUUUGCACUAUUUUCAAUUUAGUUUUUUUAAUUAAUUGACUAUCCAAACGUUAAAAUUUUCUAACGAAACUUUUAUACUAACUCAAUGACGCUCCAUAAAUAUUUAUAAAAAGAUUUAUGGCUCGGUUUAUGAACUUAAGGUCUCGAUACCUCAUUUUAGACCCAAUUUACCUAUUAAAUUCUUUUUAAAUCACAAAAUUCAAUAAAUCACAAAAUUCACUAAUUCAAAAAUUCUUCUAAAUUCACACUUGACCCAUAAUUAUUAGUUUAUUAAAUUUUAAGACUCAUUGGUCGGAUUUAGUGAUCUCGAAUCACUGUUUCUGACACCACUGAAAAUUAGGUUGUUACAAAAAGAGCCUCCAUUUGGAUGGGCAAUGAGAUUGGCUUCGGUGAGAUUGAAAAUGUCAGUGGCGAUGAGAUCGAAAAUCACAGUGGCAGACUCAAUGUCGAGAUAGGAGUUUGGAUUCAAAUGUUGUGAUAGUGAUGAGAUAAAAAUAGAGAAUAACCAUUAGAGAUAUUAAAUUAAAAGUUGUUAAAAAUAAUUAUCAAUAUAUAAUAAUUAAAUUAAAUUAAUAUUAAUUAAUAAUUAUUAAUAUAUAAUAAUAAAAAUCUAGGUUAAAUGAUAAAUCUAUAUUAUAUUUAUAUUUAUGUUAACUAAUAAUAAUUAAGAAUUACAUAAAUAACAUUUAUAUUAAAAUUUUAAAAUAAUAAUAAAAUAAAAUAUAGAUAAGAGGGGCAAAAUAGAAAAUUUUCCUCUCACUGGAAGUCCAGUACCUCAAUUGGAGCCCUCCCCUUCAGUGAAAAUAGAAGGGUGCAGUAAGUUUGAAAUUCUCACGGAGAUCAUCCAAAGGCAGACCAAUCUCUACUGCAAUUGAAUUUUCCAUCAUUUUAAACAGCAGAUGCCAACGCACUGAAAGCUUUGUAACAUCAAAGGGACCCUUAGUUUGCCACUUCAUUCGAUGUUAUGUUAGAGUAAGCACUCUAAAUACAUAAAACUUCUUUUCAUUACAAACCACAAGGACAAGAUUCAUUGAACAGGCUUCUAAAUGCACACAACUUCCUAGGAGAUUGAUUUUGACAUUUUUCUAAUGUUUAAGGGCUUAUUCCACUUCUUUUGCUUGCAUAUAAGGUAUAUUCAUGGUGUGGUUUUAUGUACUUUGUAUGAUCAUCAACGUCAAUUUAAAUGCCUUCAAUUAUUACUAGCUUACCAGAAUAUCGCAUUCCAAUUUGGUGCGUUAGUCUAAACAUAUUGUAAGGCACACAGAAUAGUAGCGAGUCUAAUCAAAGCACUACUGAAGUGGGGAUAUAGGAUGAUAACUGGAGAAAAUGAUGUCUAUAAAACCCUCAUAGCUCUUUUGAUGUCAGUGCACCCAUUGCAAAUAGAUUCAUAUUCAGUUAUUUACUUCCAUAAUCAUCGAUAAUCUUAGUGCAAUGGCUACAAAUGUAUGCCAAAAAAUGUGCUUGGCCUAUCUCCUUGUUUUGUCCAUCUGGAUUUCACAUGCCCGCUGUCGCCUCUCAAUGAGGAACAUAUGCUGAAGAGGCAUGAGGAAUGGAUGGCUAUGCAUGGCCGCGUCUACACAGACUCAGCCGAGCACGAGAAACUCUUUGCAAUAUUUAAGGAAAACGUUGAACGUAUCGAUGCUUUUAAUAACGGUGUGGAGAAAGGAUAUAAGCUAGGUGUAAACAAAUUUGCAGACUUAACUAAUGAGGAAUUCCGUUCCCCACACAUUAGUUACAGAUGCCAGUCUUUUGAAUUGAUGUCAAAUUCAAAACCCGUAAAUUUCUACCAUGGAAAUGUAACCGCUGCGCCUGCUAUUGUGGACUGGAGGAAAAAGGGUGUCGUGACCUCUGUCAAGGAUCAAAGCUCAUGCGGUGAGUGAGAAUUCAUGGAUUAUAAGCUAGUCAUUUGUUUUAUUAUCUUUUACUUCAUGGCAGGUCAAUAUAUGGUACUUGUUAUAUCUUGCGUCAAAAUACAGGAUGUUGUUGGGCGUUUUCAGCAGUAGCGGCUAUAGAAGGCAUAACAGCACUCAAGAAAGGGAAGUUAAUUUCAUUGUCAGAGCAGCAACUUGUAGACUAUGAUAUCAAUGGUGAAAAUGAAGGAUGUGAAGGUGGCUUUAUGGACACUGCCUUUCAGUUCAUCAAAAGUAACCAUGGCCUAACAUCAGAAGCCAACUACCCUUACCAGGGAUCGGAAGGAGCUUGCAGAAAGGAGGAAGCAAAUCCUGCAGCAACUAUAACCGGCUACGAAGAUGUACCGCCUAAUAACGAAAAGGCCUUGUUACAAGCAGUGGCCAACCAACUAGUUUCUAUUGCUAUAGAAGGAAGUGGAUGGUCUUUCCAGUUUUACAAGAGCGGGGUCUUCUUAUGGGAGUGUAACACUUACCUUGACCAUGCUGUCACGUUGGUUGGGUACAGAACCAACUCGGAUGGUACCAAGUACUGGUUCGCGAAGAAUUCGUGGGGCACUAACUGGGGUGAGAAAGGGUAUAUGAGGCUAGAGAGGGAUGUUGCUGCCAAGGAAGGCCUUUGUGGCGUUGCCAUGAAAGCUUCUUACCCACUUGCAUGAAAGAAGAAAAUAUUAUUGGAAUACUGUUAUAUUAAGCUGCAACCUGUCAAUACCAAUAUCAUGUUAUUUGUCUGAAGGUGUAAAACUAUUGUAAAAUUUGUGUUAUGGUAGCUACGCUUGUGAUAGCCCGAAAUAGGGCCUAAUUGGAAUAGUGGUUUCGUAACCACAAAUCCGAAGUGAAAUAGUUUUAUUUUAUAAAUUUUUAUUAGUUACUGAUUGAUUGAAAUAUUGUGUGAAAAUAUGGAUAAAAAAUUUUAAUGAUUUAGUGCCUAAUUGAAUUUUUAGGACUAAAUCGAGAAAAAUGCAAAGUGUGUCUAAUUAGUGAUUAAAUGACUUAAUUGAAUUAUUGCAUGAAAUUGGAAGUGUUUAUGUGGCAAUUAGACCAUAAAUUAGUGUUAUGGACACAAAAGGGUAUUUCUAGAAAAAUAUUUAAGUAAUGGGUCAAGGGCAUUUUUGUCCAAAUUGAAUAAAAGACAAAAUAAAGAUGAAAACAAGUGUUCAUCUUCUUAAAAAGUUGAAGCUUGCUGCCGAAAUUUUCAUGUUAUCAUAGCUAGGGUUCUUGGUUUUUCUAAACUCAAUUGUAAGUGAUUUAUUGCCCCGUUUUUAAUUAUUUUCGUAUUUCUAUGCUUAUUGAUGCUUGAAUUUCAUGUUUCUACUAUUUAAUUUAAAUGAAAUUAAAGUUUAAAAAUUGACCCAUUCAUGAUAUAAUUGUAAAUUGAUUAGUGAUGUUAGAUAAUGAAUGUUUGAAGUGUUAAUUACAAGUUUUACUAGAUGAAUUUCAAUGAAAAUGUUGAAAAAUGGCUAAAUUGUGAAAGAUGGUAAAGUGUGCAUAAAGUUGUGAUUUUGUGAAAUUGAAGGCUGUUAUGAGCAUGAAAUAUGAUUUAGUGAAGUUUGAAAUUUAAGAAUUUAGUGAAUUUUAUUUUUACGAGCUUAGGGACAAAAGUGAAAUUUUUGAAAAGUUUUGGGGAAAAUGUAAAUUUUCCAAAAUGUUGUGUAUGAAUUGUAUUUGAAUGAAAUGUUGAUAAAAUGUAUUAAAUUGUGUUAAUAUAGAUCAAGAAAGAAGAAAUAGUGCAAGUGAUCGGGGAAAAGAGAAAGUUAUCGACUAAAUUACAAAAAUAGUCGUUUUGCAUCUGAGGUAAGUUAUGUGUAAAUAAUAGUAAUAUAUUUUAUAAAUUGUGAAUUUUAUUUGAUAUGUGAAUCAAUAUUGAAUGUGGAAGGAAAAUUGUUCAUGAAUUAUUCAAGUGAUAAAGUGUUUAAAAUAAAGUGUUAAGUGUAAAUUCCCGAUUAAACUUAGGAAUAGAAGUGGAUACAAGUGACAUGUCACUAGAGAUCAGUGUUACAGUGUUACAGUGUUACAGUGAGUACCGGGUGCUAGGUGAUCUAGCAUGUGUUGCAGACACCUGACAGCUUGUGUGAGCAGGCCCGUGGACGUUUCCAGUGUUAUUGAUCGGUGGUAGCUUCGGCUACGUUUCAGUGGUAGCUUCUCUACAUAACAGUGGUACCUUCGACUACAUUUCAGUGGUAGGUUCGGCUACAUAACAGUGGUAGCUUCGGCUACAUAUCAGUGUUGCACUUAUGUGCUAAAUCUCUACCUAUCUGUGUAUAUUCCGAGUGUUCAACGGGAUUAAUAAUGAGUUAAAGUGAAUAUGAAAUGAAGUGUGUAUGCAGGUACAUUUGAAAAGAAUGAGCAUAGUGAUAAAGGUUAAGUGUGAAAAUGUAUAUGCAAGUGAAUUGGUAAGAUUGUGCAUGUAUAAGUGAUUGAAAUUGCUAAGAAAUGUUUUGAUUAUUUAUAUGUUAAAAGUGUUAAUUAUUAAAUGAGUAAUUAUUGUUUACAUGUAACUUACUAAGCUAUUAGUAGCUUACACCUUUCUUCUUUUCCUUUGUUUUAUAGUGAUUUGAACUUGAUCGAAUUGGGGAUCGUCGAAGCUCGUAUCACACUAUCAUAAUCAUCUCGGUAUUAUGUGCUUUUCAAAAUGUUUAAACUAUGGCAUGUAUAGAGUCUUAAUCAUUUUGAGCAUGUUCAAAUGAUAUGGCUGAGAUUAGCUAUUGAAAUAGGUAGUAAAGAUUAUGUUUUGGUAUUAUGUAUGUGUAAAUGGUAGCUAAUACAAAGAAGCAGUUUCUUUGACAGCAGCAGUGACGUGAAUGUGAAAAAUCACCAUAAAUAGUAGAAAUGGAAUUAGAGAGUGAAUUAUAUAUGGAAUUAAAGCUUAUCAAGUCUAUUUUUAUAUGAAAGAAACGGUGUAGGCCAAGGAAUUCUGUAUUUUGAGAUAUUUGAAUUUUAGUGAGAAUGGGUCAGAAUGGUUUUUGAAGUCCCCUGUUCUGACUUUUGAAAAUCAUUAUAAAUUGUAAAGAAAGAAUUAUAGGUCAUAAUUUAUAUUUCUAGAUUCCUUAGUGAGUCUAUUUUCAAAAGAAAUAAACGGUAACCUUAUAUGAAUUCUGUACAAAGAGAUAAUUGAUUUUUAGUGGCAAGAGGUCAGAUCUGUCGAGCUGUGAAACAGGGGAUACUUUAAUAAAUAAACUGUACUAAUUGGCUAAGUCAAAAAUUCUGAAAAUUUUAUAGUAAGUAGAAAUAUGAGUCUAGUUUCAGGAAAAAUUUACGGAUUUAAAUUUUGAGUUUCGUAACUUGAGUUAUAAUUAAAUUAGUGACAGUCGCGCAGGUGGACAGUUUUGUUGUAAACAGUGAAAUUUAAUUUUAAAAGCAAAUUUUUAUACCCCGAAUUGGUAAGUUAAAUUGGAUAACAUCUCGUACUCGAUUCCGGCGACGGUCUCAGGUAAAGGUGGUUACAAACUGUAAAAAAAAAAAACAGCAAUAAAGUGUUUGAUUUGAUGAUCUGCUACUGUUGAGAUUCCAUUUGAUUUUUUUGGUUUAAAAAAACCACUGUUUGCCUGUUGUCACCCUGUAAGUUACUGAAAGAUAUAGAAGCGACGUUUCUUUUCUUUCAUUUGAUGCGGGCGUAAAAAUUGUUAAAAGCUGCUCCACAUCUAAUAAUGAAUAUUACGUGUCCAAUCAAUAGAUUCUCUCAAGGAAUCUAUUUUGCAUUAAGGAGUAGCCGAAAAGUUCAUAACAUAGGAUGGUCAUUAUUAAAGUAAUCUCUGUCUUUCAAGGUACACCAUGAAGUAACAAAUGAGAAUUGAUCAUGCAGAUGUUGUUUUAUUAGUUAAAACUUAUUAGGGGGAAAAGAAAAAUGAGAUGGUCUGCUAGAAUGGUCCUUGCUGAUGCCAUUAAUCAAUCUAUAUAUGUGUAAUGAGCUCUUUCCCCUCCAGGAAAACAAUUGUGACCAUUUCUUCGAACUAAAUGCUGGUUAUAUAUAUAUGAGUAGAAAGAUCAAAGGAAAGUGAAAGCUUUUCUUUCUGUUUCAAGGCAUUUGGUAAUAAGUACAGAACAAUAAUCUUGAUGAAACUGUGCACAUAUACCCUUGUUUCAUAUAGGUUUGUAUGAAUAAGCUGAUACGAACAUAACUUUCUGUCUUUUUUUCCUGAGGAUAGCUAAUUGGACUUCUAGAAUACUUAAAAGAGGACUAUUCACUAUACAUGCUGCAUAGACAGCUUCAUAAUAUAUUAUGUGUUUAUCUUCAAGCAGUUGGGUAAGAGGCUUCCAUUGCGAUACCGCAAAGACCUUCUGCAGCAUCAAUGUCUCUCUGCAUUCUAAUGUAUCCAUCCUCACCCCAGCUAGUGCCCCAUGAAUUCUUCACCAACCAAUACUUGGUCCCGUCUUCAGCUUCUCCAUAGCCAACUGCUGUAACCCCAUGGUCAAGGAAGGUGGUGCAUUCGCCAGUGAAGACACCACUUUUGUAGUGUUGGAAGUCAGACCCACCAGCAUCAAUGGCAACUGAAACCGGCUGGUUGGCCACAGCUUUUAACAGUGCUGACUCGCUGUUUGAAGGUACGUCUUCAUAACCAGUGAUCUUGACAGCAUGGUUGGCUGAUUUUUUCUUGUUGCAGCUUCCAUCAACUCCUUCAUAGGGGUAAUUGGUUUCGGUAGUAAGUCCUUUAUUUAAAAUGAUAAAUUCAAAAGCAUCAUCCAUGAGACCACCAUUGCAGCCUUGGUCUUCGCCAUUGACAUCACAAUCAACUAACUCUUGCUCUGAUAGUGAGAUCAAUGUACCAGUUUUGAGCUUGUUAAUACCUUCCAUGGCGGCCACAGCUGAGAACGCCCAGCAGCAUCCUAUAUCAUCCAAAAGAAACAAUUAGCAUUAUGGAAUCAUAAUCAUUUAAAGUUGUUUCACAAAUUGUUGUUACUUACCACAUUGGCCUUGGUCCUUGAUGCCGGUCACAGCUCCUUUCUUUCUCCAAUCCAUUAUAGAUGGAACUGCACUAACAUUUUCAUACCUGAAAGAAGUUGUUUUCAAAGCUGCAACAGUGUUGGAAGAUCGCAUUUUGUACCCAUUUCUCAUGGCUUUAAACUCUUCAUUGGUCAAGUCCGUAAAUUCAUUAACACCUAGCUUGUACUUUUUGUUGGUAUCAGUAUUGUGGGAUUCGAUAUACUCCAUAUUUUCCUUGAAUAUCUGGAAACGUUUCUCCUUCUCUGCUGCAUCCUGAUAAAGUCUGCUAUAGCUAGACACCCAUUGUUCAAACCUGUCAGACAUAGAUACCUCAGGAACAGAACGGGACGAGGCCUGAGAAGCCCAAAUUCCCAAAACAAAGAUUAAGGCCAAACAUUGACUUAUCGAAGCCAUUGUUAGGGAGGAGUAAAUUUCAGGAAUGCUACAGUGAAAGAAUGUGAGCUGUGAGGGAUGCCAAUCCUAAGAUUGUAUGUAGUUUAUAUAGAGAGGAGUUCUCGAGCCACACUUCUCCCAUACUAGCAACAGACAAAAAAAAACCUCAAUCUACGUGCCCUGCAAAAUAUUCUGACGAGGACUCCAUGCUAAUUUCGUUACCCGAUAAGAUUCUAAUUCGUAUCUAACUUAAAUUCUUGGAUUUUAAAACUUCUGGCAAUAAAUUCAAUAAUAGAUUCCAGACAUCUUCAGAUUGCAUUUACAUGUACCGUUCAUCGUAGUGAAACUAAGAGUCACCCAAGAAUAUAUCAAGAAAUAAAUAUAGGAAUAUAUUCCUUUUAAACCUGUUUGUUUUUCUGCAGAGUUUUAACAUAAUUCAAUACUUCUUAUUUUGAUGGAAUUAUUAGUAGUUAUGUUCGUGACAAAAUUAGGAUCCGAAAUAUUCAAUUUUCAUUAAACAAUAUUCUAAUAUGAAACGGAAGAAGUGAUGGCUAAAUUGUGAUAAUAUAACAUCCCUACCUAGUCAUAAUCAAAGUGCCAUUUUUGGCUGUACACCUAGGAGUAGUGUUUUGUCCUGCUUCCUCUACGAUGGUGCCGAGGGGAAUACUAGUUUGUGCCUUGAAAGAAAAGCAUAUUUCAAGACAGAUGCAGUAGCGAAGCCCUUAGUUUAACUUUUACAACUAGUCGUUUAUAGGUUAUGAUUUGGCUUUAAUGAGGCUCCCUAUUUCUAUUCAUAUCCCGCAUAGGACGAGGUUCGUGUUCGCAUUAUCCAAAGGGAAGAUGGAUUAGUGUUCUUGUGAAGCCUGCUAAAAGAGGGUAGAAAAUUGAGUGUUUAAUCAAAGUUUAGUUUAAACAAUUCGUGCAAUUUGAGUUUCAACAUUAACAACUUCUUUUGCACAAAAACAAAUGAAGAGCUAGCUAAAAUAUAAAUUAUUCUCCAUAUCUAUCAAAAUUGAACAGUCAUAAGAUGUUUUUUUUUUAUGCUCUUGGAGUCUUAGUACCAUAAUUUAAGCAAAACAUUCUAGUUUAUAUUUAAUAACUUUUUCCAAAAAAAAAUAUUUUUUAUUUGAAUGGACGGUGAGAUUAACAUUAAAAUUAAAAAUAAUGAUGACAAUAGAAUUAAUUAAUAUAGAGUUGGGAUUGAAUACAAUAAUGAUGGAAUAUGUGUUUAAGUUUAAAUACAACUAUAGUAAUAAGUCGAGGAUAAAAAAUAUCAUUAAAUUAAUAUAUGUGUAGAUAUACUAAAAAUAAAAAAAAAUAAUAUUUCUACUAAUAUAACAUAAUUAAAAUUUACUAGAUUACAAUAAUAUGGAUAAAAUAAAAACAAAUAAAUAAAAAAUAAAAUGGAGGGGACAUAAGAAUAUAUAAUAUUUUUGUAUGUAGUUUAAUGAUAGUUGCCCUGUUAAAAAAACCUUAAGUUUUUACUCAAUAAAGUAUUUUUAUAAUAAAAUUAUUUAAUAAUUUAUUAUAUAAAAAAUUAAAAACCUAGAGAUUAAUGACAUCCUAGUUCAAAAACAGUAUCAAAUAGUUUUACUGGAGCAAAAAUUAUGAAAGGAGCAACUGAGGUUGCAGACUUGCGGCACAGUUCAUAUGCUUUUAGGCAUGGUUGCAAAUGCAUCCAUAUAUGUCAAAAGUUAAGGGCUUAUCUUGUUAUCAGUUAAAGUUUAAUGGUUUACUUCGAUGUACAAAGUGAAAAGUUUAAGAGUUUAUUUAGAUGUAACAAAAGUAUAAGGGCUUAUUUAAAUAAAAUAACAAUGUUUAAGGAUUUAUAUAAUAUAUUAGCCAUUUUUUAAAUGAAGGAAAUGAUAGAAUUGUGUUUGUUUCGCCUCGAAUUUAAAUAUAUAUUUAAUAUUUUACCUUAUGAAUCGAAAAUAAGAGAAAAUUAUAUUUGGUAUUUGAAUUUUUUAUAAUUUAAUUCCAUUUGAAUAAUGUAUUAGAUAUAAUAAUUUUAACAACACCUUUAUUAAUGUUAGCCUAAUUCUCUCUGUUUUUCCCUUUCAGUCAAUCAACGGAUACAUCUCAGCAUUUAAAUUUGGAUUGGGCUCCUCAAAAACACUCUGAAGUUGGGUUUGCAUAAAUCAAACAAGUAGAUAUUUGCACCCACCAAAUCCUCCAAUCCAACCCACCACCACCUCCUCCCUUUGUAAAUGCCUGGUUAAGACUUUAAAGCCUUCUAUAUAGCUUAUAUUUGCACCAUUACCUACCUGACCCCAUUCGUUCUAACAGGUAGAUGCUCUAGGAUAAACAAACAAUGCAUGAUUUGUUGUUUCUACAACCACACCCUUUUUAUUACAUUUUGAUGGAAAAAUAUUCCCCCCAUUCAGAGCAUGCCGCAUGAAGUCCUUUACUUUUGGAGGUAACCGCAAUUGUCACAAUUGUAACACCCCAAAAAUUUGAGUGUUGUUUGUUGAAUUUUAUCUAUAAUUAAAUUUUUGUAUUUGUGGUCAAGUAUCCUACUUGUGUGUUAGAGGGUAAGGGUUCAAACUUUAUUUUUGGAACUUUUGUUAUUUUGUUUACUUGACUUCUAUCAUUGAUCUUUUGACUUAAGUUAAACUUUGUGUCAAGAAUGAGCUUGUUGGUUCAAUGGUUAAGUUUUGUAUAUUUUUUAGUUGUAUUUGAGUCUCUGCGUAAACGAGAAGGGAACGUAAUUAUUUUUCUUUUGCUCUACAAAGGAAGUUAGUUAUUUUAAAUUAUUAAAGUUCUUUCCUCUUCCUUCUUUGAUUCUUUUUCUUUCUUUCUACGUUCUUCUUUUCUUUUUCUUUUGUUUUUUUUUUCGUUUUCCUUUUUCACUAUAAUUUUGUCUUUUACUCGUCUUUGGGACUUGCUAUGGGUUUAAUCAGGAAGUUGUGUUUUUCGUUGUUCAAUUGCAAGAUUUUUACUUUAAGUGUUGCUGUUGAUUCUUUCGUUUUCGCUAAAAUUUGUCUAUUCUCUUUUUGGUUGAAUAAUACUAUCAGUUGUAUCAAAUUCUCUGUUAAUUGUUUAAUUGGGCUUAUUUAGGCGAGAAUCUCGAGAGUAGCAUUCCUCCAACAUUGUAGUGCUGAUUAAACAUUGCUCGUUCGUCGGUAAGAGCAUAACCUUCAUUUCGGAGCUUUCGCGUUAAAGUUUUCAACAUAGUUCGAUUUGACUCUAAUCUAGAUUUUUGACUCGAUUAAUCUCUCUGAAUUGGACAAUUGGUUGUCAUUCCUAGGUUACAGGGUCAUAUCUAAUGCUUCUACAUCAAACCCAUACCAGGUGUGUAACGAAAACCUGAUUUUCUACAAAGUUUGAAUGCUAGAAAACAUGGGUCGACGCCACACGGUCGUGUGCCAGGCCGUAUGGUAGGUUCUGUGUGUCACACGGCCGUGUGUCAAGCCUUGUAACUCACUAUUUGUGAAUUAGGGUCAUACGGGCCAGGGACACAAACGUGUGUCUAGGCUAUGUAACUCACUGUUUGUAAAUUUGUGUCACACGGGCCAUAGACAUGGGUGUGUGUCCAGGAUGUGUGAGUGAUAUUUUAAGAUUGGAGUCACACGGGCGUGUGCUUAGCCUUGUAUUAGACCAUCUAACUCACUAUUUUGAGACACACAGCCGUGUGUUAGGUCGUGUGUGACAUUAAGAGGGCCACACAAGUGUGUGCCAAGCCGUGUGGACUACACGAGCCAAACACCCAAGCUGUGUGAAUCCACAUGGGCGUGUGGGCCAAAAUAUUGAAAUUUCCCUUAGGGUCGUAAGCAUCGUUCGAAUCGAACGUAGGCCUUUCGUAAGGUCCGUAUGAUCUGAAUUAGACCAUAUAACUUGAUAUCCAAUAUUUUGAGGCUGAAUAAUCGAUUAUCUGUACGUAUAAUUAAUGCGAUAACUGUUAAACGAUAAUAAUCUGUAUUAUCUAAUUAUGAAUUGUAUUUGGAUAACUGUAUGUACAUUCUUGAUAUUUGAUAUCUGUAAUAUGCAUUUGUAUUGGGUGGGAAUGGUGUAAAGAAAGAAGUGCCGAUAGUUUAAUGAUCUGUCAAAUUGAGUGGCUAAGUCACAAAUCUGUAUCUGAUUUUGGCGAUUUAUCAUGUACUGAUCUAACAGCUAGUCUGUAAUCACUCCGAAAUGUGUCACACCGACACUAAUUGGUGUGUAGGGCUAGAUGAGUACUUGAUACCCUAUCUGGUGUGUUAGAAUGGUCAGAGAUGGUGUGUAGUGGAUAGGGGUAGGAAACUGCAUCUGAUUCUAAUCUGUUCUGCAUCUUAUCUGAACUAUUACAAUAAUACUGAGUAUCAUCUGUUUAUGAUUCUGUAUCUAAAUUUGGGAAAUUACUUUUAUAUUUAUAUUGUUUUAUUGCCUUUACAUCUGUUACACACAUUGAGUUAUAAACUCAUUCUAUUUGUUACUGAAUUGCAGGUAACCCAUAGACUUAGGAGGCUCGAUGUGUCAGGAGCUCUGUCAUCUUUCUUUUCUAGAUAUUUUAUUGUUUGUUUAAAAUUGAACUAAUGUAUGUUUUAUUUCGGACUACAGUUUGUAAGCUCGGAUUUCCGCAUUGGUUUAAUUGGUUAAAUGGUUUCUGUAUGACGGAUUUUAAAAUACUUAAAAGGUUGGUUUUCCCCUUAAACGUUUUAAUGUAGCCUUCAAAACUUGGUCUUAACGUCUAGGCUGGGUAUAGGGUUUUACAACAGUAGCUUCCAAUCCAACUCCUUUUUGCCACAAUAUUUUCUGAUGCGAUAACACCUUUUGUCGUCUCACUUCGAAAGCAAUGCCGACGUCUCAACGGUAAAAGCAAAGGCCCCAAAAAACUAGGGGAAAAGAGACAACAAAAAAAUGGAAAUAAAUAGCAAGUGGUAAAGACAAAGGUGGUCAAUGGAAGAGAGAACAGGGGAAUUCCAUAUCUUCCAAGUAAAACCAAUAAAUUAAAGUUUUAUUUUGAUAUUUUUAUACAUUUUAAUUUUAAUGUGUAUAUUUUAUUAUAUACAUCAAUUUUAUAUCUAUACUAUUAUUUAAAUCCCUGGUUGAGUUGGUGUCACGAGUCAACCGGACACCAAUUCGGUUAGAAAAAUUAUGAAAAUAUCCUUCUGUAAUUAAAAUAAAUUAUAUUAUAUGAGGGUACUUUAGUCUUUUAUUUUAACAAAAAUCAAUAAAAACACAAGUGUGGUGGGAUUUGAACCAACACCAGUUAAAUUGGUAAAAUAUUAAAAUUACCACUCAACCAAAAUUUUAUUUUAUUAUAUUAUAUACAUUUUUUAAUAUGCACAAUUUAUUAUCUCUACCAAUUAUAUAUAUUAAUAAUGAAGUUAACUGAGUUAGUGUCAUAAGUCAAUUGGACACUAACUCACGAUUGAUGAUAACAUCAUGAUAAACAAUUGUAGUGCAUUUAGUAUUGUUAAUAUUGUAACACCCCUUACCCGUAUUCGACGCCGGAAUAGGGUACGAGGCAUUACCAGAACACAUACACUUGUAAAUGUAUUAAACCGAGACAUGAAACUUCACCCAAAUUAAAAAAUUUCAAAUUUUUAUCUUUGAGUCCCUAAAUAGGGCCUACGAGGCCCAAUACAUACUCAUUCAACCAAGUCAUGCAAGCUUGUACAUCCACAAAAUACAAAAUCAUAAACAUAUAACUUAACUAAUAUUAGCCAACCUUAAUGGCCUUAUACAAAAUGAACUAUCAAUGUGAUAGCCCGAAAUAGGGCCUAAUCGGAAUAGUGGUUUCGUAACCACAAAUCCGAAGUGAAAUAGUUUAAUUUUAUAAAUUUUUAUUAGUUACUGAUUGAUUGAAAUAUUGUGUGAAAAUAUGGAUAGGAAAUUUUAAUGCUUUAGUGCUUAAUUGAAUUUUUAGGACUAAAUUGAAAAAAAUGCAAAGUGUGUCUAAUUAGUGAUUAAAUGACUUAAUUGAAUUAUUGCAUGAAAUUGGAAGUGUUUAUGUGGCAAUUAGACCAUAAAUUAGUGUUAUGGACACAAAAGGGUAUUUCUAGAAAAAUAUCUAAGUAAUGGGUCAAGGGCAUUUUUGUCCAAAUUGAAUAAAAGACAAAAUAAAGAUGAAAACAAGUGUUCAUCUUCUUAAAAUCAGACGUUUGCUGCAAAAAAAAUUCAUGUCACCAUAGCUAGGGUUCUUGAACUUCCUAAGCUCAAUUGUAAGUGAUUUCUUGCCCCGUUUUUGAUUAUUUUCGUAUUUUUAUGCUUAUUGAAGCUUGAAUUUCAUGUUUCUACUAUUUAAUUUAAAUGAAAUUAAAGUUUGAAAAUUUACCCAUUCAUGAUAUAAUUGUAAAUUGAUUAGUGAUGUUAGAUAAUGAAUGUUUGAAGUGUUAAUUACAAGUUUUACUAGAUGAAUUUUGAUGAAAAUGUUGAAAAAGGGCUAAAUUGUGAAAGAUGGUAAAGUGUGCAUAAAGUUGUGAUUUUGUGAAAUUGAGGGCUGUUAUGAGCAUGAAAUAUGAUUUAGUGAAGUUUGAAAUUUAAAAAUUUAGUGAAUUUUAUUUUUACGAGCUUAGGGACAAAAGUGGAAUUUUUGAAAAGUUUCGGGGAAAAAUAUAAAUUUGCCAAAAUGUUGUGUAUGAAUUGUAUUUGAAUGAAAUGUUGAUAAAAUGUAUUAAAUUGUGUUAAUAUAGAUCAAGAAAGAAGAAAUAGUGGAAGUGAUCGGGGAAAAGAGAAAGUUAUCGACUAAAUUACAAAAAAAUAGUCGUUUUGCAUCCGAGGUAAGUUAUAUGUAAAUAAUAGUUAUAUUUGUAUAAAUUGUGAAUUAUAUUUGAUAUGUGAAUUAAUAUUGAAUGUGGAAGGAAAAUUGUUCAUGAAUUAUUCAAGUAAUAAAGUGUUAAGUGUAAAUUCCCGGUUGAACUUAGGAAUAGAAUUGGAUACAAGUGACAUGUCACUAGAGACCAGUGUUACAGUGUUACAGUGAGUCCCGGGUGCUGGGUGAUCUAGCAUGUGUUGCAGACACCUGACAGCUUGUGUGAGCAGGCCCGUGGACAUUUCCAGUGUUAUUGAUCAGUGGUAGCUUCGGCUACAUUUCAGUGGUAGCUUCGGCUACAUAUCAGUGGUAGCUUCGGCUACAUAUCAGUGUGGCACUUAUGUGCUAAAUCUCUACGUAUCCGUGUAUAUUCCAACUGUUCAACGGGAUUAAUAAUGGAUUAAAGUGAAUAUGAAAUGUUAAGUGUGAAAAUGUAUAUGCAAGUGAAUUGGUAAGAUUGUGCAUGUGUAAGUGAUUGAAAUUGCUAAGAAAUGUUUUGAUUAGUUAUAUGUUAAAAGUGUUAAUUAUUAAAUGAGUAAUUAUUGUUUACAUGUAACUUACUAAGCUAUUUAUAGCUUACACAUCUCUUUCUUUCCUUUGUUUUAUAGUGAUUUGAACUUGAUCGAAUAGUGGACCGUCGGAGCUCGUAUCACACUAUCAUAGCCAUCUCGGUAUUAUGUGCUUUUCAAAAUGUUUGAACUAUGGCAUGUAUAGAGUCUUAAUCAUCUUGAGCAUGUUCAAAUGAUAUGGCUAAGAUUAGCUAUUGAAAUGGUUAGUAAAGAUUAUGUUUUGGUAUUAUGUAUGUGUAAAUGGUAACUAAUUCAAAGAAGCAGUUUCUUUGACAGCAGCAGUGACGUGAAUGUAAAAAUUCACCAUAAAUAGUAGAAAUGGAAUUAGAGAGUGAAUUAUAUAUGGAAUUAAAUAUUAUCAAGUCUAUUUUUAUAUGAAAGAAACGAUGUAGGAAAAGGAAUUCUGUAUUUUGAGAUAUUUGAAUUUUAGUGAGACAGGGUCAGAAUGGUUUUUGAAGUCCCCUGUUCUGACUUUAGAAAAUCAUUAUAAAUUGUACAGAAAGAAUUAUGGGUCAUAAUUUAUAUGUGUAGAUUUCUUAGUGAGUCUAUUUUCAAAAGAAGAAAACGAUAACCUUAUAUGUAUUCUGUACAAAGAGAUAAUUGAUUUUUAGUGCCGAGAGGUCAGAUCUGUCGAGCUGUGAAACAGGGGAUACUUUAAUGAAUAAACUGUACUAAUUGGCCAAGUAAAAAAUUCUGAAAAUUUUAUGGUAAGUAGUAAUAUGAGUCUAGUUUCAGGGAAAAUUUACGGAUUUAAAUUUUGAGUUCUGUAACUCGAGUUAUAAUUAAAUUAGUGAAAGUCACGCAGGUAGACAGUUUUGUUGUGAACAGUGAAUUUAAUUUUAAAAGCAAUUUUUUUUAUGCUCCGAAUUGGUAAGUUAAAUUGGAUAACAUCUCGUACUAGAUUCCGGUGACGGUCUCGGGUAAGGGGUGUUACAUUUAGUGGUAUCAGAGCUACGGUUUAGUCGAUUCUCGGACUAACGUAGCGAGUGUAAUAGACUAUCUAUACAUGCCAUAAUUGAAUAAUGAUGGUGUGACGACUCCUGACAUCUUAAAAUGUUUUUUUUUAUAGUAAUGGAUUCUAACCGAGAUACAGCUGAUGAUGCUCAAAGUAAUGUGCCUGUUGAAAGUCGAUUUGAGACUCAGGGUCAAGGAGAUGAGGCUCGAGAAGCUUUUCUCCAAAUGAUGAACAAUUGGUACACUGAGUUUGUUAGAACUAAUCCUAAUGCUCAACCUCCUCCGCCCCCUCCUAUUCCUCAAGCUGUUCCCAUAGCUCCUCAACAAACUGAAGUGUUAAGAUUGUCAAAGCCUCCAGUGGACAAAAUUCGAAAGUAUGGAGCCGAAGAGUUCCGAGCUAAUGUAAAUGAUGAUCCUGAAAGAGCAGAGUUCUGGCUUGAUAAUACCAUCAGAGUGUUGGAUGAAUUAUCUUGUACUCCAGAAGAGAGUCUCAAAUGUGCUAUCUCAUUGUUGAGGGAUUCAGCUUAUAAUUGGUGGAAAACUUUAGUGUCAGUGGUGCCUAAAGAGAAAGUUACAUGGGAUUUCUUUCAAGAAGAAUUCCGAAAGAAGUAUGUGAGUCAGUGUUUCAUUGAUCAAAAGAGAAAAGAGUUUCUUGAAUUGAAACAAGGGCGCAUGACGGUAGCCGAAUAUGAACGAGAAUUUGUCAAAUUAAGCAAGUAUGCCCAAGAGUGUGUAUCUAAUGAAGCUACAUUGUGCAAAAGGUUUGAAGAUGGAUUAAACGAGGAUAUCCGAUUGCUAGUGGGAAUUCUUGAAAUUAAAGAGCUAGUGGUACUAGUUGAAAGAGCUAUCAAGGCUGAAGAAUUGAGCAAAGAGAAAAGAAAGGUGGAAAGUGAAGUUAGAGAUGCAAGAAAAAGAUCAAUGGGCAAGCCAUUUCAGUCUCAAGCGAAGAAGUUUAAAGAAAUGAAUAGUCGAUCGAAUGUUUCUAGUGUAAAUUUUCAAAGAGAUCGAGGAAGACAAUAUUCAAGUUCUAAAGCUCAGGCGACUUCUAUGGCAAGUGUAGGUAGUGUUAAACCUACUAGACCGGAAUGUCAACAUUGUGGAAAACGACAUUUCGGGGAAUGUUAUCUAAUCAGUCGAGCAUGUUUUAAAUGUGGAUCUCAAGAUCAUUUUGUGAAAGAUUGUCCAGAAAGAGAAGAGAUAGAAAAAUUUCAAAAUGUGAGAUCGAGCAGUGUGACUACUAGAGGAAGACCAUCGAGAAAUGUGGGGACUGGAACUAGUGGUAGAGGCGUAACAAAAGACACGACUGUAAGAUCUGAAGUGGGAGCUCCAGCAAGAGCUUAUGCCAUCCGAGCUAGAGAGGAAACAUCUUCCCCCGAUGUGAUCACUGGUAUAUUUUCUCUUUACGACACUAAUGUUCUUGCAUUGAUUGAUCCUGGUUCUACUCACUCGUAUGUAUGUAGGAAUUUAGUGUCUGAUAAAAAUUUGUGUGUUGAAUUGACUGAGUAUGUGAUUAAAGUGUCGAAUCCUUUAGGCAAGCAUGUGAUAGUUGAUAAAAUAUGCAAAAAUUGUCCUUUGAUGAUACAAGGUCAGUGUUUCCCUGCCAACUUGAUGUUGUUGCCAUUUGAUGAAUUUGAUGUUAUUUUGGGAAUGGAUUGGUUGACAUUACAUAAGGCCAAGAUAGAUUGCAGUCAGAAAAUUCUUGAGUUGAAGUGUAGUAGUGGUACAGUUCUUCGGGUUGAAACAUAUAAGUCAAAUGUGAUGCCAAUUGUGAUUUCUGCCAUGUCUGCUCAGAAAUGUUUGAAAAAUGGUUGUGAAGCAUAUCUUGCUUAUGUGUUGAAUACAAAAGUGUCUGAAACAAAGAUCGAAUCAGUGCCAGUGGUAUGUGAAUAUUUAGAUGUGUUCCCAGAAGAGUUGCCAGGUUUGCCUCCGAUUAGAGAAGUAGAGUUUGGUAUUGAAGUAAUGCCAGGUACUGCUCCAAUAUCGAUUGCUCCUUACAGAAUGGCACCAACUGAAUUAAAAGAAUUAAAAGUGCAAUUGCAAGAGUUGACGGAUAAAGGAUUCGUCAGACCAAGUUAUUCUCCGUGGGGUGCUCCCGUGCUAUUUGUGAAGAAAAAGGAUGGGACAUUGAGAUUGUGUAUUGAUUAUCGUCAACUUAAUAAAGUGACAGUAAAGAAUAAAUAUCCAUUGCCCCGAAUAGAUGACUUGUUUGAUCAGUUAAAGGAUGCCACAGUGUUUUCCAAAAUUGAUUUGAGAUCCGGAUAUUACCAAUUGAGGGUUAAAGAGUCAGAUGUGCCAAAGACUGCUUUCAGAACCCGGUAUGGUCACUAUGAGUUUCUUGUAAUGCCUUUUGGUCUGACUAAUGCUCCAGCUAUUUUUAUGGAUUUGAUGAAUCGAAUUUUCCGGCCCUAUUUGGAUAAAUUUGUUGUGGUGUUUAUAGAUGAUAUUCUUAUUUAUUCCCGAAGUGAAGUCGAGCAUGCUGAACAUUUAAGAAUUGUGCUACAAACGCUGCGAGAAAAGAAAUUGUUUGCUAAAUUUAGCAAAAGUGAAUUUUGGCUUAGUGAAGUUGGAUUUUUGGGACAUGUUGUCUCGGGAGAUGGCAUUCGAGUGGAUCCGAAUAAGAUAUCGGCAAUAGUUGAGUGGAAGCCUCCAAGAAAUGUAUCUGAAGUUAGGAGUUUUCUGGGCUUAGCCGGAUAUUAUCGUCGAUUUGUAGAAGGUUUUUCGAUGAUAGCUUCACCGAUGACAAAAUUGUUGCAAAAAGAUGUUAAGUUCGAAUGGACCGAGGAGUGUCAACAAAGUUUUGAGAAAUUAAAGAAGUGUUUAACUGAGGCACCAGUGUUAGUGCAACCCGAGUCAGGAAAGGAAUUUGUUGUUUAUAGUGACGCGUCAUUAAAUGGGCUUGGAUGUGUAUUGAUGCAAGAAGGAAAAGUGAUAACGUAUGCUUCUCGACAAUUGAAACCGCAUGAACGAAAUUAUCCUACCCAUGAUUUAGAGUUGGCUGCUAUUGUCUUUGCUUUGAAGAUUUGGCGUCAUUAUUUAUAUGGUGAGAAAUGUCAUGUUUUUACAGAUCAUAAAAGUUUGAAAUAUGUUAUGACACAAAAAGAUCUGAAUUUACGGCAAAGAAGAUGGUUGGAAUUGUUGAAAGAUUAUGAACUUGUGAUAGAUUAUCAUCCGGGAAAAGCUAAUAUAGUUGCUGAUGCUUUGAGCAGAAAGUCUCUCUUUGCUUUGAGAGCUUUGAAUACGAGAUUAACAUUGACUGAAGAUGGAUCAUUGUUUGCAGAGUUAAAAGCUAGACCAUUGUUUCUUCAAGAAAUUUGUGAGGCUCAGAAAGUGGAUAAUGAAUUGCAAAGAAGAAAGACUCAGUGUGCAGUGGACAAUAAUUCUGAUUUUCAGAUUGAUUCAGAUGGAUGUUUAAUGUUUCGUGAUAGAAUAUGUGUUCCGAAAAAUGUUGAUUUAAUUCAGAAAAUUUUGCAGGAAGCACAUGAUAGUCGGUUGGCAGUUCACCCCGGUAGUGUAAAAAUGUACAAUGAUUUAAAGAAAUUAUAUUGGUGGCCGGGUAUGAAACGGGAUAUCUCUGAGUAUGUGACAAAGUGUUUUGUGUGCCAACAAGUAAAAGCUGAACACCAAGUACCUUCAGGGUUACUUCAACCCAUUAUGGUGCCCGAGUGGAAGUGGGAUAGAAUUACUAUGGAUUUUGUUUCCGGAUUGCCAUUGUCACCGAAAAAGAAAGACUCAAUUUGGGUAAUAGUUGAUCGAUUGACUAAGUCAGCUCAUUUCAUUCCUGUGCGAAUGAGUUUUUCACUUGACAAGUUAGCUGAAUUGUAUAUUGCUGAGAUAGUUCGAUUACAUGGUGUGCCUGCGUCUAUUAUAUCUGAUAGAGAUCCACGGUUUACUUCAAGGUUUUGGAAGAAAUUACAAGAGGCAUUGGGUACUAAAUUGAAUUUUAGUACAGCAUUUCACCCCCAAACCGAUGGACAGUCUGAAAGAGUAAUUCAAGUGCUCGAAGAUAUGUUGAGAUGUUGUGUAUUGGAAUUUGAAGGUAAUUGGGAAAGAUAUCUACCUUUGGUGGAGUUUGCAUAUAAUAAUAGUUAUCAAUCCAGCAUAAAAAUGGCACCUUAUGAAGCGUUGUAUGGACGAAAGUGUCGGACUCCAUUAUAUUGGACUGAACUUAAUGAAAAUCAGUUACAUGGAGUCGAUUUGGUAAAAGAAACUGAAGAAAAAGUGAAGAUAAUCCGUGAUUGUUUGAAAGCUGCAUCGGAUCGACAGAAGUCGUAUGCGGAUUUGAAAAGAAAAGAGAUUGAGUUUCAAGUGGGUGAUAAAGUAUUUCUGAAAGUGUCUCCAUGGAAGAAAAUUCUGAGAUUUGGCCGUAAAGGUAAAUUAAGUCCAAGAUUUAUUGGUCCGUAUGAAGUGAUAGAAAGAAUUGGUCCAGUGGCUUAUCGAUUGUCUUUACCCCCGGAAUUGGAAAGAAUUCAUAAUGUGUUUCAUGUUUCUAUGUUGAGGCGAUAUCGAUCGGACCCAUCACAUGUGAUUUCACCGACUGAAGUGGAAAUUCGAUCGGAUAUGACAUACGAAGAAGAACCGAUUCGAAUCUUGGCACGAGAAGUGAAACAGUUGAGAAACAAAGAAAUUGCUUUAGUGAAAGUGUUAUGGCAACGACAUGGGAUGGAAGAGGCAACAUGGGAAACCGAGGAGGCUAUGAGGAAACAGUAUCCCAACUUAUUCACUGGUAAGAUUUUCGGGGACGAAAAUCCCUAAGGGGGGAGAAUUGUGAUAGCCCGAAAUAGGGCCUAAUCGGAAUAGUGGUUUCGUAACCACAAAUCCGAAGUGAAAUAGUUUAAUUUUAUAAAUUUUUAUUAGUUACUGAUUGAUUGAAAUAUUGUGUGAAAAUAUGGAUAGGAAAUUUUAAUGCUUUAGUGCUUAAUUGAAUUUUUAGGACUAAAUUGAAAAAAAUGCAAAGUGUGUCUAAUUAGUGAUUAAAUGACUUAAUUGAAUUAUUGCAUGAAAUUGGAAGUGUUUAUGUGGCAAUUAGACCAUAAAUUAGUGUUAUGGACACAAAAGGGUAUUUCUAGAAAAAUAUCUAAGUAAUGGGUCAAGGGCAUUUUUGUCCAAAUUGAAUAAAAGACAAAAUAAAGAUGAAAACAAGUGUUCAUCUUCUUAAAAUCAGACGUUUGCUGCAAAAAAAAUUCAUGUCACCAUAGCUAGGGUUCUUGAACUUCCUAAGCUCAAUUGUAAGUGAUUUCUUGCCCCGUUUUUGAUUAUUUUCGUAUUUUUAUGCUUAUUGAAGCUUGAAUUUCAUGUUUCUACUAUUUAAUUUAAAUGAAAUUAAAGUUUGAAAAUUUACCCAUUCAUGAUAUAAUUGUAAAUUGAUUAGUGAUGUUAGAUAAUGAAUGUUUGAAGUGUUAAUUACAAGUUUUACUAGAUGAAUUUUGAUGAAAAUGUUGAAAAAGGGCUAAAUUGUGAAAGAUGGUAAAGUGUGCAUAAAGUUGUGAUUUUGUGAAAUUGAGGGCUGUUAUGAGCAUGAAAUAUGAUUUAGUGAAGUUUGAAAUUUAAAAAUUUAGUGAAUUUUAUUUUUACGAGCUUAGGGACAAAAGUGGAAUUUUUGAAAAGUUUCGGGGAAAAAUAUAAAUUUGCCAAAAUGUUGUGUAUGAAUUGUAUUUGAAUGAAAUGUUGAUAAAAUGUAUUAAAUUGUGUUAAUAUAGAUCAAGAAAGAAGAAAUAGUGGAAGUGAUCGGGGAAAAGAGAAAGUUAUCGACUAAAUUACAAAAAAAUAGUCGUUUUGCAUCCGAGGUAAGUUAUAUGUAAAUAAUAGUUAUAUUUGUAUAAAUUGUGAAUUAUAUUUGAUAUGUGAAUUAAUAUUGAAUGUGGAAGGAAAAUUGUUCAUGAAUUAUUCAAGUAAUAAAGUGUUAAGUGUAAAUUCCCGGUUGAACUUAGGAAUAGAAUUGGAUACAAGUGACAUGUCACUAGAGACCAGUGUUACAGUGUUACAGUGAGUCCCGGGUGCUGGGUGAUCUAGCAUGUGUUGCAGACACCUGACAGCUUGUGUGAGCAGGCCCGUGGACAUUUCCAGUGUUAUUGAUCAGUGGUAGCUUCGGCUACAUUUCAGUGGUAGCUUCGGCUACAUAUCAGUGGUAGCUUCGGCUACAUAUCAGUGUGGCACUUAUGUGCUAAAUCUCUACGUAUCCGUGUAUAUUCCAACUGUUCAACGGGAUUAAUAAUGGAUUAAAGUGAAUAUGAAAUGUUAAGUGUGAAAAUGUAUAUGCAAGUGAAUUGGUAAGAUUGUGCAUGUGUAAGUGAUUGAAAUUGCUAAGAAAUGUUUUGAUUAGUUAUAUGUUAAAAGUGUUAAUUAUUAAAUGAGUAAUUAUUGUUUACAUGUAACUUACUAAGCUAUUUAUAGCUUACACAUCUCUUUCUUUCCUUUGUUUUAUAGUGAUUUGAACUUGAUCGAAUAGUGGACCGUCGGAGCUCGUAUCACACUAUCAUAGCCAUCUCGGUAUUAUGUGCUUUUCAAAAUGUUUGAACUAUGGCAUGUAUAGAGUCUUAAUCAUCUUGAGCAUGUUCAAAUGAUAUGGCUAAGAUUAGCUAUUGAAAUGGUUAGUAAAGAUUAUGUUUUGGUAUUAUGUAUGUGUAAAUGGUAACUAAUUCAAAGAAGCAGUUUCUUUGACAGCAGCAGUGACGUGAAUGUAAAAAUUCACCAUAAAUAGUAGAAAUGGAAUUAGAGAGUGAAUUAUAUAUGGAAUUAAAUAUUAUCAAGUCUAUUUUUAUAUGAAAGAAACGAUGUAGGAAAAGGAAUUCUGUAUUUUGAGAUAUUUGAAUUUUAGUGAGACAGGGUCAGAAUGGUUUUUGAAGUCCCCUGUUCUGACUUUAGAAAAUCAUUAUAAAUUGUACAGAAAGAAUUAUGGGUCAUAAUUUAUAUGUGUAGAUUUCUUAGUGAGUCUAUUUUCAAAAGAAGAAAACGAUAACCUUAUAUGUAUUCUGUACAAAGAGAUAAUUGAUUUUUAGUGCCGAGAGGUCAGAUCUGUCGAGCUGUGAAACAGGGGAUACUUUAAUGAAUAAACUGUACUAAUUGGCCAAGUAAAAAAUUCUGAAAAUUUUAUGGUAAGUAGUAAUAUGAGUCUAGUUUCAGGGAAAAUUUACGGAUUUAAAUUUUGAGUUCUGUAACUCGAGUUAUAAUUAAAUUAGUGAAAGUCACGCAGGUAGACAGUUUUGUUGUGAACAGUGAAUUUAAUUUUAAAAGCAAUUUUUUUUAUGCUCCGAAUUGGUAAGUUAAAUUGGAUAACAUCUCGUACUAGAUUCCGGUGACGGUCUCGGGUAAGGGGUGUUACAAUCAAAUAUUAUAGGCCAACUCAUAAUAACAUAUACACAUAUAAUCAAAUCCCUAUACAUGCCAUAGACUUAAAAAUACUUAAAGAUCGUUGAUACAAUACCAGUCAAUAACUUGUUAGUGUGAUAGAAUCUCCAACGACCUCCAACUCGAGCUAGCAUCUAUGACACUAUAGGAAAAAAGAAAGGAAGGGGGUAAGCAUUAUAGCUUAGUAAAUAGGUACGUAAAUAAUAAGUGAUUUAUUAACAGGCUUUUGUUAAUCUUCACAAUAUGUUCUCAAGAUAAUACAAUCAUAAUUGCACAUAGUUCCACACUAUUUAUUCAUGUUCAUCUCAAGCUAUCUACUCAAGUCAUAGUCACUCAAUUAUUUAUAUCUUGAGCUAUGAAACUCAAAAUUAAGAUCCGCUAAUUUUACCUUAAACUAGACUCACAUAUAUUCUUACCAUAAAAUUUUCAGAAUUUUUGGUUUAGCCAAUAAGUACAUUUUAUUCUUUAAAGUCAUCCCUAUUCUGUUGUCUGUCAGUUUCAACCCUUCUUCACUAAAAAUGAAUUAUCUCCUCAUACAUGAUUCGAAUGAUGUUCUCGUUUGUUUCUUUUCAAAAUAGGAUUUUAAACAUAUAAAUUCUAACCCAUAAUUAUUUUUGUACAAUUUUUAAUGAUUUUCCCUAGUCAAAACAGGGGAUUUCGAAAUCAUUCUGACCCUGUCUCACUAAAAUUCAAAUAUCUCAUAAUAUGAAUUUCUUUUGCUUACACCGUUUCUUUCAUAUGAAAAUAGACUCAAUAAAAUUUUAUUUCAUAUCUUAUUCAACUUCUAAUUCAAUUUCCACCAUUUGUUUUGAUUUUUCAAAUUCACACAACCACUGUUGUCCAAAACUAUUUUAUUUCUAAAUUUCACUCUUUCAUGUUUUCUUUAUAGUAACUUUCAUUGUAACACUUACUCCGUAUCAAUCUUACCAAAGUUCGAUCAUAUAUCGAGUACAUUGCUCAUAAGUUUACACACAUAUACCUGCACUUAUUCAUCACAUGUCAUAUUCUUUUACACUUAGUCAUUUCCCGUUGAACACAUCACAAUAAUAACGGAUAUCCGGUGGUCUGCACAUAGUACCACUUUUGUAGUCAAAGCUACCUUAUUCACAAAGUGGCCCUUACAUAGUACCACACUUGUGACCAAAGCUAUCUCUUCUCAAAGUGGCCUUCACAUAGUACUACGCUUGAGUCACUAGUGACAUGUCACUUGUAUCUUAUUCUAUUCCUAAUGUUCAACCGAUAAAUUUCUCACUUUUCAAUACUUGUCUAUUUCAUUCAAUAUACAGCCACAUUUCAUAAAACAUAAUAAAAUAUGAUAACGUAAGUAAAAACGAUGCAUUAUUUACAUGCAAACUUACCUCGAUAGCACAAUCGAUGAAAAGGACUUAUUUGUCAUAUUCUUUGUUUUUCCCCCGUUCUAAAUUCGAAUCUCGUUUUUCCUUGAUUAUUGAGCUUGGAAGCUUGAAAACCCUAACCAUGGCUUCCCCUUUGCUACAUUCGGCCAAGCAGGAAGAUGGACAAGGGUUUUUAGCUUUUAUUUUGUCUUUUAGUCCAUUUAAUUACCAAUGUACCAAAAUGCCCUUUUUACUCUUCUUUAAAAUUUUACCCUUUCAUGUCCAUUUUUGUCCAUUAGGACGUAGAAUGGUCUAAUUACUAUAUAAGGACCUCUAAUUUAAAAACCCAUUCCAAUCAAGUACCUUUAUGAACUAGUGUAACACCUCUAACCCAUAUCCGUCGUCGGAUUGGGAUUACGAUGCAUUAUCAAAUAAGAUACAACUUUCAAAUAAUUCCGAAUGCAUAUAUGUCAUAUUUAUAACACCCCUUACCCGAGACCGUCGCCGGAAUCGAGUACGAGAUGUUAUCCAAUUUAACUUACCAAUUCGGAGUAUAAAAAUUUGCUUUUAAAAUUAAAUUCACUGUUUACAACAAAACUGUCCACCUGCGCGACUGUCACUAAUUUAAUUAUAACUUAAGUUAAGAAACCCAAAAUUUAAAUCCGUAAAUUUUCCCUGAAACUAGACUCAUAUUCCUACUUACCAUAAAAUUUUCAGAAUUUUUUACUUACCAAAUUAGUACAGUUUAUUCAUUAAAGUAUCCCUUGUUUCAUAGCUCGACAGGUCUGACCUCUUGGCACUAAAAAUAAAUUAUCUCAUUGCACAGAAUUCAUAUAAGGUUAUCGUUUGUUUCUUUUGAAAAUAAACUCACUAAGAAAUCUAUACAUAUAAAUUAUGACCCAUAAUUCUUUCUGUAAAAUUUAUAAUUAUUUUCCAAAUUCAGAACAGGGGACUUCAAAAACCAUUCUGACCCUGUCUCACUAAAAUUCAAAUAUCUCAAAAUACAGAAUUCCUUUGCCUACAGUGUUUCUUUCAUAUAAAAAUAGACUUGAUAAGCUUUAAUUUCAUUUAUAAUUCACUCUCUAAUUCCAUUUUUACUAUUUAUGGUGAUUUUUCACAUUCACGUCACUGCUGCUGUUAAAGAAACUGCUUCUUUGAAUUAGUUACCAUUUAACAUUCAUAACACCCAAAACAUAGUUUUUACUAACUAUUUCAAUAGCUAAUCUUAGCCAUAUCAUUUGAACAUGCUCAAAAUGAUUAAGACUCUAUACUUGCCAUAGUUUAAACAUUUUGAAAAGCACAUAAUACCGAGAUAAUUAUGAUAGUGUGAUACGAGCUCCGACGAUCCCCAAUUCGAUCAAGUUCAAAUCACUAUAAAACAAAGAAAAGAAAAAAAGGUGUAAGCUAUAAAUAGCUUAGUAAGUUACAUGUAAACAAUAAUUACUCAUUUAAUAAUUAACACUUUUAACAUAUAACUAAUCAAAACAUUUCUUAGCAAUUUCAAUCACUUACACAUGCACAAUCUUACCAAUUCACUUGCAUAUACAUUUUUCACACUUAACAUUUAUCACAUAUGCUCAAUUCUUUCAAUUGUACCUGCAUACACACUUCAUUUCAUAUUCACUUUAACCCAUCAUUAAUCCUGUUGAACACUCGGAAUAUACACAGAUACGUAGAGAUUUAGCACAUAAGUGCAACACUGAUAUGUAGCCGAAGCUACCACUGAAAUGUAGCCGAAGCUACCACUGAUCAAUAACACUGGAAAUGUCCAUGGGCUUGCUCACACAAGCUGUCAGGUGUCUGCAACACAUGCUAGAUCACCCAGCACCCGGGACUCACUGUAACACUGAUCUCUAGUGACAUGUUAGUGACAUGUCACUUGUAUCCACUUCUAUUCCUAAGUUCAACCGGGAAUUUACACUUAACACUUUAUUUUAAACACUUUAUCACUUGAAUAAUUCACGAACAAUUUUCCUUCCACAUUCAAUAUUGAUUCACAUUUCAAAUAAAAUUCACAAUUUAUAAAAUAUAUUACUAUUAUUUACACAUAACUUACCUCGGAUGCAAAACGACUAUUUUUGUAAUUUAGUCGAUAACUUUCUCUUUUCCCCGAUCACUUGCACUAUUUCUUCUUUCUUGAUCUAUAUUAACACAAUUUAAUACAUUUUAUCAACAUUUCAUUCAAAUACAAUUCAUACACAAUAUUUUGGAAAAUUUACAUUUUUCCCCAAAACUUUUCAAAAAUUCCACUUUUGUCCCUAAGCUCGUAAAAAUAAAAUUCACUAAAUUCUUAAAUUUCAAACUUCACUAAAUCAUAUUUCAUGCUCAUAACAGCCUUCAAUUUCACAAAAUCACAACUUUAUGCACACUUUACCAUCUUUCACAAUUUAGCCCUUUUUCAACAUUUUCAUUGAAAUUCAUCUAGUAAAACUUGUAAUUAACACUUCAAACAUUCAUUAUCUAACAUCACUAAUCAAUUUACAAUUAUAUCAUGAAUGGGUCAAUUUUUAAACUUUAAUUUCAUUUAAAUUAAAUAGUAGAAACAUGAAAUUCAAGCAUCAAUAAGCAUAGAAAUACGAAAAUAAUUAAAAACGGGGCAAUAAAUCACUUACAAUUGAGUUUAGAAAAACCAAGAACCCUAGCUAUGAUAACAUGAAAAUUUCGGCAGCAAGCUUCAACUUUUUAAGAAGAUGAACACUUGUUUUCAUCUUUAUUUUGUCUUUUAUUCAAUUUGGACAAAAAUGCCCUUGACCCAUUACUUAAAUAUUUUUCUAAAAAUACCCUUUUGUGUCCAUAACACUAAUUUAUGGUCUAAUUGCCACAUAAACAUUUCCAAUUUCAUGCAAUAAUUCAAUUAAGUCAUUUAAUCACUAAUUAGACACACUUUGCAUUUUUCUCGAUUUAGUCCUAAAAAUUCAAUUAGGCACUAAAUCAUUAAAAUUUUCUAUCCAUAUUUUCACAUGAUAUUUCUAUCAAUCAGUAACAAAUAAAAAUUUACAAAAUAAAACUAUUUCACUUCGGAUUUGUGGUUAUGAAACCACUAUUCCGAUUAGGCCCUAUUUCGGGCUAUCACAAUAUUUGCAUAAAUAAAACUAAUGGCUUAUUAAAAUUUAACAUACAUUAUUAUUCAUAAAAAAAACAUACAUUUCACUUGCAUAUAAUCAUAAUUAUAUUUAAACAAACAUGUCACAAAGCCAUACAAAGAAAAUGUACAUUAAAAAUAUUAAGCAAGAAUUAUGUAUUAUCUCAUCAAUUCAAUAAAAAUCCCUGAGUAAUUAAAAUCCUUAUCCACAGUUAUUCACAUCAAUUUAUACCCAUACCUUGCCAGUUACCAUGUACUCAAUUCGACUAACCUAUUUAAGUAUAUAAAGUUAGGUCUAAAACAUGCAUCUUCCAAUUAAUUAACAUUACCUAAAUUUAUCAAGUACAUUACUUACUAACCUUAAGCUCAUUUAAAAGACAAAUAUAUGUCAUUAUAUAAGACCAAAACAGGCUUAUUUACCUAUUUCAAGCUUGCACAUGAACUCCUAAUGAGCCAUUUCCAAAUAACCAUAUUUCAAUAUCAUUACCAAGCUAAGUAAUACAUGUUCAGUCAUUAUAACACAUUACCCAUAACAUAUUUAUACUUUAUUGACAUUCAUCAAUUCACAUGCUUAUCAAUAUAAAUAUGAGCACCAAAACCGAAUCAUAUAAUCACUUAUAUUUUCAAAUCAAACAUAUUUUAAAUGCACCACAUGAAUACACAAUAUUUCUAAAUAUCUAAUUAUUACAUAGCAUAAUAAUUAAAAUUCAACUAACAUCCAUAUUAAUCUUAUUGCCGAAACUCAUAAUUAAAUAUCACCUUAAUAUUCAACUCAUGUAUCAAGAUUUUAAUACUUAGCUUAAACCAAAAAUGUCAUAUACGUGUAACUUCAUUCGAUUGCAAGCUCAAUUCAUGCUCCAAUAUAAUCAAAUUCAAACAUAAAAAUUAGACACAUCAAACAUCCAUUCAAAAUCACAUAAACUCAACUUAAACAAAAUGAUCAUGGACAACUCAUUUUUAAACCAAACCAAACCUGUAUAACCAAGAUACACCCAAAUAUAUUAUCAAUACAACCCGAAUCAAAUUAACUAUAACCAAGAUACACCCAAAUAUAUUAUUAAUACAACCCGAAUCAAAUUAACUUACACUUCCAAAAUUAUAAUCAUUCAACUCAAUUAAUUACCAACUCCAUACAUUCCACACAUAUUAUAUAUAUAUCAACUCAUUCACCACAUUAUCAACAAAACAUAGCUACCGUAUACUACAUAUAAAUAAGCCACAACCGAAAUUAUAAAAUCAAUCACUUGAUCAAGAACCCAUAAAACAAAAACCGAAACAAAUACUAAUGAUCAAGGACAAGCCAUUUUUCGCAUGGCUAUAUAUAUAUACAAGUCCCAAAAUCAAUUAUUUCAUCUAGACUAUAUAUGCCAUAAGCUCAAAAUUCAACUUAGUAAAAUACAGAAGAAAACAGUUGAUAGUGUGAUAGGCUUGCUGGCGAUCCCCGAGCACGUAACAACCUCUAGAAAGAAAAAUCUAUAAAACAAAGACAAGUAAAAACACAAAGUAAGCUAACUUAGCUUAGGAAGUCAUUAGCAAAACACAUAUAUAUGUUUAAAUCAUUUAAUUCCUUAGGUAAAUUUUUAUUAAAACCGAAUAUGCAUUAUACAAUAUCACCAAAAAGUUCAUUAAUCUCAAGACAUUUUAGUCAUAACUAAUUAACAUUAUAUACUUCCAAACUUAUACGUAUCAUUAGCAUAAGGUCGAAGAUACUUACCUUAUACAUAUGCACACAUAAGUAUCUUUUUGUUAUAAAUAAUCAACCAAUGUUCUUACCUAAUCAUCAAAUAGAUAUGACAUAUCACAUACCUAAUUAUUAUAACUUCGCAAUCCCAUUUGAUAUCACAUUGACAUAGAUCUUACUAAGCACAUAUCUUGAAAUGAUACACCGGCACGAAGCCUGCUAGGCCUGAAGCCUGAUUCAGUACACCGACAUGAAGCCUGCUAGACAUAAAGUCUAAAAUAUUUCACCGGCAUUAAGCUUGCUAGGCACAGAGCCUGAAUAUCUCAAAUACGAAGUUGAUCUUUCACAUAAUUCUUUAUAAGAAAUUUCUAAAUGUUCUUUAAGAUUUGUAUAAAGCUUCUCAAAUAUUGUAUCUCAGCAAAAAUCAAAUUCAUACACAAAUAUUCAUAGCAAACGUACAUUCGACUAACAGAUAUAUAAUUCAUAUAAUUACAUUCAACUUAUGAAACUCAACACAUAUAUUCGGCUAAAUAUAUAUGAUUUAUACAACUUGUUUCAAUUUAUAGAACUCAAAACAUACAUUGACUAACACAUAUAUAUACAAUUCAUACAUUUUAUUUUAACUUAUAGAAUUUAAAACACAUAUAUACAUAAUCGGCUAACAUUUAUAUACAACUCAUACCAUUAUAUUUUUGCUUAUAGAACAUAUAUAUAUACUAAUUUAAUGAUGUGUAUUUUCUAUUAGACUUACCUCGGAUGGUGAAAAUCGGAAUAGAGCGGUUAAUCGAUGAUUUUGGUUUUUCCUCGAUCCAGCUUCGAUUUAUUUUAUUCUUGAUCUAAAUAUAUUCAAAAUAAAUUAGUUUAAAUAUUAUUCCAUUCAAUUUGGUCCAAAAACACAUAAAUGGGAAAAUUACCAUUUUGCCCCUGGCAUUUUACACUUUUUGCAAUUUAGUCCCUAAUUCAUAAAACACAAAAUAUACAAAAUUUACACACACUAUGCUAGGGCCGAUUCUUCCUUGUCUUUAUACAAGUCCACACAUUUCAUUUAUUUCAUAUUUUAACCCCUCAAAAUAUUAUUUUUGCAAUUUAACCCUAUUUACUCAAUUUCAUCAAAAAUUCCAAUACAAAACAUAUUAAUCUAAAACAUAUAUUUCAUUAUUCAUCAUCAAACAUCACAUAACACAAAUUUUCAUUAAUGGCACAAAUCAAAAUAUUCAUCAAAAUCAAAAAUUCAAACAUGAGUUGGAUAGUAUUCGAAGCAACGAUCUCAAAAACGUAAAAAUUAUCAAAAACCGAAGCAAUUUCAUACUUUAAUCAAGCUAGUAAAGUGCCGAACCCUAAUAAGCUUUAAUGGUUUUCUUCUUUGUUGAUUUCGGCUAAGGAAGAUGAUGAAAUGACCAUUUUUUUUAUGUUUUAAUUUAACAUAUAUUAUUUAUUUGUUGUUUUACUUCUUUAACAUUUAUUAAUUAAUUUAAUAAACAUAUAAUAUAAGGGUAAUGUUGACUAUUGCCACCCACUAUCUUAGUUUUGGUCUUAUUGCACCUUUAAAUCUCUCAUUUUAAAAGACAACAACAAUUAGGUGCUUUUAGAUCUGACCCCUAAAUUUUCAUUUUACGCAAUUAAGUCAUUUUAUUUAAUCGGUCAUUCAAACGAUAAAAUUUAAACACAGAAAUUUCACACAAUCAAAUCCACACAUAAUAAACACAUAAAUAAUAUUAAAAUAUUUUUUUGACUCGAAUUUGUGGUCCCGAAACUACUAUGUCCGAUUAGGGUCGAAAUCGGGCUAUUACAACUAGAACACACAUUUUUAUCUAUUUCAAUUUAGUCCUAAAUAUUAAUUCGAAUACCCAAACAAUAAAAUUUCGUAACAAAAAUUCCACACAGUUGUUCAAUCACACAAUAAACAUUAAAACUUAAUCGGAAUAAAUUUUUCUUACUACGAAUUUGUGGUUUCAAAACCACUAUUCCGAUUAGGCCCUAAAUCGGGCUAUUACAAAUAUGAUGUAUUUAUGUGUUUAAAUUUCGUUUUACUUACAAUUUAAUCUAAUUUUUUAUUUUAAUAUCGUAUGUAUUUAAUGUAUUAUUAUGAUUAAUACGUUUCAAACCAUACGUUUCAUUAUUUAUUAGAUGUUACUUUUAAACAUACAUUUGUGUUCUAAAUCUAUGGUUUUCACAUGUAUAUGUAUGUGAUAGGAUUUCUAUUAUUAAUAAUGUUGUUAAUUGAGUUGGUGUCACAAGUUAACUUGAACUAACUCACGAUUGAUGACAACAUUAUGAUAAGCAAUUAUAGUGUAUUUAGUAUUGAUAAUUUGAUAUAUUUAUGUGUUUAAAUUUUGUUUUACUCAUAAUUUAAUCUAACUUUUUAAUUUUAAUAUCGUACAUAUUUCUUGUGUUAUUAUAAUUAAUAAGAUUCAAACAACACAUUUUAUUAUUUAUUGGAUGUUAUUUUUAAAUACACAUCUAUAUUCUAAGUUUAUGAUUUCUACAUAUAUACAUGUGUGAUAAGAUUUUUAAUAUUUUUGAAUCAAGUUAAAUAAGGAUAUCAAACCCAAUAUUAAAGCAACAAAUGACAUAUAUUAUUAUUACCACAUAUCCGAAAUAUACUGCUGGGAAGCUGGAAGGAAGAAGGGACGGAGAUCAUCUUGGGUAAUGCGUGGGUUCAGAUAGGCUGGUCGAUGAAGAUAUGGACGGGGUAUAACAUACUUGGCGGCAUUGCUGAAUCAUAUAAUAGGAAUGCAUGGCGGGCUGUCUCAAGAAGCGAUACGAUGUCGUAUUGCCUUUUCUUUUUUAUUUUGGUCAUCUCCAGCUUAAAACGGUCCCUAAUGUCCACCUUAAACUUUUUUGAAGUUGACAAAUACUAUACCUAACUUUUGAAAUGUAUGAAUUAUAUUUAGUUGAUAAUAAUAAGAAACUCAUAAAACUAUAGCUUAGGUUGGAAAACUUUUAAAAGUAGUCUCAUUCAGCACGUGCAUAAAUCCCUCUAUAUUCUUACACUAAUAAAGUAAUACUUUUUUCUUCCUUGAUGGUGGGUAUUAGAAAUUUAAUUCUCAAACAAAAAGAACCAAAUUAAGACGUAAAUCAUGGAGAUGGAGGAGGUGUCGUUUGGGUGCUCUGAAUAGCUACUUCAAGUCAUGAUAAUUAAGACACCGACAAAAGGUAUAAUCACACCUAUUUCUGCCUCUGCAACAUGGUCGUUAAGCUACCCCCUUCUUAAUGGCCCUGCAUAAACACGACAGGUCUGAUCCAAAACCCUUUUUUGGGAACCAUUUGCUUCGUCAAUCUUUAUUUUAUUUUAGCUCAGCUGCUUCGUCAAACCUGUUAACCAGUAUUAUAAUAAAUCUUGAGUUGUUUAUAAUUUUAUAUUCAAAUAGGAAAGCCUUCAUGGUCCAAUUUAUUUUUAAGCUUAUCAAUGACUAUAUUUUCAUAUGAAAAGAUAAAACAGAAGAAAAGCAAAGUUGCUAUAUGUACAGUAGUUGUUUUUCAGCAAACUUUAACCAUCAAGUAUCAACAGCCAUGAGUUUUGCAGUACUAGACUUUUUUAAGAGGUAAAGGGAGCCGUGGGGUUAAGAUUUUUGUCUUUAAUUACUUUUUGCAUCGAUCCUAGUUCCUUUUAUCGACCACAAUGGAAGUAAAUUGUGUGCAGAAAUAUAUAUAUAUAUAAAUUGUCUGCAGUUUAUUCUGUUCAAUUGCAUGAUGUAAGAAACUUGAAUAAAAAGCAGACAGCUGCUUUGUCAUUAUACUUUUUUUUCUCCGAGUAUCUAUUAAAGAACGAAUUCUUCAAAGAAGAUUACACAUCAUAAGGCACCAAAAUCAGACCAAAUGUUAUGUACCACAAAUUAAGACUAAACGUAUAACAGCAAACCAAGUCCACCAAGCCAUAAUCAAAAGCUGCAACCAACUCCUGUAAGAGAAGAUAAGCUCAUCUUGUUCAAGAUGUACCAUGUCAUAAAAUUUAGUGGAUCCACAUCCACCUCUCCUAAUUAGAAUUCAAGUCACAAGCACUGAUGCUAAUUCCUUAUAACCAAAUACGAAACCAAAGCCACUCAAGCCAAAGGCCUUCUUUAACCAUCCAACUUCCAUGUUUAACUUCUUUUUAAAGUUUUGUUUUUCAUAAUAACUAUAUUUUGUAUAAUAUAUAUAUUUAAAUAUGUACUAGAUGAAAUUUUGAAAAUGGAUUUUCUAAAAAAAAUGAAAAUCUAGAAGAAUUCCUGCAAUUAAAAACUACAAACAAACAAGCCUCCUGCACCAUUCUUAUCUUUGCAUUAAUUAUUCUGAUUAACUUAAGUCAUAUAAUUAUUUUCAAAUUUGGCAUUUCAUGGUUACAUCAUUUCAAACGCAUCACGUCAACUAGAAGUUGCUUGAUUUAUGUUUUCACGUAUCAUAUAUAUGUAUAAUUAAAUGAUCAAUUCUUCACCAAUAUUCACGCAUUUACAUUAUUAACCUAUUUAUGCCAUCAAUAUUGCUUGAGGAAGGAGAUCUCCUUCAAGAGUUAGAUGACCAAUGCAGUUUUAGGGUUAAUAUUAAGUACCAAGAAGGAAACUCGAGACCCACUUCAACAUGACUUCCCAUACCCUCAAAGAAGAACCUUAAAUUUCCAAUAAACUAUUGGCAACUGGAAGCAAAGUAUGUUGUUUUGCUUUUGUUAUUUUUAAUUUAAUAAAUAAUACAUUUAUGGAAUUAUCUUUCAUUUUUUAAUGGAGAAAUUAGUUGUUCAGACUUCGCCUUCUAACUUAUUUGUUGUCUUUUGGCUCUACUUAACAAUACAUUUCCAAGAUAUUUAUUUAUUUAUUUAUGAAAACAAAAAGUCCAUUUAAAGAUAAUGGGCUAGGUGGAAACUAAAAAUUUUACAAUAAUAGAUUCUUUAAUAUAUUUUAAAAUUUUCAAAAAUAAAUAAAUAGGACUCGUAUUACUAUUUUAAAUACUAAUUGUGUGUGCCACAAUAAUUUAUUGAUAAUAUAUAGUUAAGGAACAUUUUAUUUGAGUUUGUGGUGAUUUAUUUAUUCAAUUUGAAAAAUAAAGGUAUAUUUGAAAAUAACAUACAAUAAUUAGUGAAACGUAUGGUUUGAAAUUGAUUAAUAAUUAAUGCAUUGAUGGAAGUAAACUAGAGGGCUCCGGUGAUGGUUACAUAUGCAAAGAAGAGGAAAUGUGUCUAUGAACACAAAAGGGUUAGUGGUUUAGUUUUUAGGUUUCUUUAAUUUUCUUAGGAAUUAAGACUUUUUCAUUUUGUCUUUAAUUUUUUAGGAAAGCCCGAGGCACUGUCUCAGUUACCAGUGAGUUGGUGAUAGUUGUUAGGACGGCUAUUGCUAGCCGUUUAUUUUGCGUGUAUCAUGUUUCCUCUUUUAAUUAAACUGUGCAUAUUAAAAUAAAAACUUGGUUGAGUGGUAAAUUUAAAAUUUUACUAAUUUAAUUGGUGUGGUUUCAAACCCUAUAAUAUGUAUAUUUUUAUUAGUUUUGUUAAAAAAAAAUCCUCCAAUAGUAUAAUUACAAAAAAACAUAUAUCCAUAAUUUUCAUAACUGAAUUGAUGUUCGAUUGAUUCAUGACAUUACCUUAAUUAAAGAUUUAGCAUAAAUAAUUUGGGGUAGAGAAGAGAUAUGCAAAUGGAUGUAAAUUCUAAGCUUAAAUAGUACAAACUAAGUCUAAAGUUGAUCUUUCUAGCUUUAGCCUACCAAUUUUGACAAUGCAUAAUAAAGAGAAAAUUGGACAUAUUAAACUCUAUUAAGAGUGGUUAAUAAAUCAAUGAAUAAUUCAAAUAUAACAUCAACGCAUUAUAAAUUCAAAUUAUCACCACAAUAUAAUGAUAAUUUUAUAUGAAAGUUGCAUUAAACAAGUUUGUUUCCAUACCAAAUAGAUACUAAUUUAACCUUUCAUUAAAUCACCUUCUCUUUUCACAGUAGUAAAUAUAUGGAUGGAUCACUUUUUUUCAAAGUACAAAAUAGAUUAAAAAUAUCAUUAAUAAAUAUAAACGUAACACAAAAAUUAUAAUUUUAUUUUAGAAACAAAAUAAAACAACUCUAACUAUGUACAUACACUUGGUGAACAAAUAAAAUAAGAAAAUUAAAUAUAUUUUGAUAUAUGAGUUUAAUUUUUAUGUUUAAUUUGAUAUUUAAUUUUUAUCUGUUCAAUUUGAUGCUUAAGUCAAAUAAUAUCUUAUAGUCCAAUGAACAUUUGACACAUGUAUUUAAUGAAAAUUGAAAUCAAAUUAAUAUACUUAACUUUAGAAAAUAAAAAAAAAAAAACUCAUCUGAAAAAACUGAAAUACCUUCUGAAUGUUAAAAAAAAAUUUAUGAAAUAAUAUAUUAAUUAAAAAACACAUCUCCACGUCGUACAUUAUUUAUACAACCCCAGUUGGAUGCUGAAGAAAUCACUAAAGUAUCACCACUAAACCCAGUUCUCUGUUACUUGGAUUUGGAACCCGGAUUAUUUUUGACUCGUUUGUCCAUUUCCUUUUGAAUAUUCAUCGAGAUCCCAAAAAUCCCAUCAACAACUUUGUUUUUCCUUUCGGUUUUAUUCCGUUUUCUCCACGUUCAAACGUCUCAAAACGAAUUACACAUAUCUCGAAGAAAUGCAGGAAUUCAAGACCAUCAAGAAAAAAAUGUGGAUGUUUUCUUGUUAACCUUUUCAUUUGCUUCAACUAUCUCCCCUACUCCUCUCGCGUAAUGGAAGCUAUCAUCAUAACAGCCAUAGCACCGAUCAUCAGAAACAACGAGAAGAAAGUCGUUAACCAACACAAAUUCCCUCUGCAAAAGCUCUCCUUCUGGUUUGCUCCCACCACUCGUCCACCUGGUCUACUCUCUUUCACUCCCGGCUCCUAAAAUAUAAAAAACGAAAAGGGAAAAAAAAAAAAAAGAAUCGUUGUUUUUGCUUUUUUUUGUUUUUGUAUGGCUGCUUACUCUUUCAACAACAACUUUUCAUCUGGGAAUUGUUAUUCUGGUAUCUUUGAUCCAUUUUCACGCGAUUUGGGUCUAUGCAAUGAAAGCUCCCAUGGUGGGUCUUUGUCGGUGCCACAGUCUUUGGUUUUGGAUCAUGAGAAAGGAGAGCUGGUGAAGGCGCCGGUGGAAGUAAGAAAGAAAAGCGUUUCUGAAGAGAAAAUUAUAGCGGCUUUGAAGAAUCAUAGCGAGGCAGAGAGGAGGAGGAGAGAAAGGAUCAAUGCUCAUCUUGAUACGCUCCGCACCCUUUUGCCCUGCAGACAAAAGGUACUAAUUAAUUAAGUAUUAGAACGAUGUUAUGUUAAAUUUCGGUUUUAUCAUUGCUAUAUGACUACUAUAAUUGAGUUCAUAGAACCUUUUGAACCAAUUCCUGGGAACUAAUUACGGGAGAGUUGGCUUACAUACUGUAUCCUGUUUCGAUGCUUAAUUUUCCUGGAACUGCUUUUUCAAUAGUUCAUAGAUGUUAAUAAGUGGUCUCAUUAGACCAUAUGCAGUAAGCUUUUCCUUUUUAACUGAUUAAUUGCCAAGGUAGAGUGCAUUAAUUUGAUUGCUUAGGAAAGUUGGGGAAAGUAAAGAACUUGAGGUGUUUCCUUAAAGCAACUUAGCUUAUAGAAUGAUAUUUUUUGGCCUAAAUUUUGCUGAGGCAUAACCUUAUUGGUUUUCCUCUCCCAAAUCUUCAAUAAUGAUUAUAACAUCUUGAAAAUUUAGGCUAAUUUACUGGUGUAAAAGUUUCUUUUUCCCCAGUUUCUUUCAUCAGUUAACAUUUUGAAAACCUAGAGAGGUUGCAUAGGACGACUUUGUUGAUAGGAAUGAAUCAGGACAUGAAUGAUGAAAUAUUAAUUAUUUUGUGGGAUAAACUUAAAUCAGAAACUCUUGUAAAAUGAUGAUUAGAACUUUUUGCAAUACAGAGUUUUUAAUAUAAAACUGGCUAUCUUGAAUGGUAUCUGUGUGAAGAGAAAAAAAGAAGUUGCGAGCCGUGAUGUCAUGAAACUGAGUAUUUAAUGUUUUAAUGUCAUAUCACUUAUUGUGAGUCUAGUAAUGCUCUUAUUUUCUUGCAUUAUUCUUUGCACUAGGAAGGUCAAUUCUCAAUUUCAGAAUGCUAGAGUCAACUAGGGGAUGCAUCAGCUAAGGAUUAUUUAUGGUUGAGAGCAUCUUUUUGGUCCCAAUUGCAGACCUUCUGCUAUAUUUAAAUUGUGGUACAUGAGUUGAAUCAUGAUGAAUAUUCAGAGUUGUGGAUGAGUUAUGUUCUGUAUUUUCAAACAAAACCAAUCAUGAAAAGCUUGUUUCCAGGAGUGAUCUGCAUUGCUUUAUAAAAGAAAGCUUACAGAAAGAAAAAUGAAAGAUAGUUUAUUUGUUCGGAUAUGCUCAAUUAAUCGGAAUCGAGUUAAGAUGAACCUGUAGACAUAGCUUUAUACAAUAUUAUUUUUACUGUCAAACCUUAGAGUUGGUCAGUUGGACAGCAUAUAUAAUAUAUCUAUUCGAAAUUGAUGAUGAUGAUAAUGAUUGGAUUGGUGGGGCAAUGUAACAGCUGUUCUGCUAUGGAUCUUGAUGACAUGAGGUAUAUUUCUUCAAUAUAUUAACUACUGUAUGUUGUUUUGUUAUUUUAUUAACUACUGGAUGUGACAUACAUAGUCCUGUCCUGGUUAGAUGAUGGUUUAAACGUAAGCAAGGAUUAGACAUCUUAUAUUAAAUGCAUUUUUUGGUUGCUUUUCUCAUUUCUCAAUUUAUUUUUUCAAUAAUUAACUCAAGUAAUUAUAGGGUUCAUCUGAGUUAGUAUUCUGGAUCAGAGUCUAUGCGCAUCAUCUACUAGGUAGUUCCUGGUUUGAUGCUGAUUCAUCUGACUAUGCUUUAAAAUGAUGUCUUUGAGCUGACAGUAAUGUUUCAAUUUGCUCAUAUAUAGAUGGAUAAAGCGACAUUACUUGGUGAAGUAAUUAAGCAAUUGAAAGAACUUAAGAAGAAUGCAACUGAAGCCAGCAAAGGUUUACUUGUUCCAAUGGAUGACGAUGAUGAGGUGAGAGUUGAACCAUGUAAUGUCAACGAAGCUGACGGGACAUUUUCUUUCAAAGCAUUAAUCUGUUGUGAUUAUAGACCUCAACUUCUGACUGACCUACGACAAGCUCUUGAUGCACUUCCCCUUCCAAUUACGAUUGUCAAGUCAGAAAUAUCUACGUUGGGAAGUCGGUUGAAGACUGAUUUUAUUUUCACUGCCAGCUACAGAAGCACUAGCAGUGUUGCAAAUGUUGGCAACGAUGAUGAUGGUACCGAUGCACGGCGUUUUCUUGCAUGUUCCAUCCGGAAGGCCCUGAAUUCUGUCCUGGAGAAGGCUUCUAUUUCACCGGAACACUCCCCAUUCUUGACAUUUCCGAACAAGAGGCGAAGGAUCUCCUACAUUGAUUCCCCAAGCUCAUCUUGAUUUUCCAAAAAAAGAUUAGCCUUUUCAACGUUUGGGGUAAAUGGACGACACAUCCAUUUAUCUCUGUAUGGAUGUUUGUCUGAUAUGCCCAAAAAUUGGUUUGAAAUCAAUACUAUAAAUAGCAUGUAAUUGUUUCCAGAAGACCAGAACGUUUUCAAAUGGCUUGUAAUAAAACUGUAUUACUACUCGAUGUAUGUAUACUCUUAUCAUCUAAAAUUCAAGUUAUGUUAUAGAUUCCAUAUAAAAUAAGAAUCAUAAGAUUGAGUUUGCUGUGAUAAUAAUAAAAGAUAAAUAGAUAUUACCAAUGAGGCAUUGACACAAGGUGAAGGCAAAAACCUUGGUUUGAAUAAGUAUCUCUAAUUGUACUUUUAUUCUACUAUAUUUGUAGAUAAAAAGAAGAAGAAGAUAUGUUUAAGAAUUUUAAGUCUAAAUAAACAAUCACCAUUAAAAAUAAAUAAUAUAAGUUCUAAAAAGUUCUUGAAACAAUAAUUGAUAAUUUCAAAAGAAUAUGAUAAAGCCAAAAAAGCGAUCCAACGUGGCGUGGAGGAAUCUUUCUUCAAGGUCUUCUCAACGAUAUUCUUACGAUUCCGAAAAGAAUAAAUUAAGAAAAAAAAGAAACAAAGAAGAAAGUUUGAAAAAAAGGGAAAAAUCUUAAAUCGCAGGCAUAUUGAGUGGAAUAGAAAACGGGAAAGGAAAAGCAUGGCAAAACAAGGAAGCGGAUCCAUACUUCAAUUUGCGCCACUUCAGAGUUCUGUUGACGAAGGAUUUUGGCACCGAUUAUCUUCUUUGAAGCUCAACAAGUUUGGCAUCGACGAUUCUCCUAUUCCUAUCUCCGGUACCAAUCCCUUCUCUAUCUUUUUCUUUAAGUCUGAAUUUAACUUCUCACUCUUAAUUCACUCAAAAAUCUCAUAUAGUUGUCUAAAUUUUCCUUUUCAAAAAUUCAUUACAAUUAACUGUUGAUUGGACUGGGUUUGAUCCAAGUUUCUGUUGUUAAAGGCGGCAAUUAAUGCCAAGGGUUUUCAAUUUCGAAGCUUUGAGUGUAAAUUUAGCGUUUUUAUGGUCCAAAUUCGUUGUCCUUUUUUUUACAGGUUUCUAUGCACCGUGCUCGCAUCCUCAAGUAUCGAAUCAUUUAACUCUUUUAGCCGAAUCCCUGCCUUCUGACUCAAAUGAUGAAUCAACAAUGCCGCCUGUUAUUCGGGGUAAUCGAAAUAGGUGCUCCGUUCCUGGCAUUCUUUACAAUACUAAUACAAUGGAAGGUUUUCAUGCUUUGUAUAAACAAGGCUUGCUCAAGGCAGAAGCGAUGAAGGUAAAACAGUUUGAAUUGUUUACUAUAAGUGUGUUAUGCAAUUGUUUAAUUUGAUUGAAAUCUUAUUUGACAAGUUUAUGUUUUGACUCAAUUAUUCUUAUUAGAUUUGGGAGGAUAUUCAUAGUGGAAAAGCUGUGGAGGAUUGUGCAGUAUUAUCAAGGGUCCUUCUUAUCUCAUUUGCAGACCUCAAAAAAUGGAACUUUCAUUAUUGGUUUGCUUUCCCUGCUCUUGCACUUGAUCCUUCUGCUACCUUGGUAGAUUUGAGGCCAGCUUCUCAAUGGUUCACUUUGGAAGAGGUGCUUUGAAUGUGAUUAACACUUGCGAAUUUCUGGGUUAUUGUAUCUUUCUCAGUGCUUAAAAGGCUUUUAUUUGGUACCUUUUUUUACAUGCAGGCAGAGUCUGUAUCAGCAGCAUGUAAUGAAUGGCGGAAUUCAAGUGUGACGGCUGGUAACCUCUCUGCUGUUGCUAGUUUGCAUUGAAAUUCAAAUGUGAUUAUGUUCAUUUUUUCUUUAUCCAUGAUUUUAUGCCAUUCAUAGCCUGACUUUAUGAGUCUACUGCAGAUGUUCCAUUCUUUUUGGUUAGUAUUGAUUCUGAUUCACAUGCUGCCGUCAAGCAUCUUAAGGAUUUGGAAGCUUGUCAACGUGAUGGUCAAAAGGUCUGUCUACCUUUCUCUUAAUGACUUUGAGCAGUAGUUUAUGAUUGCAAAGGAGACUUUUCAAUGAAAAUUCCAUAUGAUAGAUGAUUUUGAUAGGCUAAAAGUGCAAAAUCUUGGACAUCUUUUUCUCAAAAUUUUGACGUGUGUUAUUGGCAGUUGCUAUUUGCAUUUUAUGACCCAUGCCAUCUUCCAAACAAUCCUGGCUGGCCUCUCCGCAACUUCUUAGCACUUAUUUCUGCCAGAUGGAAUCUGAAAACUGUUCGCUUUUUGUGCUAUAGAGAGAAUCGAGGUUUUGCUGAUUUGAAUUUGUCACUUGUUGGUGAAGCCUUGAUUACAGUUCAACAAGGUAGGGUGACCAAAUUUUGGGUGACAGAUUUUUUUUGGGAUCAUUAUUUAUCUGUUCCAAUGGUAUGAAUUCAUUUUACACUAUCUUUGCUGUCUGCUGACAUACCAUCUCUCUUUAGGAUGGAGAGAACAGCAGUGUGUGCCCAAUGCUGUAGGAUGGGAACUUAACAAGGGGAGAAAAGUACCAAGGUGUAUUAACCUUGCUAAGUCCAUGGAUCCAACUAGGUACUUCUUUCUAUAUUGUCACCUCAUUAAGCAUAAUAUUAUUAUUUUUAUAUAUUUUACCAGAGCAUUUUGAGAUAUUUUCCACUUUUUUCCACAGGCUAGCCAUAUCUGCCGCAGACUUAAACUUGAAACUAAUGAGAUGGCGUGCUUUGCCAUCUCUUAACUUAGAAAUCUUGUUUUCUCUUAAGUGCCUUCUCCUUGGAGCAGGUACCCUUGGAUGUCAGGUUGCUAGAAUGCUUAUGGUAUGUAUUCAGAAAGCAGCAACCGCAAUUUCAGAUCAUAUUUCUUCUCUCUUGAGACUGAAGACAGUUUAUGUUGUAGGCUUGGGGUGUCCGCAAAAUUACACUACUUGAUAAUGGAAGGGUGGCUAUGUCUAAUCCGUUGAGACAGUCUCUAUACACUUUGGAUGACUGCCUUAAUGGUGGUGAUUUUAAAGCCACAGCAGCAGUGAGAAGCUUACAACGAAUAUUUCCUGCAGUGGUAAUUAAUUUUCUUUGAGGCCUAUGACACAAGAUCAACACAGAACAGAAAAAUCUAUCCAUUUCCACUCACCAUUUAUCUUAUUAUGUGUUUCUUAGGAAGCUGAAGGUAUUGUUAUGGCCAUUCCUAUGCCUGGACAUCCAGUAUCCAGCCAAGAAGAGAAAAGUGUGCUUGAAGAUUGUAAACGACUCAAUGAUUUGAUUGAUUCUCAUGAUGUAAUUUUCUUGUUGACUGAUACUAGAGAGAGUCGAUGGCUCCCUACUCUUCUCUGUGCCAACAGUAACAAGGUUCAUCUCCUUAAUUCAUAUGUCAAUUGCUUUGAUGUUUGGAGUUUGUUGUGGCAUCAUGGAUUAGGAUUUGUAAAGAUCUGUUUCUGGAUUUUAUUCAUUUGAUGAUGACAUAAUUUCUUCAUCCUCUCUCCUUAUGCAGAUAACCAUUACUGCAGCUCUAGGAUUUGAUAGUUUCUUGGUUAUGCGCCAUGGGCCUGGUCCUUUUAACUCCAUCCCUAACUUGAAAGCUGAAACAGAAAACUCUUUAGCUGCUGGCAUGGACAACCUUGCCCUAACAAAUACAGAUGGACAACAUAGACUGGGUUGUUACUUCUGUAAUGAUGUGGUUGCCCCAACAGAUGUAAGUUACCUGAGUUUCUAGAGUGCAACAAUUGUUAUGUAGCAUUUUUGUAUGUCAAGCUUAACUAUUUUUCUGUGGUGGAUUAUGCAGUCAACUUCAAACCGCACGUUGGAUCAGCAGUGCACUGUUACACGGCCAGGGCUUGCACCUAUUGCUUCUGCACUGGCAGUGGAGCUUUUAGUGGGCAUUUUGCAUCACCCUAAUGGGUAAAUCCUUGGAACCAUAUGAAAAAUGUCUUUCUCAUUGUAGUUUCUUUGAAGAUUUUGAGCAAGCUUUUAGUUCUAAUCAUCAUGAAUUAAUCAAAGUCUAGAUUGUUUCAUUAACCACCCAAUUAUAUAUGCAGGAUAUUUGCUGAAGCUGAGAUUGCCAACUCCAGUAGCGGUGGAAACUUUGAGCUUCCGCUGGGUAUUUUACCCCAUCAGAUUCGAGGCUCCCUCCCCCACUUUCAACAGAUGACCCUUUUGGGCCACUCCUCUAACAGUUGCACAGCAUGUUGUAGCACUGUAAGUUCAGUGCUUCUAUUAGUUUUGGAUAAUUGUGAUUUUAUUAUUCAAGUAAGCAGAAUUCUGCUACUGAAACAAAUAUUUGCACAUCUUAACAUAUGUUCAUUUGACUGUACAACUUUACAAUAAAACCAUACAGAAGUAAUUCCCCUAUCAAUUCAUAACUGUUUGUUCCUUGCAUCAUUAGUGUUAACAGCAACUCCUUGAAGCCUCAUCUAUACAGUUCCUUUAAUUCUACUUAACCAAUCAUGUUCACUAUGACGUUUUCCAUCAAACUGUCUAUAAUUCCUUUCUCUCCAAAUCCAAUAAAUGAAAGCUGACCAAGCCAGCCUUAAAAUGAUUGAGAUUAAAGCUUUUCCCUUCAACUUUGCACUAGCCCACCUCAAUUCCCAAAUCCAACUCAAAGGUUGUCUACUAAGAGAACAUAGCCUUAACACUGACAUCCAAAUCAUCCUGGAAAAAUUGCAUUAAAAGAAUAAAUGUCAGUGCUUCUAUUAUGAUUAUUAUUAUAGCUCUUUGUUUUUCGCUUCCUUUUUUAUCCCGUCUGUUUCCUCAUGCUUUUUAGGUGUCUAGUCUGUAUGAAUCUUUCAGCAAAACUGGUUUUAUGAGUUUACAUGUGCGGGUUUUGAUUUUAGUUGAUAUUGAGAGAUUUGGAAAUUUAUGAAUUUGUUUGAUGUUGGGUAAAUUUAGAGCCCUUUGGCACUAGGGUUUCUUUCCCAAAGGGUACAAUAAAAGUCACAUACCUACAUGCAAUCUCUGAAACAAAACAUGUGCUAUGGAAAGUAUUGUCAUCGAAGAAAGCUUUAAUAAUAAAUUUCAAAUAUUUAUUGCAUUAUCAAAUUAAAUUUCUAGCAUGCAUGCAUAAAGUUAGACUUUAGCUUUCGAUAUUUAGUUGAAAGUUGGAAUAAAUUGAUCAAGGUUCCAUGUCCGUCGUUGUAGCAGUUUAACAUUCUGUUGAUUAUGAACAAUCCUUUUCAGGUUGUGUCAGAAUAUCGAAAGAGAGGUAUGCAAUUCAUACUCCAGGCUAUUAACCAUCCAACGUAUCUGGAGGAUGUUACUGGACUAACAGAGUUGAUGAGAUCAGCGAACUCUUUUCAACUGGACUGGGACGAUGAUAUUGAGGUCGCAGAUGAUGAAUGCGUCGAACUAUGAAGAAACAAAUUGUACUUUUUCAGGUCAUAAUUAUGGCAAUUUAUUCUUUUGUAAUACAUGUUAAUUGUAUAAUAACAAACAGAAAAAAAAAGUCAAAUUUAUGUCCAUGCUCAGUUUCCCACCUUCCAAUUUCAAACAUUUUAACACAAGUUGAUUGGGGAGAUACUGGAAAAUUUUUUUUGCUGGUUUCGUUAUUUAGACACUAUUUUUUUAAAAGGUAUCUAAUAGCUGCAUUUGACAUAUAUUCGAGUAUAUGAUAUGAAGUAUUAUCAUUCAAAUACUGCAUGAAUCAAGUUGACAGAUUUUUGUUGAGCGCAUAACACUCAUCCCUAUCUAGAUAACAUAUUUUGCUGCUGUAAUAUCUUUUCCUAAAAAGUAAUUUGACCCAACAGAAUGAAUCUUGUGGGUGAUGAAACUUGUCCGUUCUGUAAUUGACAAAAACAUGGUCAAAUUACUCAUCAUUCUUCUUUCUUUUUCUUUUUCGUUGUGGGUAUAAUCAUCUAUAUUUCCAAUUAUUUUAUCUCAUCAUCUACAAUGAAGCGUGAAUUUCUAACCACACAAACGACUCUUAGUUCACAAGCAAAGCUUAAAUUUUAUCGUGUUCGUUGAUUGAGACACUCUCACAAGUGUUCUCUUCAUUCUCUCUUUUCGUGAUUGUGCAGUAGUGACUUGAUAGACUCAACAAUCAAACAUGAGAGAGCACAUAAUUUUGCAUUGGAAAUGACCCUUUUUCGCUCUUGUUAGCUUCAGUUUCCGGCUCUGUGAUUCUGCAGUGAAUUAUUCUAGAACCAACAAAGAAAAAGAAGUGGGAAAUAAUUUAUUCGAAGACAUCAAAAUCAUUCACUCUCAAGUCUCAAAUAUUUUAAAUUUACUUUUUCAUUUUACAAGAAUAAAUUGGUGAAAUGUCUCAUCAAAACUCGGGUCGAUAUUUAGCUCAAAACUCGACAACCAACCAUUUCUUCUUUGGGUCCCGGAAAGUCUUGUUUUCAAACCCAAGAUGUUAGGGAGGGAACGCAUUCCUUUUUUCCUGUUGGCUUAAAUUGAAGUCUGUCAGGUCUCAUUUAAAAAGAAAGAAAGGAAAAAAGAAAAAGUGCAGCAAAUAUGACCCAGUUUAACAUUAGGCAGAAUCUGGCUGCCUAAUGCUUCACCCACCACCCAUUGACUCUUCCCUUUUUUCUCUUUCAAAGUUCAGUCUAAUGAAUUUUCGAUGAAAUCCCAGAAGGCAAAUAUUUCUUCAUAUUUGACACUUCUGUGAGAAUAUUCAGUUGAACCCAACAACAAAAAAAGCAAUAGUAAGUCUCCAGUUUCUCGGAAUCUCAAAGCCUUGCAAAAAGGUCUAAGUUUAUAGGUAGUGGCUUUUGCACUUUUUCGUUUGUGUCAAAUUAGGAUUCUGAUUCAUGUACGCCUCCAUGUUUGUACAUUGUGGAUGAUAUAAUCUUCCAAUAAAUUUCUUAUUGCCAUUGUUGCUUGUGGACAUUAAAUUUUGAGCUUAUGUUUAAUAAUCAGUGGGAUAUGCACAUCACUCCAUUAUACACUUAAAUUAAAGCUUAUUUGGCAGUUGCCUGCUGCCAUGUGGCACUACUUGGAAAUCGACACCUAUGUUUUUCAACUUCUUGUGAUUUGUUCAGUUUUGGGGUGUCUCAUUCCCGAUUUAGCAGACAAUAUUGUUCACGCCCGAUUACAUAAAAAAUUAGAAUUGUUCCUCUCUUCUUCUUUUUUAACACUUAAUACAUUACUUUUAUAAUUUUAUUGAAUUUUAAAAGAUAUUUUUAAACUAAAAUAGCAAUAUCAUAUAUUUAGAGAAAUAAGGAGGAUUUACCUUCUCUUGGAGUUGGAAGGGGUAGUUAUUGGUGGUUCAAGCGCACUGAAAAGUUUUAGCAGAUAUUGUUGGACCUAAAGCAUUAAAAAUGAUUCUUUCAAGACUUAUAAUAAUAAAAUAAUUAAUUUGCCCUAUAUAUAUAUUGCUUUCUUCUAAAAAUCAAGUUACCUUUUAAAGUUGAUAAACGUAAAAGGUGUUUUACCUUUCAUAGAACCUUUAAAGAACACUGAUCAUUGGCUUCCAUAAAAAAGGAUUGCUUCAACAACAGACAAACUUGAUAAAGAUGGAAAGAUUGCCCCAGGCAACUCAACAUUUUUCAGGUAUCCAUUCUCCACACACGGCAUAUCGAGUGGAGAGAUUACAAAAGCCAUAAUGUUUUGAUAAUUAUCAAUUGUUUAUAUAUUUUAUUAAACAUGUUAUAUUCGUGUCCUAGAGGUUGAAGAUGGGUCGUGGUACACCUCAUAGAAGCACCAAAGCCAUAAGUUUUCGAGUUAAAAUCUAAUUACUACUCUCUUUUUGAUAGUUGCCAGGUCAAAGCCAUAGGAUUGUUGAGGGGGCCUGUUUGGCAUGUGGGAUAGAAAUUAAAUUUAGUAGUGGAGUCUGACGUGCAAUUUCUACGCCGUCGGAAGAACCCAUCAACCACAUUCUGCCAAAAGUUUUCACCUAGGCUUUUAGAGAUAAGAGAUAAAAGGUGGUGGCGGAGAGGUCAACUUUGGUGUUUAUUAGCCUAAAGUGAUGCACUGACAAAUCUUUGUGCCCCGCACAUUCUUCACCAUAUUGCUAGCCCUUUUUAUUACCCGCUUUUUAAGGUUUAUAAAUAAUUUAAGUGUUUUACUACUGCUCAAAUGGGUAAAAAUUGUAUGCCAAUUAUAGAGGUGCUCAUGGGCCGGGCGGCCCGUCCGAAAUAUGAGAGAGUUUGGGUAAAAAUAUAGGCCCGAAAUAUGGGCUUGGGUAAAAAAAUAAGGUCCGUUUAGAAAAUGGGCCGGGCCUCGGGCACCACUUUUUUGGUCGGGCUCGACUCGACUCGACUCGGCCCGAUAUAAUAAAUAUAUUUAUUUUUAAAAUUUUUUUAAUUUUAAGAUAUUUUUAAAAUACUUUUUUUUUAUUUUUUAAUUUUAAAAUAUUUUUAAAAUACUUUUUUUUUAAUUUUUAAAAUAAAUUGUUGGUAUUUAUUAAAAAAAUGGGCCGGGCCGGGCCUGGGCUUAUGAUUUUUUCCCGGGCUGAGCCUGGACAAAAUUUUAGGCCCAUAUUUCGGGCUAGGCUAAAAUCUUUUAUGGGCCUGGCCCGAACCCGGCCCGGCCCAUGAGCACCUCCAAAUUGCCAAAGCAUAAAUUAUUAGUUUAUUGUAUUGGAAAAUGGCCAAAGUAUUAUUGAAGGUAAAGAAAUUAAAUACUUGUAUUAUUGUCCUUUGUUUAGGUACGUACGUCAAAUUUUUUGGUACGUUUCCAUAAUUGUUUUCUUGACUUUGCUUUCUAGCUUCUUUGUUCUUAUACAAUGUUAGUAGAUACUUUCAUUUGAAGAUGUCUUGGAAAUUUAGAUAUAUAUUUGAAUUUGAAUAUAAGUUUAAAAUGACGUGGACAUGUAAAUAACAUAAAUCAAGGUUUCUUUCUGAUUUUACCAUUCGGUCCUUAAAUUCCAAUUGAAGAAAGUUGAGUUGUGCAUAUACAAUGAACCUGAAGUCCACCAUGCGUGAGUGAGGCCUAGGCCAGCCAGCAGGAAUGGAAACCUAAUUAAUUAAUUAGAGGGCAGAUUAGGUAAGAAUUUUAGCAUUUCACAUGAAUUAUUUAUACAUAUGCACCAUGUUGUACCCAAUAUCUUGAUUUGCCAAAAUUGUCAAAUUAGAACUAAUGUUCUCAAUCCUGUCGCGAACCACUCGUUUCUGCUACGACAGCCAUGGGGGGUAUCAAUCCAGUGCAGAAAAUGAGAUGGUGAAACAGACAAAGCCAUACCUUAAUGUAAUUAAAUAACCUAAAAUUCUGAUGAACAUCUUAGAAGAGAUAAAGCAUACAUGAUUAAAAGAAUCAAAAUUGUUGAAUUUUGUAUAGGAUCGGUCAGGGCUAGAUGCAUAGCGGAAACCCAAAACCAACCAUGCAUUUGAAAUUCAUUGAUACAGAUGAUCAGAUAUUCUCAUAUCAAAUUUCUUUUAAAGUAGUUGAGAUUUUAAAACCUUUUUUAAUUGAAACCCUGUUUCUUAGCACGUAGUCUAUAAAAAUAUAAUAUACGAGUCUGCUGUUAUGGUUGGGAGCAUCUAGGCGCAUUGCUCCCUGAAUCCCACAUGCCAUCAACAUUGGCUCGCAUCAAUACCCAGAUUAAGUUCCUUAAUAACUUAAAAGUAAGAAUUUAAUCUUGGCCCAAAUAUCUAUGAUUCAUUUUAUUUAUUUAUUUUGAUACGUGGGAAGAACUUUCCUGUACCAAAUCCAUGAUUAUUGACCCUCAAUUUAUCACACAUAUUUUCGUUAAACUGUUAAACAACAGGGCAAUAUGGGAAGCAAGAAAAAAGACACAAGUGAAGCAGGGAAAUCUUGCUGUCUUAAAAUAUGCUUGUCAGGGCUUAGGAAAUUUAAAAGGCAGCAACGUUGUUUCCUUUGCAUGUGAUAUAUGCCCCCCCCCCCUCGCUGCUUUUUCUCUCUCGUCUCUUACUCAUCCUUGUAUUUCUCUCUCCUUUUAAUCUCUGGAAAAAAAAAACAAAGAUUAAAACCCAAGUGUUACACUUUUAGUUGUUUUGUUAUUAUAUAAACAAUGAACCUUUAGAACACUUAUUUCAAUUUCCCGUCUUCAACCUUAUGUUUCCCUCUCAAGUUCAAACUCUGAACAUGUCUACUACUACUACUUCUUCUUCUUCUAUUUGGUUACUUUCUUGUAGGAAGCUUAAGUUCUUUACUAGAAUCAGAAGGUUCUUGCAUUCCAAAGCAGCCAGGAAGCAGUACGGGUCAUCAGCAUCUGAUCAUUCGAACAAGUUGAGAAUAGUAAACAAUACUGACGAAGAGGAAGAUCUGGUUGUAGAGAAAACUGAAAGUGAGCUCGAUGGUUCCAUGGCGUUGCAAAAAUCUGUGAAGAGACUUCACUUUGGGAGCUGGGAAGAGAAAGAGAUGGCUGCUAAGGCCAUCGAGAAACUCGCUAAAGAAGACGUUAAGGUUAGGAAGUUGAUGGCAGAGCUCGGAGUCAUACAUAUGCUUGUGUCUAUGGUGGAUACUGAGGUGGUUGGCCGCCGUCUAGCUGCCAUCAAGGCCUUGAUCGAACUUGCUGAUGGAACUUUUACGUAAGUUUUCUAUAUAUUUUUUCUUACUAUUCAUGUUAGUUUCUUUUUCUUUUGAUAUUUCUUGUCAAUGGAAAAGGAUUGUCAGCUUUCAAAGUUUUUAGUUGGUAGAAACAAUUCCUAAUGUUGGAUUAUUCUAACAUAAUCAUAAACGGUUUUUAAGAUGAAUGAUUGAAUUCCCAUGUUAUGAAGCAAUGCCUGAUUAGGAAAGAAAUAUAUUUAGAGGGAUGAGACUUAAUAAGAGGAAAGGGCCCUGUUUUUGUCCUGGAAGCCGUAGCUUAUUUUCUUCAGAAAAAGACGAUGCAAUGAAAAAGAAAGGUUUUCAUAAGGCUGCUCGAAGUGGGGAUAGGGAAAAGGAUCCCCUAUGGUUGAUGAAAUGUAUGGCAUAGAACAGUGACAAGUUUGAAAUAAUGGAGCUCUGAUUUUGGCACUAUGCAAUACGUUUCAUCGGGAUAGGGAAAAGGGGUCCCCUAUGGUUGAUCAAAUUUAUAAUUUAUAAAAUUAGUUGUUGGGAUGAAUUACAGGUAUAUCAUAUUUCAAAAAUGUCAAGAAGAUGGAGAAUUGUUUUCAACCCACAUGAAAAUUAAAUAUUGGUGAUAAUGUUUUAAAACUAACUUCCCCAAUUAGAAUAAAGAAAAUGAUUUUAGGUGGAGGGUACUGCUCCACAUUAAUGAAGAUAUUAUUACCCUGAUAGCCUGAUUUAAUCCUAAAUCUCUGUAAUCAACCGCCCUACAAGCUGCAGCGUUUUGAUAAUCAUAGGCCUUGGGGUUUGUUUCCAGUUAAAUGCUGAGUAAUCAAAAUCAGAACAGUUAUUUUUACUGUUAAAUGGCUUUAAAUAUUGUUUGGUGAGGUGUCAAGCCCUUUCAUGAAUUGACCCUUUUGAAUCUCUGAUGGUGAAACUUUGUCAUGUGACAGUAGAGCAUAACUUUAUCCAUCCGGAACUUUUAAACAUUAAUGGCAAUGAAAGUGAAAUGAAAUUUCUAAAUCUGUUGCAUGAUUUUUGAAUCAUUAAUACUUCCAUUAAGAAAAUGAUUUUAAUGAUCCUCAAAUCCUGCGUCCGCAAGGUACGGUGGCUGUCCACUGUCCACCGGACUCCCAUGGUGGUAGGAGCUGGAAGGGCAAUAAUGAUGUUAGAAGACAGACAGCGUUGUCUCCAAAUAAAAAAAAAAUACAGAUCCAUAUCAUCCAAUGAUAUUAUUAUGGACAAUUAAGAAAAAACAAUAUUAAGUAUUGUUGACCUUCACCUUCCUACCCCGAUUCUAAAUGUCUGAUUCUCUUUGACUUUGUCUGUUUUAUUUUAUAAACUGGUUAGUUCUUCUCCCACAUUUUCUUUGACUUGUAGGGACUCCUAUUCAUAUUUUAUGCAACAAUGGAGGACUUUUGGGUUAUCAACUUAUCUACCCCCAAUAAAAUUAUUGUUCUUUCUUCUAUUAUUCAACUUAAAUUUCGAUUCCAUUGUUGACUUGAAGUUCUGGGUUGAUUUUUCUUUUGUCAAAACUUAAGGUAGAUUCAAAGAAUCAAAAGUCUAAAUCAGUUUAUCAUUUUUUCUUUUAUUCAGAAACAAGGAACUAAUGCUAGAGGCUGGAAUACUAUCGAAGUUACCUAAGGACAUUGAUGCUGUAGACGACCAAACGAGGCAUGAAUUUGCAGAACUGUUAUUAUCAUUAUCAUCUAUAUCAAAUACUCCUUUCUCUCUAGCCAAAACUGAGGUCCUCCAGUUUCUUAUUGCCAUUCUUGAGUCGGCCACCAGCAUUGAAACAAAGGAGACCUGUUUAGGUGUUGCUUGUAACCUGUCUGCUGUGCUAGAAAAUGCUAGACCUUUGGUAUCUAACGGAACCGUGCACACUCUUUUGAAGCUAUCUUCAUUUAAAGAACUUUCAGAGAAAGCCCUUGCAGCACUAGGUCACUUGGUGCUGACCUUGAUGGGAAAAAAGGCUAUGGAAGAUAGUUCAAUGGUACCAGAGAGCUUGAUUGAGAUUCUAACAUGGGAGAACAAACCCAAAUGUCAAGAACUAUCAGCCUACAUUCUAAUGAUUUUAGCUCAUCAAAGCUCCACUCAAAGGGAUAAAAUGUCAAAGGCAGGGAUCGUCCCUGUGCUUCUUGAAGUGUCAUUAUUAGGAAGCCCUUUGGCUCAAAAGAGAGCCAUGAAAUUGUUACAAUGGUUCAAAGAUGAAAGGCAAGCAAAGAUGGGGCCUCAUUCAGGACCACAAACAGCAAGGAUUGCAAUUGGCUCACCUCUGCAUCCAAGGGAGGUUCAAGAAGGAAAGAAAAUGAUGAUGAAUUUGGUGAAGCAAAGUCUUCAUAAGAAUAUGGAAAUGAUCACCCGACGAGCCAAUGCUGCCGGCGAUUCUUCGAAUCUCAAGUCUUUGGUCCUCAGCACAAGUUCUAAAAGCUUGCCUUACUAAAAAAACGUUUUAUGUAAUUCUUUUGCAAGGGCCUGUAAUUAUUGCAAAUGAUGGGAAAGAAGGAUUUCCCAAAGUUAGAUGGAAGAAAUCAGCAACUUUGCGAGAGAAUGCAAUGCUUCUGCAGUAAUUAGCGUAUACAACAACUGUAUAUGAUCAUCAAUUCAUGACCAACAAAAGUAACGAAAAAAAUUAAAGAAAUUGGGGAAAUACUGAAACUUUACCCUUGAUGGCAUGUAAUUGAACACCUCAAGUUUUUUAUUUUAUCCUUUCCUGACAUUGAGUUGUAUAGUUGGAAAUGAAAUAAAUCACGGUAAAUAACCCAAACAGAGUAAUAUCUUUAUUGCUUGAAUGAAAUUAAAUACAAUAUAGUACCCUAAACCAUGUGCUACGAAGUUGCAAGGAAUGCAUAAAUUGUGCAUUUUGCACAAAUUUAUUAGUAAUUGGCAUCUUUUUCCCCCCCUUUCACUAAUAGUUUUGCCUUAGGUAUGUCCCUCGUUUCUGGCUUUCUGCUAAUAAACUUGCCAUUCAAAAGGCAGUCAGCAAAAUGAGCUAAUAAACCAUUCAAAAAUUAGAUUUUAGGUCUACGACUAGGAAAAGAACAUGCAAGAAAAACAGCCCAAAGCGUAUAACUUUGCAAAGAGGUUCAUCAAAUACAAAAACACUUAAACAAAUAAUGCCGAAUUGAACCAACAAAAGCUGGAUUGAUUAAGUUUUGCCUAAAUUAUCCUUUAGACAUCAUAGAAGAAAGGAUCAGAUUAACAGAAUUCUGCAAACGGAAACAAAAGAAAUAGUUUAGCGCUUCCCACUGUUUGGAUUAGAUUUGGUGCAAAGGACCUUCCGACCCUUAGCACGGCGACGUUUCAAUACAGCUCUUCCACUAGUGGUUCUCAUUCUUCGACGGAACCCAUGAGUUCGAGCCAAAGAUUUCCGGGACCUAUUCCUCUUUGUUUGACAAAGUGCAGCCUUCCCAGCCCUAACCACCAGGCCUCGCCUUUUCUCAUUCCUCACCCCAUUAUUUGAACUAAAAUCCAUCCCCAAUGAUAACCCUACGUCCAAAAUUGAAAUUAAACGAAAAACAUUAACACCCAUUGAAGAAACACAGUGAACAUAUAAAACGGGAAAUUCUUUUACCUGAAAAUGAAGAAUGUAAAGAGAGAGAAGAUGAGGAAGAAGAGAGAAAGGAGCAGUGAAGCAGGGAAGAGCAAGCUUUGGGGUUGAUCGCUGCAUUGGAAGAGAUGGAAAUUCUUCUUCUUGAACCUGUCAAAAGAUUGAGAGAAGCUGAAGGGAUUUGGGUUCUUAUGGAUUGAGUAGUAAGCCAUUGAGAUGAUGUUAGUACUGGCAUCGAAGCCAUUGUUUCUGCCACACCUAUCUGUUGUCUCUCACUUACGUUCUUAUCUACUACUCUCUCAGUGGUCAAGCUACACCUACAGGGGUAGAGAACUAGAGAUGGAAUGUGCUGAUGGGAUGGGUUUGAAUUCAACUUCUUGUGAGCCCAAUCUGGGGUUAACUUAACUAGACUGCAGGAUAUUGAUCUUAGAAACCGUGAAAGUUUUCUUCAGUGAGCCCAAACCUCGUCGUCGUAGAAAAGUUUUCAGUUUCCCUAGAGCCUAUGGGUUAUGUCAUUAGCCCAUUUCAUAAUUAUUUAGGUUUCCUAUCUGCCACUGGAAUUUGGAACCGGAACUUUUUAAAGUAAACCCGUCACAGCCCGGAAUUUGAUAACAGUUUUUAUUUCUACUGAUCUGAAGUAGUGGUGUUGAAAUGGUAAUUCAACCCAAUAUUAUUAAUAGAACAAAUCAAAAAUUUUAAAUUCCUUAAUCAUUAACUGAACUGAAUUUUCUGCGAUAAUAGUUAAUAAAGUCCAACUCAUUUCGAUUACUUCGGUGUUAAGAUUUUUGAGUUUUAGUUUUGUUAUUUAUUACAUACCUUACGUUUUAUUUGAACUUUUAGGGUAAAUUACUGUUGUAGUCACUUAACUAUUAGUAAAUUUUUUCGUCAUCUAAUUAUUAAUUUUUUUUGUCACUUGUCGUUAAAUGGUUAAUGAAAAAAUGAUCUGUCAGUUUUUAUGACAUAAUAACAACCUUAACCCUCAAACAUUUAUAUACAUUGUGUCAAUAUAAUUUUAAUUUUUUUUUAAAAAAAAUAGCUCUUAAUGUUUACACAUGACCUAAUUUAUCCUAUUCUUACGUAAAAAUAUAAUUUAAUACAGGAUGAGUAAAUUAGAAAUAAAAACAAAUUUUUUUUAUUAAAUUAGAUAAUCCCAAAUACAUUGAUUUUCUUAUACUUUGAAGGUUGAGAACUUGAUCUCUCUCAAUGACAAUAAACUAAUUUUUUGUAAAAUUAGGAGCUAAUUUUUUUUAAAAAAAAUUAAGACCAAAUUGACAUAGUAUAUGAAUGUUUAAGUGUUAAAGUUGUUAUUCUGCUAUUUAAAAAAAAGUUGUUAUUAUGCUAUUUUUAAAAGCUGACACGUCAUCUUCCUAUUAGCCAUUUAACAGCAAGUAACCAGAAAAAGAAAAUGUCGAAUAGUUGAGCAAUCAUUUUAUAACUUUUCCUAGUUGAGUGACAAAAAAAAAACUUAAUAAUAAUUGAGUAACUAUUAAUGUAGUUUAUCCAAAUUUUUAAUAUAUUUUUUCUUUCACCCACUGACAUAUACAAUUUGGAUUUAAGCUUUUUGGGUGAGUGAACUUUUAUAUACAUAAGAUUCUUAUUAUUUGUUAUUAAUAAUUUUGAUUAAACAGUUAAUUUCACGUUCGAAUUAAAUUAAUUAAUAAUUGAAAUUUUAAAAUAUUUAAUUAAAUUAACUCCAAUUACCGGCUUAUUAGUCAAAUUAUUUUAAUUUAAUUAUUCAAUGAACUAUUCGGUUUUAACCUAACUUUGAAUUGUUUUGAGGUUAUAAUUAAGUGUUUUUAUUAAAUGAAUUUAGUCUUUCUCAAUUAAAAAGAAAAAAGGGGGAGAGCCAGCGAGGGGAGAGACCCUUUAUCCAGAAUAAUUAAGUUGUGGUGCAAAUCUUGUUGAACUUUGGCUCCAAAUAGAGAGUUAGCCCGAAUUGGGAGACUUGGUUAAAGUAUCUAAUCAGAAGUUAUCUUCUUCAUGGUGCAACCAUCCUAUUGUUGUCUUACUCUCUCCUUUCAUGACUUCAAAACAAAGUCAUCUAUUUUAAGGCGUUGAUGAUAACAGAAACAAAACAAAGCUUGUAGGAAAUAUUUGCCUUUCGGUACAUGUCAUAUGGUUUUUGCAAGAUUAAUAAAACUCUCUUGUCUUCUUGGAAGCUUGCUUAGCUAUGCAUGUUUCUCAAUGUUUCUUCUUUGGAUGUCUCCGCCUUUUCCAUAACUGUUUUUAUACUGUUGUGAGUGACAAUGGGUAGUUAAGACUGUCUUUUUUUCUAAUGCUAGCCUAGCUGUCUACUUUUUAGAAAGCUUGCUUACUCGUAACAGAUUUAUUUCCUUGUAUUUCAAUCUACUUGUCUUGUUGCUAGCAUCAUUACUUACGAAAAUAUUCAUUAAGCAGUAUAUAUACUCAACAUUCUUAAGAAGUGGUUCGGUGAGAAAAAGAAAGUGAUGGCUAGGAGCAGCAUAGCAAAAAGAUGGAAGCAGUUGAGCGGGCAGAACAAUUGGGGAGAGCUUUUGGACCCUUUGGACAUUGAUCUUCGGCGUUACCUUACUCACUAUGGAGAAAUGGCUCAGGCUACCUAUGACGCCUUCAACACCGAGAAGGCUUCCAAGUACGCUGGAAGCAGUUUGUAUGGCAAGAAAGAUUUCUUCUAUAAUGUCGGUUUGGAGAAAGGCAAUCCUUACAAGUACCAAGUGACCAAAUUCUUUUACGCCACAUCUCAAAUCCGAGUUCCGGAAGCGUUUAUAGUGAAGCCAAUGUCGAGGGAAGCAUGGAGCAAAGAGUCAAACUGGAUCGGGUAUGUUGCCGUGGCCACAGAUGAAGGCAAAGAUGUUUUAGGAAGGAGGGAUAUUGCAAUUGCUUGGAGAGGGACAGUGGAGACCCUGGAAUGGAUCGAUGAUGUUGAAUUUAAAUUGGUUUCGCCAGAGAAGAUUUUUGGUGAUCCAAGUGAUGCCAAGGUGCAUGAGGGCUGGUACUCCAUCUACACCUCGGAAGACCCACGUUCGGCUUAUAACAAAACCAGUGCCAGAGACCAGGUGAACGCUACCAAUGCCAUAACAAUGCUCCACUAGCAUCGAUAUCUUGUUUCAAUGGAAAAUACUAAGGUUCGUCUCUGUUCUUGGCUAUUGAUAUUUUAGGUUCUCAACGAGGUUAUGAGGCUAGUGGAGCAAUUCAAGAACGAGGAAACCAGCAUCACAGUAACCGGCCACAGCUUGUUGUUCCAAUAGGGUCGGAAGCGUGUAAAUUAUUGUACUAAAAAAUCACACAAAGUUCAAUUCCCAGGGAAGAGAGGUGGAUCACAAGGAUCUCUUAAAUACCAAGUCUUUCCUUAGACAGAAUAUCCCUUCUAUAGUAAUUUAAUAGCACAAUUAAAUACUACUAUUAUACCCUCAAAUAUUGAAAGAAAAAUAGGACAAGAAAGAACACAAGAGUUUUAACGAGGUUCGGUAAAUUAUACCUACGUCCUCGGGCACUAACACCAGAUGAUAACUUUACUAUCUUCAAAGUAUUACAAACAAAUAGAAUUCCUUAAGAAUUCUCAAAUGGGAGAAGAGAGAAAACUAAGAGAGAAAGAUUGGUUGGGAUGAAUUGAAAUGAGAAAUGAGAAGGCCUAUUUAUAGUUGAGGUUUAAGGACCAAACAAUAAAUAGCCCAUUAUCUCAAGGACCAAAAAAAAAUUAUCCCAUGCCACUUUUUCAAAGUCAAAUUUAGGGUGCUAAACUUGCACCACUUUGUAUUGUUUGCCAUUAAUGUUAACAAUCUCCACCUUGAAGAUUUGAUUAGGAUAAUCACAUCUUCACACACUUCCUUCAACUCCCCAAAUUCGAUAAAGCUAUCUUUUGUAGUGCCUACAAAUGCACUCUCGGGCGCCAUACACCUGAAGGUGCUCAAAUUCUCAGGAUGUUAAUCAAGUUCAAACAAUGAUUAAACUUGAUUGUUGUUACCACCUUGGUCAUCAUAUCUGCGGGAUUAUCUGCUGUCGGAAUCUUCUGAAGUAGAAUUUUUCCUUUUUCAAAGACUUCCCGCACAAAGUGAUAUCUUACGUCGAUAUGCUUGGUUCUUGAAUGAUAGACUUGAUUUUUCGCUAAAUGAAUAGCGCUCUGACUGUCACAAUAUAAACUUAUGUGACUUUGAACAACUCCUAAGUCUUUCAACAAUCCAUUAAGCCAAAUAGCCUCCUUAACAGCUUCUGUAACUGCCAUAUAUUCUGCCUCUGUAGUAGACACAGCUACUGUAGACUGUAAGGUAGACUUCCAACUUAUUGGGGCUUUCGCAAGAGUAAACAGAUACCCCGUAGUUGAACGACGUUUAUCUAAAUCACCAGCAAAGUCGGAAUCAACAUAUCCAACUACAAACUGACCAAGUGCUUCAUCCUGUUCAAAAAUUAAACCAACAUCUACGGUUUUUCGAAGAUACCGUAGAAUCCAUUUCACAGCUUGCCAAUGUCCUUUUCCAGGAUCAUGCAUAUACCUGCUCACAACUCCAACAGCUUGUGAAAUGUCAGGCCUCGUACACACCAUCGCAUACAUCAAACUCCCAACUGCAUUAGCAUAUGGGACUUUCGCCAUAUAUUCUCUUUCAUCUUCAGUCUUCGGAGAUAAUUGAGCACUAAGUUUCAAAUGAGAAGCAAGUGGGGUACUUACAUGUUUUGUGUUUUCAUUUACACCAAAACAUUGUAAUACCUUUUUCAGAUAUUGCUUCUGAUUUAAACAGAGCUUGCCUCUCGGUCUAUCUCUACUUAUCUCCAUGCCGAGAAUCUUCUUGGCCUCACCUAGAUCUUUCAUCUCGAACUCUUGAUUCAACUGAGCCUUCAGCUUAUCUAUCUCAUUUUGGCUCUUCGAAGCGAUUAACAUAUCAUCAACAUACAAGAGUAGAUAAAUGAAAGAUCCGUCAUGCAGCUUCUGCAAAUAUACACAAUUGUCAUAUUUGCUUCUUGUGUACUUCUGCCUUCUCAUAAAGCUAUCAAAUCGCUUGUACCACUGCCUCGGGGAUUGCUUCAAUCCAUAUAGCGAUUUGUUAAGCUUACAAACCCAAUUUCUACCACCAGCAUCUGUGUAUCCUUCUGGCUGAGUCAUAUAGAUCUCCUCUUCUAACUCACCAUGCAAGAAAGCCGUCUUAACAUCAAGUUGAGCUAGCUCCAAAUUCAACUGUGCUACCAAGGCCAACAAAAUUCUAAUGGAGGAAUGCUUCACAACAGGGGAAAAUACAUCAUUGUAGUCAAUUCCCUCCUUCUGAGCGUAGCCUUUAGCUACCAAUCUUGCCUUGUAGCGAAUAUCCUUCUUGCUAGGAGAUCCAUCUUUCUUUGCGAAUACCCACUUGCAUCCGAUUGCCCUUUUACCUUUCGGUAAUUGCGCCAACUCCCAAGUAUUAUUCUUCCGGAGAGACUGCAUUUCUUCAUCCAUGGCGCUUUUCCAUUUAUCACUUUCUAAGCUUUGCAUUGCUUCUUGAUAAGUGAUAGGAAUAUCAUCAACAACGGGAAGGGCGUAGGCCACUAUAUCAGUAAAUCGAGCAGGUUUACGAAUUUCUCUCCGUGGCCUUGCAACUGCAACUGGUUCUGGUGUACUUAGUGGUUCUUGGGUCAGAACCUCUUCAACCUCUAAUUCCUCCAUUGUGGCUGGAGAAUUAGACUUAUUAACUGGGCAAAUCCCCAUCUGCUCAAACUCCACCUGUUUUGGAGUACACUCCACCUGCUGUGGAGUAUUGCUCGUCUGAAUAUCUUUAUCUGCUACCUUUUUCAAUGUGGUAGAUUCAUCAAAGGUAACAUCUCUGCUACAGAUCAUUUUCUUUGUGCUUAAGCACCAAAGACGAAAUCCCUUCACUCCAGAAGUGAUUCCCAUAAAGAGAGCUUUCUUUGCCCUCGGAUCUAACUUUGACUCCUUCACAUGGUAAUAUGCAGUGGUUCCAAACACAUGUAAGGAAUCAUAAUCUGUAGCCGGUUUUCCAGACCAUACCUCCAUAGGAGUUUUUCUUUCUAAUGCAGAUGAUGGCAAACGAUUAACAAGAUGGCCAGCGUAUGUCACAGCCUCAGCCCAAAAUUGCUUGCCCAACCCAGCAUUGGACAACAUACAUCGAACUUUCUCCAGCAAUGUUCGAUUCAUACGCUCUGCCAAUCCAUUCUGCUGUGGUGUAUCCCUAACUGUGAAGUGUCGAACAAUACCAUACUCUUGGCACACAUCGAAGAACGGAUCACUUUUAUAUUCCCCUCCAUUGUCCGUCCUAAGCCGCUUGAUUUUCUUGCCAGUCUGGUUUUCGAUCAUAGUUUUCCAUUUAAGAAAAACUCCAAGCACUUCAUCUUUAGUUUUCAUGGUAUACACCCAAACUCUUCUGGAAAAGUCAUCAACAAAAGUAACAAAGUAGUGUUUUCCUCCCAAUGAAGGUGUUUUGGAAGGCCCCCACACAUCUGAGUGAAUAUAUUCCAAAAUACCUUUUGUAUUAUGGAUAGCAGUGCCGAAUUUCACUCUCUUUUGCUUUCCCAGAACACAGUGCUCACAAAAUUUUAAUUUGCAAGCCUUUACACCUUUCAACAAUCCUUGCUUUGCCAGAAUUUGCAAGGAUUUUUCGCUGGCAUGUCCCAACUUCAUAUGCCACAACUGCAUUGAGUCCAAGUCUUUGUUACCGGAAGCUGCAGCGACUGCUCCAAUAACUGUACUACCUUGGUAGUAAUACAAGUUAUUUUUCCUGAUGCCCUUCAAUAUCACAAGUGCGCCAGAUGUCACUUUCAAAACCCCAUCUCUCAUAGUAACAACUGAACCAUUGGAUUCCAAGGCUCCCAAUGAGAUGAGAUUUUUCUUCAAACUGGGCACGUACCGAACAUCAGUCAGAACUCUGGUUGAUCCAUCUUUAUUCUUUAAUUGGAUUGAACCUAUCCCAACAGUUUUACAGGCAUUGUCAUUGCCCAUAUAAACAACUCCUCCAUUUAGUUCUACUAAAUCAGAGAACCACUCCCGGUUAGGGGACAUAUGAUAGGUACAACCCGAAUCCAAUAUCCACUCAUCUGAAUGGAACGACGAUGAUGAUGCAACCAGUGAUAGUUCAGAGUCACUAGUAUCAUGCUUAGCAACACAAGCAUCUACAGCAGCUUUUCCCUUAUUCUUCAGCUUUGGACAAUUUUUCUUCCAGUGGCCUUUCUCAUGACAAAAAGCACAUUCAUCUUUCCCGAGUCUGGACUUUGACUUUGAUCUCCCCUUUUGAGUUUUCUUCCGAGUGUAUGAACGACCUCGGACUAGUAAAGCUUCUGUAUCUCUGAUUGAGUUUUUCUGUUUGUCCUUCUUUCUCUGUUCAUAACUGUAUAAGGCCGCACAGACUUCGCUCAGAGAUAUAUCACUCCUGCCAUGAAGUAGAGUAGUUUCUAGGAACUCAAACUCCUCAGGAAGUGACCCCAACAGCAUCAAAGCCAAAUCUUCAUCUUUGAAUGUCUCAUCCAUAUUCAGCAAAUCAGUGACUAACUGAUUAAAUUUGGUGAUGUGAUCAUUCAUUGUGGUACUUGGGACGUAUGUGAAGCGAAACAGUCUUUUCUUCAAGUGGAGCUUAUUUUGACUGUUUUUCUUCAAAAAUUUUUCUUCAAGUGCCACCCACAACUUAUUUGCAGAAGUCUCCUUUGAAAAAGCAUACCUCUGCUCUCGAGAAAGGCAUGAUCGAAUUGUGCCACAUGCCAACCGAUUGAUCGCCUUCCAAUCUUUCUCCUGUACAUCAUCUGGUUUCUCUUCAUCAAUGGCAAUGUCUAGACCCUGCUGAAAAAGGGCAUCUAGAACCUCACUUUGCCACAUACCAAAAUGGCCCGUGCCAUCAAAGAUCUCCACGGCCAAUCUUGCAUUUGCAAUUGUCGGUCUUGUCCACAUGGACGAUGUUGAAGCUCCUACACCGACCGUUUUCUCCAUAAUCUUUCAAUAUACCUAAGGAAAUCUUUUCUGAUGUGGAAGAUCAGUUCAAACUGCAACCACAGAGCAUACUACGAUUAACCUUCGGCUCUUGAUACCACUUGUUGUUCCAAUAGGGUCGGAAGCGUGUAAAUUAUUGUACUAAAAAAUCACACAAAGUUCAAUUCCCAGGGAAGAGAGGUGGAUCACAAGGAUCUCUUAAAUACCAAGUCUUUCCUUAGACAGAAUAUCCCUUCUAUAGUAAUUUAAUAGCACAAUUAAAUACUACUAUUAUACCCUCAAAUAUUGAAAGAAAAAUAGGACAAGAAAGAACACAAGAGUUUUAACGAGGUUCGGUAAAUUAUACCUACGUCCUCGGGCACUAACACCAGAUGAUAACUUUACUAUCUUCAAAGUAUUACAAACAAAUAGAAUUCCUUAAGAAUUCUCAAAUGGGAGAAGAGAGAAAACUAAGAGAGAAAGAUUGGUUGGGAUGAAUUGAAAUGAGAAAUGAGAAGGCCUAUUUAUAGUUGAGGUUUAAGGACCAAACAAUAAAUAGCCCAUUAUCUCAAGGACCAAAAAAAAAUUAUCCCAUGCCACUUUUUCAAAGUCAAAUUUAGGGUGCUAAACUUGCACCACUUUGUAUUGUUUGCCAUUAAUGUUAACACAGCUUAGGUGCAGCUCUUGCAACUUUGAAUGCCAUUGACAUCAUUGCCAAUGGAUAUAACAAGGCCAAUAAUCCGUCGGGAGAGGCCUCUCCUGUUACAGCCUUUUUAUUCGCUAGUCCUCGAGUUGGUGACUCAAACUUCAAGAAGAAAUUCACAGGAUACAGUGACCUUCGAGCGUUACGCGUCCGAAAUGUUAUAGAUGCUGUUCCCAAAUAUCCUAUGGUAGGGUACACGGAUGUGGGGGAAGAAUUGGAUAUCGACACCCGUAAAUCAAAGUACUUGAGGAGCUCUGGGAACUGGUUAAAUUGGCAUGAUUUGGAAGCCUAUUUACAUGGGGUGGCAGGAACGCAAGGGUGUAAUGGAGGAUUUAAGUUGGUGAUUAGUCGUGAUAUAGCCCUCGUAAACAAAUCCGUCAAUGGAUUAAAGGAUGAAUAUUUGGUGCCAGUGUCAUGGAGGAUUGAGAAAAACAAAGGUAUGGUCCAGCAGGAGGAUGGUUCUUGGAAAUUAAUGGAUCAUCAAAGUCAAGACGAGGAUGAUACUUGAACAUCUCUCCAUGGUUUGAUAAACGAUCUUUAUGUUUUGUUCAAGAUUUUAAAAUAAAAACACUAAUCCGAAUUUUAUUUACUUUAAAAAUAAUUUAAAUUCAAAUCAUUACUAUAUUAAAAAAAUGAUAUUUUAAAAAAAUAAUCUUAAAUUCGAGCCUUUUAUCGAUUUUAAUAUAAUAGUAUAAUUUACUUUUAAAAAAUAAUUUUCCAACAGAGCUAACACCACUAAUUCAAUUAAUGAUUUUAAACAUUGUAUAGAUAAAUAAAUUGCUAUAUGGUUCCAUUUACGGUAUUGGGUAAAAAUCUAUAUGGUAGUGGACUAAGAAAAUUAAUUCAUAUAGUUUAUUUAAAUAAGUGUCAUUUAUUAACCAAAUUACAACUUAGUUGUUAAAAAAUUAAAACCAUUUUUUUAUAUUACUACUAGUUCCUAAGCUCAUAUGCAUUACAUAUUAUUUCAAUUGUAUUAGUAAUGAUGAUUAAAAAAUAAUUAUUAAAAUUUAACUUUCUUUUCAAAAUAAAUCUACAAAAUGUUUUCCACAUGUACCAAACAAAUAAUGGAGAAACAAAAAGAACAGUUUUAAGAGUGUUUACUUCACAUAGUAUAAACAACAUAAAAUACAAGUAGAAAAAAGAUAUUAUAUUAUCUUCGUCAAUAAUAAAAAUAAUCUUCAAAUUUUUUUGGUGCUAUUGUAAUUUGAAUACAAUUCAAUAUUGUCUCCUCAAAGAACCAUUGCUAUAUAUAUAUAUAAUUUAUUAAUGCUAACAACUUCUCAUUUUUUUAUCGAUAAUUUUUUCUUAGAUGUUAAUUGAUCAAAUAUGUCUAAUUACAGAAUGUUGUUUAUAGUGCUAAACUUAAAAUUUUAAUUGGUAUAUAACUCUAAAUUAAUUAAAUGAUAAUUAAGAUGCUUAAAAUUUUGUUCAAGUAAUUACUCUAUUUUACAUUAAUAAAAUUGCACUCCUUUUUUACGUCAAAUGUUUUAGUUAUAAUUAUAAUUAUCUUAGUUUUUUUUCCUAUAUUCUAUAGACUUUUAUUUAAGUAAUAACUUUAUUUUAAAAUUAACACAAUUGUUUUUAAUUAAUAAUUGUAAAUUCAAUUAUAAUUAUCACAAAUUAUAUUUAUUUAUAAUUAUUUUUUUAAUUGUAUAAUCAUCACAAUAUCUAUUUUACUUUAAAUUGUUUAACUAAUAAUUCUAAAUUAAAUACUAUAAUUAUUUUUAAAUGUUAGUUUAGUAAUACGACAAAAAAAAAAGAUAUUCUCCCAAGUUCAAAAGUUUCAAAAGUCAUGUUUUUAUAUAUAUUAUAGAUCAUAGAUAAGAACCAACACCAGUAAGUCAAACUACUUGAAGCAGAAUUCUAUUAUGAUCAGUAGUGUUGGCGACACAGAUUCCACGUCCAUCCCUCCUAAGCAUUUGCCUGCAGAAUAUUUAGAUGAAAACAUCCAGGUUGAAGAAGAACUGGAAAUUUUUGCCGCCACGAAAGGAUAUAAGCGUAGAAACUACACGGAAGAAGAAGAAGAGCUGGAAAUUGGCGCCACCAUCCUAGGAUUUAUGGAUGAGCUUAUGGAGAACUUGGGUGAACUUUUCGUUGCUCAUAGUUUGGAUAUUUACGAUCGAAACUAUUUUUCUUUUGAGUUCGACGUUUUAUUUUAAAAAAUGAAAAUGAAGUCAUCAUCAAUCACUUUCGGGAGGUGUGAUCGAGUUAUUUCAAAAUUUGAUCGUUUUAAUAAGAGAUGUAAUUUGCUAAAAUAAUAUUUUUUUGUCUACAAAAUCCAGAAAAUAAGUUCAGGAGUCGGUUACGCACGAGAAAAUAUUAGCACAAUUGUUAUGCCCAAAAUUGGUACCUAAUAAUUACUUCAUGUAUUUAGUGUUGAAAAAUUGAAAUUUUGAAAAGAGUUUAAAACACAAUCCCACUUAGCAUAAUAUUAUUUUUAAUCAAAAUGUACAAGGGGCCUUUUAUCUCAAGGUAACAAAAGGUCACAUCCCAUAAGUUAGGACACGAUAGCUCGAACUCUCGAAAAUAAGCUUGCUUUUUUUAUUUUACUAUUUAAUUAAAUCUCAUGUAUUUUAAUUUUAAAAGGAUAUUCGGUCAUUUAGGUUCAACGAGGAAGUCGAACCCCAUAAGUUAGGGCAUGACUUCUCGAAUAUCUAAAUAUGGAACAUUGCCUUAUUUUAAAAAAAAUUCCUCCUUUUUUGAAUAAUAACAAAUGUAAUAUUUAAAACGAUCAGUAUUUAUCUUAUUUGGAUACAAUACAUCAAUGAAUAAAUAUAUCUAAACCUAAUAUGUAGUAUAGUGACAAAUGGAAUAAUAUAUAAUAACUAUGUGAGUAGAAUGUUAGAAUAAAUAAAUAGAGGAAUACUAUAAUAAUACUAAUGUAAUCAUAAUAAUAUUAAUAAUCAGAUCAUACUGAUACUAAAACAAAUAAGAUAAAAAUAAAAAUGAAAAAUGCAUAAUUUAAAAGAGAUAAAUAAACGUGACAUGAAAACAUCAAAAUAAUAAAGUAAUAAGUACAAAAAAUAAAAAUAAAAUAAUAACCACAAUAACAAUGCACAAAUAAAAGAGUAUGGAUAAUCUUUUCUUUUUAAGUGUAAAAAAAGAUAAAGAUAACUAAAUAAUAAAUAAAAUUUUUUUAUAGAAAGGUUGAAAUAUAAAGGAUGAAAUAGAAGUUUAAAUGAAAUUAAAAGGAGAAGUCAGAAUAAAUUGAAUAAUAAAGGAUUAAAUUGGAAACAUAACAAAAUUAUCUAUAGAAAUCAUAAAUUAGAAAAAGGCACAAACGGAUUGGAUUAAAAUAGGAUGAAAUAUAUAGGGACUUAAAAGGAAAUUAUCCCAACUCAGGACACGCAUCUUUUCUCUUGGAGAUCAGCAGACUGAUGACUUAAAUGAAAGUGGGACAAAAUUGAAUGGAAAAUUUUAAAAAGAGAAAAUAUAGAGAAAUUAGGACUACAUUAAGAUAACUAAAAAACAGAAGGAUUAAAGACAUAAAUAGACCCCCUAAAAAAUACACGGAUCCUAGAAUGGAUCAGGUCGGGUCAUCGGGUUGGCUGAAACGACGCUGUUUCAAGUGUUCCUCUUUUAAAAUGGUCUAAGGACCAAAAUAAAAAUAAAAUAAAAUUAGGUGGCAAAAUCAAAAAAUAAAUAAAAUAAAAUAGGACUAGAUUGAAACAGACCGCAAAAGUGGAAGAACCAAAUGCACAAUUAGGCUAUUUUUCAAAAACACGUGGAUCCUGUCAAAGGAUCGGGUCGGAUUUAAGUUUUGGCCCCUAAACGACAUCGUUUUGGGACCUUCUGGACUCUUCUGAAACGACGUCGUUUAACAAAAAAAUCAUUUUACACAUACUUUUAAAAAAAACAUUUUUCUCUAUUUUUUUCUCGCUGGGCCGUUGCUGCCGAUCGCCGGCAACGGUGACCACUGUCUAUGGUGGCCGAAAAAUCACCUAAAAACCUAUUUUAACCCCUUUUUCGCAUAGAACCCGAUUCAUAACCGAAAAAUCUCAAACCGAAGCCCAAAACUCCCAAAAAGGGAGAAAACCUUUCUGUUCUUAGCAUCCUCCGCCGUGGCCUCAGCCGAAUCCCCAGGCAUCGGACAGCCUUCAGACCAGAAAAGCUAACGUUGGUGGUGGGAAGACCAAGCGGCAAGUAAAAAAGUCCCCUUUAUAUAUAUAUAUUUGUUGUUAUUUUUGCUUUCGAAUUAAAAAUAAAUAAAAGAAAAAAAUUGACCUUAAGGAUUAGAAUCUGAUUUCUAUCUUUUGGAUUGCUUUUUCGUAUUUUUUUCGUGUGUAAAAAAAAAAACUACAAUAUGGUUAUGGCUUUUAUAACCAUAGAUUACAUUGUUUAUUAUUUUUUGCUAUUGUUUCUAUUGUUUCUGCUUUCGUUUUUGUUGUCCUUGUUUUUGUCUUUUUUCAUCAUUUUGCAGGUAUCCUUGGAGAGUCAACGACAGGGCAAAAAGCCUGCCCUUGCCAUUUUGGUGAAACGGCGGCAAAGGCGCGUCAGGCCUCAAGUGGCGUGCCUAUUCAUGUGGAGAGCAGCAACGCUGAGGAUUUUAGGGUUUUUUUUAUUGAAAACUUUGUUUAGGUUAUUAGGCUUGGGUCAUUAGGGUUUUUUUUUGGGCUUGUAAUUUUGCAAUUGGAUUGUAACAGAUUUUAUUAUUUUAUUUUUGGUUUGUUUUUGUUGGAUCCGAGCUAAAUUGACCUAUUACAUUUACUUGCAUGGAGUUACAGGCGUCCAAGAAGAUAGGUUUUAUCAGGAUUACGAUCAUGAUAUUGCACUGGUAAACAAGCAUUUAGAUUGGCUGAAAGAAGAUUACAAAAUUCUUGGUCAAUGGUAAAGAAAUGAGAAUCGAAAAUAUAUGGUUCAAAUGGACAAUGGACACUAGAAGUUUGUUGAUCAUUCGUAAAUCGUAAUCAUGGAUCAACAUACAAUGUGCUCUCAAAUUGCUUGACCGCAAUCAGAGAUCGCCCUUCAUCAUUAUGGAUUACUAAUAAUUCAAUUCAUAAACAAUUGUACGUAUAAAUGUGUGUUACAUACCAAUUUUAAUAAAUCUUGUAUCGCAUUCUGAAUGUUACUCGGGUUUCCUUGUUUCUUUCUAUUCCAUAGCCUCAUUCAUCUUUUAUUUUCUGCUCUCUUUAUUAUUAUUAUUAUUAUUAUUAUUAUUAAAAUAAAACUAAUUUUAUGCGGCUUAAUGUUGUUAACUAUUAAAAUCUAAAAAAUAUAAAAAUUAUAUUCUUAAAAAUAGAAGUAUAAGAAUUGAAUUCAAAAUUUGUGAGAAUAGAAGGAUGUAUCUCAUAUUUUAAGUUAUUUUAUAUUACUAAAAAGAUUUUCAUUAAUGGAAAUGAAAUAAUUGUUCAAAUAUGGAAAAUGAAGAUACACGAUUUUGUCUUGCUUUUCGUUAUCCUUUACACUUUUAUUUUUAGAUAAAAAAAAAUGUGACAUUUGAGAAAUAAAAUAAGGAUAUAAUUGCCAUAUACAGUCUUUAGGCGGUACAAUUGAUUCUAUUUAUAAUAUAAAUUUGAGAAUCUUAAAAAAGAGUAAGGAGACGAAGGGAAGGGGCCCACUUUGUCUCUAUCGCCACUUAGCCAGAAUAUAUAAUAAACGUGUAGAAGCACCGGCCUGAUAUAUACCAGAAAUAAAGGAAGCAAUGCCCACCUUAUUAUGAAUUACGUAUGAUUAAAGCAGAAAGCAAAAUAUCAAUUUUCCUAGGAAAAAUAAUCAAGAAAGGUUUGUUCAUCAAACCCACAAUAUCCAUUCAUUUCAUUUUCAGGGUGAGGAGAUUGAGUAAAGACAUGCUUCACUCUAACAUCCACACUCAACAAAAAGGAAGCAACAUAACGUGUAUGAGAUAAAAUCAUAAUUAGAUGUUUUCAUUCUAAAUUCAAUUGAUCUGUUUAAUAUGUGUGAGGCCGAUCAUUUCACCUUGGAGGAGAUCUUUGUUAAACGUCUUUUUCUUUUUUCAAUUCAGAAUUAAUUACUUAAAAACAUCUCAAAGAAAUUACAGAUUUUGUAUUUAAAAGAAACUAAUAAAUUUAUAAUCGAUCAAACUUAAGAAACAAGUUAACCUAUAUGCCUGAUGCCUAUACAUUUCUUUUUCAAGAGGAAUUCACGACUUCUCUGUUUUUAAUCAGUCGUGUGUAUAGUAUUUUACGAAGUAAUAUUGCAAUGAGAUAUACUCAGCUAUUCGUGAUUAAUAUUUUUUUUCUAAACAUAGAGGAAUAGGAGGAUUAUAUCCGAUUAUUUUACUUGAAACUAUGGGUUUUGUUUAUGCAAGAUGAUCAAUGCUAACCAAUUAUAUUAUGCAAAAUUUUGCUUUCACGAAAUAGGAACAAGUAUAAUAAUGGGAAGUGUGUGGCAUGGGGCAAAAGAGUUUUAUUAUUAUUUGACCAUGUCUAACAUGUAGUGCUCAACCAUCGUUUCCAUGUUGACAAAAGAUAAGAGAAACUACUAGUCUUGAAAGUUGAAAACUUAAGCACCAAAAAUUCGAAAGUGACACGAAGCGCAUGAUAUUGAGAACCAGGUCACUAUAUAAAUAGGCUGUAAUAAGAAAUAAUUAAGAGCUCAACCUUUUAGAUUGUUUUGGCAGACAAAAGGGGAAAAAAAUUGUUUUUGAUGGGUAGCAUUGCAGAAAGAUGGAGAGAACUAAGUGGGGAGAAGAAGUGGGAGGGUUUAUUGGAACCCCUUGAUAAUGAUCUCCGCAAGUUAAUUAUUCAUUAUGGUGAAAGAACUCAAGCUGUUAUAGAUGGCUUUAUUGGCGAAAAGGUAUCGAGAUGGGUUGGAUUGAGCCGAUACUCAAUGGAGAACUUGUUCCGCAAAGUGGGGUUGGAGAUAGGCAAUCCAUACGAGUACAAAAUAACCAAAUUCCUUUAUGCAAGGUCAGAAAUCCAAAUCCUUGAUUGGAUUUGCCCUGGGGAAUCCAAUUGGAUCGGCUAUGUGGCAGUGACCACCGACCAAGGAAAGGCAGUCUUGGGAAGGAGGGACAUUUUGAUCUCUUGGAGAGGAACCAAGCGAACCUAUGAAAUGAUUAACGAUCUUCAAGCAGAUUUAGUCUCAGCCGCUGAUAUUCUUGGAGACAAUGAAAAUCCAAGGGUGCACCAUGGUUGGCAUUCUAUAUACACUGCUCAAGACCCCAAAUCCAUUUACAAUCAAACCAGCGCUAGAGAUCAGGCAAGUUUAAUUUAUUUUACGUACUUAAUGUAUUGUCCAUAUCGAAUGCUAAUAAUUACCAAGUUAUUUUAUUUCAGGUUCUAAGUGAGGUUAGGAGACUGAUGGAUUUUUACAAAGACGAAGAAAUCAGCAUAACUUUGACAGGCCAUAGCUUAGGUAGCGCAGUGGCCACUCUGAAUGCAGUUGACAUUGUUACCAAUGGAUAUAACAAGCCGACAAGCAGACCAGACAAGGCUUGCUUGGUCACUGCCAUUGUAUUUGCCAGCCCUCGCAUUGGGGACUCAGGCUUCAAGAAAGUCUUCUCAGGACUGAAAAACCUUCAUGUCUUGCGCAUCGAAAAUGAGUUAGACAUCGUCCCUUCACUGCCAUUACCAUUACCUUUACUAAAUUAUACCCAUGUUGGGAUGGAAUUAGUGAUCGAUGCCCGAAAAUCUCCAUACUUGAAAAGCCACGUAGAUUUGAAUAAGAAUCUGAUGAUUGCUCAUCAGUUGGAGAUUUACCUGCAUGGAGUUGCAGGUACACAUGGGGACAAAGGAGAGUUCAAAUUAGAGGUUAAUCGAGAUAUCUCACUUGUAAACAAAUACCUGGAUGCACUGAAAGACGAACAUAAAGUUCCAACUAAAUGGUGGAUGGAGAAGAACAAAGGAAUGGUUCAGCAAGACGAUGGUUCCUGGAUAUUGGAUGAUCAUGAACCAGAUCAUCCUCCAACUCUAACAUAAUCUAUUUUUAGAUAAGCUUCAUAUGAUGAAGGCUUUAUGUUCCAACUUACGGGUUUACUUUUAAUUACUUGUACAAGUAUAGUUAUUAAGGAUAAGAAUUUAUUGCAGUUUGUGUAUAUUUCUUGUGAAAUUAUACUCAUUGGAGUGUAUCAACCAAAUACAAAAAAUGGUAUUAUGUAGAGUCGGGUAGGGUUUUUCUCAUUCUUUUUCUUUUUAAUCUCCUUUUUUCCAAUUGAUUAAGACAAAUAAUUGCCUAGAUUUCCCAGAUGGGUAAUUGAUAUUUUUUCCUUUUGACCAUGGGUGGUAUAUGCUCAGUUUUGCCUUGUGGGAUUGGACAUAAUCCAGUGUUGCCAUUUUAUUUAUCCAUUUCUUUGGAGAAACAUAGAUCACUUUUUUUUUCAAUGUUUAAUAAGAGGACAACUAAGCUUCUUGUUCUUAUAAGAACCCGAAAAAGGAAACGGAUCUUAAUUAGUGUUUUCAUCAUUUUAUUAAGAAACCUUUCUUUGUUUUUAUUAAGUAAUUGCUUUUUAUUUAUCCUAAAUCAGCAGUGAAAUUGAUAUACAACUAAAGUUGAAACUUUUUUGCAAAGCUGAGGUUACAGCACAAUCAUAUAAACAUAGAAGAAUUGGUAAAGCUCAAUUUAACAAGAUGUGAAGAGAUGUUUCUUAACACAGCAGUCCGCAUCUUAUUGGCCCUCCUCGAUUGCUUCAAUGAUAUUUAUCCUAUUCGAAAACUACUUCCCUGUGAAGGUGGCACAAUCCUAAUACUUUCUUCCAUAUAUCUCUUUAAAAACAAGAACAUUCAAAGAAAUAUGGUUUCUGGUUUCUUGAUUUCUUCAUACACAGGGUUUCCUUCUAAACUUUCAUUUUAUUUUUUUUCAACUAUGAUCCAUAUCGAUUUUAUGAUCUAUAAAGAUUAAUUCUUUCGACAUAUAUGAUUGUUUCUCUCAACAAUAUCAUUUUUUCAUAAAAAUAAAACAUGUCUUAACUUUAUACUCAGACUUUUGUUGGUAAGCUAAAAUAUAUGUUUUUUCUAAACAUUAUUUAUUAGUUUAAUGGUAUGUUAUCUUAUGAGGUAUGAUUUGAUAUGGGAUGUAAAUAUGAUAGAAACAACAUUGUUGGGAGCGAUAAUCACGAAUCUCAAACAUAAACCAUAAAAUAGAUAUGAAGAAUAUAAAAAAAAAGAAAGAAAGUUAUAUCACAAGUCACAACCGGGAAAAGAUGAUUAUUACUAUUGUUAUAAUGAAACAUUAGUUUAUUUUAAUUAUUAUUAAUUAUUUUCAUAUUUAAAGUAAUUACCAAAACUUACUUUUUGAUUAUCGAAAUAAUUUUUGAUAUAAUCAAUCAGUUUUAUUUUCUUUGUAGAGUGGAGUGAAGGGUUGAUGCAAGGCAAAGAAAGCCUAAUUUGGUCCAUUGGCAUAGUAGUUGGCCUAACUUAAAUGAAAUAUAGUGGGCCAACAUUAAAUUGGAUCAAAGAAAUGAAAUAACGUUAGUGAUAGUUUCUUUUUUCAAAGCACCGUAUGGUAGGUUUUUUCUUCUUAUUUCUUUUUAGCAAGAAGGAAGCAUAAAUAUUUUGGAGGGUAAAAUUUGAAUUAUCACUCUUUGAAAGAUAUAAAAAAAUGUAAUUCCAUUAUUAAAUUUUAAAUUUUAAAAAGAGUUAAAAUACAAAUUUCGAUCCCAACUUAAGUGAAAUUAUGAAAUUGAUUUUUUUUUGUUGUUAUUAUAUUUAUAAAUGAUGAUAUAUACCUAUUUAAUUUUAGUGCAAUCUUUUUUUUUUAAGAAUAGUAGUGCCAAUCUUAAACUAUUAUCUUAACUUUAACUUUUAUAAUUAGCAAAAUAUAUAUUAAUAAUAUUACUUUUUAUAAAUUAAUUUAUACGUAAUUAAUUAAAUUAAAAAGUUAAAAAUCUCCUAGCGUAAGUGGAGAGUUCAUUCUUUUAUAUUUUUAUAUGAUAUUUAGGAGUAUUCUUUUUCCCUUAUAAAAUUUUAAAAUAUAAAUAAGUUGGCAUACUUUAUGUUAUUUACACUAAAAGAAUAAAUUUCUUUCGAUUACACUUAAUCAGAGAUGAGAUGAGGAUGAUUAAGAAUUUAUAAGAUAAAGAGUAAACUAUGGAGGGGUCGUAAUUUAUGCUCUAAAAGACUCUUUAAUACUUAAAUUAAAUAGUGGAUGAUAGCAAGCUUUGGAGAAUUUUUUAAUAGAGUAUAGUUAAUAUGUGAGCUCAUACCUCUUGCUUAACGAUAGGCCCUUAGGUUGUUAGUUACUUUUGAAGUUGUUGCUCUCAAAGAUUUGUGGGACUAGUUGUAGUCAAUUGAAGUGUAUGUCACAGGUUGUUUGUUACUAUGCCUUUCGCCUGUUUGUCAGCCUUAUCGUCUAACUUCUAUCAAGAGUUGUUGUCUAGACAUGAUAGUUAUGUGUUAUUCAAUUAUUUCAUACUAUCUAUCGGUUUACAAAAGCUUAAGUUGCAGAGAUUGUUAAUUAUCUUAGGCUUAAAACCUAAACUUUGUGUAUAAUAAUAUCUUCUCUCUUAAAAUGACUUGGUGAAAUCCUAUAUAAUGCAACUAGAGAAAAACACACAAGGUUGGAAUUGUUCUGUCAUGAAUGUAUUUAGUGGGUGUGAGGCGAGAGAAUAUCUUGAGGAAACGAUGAUGUGUCCCUUGAAGGAAUAAGAAUAUAUCUCUAAAGAAAUGAUCAGUAGUACUAAUUAAGUGAAAGUAAAGUUUAAAGAAGUCAAUUCAUUUGACUUUGUUGUUAAGAAAUGAAGUUCUAUGGUUUAAGUGAGAACACAACUUGAAAAAAUUAAUUUACUCUAAAAAUCAAAAUUCAAAAUUAUACCAAAAACAUAAAGUUAACAACUUACCAUAAAAUUAUUAAAAUUACAUUAGAAAGUUACCAACUUACCAUGGGGAUACAAAAAUUUUGUAUAUAAUUUUAGCGGGUUAUUAAGAUUUAUUGCUUUCUUAAAAUUACGUUAGGAACUUACCAAAAUUUAACAAUAAAAAAGAUUUAAAGUUUUCAUUAGUAAAAGCUACAAAAUUUAUUUAUUAUUUUCCUUUUAAUAAAAGUAAUUAACAAAACAAUUAAUUACAUGAAGUAGUUUUAAGCUGCCCAUAUGUUGACAUCCACAUAAGAAAUCUUUUAGUUGCUUUAGCUCCACCACCACAUACAUAUAUUAAUUUUAUUCCGUGCGAUUUACGGGUUUUAUUUAUUUAAUAAUUAAAAUAUAUUAAAUUAAUUUACACUAUUUUUUUAAAAAUAGAUAAUUAAAAAUUAAAAUAAAGUAAUUAAACCAUAAUAUAUUAAAAACAUAUAUAUGUGAUAUUAACUUAAUUUUUAAACAGUAUUAGAAUGUUUUUAAAUAUAUUUACAUAUUUAAUUUUGUUUUUCUAAUUUUUUUAAUAGUGUAUAAAAAAAAUUAAACAUAAAUGUAUGUUUUAGUUUUUUUUUUUAAAAUUGAUAAUUUUUUUGUAUAAUUUCUUAAAACCGUUAAUUUUAUUUUUAAAUUUAAUGUAAUUAUUUAUAACUAAAAUGUAGAAUAUUGUAUAUUAUAAUGGAUUAGAUAUUAAUGAAUGAAGAUGUCAACUUGUUGCAAUUUUAGUUUGCGAUAUAUGAAUGUUUCCAUGAUUUUAAUUUAAAAAGGUGCCUCACUAAAAAAUCACUGGUGAAGAUGACAAGUGAAAAAAGAGAGUGCAUCCAAAAUAUUCUUUCAUCUAAAACAUUACAAAUGACGAAUAUAAAUAGGUGGAUCCUUCCACUAAAUUACAAUUGGAUACUACAUUGAAAAAUAAUUUCUAAAUUAAUAUAAUAUAAAAAUAAAUAAAUUGCACACAAUGGUCAAAGUUUAUAUUAAAAGUCAGAUUAAUUCUUUAUUCAAAAAAUCAAUAAUUUAAUUUUUUUACGUUAGAUCAAAAAGUAAAUUAGUAUUUUUUUUUUGCUAAAAAACUAACAUGGCUAAUAGAAUAUAUUAGGGGUGAACAACACUUGAUUCGAUUAUAAAAAAUCAAAAAAAAAAUUAAAUUUCGAGUUAGUCGAAUUGAGUUAUUCAAAUUAUUUGAGUUAUUCGAGUUUCGAGUUCGAGUCUAGUUGCACUUUACAAUUUGAAUAACAGAUUGAUGUAAAUACCCUUUUAGUCCCUAUCAGUUUUGAAAAUAAACAAAUUGGUUCCUCUAAACAAAAAUUACAAAAAAAAUUCAAAAUAUUUAUAAAAAAAUUCCAAAUUUUUAUUUUAAAAAAGUAUAUAUAUUUAAAAAUCUAAAAAAUAUAUAUAAAAAAAUUUAAAAUUUCAAAAAUUUUCUAAAAUAAUAAUUUUGGGAUCUAAAUAAGUUUAUUAAUGAUUAAAUUAUCAUACUAAAGCAAUUUUUUAUGAUUUUGUUUUGAAAAAGUUUUCAAAUAUAUAUGGUUUCAAAUUUAUAUACUUUUUAACAUGUUUAAUAUUUUAAAUGAACUCGAACAAUUUCACUCAAUUCGACUCGAUUUGAAUUUCAUUUUACUCAACUCUAUUCGAAAAAAAUUCAAAUCGAGUUAGGAUAAUAAAAUAAGAUUCGUCAAUUCGAUUAACUCAAAAUUUUUUUACUCGAUUUGAUCAAAUGCUCACUCCUAAAAAGAAUAACUAGAUAGUUAUAUAACAUGCUAUGCAUAUCUCAUAAUGAUGUACAAGAUCAAUUUUUAAAGGUAAAAAAUAAAUGAAAUUUUAACAAAAAAAUAAUUUUUUUUAUCUAACAUACAUAAAUUAAUUUACGCAUCCUUUUAGUAAAAAAGACAAACUAUAAUUUAACUCCUAGUAUCGAAAUCCAUAUACCUACAACCAACUCAUCUGGUAGCUUUUCUAAUUUGGUAGCUUUUAAAAAAUUAACUAGGCGGCCGUUUUUAUCACAUCUUACCAAAAAUUAUGUUAUUUGUAGUAGGUAGAUUUUAUUUUAUAACGUCUCCUCUCCUGGUAUUUUGCAUAUCCAAAAUGGCUUCAUUGUAUUCUCUCUGUUUAUCAAAACAACAAUUGUUUGGCAUCCUUUUGAUCCUAACUUUCUUUUCAAGUUCGAGAGCAAAGAGAUGCUACAAAUCAAUUAUCAGCUUUGGAGAUUCCUUGGCUGAUACAGGGAACUGGGUCAUACUUUUACAACAAAAUAAACCUACACCUGCCUUUCCACCAUUUGGGGGGACUUACUUCAAUCGACCAACAGGCCGAUGUUGUGAUGGUCGUUUAAUCGUUGAUUUUUUUGGUACUGCAUCUUUGAAACUCCAAUCUAGUAACUUUAGAUUUUGGAAACAUGAUUUUAGAUAUGCUUGAUGGAUAAUGAUCUUUUUGAGUGUUUGUUUGUUUGUCGUGGAUUUGUAGCUCAGAAACUUGGACUUCCAUUGGUGCCACCAUAUUUUCGAGAUGCUAAUUGCAGUAAUUGCCGAAAGUUUCAAAAGGGUGUAAAUUUUGCUGUGGUGGGAGCAACAGCGCUUGAUAAUGCAUAUUUGGCACGAAAAGGAAUCAUUAAUGAACUCACAAACGUUUCUUUGGGAGUGCAAUUGGGUUUAUUGAAAACAUUAUUGCCAUCUCUUUGCUCCUCAUCUUCAGGCAAGUAUCUGCAGAUGCUGUUGUUCUUACCUAAUAACCAAAAAUGUACCAUCGUUUUCAAUUAUAUGGGGCAGACAGGCCAAGAAUUUAUAAACUGUCAUAAUUGCUUAGUCAUUCGGCGACGGAUUUUCUAUUGAAAAAUAGUUGAUACCAAUUAUUUUACGUUCACGGUGAUGAUUCACAGCUUGCAAUGAAUUCCUUAAUAACUCGUUGAUUCUUAUGGGAGAGAUUGGAGGAAAUGAGUUCAACCUUGCAUUCAUUCAAGGAAUUUCGAGUGAAGUGAUAGGAGGAUUAGUCCCUGAGGUUAUCAAAGCCAUUUCUGCAGCAAUUGAGGUAACAUUCCUGUCCUCUUCUGCUAAAGUUUUUAGUUAGCACAAUCAACAUGGAUAGUGACACCAAGCUUUUCACACAAAAUUUUCAAAGAGUAAAUCAACUGUAUUGCAUAUAUCUUUAAUAUUAAUGGACGGUUGCUUCAAUACAACGUGUAGGAGUUAAUCGAGUUGGGGGCGAUGACAUUUGUGGUUCCUGGAACUAUACCACUUGGAUGUCUGCCGGUUCUUCUAACGCGUUUUCGGACUUCUAAUAAGCAGGCUUAUGAUCGCUAUGGUUGUUUGAUAUGGCUAAACGACUUCGCCCACUACUAUAAUGAAUAUCUUAAAAAGGAACUAGAAAGUAUGCGAAGGCUUCAUCCUCGUAUCAAUAUUAUCUACGCAGAUUAUUACCAGGCUUCAAUGCCACUUUAUCUUUCUCCAAGAUCGUUUGGUACGUUUUCUGUUCUGACCACGAAAACCUGAUAAAGUUAAAGCAUAUAUGUUGUUAUUUUUCACUAAUAGGUUUGUAUGCCAGGAUUUAAAAGCACUCUGACUGCAUGUUGUGGAGGCGAAGGUCCAUACAAUGUUAACGUGACGUUAAGUUGUGGUGAUCCAGGCACGAAAUCCUGUGAUGACCCUUCCUCCUAUGUUAACUGGGACGGUGCUCAUUUCACAGAUGAAGCCCAUAGGGUGAUCUCCAACGGUCUUCUGGAUGGUUCAUGUACCAUUCCUCGGUUUGAGUUCCCCUCAUGUGCCUCAUAAUUAUAUUAUAAUCUACUCCAAGUGAAUAACGGAAUUAAGAUCAAAGCAAAAUGAUGCUUUGCUUCUUGUAUUUAAAGUUCUUUAAGUGUGCAUUCCUGCUAAAAAUGUCAUUGGCUGUGAAAAUUGAAAAACAUCGAGGCUGGAAAAUAAAGUAAAUUCCUUCUUCUCUGGGAUAAGUAAUUGAAAGAUUAAUUUCUCCUGUUAGUAAUAUGUACCGAGUAGGUCUUGUACUUUUCCAUACAUCGCCUACUUUUUUGGAUGAAAAAAAUAUUGCAUCGUCAUAAAUUUAGUCCUCAACAUUUAUAUUUUUGUUAAAAUAUUAAUUAUUAAUGUUGUUGGCAUGACAAUUCGCAUAGCAGUCUAUGUACACACCAUUUAUUUUAUAUGUCACGUUAAUAAAUAAUUCAAAAAUUAUAAAAUCAAAAUUUAAUAAAAAUAAAGUUCAUAAAAAUUUAAAAUAUUUAACAUGGAGUACACGUGAAUUCUCAUGUAGACUACCGUGUUUAAAAAUUAACUUUUAAUUAGUAUUUUCUUAAAAAAUAUUAUUUUGGGUCUUUUUAAAAAAGAAUCUUUUAAAAAUGUUGAAUGUCAAAUUUAAUUAGAAAAAGAAUAAGGGUCAAAUUGAUAAUGGAUGUAUAUGUUAAGAACUAAAUUUGAUAUAAUGAAAAACCCGGUAUAUAAACAUUGAAGCAUUGAAGUAAUCUUAGCUAACUUUUAACAGGUAGAUAUCAGAAUCUGAGGGUUUUUUACACAAAUAAUACAAAAAAAUUUAAAAAAUAUCAAAAUAAUACAAGCAUUUUAUUAUGUACCAAAAUGGUACAAACAGUAGUGGAGGGACUGCCACAGGCGGCACCAAUGGUGCCAGUGGCAGAGGUGGCACCCCACAUUUGUUCGUAUUUUUCUUAUUUUCGAAUUUUAUUACUUUCAAAAAAUAUAUUAUUUUCGUAUUUUAUUAUUUUAUAUUAUUUUAUUACAUAAAGUUUGAAAUGUAUUAAUUUAGUGUGUUUUUUAUAUAAAUUUUGUAAAAAACCCUCAUUUUGGCCAUUUGUUCAUAUUUUUCUUAUUUUCAGAUUUUAUUACUUUCAAAAAAUAUACUAUUUUCGUAUUUUAUUAUUUUAUAUUAUUUUAGUACAUAAUGUUUGAAAUGUAUUAUUUUAAUGUGUUUUUUAUAUAAAUUUAGUGAAAACCCCUUAUUUUGGCCAUUUGUUCGUAUUUUUCUUUUUUUUUCGGAUUUUAUUACUUUCAGUAAAUAUACUAUUUUCGUUUUUUUAUUUCUUUUCGUAUUUUAUUUUUUCAUAAACUUAUUUUUUCGGUAUUUUAUUUUUAAUACUAUUUUUAUAAAAAAAUCCAAAAAUAAGAAAAAUAUGAACAAAGGAGGGUGCCGCCUGUGGCAGUGGCAUCUUUGGUGCCGCCUGUGGCAAUCCCUCAACUACUGUUUGUACCAUUUUGGUACAUAAUAAAAUGCUUGUAUUAUUUUGAUAUUUUUUAAUUUUUUUUAUAUUAUUUGUGUAAAAAAACCCCAAAAUCCGAAUUUCAUCUUGACGUAGAAGGCAAGCACAGCCGCAAACACAUUCUGACAAUGUCAAAUCCAUUUUUUUAAAAUCCGUAAAUGCCUCCUUAAUACGGGUUUUUUACCUAAAUAGGAUAGAAAAAAAAUACUGAAAUGGUAUGUCAGAAAAAAAAUUUACCAAAAUAGGUUACUUUUUCAUUGGAGCCUAUUAGAUAGGCGCCAAUGAAUAAAAUAAUAUUUUUUUGAAUAAAAUAUAAUUUUAUAUUUUUCCGGGUUAGUAUAUAACCUGUAUAAUACAUAGUAUUGGCACCUAUCUGGAAGGCGCCAAUGGUGGGGCCUAUUUGGGAGGCGCCAAUGGUGGUGCCUAUCUGGGAGGCGCCAAUGGUGGUGCCAUAUUGAAAGGCGCCAAUGUUGUGAUUUUUCUCUAUAAAUACCCCCAACACAGACAUAAAUUUGACUACAGAAACGGAAGAAAGAAGAAGGAAGGAAGCAGAAGAAAAGAAGGAAGGAAAAGAAGAAAAAAAUUAGGUAUUUUGGUUUUUUUUAAAAUAGAAUGUAGAGUCUUGUUAGUAAUUUUAUUAUUUGAAAGUUAUUUUGUCAUGUUAUUAAUUUUGUUAGCUUCUGAAUGAAAAAUUUUGCAUUAAAAUUUUUAUGUAUUUUGUUUACAUUUUGAAACUGUUUUAAGAAAUUUGAAAUUCUUUUUUACAGAUCUAGUAUUGAAAAUGGAGAAUCAAUUUUUUGUAUGUUUUUAUUUCGAUGGGGAAAUUUUAACAACUGUGGGAUGUAUAUUUGAAUGUCGCAAACAAGUAGCAAUGAGAUUUGAUAGAAAUAUCUUGUUUGAUGAUAUGAAGGAAAAAAUUAGUGAAAAAAUUUAUAGACGUUGUGGGAGAAGGAUAUCAAAAGUUUUCUACAAGUUUCCAGUAUCAACAGAUCCAAUAAAAUUUACCGAAAUGGAACUUGUAGACGAUGAAGACGUGGAAACAAUGGUCGCUCUUUAUUGUGGGACUUCGAGUAACAAAAAUGUACCGAUUCAGUUAUUUACUGAGUUAGCCAGUGUGGAGGCAACUGAAGAUCCCACUCCAUUAGGUGAAGAAGAUGGAGUUGAAGCGUCGUGUAUGGUGGUUCCGGUAUCGUAUGUUGAUAGUCAAUCACCUAUACAUGGGAUAAAUAUUGAUCUUAAUGCUGCAGUUGAGACUGAUGUGGUUGGUGAUGAUGUAUACUAUAGUAGUGAUCCUGUUGAUUACGAAGUGGAUAGUGAGAGUGAUCCCGACGCAGACGAGGUCCCGGAUGAUAUUGACGAUGAAGGGGUGAAUGAGGAUGGAAAUGUUAAUGCGUCUUUAGUCGGAAACCAGAUUCGUCGUAUUGUGAUACACAAUAAUCCUGGGGCACACAUGUCUCGGAUAGACCCCGAUGCGGCACGGGCAGUUGAGUUUCCGGAGUACCCUGAAAUACCACAUGCUUACCGAAUAGGUGUAUAUUCUGAUCCAGAUGAGUUACGCGUGGGCCAGAGAUUUGAAAGUAAUGAAGAAUGUAUGUUUGCGAUUAAGCGGUAUAGCAUGAAUAUAUCAGUAGAUUACAAAGUCAUCGAGUCUAAACCAACAUUAUAUAUUGGAGAGUGUUAGAGGUCGGCAGAAGGCUGCAAUUGGCGGGUACGAGCUACAUUUAUGCAGAAGUCACAGAUGUGGGAAAUACGAAAAUUUGUUGGGCCCCACACAUGUACUUCAACACGUAUGACAGAAGAUCAUCGAAAACUUGACUCCAAAACUAUCUGUACAUGCAUCAUGCCAAUGGUGAAAGACAUGCCGACCAUUAAAGUUUCGGUACUGAUUGCUGAAAUACAAGCACGAUUCCAGUAUCGAGUAUCAUACCGGAAGGCAUGGAUAGCUAAACAUAUGGCAAUGGAGCAAUUGUAUGGAGAUUUCAAUGCAUCGUAUAAUGAAUUACAGGGAUGGAUAGCCGCCAUGAGGGAACACGUGCCGGGGACUGUAAUUGAGUUGCAGACAUGAUCUUAUGACGGGCCAAAUGACCAACUACAAUCGAGAAAAAGAAUUUUCCAUUGGAUGUUCUGGACAUUUGAUCAAUGUGUGCACGCAUUUCCCCACUGCAAACCAUUUGUGCAAGUAGAUGGAACCUGGCUAUAUGGAAAAUACACACAGAUCUUACUUCUUACGGUUACUCAAGACGGCAACAGGAACGUACUCCCGAUAGCAUUUGCCAUCGUCGAUAAGGAGAACAUGGAAUCGUGGGAGUUUUUUCUUACCAACCUGGGGAGGUAUGUGAUUAGCAAUGAUAAUAUUUGCAUCAUUUCCGAUAGAGGGAAAGGAUUAAUUGCAGCCAUUAGGCGUUCUGGUGUACCAUGACAAUCUGUUUACUGCAUCCGGCACAUCGCGGCUAACUUCCAGCGAGAUUAUAAGAAUACAGAUUGGAAGAGACAAGUUGUGAGAAUGGGUAAAGAAUUACCUUAUCUUUUAAAUAUAAGUUUUAAUGUUUUAGAGCAAUACUGUAACUUAAAUUUUUUUAAUACAUAUGCAGCGUAUGAGCUAGAGCCACACAUUUUUCGCCAAAGAAUGGCCCGGUUUGAGAGUGACAUGGAGGGUCAAACCAACACAUCUUUCCGGCAGUGGCUGGGUACCAUGGAGCCGUGGCAAUGGGCUCAAAGUUUUGACGAGGGCUUUCGUUAUGGUUAAAUGACUACAAACUUAGUGGAGGGGAUCAACGCUGUGUUAUUAAAAACACGACAUCUUCUAAUUUCAUCUGUCUUUUCGGCAACGUUCUACAGGUUGGCUACCUUGAACUUAGCAGAAUACGGCAUCCAAAUGAACUGCACAAUUAAUAACGUUGUUAUAUUAACGCGGGUCGAGUGAGAUAAAAUAAUAAAAUUAAGUUUAUAUUCGAAAAACUUACCCCCUCUCCAGCAUGAUUCUCAAUCAUUAGACGAUAUAUCGGAACCGACGGUGACUUCCCGAUACCCGGAUUAGUACUCCACCUACGAAAACAAAUUGUUAGAAUAAUAUAUUAUAAAAAAUUCAACUAAUUAUUAUAAUGAGGAAAAAUUCAUCACCUAUUUAUGAGUGGAAAUACAUAUGAUUGAUGACUAAUGGAUGCCAAGAAUGGCAUUCUGUAAAGUGCCCACGACUGCAGCAGUAUGAGGCAUCCGCCUAUGUCAACCGCAGAAGGAUUUGUUGUCCGACAAAGUUCACGAUACAGCAUGGCUAAAACUGCGGAUCCCCAACUGUAUGAACGAGUGUUAUGCAAAUUGGAUAAUAAGGGUAAGUACAUCAAGUGGACCGUACUGCCGUUUGCAUCCGGCAUGAGUACACCCCCUAUAAGGUGCAUGAUGUAAGCUCGAGCAGCCUGCAUCAUCUCCCGUUCAUUAGCAGUACUUGGCAAAUGCUCAAAAUUGGCAUGUAGCCAUGAAAAUCUCAAACUGGUAAAUUUCCCCUGACUUGGCGAGCGUCCAAGUAAUUCAUUGCAAAGGGUAGCUGACCUAGAUAUUGAACUUACGCCCGUGACCGCAUUCCCGUCUAUGGGAAGCCUGAGCUGUACUGCAACAUCCUCUAGAGUGACGGUACACUCUCCGCACGGCAGAUGAAAUGUGUGGGUCUCCGGACGCCAUCGCUCGACUAAAGCGGAAAUCAAGUCGUAUCGCAGAUCAAAAGUCCGAAUCAAUGCCGCUGAUCCGAACCCGGCUAACUCUAAGUAUGGUAUUAGGCGUUCAUCUGACUGAAACCCUACACUAUUAACACGGCCCCUCAAUGCGCGGUACGGACCCUGACAUUAUUAAAUUAGAAAAAUAGUUAAUACAAUAUAAUUUAAUUCAACAAAUAACAUGAAUAUCAAAAAUAAAUUUUAUUACCAUCUCAUUAAUAGUACUUGAUAUGUGAUUAUUAUUAUUAAUUAGAGAACUCAUUUCCUGCAAAUCUGCAAUAAAAAAAUGAAUUCAGUUAAUUUAUUAAAAAAAUCAAUAAUUACUGUUAAAUAAAUACAAAAUCAAAUAAAAUUUAAUUAUAUAAAAGUUACAUUAUAUAAAAAUUAAAUGAGUUAACAACAACUAUAUGAUUAAAAAAGUCAGUUAUAAUUAAACUUUUAAUGAAAUGAUUUUUAAUUUUUUUAUAAACUUUAUAUGUUAAACUCACCAAAUACUAAACUAAACACAACAACUUAUAGCUUAAUCAUAAAUUACUAAUAAAUUAAAUUUUAAAUAAUUACAAACACAAAAUAUUGUGAAUUUUUCCCAAAUUACUAACAAAUUAAUUAUAAAAUAAUUACAAUAUUCAUACAAAAAAUUACAAUAUUACAAUAUAUCCCCACAUUACAAUAUUCAUACAAAAUUACAAUAUUACAAUAUUCAUACAAAAAAAUUGCAAUAUUCAUAUAAAAUUAUAAAAUUACAAUAUUCAUACAAAAAAAUCAUAAUAUUCAUACAAAAUUACAAAAUUACAAAAUUACAAUAUUCAUACAAAAAAAAUUGCAAUAUUCAUACAAAACUAUAAUAUUACAAUAUUCAUACAAAAAAUUUAUAAUAUUCAUACAAAAUUACAAUAUUCAUACAAAAAGUUACUAAUCUAAAACUAUAAAUACAAAUUUAAUUAUAAAAUAAUUACAAUAUUCAUACAACAUUACAAUAUUCAUAAAAAAUUAUAAUAUUCAUACAAAAAAUUUAAAAUAUUCAUACAAAAUUCUAAUCUAAACUAUAAACACUAAAUAUAGAUAAUUUAUAAUUAAUAAUUAAUAAUUAAUAACAAAAAAUUCACAAUAUUUUCUAAAAUAUAUCCUAAAAAAUUCACAAACUAUAAACCUUUUAAAUUAUAAACAAAAUUAUUUAUUAAAAAAAUACAUUACCUUUUUUUUUCUUUCUUCUUCUUCUUCUCCUUCUCUUCUUCUCCUUUCUCUCUUUUUUUUUUUCUCUACCAUGUGGAGUGAGUUUGAGACCAUUUGCUAUUACUUAUAGCCAAAAUAAAAGGUUUAUGAAGAGACAAUUCAAUGGCAGCAUCAGCAGCAUGCAGGGGGCAGAGGCACCAUUGGCGCCUCUCCAUCAGGCUCCUUCAUUGGCGCCUACUAGACAGGCGCCACUCGACCCGACCUGACCCAACCGUAUUUUGACCCCGUAUUUUUUAAAAAAAUAUUAAAAUAUUAAAAUAUUAAAAAAUUAUAUUUUAUUAAAAAAAAUUAUUAUUAUUUUAUUCAUUGACGCCUAUCUAAUAGGCUCUAAUGAAAAGAUAACCUAUUUUGGUAAAUUUUUUGUUCUGACAUCCUAUUUCAGUAUUUUUUUUUCUACAUUAUUUGGGUAAAAAACCCCUUAAUACCAUCCAGGAAUUAACAAAUCUACUGAAUGGAUGUCGGCCAGUUUAUCUAGUCCUUUUUCAGACUUCUAAUAAGCAAGGUUUUUUUUUUCAUCAAUAAGCAGGUUUUAUUAGUAAUAGCAGCAGUCCAUAGAAGCAACAGCACAAAGAUACAACAAGAUCACCUUAGCAAUCAGCCAAUCACCGAGAACAAUUAAAAGCCAAGCAUAAAAGACAGUUCCUACUAGACAUCUAAUUUAGCUAAUGAAUCAGCGAAACCAUUAACUUCCUUGUAAAUAUUCACACACACACACACACACACACACACACACACACACACACACACACACACACACUACCAAUCAAGGCAAUAAGCGCCUGUUCAUGCAGCCAUUGAGAUGUUACAAAGACCAAGGCAAUUUUAAUGGCAUGGACCUCUGCAUCAUUCGACGACAUAACACCAAGAGGGCCUGAGAACAUACACCGAUGGCACAGCACCCCGCAGCAACCAGCAGGGCCGAGUCAGCAAUUGGAGGCAUCCAUUCAACUCUACGCGUCAGGAUCCUCACCCUCAAAUCGUCGUUCAUCAGUCUAGGAGAAAUCCAACAAACAACUUCUUUAAUUAAGUCAGAACCACCCAAAGCAUUAACCCAAUGCAAAGAUCGUAAUUUACGAAGGAAACCAUCCCAUACUUUGUUGUUAAAGAUCGAGUCGUUUCCCAUAAGCUACAAUAUCCAAAUGGUUGUCCCACAAACAUCUAGCAACCUUUUCCUAGUAAGGCCCCAGAACUCAAAAUCAAAUCAUUGAAUCAAAAGAUCCUUAACCGACUUGGGGAUUCGAUUCCUCACUGCAUUCUUCUGUUCAUAGGAAAAAAUUGUAGAAAAGAUGGUUUUCUCAGGAGUUUAUUUAUCCCAUUGAAACAAUAGUAGUAGUUGGUUAAUUUCAAGUGACCUCCAAAACAAUUGACAUAAUUAAUGCAUUCAAGCUUUACCAAUUUUACCCUUUCGGUAACAACUCUAUUCUUAAUCAUUGCAAGGACUCGUUUGGUCUGAUUCUAACAGACAACACUACUAUUCACCAUUUGGUCAUAUCAUUUAGAAAUCAUUGCUCAAAAUAGUUUAGUAAGUGGACCUUAUGCAUCAAAGAGAAAAGCCUCAACAUUUAAUCAAGUUGCUAUGAUUACAAAGUUUAAUGCAGUAACAAGAUUAACAGAAAUCUCAUCCAAGCCAAGCUAAUCUGCCCCAUCUAUCUUAUUUCCAGCUUAUGGUGCUUCCAGUUUGUCUUUCCCUAAACAUUUCAGAAUCAACAGCUCUACUGAGGAUUUGGAGGCCGGCUGUUUGCAGAGGAAACUCUGGAUCCCCAUUCCAGCAACUCUUUGCUGGUGUCAUCUUUGUGUGCAAAAACUUCAAUGAAACACAGUGAAUCUUUCUUUUCUCCUGUUGCUGCCGCAAUUGCAUCUAUCAGUUCAUCCUCGGUCCUCACCUAGAUUUAACAAUGAAAGUAUUAAUCUAUGCAUACCAAAGAGGUACUCCUCAGAGUUAACAGUGGAUGCAUCUAAUUAUUUGAAAAAUGAAACUGUCAUAUGUAGAUGGGAAUUUCUGAUCAACACUAGUUUAUGCUACACGGGCUUUAAUAUUUACUAACCUUGGCUGUCCAGCAUUUGCCUUCACCAUUGUGGAUGGCAUCAACAAAGGCAGUGUAAUUCCAGUUCUUGAUAACAUUGUAAGGGCCAUCAUGAAUCUCAACUUCAAUUGUAUAGCCUCCAUUAUUGAUAAGAAAUAUGAUGCUUUUUUGUCCACAUCGGAUCAUUGUGGAAAUAUCUUGAGCUGUCACCUGAAUAAUAUAUCAAAACAAAAAUAUUAUUUCCUUACCACAUUUUUUAUUUUAUCAUAUACUUGAAAAGAACUAAAUCAGUUACUUCAUAUUGCUUGUGGUUACCUCUAAAUGAGUUAUUAAAAGUUCUAAAUGAAAAUUAUGUGGCUCACCUGGAAACUACCAUCGCCAAUGCAAGCAAUCACACGUUUGUCUUUAGCUGCCUGAGCAUAUCCAAGCGUGGCACCAACUGACCAACCAAUGGAUCCAUACUGCAUCUGGAAUUCAUAACUGCAAGCAAUAAAAAUAAACAUUUACACACUGCAAAACACACAUACACGAGUCUAAUUCAAAACACAAAGAAAUGUACCAUUUGAAAAAAUCUUGCUUACCCGCAGUUCUCCGGAAGAUGGAGCUUCUGACAAUUGAACCAUGAGUCUCCAGUUUCAGCAAUAACCGCAGAGUCUUUGCUUAGCAUAUCCUGUUAAGCAAGGUCAACCAAUGAAUGAAACAAAAUCUAAUGAAGUGCUCACAUCUGGUUACGCAUUGAUAAGUCUAAACGAUUCACAUUUUGCUCUUACAGAUAUCAUAAGAGCAAAGAACAAAGGGUAAGAAUGUUGCAGCAUAUACAAAACCAAUUCUUCCCAGUUUCCAAGACACAGAAAUUAAAGUAGUAAGAGCCAACACUGCAUGUCUUACACACUUAAGUGUGUUUGUUAACCAUACUAAUUAUUCCCUAUGAAGGCAUUGAAGGCUACCUAAAUGGCCAAUAGGUGUCAUAAGCUCAUUCCAUCAAGAAAUCUAUAUUAUAAGCUAAAAUAUUAUAGAGGAGUAUUUAAAGUCAUGUCCCGAGUGCCUACCUGAAUGUGCUUAAAAAGAACAUUGACUCUCAGAGGCUGUCAUUAGAGGAGUAUCUAUAUUAUAAGCUAAAAUAUUAUAGAGGAGUAUUUCAAGUCAUGACCCGAGUGCCUACCUGAAUGUGCUUAAAAAGAACAUUGACUCUCAGAGGCUCGUCAUUCCCAUGCUUCAAAGGCAUGCCUGGAGGGACAAAGAUUCGCCGAUAGUUCUCCACGGCAGUGGUAUUUUUCUUAAGUUUCUUUGCCAAUGCACUUAAGAAGUCGGCCAUGAAAACCCAGCCAAAAGAAGGACCAUUGCCUAUCGUCACACGAUUUGGUUGUACUAUGAUUGCUUUAUCCUUCUUGAUCAACAAAGAGUAGCCUACAGAGCUAUAAUCAUUGAAGAUUGGGCCAACAAAAACAUAGGCAUCAGCAGAUUCCACUAUUUCCCCACAAAAAGCUAGUACUAACCGCACCCCAGUAUGUUCCAAUAAAGUGAGGAUGAUGUUCAGGUACCAAUCCUUUGCCCGAAGGCAUUACAGCAAUGGGAUACCCACAGGCAUCUGCAAGCUCCACAAAGGCAUCUUUUGCAUUUGCAACCCUUAAUUUAGGUCCACCCACAAGGACAGGCUUCACAGCUUUGUUCAGAAAAUUGGCAGUAGCUUCCACAGCUGCUUCUAAUCCUAAUUGAUUGCUUACCCUGCAUAUAAUUGUAGAGAAUCAGCAACACAAGCAUGUAACUUGGUUCCAUUCAUGUCUAAAAAAAAUAUCCUUUUAACACGCCAUUCUAAUGAAUGAAAAUAUCACUCAACAAUCAAGGGUAUUACCUUGCUCUCCCCAUAGUUUGAUACAUGCAUGUAGCAUCAUAUUCUACCUAUAAGUCAUACAAACUUCAGCUAAAGCUAGAAUAGUUACUACGCUAUGCCAGGGAUAGUUUUAACACAAAUUAUGCCUCUGCCUCGGGUUAUGGCUAGCACUAGCUCCUUUCUAAUAGUACUGCAAAAAACAUAACACUUCUGUUACAAAUUUAAAAAAAUUCCAAAAACUUCUUUUAUAUAAACUAAUUCUCUUUUCUUUAGGCCAGGUUCCUUCGUUAGCUUCAAAUAGCCUCCAUUUACCAAGCUAACCAUAUAUCAUUAUCAGCAAUAAAUGAAAGAACAGGUCAUGAUAAUCACAACUCUCACCAGCCUUCUAUAUAUGAAAUGUACAAGUAGCAAUGCAAGGAAAGAUUAAUCUUCACUAAUAAGAAGUCAGAUAAAAACUUUACUUUGGAGCGAGAAAGAAGGGCACUGGGUCUCUAGCAAAUGUUGGAUGAGGAAUCCCAGGCAAAUUACAGCCGAUACUAAUGUAAACGGGCUUGCUUUCCUUCAAAGCUGUGGAUAUGGCAGUAUCAAGAAGCUCAUGCGCAUCAUCCAGGUUGUUCACCACUGCCUGUCAUAUCAGAUCACCACCAAAUUACAUCAUCAAUCUAUCAUUUACUCUACAAGUUACUUACAGUAAAAAAAAUUGCAAAAAAAAAAGGCGUCAUAUUUCUUAUGAAUGCAUAAAAAGGGUUUCCUUCUAACUUACUUGGGCACAGGUGAUCGUCUGGAAACACCUUAAUUCUUGACUAAAAUCUGGCAAGCCAAUAGUAUGAUGCAAGAUCCGGUUGGUCCCGUAAUCAUUGGAAUUAGGCCCUCCAACUAUGCAAAUCACAGGCAAAUUCUCACUGUAAGCACCGGCAAUAGCGUUAAGCACACUCAGGCCUCCAACAGUGAAAGUCACGACGCAAGCUCCCACGCCCUUAGCGCGUGCAUAGCCAUCAGCCGCAUAUCCGGCGUUAAGCUCGUUGCAGCAACCGACUAAGUUCAGCUCAGGUUCUGCUAUUAGAUGAUCCAAGAGGGUCAAGUUGAAGUCACCAGGAACUGAGAAGACGUCCUUGACACCGAUCUCCACGAGCCGCCUUGCCAGGUGGCGUCCCAGGGUGCCACUCGAGGCAUCUCCGCGGACCGGAGGAUGUAAGGAAGUGGGAUGAGCUGUUGAACCGAUUUUAUUACCGGCUUCCAUGCAGUAAAAGUUUUUGCAAUAAAACAACACUUGAAAAGGCAAAUAGAAAGGAGAAUUGGGAAGUUUAUGAAAUGGGAGAAUGGUUUAGAAACUAUUGGAACUGGAAUACAAGUGGUGGGUUUUUAAAGGUUUUGAAGUGCAAAGAUUUUGUGAAGAGAAAGCGGGUUUGAUUAACAAUGGGCUGGUUAGGGUGGGUUUUGAUUAAUCAAGUGAAAACCAGGUUUUGGUUUUGGAAUAUUUAGGAUUUGUGCAUGUGUGGAAGAAGUACGGGCAUGGCUGUUUGUGGAGAAUGAAUGGAGGGGACCAGUAGAUUGAAAAACAGGAGCAAGUUAGUCUGGUUUUCUAUUCCAUUCGGCUCUUAUUGGGUUUAAUUUUUCUUUUUUACAAAGUAACGUGAAUACUUAUUUUUAAAAUCUUUCUCUCAACUUUUUGUUAAAAUGAAUGCGUCAUAUUUUAAGAAAAGUCCGGUGAUGGAUGUUUGCUUCAAAUUCAAAGGGCAAGGGAAAAAUUUACUUUCUGAACCAACUAAUGUCUGCUCUUCUUAAGGUGCCUGCCUAAACAUGCACGAGUUACUUUGCUUUUUAUAGCCCACUGUUUCUUUCAUCUCUUAGGUCUUAAAAUAGGAAACUUUUGUGUAAUUCCUCAUAAUCAUUUAUUUAUUGUAUGUUUGGAAAAUUAAUGCUAUUAACUCAUAUACCUUAAUCUCAUUCCAAUUCUUAGAGAAAAGAAAAAGUGAAAUUUUGAAUAACUACAUUUAAAUCCAUUUAUUUUUUUAAUUUCUCAAAUAUGCUCAUACUUAAUUUAAGUUCUACAUAAUAACAAUAAUACUAUUUUGAUUUUAAAAUAUAUUUAUUUUUUAAAACAUGAUUAUCUGUUAUUUUAUUGACCUCAUUUAAAAAUUUUAUUGACGAGAUAUAAUAAACUAUUUAUAAUAAAUAUAAUGAAAAUUACAUAUUACUUAUUAUUAAUUAUUUAUACUUGGGCAAUAAUUAAUCGAUGAUAAUAAGUGCUAUAUGUUUAAUGUUGAAGAGAGAAUAACCUGACAAAUAUGGAAUGCUAGAGUAAUUAGGUAAAAUUACAUAGGAUACAUAUUUUUUUUGUUAAUUUUAUUAGUAAUCAUAUUACUGAAUAUUUUUUUGUACUAAUGUAUUAUAUAAUGAUUUGAUUUGAUUUUUUUUUUACUUGUUAAGAUAAUUUUUUCUCGAGUAUCAUUGAUAAUUUUAUAAUAAGUAAUAUUAUAAUUUAUACUACCAAACAUUACAAACAAAAUUACAAUAUAAUUAUAUUAUCUAAAUUCAAAUUAAAUAAUAAAAUUAUCUAAAUUUAAAUAUAAAAUAUAUAAAUAUUAAUAUAAAAUAUUUUUAAAAUAUUAUAAAACAUAGACGGUAAAAUUGAGUUAUCAAGUUAGGUUAGACCAGCCAAAUUCGAGAUUUAAUAUAAAAAAAUAUUUUAAAACUGGACCAUGACCCAACUUAACCUACAAAUAAUUUUACUUAUAAGUACAUCAUUAAAAACAUUAUAUGUAGAUUUAAAUAAAGAAAACUAUAAUUAUUGAUGAAAACUUUUAAAAGUAAACACGAAAGGAAAAGAAGAUGGAAAACACUUUUCUUUCUUUUGUUUUUUUUCUCUGUUUUUCCUGUUCAUCAAUUUGAGUUUAAAGGGCACUUAUUGGAUACAUAGGUAGGAUUAGGAACAUCAGUGCUAUCUUGUUUUUAUAAAAUUCAUCAAGAGUAUUUGAACAUUUGAUUUUGAACCAAGUGACCAUUGUGAAGGGGUAUUAGAUUUUAGCACUUCCUUUGCCUGGUUUAGCCCACCGUUUGCGUAUUUCUUUCUCGUCUCCCAUGUUAAAGUACCAAAAAGCAUGAAGCAUGUGCAUAUGGGGAGAGAUGGGCGCUUCAUUUUUAGGGUAUUUUAUUUCUUAAAAAGAUGGUUGUGGAUUAAUUGGUCAAGUAAUAAUAUAUUAUAUUGCAAAAACCAAAUACUGUAUACUAUAUUGUGCAACUGAGACUUUGCUUGAUUAAGUUAGAGGCUUCGAAUAUUGAUCUCACUGUACAUGUUUUGACAUAUAGUGACAUCAAACUUCUAUUUUCGUUUUUUUUCUCUUCAAAACUGUCAAUACUAAUUCAUUAAUCUUCAAAUUAUCUCAUAUGCGACACCUAGUUUCGUUGCUUGAGCUAAGGUCAAAGAUUACCAAAAUGUCUUUCCCUCGUUACCCUUAUUUGACCACCUUUUUUUUUCUUCUCAAAAUUAAAAAACCAACUGCUUGCAUUGACAAUUUUGCUAUACUACAUUGCUAGGCUUUUGAAUGAAGAGCCCAUCAUCUUCAUGGACUGGCUUUUCAAGUAUGAGUUAAAGAGAAAAUAUUACUAAAAAAAAUUGAAACCUGAAUGAAAUAAGAUUUCAUAAUUAAUCCAAGAUUGAGCCGAAAAGGAAGAACAAUCAACAAUGGUUACUACUUUAUAACAAAAACCAUAAAUGAAAUCAAUAUAGAAUUCAAUAGUUCUAACAAGGGAUCUUAGAGGUGAACCACUUCAUGACCAGAACGGGAGCCUUGAUCAAACAGAGUGCAAACUCUACUAUGAUUGUUACGCACAAGCAACACGGACAGAUGCAAGUCAACACCAACCUGCCAUCAUCACCAAAAGCCAACCCAUCAAAUCGAUUUUGCUUUAAACAACUCAUCAAACCAAUCUGAAAAGAAAAGAAGAAGAAAGAAAGAAAGUGAGACUAACCCUACAAUCCAGACGAUUAUGCCGACUAUGGACAUAAGGAGGGAUAAAAACGCAAAGGGCAGACCCAAAAGGAAGCCUAAAGGCCUGCAUUCACAAUCGUCAUCACAGCAGCAGCAACACAUAUUGUUUAUUCCUUGUUCCUAAUUAUGCUCUUAACUUUGUUCUUUGGUUAUCUUUCUGCACCUCUUUUGCUUUCCUUGAUUUCUUCGGAUAUGGUACAAUAAAUAAGACAAGACAAGCAAGGCUAUAAAUAAAAUAAGUAAAUAAAAUCUGGUGCAGACGUAUGUGCCGUUUACAUUAUGCCAUUCCACUAUAUUUGAAAGGGAAGCGAUGACCAACCAAUACCAACUCUCCACCAGAUCUGUUAUCUGGUCCGAUGAUUAACCUGUCUUAGUUUCUUCUGGGCUUACGCUAUUAUCUUAUCUGUGCUGUUUAUCGCCGACGUAUAUAAAAUUCUUCUUUGAAUUUAUUUUAUAUAGAUAGCUAUUAUCGAAGAGAGCAAUGCCAAAUUUGCCAGUUAAAUCUUGAAUUGUUAGCACAGGUGGAGCUGUUGCUAUUCUUUCGUUGAGAACAAAUAUUGGCAAAACAAUAAUUGGAUUUGGAGGGGAUGAAUUUAGUCUGACAUUGUCAUGUGGUGGAAUAAUGGAAAUUACAAUUAAUAAUCCGACAUCGCUUUUCGUCUAAUCUUGAUCUUUAUCAAUAAACAAAGCAGUGGGAUUGAAAUAUUUAGUAAUAUUUUAUCAACUCUGUUAUAUUAUGUCUAAAAAAAUCAAUAAAAUUAGAAAUUCGCCAGUAAAGUUCAACAAAAGUGAAGUGGAAUAUCAAAAUUCAGAGUGUGUAUCUUACUCGAAUACUUGUUAGGACUGACGUUACGAGGUCAAUUAAGGCAUACAUGACAAUUGACAUGACAUGACCCGGCGGCUAGGCUGGCAAGAUAGAUUAGUCUCUUGUAAUAUGGGCUUGAUCGUUCCUCAAGUUGGGCUGGCUGGCAAGGCAAGCCUACUAGGCGGCAUCACUUGAUUAUCUUCAAGACAGCAAUGACAUAAGACACUUGUCAAGGAUUGAAUUUGAUUUUCACGCAAUAAUUUUACAAUCAAAAUUACAUCUCAUCUAAAUGCAUGAACCAUGCAGAGCUUGAGUCGAGUUAUUAAGCAAAAGGACGAGCAAUGGAUUAUACAUGUUUCUGAAGAUUACUAAUUAAGUCGAGUUUUGGUGCAACUGCACUAGGAAAUUUUCUAGUACAAGCACCAUAAUGGCAAGCAGUACAAAACUUCAAAACAUUAUAAACCACCAUCUGUCCCUACCCAACUGCAGGCAGUAUCUUUUGAUAUCCCUCUUACCUUCAUCAUCUCCCUCAAAUCACUCACACCAUCCCAUUUUCCAGCAGCUGCCAAAGUAUUUGAUAGAGCAACAAAUGCCCCUGGCCUACUGUCGACAUUUAACUUAAAAAGUUCGUUGGCAGCUAUGCUAGCCAUUUGUACAUCGCCAUGUAGCCUGCAAGAACUGAGCAAAGCUGCCCAAACAUCAGAAUUGGGCUUCUCAGGCAUCCCCAUUACAAGUUCCCAUGCCAGAUCUAAACGCCCUGCACGUCCCAGAAGGUCAACCAUGCAAGCAUAGUGCUCCAUCUUCGGUUUUAUUGAGUAAUCUCUCUCCAUACUCUCAAAGAUCUCACGGCCUUUGGCAAGUAAACCGGCAUGUCCACAAGCAGAGAGAGCGCUAAGGAAUGUUACAUCAUUUGGUUCGACACAACACUCUUGCAUCACAUAGAACAGUUCCAGUGCUUUAAUUGGGUUCCCAUUCUUCCCAUAUCCAUCAAUCAUUGAGGUCCAUGUGAAAACAUUCUUUUCCGGCAUGUAGUUGAAAACUCUUCUGGCAUCCUCAAUUCUUCCACAUUUUGCAUGCAUAUCAACAAGAGCACUUGCAAUCUUGAUGUCCAUAAAGGACUCAGUCUUCAUUAAUUGACCUUGAACUUGUUGACCUAUUUCAACUACUGAUAAAACAGAACAAGCUCCAAUUAGACUCACAAAAGUUGAAAUAUUAGGCCGGAAAUUCAACCGUUGCAUUUCAACAAAAAUCUCAAGCCCUUUCUUAGCAGUUUCAACUGAUUUACUGUAACCUUCAAUCAUUGCAUUGAAAACUACGAUAUCUUUUUCAACCGUUUUAUUAAACACAUUUUCAGCCUCCUCUACCGAUCCAUUGUUCAUGUAGCCAGUGAUCAAUGCCGUUGAGCAAACCACAUUCUUUUCCAACAUCAUAUCAAAAACAGUCCUGGCAUAUUGAACCUUCCCACUCUUCACAUAUGAGUCAACAAGCGCUGUAUAAAGCACUUCAUCAGGCUCUACAUCCAAUUUCACCAUCAGGGCAUGGGCCAUCCUUCCUAAAAACCGCGGUAACGUCACUGUACUACUCCCACAAGCAGACGCCUUUAAAAUCAUCGAAAAUGUGAACCCAUCAGGCUUUUCACCUGAAUCAACCAUUCUACGAACCAAACCAAGUGACUCCUGAACAUUCCCAUUUUUAAGGUACCCACCAAUCAAAUAAUUGUAUGCGGACAAAGUGUGCUGCGGCAAUUCAUCGAACAUUUGGGUGGCAUAUCUCAAGCACCCAGUUUUUAGGUGCAAUAUAAGGAGUUUGAUGGAAAUAUUCGUAUUGGGAGAAACCCAGAUUUUAUAAUGUGCGCGUGAAUCUUUUGGCCAUGGAAAGGGGUAUCUGAGUUAAUGAAAUGUUGAAUGGCAAUAGAGAAAGUUGUGGAGGUUGGGUUAGAGAGAGAGUUUUGGUGGUUUGUCGAAACAGUAGUGUUAAGCGGGAUCAGCAAGCUUCGAUGGUUGGGUGAUGAUGAGAAAAUGGACGAUUUGAUCAAGGGAAGUCUUCCACUUUUCAUUUUCCCAUUCGAUCAUUAUUGGAGUAUUUGCUGAUUUAUAAAUUUAUCAACCAGGAACUCUUAUAGUUUUACAGUUUCCAGGUUCAACUUAGCCCAAUUGAAGUUUCGAUUUGUGAUAAAAAUGGACUGAUUGUUGGGCCUAUUUCAAUCCACUGCUAAUAAUGCUUUCAUAUCUUAUAUGGCAAGAACCCAUAAGAUAUAGGCUUCCUUUGGAUUCAUUUGCACCACAGUAUGUUGAAAUUUUUUGUCUUGAUUUUUAAUCUCACUGCAUCACACUGAAUUCAAGGGCUGUUUGGGUUAAAUGAAUUCCAGCACAAUGAGAGGUUUUGCUGCACUGGAUGACCUUAUACUCACUGGUGCUAAAAGUUCCAGUCAGCUCUAGUUGGGGCAAUUGGUAUUUUUGUCUAUAUUUUAAUUUAUUAUUUUAUUAUUUUAGCCUUAGAUGUUAAACUAAUUUCUUUCUCAAGCUUAAUUAUCAUUUUAUCUAAUAAAUAAUUUAAAUUAAUUAUAUAAUUUAAUAAAAUAUUGGAAGAUACAUUUUAAUAUUUUAUUAAAUGAAUUUAUAAAUUCACAUAUUUUAAUAAUUUUUAAAAAGUAAAAUAAUUUAAAAAACUUUUAUUAUAUAUCAAUUCUAAUCUGAUGUCCUUAAUAGUCAUUUUUUAUUCUCAGCUCACCGCUACAGCUACGUUUGAAUCCAAACACACACUCCACCAUUGUUUCUAAUCUCACUGCUACAGUAUCCAAUCUCACCGCUACAGUAACUAAUCUCAUCACCACCGCUGUUUUUAAACUCACCGGAAAUAAACACACCGCUUAUCCAAACUAAGCCAUAGUCUCUUUUUUUUUAAUUAGCAUGACAUAUAGUCAAUCGCUCCUAUAUGUAUUUUCUUCGUAACUUUUGUCCUCGAUUCCUGAAGAAACUUUGCGGACCAUAAGUCCAUAAUUGACAUUUGGUUCGGAUAAUUCUACAUUUACAUUUGAUUAGUUUUAGCUUCAAAUAAUUUUAUUAAAUUUUAUUUUUUUUGGUUUAAUGAUAAAAAAGUUAUGUCGAAGGUAACUGUUAUUAUAGGAUCAAGUAAUUCUACGCUAGUUAAACUAAAUAUCAAAAUAUAAUUGUCAAGUUGCUUUUAUCAUGAUUUGUGAAGCUCAAAACCUCAUUUUUAUCAUUUGAAAUGUAUUAAAAUAUUUUAAUAGUUAUAUAAUAACAUAUAUUUAAUAAUUAAAUAAUAAUUUGAAUCAAACUAUCUUGAUUACAAAGAUCUUGCCCUAAAACUGACCUAUAAGCAAGUUUUGUAUUACAAGUCUUAAUGUAAACCUACAAACAAUUUAAACGAUAUCUCUCAAUCAAACUGCCACAUGUUUUUUUUUUUGUUUACAAUAUUUUUCUCCUAAAUUUUAUAAUAAAAAAAAGUUAAAAUAAUAAGAGGUCAAAUUGUUUUAAUUUUGACCAACAAAAGUGAAAAUUUAAAAUGAAGCGAAUAAAACUCUUGCGUGGUAUAUUAAAUGUAGUUAUCAAUAGAUAUCUUACCCACAAAAUAUAGAAGAAGUUCAUGGUAGAAUUAUAUCACUAACUAUUUAGUUAGUAGGGUUAAGUAUAUUGGACUCAAUAUCUAAUACCACAGAAGAAGCUAACAUAACAAAGCUCUCUCUUGCAUUGAAUUAUUCAAAACUUGGUACAAUAUAUAUAACUUGCCAAGUAGGUAGUUUUCUAAGCUAUAUAAUCUUAGCAUGCAGAAGAAAUGUUCUAUUUAUGAAUAUGAACAAAUCUCCAUCACGCAAGUCUCGCGAUUCUUAGUAGAAAUUAUUGAAACUGACAAUUAAUAGAGUUUAUUACUUAUUACCUCAACCACAUUGUCACUUAAAGUGCUGAUGUGUAAGACAAUUCAAUUAUAAUAUGCCAGUGGUUGAUCCGCAAGUAAUAGGUGGAGCUAACUAGUCGUGUUGAGGGUCCGGUCCUCCAGGUGAAAUUCUUGAGACAUCCGUCAAUACCCUCUUCCCAUCAUGCUUCAUUGCAGACAAAUCAUAGCCUGUCAAUGCCUUUAUAAUGGAUCGGCUGUCGAUCCUUUUCUGCAUUGUCUUACGCCCACCAUAACUCUUUGCUUCUAAAAUGCUGAUUGCAUUUCCUGACAAAAUAAGAAAGAUGACUAGGGAAGCUUGGAUGACGGUUGAGUUAAGCAUUGCUAAUUAAUACAAGCUUGAAUAUACUGAAGCCGGUGGGAGUGAUCUGAUGAGUAGUAGUAGUAGUAGGCAAGUGGCAUUUUAUAGUACCAUCUAUAAUCCUAUUCCAUUGCACACGUCCAAUAUUCCACAGCACAGGAAGCUGACAAAUCCUGAAGGGAUAUUAGUUUUUGUUUUUACAUGGAUUAUAACUUUUCCUACCCAUUACCAGAUUACUUAAUUAUCCCACAAAUUGCAUAAAGGCUGAAUCAUUUGUCUUUGGUCCCCACAUGAGCAUACUCUAUACUAUAUUUCAUCAUUCAUUUCCCAUUAAAAGUUGCCUACACAGUCAUCACCGAUAUCAUCGUCCAAGUAGGAUUUGGGGCAUUGCUUAAAAAGACAAAAAAACUUCAACAAAGUUUAGCAACCCAUCCUUGGACUACAAGACAAGAAACAGACAUAUAUUGCCAAAUUCCAUUGAAGUCAUUCUUGCAUUUGAUUUCUGUCUUUUCCUUUAACCCAGAGUACGUGACUCUGAAAAACGGAUUCAUCUUUGCGCGCUUUACAUGUUAGGACAUAGUGUCCUUCCACAUGGUGUUAUAUAUAAUAUAUAAGAUGGCACCUAUUUGAUUCCCAAUAAGUAAUCCAACUUGCAUUUGCUUUAGGUUUUUUGGAUUUUGGCUCAACGCUGACUCGUAACCUUUUUCCUCUUACCUUUAAAUCUUAUCACCACCCUAAUCACAUAUCUCCAUCCUUCUCUUGGACGAAGAUCUUUGCAACUUUAUGUUUGGUUUCGUCAACGGCUGAAUGAUGUACCAGUUUUUGUCUUUUUAAAUUCCUAAUCAAAAUACAUAAUAUAUAUGUCUUUUCAUAUAAUCUAUCAUAUUGCCAAAUAUGCAGUAUCACUUGAUAGAUACACCUUAUUUUCUGGCUAAAGAUUGUCUUUUGCAAUGGGAUAAUUGCAUUCACUCUUAAACUUUCAAAAAUUAUUGUUUUAAGGGAAAAAUUAUGCAUAAACUUUGAUCUAAUAUAUAAUUUUAUUUUGUAUUAUUUUAUACUUGAGAUAUUAAUUUAAUUCAAUUUUUACAAACUAUUAACACUAUUAUCAAUAUAACAUCAUUUUAUGUCUACAUAUUACAUAGAUAAAUAAUAAUAUUUAUCCAAUAUACAAACAAAUUGAAAUUAAAAUGUUUUAUCUAUUUUUUUAAAUGUGUAUAAUUGAAUUAAAAUUAAAGUUUCAUAUUAUUAUAUAUUACAAGGUAGACAACAUAUAAAAAAUAAUCUUAUGUGUCUUCAUAAAAUUUUGACAAGUGGCUAUCCUCAUUAUUGGACUCAUCAACAAAAUAUUAAUGUUAAUAUGCUUUUAAUAUAAUUUUUUAUUAAUUAUUAAUUUCUAUUUUUAUAUGUUAUUUUAUCUUAUUUUAUGUUUUUUAAAUGCAAUUAUUUCAUUUAUUCACUUGGUUUUCUUUAUAUUUUUAUUUUAAUAAAUUUGACUCGUAAAUUUAGUCAUAAAAAUAUAUUUUAAUAUUUAUUUAGAUUAAUAUAAAUAAAUUCUUUAAAGCCAUUGAAAAACAAAAGUUAAUAUUUUAUAUUAAUAUUGAUAUAAAUAUACAAUUUAUAUCUAAUAUUGAUAUAUAAUAUUACGUAUAAUAUAACUUAUAACAUACCAUGCUACUAUAAAUUUAUUACAUAAAAAAUAUUUCAAUUAAAAAAUGUAAAUUUCCUUAAAAAAUUAAAAAAUGUAAGAACUAAUUUUUUUUAACAUAAUAAAUAAAAACAAAUAUUUUUCUUAUCUGUACUAUUAUUUAAACUUUCGACUGAGUUAGUGUCACGAGUUAACUAAGCACCAACUUUGUUAGGAAAUUAUAGGGAUGCCCUUCAAUAAUUAAAAUAAAUAAUAUUAUUUGAGGGCGUUUUAGUCUUUUCACUUAAAUCCAAUUAAAAUAUGCAUAUGAUGGAAUUUGAACCCAUGCCAAUCACAUUAGUGAAACCUUUAAUUUAUCACUCAACUAAAGUUUUAUUUUGAUAUUUUUAUACAUUUUAAUUUAAUCGAAUUGGUGCCGCAAGUUAAACGACUUACUAUUGAUGGCGACACCAUAAUAAGCAAUUUAAUUUAUUUCUUUUUCAUUUUAAUAACGUGCAUAUUUCAUGUAUUAUUAUUAAUUAGUUUCAAAUAAUAUGUUUCAUUAUUUAUUGUAUGUUAUUUUUAAACACACAUUUAUGUUCUAAAUUUAUGGUUUCCACACGCAUAUGUCACGGGCCGCAGUUCAAAGCCCGUGACCAGUGCACCAAAUGCAUCCAAUGGAGGUCUGUUGCUCAGAUGGGGAUCAUUUGGCCCACAAGAACUGGCCCGAUUCAAAGAGAUAUUGGAGAAACCUGUCAGAUUAAAGCCUGGUUGGCCCGAUAGCGAAAAGAUGGCAACUUAGGCUAAUAUGGUAACAAAUCUUAGAAGAUAGAGGAAAUCAUAUCUUGUAAAGAUUAGAUUAGAUUUGAUAAGGCUUAUCUUGUAAAUCCCUAAAAUUAAGGGAUAUGGUUAAAUCACAUCCGUCGAUGUAAUUGUAUCUUGACCGUCGGUUUUGGGGGAGCUCAACUAUAAAUAGAGAGCCUCCCCCUCAUUUGUACUCACUCCUGAAUUGUUUCAUUAUUCUUUGUGAAUAAGAAUUGAGAGCAUUUACUCAAACUUUUCUCUCAAGCGUUCUUGCUUUUGUUCAUCUUUCAAAGAUCGUUCUUAAUUCGUUCUUUCGCUGUUCUUCGUGGAAACUUUAAGGGAAUUCUGUUGAAUCCUUUAUUGUUACGAGUUGAGCUAACUUAGGCGUUUUUACGGUUGAAUCCUUUAUAGGUGGAAGUUAGGCUGACUUAGGCGUUUUUAAGCCAAGAAACUGUCUAAGGCCGCACGGAUGUGUGGGAAAACUCCAAGUCCGUGACACAUACGUGUGUGUUGAGAUUUCUAGUUUAUUUUAGACUAUUUAACAUAAAAAUAAAAGUUAAAUAAUGUUGGAACUUUUUAUGAAUUUUUUUCUGUAAUCUUCAUGUCCGUUUUAAGGUUCAUGUUUGGGAUUCGUUGUAACAUCUUUAGCCCAACCUGACCAUCGGGUCCGAGUUACGGGAUGUUACAGUCGUUGUUGGAGCAACUACGAACAAAUAACAUUCAAAUUAAACAUAAAUCAUAUAAUCAUAACCAUUUUAGUUCAUGAUCACCAUAUUCAACCUUUCUCGGGUCUUAUACAAUCCUACAUAUGCUCUAGAAUUGACUCGAAAUCGAACAAGGACCAAUUUGCAACAAUUUUAAAAUUUCAAAACGACAUCGCGACGUGAAAGGUUUUGUAACGCCCCUAACCCGAAUCAUCGUCAGAACAGGGUUACGAAGCAUUACCGGAGUUUACAAAUUAAUUAUCAGACAUUUCAUUUCAUCUAGCAUUCAUAUUUGAAACCAAUCAAAAUCAUACAUAUUGUCCCUUAAACGAGCCCUUGAGGCCCAAAUUUACGCAUUAGAAACACAUGGGGACUAAGUCAAAAACUCAAAAAAAAUUUCGAAAAUAUUUAAAGUUUCCAACACUGCAGGGGUCACACGAUCGUGUUUCAGCCCGUGUUUGUACCCGUAUGAGUAUACUGACUUGGGUCACACGGCCAAGUCACACGCCCGUGUGCUAGGCCGUGUGAGCAUUUUGUUUUGUGCAAAUUUAAGAUACAGGGGACACACGACUAUGUCACCUGGCCGUGUGUGACACACGGUUGAGACACAUGCCCGUGUCUCUGCUCGUGUGGAUGAAAAUAGACCAUUUUACAAGCCAUAUUUCUCACCCAAUUUUGUGUCUAUCUACAAUCAACAUGACACAUAUCAACAAGCCAUAAUUAAACAUUCAAAACAAGCCAAAAUAAGUGGCUAAACUCAACACACUACAUAUAAGCCAUCAUUAAACAAAAUACCUAUACAUGCCAUUAUAACCAAAAUCAAAACUUUCAAAAAUAUCGAUAGAACUGAUGGAUAGUGUGAUAUAUCUUCGACAAGCUUCCAACCCAAUCAAGUUUCCGAUAAUUUGAAAAGUAGAAGAAAACAAAUACAUAAGCAAUGAAUGAUUAGUAAGCUCGUAUAAAAUUUAAUCAUAAUACUUCCUUUUCAAAUAUGAAAUUUAUACUUAUCAAGAAUAAUCUAAUAUUGCUACGACAAUACUCAUGAAGUUAUAUUUAACAACUCACUAAGUGAAUAAAUAUACAGUAUCACUUAUACAUAAUAUUCCUAGCAUAGUAGGUGUAACAACCCAAUUUUCAGUAGUGUCAGAACAGUGAUUUGAGAUCACUAAAUUUGAUGAAAAAGUUAGAAAAAUUUAUUAAUUAAUAAUUAUAAGUUAAGCGUGAUUUUAGAAAUAUUUUUGAAUUAGUGAAUUUUGUGAUUUAAAAGAAAUUAUUAGGUAAAUUGGGUCGAAAACGAGGUAUCGAGACCUCGAUAUUAUAAACUGAGUCGUAAAUAUUUUUAUAAAUAUUUACGGAGUGUCAUUAGGGUAGUAUUAAAGUUUCGUUAAAAAAUUUUAACGUUUCGAUGGUUAAUUGAUUAAAAAGGAUUAAAUUGCAAUAGAGAUAAAAGUUUAAUUAAAGAUUAAAAAGGGUUAAAAGGACCAAAUAGGAAAUUAUGCCUUUUUCUAAAGUUGAGGCCGCAUAAGUAGAUUUUUUUAAAAAUCUAAAGUUAAAAUAUAUUAAUAUUAUUAUAAUAUUACUUAAAAGUUAAGUAUAAAUAUUAUAUAAUAUAAUAUUAGAUUAGAUUAUAAUAUAAUAUAAUAUAAUAUAUUAUAUUAUAAAAUAUAGAAAAAGAGAAUUGAAACAGAAUUGAAAAACGAAAUAGGGAGAAAGAAAGAAAGAAAAAGAAAAUGGAAAAUUUGGGGUUUCAAAAUUCAAAGUUAAUUUAGUAAGUCAAUUUAAUCAAUUUUCUUGUAAUUUUUGAGUUUUUGGAGUUCUAGAGCAAAAUAUUUCAUGGUUUAUGUUAAAAUUUUGAAAGAUAGUUGAUUUUUAGAUAUGAGUUAUGUUGAAUUAAUUGACGAAUUAGGGGUUAAAUUGAUUGAAUUUCAAGUUAGAAGUUUGUAAAGGGUUGAUUUGUAAAAUAAAUUAUAGGUUUUGAAUUAAUAGGGACAAAAUUGAGAGAAUUUUAAAAUUAAGGAUUUAUGGUGAAAUUAGAUAGUUAAAUUAGUUUAAAGUGGGAAUGGGAUGAAAAUAUGAAAUUAUCGGUUUAGGGACUAAAUUGAAAUUUAGGCAAAUAUUGAGUAAAAAUUGAAAUAUUUAAUGUGAGAUUGAAUUGUGUUGUAUUGAUGAUUUUUAAUUGUUUUAAUUCCGUAGCUAGCGUUGUACCGAAAUUCUCGACUAAAAGGGGAAAAAAAUAUAGUCGACGAGGAAUAACUCGGAAUUCCUGGUUUGUAUUUCUAUAAUCCAAAUCUAAUUAUUAAUUGUUGUAUUUUUAAUUAAAUGUUAUGGUAAGUGAUUGAGGUGAGAAUUAUUAUUUUUUUUACAAUUGAUAAUUCAGUAAUAAAUAUGAAUAAAUACAUAAUAUCAUUCAUCAAUUUAAUAAAUAAAUAUUAAAAUUUAACCAUACAAACUUACCUGAAUUGAAUUGUAAUAAUUGUAGGAGUUCAAAGACUAUUCUGCUAUUUUUCCUUUUUUAUAAGUAUCUACGAAAUCUUAAUCUAAAAUAUAAAAUAACUCAUUCAUUAGCAUAUAUUUCAGUUCCAAUUCAUUUCACUAUUUAUACCCUUCUAUUUUUUGAAUUUACAUAAUUACCCUAACUUUUACAAGUUUUACAAUUUAGUCCCUUAACUAAUUAAUCUAUCAAAUCAACUAAUUUUCCUCAAUUAAUAAUUUAUCCAAAUAUUCUAGGCUAUUAAACAGCCCUUAAUAAAACAAAAAUUUAAUACCAAACUCUAAUAUUUUAACCAUUUUCACAAUUUGAUCCUAACAUCAAUAUUUAACAAAAUCACUUUAUAAUAUCAUCAUACAAAAAAAUUAAAGCUCUAAACCCACUUGAUAUUAAUAAUUUCUUUCAAUAUAUUAAUUUAGAUAAUAAAAAAUUUAUUUUAUGCAAUUCGGUCAUUUUUUAUAUUUUUACAAAAUUACCCUUAGAGUUUUUCUUUUAUUCAAUUUAGCCCCUAAGCCUAAAACAUGCAAAUUAGCCAUUUUUAAUGUAAACCCAUGCUAGUUGAAUAUUCAUAUAUUUUUCUCCUCCUCCUCUCCAUUCCACAUCCUUAAUGUAUAUAACAUGCUUAUAUGUAAUAUUAUCUAUAAUUCUACUAUUUACUUAUGUUCAUAUCAAAGUUGUCCACUUGAGUCAUAGUCAAUAAAUUAUUUAUAUCUUGAGCUAUAGAAUUCUAAAUUAAGAUUCGCUUGAUGUUUUUGAAACUAGACUCAAAUAUAUUUCUACCAUAAAAUUUUCAGAAUUUAUAGUUUAGCCAAUAAGUACAUUAAAAUCUUCAAAUUUAUCCCUAUUCUGCUGUUUAAAAGCUUUGACCUUUGCUUACUAAAAAUUAAUUAUCUCUUAGUACAGGGUUUGGAUGAUGUUUCUGUUUGUUUCUCUUGAAAAUAGACUCAUCAAUAAUUUAAAAAGAUAAAUUUAAACCAUUAAUUUUUUUUUACAAUUUUUUAUGAUUUUCCAAUGUCAGAAUAGGGGAGCCCGAAAUCAAUCUAACCUUGUCUCACAAAAAUUCAUAUAGCUCAUAAUAUGAAAUUAUUUUGCUUACACUGCUUCUUCUAUGUAAAACUAGACUCAAUAGGAUUUAAUUUAAUAUUCAAUUAACCUCUAAUUUAAUUUAUACAAUUUUUGGUGAAUUUUCAAAGUCAGACUACUGCUGCUGUCUAAAACUUUUUUAGUGUAAAAUGUUUAUAACCAAAUUUAUAACGCCCUCCUUUCCUUUCUCUACAAUAUUUCCCAUCACUUCCUCUUAUUUCCCUUCACUAACAUAUCAAGAACAUAGAAACUUAUAUAAUAAAACUCUACUUUAACAUCAUUUUCAUAAUUUUUCAAUAAUAUCAAACUCAAAAAUAUAUUGAAAUCUUGAUAUUCUUACCUUGUGAUCCUAUUGAUUUCAAUCUUUAACUUGAUUUUCUCUCUCCUCCAGCUUCUAUUUCUUGAAUCUAACUUGAUAUUCUAGCUCCCCAUUGUCUCCUUAUUAUUUUUCUCUCUUGGUAUCUAUGGAAAUUCUUUUGAUUUCUAAGUGAAAAUGGUGAAUUUUUUGUAAAAGGACCAAAUUGUAAAGAAAAAAAAUUUUCUUUCUUCUCUUCUUUUCUCUUCUCACGUGGGUGCAUGGAAAGACGAUGAAAAUUCUUCAUCUUUCUUUCCUUUUAUACUAAAUAAAAUAAUAAUAAAAUAUCUUAUUAAAAUAUUAAUAAAAUAAUAUUUAUCUAAUUAAAUAAUUAUAAAAUAUCAUCAAAAUAUCUCUAAUAUCAUCAUUGCCUUCUAGAGUUCUCUCUCUUUCUAAUUGACCAUUUUUCCCUUUAUAAUAUUUUAAAAUUCCAUCAUUUAGUCAUCACUUAAUUUGGUAAAAUUACGAUUUAGUCCCUCAUAAUUCUUCACCUAUUCAAUUUGGUCCUAAUUCAUCCAUUUUUCUCAGUUUCUAGAUCAUUACACCCUUAAAAUAUUUGCACUAUUGGUCCUUAAACUUUUUCAUAUUUACACUUUAACCCUUCAAAAUUUGAGUAUUUACUCUUGGGCAAAAAAACUUUUCUCACUUUUGCAAUUUAAUCCUUUCUUAAAUUAAUAUGUCAUAAUAUACUUCCCAAUAUUGACAUAACUCAAAAUUUCCCUUUUUGUCACUUUAUUUCCUUAUUUUACUAUAUCAAGGAUACUAUCUUACGUUCUUACUGUAGUAAUUUUCAGGGUAUUACAUGUUUCCUCGUUACGACGUGACAUACUGACUUGCCUCGUUGUGAUGGCGAGGUUUCUCAUCACGUCGUGGCUCGAAGUCCAGGUCUCGUCAUGACAACCAUCACUUGACAUCGUGCCGUGGACUCUGUUUUUGACACAAAUAAAGCUUUUUGGUACCUAUUUCAAGGCAACCAUAAAACUGCCUCAUUUGGUGCCUAUUUGCACCUUUGUACCUACAUCAUACUAACCAAAAUACAUUCCAUAACAUUCAUUUAACCAUUUCCCAAAACCAAUCAGGCUAAUAUGCCUCAAUUUGGCACCAUUUUAUACCAAUUCAACCUAUUCAAAUGUCACUUAUACAACCAUGCUUUUAAGCUAUUCAAACCAACAUUUAACCAUGUCAUAUCAAGCUUAAUUAUGCUAUUCAAAAUUUCAUAUACAAUAUCAUGCAAAUUACCAAAUCAAACAUAUACAAACUUAACAUUAGUUAGCACAAAAUCAAGCAUUAACCAAAGUUUCAAAACAAACUAACAUUUUUUAAGUUAAUAUAGCAACACCUAUGUACAAGCCACAAAUCCGAGUCUAAAACGAUUAAAAGACUACUGAAUAGAUGGUAGGAUAAUGUGGUCUUCAAGCUAAUUCGAUCAAAAAAUUUCACAAAUAACGAUCUACAAGGAAAAGGAAAAGUAAAGGAUAAACAUAAUGAAUGCUUAGUAAGUCCAUAUGAAAUUUACUUAACUUACAUUGACAUUUAUAACAAUUUAGCAAUUAAAACAAAUCGGUGCAAACAUGACAUCUUUUGGCAACAUUAUAUUUUCAUGCACAAUUCAAUCACACAAUCAUUAUGUUAGUUCAUUUGCAGAUCAAACCAUAAUACCAAAACCUUGUACAUAUAUAACCAUUUCAUAUUAUAACAUAUACUAUUAAUUAUGCUCAAUUUAUAAAUAUCACAUUUCAGUUCCCAAUCAAUCAUUUCAUUUCCGUUUUUAACUACUAUUUUCAUUUUUGUUUCGCCCGAAAAACUAUAGCAAAAUGAACUCGGAUAUACAAAACUAAUCUGGUCAUACAAGCUAUCAUAAUUAGGUUGCUCACAAGAGCUUAGUUCGAUGAUGCUAACACUAACUUUAGAGAUUCUGCAACAUAUGUUGGAUUUCAAGCCGUCGUAUUAUCUCUGAUCAAACACCCAUUUCCCUUUUUCGAUUGAACCAUUUCCUUUUUCGUUUGGAGCUUAAUGACUUGUCACCAUAUCCUAAUCGUUUAUUAAGUUCACACGAGCUCUAGUACGAUAUUCAAUUCAUUCCAAUCCCUGUAAUAUCAUCAUAUACAUAUCAUUCAAGUAUAUAAACAUUUCACAUCUAUUCCAUACAUCAUGUUCACUUGUAAUAUUAUAUUUCUCAUACUUAGGAUUUAGUCCUUUAGAUGCCAAAAUCGUCAAAAUUGUAAUUGACCAAAACUAAUAAACAUUAUAAGAUACAUUUUAAACACAACAUAAAUAACAUAGUAAGUUUCAUAUGAACUUACCUGGAAAAAAACCAACAAGCAAGAUGUCGAGAACUAAUCUGAAAUUUUGUCUUUUCCUCGAUUAUCCUUCAGUUGGUUCAAAUCCUGAUUUGUACGAUAACUCAUUUGAGUUUAUCAAUUCCAAAUACCUUAUAUCACUGUACUAUAUGCAUAUGAAUUUUCAAUUUCACUUUUUGAAUGUUCCCUGAACUUUUUCAUUUUAUUCAAUUUAGCUCCUAAAAUCAAAAUUGCUAUAACUUUUAAAUUUGAGGUUUGAUUUCAAAACCGAUCUCAAUUACAUCCUUAUAUAGCCCUAUAUUAUCUAUAGUUACAAAAUAUAACAUCAAUUUCAAAUUUUAUGCACUUUAGUCCCAUAAACUAGCAAUUAAAUUUUACAAACUAGUCCUUUUUUAAUAUCUAAGCUUAAAAUCUAACAAAUUAACACUAAUUUCAUCAAGCAUUCAAUAGUAGUAACUUUGGAAAACUUCAACAAAAUUAAAAUUGAUGCACAAGCUAGUUAAGUCAAGCUUCCGGGACCUCAAAAACAUAAAAAUUACAAGAAAAAGACUAAAAAAAUCAUACCUAAAUAAAGGUCGAAUGCUUGAAGUAUAAAAAGGGGUUUUCUUCUUUCAAAUUUAGGUGAACAUGAAGAAGAUGAAGAAAUCUAUCAUUUUUUUUUCUAUUUUGUCUUUUAUAGUUUAAUUAAAAUUCAGUUAAAUUGAAUUAAUCAAAAUUUAACCUAAUUAAUUAUAAUUAAUUGACUUUAAUCAAAUUUAACAAAUUUAGUGGGUUGUAAUCAACAUCCACCACCCGUUUGGCUAAUAUAAAAUGGUUAAUUUGUUCAUUUGGUCCUUCAACUAAUUAAAAAUUUAGAGCGAUUAAUUGUUGCCAUUUUUACAAUUUAGUCCUUGCACCUUAAUUAACUAUCCAUUUGAAAAAAUUAAGGGACCAAACUUUAAUAAAACUUUAUACUAAUCUCGUAAAUAUUAAUUAUUGGAAAUGGGGUUCCGAAACCACCAUUUUUGACACCAUUGAAAAACGAGCUAUUACAUUCAUAAUUGCCUCUCCUAACAAUGUUCUCCAAAAUUUAAAAUUAUAUUAUUUUUAAUUUCAAAGUUAUAUUAAAUGUAUAAAUAUAUUUUAUAAAAAUGUCUUUAUUAAAUAUAUUUUUAUAUUAAAUUCAAUAAAAUUGCGUGGGAUGCAAAUUAAUAUAAUAUGUAUUUAAACCACAAUCAAAAUUUAAUAUCUAUAAUUAUACCAAAUCAGAGUUUAUCUGCAUCAAAAUUCAUGUAUAAUUUUAAUGCUUGUCUGUAACGACCCGAUAGUCAGAGGUGUCGGAAAGUACAUUCUCGGGACUCCAUUUUCGUAAAUCGGAAUAAAUAUUUACGAAGUUAGUUGUGUAGUUAAUUAGGUUUUGGUUAAGUGAAAUUGCAUGAAUUAAGAGCAAUUAGGUAUAAGGACUAAAUUGCAUACAGGGUGAAAGUUAAAUUAGAGAUUAAAGAAAAAUUACAGGGACUAAAGAAACAAUUAUGCCAUUGUUCUUUAAUAGGGCGGCAUAAGGUAAGAUAUUUAUAAAUUUAAUAUAUAUUAUAAUAAAAUAAGUUUACUUAAUAUUUAAGUAUAUAUAUUAUAAUAAUAAAUUAAUGUAUAAUAAAAUAAAAUAAGUAAAUGAAUAAAAAAAUAAUAGAAAGCCAAAGCAAAACGAAAAAGAAAAAGAAAGACGCAAGGCUUAGGGACUUCUGGGGUUCAAAGCUCAACUGGUUAGUCAAUUUAGUCAUUUUUCUUGUAAUUUUUAUGUUUUUGGAAUUCCAGUGUUAAGUGCUACCCGACCCAUGUCAAAAUUUUAGCAAUUAUUAAGUUUUUAAAUGUUGUUAAUGUUGAAUAAUUUUAGUAUUAUUAAAUUGAUAGAUUUUUAAGUUAGAAACAAAAAGGAUUAAAUUGUAAAAUAAAUUGUAAAUUAUGAGGAAUAGGGACUAAAUUGUAAAAAAAUCAAAAUUUAGAGAUUUAAGUGAAAAUAGGGAGUUAAAUUUAGUUUAAAGUGGAAAUUGUAUGAAAAUAUAGAAUUAAUUGUGAAGAAUAAAAAGUUGUCUCGGUUUAGGGACUAAAUUGGAAUUUAGGAAAAUAUUGAAUAAAAAUUGAAAUAUUCAAUAUGAAAUUGAAUUGUGUUGUAUUGAUGAAUUUUAAUUAUUUUAAUUUCGUAGCUAACGUCGUACCGGAAUCCUUAACUAAAAAGGGGAAAGAUAAAGUUGACGUGGAAUAGCUUGGAAUUCCUGAUUUGUAUUUUUAUAAUUCGAAACUAGUUAUUAAUUGUUGUAUUUUUUUUAUUUAAUGCAUAUGACAAGUAUUGAGGUGAAUAUUUGGCACUUUGACAUUGAGUUGAAUUAAAAGUUGAUUGAAUGGAUUGAAUUUAUAUAUAUUAUGAAUAUACUGAUUAUUUGAAUUGAAAUGAAUAUAUAUGUGCAAAUAUGAUAAUUGAAUAUUGGUUGUAUUUGGAAAGUGAAAUUAAACUCUAUUAAUUGUAUUGGACUGAGUUGGAUAUAGAUGGCAUGCUAUAGGAUUGGAAGAGUUCAGGGAUUUCUUCGACUUCGAGUCGAUGAGGCACUGGGUGCCAAUUUACUUCGGUUUAACCGAUGAGACAUUAGGUGUCAAAUUUAUAUAGCGCUGGGAGCAAUUAUUACUUCGGAUUUAUCCGAUGAGGCACUGGGUGCCAAACUGGUGUGUUGGUUGGAUCCGUGUAUCCGUUCGAGUCCGAGUUGUGUUAAUAGGGGUAGUUAAAUAAAAUAGUACUAUGAUUGAUAUUGGAUGAUAUUGUAUGUGAAUGAAAAUGGGAUAGUGAACUGAAACAUGAAAAUGAGACACAUGAAUUACGUAUUCAUGAAUUAGAUAUGAAUUGAAUAAUAUUAUUGUUUAAAUGAUAUAUAUAUUAAAUUGUGAAAAGCUAUUAUAUAGCAAGUGAUGAGAUUUGAGAAUGGUAAAAUGAUGUAUUUAUGAAUUGAAUAUUGAAUGGCUAAUGUCAUUGUAUGAAUAAAAGUGCUUAUAAUUAAAAUAUGCAUAUUAUAUUAUCCUUGUUUUUAAAUAUUCGAAUUAUAGAAAUACCACUAGGUUUUACUCAGCGUACGGUUUUGUUUUCCGUGCACAGAUUAGGUACUUCAAUUUUGAACGCCGAUUUAGCAUCCAACAACGCUCCCGAACUCAAAUGUGGUGAUGUCUAUCUUUUGUGUCGACAUGUACCUAGGGUGUCUAAAUAAUAGUUAUUUUAUGGAUUGAAUAUAAAUGAGAUUAUAAGUUUAAUAUUGGUUGGUUUUAUACAUAUAAAUAUGUGUUUGUUUUUGAAUCCAUAUUAUGGCAUGGUAAAUUGAACUAAACCUAGAUAGGUGAAUGUGAAUUUAAUUCUAUGUUUAAGUGCUCAUGAACUAGGCAAAUUGAUUUGGAUUUAGUAUGUUUAUUAUUUGGACUAAAGUGAUGCUUUGAUGAUUUGUUUUGAUGAUAUGAAAUGUUUGAGAAUUCUGCCUGUUUGAUCGAUAAACUUCGGUAAUACUUCGAAACCCUAUUCCGGCGACGGAUAUGGGUUAGGGGUGUUACAUUAUCCUUUAUUUUAAUAAAAAAAUAUUAACAAAUAAUAAUAUUUUCCUAAUGGAUUAGAGUUAAUUUUAUUGUCGAUGUAUUAUUAUAGAAUUAUCAAAUUUGAGGUUGAAGUUAAAGGAAUCCAUGUGCUUUAGUACAUUUGUUAAUUAUCAAGUUAAAGAAGUGCAUAGUACUUAGAAUAUCUUAUGAUCAUGGUAUAAAAACUGAAAAUUGGAACAUUGAUUUAUGUCGACCGAAAACGGAAACAUAAAAUAUAACAUUCCAUGCCUUGUGUUCCUCAAGUGGACACAUUUUGAUGUUUUUAUCUACAGAUAUUUAUAGUAGAGGAAGAGAAAGAUAUAAGUUUUAAGGAGAUAUGAAUUUUAUUUUACUCUUUAAAGAAGAUAUCACUGUGUACUCGUUGCAUAAGUUAGUAUUAUUCUCUUUACAUGUCCACUUACUUCGUAUUAUCGCUAUUUUAGGACGUGGGUAUCAUGCUCAUAAGUCGGCAUUAUCAUCUUUGGAUGCCUGUUAACUUCUCAAAACUAUAUUAUCUAAACCCGCGUCUCUCAAUAUUCAAACUCAUACCCUGAAGAGUCGGGUAGAUCAAGGCUUGGGUUUGAACAUGGGGAGAUGUACUUUUAGAUAAUAAUUUUGAGAAGUCAAUAGGCAUCCGAUAAAAAGAUAAUACGUACCGAUUUAUGGCUAUUGACAUCGACACCCUAAAAAGGUAGCGGUACCUUGUUGGCUGGUGGGCUGUGAUAAUGGUAUCUUCUUUAAUGAGUACAACGGAGCCACCUCCCAUAAGAAAACUAGAAUCUAGUUAUUUAUGAAGUGGUGGUGGGGGUCAGGUCCCCCAGGACUUGUUCUCUCAGGCUGUUGAUACCCGUUUUUCUCAGCUUCUUUGUUCAGGUACUGUCUCCAGGCCUCGAUGGAUUGUUUUACAUUCGUCUUCUCUAUCAAGAGGCGACUUUCAGAGGCUGCAGACAAAAGUAAAAUCAAGGUAAGGCACAUCAGACACCUAAAGAUAGACAUUGUUGCUUUGACAUGGGAAGUAGAAGAGGCUUCCCGUAUUUAUAGACUUCCGAAUCAACUUAAUCACAAAGUGGAUGAGAGAUCGUUCAUCAAUCAGUCGACUGUAAAAUGUCAUCUGACUGGUAAAGACAAUCGAGAUCAUGAUAGCACAACUAAGUUUAAAAGCCGCAGAGACCAUUCUGACGACGCUUUGCCAAUAAGAUCUCCAUGAGCCAACAUUUAUUUUGGCGUAUUGCAAGUUUUUGGAUUAUUAAACUCGUUGUUGCCUAAUACUGAUUCUGAUUCAUUUACGAGGUUCGCAACUUCACACAUGGAUAAAAUUGAGAAUACGUCACUGCAUGUUAGGCAUGGUCAUUCAUGUGUCUGCCAAGGAGGAUUAGUGGAUAAACCACACCGACCAGUGACAGUUUAUAAUAAAAAGUUCAAUAAAAAAGCUUUUCAUUAAACCAAUUCCAUGAGGUAAAGUAGAAACCCCUUUAUUUGUCACCGGUUAUUCAUUUAUUGGUAAGGGCCUCUCGGGGAUAAGACAAGCGUCAAAUUAAUAUACACAAACGAUGCUUUCGGAUAAUCAAGGAUUUUGCCUUUAGUUUCAAACCCUUUUUCCCUGGCUGCUUUGCAGUUCUAGAUAAGAUCAACAAUCAACAUCAGCACCUACAAGCUAUUUUACUGUCAUUGGUGACACAAAAAGGAUUCGAAAGUUGCCGAGUACUUAGCCAGUUAGUCCAGUCAGACGAAGGAGCAUCAAUUAGAUCCCCCUUGUUCAGAAAUCUCUCCCAGAAUGAUGCUGCUGAUCAGUGAGUGAAAAGAGACAUUAAGCGUUAAAUGAGAGAGACAUGCACUUUCCCCAAUUUGAUAGUUAAGUUAGGCCUGGACUUCCUUUUCUUUUCUUUUUUACUUCCCUAUAUGUACCUGCCCAUAUCAUGUGGUUGCUAUUCGUUGGGAUUAUUAACUCCAAAAAGUACCUAAAAUGAAACAAAGAACCGACUAAUCUGUGAUUAACAAUGAGUUGUCCAUUAGGCUAGAAUUAAUACCAACAAAUGCGGACUAGUUUUGGAUUCUUUCCAUUAUCCAAUCAGAUGGUUAUUUCCUCUCCACAAAAUGCACUCUGAGUAUAUUUCUCCAGUGAGGAGUUUGGAUUAGACCCAGCAACUUCUCAUUUCUGUCAAGGGUCAAGGGCCUUGUUUUCGGCUAAUAGGGUAGAGUAAAGACAAAGCAUUUUUUGGCCUUAAUCUAUGUCCAAUACUUGGCACGAACUUGAGAUUUUGUCCGUAUUGUAUAUUCUUAAGAGCUACCAAACAAACGUAAAACCUUAUUUCUUGCUUUCGUAAUAUUUCUUGUCUUUUCAACUGUUUCUCUUUGCAUUCUUAAUAUUUGUAGCUACACGAGCAUGGAUGCAGCUGUAAACUUUUAAACGAUCUUUUCCAUUAAAAUAUGCAGUCCUGUAGAAGUUUGUGCACUCAAUCUAAUGGUUUAGCUGAAAUUUCUGGUCUUUGAUUCAAGUGUACAUAAUUUACUUGGAGGAUCCUGCAACUAUGAACCCGAACUCAGGAGCGGUCUCAAAUACGGGUAUGUGCCCAAGAAUUAGGUAUAUUCAACUUUUUUUUAAUGUUUUUUUUUUAUAUUUGAAAGAUCAUAUCUCACACGCUAAUCAUUCCAUAAUCUUUUCUCAGGAUAUCAUUCCAUAUAUACUCUCCCUUAUAUUAUCCAUUCUAAUAAAGCACCAAUUGCAGUGCACUUCAAAAAUGGUGUUAUGAGUUUAUAGGAUCACAUUUAAUAAGCUUGAACCUUGUAAUGAAAGAGACAAUAUCUUUUAUCAAAUCAAUUUUUUAUUAUUUUUUCCAUAUGGAGAAGCUAUAGUUAUAUCAUCGUCUUUCCGUCCCAUAAUCUGCAGUGAUAGAUAAGCAUAGAAAUAGAAUAAAGCUCCAUGGUUCAAUUGUUCUUGCUUUAACUCUAUAACAACAAUAUCUUAAAUGUACGUACAUGGCCUUGAUUUCGACACCAAAAGAAAAGUUGAAGGAAUCGUUGGUGGAAGUGGAGUUUGGAUAUAAAUCCUUGAUUUCAAUUCUUAGUGCUUCUUCUGUUAUUUCAGAACGAGUCAGAAGAGGAAUAAAAGUGGCAGAUAUGAAUAUAUAGUACUUGUUAAUAAAUUUGCAUUCGAUACGCGACAACCGCACUAUGUUUUAUUCAAAUCAUGCCGUCAAUCUUUAUAUUUUGAUGUUGAAACUUAAUUUAUGUAUUUAAAAAUUAAAAUAUAUAUUUUUUUAAAUUGUAGUAUAAUUGUUAACAUUAACAAAAAUUCCUUUACUAUCAAGUACGCUCGAAUUUAUACUAAUUUGCUUAUGAAAUUGAUACUAUUGCACGAAUCUAUCGAUGGCAAAUCUUAAUAGAAAUUACCAAACACUAUUAACGAUUGAGUUUAAUUUUUUAGCUAAGAUUUAAUACAACAUUUUACACUUUCAAUUUGACUUUUUUUAAUAGAUAAUUAAUUUUUUUUAAUUUUGUAACUGAACUUGACAUAUUUUCUUAAUUUAGUACCUAAGCUUUUCUUUUCCAAUUGGUAUCUAAACUUACAUUUUUUUUUCUAAUUUGGUACUUAGAUUUUUUUUGUCAAUUUUGGUAUUUAAACUUGUCAAAUGUUAUACAAAUUGCUCCAAUAUAUUAACAAUGUUAUCUUUUAUGAUAUGGCAAAAAUAAUCACUGUAUGACCGACAUGUAUUUUAAAUGUUCAGUUACUUUUAGUUUAAUUUAUUUUUUUAUUUAACACAAUGGAAUUAUUUUAGAUAGGGUUUUUAACACUUUUGAUUUCUUCUUCAAUAUCCAUUUGUUAAGCAUAUCUCAAAGCACAGUUUUUGAACAUGGAUUUUCUUUGAUAUUGACUAUAUUUUUGUGGAAUUGAAAAGUUUGGUGAAGACUAGACCAUGCUUUAAGCUUGUUGUCCCUCUCAAGUCAUUCCUACCAUAAUAUUCAAAGUAAUCUCAACCCCAAUGAAAAAUAAAAUUUGAACAUAUUGUUUAGCUAAAUAGAGAAAACUCCAAAUAAAUGUAAUAUUUUCUACAAUUAAAUUUCAUGUCAUUUUUCACAUGUCCGUUACACAAAAAACUUAAAUACAAAAUUUUUUAGAAAUGUCAAAUUCAAGUAUGAAAUGUUUUAGAAUUGUUUAGACAUUUUUUUACCAAUAAAGCAAUCAAUCCCAUUUAAUAGAUGAAGAGUCUAAGUGAGAUGCAAAUCAUCGAGUCUAUUAGGCAAAACCAAUUUUUAGUGGCUUUUGUCAUGCACAAUACCAUCCGGUUCUUACGAGACUCAAGCCAAACCUCGAAUGUUGUUAAUGAGCUUAGAGCAGUUCGAUUUGAAUAUAACUUUGAUCUUUUUAUUUCUAGUAUUUUUUACCCUAAUUACAUUGUGUGUGCCUCGGUGUCAUGGUCUGACAUUGUGGCUACAUUGCCACUAUGACAACCCACUGGGUGGAAAGGACGAGGCCAAAGUCUAGGGACAAGAGUUCCCCAAUGAUGGAUCCUAAAGGGCAAGUGUUUUGCAAGAAGCAUCAAGUAAGUAACAUGGCAAAGAGCCAUGAGUGGACAAGGUCGACGGGGUGGUGGUCCCAUGCAAUGAGUUGAGGCGAUGAGUAGCCUAAGUGUGGGGCAAGCAUGCUUGGAGAAUGCCCAUAAGAUGGCCCUGGAGUGCCAAAUAAGAAAACUCUCUGUGUUCCCUAGAAGGAUAGUUAUAAAAGCUAUUUAGCUCUUUAGGGGGUAGCGAAAGGUGUUAGCUCUCCACCUCCCCCUCACAUUGGCUAGUUGAUAAGGUUUCUUUAGUGCAAGUGAGUUGCUUCAUGGCAAGCGAGAUGUUAUGGUGUGCGUUCACUGGCAAGUGGAUACUCUAUGUCUCUUCGAGAGGAAACUCGGAGAUGGUUUGGGGCCAACGAGCCUCGUAUCAUGUAGUGGUUGGAAAGCUAGGGUUCGACCAUAGAUUUUAUCUAAGCCCUGUGGGAUCCUCCACCCAAAGUCUAUUGGGUUAUCUUUGGGAUCUUAAGACGAUGCUUUGUAGGAGGAGCAUCAAAAUGCGAUGGAACAUCGGGAUAACUAGUAGGUGAACUAGCUACUAGUAUUGUGGGAACACAUAGAUAGAAAUUAAGCAUAGUGCUUAGAGCUGGGACAGUGCACUAGGGCAAUCCUUGCGUUGAGUGCAUGAUUGUUGAAGUUGGCCUGCAUGCAGGCAAAGAAGCAGACCAAGCUGCCGAGCCAUGCAAUUGCAGCUGAAACUCAUGUUGCUAAUUUUCAUUUUGUUACUUCAAGUGUUUAUUUUGUAACUUAGUUAGAUUAGAACUAAGUUGGUAAUGUACUUGAUGUAAUUAGGUGAUGUUUGAGCUGAUAAAUCAGCUUUACUAAGUGUGCAAGUUAAGUUUAUCAAUUUACUAGGUUAUUAAUGGAGUUAGGUGAUGAUUAGAUGACAUUGUAUCAUUUUGACCAACUGAAAUACUUGGUAUUUGUAAUGGCUUUAUGCCUCAAUUCAAUUGUGAUGAUAUUUUUUAGAAAUUCUUCUUCAUUCUCUGGUUUUUUACUCAAGUUCUUAAGCUAAAUUUUCUUUUUUGUUUAGCAAGACAUCGAUGCUUCUUGCUUAAUCUUCUGUCAAAUUUCUCAUGUUGUUUUCUUAAUUCCAACAAUUGGUAACUAGAGCUCAUUUUCUUAGUAUACCUAUCAUUUUUUCAAUCUUAAAAACCAUGUCUUCAUCCAGAUUCUCUCCAGCUCUACCACCAGUGUUCAAUGGUGAAUGCUAUCAUAUUUGGAUAGUGAAAAUGAAGACCUACUUGUAGGCAUUCGACUUGUGAGAGGUUGUCAACUCUAAUGUUGAACCACACCCUUGAGAGCCAAUCCUACAGUGGCUCAGAUCAGGCAACACUCUAUUGAUAGAGCUAAGAGAUACAAGGCCAUGUCAUACAUCUAAAAUCAUGUAUCUGAUGUAAUUUUCACGAGGAUAAUGGCUUGUGAGUCUUCAAAAUAGGCCUGAGAUAAGUUCAAAGAGGAGUUUCAAAGAACUAAAAGAAGGAGGCAACAACAACUCUUGAAUUUGAAAAGAGACUUUGAAAAUUUAAAGAUGAAGGAAGAAGAAACAGUGAAGCAAUACUCAGACAGGAUUAUGUCUGUUGUGAACAUCAUCAGAUUACUUGGGGACCAGUUUAGUGAAGCAAGAAUAAUGGAAAAGGUUAUUUCAACCUUACCUGAAAGAUAUGAAGCCAAGAUCUCAUCCCUUGAAGACUCAAGAGAUCUGUCAAGCAUCAAUUUGACUGAGCUGAUUAAUGUUCUUUAUGCUCAGGAGCAAAGAAGAGCCAGCAAACAAGAAGAGCAUCAAGAAAGUUCCUUCCAAGCCAAGAGUAGACCAACCUCGAGCUCCUCUGGCUACAAAGGGAAAAAGAUUUGGCCAGACAAGCCUAGAAGAGAUGGAGCAAGAAGAAGAUAUCCACCUUGCCCACAUUGCAAAAGGCUUAGUCAUCCAGAAGUAAAUUGUUGGUUCAGGCCUGAUGUGCAAUGUAAAAUUUGCAAAAAUAUGGGCCAUAUUGGGAAGGUUUGCAGAAACAAAGGCAAAUAGAGGCAAAACCAGCCUCAAUAGCCUAAAGUUGAGGCUCAAGUGGCAGAAGAAGGCUGUGACCAAGAGGAACAAGUCUUUGCAGUGUCCUGCUCAGCUGCCAGAAAAAGAACAACAAAAGGGUGACUGAUUGACAGUGGUUGCACAAACCACAUGACAACUGAUGCUGCUAUUUUCAAAAACAUAGGUAGAAGCUUCAACAUAAGAGUAAAAGUUGGCAAUGGACACUUCACCAAAGCAGAAGGCAAGGGAGAUGUGCUGAUUGACACUCCUACAGGUAUCAAACGUGUUUCAAAUGUCUUUUUUGUGCCUGAAAUUGAUAAAAAUUUGCUUAGUAUAGCUCAACUGCUUAAAAGGGGUUAUUUAGUUGUGUUUAGAUACAAUGAAUGCCUAAUCAGUGAUCUAAGUAGAUCCAAACUCAUGUCAGUAACCAUGGUUGACAGAAGUUUUGUUGUGGACUAGAACAAAAGUUCAAACAGUGCCUACAUAACAAUCUUAGAUGAGUCUAAGAUAUAGCACAAAAGGCUAGGUCAUGCUAACUACAAGUCACUGGUUCAAUUGACCAAAGGGGACAUGGUUGAAAACUUCACCAAAUCAGUUGAGAAAGAGGAUGUUUGUGAAAUAUGUCAGCUAAGAAAGCAAGCUAGACAACCAUUUCCUUUGAAAAAAGCCUGGAGAGCCUUAGAAAAGCUGCAGCUAGUCCACACUGAUGUGUGUGGCCCUAUGAAGGCACAAUCCUUGAAUGUUAGCAGGUAUUUCAUCCUUUUCAUUGAUGAUUUCUCAAGGUUUUGCUGGGUAUACUUUCUAAAGCACAAGUCAGAAGUGGCCUCAGUAUUUUAGAAGUUUAAAGCUGUAGCAGAAAUAGAAUCAGGUUACAAGCUCAAGACACUAAGGUCUGAUAAUGGCAUAGAAUACACUUCAGCAAGAUUUCAUGGCUUUUGUGAUGAAGCAAGCAUCAAACACCAGCUCACCAAUACCUACACACCUGAAUAGAAUGGUGUCAGUGAGAGGAAGAAUAGAACCUUGAUGGAUAUGGCUCGAUGUUUAAUAUUUGAAAGGAAUUUGCCUAAGAUUGUUUGGGCUGAAGCAGUUAACACUGUAGUUUACCUCCAAAACAAGCUACCAACCAAGGCUUUGGUUUAAAAAACACCAUCUGAGGCCUGGUUUGGGUUCAAGCCAUCAGUUGCUCAUCUAAAGGUCUUUGGCUGCAUUUGUUAUGCACACAUGCCUGUAGUAAAAAAGGACAAGAUGGCAAAAAAGGCUUAGUCUAGCAUCCUAGUAUGCUACAUUAGUGUCAAGAAAGGCUAUAAGAUUUUGGACCCUACAUCCAAUAGGGUUUGUGUGAGCAAAGAUGUAGUCUUUGAUGAGAAAUCAAGUUGGAACUGGGAUAAGAAUGAGCCAGAAUGUGCUGCUGAAGAUUGGUGACAGAUCAGAUUGAAGGUGAUCAAGAUGAUCUUGAAAUGGACAUUGAUGAUGAGCUAGUCAGGGGAACCAUACCACUGGCUGAAAUUUAGGCAAGAGCAGAUGUAGCUACUGUAGAACCAACUUGUCUUGAAAAAGUUGAAGCUCAACAAGGAUGGAAACAGGCCAUGCUCGAUGAAAUGAGCAUGAUUGACAAGAAUCAGACCUGGGAGUUAGUUGCAACGCCAGUUAACAGGAAGGUCAUAAGAGUAAAAUGCGUGUUUCGAGCUAAGCACAAUACUGAUGGAACUUUGAACAAGUUAAAGACAAGGCCGACAGUGAAGGGAUUCAAUCAUAAGUAUGGCAUAAACUACUUUGAAACAUUUGCACUAGUGGCUAUGCGACACAAUUAGGCUAUUGGUUGCUUUGGCUGCAUAAAAGCAAUGGAAAAUUUAUCAACUCGAUGUUAAAUCUACUUUUCUCAAUGGUUUUCUUGAUGAGGAAAUCUAUGUUAAACAGCCUGAAGGUUUCAAAGUUGUAGGCAAUGAGGGCAAUGUGUAUAAGCUAAAAAAGGCAUUGUAUGGCUUAAAACAAGCACCAAGAGCCUGGUAUGACAGGAUCAACACUAACCUAGCAAGCCUGGGAUUCGAGAGAAGCAUCAGUGAGCCAACCUUGUAUGUGAAGAAAGAAGGUGUUGAAACACAGCUCAUAGUCUCCUUAUAUGUGGAUGACUUGCUGGUUACAGGAGGAAACAAUGGCAUGUUGAUUGAGUUCAAAGACAAGAUGGAAAGCAUGUUCGAGAUGUUAGGCUUGGGACAAAUGUCCUACUUCCUUGGCAUGGAAGUGUCACAGACUCAACAAGGAAUUUUCUUAAGUCAAAAACCAUUUUCCUUGAAGAUUCUGAACAAGUUCUCCAUGUUGAAUUGUAAAGCAACAAGUACACCAGUUGCUGUUGGAGAAAAGCUGACCAACCAAGGUAAUUUUGAGAAAGUAGAUGAGUCAACCUACAGAAGUUUGGUUGGAUGUUUACUUGACAGCCACAAGACCAGACAUCAUGUUUGCUGUAAGUUUCCUAUCCAAGUUCAUGCAUUGUUGUAAUGUGAGUCAUUUUUAAUCUGGCAAGAAAGUUCUCAGGUAAAUUAGAGGUACAUUGAGCUUUGGAAUGAUGUUCCCCAAGGUUGAGAGCAUGAAACUCAUUGGUUUUGCUGAUAGUGAUUAGGCUGGUUCGAUAGAUGACAUGAAAAGCACCUCAGGGUAUCUGUUUACCCUUGGAUCAAUCAUUUUUUGUUGGAAUUCAAAGAAGCAAAGUGGUGUAGCUCAAUCAACAGCUGAGGCAGAGUAUGUGGCAGCUGCAGGAGUUGUUAAUCAAGCUAUUUGGCUAAGAAAAAUCAUGGCCAAUUUGAAUCUACACCAAAGGGAAGCAACGGAUAUCAAAUGUGACAAUAAAUUUACUGUUGCAAUUGCAAAAAAUACAGCGUUUCAUGGGAGAACCAAGCACUUCAAGAUAAAGUUUCAUUUUGUUAAAGAGAUGGAACAAUCUCAAGAAGUUAAACUGAUUCAUUGCAGUUCUGAAUAUCAGCUUGCUGACAUCUUGACAAAGCCUCUUUGUGUGUCAAGGUUCAAGGAUUUGAGAACCAAAUUGGGAGUAUGCAGCAUGCAAGCUAAGGAGGAGUGUUGAAGUUGGCCUGCAUGCAAACAAAGAAGCAGACCAAGCUGUUGAGCCAUGCAAUUGCAGCUGAAGCCCAUGCUACUAAUUUUCAUUUUGUUACUUUAAGUGUUUUUUUUGUAACUUCGUUAGAUUAGAACUAAGUUGGUAAUGUACUUGAUGUAAUUAGGUGAUGUUAGAGUUGAUAAAUCAACUUUACUAAGUGUGCAAGUUAAGUUUAUCAAUUUACUAGGUUAUUAGUGGAGUUAGGUGAUGAUUAGGUGACAUUGUAUCAUUUUGACCAGCUGAAAUACUUAGCAUUUGUAAUGGCUUUAUGUCUCAAUUCAAUUGUAAUGAUAUCUUUUAGAAAUUCUUCUUCAUUAUCUGGCUUUUUACUCAAGUUCUUAAGCUGAAUUUUCUUAUUUGUUCAGCAAGACAUCGAUGCUUCUUGCUUAAGCUUCUGUCAAAUUUCUCAUGUUGUUUUCUUAGUUCCAACAAUGAUGUUGGAUGUUUAUGCUUGAGACGAGCCUUCAAUGGGGAAAAUGAGCUUGACCCUUGGAGUAGCCCUUAUGGGCAAUGUGAUGAGCUAGAAGCACUCUUUAGUUGGCGAGUGGCCAACAAUUGAGUAGUGCCAUUGGGUUAUGGCACUUGAGAUGCGACAAGCGAGCGUGGAUUUAGUGUUGGGUUCCACCAAGCCUUGAGCCACGAUACCUUGCAUCUUGGAAAAUGAUGGUCAAUGCUCAAGAUCAUCGAUGGAGAUAAUAGUUGAGACGUCUUGCGUAAGGCCAGAUUAAGCGAGAGGCCUUUAAAACAAGACAUCGGUAAGAACUAAUAUAGUCCACGAAAAAAAGAUAUGAGAAAACUUGAUUAUAACUAAAAGUAAUAAUGGUGCCACACGAGGUUGUACUGUUCAGGUCAACGGCGGUUUGUGACACUCAACUAAGAGGGCAGAAGAAGUGUUGGCGUGGACAUUGCCACCAUCAAUAAACCAUAAAAAUAAAUACUAAUAAUUUUUUAUUUUUUAUUUGGUUAUGAAUGUAAUAAAUCGCAUAUUAAUUGUACAGGUUAAAAAAGUGUCCAAAAAGAGAAUAUAGCUUUCCUGGAGUAAGCUUUAGAUGGAUUUAUUUUCUGUUUCUUUAACUUAGAAAGUGACAUAAAGGUGCUUCAAGUAUGAAUUAUCCUCGGUCUUUUGUUAACCGAUAAGACCGAAUUCACUUUGAUUCCGAAAGUGAUGCUUCUUUGUAUGAUAUCAGUGUAAGAUUUCAGCACUAAAAUGGGAUGAUCCAACUUGUAGGUUAGUAGGAUAUUAUAUAUAGGGUUGUUUAUAUUAUCCAUGGAUCAUGAUCAAUCUGUGGAAAUUGUGUAUUUGGUAAAAUUUUUACUUGUAUUUUCAUUCGUUCAAUGAAUGUAUUUAUACAAAUUACAAGAGAAGAAAACUGACUAAACUGACUAUUAACAAACUAAACUAUAGUUUGUUAAUUCUAACAAACUUUGACUAUUUCGACUAAUUAAAUUAGCAAUAUACUAAUUUAAUAUACUAACAUCCCCCCUCAAGCUAGAGAAUGUAUAUUCAACAUGCCUAGCUUGAACAAAUUUUCUCGAAAUGGAGCAGUAGCCAAGGAUUUGGUAAACAUGUCAGCCAACUGAUCUUUAGAAGAACAAGGCAACAAUUGUAUAACACCAGUUGAAACUUUCUCCCUUACAAUAUGACAAUCAAUCUCGAUGUGUUUUGUUCUUUCAUGGAAUGUUGGAUUAGCAGCUAUCUGUAAAGUAGAAUUAUUAUCACAAUACAAUCUUGUUGAUGAAGAAACUGGUUGAUGAAGAUCAUCAAGUAGAUAGUGCAACCAUUGAAUUUCACAAGCUGCUGCUGCUAAUGCUCGAUACUCAGCUUCAGAGGAUGAGCGAGACACUGUGGUUUGCUUCUUUGCUUUCCAACUAAUAAGGGAGUCACCAAGAAAAAUACAAAAACCACUUAUAGAUCAUCUGGUUUCUGGACAACCAGCCCAAUCAGAAUCACUAAAGCCUCGAAGUAGCAAAGAAGAAGUUGCUGAGAAAAAUAUUCCAGGACUAGGAGAGUUCUUUAAGUAGCGCAAUACAUGAUGAGCUGCCUGAAGAUGCAACACAGUUGGUUUAUCCAAGAAUUGACUUAGCUGCUGAACUGCAAAUGAAAUGUCUGGUCGUGUUGAUGUAAGAUAAAUGAGUCGACCUACCAGCUGUCUAUAGAGUAUAUUAUCAGCAAGUAAUUCACUGUCAUCACUUCGCAAUUUUGAGCUUGAUUUGGUUGCCAUUGGAGUUUUUGCUGGUUUACAUUCCAUGAAGCCACUAUCAGUCAAAAUCUCAAGACAAUACUUCCUUUGAGAUAAAUGAAUUCCUGCAGUUGACCUUGCAAUCUCGAGACCAAGAAAAUACUUAAGCUCACCAAGAUCUUUGAUUUCAAAUGCCUGAUCUAGAAAACUCUUAACUGUAAAAAUUUCAUGUUGAUUAUUACCAGCCAAUAUCAUAUCAUCAACAUAAACAAGCAAGGCUGUAAAAGAAUCAUUUUCCUUUUUGACAAAGAGAGAAUGAUCAGAGGAGGAUUGUUUGUAGCCAAGGGAUAAAAGAGAAGCUGUAAGUUUGGAGAACCAUUGUCUGCUAGCUUGUUUUAAUCCAUAUAGAGAUUUUUGUAAUUUGCAGACUUUGCUCUUGUCUGAUCCUUCAAAUCUAAGGGGCAACUUCAUGUAAACUUCCUCAUUCAAUUCACCAUGUAAGAACGCAUUAUUGACAUCUAACUGCUGGAGAAACCAAUUAUGAGAUGCAGCUAAAGCAAGAAGAAGUCGCACAGUAGUAAUCUUUGCAACCGGAGAGAAAGUGUCAAAAUAAUCAACACCUUCUCGUUGUGUGUAUCCCUUAGCAACCAGGCGAGCUUUGUAUCGCUCAAUUGAGCCAUCAGCCUUAUGUUUGACUCGAAAAACCCAUUUGCAACCAAUUGCUUGCUUACCAGGUGGUAACUCAGUAAUAAUCCAGGUCUUAGUUUGUUCAAGAGCAGUAAUCUCAGCUUGCAUUGCCUCUCGCCAAUGUAAAUGUUUUACGGCUUGUGUGUAUGUUUUUGGUUAGGUAGUGGCAGUAAUGGCUAAAGUAUAGUGUAAAUGUGUAGCUGAAAGGUUUGAAUAGGAAAAAGUUUGAGUACGAGAGUAAUUAUUACCUGAGAGAAGAUUGGUACCAGCCUGCAGAGAAGAGCAUUGAUAAUCAUUCAAAUAACGAGGUGGUUGUCUGUUUCUUAUAGGACGGGUUACAUUUGGAGUUGGUGGUUCAAUAUGUGGUUUAUCAUGUGGUUCAGUAUUUAUGGGUGGUGGUUCAAUAUGUGGUUCAGUAUUUGUGGGUGGUGAUGGUGUUUCAAUAGAAGAAGAUGAAUCUGAUAUAGGUUCAUCAUAGGUAGGAGAGGAAGCUAAAACUGGUAAUGAAGGUGAUGAAGGAGACAAGGAACUGUGAAGAAAUGGAAAAUGAUGUUCAUGAAAGGUUACAUUUCGAGAGAUGAAAAUGAUUUUGGUAUCUAAGUCAAAAAGUACAUAACCUUUAACUGUAGGUGAAAGGCCAAGAAAAAUACAUGUUUGAGAACGAGAAUCAAAUUUAUGCCUAUGAGCUGUUAAAGUAGAUGCAUAAGUCAAACAACCAAAAACUUUUAGAAUAGAGUAAUCUGGUUUGGUUUGGUGAAACUUUUCAUAAGGUGUAAAGUUGGAAAGGAGAGGUGUAGGUGUUCUAUUUAUGAGAUAGACAGCAUGUAAGACUGAAUAUCCCCAGAAAUAUUGAGGUGUAUGAGAAUGAAACAAGAGGGCUCGAGCAACAUUUAAAAUAUGUUGAUGUUUUCGUUCCACCAAGCCAUUUUGUUGUGGUGUUUCCACACAAGAUGUUUGAUGUAUGGUUCCUUUAGAAGCAUAAAAAGAAGGCAUAGCAAAUUCAGAACCAUUAUCAGAUCGAAUCACUUUAAUUUUGGCUGAAAAUUGGGUCUCAACCAUUUGGAAAAAAUUUUGAAUAUGUUCUCGAACUUCAGACUUUGUUUUUAAAAGAAUAAGCCAGGUAUAACGGCUGUAAUCAUCAACAAUUGUCAAGAAAUAUUUAUGGCCAUUAAUAGAAACAAGAGGAUUAGGGCCCCAAAUAUCAGCAUGUAUAAGAUCAAAUCUCUUUAUUGAAACAGAAUUGCUUACAGGAAAAGAAAGCUUUUUGUGCCUUGCCAAGUGACACGUUUUACAAGCUGAAUUAUCAAAAAGUUGUAAAGUAGGUAUUUCUGGUAAAAGGAGUUUUAUUCUCGAGUCUGAAAGAUGACCAAGACGAGAAUGCCAUACAUCUGUAGUAGGAGUAGCAGUAAAGGUUGUAGUAGAAAGGGUAAAAGUUUGAGAUGGAUAGUCAAGUAGAUAAAGGCCUCGAUAUGCUCUAGCUGUACCAAUCAUCUUCCAGGAUGGGAGAGCCUGUAUCUUGCAAACAUUAGAAUGAAAGGUAAAAUAACAUGGCAAAGUAGUAGUAAGUUUGGUUACAGAAAGCAAAUGGAAGGUAAAAGCUGGAAUAUAAAGAAUAUCAUGUAAACAUAAAUGUUCAUGAAAAAUAACAGUACCAGAUAUACAUGCUUCAAGUUUGGUACCAUUAGGUAAAGUAACAAGGAUGGGUUUAAAAUGUUUAUAUGAGGCAAAAGAUGAUAAAGAAUAAGUAAUAUGAUCAGUAGCACCAGUAUCAAUGAUCCAAAAAGGAGUUAAAGAUAUACCUUCAGUGGUAGCAAGAGUAAAGUGAGAGUCACGGAUAACAUUGUUGGUUAAAGAGGUAGAAGAGGGAAUGGAUGGAGAGGGUGAUGGUUUGAGUAAAGCAAGAAGCUGAGAAUAUUGCUCUUGAGUCAAAGUAAAACCAGAAUUAUUAGAUGAGGAAUCACUUAGUGUUGAAGUAGGUGGAGGCUCAGCAACAUCAUCAGAAUAAACAUUGUUGACACGAGCCUGACCCUUUGCCCUGUAUCCAUUAUUAUAACCAUUCUUGCGAAAACAUGUUUCAAUUGUAUGACGAGGCCUUUGACAGAAAAUACACAAUCUUUUGUCAACAGUUGAAGAAGAAGCAUCAAAUCGCUUAGUAACAGCAUUCACACUAGAGGUAUUAUCAGAGGAAGACAGAUUAUUAACAAACACCUUUGAACUUCCAGUAUUGAACUGUCUUUCUUGUUGAAUCACCAUAGAAAAAGCCUUAUUAAUGGAUGGCAAAGGAUCUAAAAGCAUAAUCUGAGAUCGCGCACCAGUAAAUUUAUCAUUAAGACCUUUAAGAAAGCGAAUCACAUAGUCAUCAUCAUGAUAACGCUUGAUAGUAGUCAAAACACCACAAGAACAAGGUGUAUUGCAAGAACAGCGAGGAAGAGGCCUAAAAUGUAACAACUCAUCCCAGAAAAUCUUGAGUUCAGUAAAAUAGUCUGUAACUGACCGAUCAUCUUGCUUAAAAGAUGAAAUCUCAUCUUGCAAAUCAGAGAUUCGAUAAACAUCACCUUGAGAAAAUCGUUCUCGAAGAUCAUUCCAGAUAUCAAAUGCAGUAUUAACCCAAAGAACACUGCUAAAGAUGAAGGAACUGAUAGAGUGAUUAAGCCAAGAAAUUACCAUGGUGUUGCAUCGUUCCCAAGCAGGAUAAAGAGAAUCAGUGUCAGAUGGUACUGUAAUGCUUCCAUCAACAAACUGAAGCUUGUUCUUCGAGAGAAGUGCAAGACGCAUUGCACGAGACCAAGAAUGAUAGUUGGAACUAUUGAGAGCUGGUGAAACAAGUAUAAGCGAAGGAUUUUCAUUUGGAUGCAAAUAAUAAGGACUGGAAAUAGGAAUUGUAGGAUCAGAAAGCUCAAUCGUUGAUGAAUUAACAGGCAUAAUGGAAAAAGAAUCCAGGAAAAUGCCAAGAAAAUGCAGAAAAGCAGAGAAAAUGCGGAAGAAUCUUUAAACGUCUGAUACCAUGUGGAAAUUGUGUAUUUGGUAAAAUUUUUACUUGUAUUUUCAUUCGUUCAAUGAAUGUAUUUAUACAAAUUACAAGAGAAGAAAACUGACUAAACUGACUAUUAACAAACUAAACUAUAGUUUGUUAAUUCUAACAAACUUUGACUAUUUCGACUAAUUAAAUUAGCAAUAUACUAAUUUAAUAUACUAACAAAAUCCUAGUUAAUGCAGCCACUGAGCACCGCCCAACAGUGGUUUCAGUUAGGCUAUAUAUAUUUGUAGUGUUUUCUAAUCUUUUAUGUGCCUUUCUUAGUAUAAUAUUAACCAUUCCCUUUGACACUAAGCGCGCCUUUCAAUGAUGUCCCAAAGAAAUAAGUAAAGAAAAGGGUAACAAAAAGUUCAGAAACUGCAGUAGACUACUUUUUGUAAUUUAAAUUAAAAACUAUACUCCUACCAACACUUGAGCCACGUCAUUACUCCUUCAAAUAAGAGAAUCCAAGUACUAAUCCCUCCCCCCAUACUAUCAAAAUUAGGGGGACAAGAAGAACAAUUACAUUCCUCAAAACCCUCCGGUGAAGUCAUCUAACAUGUAGCAGAAGCAUUCAUAAAAUGACUAACUGAGAAUAAGGGGAACUUUUUCAUAUGUUGUUAUUUGAAUUUUAAAUUUAAUGUUAGGAUUAUAUCAUUAAUCACUAAAUUAUAGAUAAGUUUUGUUUUGAUCACUUAAUUAAAAAAAGUUAUAAUUUGAUCAUUGAACUAUUUGAAAGUUUUCCUUAAGUCAUUGAACUAUUCAAAAGUUUUUAUUUAAGUCAUUGAACUUUUUUUUUUAAGUUUCGACAGCGAACUCCAAGUGACAAUUCAAUGAUUGGUACGGUGGAUCAGUACCCAUCGCCAAGUAAAAAAAAUACCUUAGAUCCAAAUCAAUCUGACGGUCAGUGUAGGAGAACGGAAAAAAAACUGUUUGAAUUUUAGUUUGCAAAUUCAUGACGUCCAAAAUUGUUUCAUAAAAAGAAAGUGAAAGAUAGAAAAGAAGAGAAAAGAUCUUUCUAUUGGUGCAAACAGUACGAAUAAAAAAAACCAUAUAACAUCGGUUUUAAUAGUCCAAUGACUUAAAUAAAAACUUUUGAAUAGUUUAGUGACCAAAUUAUAACUUUUUUUAGUUAAGUGAUCAAAAUAAAAACUUACCCAUAGUUUAGUAAGUAAUUUACCCUAACAUUUAUUACAGGAACUAACCGAACUUGACACUAGUUUGCUAAUGAUGGAUGGAGUGAUGUUGGGGAUCAGGACCACCGGGACUAACUCGUUUAGACUGGUCCAGGUUCUUGUUAUCGAUUUCAUUUUGUGUACGCCCAAUCUUAAAAGCUUCCCUGGCACCCAAUGCUCGAAUGGACCUAAUCAAGUCCCGUCCCUCUGUGUAUGGACCAAGAGGACGACCAUCUGACCUUGGAAAACAAACUAGUAGCAGUAACAGGUACAGAUGGAAUUUCGAAGUUGCCAUCUUCUUAGCAAGGUUUGAGGAAAUUUACUACUUGUGUUGCAGCAAUUCCAGGGAGGAGGGAUGGAUAUAUAUAGACCAUCAUAUUUUGUUUUUAAUCGAACUUCCAAGUGGGAUGAAAAGUGCCUUGACAGCAUAAUGUAAUUAUUAUUUGUCCGUUUCUCCUUUCUAUAUUCGGAUCCCUUUCAGCAAUCAUAUAAAUAAAACAAUUAGCGACCAUAGAAGAACCAUAUAGCUGAACUACUUUUCUUUUUGGCAAAAGAAAAACCUAUGAUCUGAUCGAAUGGAAGUGCAAGAAAAGCCCUUGGAUUUGUUUGUUCCCGUCAAUAAAUUCUGAUAGGCUCCCUUGAAUUGAAGGAGCUCUCAACUUGAAACAAUGACAUUGUCCUACCUUGUCUUCUUCUAGAGCACUCCACUCCAGCAUCCUUUUGUUGUCUGUACUCUGCUUUUGAUCUUCUUUAUGGAAAGCUCAACAAGCAAUGUGGUGGCCGGCGAUCCCACAUAGAUAAGGAGUGUUAAAUUUCAUAUAUGCUCUUCUCUAGAAGCUUGAAGGUAACCUAGAUAGCUUGACUAGUUUGUUGGAUCGUGCAGAAAACGAUGAUCUUCUUCAAACAGUUCAGAAUCUGAAUGAAUAAUUAAUGAUACCUUAUUCGUAUGGGGCUAUUAAGAAACAAUAGCAGACAUAAUUGGGCAAUUAUUGACCACCAUUUGGAUUCAAGGAAGGUGAAAUCAAGCAAGUUUUUUGUAUAAAAGACAGAACUCAAACUACUGGCAGAGUUUAGUUUGAUUCAUAGUGAUAUCCAGUGUCGAAAUUACCUGACAAGUAUUCUAUUAUAGGGAUUAGAUCGAUUUAGUCCAUUUACUAUUAAAUGUAUUAAUUUAAUCAUACAACUAGAAAGAAUAAAAUAAGAUUAAAUUGUAAUAGACUUAACAUUUAUUAGGUAAAAUAUGACAUGAAAAUUAUUAGUUUUUCAUUUGCAAUUCAACUUCAAAUAAAAAUUUUCAUUUGCAUAGCAAUAAAAACUUUUCAAAAUAUUAAUUAUGUUAAUAAUAAAUGAUAUCUUUUAAACAAUAAAUAUUAAUUUUUAUUUAAAUUUGGUCUUAUUUAAUUUUUAAAUAAUAUAAGGACUAAAUUAAUCCAUUUAAUAAUAAAGAUAUAAAUUGUCGAUUGAGCCUUAACUUAAUUGACAUCAGUAUUAUUAUCAAUAUAGAAAUUCGUGGGUUCAAGCAUUGAAAUGUAUUUAACCUCAUAUUUAAGGAUUUGAAAAAGGUUAGGAAUAAUUUUAAACAUUAUAUAAAAAUAAUCAUAAAGAGAAUAAUUUAAUAUGGAAUUAUAAUAGAGAGACAUGCUAUCUCCGGUCAAACUAAGUUUUGACUUUUGCCUUUUUGUUUGAUUUUAAAAUUUUAAAUUGGUUUGCUUGAAUUGUCAGUACUUUCAAUAAAAUAAAAUAAAAAUAAACCCAUUAUUAUUAUUAUUAUUAUUAUUAUUAUUAUUAUUAUUAUUUGAAUGGAAACAUCAAACAUUUCAUUAGAGAUUGACAGCAUCAGUUAAAAUAGCUUGGUGGAUACAAGCAGGAUAGUCCUCAAUCCAAUACAAAUCAUUAUCAAGAGUACAGCUAAAUUUUGCAAGCUCAUGGGCAGUCUUGUUGCCUUCUUAUCGAGUACGGUUGACACGAAACUCAGCAAACUGUUGCAGCAAAGAUUUGCCGGAGAAGUCAUCUUCUUUACUAUUUAAUCCUUUCAAAAUCACUCUUACAUCACCUUCAAUAAUAACAUAGGAAAAUCCCAUGUCAGUAGCUGUUUCAAUGGCUUUAACAGCUGCAAUAGCUUUCGCAGUAGCAGUGUUUGCUGCAAUUGGCAAUUUCUAAGCUGUUACACCGACCACAAAUCUUUCAAUGUCUCUUAACACAACUCCCACGCCUCCAUUUUUGUUUGAUGCCUUAAAACUAGCAUCAAAGUUGACCUUAAUAAAAUUGGAGUUUUGUUGAACUUUUGGCCUGCACUGCAACAAAAGACCAGCAGCAGCAAAUUGUACAAGUCAAACUGCUAUACUGUUUAGAAGUGAAGAAAUGGAGCUGGUCCGAUUGAAGCAACCUAUUUUGAAUGAUUUGUUCCUAUGAAACUUUGUCCAAAUCUUUUUGUAUUAUGAUAGCAAAGUUAGUAGGAUAGAUUGACUGAUUUGCCUUGAUGUAAUAGCUGGUAUGCCAGCUUUCUUUUGUAAGCAAGUUACAAUAUUUUUAGUAUGUAUUAAGUAGGAGCAGUUAACUAGUAGGUAACUGUCAAAACUUUUGUAACUUACAUAAAUUCAAAUUUUGAAUGAAAUAUACAUGACUUUCAGUUACAUUUUUUUGCUGAGUUUUUCACUUUCAAGUUUCUUUUUCUUUGCUUCAAUCGGUUUUGUUCUUUUUCUUGUUGAAAGUUCCAACAAAAUGGUAUCAAGAGCUUUCUGUCUUUGAGGGCCUUGGUUGUACACUGUCACUAAGCAAGUUGUGCUUUAAACAAAAGAAGCAAAGGUUGUUUCUGGUUGCUGUGAGAAUGAGUUUUACACCACCUCCUCCAUCUGUCUUUGCUGGAGAAAAUUACAACAUCUGGGCAGUGAAAAUGAGGACAUACCUGCAGGCAUAUGACUUGUGGAAUGUUGUUCUCAAUGACACUGAGCCACCACCAUUGAGAGCCAACUCGACCAUAGCUAAAAUCAGGCAGCAUAGUGAAGACUGUGCCAAGAAGUACAAGGCUAUGUCAUGUCUUCAAACUGGAGUUUCUAAUGUUACAAGGAUAAUGGCCUGUGAUACUCCAAAGCAGGCCUGGGACAAACUCAAUGAGGAGUUUCAGGGGUCUGAUAAGUCCAGGAAACAACAGCUGAUCAACUUGAGAAGAGACUUUGAGAACCUGAAAAUGAAGGACUCAGAAACCAUUAAGCAGUAUGCUGACAUAAUCAUGGCUACUAUCAACAAUAUAAGGCUGCUUGGGGAAGAAUUUAGUGACCAAAGAGUGGUUGAGAAAGUCAUAACAACCUUGCCAGAGAAGUAUGAAGCAAAAAUCUCUUCUUUGGAAGAUUCAAGGGACUUGUCAACAAUCCCUUUGACAGAGCUUAUAAAUGCUCUUUAUGCUCAAGAGCAAAGAAGGGCAAACAGAAUGGAAGACUAUUAUGAAGGAGCCUUUCAAGCUAGAAGCAGAGAAAGCUCAAGUUCAAAUUUGAAUACCAAAGGCAAGAAGCCUUGGACAGAAAAGAAGAAGAAAGAGCCUGCCAGGAAGAAGUUUCCACAUUGUGUUCAUUGUAAGAAGACAACUCACCUUGAAAAAUACUGCUGGUACAGACCAGACAUUCAAUGUAGAGGCUGCAAACAGUUUGGCCACAUUGAAAAGGUCUGUAAAAACAAGUCAAAGGCACAACCACAGUAUCAAAAUCAAGCUCAGGCUGCAGAAGAUGUUGAAAUACAAGAAGAACAUGUUUUUUCAGCAUCAUGCUUUGCAAGCUCGAGCAAGGUCAGCAAAAUAUGGUUGAUUGACAGUGGAUGUACUCACCAUAUGGCUUUUAAAAAGAGCAUAUUUAAUGAGCUUGACACCACCUUCAAGUCUAAAGUCAAAAUUGGCAAUGGUGAGCUGUUGGAGGCAAAAGGCAAAGGCAAGGCUUUGAUAAGUACAAAGUCAGGUAAUAAAACCAUUUCUGAUGUUCUCUAUGUACCUGAUAUUGAUCAAAACUUGUUGAGUGUUGGCCAGUUAUUGGAGAAGGGCUACUCUUUGAUUUUUGAAGGCAAAAUUUGUAUGAUCAAAAAUACUACUAGUGAAGUGUUAACUACAGUGGCUAUGCAAGAUAGAACCUUCAUUUUGGAUGUGAAUUAGCUACAGGUAAAGGCAUAUGCAUCUCAGUCUGAUGAAGCAGACUUGUGGCACAGAAGGUUGGGACAUGUAAACUAUAACUCUUUGAAUAUGUUGCAGAAGAUGAAUUUGGUCAGUGACAUGUUUAAAAUUGAACCAAGGAAGGUUGUGUGUGAGGUCUGUCAGCUAGGCAAACAGACCAGGUUACUCUUUCCUAUUAACAAAGCAUGGAGAGCACAAGGAAAGCUUCAGCUAGUUCAUACAGACAUCUGUGGACCUAUGAAGACCACCUCUUUAAAUGGCAACAGGUACUUUGUACUCUUCAUUGAUGAUUACUCUAGGUUCUGCUGGGUAGAUUUUUUGAAGCAUAAGUCAGAUGUUUAUGAUUUUUUCUACAAAUUUAAAGCUUUGGUUGAAAACCAAGCUAGCUGUAAGCUGAAAUGUUUGAGGUCUAACAAUGGAUCUGAGUAUGUAUCUCAGAAAUUUCAAAAGAUAUGUGAUGAUGCUGGAAUUCUACACCAGUUGACUACUAUGUAUACACCACAGCAAAAUGGUGUCUGUGAGAGAAAAAAUAGAACAGCCUUUGAUAUGGCAAGGUGUUUUUUGUUUGAGGCUAAAAUGUCAAACAUUUUUUGGGCUGAAGCUGUGAAUACAACUGUUUAUCUGCUAAAUAAGCUACCAACUGAUGCAGUCAAGGGUAAAACACCCUUUGAAGCCUGGUUUGGACAGAAACCAUGUGUCUCACAUGUGAAGGUGUUUGGUUGCUUGUGUUAUGUGUUGGUACCAGAAGAGAAAAGAACCAAGUUGGAUAAGAGGUCCAUGCUAGGGGUGUUUGUUGGCUAUAGCAGUGAAAAAAAAAGAUAUAGAGUAUUUGAUCCACUAACCAAGAAGGUAGUAGUGAGCAGAGAUGUCAAAUUUAGUGAAGCAAAUAGCUGGAAAUAAGAUGGAAUUGAGGUAAGUUUGCUUGAAGUAGAUCAGAAUAACAUUGAUAUGCAGCAAGCUGAAAAUGAAUUAGUAAUUAAAGAUAACCAUGAUGAUGAACCUGUUCGAGGCACCAGGACAUUAGCAAACAUCUAUGAAAGAUGUGCUGUAACUCUAGUGGAACCUUCAUGCUAUGAUGAAGCAGCAAGAGAAAGAUGUUGGCAAGAGGCUAUGGAAGCUGAGCUAAGGAUGAUUCAGAAGAAUGACACUUGGGAGCUUGUUAAUAGACCUGAAAACAGAAAGAUCAUAGGUGUCAAAUGGGUUUAUAGAACUAAAAACAAUGCUGAUGGUUCCCUGAAUAGACACAAAGCCAGACUCGUUGUAAAAGGGUAUAGUCAGCAGCAAGGGGUCGAUUUUUCUGAAACAUUUGCACCUGUUGCAAGGUUGGACACUAUCAGACUACUGCUUGCUUUGGCAGCUCAAAAGCACUGGAAUGUGCACCAUUUAAAUGUUAAGUCAGCCUUCCUAAAUGGUUUUCUUAGUGAAGAAAUUUUCAUAGAGCAACCUGAAGGUUUUAAGAUUCCUGGUGAAGAACACAAAGUCUACAAGUUGAAGAAGGAAUUGUAUGGCCUAAAACAGCCUGGUAUGAAAGGAUUGAUGGCUACUUAGCAAGGCUCGGGUUCACAAAAAGUGUUAGUGAGCCUACACUUUAUGUUAAGAAGGAUCAGAAGAAAACCUUGUUAAUUGUUUCCUUAUAUGUUGAUGAUCUACUAGUUAUUGGCUGCAAAAAUGAGCUUAUUGUGGACUUCAAGAAACAGAUGCAAGAAGUCUUUGAAAUGACUGAUCUUGGUCUAAUGACCUACUUUCUUGGCAUGGAAAUAAAGCAAGGAAAUGAUGGUAUCUUCAUAAGUCAGCAAACAUUUGCAUCCAAGGUGCUGGAGAAAUUUUGUAUGUUGAAUUGUAAAUCUGUUAUUACACUUGUUGCACUGGGAGAGAAGUUGUCAAGCACCAGUGAGCAUGAUCGAGUGGAUGAAAAAGCUUAUAGAAGUUUAAUUGGCUACUUGUUUUAUUUGACAGCAACAAGACCAGUUAUUGUCUAUGUUGUUAGUCUUCUUUCAAGGUUUAUGCAUUGCAGUAAUGUGGCACAUUUAAAGGCAGCAAAAGGGGUGUUAAGAUAUGUCAAAGGAACCAUUGAUUCUGGUGUGAAGUUUUGGAAGACAGAAGAGCUGAAAUUUGUUGGCUACUCUGAUAGUGAUUGGGCAGGGUCAAUUGAUGACAUGAGGAACACUUCAGGUUACUUUUUUACUCUAGGCUCGAGUGUUUUUAGCUGGAGUUAGAAAAAGCAACAAACUGUUGCUCAAUCCACAGCAGAGGCAAAGUACAUCUCAGCUACAGCAGCAGUUAAUCAAGCCAUUUGGCUUAGAAAGAUUUUAGAUGAUUUGAAUGAAAUGCAAGUUCAGCCUAAUGAAAUCAAAGUUGAUAAUCAAUCAGCUGUAGCCAUAGCUAAAAAUCCAGUCUUCCAUGGCAAGACUAAGCAUUUCAAAAUUAAAUUGCAUUUUGUUAGAGAAGCUGUGCAAUUGAAGGAGGUCAGUCUUGUCCAUUGCAGUUCAGAAAUUCAAUUGGCUGAUAUUUUAACCAAGCCAUUAGGAGCUAACAGGUUUAAUGUAUUGAAAGAAAAUAUUGGUGUUUGUUGCAUACAGUCCAAGGAGGAGUGUUGAACUUUUGGCCUGCACUGCAACAAAAGACCAGCAGCAGCAAAUUGUACAAGUCAAGCUGCUAUACUAUUUAGAAGUGAAGAAAUGGAGCUGGUCCAAUUGAAGCAACCUAUUUUGAAUGAUUUGUUCCUAUGAAAAUUUGUCCAAAUCUUUUUGUAUUAUGAUAGCAAAGUUAGUAGGAUAGAUUGACUGAUUUGCCUUGAUGUAAUAGCUGGUAUGCCAGCUUUCUUUUGUAAGCAAGUUACAAUAUUUUUAGUAUGUAUUAAGUAGGAGCAGUUAACUAGUAGGUAACUGUCAAAACUUUUGUAACUUACAUAUAUUCAAAAUUUGAAUGAAAUAUAAUGACUUUCAGUUACAUUUUUUUGCUAAGUUUUUCACUUUCAAGUUUCUUUUUCUUUGCUUCAAUCGAUUUUGUUCUUUUUCUUGCUGAAAGUUCCAACAAGUUUGGCUUCUUCAUUGGCAGCAAUGUGAAUAACCAUAAGUUCUUUUGCUUCUCACAUUUGCUUCAAUGAAAUCUUUGUACAAUUCUUGACACUUUCAACAAUUCUCACAUUGGUUUUAUUGGAAUUGCGAAAAAAUGAAACAUUUCUCGAGUUCCAUAAUGUCCAAAUCAAAAAAAACCUGUCAAAACCAUCUUCCUUUGAUUCCCGAGUUACAAAUUCAAUCCAUUCCCCCCAUUGUUCACGUCCCCAUCGUAAGUCUGAGUUGAAAAUCCAGUUAAGGCCAAUGCACUCUUAGCAAUAGGGCAUUCAUGCAAGGCAUGCAUAAUAUCUUCUAACUCAUUUCUACAUCUUAAACAAGCAAAACUCACGCCUUGUAUUCGUGCAUUCAAAGCACAACCUAAGGGGAGAAUAUUAUUGCACACUCUCCAACAAAAGAUCUUGAUUUUGUUGCUCACCUUCGCUUUCCAUAUAAAUUUUCAUGCAAUUCUAUGAGGUCCCAAGUUGUUAACCGGUUGAAGUAAACACCUAUACCCACUUCGAACUGAGUAAUUCCCAUCAGCAUUCCAAUUCCAGAUCAGUUUAUCUUUAGCAUUUUGGUUCACUAACAGAAUCUUGCAAAUUGCCUCUGCUUCCUCUUUAGAGAACUUCCUCUUAAUAAAGUUCUCCCUCUAAACCAUUCAGCUUGCAUCAAUGAGUUCACAAACCUUAGAUCCUUCGUUGAAGUUGGUACAAGGGGAUAGAGACAAGGAAUUUAAUUGGGUUGGAGUCCAAAAAUCUUUAAUUCGUGUGAUGAGACCAUUUCAAUCCACCAUCUAGUACCUUUAUGAAGAAUAGCUUUGCUGUUCCAAAUACUUCACCAAAGGAAAGAGGGGUUGCAACCAACACUUGCUUCCAUAAAGGAACAAUUCGGAAAGUAUCUAGCUUUAAAUAUUUUAUGGCAAAGUGAGUUCUUGUUGAGAAGGAGAUGUCAUCAUUGUUUCGCUAAAAGAGCAAGGUUGAUAAAGUGCGCAAAUCCUAGAACCCCAUGCCCCCUAUACUCUUUGGUUGACAAACUUUAUUCCAUUUGAGCUGAGAUAUUCCUUUUCCUUCAUCAUUGUUAUUCCACCAAAACCUUCUUACUACCUUCGUUAUCUUAUCACAAAGAGAUUUCGAGAGUAAGAAGCAUUGCAUUGUAUACAUUGAAAUUACUUGAAGAACUUCUUUAACAAAUAUCUCUCUUCCCCCGAAAGAAAGAAUUUUUUUCAAUCAUACUUUAAUUCUUGUUCUAACUCUAUCUAUAAUGACUUAAUUCUUGUUCUAACUUGUAACAACCCGGUUUGACUCUAAUCGGAAUAGUGGUUUCGGGACCACAAAUCCAAGUCCUAAAAAUAUUUCAAUAUUAUUUUGUGUGUUUACUUUGUGUGCAUUUGAUUGUGUGAAAUUUUCAUGUUUUAAUUUUGUUGUUUGAGUGUCCGAUUAAAUAAAAGGAUUAAAUCGUGAAAAAUAAAAAUUUAGGGGUUAAUUAUAAAAGCACCUAAUUGUUGUUGUCUUUUUAAAUGGAAAGAUUUAUGAUGCAAUAAGACCAUAAAGUAGUGAGUGGGUGAUAAUGGUCAAAAAUGACCUUAUAUUAUAAGGUUUAUAUAUUUUGUAUUAAAGGUUAAUAUAGUAAACUAAUAAUUAAAUAAACAUAUGAUAUAAUAAAUCAAUUGAAGCCAUUAUUUUCAUUCUUCCUUUGCCGAAACUUAGAAAAACAAAUAGGGUUUAAAAGCUUUGAGGUAUUCGGUCAUUAACAAGCUUAAUUCAAGGUAUGUUUUACUUCGGUUUUUGAUAAUUUUUACGUUUUUGAGAUCGUUGCUUCGUGUUCUUCAAAACCCAUAUCUUAAUUUUGUGAAUUGUGGAUGAUUUUGAAAUGUGCCAUUGAUGAAUGCUUGAGUUUUAUGAUGUUAGUAGGUGAAAUAUGAAAUAUAUUUGUUAGAUUAAUAUAUUUUGUAUUGGAAUUUUUAGUGAAAUUGAGUAAAUAGGGCUAAAUUGUGAAAUUAAAUUUUUGGGGGACUAAAGUGUGAAAUAAAUGCAAUGUGUGGACUUGUAUGAGAACCAUGAAUAUUCGGCCCUUGUGUGGUAUGGGCAAAUUUUGUAUAAAUUGUGUUUUAUGCAAUAGGGACUAAAUUGCAAAAAGUGUAAAUAUUAGGGGCAAAAUAGUAAUUUUCCAAAUUAUGUGUUUUUGGAUUAAAUUGAAUGUGUUAAUAAAUAAAUUAUCUUAUUUUGAAUAUAUUUAGAUCGAGAACCAAAGAAAUCGGAGUUAGAUCGGGGAAGAGCCAAAUUAGUCGAAUAAUCGUCCGACUUCGAUUUUCCAUCGUCCGAGGUAAGUCUAUUAGCUAUUUAAUGUUAUUAAAUCAAUAUAUAUAUAUGUAUGAAUAUCUAUUAUGUUGUUGUUGAGCUAUAAUUAAAAGUAAUUUAAUUGAAUAAAUUCAAAUUAUAAAUGGUAUAAAUAUGUAUAUACAAUGUUCAAAUAUAUAGGUAUAUGCUUAUAUAAAUUUUUGAACUAAGUUAAAGUAUGAAUGGUAUAAAGUUAUAUAUAUAUAAAUUCAAAUAAUUAUAUAUAUGUAUCUAUAUGUAUACAUAUACUUGAAUUUGGUUGGUUGUAUGAGAGUUAUAUAUAUGUGCACUUAAGAUUCAAAUAUAUGUAAGUAAAUACAUGUAUAAAUUCUUGCUUAAAUUAAAGAUAUGUAUAAUACAUAUGUAUACAUAAGUUUCGAACAUAUAGAUGUAUGUAAAAACAUUUGGGUUUGAUUAAAAGUAUGUAUGUUGUAAUUGUACAGAAAAUUUCGAAUAAGUAAGUAUAUGGAGUUGGAACAUCUAUAUAUAUAUGAAUAAGUCUUGAUUAUAUUUUAAGGUAUAAAUGUUAAAAAUGUACUUGGGAGUUCGAAUAUAUCUAAAUGUAUAUUUGUGUACAGAUUCUUGAAUUGAAUCGAAUGUAUGAUUCGCAAACUCUUUUGUGAUUGAAUAUGGACUACAAUGAAUGUGUGUUUGCUGUUAAUAAGUAUUUGAGGAAAUUAUUCUGUAUAUGGGAAAAUUGAGAUUUUCAAGCAUAGUGCUUAGCAGGCUUAUUGCCGGUGAAACACUUCAGACUAUAUGUCUAGCAGGCUUAAUGCCGGUGAAAUAUUUCAGACUAUAUGUCUAGCAGGCUAAGUGCUAGUGUACUGAAUCAGGCUUAAAGCCUAGCAGGCUAAAUGCCGGUGAAUCUGUUUUAAGUAUGUGAUUAGGUGUACAAUUAUAUGAUUUUGGAUAUAUUUAAUUGAUAAGUAUAUUUAUAUAUAUACAUUUGGCUAAGUGCGUUUGAUGAUUAUAUAUAUCCGGCUUAUACAAUUGAGAAAUAUAUAUAUGCUCUGGGAUUAUGCAUUUGAUAAAUAUAUACUUUUAAAUAUUCGGUACACAUAUUUGAUUAGUAACUAUAUAUGCAUUCGAGAUAUAUAUACCUUGGUUUAUAAGUAUUUGAUGAAAAUGAAUGUAUUCGUUCAUAUGUAUUAGAUUUGUAUUGGUUUAAAGUUUAAAAUGAGUAUUCAUACACAUUCGGUUAUGAUAUGUGUAUAAUAUAUAUAUGCUCAGUUGUAUACAUUCGUUGUAAUGUUGUUUGGUAUAAAAAUAUAUAUUCAAUUGAUCGCUUUCGACAGGUAUGCAUAUCUGUCUAUAAAUGAAAUGGUCUGAGUACAAUAAUAUAUAAAUAUUAGUUAUUCGUGUUAAUUGAAAUCUCAGUGAAAUAGAUUAAAAAGUAACUUUAUUUAUAUAUUUAUAUACAUUUAGUUAUGCUGUAGACUUACUAAGCUAUAAAAGCUUACUUUGUUUGUUUUCGUCCAUUUGCUUUUAUAGAUUUUGGAGACGCGUUACGAGCUCGGGAAUCAUCAGCAUAGUCCAUCACACUAUCGACUUCUUUUGGUAUUUUGUUAAAUAUUUGAACUCAAUCUUAUGGCAUGUAUAGGUUUGAGUACGAUGUUAAUUACAUUUUGAUUGUAAAUUAUAAUAGCUACGCGAAAGUAAUUAAAUUUUUACGUUGUGAUCAGUUUGGUUUUAAAAAUGUUGAAUUUGUUCCGUAAUGCCUCGUAACCCUAAUUCGGCGACGGAUACGGGUUAGGAGUGUUACAUAACUUUAUCCAUAAUGUCUUUGAAAACCCUUCUCUUCUUUUUUCCAAUCAUCGUAGGGAGCCCAAGAUAGUAAUAUACCUAACUAUGGUAUGAAAGGAGAAAUGAAUAUACUUUCUAGUUGUCUUGUUCAAUUGAAAUAUCUUUUAUUGCACAGGGUAUGAAGAGACCAACAUUGCAUUUUGUUGAUCUCCUUCUUUCCUUGGUGCCUACAUGCUCAAAUAGGGCCUUUAAAAUGGUGAUUUGGAGACAAAUUUAAUGCUAUCUCAUGACUACACUUGAUUCUCAUGCUCAUGAUCGGAUUAUUCGUACAAUAUGGCUUGACUAAGCUGGAUUUUGGUAGGAAAGCAAAAUUUUGCUACAGGGGAGAACCACCCUGUAGUAUAAGCUACAAAACAACAUACACGCCAACUCAGCACUAUUACGUGUUGAACUUUGGCCUGUAGUGCAACAAGCAACCAGCAGCAACUCAACUCAGAAGCAGCAGUAACACUGCUUGAAGUGCAGCAUUGGAGCUGAACCGAAUGCAACAAGAUGUUUUGUUUAUUUUGUUUACAUGUAACUUUGUUAGUUUACUUGUAACAAGCUGGUAGGAUUAAUCUUUGAUGUAAUGGUUGAUAUGUCAGCUCAUUUUGUGCGUAAUUUAAGUUAUCAAGUAGUCAUGUAUUAGUGGAGGCAGUUAAGCCAUUAGGUAACUGUCAAAUUGAACUUGUAACUCUCAUAUAUUUUAAUUUUUUAAUGAAAUAUUAGUGUGGUUCUUCAAUUACAUUUGUUUUGGCUGCUAUUCCUACUUUCUUUUGCUUCGAUUUAAUUGUUUAUGUUUGUUGUUUUUGCUUUUGUUUAAUGUCAAUGUUUCAACAAAUGGUAAUCAGAGCAUGUUAUCUUUAAGGGCCUCUAUUGUUGGUUGUGUUUUUUGUCAAAACAAAGCUUGGAGAAGAAAGAAAUCGAAGUUGUUGGUUUUGUUUCAACAGGAUGAGUUUAACACCACCUCCACCACCUGUGUUUACUGGAGAGAACUACCACAUUUGGGUAGUUAAGAUGAAAACAUACCUUCAAGCGCACGAUUUGUGGAAUGUGAUUGAAAACGACACCGAACCACCUCUAUUGAGGGCCAAUCCCACCACUGCUCAGAUGAGGCAACAUAGUGAAGAGUGUUCCAAAAAGCAUAAAGCAAUGUCCUUCUUGUAGAAUAGAGUAUCAGAUGUAAUCUUCACCAAGAUAAUGGCCUGUGAUUCACCUAAGCAGGCAUGGGAGAAGCUGAAGGAGGAGUUCAUGAGGUCGGACAAAACAAGGCAAUAGCAAGUGAUAAAUCUUAGGAGAGACUUUAAAAACUUGAAGAUGAAAGAAACUGAGAACAUCAAGUAGUAUUCAGACAGGUUAGUGGCCACUGUCAACAGCAUAAGGCUCCUCAGAGAAGACUUCAGUGAGAGCAGAGUUGUUGAAAAGUUCAUCACCACUCUCCCUGAAAAAUUUGAGUCAAAGAUUUCAUCAUUUGAGGACUAGAGAGACUUGUUAGCUAUCUCAUUAUCUGAGCUGGUUAACUCUCUGUAUGUACUUGAGCAAAGGAAGGCCAAUAGGCAGCAAGAGCAUCCUGAAGGAGCUUUCCAAGCAAAGGCCAAUGAAGGCUGAGGUUCAAAUCAGAAAGGGAAGAAGUCUUGGCUCAACAGAAAAGAGAAACCAAUGAGGGAUACAGCCAAAAAUAGUGUUUCCACCAUGUAUUCACUGCAAGAAGACCACACACUCGGAAAAGGUACUAUUGGUACAAACCUGACAUUCAGUGCAGAAGCUACAAACAGUUAGGCCAUAUUGAAAAGGUGUACAGAAACAAAGGGAAUGAAUCUAUUUAGCAGCAAGCUCGAGCUGCUGAGGAUCUUCAAGCUCAGGAGGAGCAUGUUUUCAUAGCCUCCUACUUUGUUGGCACAGACAAAGUCAAGUGUGACUAGUUGGUGGGUAGUGGUUGCUCACACCACAUGGCAGCUGAUGAGAAGCUGUUUAAGGAUCUUGACAGAACUUUUGCUUCAAAGUUCAGAAUUGGACAUGAGAACCUGAUCGAAGCCAAAGGCAAAAGAAAUGUGAUGAUCAGCACUAGUUCAGGUAACAAAGUAAUUUUUAAUGUGCUUUUUGUGCCUGACAUAGACCAGAACUUACUUAGUGUUGGUCAGUUAGUGGAAAAAGGAUACACUUUGGUCUUUAGAGAUGGUUCGUGCAUUGUUAAAGACUCAUUUGGUCAGAAGCUAGUUACAAUAGUUAUGACUAAUAGGUGCUUUAUGCUUUAUGUGAGUCAAAUUAAAAGAAAGGCUUAUACCAGUCUUGCUGAUAGCACUGGUCUUUGGCAUAAGAGAUUAGGCCAUGCCAAUUUUAGGUCACUUGAUUUGUUGCAUAGGCUGAACUUGGUUGAGGACAUGUCCAAGGUUGAGGUCAGUGAUACUGUUUGUGAAGCUUGUUAGCAUGGUAAGCAGGCUAGAUUACCUUUUCCAGUUAACAGUGUAGGGAGAGCUCGAGAAAAACUCGAAUUAGUACAUUCUGAUGUUUGUGGACCAAUGAAGACUCCUUCAUUGAAUGACAGUAAAUAUUUUGUCCUGUUUAUAGAUGACUUGACCAGGUUUUGUUGGGUUUACUUGUUGAAGCAGAAGUCUGAAGUGUUUGAAGCAUUUAGCAAGUUUAAAGCUUUGGUUGAAAAUCAGAUUGGUUGCAAGAUCAAAGCCUUAAGAACUGAAAAUGGUUCUGAGUAUCUGUUAGAUAGAUUUCAGAAAACAAGCUGGGAUUCACCAUCAGCUGAAAAUAGUGUACGCUCCUUAAUAGAAUGGAAUACGUGAGAGGAAGAAUAGAACUGUGCUUGAUAUGGCCAGAUGUUUGCUAUUUCAGGGCAAACUACCAAGCAAAUUUUGGGCUGAAGCAAUCAAUACCUCAGUGUAUUUGCUCAACAAGUUGCCAACUCGUGCUGUCAAGGACAAGACUCCUUUUGAAGCAUGGCAUGGACUCAAGCCAAUCUUUUCACACUUGAAAGUGUUUGGCUGUGUCUGUUAUGCCUACAUUCCAGUAGAAAAAAAGACUAAGCUCGAAAGUAGGGUUAUUUCAAGGAUCUUUGUUGGCUAUAGCAGUACCAAUAAGGGCUAUAGAGUGUUUGAUCCCUCAACAAAGAAAAUUUUGGUGAGCAGGGAUGUAAGAUUUGAUGAAGAAAAGGUUUGGAGCUGGAAUGGUGCUGAAGCAUGCUUGAUUGAAGAGGAUCAGCUAGACUUUGUUCUUGAACCUGUAGAAGAAUGACCAAAUAAUGAAGCAGUUGAUGAUGCUUCUAUGAGAGGCACCAGAACCAUUGCUAACAUCUACCAAAGGUGUAAUGCGGCAAUAGUUGAACCAUCUGACUUUGAGGAAGCUGUCAGGGACAAGAACUGGAAGAAAGCCAUGGAAGCAGAACUGGAGAUGAUCCACAAGAAUGACACUUGGAAACUGGUAAACAGACCUGAUCACAAGAAAGCCAUUGGUGUUAAAUGAGUGUUUAGAGCCAAGUAUAAUGCUGAUGGCUCAUUGAACAAGCAUAAGGCUAGGCUUGUGGUGAAGGGCUACAGUCAGCAUUUCUGAAUGGUUUUCUCAAGGAAGAGAUUUUCAUCGAGCAACCUGAUAGAUUCAAAGUUGCAGGAGGGGAAGACAAAGUGUAUAGACUAAGAAAGGCACUUUAUGGCCUGGUAUGACAGGGUUGACACAUACCUGUCUAAGCUCGGGUUUGAGAAAAGUGUUAGUAAAGCUACACUUUAUGUGAAAAGAUCAAAAGGUGAGAUAUUGUUGAUUGUUUCUCUCUAUGUGGAUGACUUACUUGUGACUGGAAGCAAAGAUGAAAUGAUCAGUGAAUUCAAGAUUCAAAUGCAAGAAGUGUUUGAAAUGACAAACUUGGGAGUUAUGACAUACUUCCUUGGUAUGGAAGUGCAUCAAUCUGAUCAAAGGAUUUUUAUCAGUCAAUAUGCCUUUGCUUUGAAAAUUCUUAACAAAUUUUGUAUGCAGAACUGCAAAACAGUCAGCACACCUGUGGCUUAAGGGGAGAAGCUGACUAGCAAUGGAAAUUAAGAAAAAGUUGAUGAAAAGCAGUAUCGAAGUCUGGUAGGUUGCUUGCUUUAUUUAACAGCAAAUAGACAUGAUAUCAUGUUUGGUGUUAGUCUUCUGUCAAGGUUUAUGCAUUGCUGUGAUGUGAUUCAUUUCAAAGCUGCAAAAGGGUCCUUAGAUAUGUUAAAGGAACCUUAAGCUAUGGAAUUAAGUUCGAAAAGGGAAAUGAGCUUAAGCUGACAGGUUACUCUGAUAGUGAUUGGGUUGGCUCUGUUGAUGACAUGAAGAGCACCUCUGGUUACUUCUUUACACUUGGAUCAGGUGUUUUUAGCUGGAGUUCAAAGAAGCAACAAAUUGUUGCUCAGUUUACAGCUGAAUUAGAAUACAUUGCAGUUGCUGCAGCUGUUAAUCAAGCCAUCUGGCUCAAAAAGCUCCUAUAUGAUCUUAAUAAAGAUCAAGCUAAACCAACUAAGAUUAGGGUAGACAACCAAUCUGCAGUUGCCAUAGCCAAGAAUCCAGUCUUUCAUGGAAAGACUAAACAUUUCAAGAUCAGAUUUCAUUUUGUUCGAGAGGCUGAACAAUCAAAGGAAGUCAGUCUUGUUCAUUGUAGCUCAGAAGCUCAAUUGGCUGAUAUACUAACCAAGCCAUUAGAAGCUACUAGAUUUGAAACUUUGAGAAGAGAAAUUGGUGUCUAUUGCAUACAGUCCAAUGAGGAGUGUUGAACUUGGGCCUGCAGUGCAACAAGCAACCAGCAGCAACUCAACUCAGAAGCAGCAGCAACACUGCUUGAAGUGUAGCAUUAGAGCUAAACCGAAUGCAACAAGAUGUUUUGUUUAUUUUGUUUACAUGUAACUUUGUUAGUUUACUUGUAACAAGUUCAGCAAAGCUGGUAGGAUUAGUCUUUGAUGUAAUGGCUGAUAUUUCAGCUCAGUUUGUGUGUAAUUUAAGUUACCAAUUAGUCAUGUAUUAGUAGGGGCAGUUAAGCCAUUAGGUAACUGUCAAAUUAAACUUGUAACUCUCAUAUAUUUCAUUUGUUUUGGCUGCUGUUCCUUCUUUAUUUUGCUUCGAUUUCAUUGUUUAUGUUUGUUGUUUUUGCUUUUGUUUAAUGCCAAUGUUCCAACAUUACGUCAAUAUCCCAAGAUUCACAAAGUUGCUUAUCUACAAGAUUACUAGGAAUAUUCCUAAAAUGAAAUAAUCUAUAUAUACAGCAGUAUGCAUUGUUCUGUAAAAAGACUUACCCCUGCCUUGUUAGUCCACCACGAAGUCUUCUAUUCCUUAACCACUUUCUUAUGUUAUGGGGUCUCCAAGAUUGAAUUUUGUUGCCAACCCAAGUAAACAAACCCUUUCUCUAACCUAUACAAGGCCGCCACUUACUAACCAUUGGUUCUAUAUCCCAGCCAUGCAACCAAAGUUGGUACCCUUGCCAGAGAACAUAGAUGUAGGCAUUCAAACCAUUCUUCAAGGUGAGUGAGAUUAAUGCUAUACCCUAAGUAUGGGAUUUCUCAUGGAAGAACCUCUUGCUACCAUCCAUUCCAUCUAAUUGUUAGCAGUUUGCAAUGUUAUUAAUUUAUUUAAAGUUUACAUUGUUUAGAAAAGUUCAAAAUAAAUAAUACAAAAUAAAUUAUUCUUUAUCAAUAAACAAAUAUCAUUAAGUGUUAUGCUCAUUGGAUUAAACCUAUUUAGUGGGCUUUUAUAUAUCAUGUAAAAAAAGAUGGGUACUUGGGUUUGAUAUUCCUAGUGCAAUUAUUUUAUUUUGAUUAAUAUUUUAUUUAUAUUUUUUAAAAUAUAUUUGUACAUUAGAAUAGUUUGGUUGAAAUAAUAAAUUAAAAAUUUAAAUAGUUGUCAUAUAAUGUAACUACACAACUUAUGUCAAUAAUUGUGUUGUGAAAAGGCAUGACAUUUAUGUAGAUAAAAAGUAUGAUGUUUAAUGAAUAACAAUGUCACAUAAUUCAUAACAAUAGUUAAGCACUUAUUACAAAAGCGGUAAUUAUUUAACUAUUUUGUUUUGAAUGUUUUAAGACUUUGUUGUAUCCUCAAGGUAUAAAACACUUUAAAGAAAGUGUGCCAUGCCUCAAAAUCUAUUUUGAUUUUUUUUUCUUGUGCCACAAUUUUAUAACACUAAAGAGAUCACAACAAAAUUAUAUUCCACAACAGUUUAAAAUAUUGCGUAGGUCAAUCAAAUUAUUACAUGUGACAGAUUCAUCAAUAAAUAUAAUUGGUUCAUAGCAUUCAAUUUAACGAAGUUAGAAAAUAGACUAAAAUGCUACUAAUGUACAAAACCAUAUUAUUUACCAAAGGAGAUAUCUACCUUAAAAUAAAUUUACGGAAAGAUUGAAACAACCUCGAAUUAAAAGUUAGAUAAAAAAAAUAACUUAAUCCAUAAAUACCUAAAAUUUGAAUCAAUACAACCCAAGCCGAACUUGCAUUAGCACUUAGCAGAUUGACAAACUUGAUAUGUACCACAGAAUUUUUUAAUGGAAGUACUUCCUGUAAGUUGACCAGGCAAAGAACAAAUUAAUAAAUAAUAACUACAUGAUUAUGAUGGUGGAUUUGGGUCGGUUUUGGUCCGUUUGGAUAUGAUGGGUACAUCUUGAACUAAUUAUUUAAAGGAAUCAUUGUUGAUUAAAAUUUUAUAAUUAUAUUAUUGAAUUUAAAAGUUACAUAUAUACUUACCUAUUUAGUGUUGAUCACGUUACAAAGUUAUAAUUAUACUUUUAGCAUUAUCUAUAAAUGAAUAAUGAUUUGGACUUCACUUUUGUUUCAACUUUCAAGCUAUUGCCAAAAUCCAUAUCUCAAACUUUAGUUACAUUACUGCUAAUUUACCUAACUGGAUUAAUUAUUAGUUCUCCAUGUACCCACUUACUAUCUUAUCCAAAUAUUCCAAUAAACCUAAAUUAGUAGGUCACGCUUUCAAACUAUGCAUGUUCAUUAGAUAAUAUAAUUGAGAUGGCAGCACCUUUCUAGGUUUGAAAAGCAGCAAGAGUCUUACCAUUCUAAAUGGCUCCUUUUCAGCCAUAAAAAUCGUCAAAGAAGAUAGUGUGGAAAGGCUUCUCCAUUCAGUGUUUCCUAAUUCAAAACCCAUAGGUCUCUCCAUUGUUAAGCUGGUUAAAGUAUUCACUUCUCAAGCAUCUCCAGGUUGUAUUAAGAAAAGAAAAAAAAAGAACUACUUUUAUAAGGUUUCCUAAGUGAAUGUUGUACUGUAAAGUCUACCCUAAUUAAGCUAGCAGACCUAAUUGUUUUCUUGUUCUAUUUCUUUAUAGUUUAAUACCUAAAUCCUCCAAUAUAUCACUAAAAAACCAAAUCGCGAGUACCAUAUAUUUAUUUGAUUUUUAAUAUGUUACUAAUAAUUAUUAUUUAGAUUUUCGUACAAUUAUUGUCAAGUUGUGCUUGACUUAUGCUUUGGUUUCAUAUUUUAUAUCGUAUUUUGGUUGUUUUUUUCUACAAAUUGCAUUAUAUGGAAAACUAACCUAGCAUAAGGUUUUUGGUUUAAGCUCAAUGCUGGUCUAUUAGCAUGUUCAGGCCACCAUUGCCUAAUUGUGUUGGAAUCUUCUGCUUUAAAUUAGGAAAAAAUUAGUUUCACAGGAGAUGGGCACUUAUUUGAGUCCCAUUGGAUGCACUUUCAGUAGGGAUUUCAAACACACUCGACCCUUUCAAUUUCACACAAGGGGAGGAGGUCCAAUUGGUGACCCUCAAUGAGGGAAAUUUUCCAUUAAUUCAUUUUAUUUAAUAUUUAUUUUAGUAACUUAUUUUAAUAUAAAUAUCAAUUUUAAUUAAUUUUUUAUCGGCCUCGAGCACGGGAGAAUGAAGACGAUAUAGUUUGAACCCUUUAUAUAAUCUAGAUGUCUAACAAAACCUCUAACCACUGUAACACAUAAAUUGCUAAAAUAUUCUAAUCUAAGUUCUUUGAAUGAUUUUUUUUUAUAUUCUUAUCUUACCUUAAUCUCUAUGUUUGAACUCAAACUUAUAUCUAAAUGCUUGUUUUAAACUUAACACUACAGUAACUAACUUCACCAUCACAACUAUUUCCAAUCUCAACCGAAAUCAAUCUCACUGCCCCCACAAUCUCCUGUACUCAAAUGCAGAUAAAGUUCAUCCUGCUUCAAGAAAGUGAGAAGGCUAGUAACACAGUAGACUGCCAAGAAUUCUACAUUUUCAUUAACCAUCAUAUAUACAUGUAUAUAUAAAUAUAUAUAUACAUAUAUAUUCUUAAUAAAUUGAACUAUUUGUUAUUAAAGGAUAAUCCAAGUUCAGACUCUGCAUAGCGUAUCAGUAAGAUCAGGCAUGCACACUUUCGCAAGCUAGCCAUAUGUAGAUGUGAUGUUGUUUUAUCUUUGAUCAGGUCAUCCAAUAUUGGAAGAGGUGGGGGGUGGGGGUGUACUGUAUAAAGAUAUAUACAAACCAGAGAAACGAUAUAGUUAUAGUUGACCAAUCAAACUGGUAAACAUCAGCCUCCAAAAGCAUUAUAAUCAUGGAAUCCAAUAUGCCAGAUCCAUACUUGCAAAUGUAUGUGGCGCAUAAAUAUGCUUUCAGCAUUUGGUUUAUGUUUCAAUUUGUCUUUUAUUAGAGCGAGACAAAAUCUUCAAAGCGUUUAACAAAGCCAACUAGCCUAGCUUUUUCUCCUUAUCCAAUAGGAAAUAUCUAAAAGUCACGUCUUUCACGUUCGAGUUACUUUUCGAGACAUCCACUACAUCAAAAGUGGCUGCUGAUGAUGACCUUGUUGGGUUCUUGAGUGCUCUAUGACCAUGCAUGCCCAUCAUAGUUUGAUAUUUAAUUGUAGUAAACCUAAGUCAACCCCUAGACCAAGUUUGUGCCAUUUCAUGAUCUUUUGUUCUGAGAUCAGAGCAUUGCUUCGAUAAACUUACACUGUAAUAUUACGUAUAGAUUAAUUCUACAUGUUCCUAAUGAUACAAAAAGGAUGUGAUCCCUAAUGGCCAUAAAGAAAAUAAGCUCAUCUUUCUUCUUCUUCUUUUUCGUUUCUUACUGCAUUUCUGUCAUUAGCACGAACAAAACACAGGUUCAUUCCCCACAAAUAAAUCAGACUUAAAUUGGAAUCCAUUUUCUGAUUUCUGAAAAAACAAAGUAGACAUGUUUUAGGGUUUAUUUGUAUCGCAUCCCACUCUUUGUAUUCAUCAAAUAACUAGUUGAGCUAUAUCACUCAGCAUAUUUUUUGAAAGCAUAAAGAGAAGAAAACCUAAUCACUUUAACUAAAAAGGCUAAUUUUGAAUCGGACAUAUGAUCAAUGUGUCCAGGUGCACCACAUUCAGCUUAAUAUCCUUGGUUAGUAAUUGCCAAACCAAGAAAUCAUCACUGUGUUUUCUGUUGUCCAAGUUUCUCUCUAGCUAGAGAACGAAAAGUCUAGUAAACAGGAGACAGUCAAGGGCAUUCUCUGCUCUAAAUCAUCAUGCACAGCACACUCUUUAAAUAACAUAAAUAUAUAUAUCGAAAAGAAAAGAAAAAAGAAGCAAUGUAAAACCAAAUGCAUUACACAAACAAUAUCCAAACAACAUAAAUCAGAUACUUUGCAUUACUUAAAAAUUGCAUAUGACAUAUCUUGUUGUCAGUACAACCAGGUCUCAAGUCAGUUUUUAUUUCUUUCAUCAGAACAUACAUGAGAUGAUCAGUAGUGACAAAGGGAUUUGCAUCAGUGAUGUUUGGGAUCAGGGCCACCAGGACUAAGGCGUUUUGACUCGUACAGGUCUUCGUUUUCGGACAAAUCAUCUCUUAUCCCUGUGCUGAAACGAUACACCUUCCCUGAACUAGUAGAAAGGGGCAACAUUCGAUAAGAUGUGGUCUGAUUUUCCCCAUUAAUGUUCGCAUUAAGAAGGCGACAUUCAGAUCUUGAUACCGAGUACAAUAUCAGCAUCAAGCAUAAUGCAAGAAAUCGCCAUUGAGCCAUUUUCUUGUUGCGGUUUUAGACACUACAGUCUUCUUGUUCGUCCAUGCUUCGCAUAACAAGCAGUAUAUAUAGGCCACGGGAACGUUGCUUUCCUUAAUCCAAUGAAAAUGACCCCCGUUUCUCAACCAAAAAAAUAAAUGAAAAGGACACCAAAUGAAUGAAAAGAUAUAUAUCAUAAAAAAAUAAUGUAGUUGAGCCCUGAUUCACAUUUGCAGAUUGAUGCAUAUAUGUAUGUGUAUGUAUAUGUGGUACAUAUACAUUUCAGCAUUGGAAGACUUUGAUUAGUAUAAUUGUGAACAUAUGAUAGGCAUUCAAGAAAGCUCGACUUUAACUUAAUUUUAUCAUCACAUAUCCACUAGAUGCAUGAAAGGGUCACGUCUUCUCGAAUUCUUGUAAAGUCGAAAACGUGAAAAAAAAGGCUGCUUUAAUCAUUUUACUUUGUCAUUAUUAGACGUCGAUCUUAUGUCAUCUAAUAUUUUUAUUUUUAUUAUAUGGAAAAUUCUAAUAUUUUUUCUAUUAAAACCUUGAAACACAUGUUAAAUCCACUAUAUAUCAUAGUGCCUUGCUGAGCACACCAUUGAAUUGUUGCCAUGGGAAAUGAAGAUUCAUUAGCUCAUAGGUUGAAAAUAAUAGUGAAAACUAAAAAGUAGAGCUGAUGUUAAAAUAGGCCAAGUUUGUUUGUUUGGUUCCAAAUGGAGAAUGGAUAAAAUAGUGUUACUUUGGGAUUUUGAUAAAAUUAAAAAUAAAUAUGUGGAGAUUCACACUUCGAUUCUCAAAGAUACGAAAAGUGUAGUGAUACAACCAUAGAAGACUACUAGAAUUGCUAAGUGCUAACCCUUGUUUGUUUGUGUCUCAUUGCUUGUCUUUAUUUCUACCAUUAUGGGUCAAAAUACCCAAAUCGUUGAAACAAGCCCACCCAUAACUCAAAACUGGAUUAGGCCUAAAUUCGCUUUGAACAUCAUAAUUUCUUAAAUGGAAAUGAGCUCUUAAUGUAGGACGUGCGGAAAUCACAAAUUCAUAACUUAUGCCGAGCCCAAAACAAGCCUAGUCUAGUCUACGCCCCCGUACAGUAAGAGAUAAAAUUAAGCAUUAAGAUUUAUAACUAAUCCAAAAGCUUAAAAAAAAAGUGUGAAAUGACUGAAUUCGUCUAAUUAUAAAUUAAUUUAUAUUCCUUUUGGUGUAUCUUAUCUCUCUCUAAUAAGAGAAUAACUAAUCAAAAUUUAAUAUUUUUAGUUGAAUUUAAAUUUAUUUAAGAGAAAAAAAUUUGAUUUAAUUUGUCAGUUCACAGCUUGAUACAGUUCCUUUCUCAUUAAUGUGUCUAUCUUUUGACAGAUCCGAAAACAUGAAACGGUAAUAUUAUUAGUCUAAAAAUAAGUUAUAUUUUGAUAUUGGAGACAUACCAUACUAUGUCAUCCAUGAGUAAAUGUAUAAAAAGGUCAAAAAAAGAAAACUCAAUCAAAGAGAUGAAGUAAUUGAGAAAUGAAUGAAGACAGUGCACUGUGAGUAUCGAUGUUUGGAACUAUCUAAGGUUUAUACAAUUAUACACAAAACGAGACUUCAUGCAAUUUGAUUGGUGCCCAUCUGCAGCUCGCCUCUUUCUCCAUUGCGGUUGGUAUACCAUAGCUUGGGGAGAAACCGGAUUUGCAGAGUAGAAGAGAUUUGAGGGAGAAGGAGAUUGGUAAUGUCUUGAAGAGGUUUCCUCGGUCUUGGUUUUUUGGUGGAGGAUGAAGAUUUUGGGAGAAGAGAUAGGAGGGUUUUGGAGGAGAAAGGAGAGAUGUUCUCCUUGUUGUCAUUUUCAGAAAUGGAGAGAGCAGCCAUAGCCAUUUGGUGUUGAGAGGGAGGAGAAGGAUGGAUGGGACAUAAGUAAUGGUGGGUUUUGGAGGGGAGGAAGUGAAAUUUUUUCAAUUCAAGUUGUUUUCGGAUGUUUGCUUCGUUUCUCUUCGUGGAGGGAAUUUUGGAGUGGAAAAUAUUGGUUUUUGUAAUUUUGAGAAAUUUUUUAUUUUUUAUGCUUCCCUUUUAGGUGUCAACUUUGAAUUAAUCCCCAAACUCAAAACGUGCUUGAUUGAGAUCGGAGGGCCGCGCAUUUCUUUUUUAUUUUUUUUUAAAUGUGCUCCAAUUUUAUGUAUUUAGAAUUUAUUUAUUUUUAUUUAACCAUUUUAAGUUUAAUUAUUAAUUUUAUUAAAAAGAUUUUGUUAAAAUUGAUGGUGUGAUAUUUUACUAUAAAAAAUUAUUCAUGUAACAAAAAGAAUUUUUAAAGAAAAAAUUUAAAUUACUAUAAUAUAAAAUAGAUAGAGUAAACUAAAAAUAAUUUAAAAACUUGAACUAUACUUUAAUCUAAUUGCAAAUAGGGGCACCAUCAGAAUAAAAUUUUUAAUUUUACAAAACCUUAUCUUUUUUUUUUUGUAUAUCAGAAAAAUUGUAUUUAUUCACCCGUGGCACGGGUUAAGUCAUCCGGUCUCACAGAUUUGUAUCAUAGGGAAUUCAAUUUAGGAUAAUUUUAAACCAAUCACAUUGGAAAGAAAAUGAUGCCAUGUAUUAAUUUUAUUGCUUAGGUGGAAAUGGUCUGUACAAUAAAUUUUGAUAGUUCUAAUUAUAAUCUAAAUUAGUUUGAUUCAGCUAAAUUUGUUAUAGUCAUUUGAUUAUCAAUAUUUUAGGAGUUAUAGAGAAGUGACUAUUUUAUACCUAUAACAAUCAUGUCGUUAUAGGUUGUAAAUCUAUCAUAAAAUUAAUAUCAUGAAUUUUCAACAAAUCAACAAAAUUAAAAAAUGAAUAGCAUUUGCAUGUAUUAUUGCUUUUAUACAUAUUUUAUGUUACAUGAUUAAUCAUGAUAUUCACAAAAUUUUAAUCAAUCUGAGUUAUCAAAUUAAUUUAAAUUAAAUAAUUUAUAAUUAUUAAAUUCAAAUAAUCAAUUUACAAAUUUAUGAUGUUCCAAAUUCAUAAUAGAAUAUUUAAUUAAGGAACUUGAUAGCUUAUGAAAUUGAUAUUAAGAUUAUUUCAAUUAAUAGAUUAUUUCAAAAUUUGAUAAACAAAUGUAUUUCGUAACCAUGGUUGGUUUUUUUUAUGUGUGAUAAAAAGCCGAUGCUAUUAGAAACAUGAAUAAGAAGUAAUGAGAUUAGGGGUACUCAACAGAAGGAAAUUCGUUUAUCAAACUUUUCCAAAUUAUUGAUGAUUUACAAUCAAACAUGUUUAAUAAAACAGUGAAAAGAUAAGGAAAAAUUGAAAAUGUUAUGAUUUUACAGUACCAAAAAGAAAAUCUGACACUUCAUUAUUAUAUGUAUAAGAUAAACAUAGUAAAGAAUCACCAUUUCUGUUCUGCUCCCGAAACCAAGCGGUUCGAUAAUUUUGCAAGACAUCAACUUCUCACCAUAUACAAAAAGCUAGAAACAAAACCAAGGUAGUAUAAAAUAUAAAUACUUAAGUACAAGAAAAUAGGAUUUUGCACGCUUAUAUAGCCCAUAAGUUUAUUGACAGCAUGAAUUCUUGAAAACCAAAUGGAUGCUCUAUGUCUCGUCUUUGGCUUUGCUGCUAAACCACUCUCUCUCCCUUUUUAUUGUUCUCUUCUUCAGCCUUGGUGCUUUGUUGACGUGCAGUUGGUUUCUCAGCACCAGGGUAAGACAGCCUCCUAGGCUUCAUCUUCAUGGUUUCCUUCUCAUUAGAAAAAUGGGGUUUCGGUUUUGGUUUCGGUGAACUCGAGUUUUUACUAGCCUUGUUUAUCUGUCUGUUCAGCGGCUUCUUAGGGGUAAUAGACUGAGCAGGGAGGCGACUUUCCCAUGGACGAACAGCAAUCCAGCGUUCCACCCAGCUCCAACCCCAAUUAGCUUUAGCAAGCUCGUAAUUGCCAAUCCCAUUAUUGUCAGAAUUGGAGGCCCUCCACUGCAAAUUAUGCAUAUACCAUGGUUACUCAUUGCUCGUACAACUUGCACCAAAUGAACACAAGUUACAGCUAAGGAAAAUGGCAUACUUGAUGGGAAAAGGCAUAUGCCAUAGUUCGUUCCCGCUUAACGGCUGCUUCUUCUCUAUGAUGUAUUUUUGUGAGAAUUUCCUCCAUUGUUUCAGGGCCGCAAGACCAUUCUACCUGUUAUCCAUUUAAACUAGUGUUAAACAUGAAUGAAAGAAAAAGAGCUAAAUAGUCCACUCUCAACCUGGCAGAUUAAGAGGAUGUAGAAAACAAAGAUAUCUGGAAGCAGGAGCAUCUGAGAUUAUUUGAUUUGACAAGCCAAAAUUUUAGACACUUUGCAAAUGAAACAUCAAACCUCUCAAACUAUAAAAUGGCAAUUGGCAAUUGGCAAUGACAAAACAGAUGACAUGAUGAGUCUUCGUCAAUAAUUCCGCAAGCAUCAUACCAUUAUUGACUCUGGAGCAUCAAAUGAGUUUGCAACACACAGGAGCUGGAAUCUCUAAUCAAUGAGUUGCUUAUAAAGUAAAAUUCAUAUCAGGACGUCGAUGGAGGACAAAAUGCCCCAAAGUUACAGAACGAAAGAUUGCACAAAGAGAUAUGAUGGGAAAAAAAUCAGAAACUAUUUAAGAAACAAGUGGAGAGAAUUCAUGAAAAUAGAUUACUAGAUCAGUGCAGACAACAAGGUCAUCAUAGAUUCAAGUCACAAUAGUGCGGACAACAAUCUAGGCCAGAAUAUGCAUGCCAAAAUGACCAUUCCUACAUAUGUCCAGGUGUCAAAACUUCUUUCACUCAAAUCUUGGCAAGCUCUUAAUUUUAUACUGAUGAUUACACGUAUAACAAUGAUCCCGUGGAAAAUAAGGUGGCAGUAAUUGUCCGAGUAGUAAGCUGUUCAAAAUUGCAUUCAUAGAUGAAUUCAAAAUUUUAAUAGCCUUAACAAGGAUUCUGUCAAGACCUUAGUUCAUGCAAGUUUUCAUGAGCCAGGGCUCUUCUAACCUCUAUGUCAUGUAGCUUUGCCUCAAGCUUUAUCUGAUUUGCUAUUUUCUUCUGUCUAAGAUGGCCUUCUGUUACCAUACAGAGUCGACGAGCUCUUAUUUGAGCCUGUAUGAUGCUCCACGAGUGAAGAUAAUUUAAUGUUGUUGUAGCUUGCUUUUUGAUGGAACUAUUUAGGGUUUGAGCCUGCAAUCUUACAAUACCUUUCAAUCGACGUAAUUGUUUUCGAGCCUGCAUCAGGGGAAAAGACAUUAUUAAACCAUUCUACCAACUCAAUGGUGACUGGUGAGCAUAUAUCUUAUAAGAUACCUGCAAGUGGAUUAAAAAGUGAAAGAGGAAAAUUAAAGCUACACUUCCAUUGUCAACUUAUAAAAGAAUUUAGAAACAGGGGAAAUAGUAAGAUGCCUGUUCAUGAUAUCAAUCGAUUAUCACAUACAAUGUGCCUACAUUGCUCCUAUCCUAUAUAAGAAAGAUUUUCACGAAUGCACUUAAUGAUUGCCACUGGUUCUUUUUGAAAAGACCACAGAAGGUCACUUCACCAGUCAUUCCAAUUUGGUGAUUCAAUUAGCUGAGUAUCAUGCAUUACCAUGCAGAACCCAGUUAAUGUGCAAACCAUCUGUUAUCUGGUUCAUGAACUCCGGUAUAAUCAUAAUAGAGGUCAUACAUGUAUUCUCUAUGGUAUAAUAUAGUAUCUGUGGAAGAAUGAAAACUUCACCUCAUAAAAAAAAUAGAUGCUGUUCUCUAAAAAUAACAGAUAUAAUCACAAUUGUAAAAGUUUCUUGAUUGCUCUGUGACGAACAUCAUUGAGACACAACCACCACCAAUGCAAGUAAAGGCAUACGUGCAUAUAUUUAAGUGUUCACAUAUUAUGAUCUUAUUUGUAGAACCUCCAAACCAACAUACUCUAUAGGCCCUGAAUGCAGUUUGAAUCCUAGUAGCUGCCAAGUCCUCAAUUGGCAUGCCAAGAGUAUUAGAAUUUCCACUAAUUAGACCUGGUCUAGUGGAUGCCUUUUGCUGGUGUUUCUUCCAUUUGAAGCCACUGGAUUUUUCAGAAGCAGAAGACCCCUGUGCCAAACAGAUGAGAUCAUAGAUAAUAUUAACCCAAGGAUUCAAAUUGCAAAUCAAUGACUAGAGAAGCAAUCUUAGGUUUAUUUAUAACUGGAAUGUAGAGACUUGCAUAGCUUAGUUUAUGACUGUUUGAGAAUAUACCUUUACUUUCUUUGAGUUGUCAUCUUUCACUAUAUUUAUUAUUGACUUGAACAAGUUUCCAGAACCCAUUGCUGAUAGUAAUUAUCUGUACCCAGCUUAGAACCAACCUAACAGUAUUUUCCAGUGCAAAGAUCAUCAAAAACAACAGCAGGCAUAAACUAGAACACAAAAAAUUCAGAUUCUUAUAAGAACAUGACAGGAAAGUUUCAGAAACUUUGAACUAUAUGCUAUGAAACUGAUUUGAUUUGAAAGUUGGGGACAUUAUUCAUGGAAAGUAAGUAGCAGUUACUAAACAGAACCAGCAAGCAUUUUUACAAAUGAACAAGUAGGUCACAAUCAAAGUCAACCCAGUUAUCAACUAACAGAAACAAACAAGACAGUUUUGUAAGAAGCUGAAAAUUGCAGGAGCAACAUAAACCCCGUAAUAUCCUAAACCAAAGAUUUGAUUUUUAGACGAUAAAUUAGUUUCUAACUUUUACUCAUCCAGAACCCAGAUCCCAGGAUCCCUCCCAAUCAUAUGGGGGCAUCCCCAAAUAGCUCCUUUUUUUUUCUCCUUGCUAAAGCAAACAAAACCAGAAGCAAUAAGAAACCAAACAAAAGAAUAUGAGUUAGCAAGGACAUACCAACAAAGCUGUCAAAAGAGGUACUUUUGGAGGACGACACUGAAAACAAAGAUUUUGGGAGAUCAAAGAAAAAGGCGGAGUUGGUGACAACAACGGUUCGAGUUGUAGUAAAGAAGAAGGAAAGCCUGAAAUCAAAGAAAAGAAUAAUUAAAGGGUGGGUGUGGAAUGUGCAUUGUUAUGGCCCAUUACCAGCUUUUUCCUCUCUCUUGUUAUAAAUUUCUUCUGUUUCUUUUUUGUAUUUUUGUCUCACAAUGAAUAAAAAAGCUGGUCUAACAGAGGAGGGAAAUCAUAUUAAAAAUAUAUUCUUGAACUCUCUCUCAUCAAUCAAGGGUUCAACAACUGAUAUGAAGAGCGGGGGGACUGGGGGAGUUUGUCGUGUUGGUUGAUUUCUAAAAAAUUAUUUAAAAAAAAAAAGUUAAAAAUUUUGAACGCGAGUGAAGACGAAAUAUGUUGAUGUAGAAAGGCUGGCCUAAGUGAAUCUAUGGUUCACUGAUUCCUCCCUCCCUACAACAUGUGUUUCCGCAGAUUUUAUUUUUUUAUAUAUUAAGUCCUUAUAUUAUAUUUCAUAUUGCAUGUUAACCCUCCACAGAAAAAUGAGAAACUUUGACCUUAUACAGUAGAUAAAUGAGUAAAAUAGUGCAUCAGUUAAAUUUUUACUGUUAAAUGCUUAUUUUAGGCCUUUGGUAUUUUAUAUUCAAGGUAUUCAUUUCUCAUUCUUUUGUAUGAUUUUUAUAUAUUAUAUAAAACCAACUUCUAAUUGAGUUUUUAGGAUUUAAUAACGGCAUUUUAGAUAUUAUAAAAAAUUAGUAUCAAAAAUCAAUAGGGAUAUUUUAGACAUUAAAACUUAACAAAGCCAACUUAAGUAUUUUGUAAAAAAACGUUAAUUAAUAAAUUUAUUUAUAAAAUUUAAUUAUUAUUAUGUUUUAGUUUUUUUUAAAUUUAAUGUUUAUCUAUAUCUAUAUAAUCUAUAUAUUAUAUAAAACCUUAAAAGGAGUCUUUAGAAAUUAAUAGGAGCAAUUUUGAAGAUUUGUAAAAAUAGAUAUGGUUAAAUAGACUUUUUCAAAAAUAGGAGUAGUCUGGAAAAUUUUAGAAUUUCCCUAAGCAUUUUAGACAUUUGACCAUUAAUAACUUUAACAUGUACUUUUUUGUAAUAUAUACGACUUGAACAACUAAAUAACUAAUAAGCAAAAAUAAUCCAUUGAUUUUUGUAAUGUUAAUAAAAAUUAAAUGUGGAUGGUUCAAUUUCAACGAUAAAGAUCGAGGUGGCAUUAAGUGGAGUUAUAAGAGAAUUUAGUGAGAGUUAAUUUGUGAAAUUUGGAAUGGUGACACGAUUAAUUGAUAUAUUUCAAAUUCAAAAUUAAGCAAUGCUUGAAGGCUUAAAGAUAACUUGGACACGUAAUUUCCGUCAAUUAAAAGUGGAGAGUGAUAAUGUAAUUGUCUAAUUUGAAAGAAAAUGGAGUAGGGUUUGUUUUAACACAUAAACAUCAAUUAGGGGUAGUGACCGGACUUGGGAACACCAUGGGUACGAGUUUACUUGGAAAAGGUGGGUCUUUGUGGUAUGUUGACCCAAUUAUUUGCUUCGCGUUGCUGAUCUGCAAAAAUUCAAUGCAACAGGGUUCGAGUUCAGUUCAGGCGCGAUUCAUUUGAUCAUACUUUAAACAACUAAACUACAACUCAUAAAUGAUAAAAACUAAAUCUACUUUAAACUGCCAAGUCUCUUAAGUAUAAAAAAUGGUCCCGGCGGGGCUCGAACCCGCGACCUUCGGCUCAUAAGACCAACGCUCUAACCAACUGAGCUACGGGACCUUGUUGAUAUUAGAUUUAUAUCUGUCUUAAAAUAAUUUAAUUUAUAUUUUAAUUAGGUGAAAUGAAAUAAAUGUUUUUAUUCAAAAUUAGUGCAUAAUAUAAGAAUUGGGUAUCAAACUAAAAUAUACAACAAUAAUUGUAUAGGAAAAAAAAAAUUUUGUAUGAGCAAUUCAGAUCGUUGUCAAAUCAAUGUGGAAAAAAAAAAACUUGUAGCUGGCAUAUUAAGAUUUUAAUAUUGUACAUGGAAAUCUAUUGCCUAAUAUUGUUCAUAUAUUUUAGUCUGCACAUGAAAAAUAAUGUCAACUAUUUCAGGCAAUGGCUUAGGUAAACACCAGCAGCAUUUGCCUAGGGUUCGAUUUUAGACCAAAUCGUUGGAAAUUUUUUGUCACAUGCACCUUAGACUUUGGAAGUAUAAUGUUUAAAAUCAUGCUAUAAACAAAGAAAAGUCAUUCAUUCCUUUUUUUUCGAUUGAUCCGCUUAAUCAUAUUAUUAUAUGUACUAAUAACAAAUAUGGAUUAGGAAACAUUAUGUUUCUUGUUUUUGUAUCGCCAAAUGGAUUAGUAAACAAUGUUAGGAGAUAGUAAUUUAAUAUCAAAAGGAAUGCGUGGCUACCUAGCAAGGGUUUCCUGCUCUAAAAGUCCCCACGACCAAACAUAUCAUAGACUUAGAGAAUUGACUUAGAGAGAGAUUUAUUUAUAUUAGUGUAAAAUUUAAGUGGUUUUAUUUUUAUUUUUGUAUUUUUAUAUGAUUAAAUAUUUUAAUAAUCUAAUCGUCAUAUUUUUUAUUUCAUUUAUGUAGAUCAUAUAUAUCAAGUUUGACAUAAAUUAAAAAUUUUUAACUAUUCAUUUUACGUAAAAAAAUUCGAUCCUUAAAUAUAUAUAAUAUUUUAUAUUAAAAUGAUAAAGAUAUCACAUCAAUUCAAAAUUUUAUUUGCAUGAAAAAUAUAAAUAUAUUGAUAAAUUGAACGGUUAAAUUAUUAAAAUAUUAACCAUAUAAAAAAAAUGUAACCACUCAAUAGAAGUGGAUAUUUCCUCAUCUAUAUAUAUAUAUAUAUGUACUCAUUGAUUAAGCUAAAUAAUACAGCUCCCUUCAGAAAAGAAACCAAUCAAAUAUAGGUUCAUCAGAAGAUGAUGAUAAGAGAGAAUUUGCUGUCAGCCGCAAGAUCAUGCUUGCAGCAAUCGUCACAUUGCUUGGAGUUGUGACAAUCAUAUCCUUUCUCCAUCUCUGUUCAAGGUAUCAUCUAAGACGCAAAGAAAGGAGACAGCGUGCUGCCCUUCAUCGCCAGAGAACUCAAAUUGCAGCGACUAAUGAAAGUUCCAUUAACGAGGCACUAAAGUCAGGGCUCGACCCUUUGAUCAUAGCGUCAUUGCCGAUGAUCACAUACAAGCUAACCCCCGGCCAGGUUGAUGACCAUGACGAGCCCACGGAGUGCUCGGUUUGUUUGGGAACCAUUACGGAAGAGUUCACAGUCAGGUCUUACUAAACUGUAAGCACAUGUUUCAUGUGGAGUGUAUAGAUACGUGGCUGGGAUCACAUACAACUUGCCCCAUAUAUAGCAGCCUGGUUGAACCCAGGGUCCAGGCGUCAGAGGACAAAGAGUUGUGCAUCAGGGUUCAACCCACGGCUCCUCCUUUAAAUGAAAACGCGUCCAUUAGUGUUGCCCAAGCGGAAAAGGAAAGUGGACCAUCAGGAUCCUUUACAAGGAUGAAGUACUUGACACUCGAGAUCUAGAGAGGCAGUGAUGGACUAAUAAUUUCACAAUUUGAAGUCUUAAUGAAAUACUGUUUCUUUGAUUCUUUUUUCCCUACAUAAAUGAAGUACCUAAUUUUUUUUUUUAUAACAAGCUCUCAAGAUCUUGUAAUAUAAUCUCCUAACUGAUUAUAAGGAUCUAAAUAUGAUUUAUGUUUACUUUUGCAAUAAUCACAUUUUCUUUUAAAAAUUUACUUUCCAAAAGUAAUUAGAUGUAAAUAUUUUUUGGUGUAAGUAAAUCUUUGUGAUACUAAUGAAUUAAUUGUCGACUAAUUGGAUCAAAUCUUGUUGGAGAUUUUUUUUUUCUUUUAGAAUAAGAAAUCUGACAAAAAUAAUUAAGGCUUGAAUAUAUAUUUAACUAGAAUUACCAUACGUUUUCUAAGGUGCGAUUUGGAUUCACCUUUUAAUCUCUUCCUUUAUUUAGAUUGCAAACUAACGCAUGAAUGAGUUGUAGUUUAUGACUUAAUCCACGGUGCAAUUUAAAAUAAAUAAUACCAAAUAAAUGGAACUUAUAUUUAAUUAAUCCCAAAAACAAAAACUGUGUGCCUGACAUAUGUUCAAUUAUGAGACUUGAGAAAAAUGAUUUAUUAUAUAUUUUUAAUAAUUUUAUCUCAUUUCAGUAUUUUUAUUUUGAAAAAAAAAUUAAAAUAAAAAUACUAAAAUAAUAUUAAAUUAUUAGAAAUAGAUACAAAUAAUAUGAUAUUCCAAUUUUAUAUAAUUAUUUAUCUGAUGAUAUGGAGACUCUCUUGAUAAUGGAAUAAAAUAGAGCUCUCUCCUAACCCCAUGUGUGAUGUGAGCAACAAUUCUUUGCCAAAAAAUUCAACAACCUCUUUCUUUAUUAUAAUCCAUUUUAAUUAUUCAAAUUAGUUAGUGUUACAAACAUCAUUUAAGUAUAUGAGUUUUAGUCUUUUUAUUAAAAAUUGUUUCAAAUUAAUCAUUGUACAUUCAGCGGUGGAGCUAAAAAAUUAUAUUGGGGGUUGGAAUUAAAUUGUAUAUUUUUACGAUAGUAAAAAUGUAAUUUCACCAUUUUAAUAGUUUAUAUAUUUAUAAUUUUUAAAGGAUUAAAUUAAAUUUUUAUAUUUUCGGGGGUUAAAAUAUAAUUUUACCCAUUACUAAUUUAAAAUUUUAUAAAUUAUAAAGGACAUAAAUAAAAAAAAUUCAUUUUAGGGAGGUCAGGGCCCCAGCAAGCCCCGCUUGGCUCCUCCACUGCAUACAUUAAAAUUUUAUUUAAAUCAUGACAUCACUACAAUUUGUAAUUAAAUUAUUGAUAAUUUAGAAUAUAUAUGUAUAUAUAUAUCAUAUCCAACUAGGGUAGUAAAUACACUCUUUUGUAAUCAUAAAGAAUUGGAAUUCCCUAGACGUGCUUGGCUGAUAAAAUGUAAUUACAUCGUAAUUCUUUAUGUUAUGUUUGGUAGUACAUAUUAUAAUUACACGAUUACAUAAUUUAUAUUUUUAAAAAUAUUAAUAUAAGAAAAAUAAUUUCUAAACCCCAUGUAAUAGCCUGAUAGUCAAGGGUAUUUAUCGCCCCAGGUGUGGCCUGAGUUCGGGUCACGCUAGUAGCGUUUGUCAUUCGGGCUUUGCCCUGUUAUUGUAAUUCACCAAAAUAGAGAAAAAAUUCUAAGCAGGUAACCAAAAUUCAAUAAAACCACCAUAUUUAUUAUGUUAGUCUAAAAAAGCUGUUGCUAACAUGAUUAGUUGAUUACUAAAAAAAUAGCAAGAAAAAUAAACAUCAUGUAAAAUUUUAUCUAAUUGUUCCACUGCAUAUUUGUUUAGUUAUUCCCUUUGUAAUAUGUAACAAAUGCUCAUUAUCAUCAUCGGUUGGUCUUUGACCGAGGUCAUCAUCAUCCGAAUUUGAAUUUACAUCAUUAAUAUUAUUAAGAUUUCUUUCUUUCGUGUACUUUGUGAAAUAUGGACUAUCUCAAUUCCACCUAUUAUUGAAAUUAUGAAAUAUGCAACAUGCUAUUAUAAUCCAACCUUUUUCUUAUACUAUGCUAAGGUGAUGUUGUUAAUAUGAGAAAUAUUUUUUUAGAACAAAAAAAAAGUCUUCUCAACCACGUUGUGAAGUCUUGAAUGUCUCAAACUAAAUAGUUCAUGAGUUGUCUAUGGUGCUUGUAUUUGGUAUCAUUCUCUCAAAUGAUAUCAUACCCCACGACAUGGUGCAAGAAAACAUUUUCUAUUUGAAUAAUUAGCACCGACCUUAUAAUAUUUGGGUUCAUAAUCCAAAUACUCUGUAGCUUUAAUUAUAAAAACUUAUAUAAACUUAAUUUGGAGAAAAACUUAUAUUAGGUUAGUUCCCAUUUUAUAAUACGUAAAUUAAAUAAAAAUAACAUAAAAUUUAUUAUAAAUUGUCUAAAAAUAUAUUAUUUUUAUAAUAUAUAGCAUGUACACAUAAAUAAGUUAUGUCCAUACUUGAUUAUAACUUUUUAAAAAUAAAUAUAUUAUAUCACUUUUUGUAACAUGUAAAUUAUCUUUUAUAAUAUUCAACAGAAUGAAAAAUGUUGAUUAUCAGUCUAAGUAAUAUGCAAUAGAAAGACAAUCAUAGUAUAAUUUUUUUUUUAUAAAUAAAUAUAUUAUAACAUUUUUAUAAACAAAUAUAUUAUAAAGUUUUUAUAAUAUGUUAAUUAUUUUUAUAAUAAAUUUUUUUUUCAUAACUUUAGAAUUUUUUUAAGAUUUAAAUAAUAUAUUUUUUUAUAAAUUUAUAAAAUACACAAAUUAUUUUUAUAAUAUAUGAAAAUUUUGGCCAUGACCAUCCAAGCACCCGUCCAUGUUCAUGUUUGUAAUAUAAUUUUUAUAACUUGAAUAAAAAUAUAUUUUUUUAAAUUGAAUUCAGGUGUAAUUAUCUACGUAAUUACUCCAAUUCUUAUGGGAAUGUAAGAAUUGGAAAGUGUAAUUGGGAUGCUCUAAUUGCACCUAAUUCGGUGGAAUCCACCAAUUUAAAUGGUUACCCAAACAUGCUACCUUAGUAUAAUUACAAGCAAUAACAUACAAAUUUAAUUACUAAAUGCUUUCCAAACACUACCUUAACGGUCAAAGUCUAUCAGUGUAAAAUUCAUUUUACUCUCUCUUUUAAAAAUUACUUUAGAUUAAUCAUUACACAUUAGGAAUUUAUUCAAAUUAUGAUACUAUUACAAUUUGUCAUUAAAGAUAAUUUAGAAAUAAAUAAAUAAAUCAUACCCGACUGAUUUAUUGUAACUCGACUUGACUCAUAAAAAAAACUCAAUCCCUCCUCCAAGUUUCAUGUACUUUUGAACCAUUACGUGGUUGAAAAAAAUAAAAACAUAAUGGAAUUUUUUUACCCACACAACACUUCAAAAAUAAAUGAAUUUUCUAGGGAGAUGAUUUAGUUUUUUUUAUUAGGUCGAGUCAUGGAUAAAUCAAUUGAAUAUGAUAUAUUUUGUCCAAAUGAUUAGUAACUUAACGAAAAAUUGUAAUGGUGUCAUGAUUUGAAUAAAUUUCUAACAUUAAUCUAGAGUAAUUUUUAGUAGAGGGAUUAAAAUAAAUUUCACAUAAUAGUGCAAGGACUCCAGGUAAACUUUGACCAUCAUUUAACCGUUACUUUAAAAUUAUUUUUUAUAUUAAUACGUUACUUUUAUUUAAUUUAAAAUUUAAAUUUUCUAUGCAUACAACUCACACAUUUUUGGAAGGAUUCUCAACUUCCACACGUGCCCACAUCAUAAGCAAGUGAUUCAUACAACUCAAACUCGAACAAUUUUUAAAGAGGAUGAAUAUUCAACUAAAUAGUUACAACUUGAAUUUUUAACUUAUAUUAAUAUAAAGUAAUAAAUGUUUUUUUAGGUACUAUAACAAAAACAUACUUACACUAUAUAUAUAUAUAUAUUCGUAUUUAUUGUUUGAGUUUUACGUAGAAAAAAAUAAGGGGAAACAAGAUGAGGGCAAAAAAUUCAAAGGGAAGCAUAUUAAAUUUACAUUGAAUUCGUUUCUAUCAUUUCCUUCACAGCUCACAUAAUUAAUUAGGUAAAUACGUUUCCAUUAAGUAUGCCAGGCUGGGGAUUUUCUUUUUUCCUGCUUCAUUUAUUACUACAAUUUAUUUACGAAUGCCUUUCCCAUGAUUAGCAAGGCUUUCCUCAAUUUGUUGUUUGUAUUUGGUAAGUCGUUCUUUAAUGAAAUUAUUAUUUAAAGAAGGUUUCUUAUGCAAUAAAAUCUUAAUAAAUGGAUGUUCAAUAAAUUUGCGAUUCCGAGUAAAUCAUAAAAUUUCACAAUUUCAUCUUAGAUACAUAUAAUUAAUAUAAAUUAGUAAGUAAGAUCCAAUUUUCAAUCGUGAAAAAAAAGAAAUUUACUAAUUUAAAAUCUUUGAUUGAUAUUAAAUCUAAACUUAUUUCUAGACUGGAUUAAAGGAAGGAAAAGGAAAGCAGGAAACAGGAUCUCCUUUCUUUUAUUUGGAUAAAUAUUUUUAUUUAAGGAAAAUUACGCAUCCUUUACUUUGAAUAAACAUUAAAAUCUUGAUUUAUCUUCAUAUUUAUCAACAUCCAUUUAAUCAUAAAAUAUUUAAAUUAUUUAAUGAGAAAUACAAUCAUAAAAAUUCAUUAUAAGUAUUCAUUUUUAUCUUAAAAAAUCAAUUUUAACCGAUUUUGUUUCUUAUUAUUAAUUUUAAUUUACUAAACGAAAUCUUAUAUUAUAAGUAAGGUUCAAUUUUAUUUUAUUUUUUAUUUUUUAGUUUUUAAACUUGUAUUUUUUGUCAAACCACCCAAAAUAAAUUGAAAAGUUAACUUUUUUAACUUUGCUAACUUUUCAUACAUGUGAAUGACACCUCAACACUUAAUUAAUUUUUAAAAAUUUAAAAAUUCAAAAAACGUAUAAAAACUAUUUUUUAAAGGUUCAAAAACAUUAAAAUAAUUAAAAAAUUAUAUAUAAAUAUUUUUUAAUAUUUUUAAAAUUAAAAAAUAAUUAAAUGAUGAUGUAUCACCCUCGUGACAAUUCAUAUGUAUGUCACAUCAGUAAAGUUAACAAUCGUUAACUCUUCUAUUUAUUUUGAGGUGAUUUGAUAAAAAAAUAUAAAUUUAAAAAUUAAAAAAAUUAAAAAUUAAAUGAAUGGCUAAACAAAUUUUUUAAGGCCAAAAAGGUUUUUAUGCCACUUUUAAGGGUUUCAACACUUGAGCAAAAGGUAGGGUCCAGAAUUUAGCGUUCGUAUAAUGGGGCCCAAAACAAACUCCUUAAAUACCAUGCAAAUAUUUGGCAGUGGCAUUUAAAAAGUACUCCCAACAACUGCUCUGCCUUAUAAAAAUGGCAAAAAUUUGCAGAGGUGUUGAGGCACAUAAUCUGUGGACCUUCAUCAUGAACUAAAACACCAGCAAAGCAACAAAGCAGCAAAUCCCUUGGACAGUUUCGUUUUCAUAUAUACUGACAGGAAAGACUAAAAUUAAUAUAAAAAAUAAAAGAUUUCGAUGAUUGCUAGGUUUUACUUUUUCUUUCUAAUUCUCGAUCCACAAAGGAAACAUUUUUCUCAGAAACUUUCUUACGCUUUUUUUUUUCUCUAAAACAGUGAGUGUGUAUGUUUCCCUCUCUUUCUAGCUUCAAGGCUACAUUAUUUGCUCAAAACAAGGGCGGAUUUCCUUAAUGCCACUUCUUAGUUACGCGUAGGCAGCCUUGUUCAACUUCACAUCCUUUGAGAUUUGGUUUCCUUAUAUCCUGGUAAAUUUUUUUUAAUGAUUUUUUGUUUCUUCUUUUAGAUUUUUUCUGAAUGAUUUUUGUUUCUUAUUUUAGAUUUAUGAUCUUGAAAUGCGGAUUUCUUUUCCAGUUUCAUUUGAUUCUAGUUUGUUUAUUUAAAUGCAAAGAUUUGACGGCCUUUUAAUUCCUUAUCACACAGCGAACCCGAAAGCAAAAAAGAACAAAAGCAACCAAAAAACAACCAAUGUGUAGCAACAACGUUGGUGUGGGAUGGGUUGCCAAUGCGAGUGAAGUGCUGGGCGUUCAUGGCGAGUAUGGAAGUUGUAGUUCAAGGAAGGAGAAGAACCAAAGAAUCCCCAAAAGAGGGCCUGGAGUGGCUGAACUAGAAAAGAUAUUGCGAGAACAAGGGAAAAGCGAUUGUAUAGAGAAAGGAAAUAUAAAUAAUGGUGGGGUCCCUUCUUCAUGCGUAGCUCCCUCAAAUUCUUUACCAAGAAGGGCUACUACUUAUCUUCGUAACGUUCCUAGCCCUAGGACUCCACCACCUCUUCCUCCUCCUUCGAUGACCCUCCAUGUUAACGGAACUGGUGCUGAAAAUAUGUGCGGUAACAGUCGUAGUAAAGGUGUCUAUAUUAGCGGAUCCGGUAUAUUUUUGCCUGAAAAAGUCUUUUUGCCUGUAACGUGGGGCUCCUCUGAGACAAGGGACAGCCCGGAACCUGCUAAAAUGGCUGCUGGUUUAUCAUUUCCCAAUCCCAAACUUGUCUCUAACCGAUCUGAUCAAAACAUGUUUCCUCCUCCUAUGUUGCAAAUGAACCAUGGCACUUGCGCCCAUCCUUCAAUGGUAAAAAGUCUAGGAAACUAGGUCAAGUUCACUUAUGUUCUUUUUAUUAAUCAAAUUUGUGCUUAUUUUUAGUUUUUUUUUUGAAGAUUGGCAUAAAGAAGUUCAAACAGAUGAAUCUUUUUCCUAGAUCAGGAAUUUCAUCUUCUUCAUCAUCCGCAGGGGUGUAUCAGUAUCAUCACGUAGAGCCCCCUUCAACCCAAAAAUCUUGUCACAGCUACAUAUCUACAGUACUGGCUGAGGAACACAAGGCAUGUGUAAAUUUAAUUACCGUCCAAUUUUUAGUUAUAUUUGUAUUAAUUAUAUACUUUUGAUUCUUUUAAAUGGAAAUCAGAAAAUCUGUAUUCCUUAUUAAAUAUACACAAUAUAUUUCUUUCCUUUGAAAUGCCGACGUUUAAUCUAUUAGCCAAAUGCUUGCAUUUUUCACUUUUCUUCAACUGUUUCCAUUACCCAUUUCGAUGUGGAUUCUGCUCUUUGUUUCACUUUAAGGAUGCCUUAAAAAAGAAAGUAAAAAAAGAUAAUUAAACCAACAUUUGUUUCUCAAAAGAAGUAUUGCCUAAAAAUUGUAUAGGUAAGCUAUCUGAUCUGAUAUCGUUUUGCUGAUUGGGAAGGUAGAGCAACUGCGAAUAUAUGAAGUCUUUCCUAAUGUCAAAAUUUACUUAUUUUAAUUAGAUAAUCGAUGGCAAGCGAUCAAGGCCUAAUUUCCCUGUCGAGAACUGGCCCCCACCUCCCCCUUUCUACUCUCAGAUUUCCGGGCUUAAUCCUUCAUCUUCGUCUACCAACAAUGGUGUUUGUGUGUUCAAUGUUGGAAAUAUUUACAGGUUAGCCACUUGACAUCAAUUCCUCAUUAAAGCAUAUUUACAUUGUUCUGUCUUGCUCAUCCUCGCCAGCUCGUAACUUUUAAAUAAAUUUGCCGUUUCUUUUUCUGUUGCUAUUAUCAGAGGCUCAAUCGCAAGUAGCCCUUUGGAGCUGAAAGCGAAACGACGCGGUAAUGAGGAUGGGAAUCCUAAUGACAAUGAUAGUGCCCUCACCUUAGGCCCUCCUAUAACUUCUUCGUCCUCAACCCAAAAUUGUCAACAAGACUUGCCCAAAUACACCAAGCAGUUCACUUUCCAAGUAAGAUGCUUAAAUGGGAAUCUGUUUUUGAUUUCAUUUUCUUUAUUGGCCCUACAUGCUCCCUGGUUUGAUAAGUCUGUUUUGAUUUACUUGCAUGACUUUGGUUCUUGUAUUCUCUUCCAGGAAAUGAAGGAAAACACUGAAGAACAAAGGGGUGCAGCUGCAACAGCGGAAGCCACACGUGAUCUAAAAGAUGGAACAUAUGAUUGUAAAGAAAAAACGGCCGAUUUUAUUGAUCUUAACCUAAAGCUAUAAAUUAGUCAUGGCCUCUUUUAAUUAGCUAGUGAAUGUAGUCCCAAAAUUAAAUAUAUAGUAUUUACUAUCUGCUAGAUUUAGUUUUGUUUUAUGAAUAUUAAUAUUAAUCUAGUGAAAUGUAUAGUUGUCUUUAUCUAUUAUUACUAUGCAUCAUUUUCAUGACUUGGAGAGUAUAUUUUCGCAUUUAUUUUUAUAAAAUUCAACAUCAACUCUCCGCUGGCCUAUCGUGGCACACCUAACUCCAUAUGUUCAGUGAAAAGGAUUGGAUGCUGUGUACGGAGUCUUUCAACUACCAAGGGGCACUGCUUGGGUUUUUAAUCGAGUUUGGCACUAUUUAACUGUCACUCUCCAUCAAUAAAUUUAUGAGAACUCUUCACGUUAAAGUCAGAUAGACAAAUAGUGCUUCUUUGACGGCUAAAAUUUCUGCCAUAGCUGGUGUUGCUAUACAAAUACAUUUAGAAAAAAAAAUGUAAACUAAAAUUUUAUUUUUUUAAAAUUAUGUUUUAGAAAAUUAUAUUUCUAAUGUUUUAAUAACAAAAUUAGCUCGGAACAAGUAACAACAUAAUUUCACUUAUUUUUCUGUUUCAAAAGAAUAAUUUCAUAACUUACAAUUGUUUAAGUUCAAAUUAGGAUUCUAAUUUAGAAAUAAUAAUCAUUUGAGAAUACUUCCUCUUGAGAAUAAUUAAUGCUCGAAAGGACUAUUGUUUAUAAUAAUUCUGUUUUAAGAAUAAUUAUGUUCAAAACAAUUGUUAUUUUUUUUAAAAAUUCUAUUUAGAAUGAUUGUAUUUUUAUAAUAAGAGCCAUUAUUUGGAAUUGAAAAAUAGAACCUCGGUAAUGAUAAUAUAUUGCAAAAAAUGAGAAAUAAAAAUAAAGAGCACACAGAUUUUUAUGUGAAAACCCUUUCGGGAAAAAAUCACGGGCAGAGGAGAAGAAAAUUUACUAUGUCGAAUUCGAAUUAUUACAAGAGGAGUAGACUAUGUCUAUUUAUAGGCUUAUAAAAUCAUAUUCUAAUAGGACUGCAGUAAGAUUGAAACACCUUAUUCUAAUCAAUAUCAAAUAGAUGAAGUUUAAUAAAGUUUUAAAAACCUUAUUCUAAAAUAAAAUAAAAGAAGUGUAGUUCUAUAGGGAUUUUACUUUUAUUUUAUUUUACCACUGUAUUUUAUUUAAAUAAAGAUUUGGGUCACUUAAUUCUAACAAUCUCCACAUUGACACAAAUUCUCAAUGAACAAGUUCUUCAUCGCGAACUCUCAACGAACAAGUUCUCCACCUCUUCCAUAAAACCCCUUAAGGGUUUAACUUCAACAAUGAACACCAAUCAAGUCUAAGUAAUGCUCAAACUUCAUUAUAGGAAGUGACUUAGUCAUCAUACCUGUAGGAUUUUCAUGAGUACUAAUUUUUCUCACAACAAUAUCACCACGAGCAAUAAUAUCACGAACAAAAUGAUAUCAAACAUCAAUGUGUUUUGUUCUCUCAUGAAACAUUUGAUCUUUUGUAAGGAAUAUGACACUUUGACUGUCACAAAAUACUGUAUUGAUUUGAAGGUCUUCAUUGAGUUCACUAAAGAGUCCCUUCAACCAAAUAACUUCUUUACAAGCUUCAGUAAUAGCCAUGUACUCAGCUUCAGUGGUAGACAAAGCAACUGUAGUUUGCAAAGUGGCUUUCCAACUGAUUGCACAACCUCCGAUUGUAAAGACAACCUGUGAGAGAUUUUCUUCUAUUAAGGUCUCUAACAAAAUCAGCAUCAACAUACCCAAUGACUCCAUCUUUAGUUCUUCCAAACUAUAAGCAAACAUCAGUAGUACAUCGUAAGUAUAUUAAAAUCCACUGAAAUGGUUUCCAAUGUUCUUUACCGGGAUUCACCAUGUAUCUGCUAACUGUACUGACUGCAUAUGAUAAAUCUGGACGUGAACAAACCAUAGCAUACAUGAGAGAUCCCACUGCACUAGAGUAUGGAACAUGUGACAUGUACUCAAUCUCAUCAUCUGAUUGUGGAAACAAAACUGAUGAAAGUCUGAAAUGGGCUGCUAAAGGAGUACGAACAGGCUUAGCAUUCUGCAUAUUGAAUCUGCAAAGAACUUUCUUAAUGUACCCUUUCUGCCUUAGGUACAAUUUACUUGCUUUUUUAUCUCUGAGAAUCUCCAUACCAAGUAUCUUCUUUGUUGGUCCCAAAUCUUUCAUCUCAAAUUCUUCACUUAGUUGAGCUUUGACCUUUCUUAUCUCUCUUUUAUCUUUCGCUGCUAUCAACAUGUCAUCAACAUAAAUGAGUAGAUACACAAAAGAACCAUCACUAUUUUUAUUAAAGUAAACACAACUGUCAAAGCUACUUCUUUUAAAAUCAUGAGAAGUCAUAAAGGAAUCAAACCUCUUGUACCACUGUCUUGGUGACUGUUUCAAACCGUAAAUAGACUUUUUCAGCAACCAAACAUAGUCCUCUUUUUCUGAGACUAUAAAACCCUCUGGUUGUUGCAUGUAAAUAUCAUCCUCAAGUUUUCCAUGCAAAAAUGCAAUUUUUACAUCUAACUGCUGAAGCUCCAAAUCAUGCAUGGCCACAAUACUUAGCAAAGCUCAAAUCGAACUAUGCUUCACAACUGGGGAGAACACAUCUGUGAAGUCCACUCCUAGAAUUUGACUGUAACCCUUUGCAACAAGUCUUACUUUAUAUCUGAGUUCUUCAUCUCAUAGAGUCUCCUCUUUCUUUUUAAACACCCAUUUACAACGAACAACUUUUUUACCUUUAGGAAGUUUCACAAGAUCCUAUGUUUUGUUUUUGUGGAGUGAUUUCAUUUCCUAUUGCAUAGCAAACAUCCAUUUUUUUGAGUUUUCACAGCUAACCGCAUCAGAAUAAUUAGAUGGCUCUUGGUUUGCAUUUAUAUCUUCAGCCACAUUUAAAGCAUAAGCAACUAGAUCAGCCUCGGCAUACUUCUUUGGAGGUUUAAUUUCUCUUCUAGUUCUAUUUUUGGUGAUGGAGUAUUGUGGUGAAGAAGUAACUUUAUUUUGAAUUUUUGUACUAGCUUGAACAGUCGACUCUGUUGUAGAUUCUGGAUUAAUCUGAUGUUCCACCUGCUUUUAAUUUUCUUUAUUAGAAAAGUCUUUAAAAGAUAAGUUAGGUAGCAUAGUAGUUUCAUAAAAAAACAACAUAUCUGCUAAUCACAAUUUUUCUAUUUUCAGGACACCAUAACUUAUACCCUUUUACACCAGCUUUAUAACCAAGAAAAACACAUUUAAUGGAUCUCGGUUUUAAUUUUCCAUUAUCAACAUGAGCAUACCCAAGACACCCAAAAAUCUUUAAAUUAGAAUAGUCAGCAGGAUUACCAGACCAUACCUCUUGUGGAGUCUUUUUCUCAAUGGCAACGGGUGGAGAUCGUUUGAUAAAAAAACAUGCAGUAGAGGCUGCUUCGGCCCAAAAUAACUUUGGUAAGUUGGUAUUUGACAACAUAUAUCGAAUCUUCUCCAUGAUCAUUCUGUUCAUUCGUUCUGCAACGCCGUUUUGCUGUGGAGUAUGACGAAUUAUCAAGUGUCUCACGAUCUCUUCUGACUUGCACAGUUUAUGCGGAGGUAUUUUAUUUGUUUUCCCGUCUGUUUUUCAAUCAUAGUUUUCCAAGACUUAAAUGUGGAAAACACAUCGCUUUUCUGCUUCAAGAAGAACACCCACACAUUUUUAGAAAAAUCAUCAAUAAAAGUUAGCAUAUAAUUAACUCCACCUCUCGAAGGUACUUUGGAUGGCCCCCACAGGUCAGAAUGAGUAUACUCUAACGUUUCCUUCGUGUUAUGGAUUUCUCUGUGAAUCGAACUCUAUUUUGCUUCCCAAAAACAUAGUGCUCAUAGAACUUCAGUUUGCAAAUUCCUUGCCCAUCAAGAAGUCAUCUUUUGCUCAAUUUUUCCAUGUCAUUCUCAUUCAUAUGCCCUAGGCGCAUAUGCCAAAGUUUAAUGAUAUCAUCAUCUAACAAUGAAAAGGAUGAGACAGCUGCAUCACUAGUAACAGUAGAACCCUGCAAAAUAUAUAACUUGGCAGUCUUUCUCUGUCUUUUCAUCAAAAUUAGGGAACCUUUAGAAAUCUUUAAAACCCCACUUUCAACUGUGUAUUUGUACCAUUUUGAAUCAAGAGUACUCAAUGAAAUUAAAUUUUUCUUCAAUUUUGGAACAUGUCGUACGCCACUAAGUGUUUUGACAACUCCAUCAAACAUCUUAACUUUAAUUGUUCUAACAACUGUAAUUCUACAUGAAGCAUUAUUUCCCAUCAAAACAACACCUUCAUACACUGUUUCGUAAGUUGUAAACCAAUCUCGAUUGAGACUCAUGUGGAAGGUGCAGCCCGAAUCAAGAAUCCACUCCUCGCUCGCUUUAGAAUUAUUGGCAGAAGUGACUAGAAGUUCACCAUCGCUGUAGUCUUCUACAACAUCAGCUUUGUCGAAAUUUUCUGGUUAUUUUACAUUUUGAUUCGCAACCUCCCUUUUGAUCUUUUUCUGUAGCUUAUAGCACUUAGAUUUAAUAUGCUCUUUCUUCUUGCAGAAGUUACAAGUUUUACCUCUAUUUGAAGACUUCGAUCUACCCUUAGAUUUACCACGAGAAUUCCGUUCCUGUGUCCUUCCACGAUCAUCAUCAGCACUCCGAUCUCGUCUCCCACGAACAAUGAGACCCUCUCCCUAAGAGUCAGAUUUAACCACAAGAUACUUUAUCUUAUAAUACGAAAGUAAAGAAUCAUAAACCUCAUCAACUGUGAGAGACUCACGGUUAUAUAAAAUCGUAUCUCUAAAGGUUGAAUAAGACGGGGGCAACGAACAAAGUAGAACCAACCCUCGAUCUUCUUUAUCAUACUGAACCUCCAUGGCCUCCAAGUUUGAAAGAAUUUAUUUAAACACUGUUAAGUGUUCGUGCACAGAUGCACCUUCCUCUAAACGAUGAGCAUAAAGAUGCUGCUUCAUAUGCAGCUUGCUAGUUAGAGUUUUCAACAUACAUAUUUGUUCCAACCUCUUCCAUAAUCCAGCGGCGGUCUUCUCUUUCAUUACAUCUUGCAAAAUUUCGUUAGACAAAUACAGAUGUAACUGUGUUAACGCCUUUCAAUCCUUGCGCUUCUUCUCUUCCUCCGUCAAUGUUGAAGGCAUCUUAUCUACCCCUAGCAGGGCUUCCUCUAAGUCCAUCUGUGUAAGAACUGCCUGCAUCUUUAUUUGCCACAAUGCGAAUUUGGUGUUGCGAUCUAAUAGCAGAAUUUCAUACUUCAAAGACGUCAUUACCGUGAUUGAGAUGAACAACCCGGAAGCUCAGAUACCAAUUAGAAAAAUAAAACUUCGGUAAUGAAAAUAUAUCGUAAAGAAAAGAGAAAUAAAAAUAAAGAAAACAUAGAUUUUUACAUGGAAACCCUUUCGGGAAAAAAUCACGGGCAGAGGAGAAGAAAAUUCACUAUGUCGAAUUCGAAUUAUUACAAGAGGAGUAGACUAUGUCUAUUUAUAGGCGUGUAAAACCAUACUCUAAUAGGAGUGUAGUAAGAUUGAAACACCUUAUUCUAAUCAAUAUCAAAUAGAUGAAGUUUAAUAAAGUUUAAAAAACCUUAUUCUAAAAUAAAAUAAAAGAAGUGUAGUUCUAUAGGGAUUUUACUUUUAUUUUAUUUUACCACUGUAUUUUAUUUAAAUAAGGAUUCGGGUCACUUAAUUCUAACAGCAAUAAACUCUUCUAAAAGAACAACUUUUUGAAACAAUUCUUAUUUAGAAACAACACAUGUUUUGCAUUCCUAAAGAUUUUUCAUAAAAGAGUUUCACAUGCUAUUACUUUAUCAGCAUAGAAGUAAAAAUAACCUUGGCAUAUAACAGGGAGCUUAGUUUGGUGGAUCGGACAUAGAGAUAGAGACAAUUAAAAGGUUUCCCUUUAACAUUUUUCUAUAAUAUUGAGUGUUUUUUUUUAGAAACAUAGUAAUUCUUAUUCAUCGCUCAAUUUACUAUUCACUAUCACCAAUAAAACUUUUUAUUAAUAAAAAAAUCAUAAUUUCUUUAUAACUGAAAAUAUCAUUCAUUACCCUUUUUAAUGGUCACUUUUGUAACUUUUAUUAUGGGUGUUCAAACGGCCAAUUCCGUUAAUACUCGAAUUGAAUUACCAUUAACUGAAUUACUUGAAAUGUAAAAAUCUUUAACCGUUAACCACAUUGAAGUUUUUUUCAAAUACAUUAACAGAACCAAAAUAUUUCAAUUAAUUCAGUCGGUUAACCAAAUUAACCGAAAUUUAUAUAUUUUUGUCUUUUGGUUAAAUUAAGUAUAAAACAUAUAAAAAACACAUUGCUAAUGUUCAUUUUUUAAUAGUUCAAAGAACUUUAAAUGAAAAUGAAAACAACAAAUAAUACAUUAGAAACACCACGUAAGUAUUGAAAGUUAACAACAAAACACUAUAUUAUAUAUUAUAUAUAUUAUUUAUUUCAUUUAAUUCAUUAAUUCAGUUAAUUGUCUGGUUUCAAACUGAAUCACCCGAUAACUGAAAUUCCAAAAAAUCAUUAAUCAAGCUCCGACCGAACUAAAUUCGGCCACCAACUGAUUAACUGAAUUAGAUCAAUUUGGUCAGUUAAUUCAAUUUUAACUAAACUGUAAACAUCCUAACUUUUAUUACUGAGACACUAUAAAUAGGAGCACUUCGGUUUUUUUACUCCCAAAAGUUAUUUUUAAAAUUCUCUCAACCUAUUAUUAAUAAGUGUUCUUUGAAUCAUUGCUAUUUGACUCGGACCUAAUUCAAAAGAGUUUAGGUAUUCCGAAUUGUAUGUUGACACGGACAAAGUCAAGGGAAACUUAAAAAGAAGAUCUUUUAUCUUAUAGUAGUUAGCUUCAGUCUCCUCACGAAACUUUCAUUAUUGGGUUAAUCAUAUACUUCAUAUGUUUCUAGUUAGUCUUACUGCAAUAAGUGUUACCAGAAAAUUUACUCAAGGUAAAUCCGUCAACGUUAAAUUUGAGAGCGUUUUUAUUUUACCGGACCAAAAGAACUUGAUGAAGAUAUGAUAUACUCCAACCAUGUUACUAUACAAAAAAGUCAAUUUCCUUUUAUAAUUUAUAAUAGGAGAGUAAAACCCUAACAAGCGUGAUUUGAACUUAAGCCAAACCAAAACAUGGGUAUAAAUUUUCUUCAAUGUUUAAGACAUACAAGCAGGUGUAGUAUAUUCGGUGGUGAUUCAAGGUAAAUAAGUACGUUGACUUUUCCUCAAUGUAAUUGAAAUGUAUACAAUUUUUCUUUGUAGUAAUUGUCACAUUCUAGACAUAUGUUAAAUGGAGUUGAAAUAUGCUCGUCUUUUCUUGGCAGACCAAGUCCAAUAAAGGCUGAAUGUUAACAUUCAACUUUUACGCUUAAAGGCUUUUGAUAGUUCAGAUGGUCUUACAUAUACAUAUAUAUCAUAUUAUCAUAUAUACUUUUUAAUAAGCUUUUUCCUUCAUUAGUUAUUAUUUCGUAUAUAUUUUAUGAGUUGUUUAUCAACAUGGACGAUACGUUUUGCUAUGAUGUCAAAGCCCAAAACCCUCGCCCUCGCUGUAUCUUUUUUGCCAAUAGAGUUUUGAAGCUUUGGCUUUUCUUUUUCGUCUUCAUAUGCCUUCUUCUCGUUUUAUCCAACGGGGAAGAGACCACGAACGCUAACAAGCUUAUUAAGAUUGGCGCAAUCAUCGAUAUUCAUUCGAGUACUGGUAGAGAAGAGAAAACUGCAUUGGAUAUUGCUGUUCAAAGUUUCGAUAUAGCAACGAUUCAAACAACCACAAGCUCUCCCUCCACAUUCAAGACUCUGGAAGAAAUCCUCUCCUAGCUGCUACUGUUGGUUAGUCAUUGUUUUAUCUAAAUAAAUUCUGCUUCCUUUUGAGUUGGUUUAAACUCUGAAUAAUCAUAUUGAUAACAACUCGGAAGUUGAUUAAAGAACAAAAAGUUGAAGUGAUCAUUGGCCUGGAGAAAUGGGAAGAAACAGUUGUGGUCGGUAAUAUUGGUACCCAAGCUCAAGUUCCAGUUAUUUCUUUUGCAGCACCGGCCAUCACACCGCCAUUAGCAACCGCUCGCUGGCCGUUCUUGGUAAGAAUGGCUAACGAAGAUUCCAAACAGAUGAAAUGCAUUGCAGCCAUCAUUGGUCUAUUAAACUGGAAAAGGGUUAUAGUUAUUUAUGAAGACGAUGCCUUUGGUAGUGAAUCUGGGAAGAUAGCUCUUUUACCUGAGGCGCUUCAAGAUGUGGGUUCGGAGGUUGAAUUCCGAUUGGUUCUUCCUCCAUUUUCUUCUGUGACUAAUCUGAAUGUUGCUGUCCAUGAGGAGUUGAAGAAGCUACAGAAGAAACAAUCUCGGGGUUUUGUUGUUCUUCACUCAUCCUUCUCAAUGACGAUACAUUUGUUUGAAGAGGCUAAAAAGAGUGGACUUGUGGGACACGACUCAGCUUGGAUAGUUACAGAGACCAUUUCGAGUUACCUCGACUCUUUUAACAGUUCAGUGAUUUCGUCAAUGGAAGGUACUUUAGGUAUCAAGAUCUACUAUUCUGAGGAUACUAGUCUUUACAAGAAGUUUUAUACCAAUUUCCGGACAACUUUCAGAAAUGAAUAUCAUGAGGAAGAUAAUUCCCAACCAGGUAUUAAUGCCUUUCGUGCCUAUGAUAGCAUUGGAAUCAUCACGCAGGCUGUGGAGAAACUAAAAAGUGAUGGAAAGAGUCCAAAAAAAUUGUUGAAAAAGAUACUUUCAAGCAAUUUUACUGGUGCAAGUGGUGAAGUAUGUUUCGAAGAAGGACAGCUGUCGUAUGAUCCUAUACUGAGGAUUGUAAACGUGGUUGGGAAAAGGUACAAGGAGUUGGAUUUCUGGUUGCCAGGGAUUGGGUUCUCAAGAAAUCCUACAGUGAAGAACGAAACUGGUUAUGUUGGUGAAAUAUCUCAAGAUUUGGGUGGUCGAGUCUAUUGGCCUGGUGAUUCAAAGCUUGCUCCAAAAGGAUGGGCAAUGCCAACAGAUGAAAAGCCUUCGAUUAUUGGAGUUCCAGCAAUAACCUCAUUUGAGAAAUUUGUAAAGGUUGUAGAUGGUAAACUUCCAGGCGUAAAGAACUAUGAUGGUUUCUGCAUUAAACUUUUCUAUGAAGUUCUUAAGGUGCUAGGUUAUCAUCUACCUUACCGUUUUGAUUCCCACAAUGGCACAUAUGAUGAACUUGCUAACAAAGUCUACAACAAGGUAAUAGCUCUUUAUUUUUCAAUUCAUGCUUCUCAUUAAGGAUCUCUAUUGCAAAUGAAAACAAACCUUCCAUCCUUCAUUUUUCUUUUAAUAAUUGAAUUAUACUUGAAAUUUCAUAGAUAAGAUGUGUAAUUUGGACUCGGUCUUCUUGACACCUGUGUGGUGAAGAAAAUUAAUGAGAAUAACCACAACGAUUAGGAUUCUCAUUUUUGUUUUCUUAUUUCUAUAAUUUUGUCUCUUAUGAUGUUUUUGUUUGUUUUUUCUUGUGUACCAAAAUCAAUGAAAGACUUAUGACGCAGCUGUCGGUGACAUAACGAUACUAGCUAACAGAGCAGAUCAUGUGAAAUUUACUCAGCCAUAUGCAUGGUCAGGGUUGACCAUGAUAGUUCCAGCAAAGUCGAAGGACUCGGCAGGGAUUUUCGUGAAACUUUUCACCAUAGAAAUGUGGUUGGCCACUGCCGCCAUCUUAAUCUACACCGUGUUCAUAGUUUGGGUGUUGGAGCACUAGUCCAACCCUGAGUUCAGAGGUCUCUGGAACCAUCAGAUUGGAACUACACUUUGGUUCGCUUUCUCCUCCAUUUUCUUUGCUCAUAGUAAGUUUCACUGCCAUACCAAGAACUCUUGACGAGUAUUAAUGUGAGAAUUGAGGGAAAGCUCUUGUCUAAUCAAUGGCAGACAGUAAAACAUGGCAUAAAAUUCAAAGAUCCAAUAAAUGAAUGGUCCCUGCAUUGAAGCUGUUGUUUCUGGAUGGAAUUCAGCCUUAAAAACCAGUUAUUCAUUCAUUCAUAUAUGUUUAUUGUUUGACAAUGACUUGUGCAGGAGAGAAGGUUUACAGUAACCUCACUCGAAUGGUGGUCGUAGUGUGGCUCUUCGUUGUGCUGGUCUUAAACUCAAGCUACACCGCUAGCCUAACAUCAAUGCUGACAGUAAAGCGAUUGGGACCAAAUGUUACAGAGAGUGAAUUGCUAAAGAGGGCCAACUUGAAAAUUGGGUGUGAUGGAGAUUCAUUUGUAAGAACAUACUUGGAGAAUGUUCUUAAUUUUAAAAGUUAUAAUAUUGAGAACGUCAGCAGUGAAUAUAAGUAUGAAGGGGAAUUCAAAAGCCACCGCAUUGCUGCUACCUUUCUUGAACUACCUUAUGGCAAAGUUUUCCUCAGUCAUUACUGCAAGCAAUUUACCACUUCCAUACCUACCUAACGAUUUGGCAGUUUAGGCUUUGUGAGUACAUAAUAUUAUUACCAUAACUUAAUAUGGCAUGUUCCACUUUCAACAAGAAAUUACUAGGAAAAGUUUUUUUUUUUUAAUUAUUAAGAAUGAACUAGAAUCUCCAAAUGUGUUGCAUUUGGAAGAUAUAUACUGAACUCUGAAGAAGCCAACCUACGUACACAUACAUGCUUUGAAUAUUGAAGUUGAACUCCUCCCUCGUAGCAUUAUAGAAUAGUCUUUUAUUCUUGCUCCUAAUUUUAGCUUAUCUAUUAAUUAAACUUGUUCAAAGGUUUUCUUCUUUCCUGGAAUUCUGUAUGCAGGUAUUUCAGAAAGGUUCUCCGAUAGCCAAAGAUUUUUCAAGAGCCAUUUUACAGUUCUCUGAAAAUGGAUUUCUGUUGUCACUGGAAAAGGAAUGGUUUUCUCCUUCGCUGGAGUGUUCAGCCGAUGUAACCGACAGCAGUACAACUGAUAGCUUGAGCUCCGGAGUUUCUAGGGUCUUUACUUUAUAUCUGGAGCUACAUCCACCCUUUGUUUUCUAUUCUUCUCUAUGCACUUGCUAAAGAAAUAUUACCGUCACCGAGUGGAAAAUGUGGAUGAGAGUCAGAGUGUUUGGAUCAAGGCAAUUCGAGUUGCCAAAUACUUUUAUCUGGGAGAUGUGGUUUUAGUUCAACGAGAAGCUUCAGUAGCUCCUGAUCCAGAACCAGAUAUCAAUGAAUGGAGGAGCCCUUCAACCUUAGAUUUUGGUCACACUAACAUGGAGAAUCUCGAUGGCACAUCAUCACCAGCAGAAACUGAGAUUGAAAUGCUACUGCAAACUCAGAAUUGACCAAGGAUCCAUCAUUGCCUGAGUUUUUAUUCAUAGCUUGGUUCCCUGAAAUAUUAAUUAAUCCUUGUGUAAUAAUGGACCUCUCUUAGUAGUAACACCAUAUAACUAGCUAAUUGUAAACUGAGCCUCGAUUUCUCUGUUGUAUAACUAAAUGUACUUUGCUUAUCAUUCUCAAUUCACCUGUAAGAAAUUAGAAUGUACCGGUCACCUUCUACAUCAUCAGGUCUGACUAAUUCACCUUAAGAAAUUAACUCUAAAUCAAUCUUAGGGCUACAAUGGCCGUUGUUAGUCCACAGUGAAUCUACACACUCGUUGGCAUCCAGUAUCAAACAAAAAUUGUUCUGAAAGAAAGUUUUAACACAUCCAUAGCUCCUCUUCGUAUUCUUCAGAUACAAAAAGAUUCUACAAAUUUAGCCAUCAUUGAACUCUGUUUAAUGCAUCAAACUACAGGUAGCCUCUUCCUCUUCGACGUCCUGCCCAACCCCAACUCCUCCCCCUGCUUCUUCUACCACCCCUCCCACUGAAAGAUAUACCGUCCAGUGCUCUAUUAACAAGCUGAUUUUGCAUGCCACCAGCUCCACGACCCUUCUUUGUCACCAAAUUAUUGGAUCCAUUAGCUGCAGGGGUAGUAUAGCAAGAGUCCACUUGACUUACAUAUGAAAAGGAAUUUAGUUAUAUUUGGUUCAGUUUUAUUAAAGUUAAUGUGGCUCACCAACCCUCACAUUACGUUAAACAUGUAGGUCUGGCUAUCAGUAAAGCAAAAAAGAAAUGAAGGGUAAAAAAGAAUCCUGCUAUGAAUAGAAAACAACAGUUAAAGAUCAAACAGGUAACUUACCCAGUUGGAUUUACAGUGGAGGGUGCAGAAGGUUUUAUAGCUUCUUUCCAGGAAAGAUUGACACUCUUAUCUCCAAUAAAUGCUAAUGCAAGGGCUGAAUGGGUAAAAAUAAUAAAAGAUAAGAUGCUGAAGAGUUUAGGCCUACAUGGCACAUGCAAGACCUAGAAGACAAUUUUCACUCCUAUCUACCCUUGUCAUAGCUAAAAUGUUAUUGCAGAUCUGCAAACUAGUUGUGGUAUUCUGCUUUUGAGUUUUCUACGAUCAGAAAACGAAGAGCAAAGUCAAUAAGAAAAAAUGAAAACAAACUAAAAUAUGUUUUAAGAACAAACUCACGAUGCUAUCUUUUGCUUCAUCAGAUUUAGCUGCUGCCAUAGCUUUGUUGUUCUCAGCCAUUCCUAGAGUUAAUUUCUUCACGAUGGCCCUAGUUAGGUCUUCAACACUACUCAAUCAUGACCAGCAUUCACUAGAAAGUUAGUAUGGACAAUAUAAAAGAAGCAUUUAGAACAGUACUGACAACAAUGCAACUGAGGAUGAAAGGUCUAAGGACAUUUCAAAUUUUCCUUUCCACUGGAGCACCCUAGGGCCUAGGCUUAUAUGUGAAGUUGGCUCACAGCCAACCUGGACCUCUACGUUGAAGUUAAACAAUGGAUUACAAUCAUAACUUAGGCAACCAUUAAGCAGUUGCUUGUUCCUCAACAAAUUGUACAACUUUGUUCGGUAGAUCUUUUUGUUUUUUCUUCAAAAAUAGGAGUCAUACAAUAAUAUAUCAAACAAUUCUUUGAUUCAACAUAAUAGUGGUUUUAAGGACUUGUUCAAAACAGGGAACAAAAUGGGAGUAGGGAAGAAACAGGUUAUUGGCAAUGCCUGUCUAAUCUAUUUCAUCUAGUGAAUAGUGUUAGCUAAAUAGCUCACAACAGAUUUCAUUGAUAGAAGUUCCUUUUGCUCAAUUUUUGUUCACACCCACGGCAGGAUAUUUCAAGAUAAAAAGAAAACAAAGAAUGUCUUCAACAAGAUCAAUUUAUUGGUCUGUACAUACACAAAUAAAUAAAUUAGGAUUGGUAUAUAAACAUAGAAAAAAGUUAAGGAAGAAGAAAAACGUAGUUUUCUUUUCUUUUUUUUAAAGUAUAGCAUAAGGGAGAAGAGAGGCUAAUUUAUCUUUCAGUGAAGUCCUUAUAAUACUCUGAGAAGUCUUCCCCAAGCCUAUCUGAUGGUUGACCAGUCACAAUCUAGUAACCCCAUAGACUAUUUGUGGCAUUGGGAGCCUAUGUGACAAAAAAAUUCAAAUAAGAACUUCAGAAAAUAAAUCUAUGCAACAAGUGAACAAGAUAGUGAAGGGGAAAAAACACCUUGUGAGAAAAAUGAUGAAAGACAAAUAGCAAGCAUUCAACAUAGGUAAAGUUUGUUUCUUCCCCCCGUCUUCCUCCUAAGCAUGUACUGCCGAGAAAGGGGAGCAAAAAGAGUUAUAAAUAAACAGAGAUGGUAUAGAUAUAAACAUCUAUGAGAUAAAUAUUAUCAGAAAACUCCAACUAAACAAGAUAUGAUAAGAAUAUGCAUUCUGAUACCUUUAAAAGCUGAACAAUAGAAGGGAGAAUUUGACGUGAAUCCUGUGGUGUUGUGUAAGGCAAAAUUUCUGCUAAAGCUUUGAGCAAAUCUAGCUUUCGUUCCUCCUGGAGCUGUAAGGCACAGACAUUAUGAAAUAUAGUCAUUCCUGUACACAGCACUAGCUAUAAGGUAGAACAAAUAGAGGCUCAUGCGAGAGUAUUCAGAAAAGAGUUCCUCAAGAAUUUCUUGCAAGGAGAAUUUCUAAUUUUCAUGGAGCAUACAGAAAUACAAAAAAUGCCAAGAGACAUCGUAUUUAAGAAACAUUUCAAGAGUUCCCAAGGCAUUAGUAUUUUCAAUUUUUUUUUCUUACUGAGUGGAUGUUAGUAUAUAUUAAGGCGUUCAGAAAUUUUAUACAUGCAGCUCAUAUUAUGGACCAUGAGCAGCUUCCCAGCAAACUCUAUUGCCAUUCAGAAUUAGGUUGGAAGUUGGAACUAUAUAACAUGCAACUUUGGCACGACCACUUCCAUAGCUUCCAGAAUCAAUCAGCAAGUAGCUAAAUAGAAAAAACAAACCUACUUGUGAAAUCAGAUCAAUCCCAAUUUCAGAAGAUCUGAUCAACUAAAAGCCAAAAGGUACCAAGGACAAUAAGGAAUUCAACAACUUCAAAUAGAAAAAAGACAUAUGCCCAAGCUCUGGAGCUCAAAGAAACUUUUAAGAUUCGUCCACAUCCAUGACAACAUUUCAAACCUUCAUAACCACUAAGGACUAGAAAAUUAGCCAUAAGAACUUUUCAUUUUGUAUCAGAAUAACAGUGCUAACUGUAAAGAAGAACGAACUAGAAGUCUAGAAUAAAUGUAAAUUAACUGAACUGAUAUCAAGGUUCAUACAAAAUGAGCUUCGGCUACACGUGUUGCAAUACUUGUGGCAAGAAAUAUGGUAUUUCACCUCAUCAAAAACAGGUAUAAUGUGCUUGUUCAAGUAGUAAAGGAACUUGCAGCCAGAUGCACCCCGCUGUAAAAUUAUUUAACGGUAAGAGACACUAGAGUACUUAAAGCAAGAUAAGUACAUAUAUAGCGCUAUCAAAUAUAGUCCUUACCACAGAAAAAGGAAGAGCCAUGGGCAAGAUAUCAACCUAUCAAUAUCAUCCGCAUCUGAAACCUAUACCAAAAACCAUGUAAAAAGUUAUAAGGUUCACAAUAAUGGCAGUGUAAUGCUACAUCAAGGAGACAAUCUUGAACAGUAAAACUAUUUUUAACUUUUAUGGUCCACAUCCUUUCACCUUUCACCACUAUUCAGAAAACAAGCACUAACAUCAAAUCGAGCAUCUAAAUCAGCCUGCCCUUCAAUUAUUCCAAGUAGUUCCUCCAAGCGUUCAGGAGGUGCUUUCUCCCCAAAUAUGCUCAAACUUUUUGUUAAAAGCAAAUGCAACUUCUAGAUCAAAUAAGAGAUAUUCGUUUGGGAAGAUUCUAGAAUAUAAAAUAAAGAAAUAGGACUAAUAUUCUAGAUGAACAAUUUAACUAUUAGAUAUUUGUAAAAUCAAUGGUAACAAUGUUGACAUUUGUAAACAAUCGAACGACCACUAAACUUUAUAAAUAGGGGUGGGAGAUUUCAUUCUUGCUAUGAUGUAAGAGUGAGCCAUAAGCAAAAGAGUGUGAGAGCUAGAGGUAGAGGUAGAGAAGAGUAGUGAGCUAAGUGUGUGUCAUAUUGUAAUUAUAUUGUAUAUUAAUAAAAGUGUUUUAUUCUCUUGUAAUUGUAAAUCUCGGUUAAGCAUUAGAUUUUUAAGUACUUAGUGCACUUGGAAUGACUUUAAUAUAUGGUUGGUUCUACCACCUGAAUGAUAUAUGGUCAACUUUGCCACCCGACUAUUAUAACACAUUAAAAAGUUAGAAAAAAGGUUAACUGACUUUAGAGAGUUAGUGUAACAUCUUCUAAACUCUACAAUAGAAUUAAAUACAAUUUAUAUUGCAUCUUCCAUAGCAAGUUUUGCAAGUUCGCAGUUCCGGUUGUGUUGUUAUGUUUCAUGCUUCACAGUAUUUUUGAUCAUUCUAAUUAGAUGUUUGUGGAUAAAGAAUAUGCACCAAAACCAACAUGUAGACAACCCAGACCGUAGAUAACUUUUACUGGGUAAUUGAAGAGAACUUAGCUCACAAUACAUAAAUGAAUACAAUCUGAUAUAUAAAGAGAAUGGUUAACUUGUUGAUAUCAUUUAAAUGGGAGACAGAAAAUGUAAGAUCUGUAUCUCUCUAAGUAAAACGAAACACCUUACAAUAAUUUCUCUUCAAUAUUUCUCCCAAGAACACAACAAAUAAUCUCAAGACCAUCCUCUCUUCUGGAGAGGAUUUAAAUAAUUUCUUGAAAAUGGAACACUUAUUCAAAAUGAAGCAUUGCAAUUCAGAAAAAAAUAUCAUUUUAAUAAGUUACAGAAUGGGCAUGUCUAAAGCUUGUAAGACAUCUUUUUUGAAACUAUAUAUUUCGAAAUAAUUACGAAUAUAUUAAUAUAUUUUUAUUUUCAAUAAAAAGGAAUCCAAAAUUCUUAUGAACCAGUUAAUUUGAAAUUGAAUUUUUAUUAAACUCAAAAUCACUAGCUUCUUUAUUGAAACAUUCAACCAGCUUGUAUCUCACAUCAUUAAGAUAAAAAGAUUGAGUGAUUUCCAAGAGCCACUUUGCUUCCUCAUCAGUAAGCUUGCUGGUGAAAACAAUAUCUCCACGAAUAAGUACCAAGUCCUUGCUUUCUGCAAAUUCUGUGUAAAAGGAUGCAGUGAAGCAAGGAGAUGCUUGAGUUCCUCUUGCUUUAUAAUCUUCAAGACCAGUGAAAAGCAUGUAUGGCAAUUGCACUGCAACAAAAUUUUGAAUAAACAUUUAACCAAACUAACAAGUUUGUGGAAGAAUGCAAAAUUUGAUUGUAUACUUCAAUGGCAUAUGCUAUCUAAAAAUCUAAUUAAGGGCUAAUGCAUGACAUCAUUAGUAUUAGUACUGUUCAUUAUAGCAAAUAACUCUAAUUGGAUUCCUGGUUCUGAUGCGUUCAACAGAAAUUUGGGAAUCAGCAUGCACAAGAAUGGCCAAUAGAUAGAAACUCUUGCGGCAAGGCAUUUCCAAUGCUUUUUCCCAACUGCAAAAGCCAUGAUGUUAUGCCUGAUAGUAUCAAAUCAAAAGUAUGGUUGAGAAUAAUGAACUCGUUAACAAUUAUGGCUCUAAACUAGCUUGUUUUUAAUACACAUUUAUUGCCACAACAGGCAUGACUCAAUAAACCAUAACAUGAUUAUGAGCAUUGUAGUAUAGAAAGCAUUUUGCCUAAGUUAAAUCAUCAGUUAUAUAGAUCACAAGCAAAAGAAGUCAACCACCGCAAAAUAAAUCAAUUGUCACAUAAAACCAGUAUGAAAAAGUUCAAAGACUAUCGAUCAAAUAACAAACCUUGAGCAAACAUUGUUGUAUAACCACUUCCUCUCCACAAAGGAAUGACAAAAUACCGGCUGCUAAGACAGAUAGAAGUGAGACUAGCAAGAAUUAUGAAACCCAACAACGUGUAUGUAACAACAUAAACAAUGCCACAAUGGAAUCAAAUGGAUUACCAAUCUGAGCCUCUUUGUUCCAAUAAACGGUAAAGUUUUGCCUUCAUGGUCAACCCAAUAUGACCUCUUCCCAAGUGAUACUGAACAUAAAAAAUUUGCUUAAUCAAUUUGUUCUUUCUUAUUAACAACAUGAAAAUGAAGAGGGAAAGAAAAGUUCAGUAAUUGGGUAUAUUUUACAUCAUCCCAAAUAGAAGCAAGGUCCUCAGGUGAACGGUUUUUUGCUCGGUUCAAAUCCAUGAUGGAAUCCAAUGGCUUGGGUUCUAAAGGCUUGAACCCAGAUGCAAAUCUCGAAGUCCUGAAAAAACCGAGUGAACCCCAUUUCAAUAAAUCUCCUGGGAUUGCUUCUUUUUCCGGGUUUUUGACACGUUGCUGCGAAGAGAAGGCAGAGAAGCAGCGAAUUGAAAGCCAAGAAGAAGAAGAAGAUGGUGUUUCUUUCAGGAUGAUAGUUCUUAGUGACAAGGAAACUUUCGCGGUUGCGGUGAUUCUUGAUGCUAACCGUUGCACUGUUUCGAGUUUUCAGGUGCGGAGUCUACUCAGCUCAAACUCGAUUCGCUGGGUGAUUUUAUCAAACAGUCUAUGUGCAAUGCUACGCAGUACAUUUCCAAGCGAAAACAGAGAAAUGCGUGCUGAGAAUAAAACGCAGCGCUGGGGGAAUGUCUGGAUAGAAAUCGGAAUUAGUUUGACCCAAAAACACAAACUUGGCCUAAAUUCUAUGGAAAAUAUUAUGAAUUGGGCUUUGCUCGAAACUGAUUUUCUUUUCUAUAAGAAUACCACACCGUAUUCAACAAUCAAAUCAUUUUAAUAAACUCCUUUAAUUCACUUUGAAAUUGAUAUUUAUAUUUUGGAUGAAAAAGAAAUACUCAAGUCUUUAUGCAUUUCGUAAUAUUGAUGUGCAUGAAGCUAUAAAUUAUUUUUGUAUUCUUUUAAUGUAAACUCAUAAUGCAUUACAAAUUGCCUAAGAAGGCCAAAAGAUUUAUCUUAUACACACUCUCUCAAUCUCAUGAUGCAAAAGAUAUAAUUGAGUGAAUAUUAAUAGUUUAAUGUGGUUUGCAUAUAAUAAUGGUACCUUAAUUCAGCGGUUUUAUUGGUAGUCCAACAAAAGGACAAAGAUCCAAAAGAUGAUCGUAAUUGUUAAUAAUCAUACAAAAUCUCACCAAACUCAAUGUCUAUGUUGAGAGAGAUAUCCGACUCAACAACUUAUUUUUGUAUUAUUAUCUACAUUAUUAUAAAUUAAUUGGACACCAAUUCAAUAAGAAAAAAAAUUAAAACAAUUUUUUAAAAGUAAAUGCUAUCACGAGGAAAAAAAUUCACAAUAAAGAGACUUGAGCAUAAUAUAUCAAGAUCUCAAAAUUUUAAAAUUUAUCAUUUCAACUAAAAUCUCGUUAAUUUUUUUUAUAAAUAAAAAAUUUUCAAAGACAUCAUAAUUAUGCCAUAAUUUAAGUGUGUUGUUGUCAUUUAAAAUUAUUUUUAAAAUAUUUUUGUGUGAAAUUACAGAAACAAUUUAAAUUUAAAAAAAAAUCUAAAAAGAAAUACAGACUGUGAGAGUGAACUUAAGAAACUUCAAUUUUUUUAGAAUCUCAACUUUAUUGAUUUAAUAAAAAAUUAGUUGUUUUUUUCUUCGAAAAACCUUUUACCCACAAUAUAUCAUUUUCACUCCUAUCGCAGAAAUGACGUAAUCUAAUUAUAUAAAGCAGAGAGAUAUAACGGUUAGAACAUGUCUAAACAGUAUAUGAAUGGGCCGAAUUACAGCGGCGAUAUAAACUAUAAACUGGUUGUUUAGGCUACAAAAUUUUGCAUCUUUGCAUGGAGGCUGCGAACAAGAAGGAAACAAUGGUUCAAUCAACUCAGACAAACCGAAUCCAAUUAAAGGUUCAACUAAUAAGAAAAAAAAAAAGGCCAAACGACAAUGUACUUUGUUUCGCAAACCCUUGGUCUGGGUGACAGUUCUGAAAUUUCCUAUUAAUUAAAGGAAUUAAAAAUGAUUAAAUUUGCCACUGCCAACUUGUCUCUUCGAUAAUCGAGAACACAGUUUUUUUCUUAGACUUUAGCUGCUUUGUUUCUUGACUGGAAAAAGUCCGUGCAAUCUCAGUUACCCAUGAUAUUCAUAAGCUUUUUCAGUUUUUUUGUUUUUGACUUUUAACACAGUCAUCAGAUGUCAUAAUCUGGAAGUUAGAAGUGGAUCAGAUUAACAGGGCAUAAGACAACGAAAGAAAAAGCAACAGAAAUUUGCAGUAAAAAAUUGAUUUUAUAUUUAUACUGCUUAUGUACAAAUUACUUCCCCCACAUGACAGCCACAAUCACAAACCUGAUUUAUAUUUGCAGACAGAUUAUUUCGGCUUCUGUAGUUUCACCCAACUCCCCCAGAACAAAAAUGUAUUUACCAAAAACCUGAUUGGGAAUUGGGACCGAACUUCAGAUGCCGUAAAAUAUGAGUAGGAAGAAACGUCCACCUAACCCGUGUCUUAGUAUUAGCACGAUAAAUAUAUAUCCAUAUUUGAAUUUCAUCUUAAGCUAAAAAGUCCAAACAAUUGCCUAAUUUCCAUAAAUAUGUACUAGUACAAUAACAAAAAGUUAAGAAAAAGGGAAUUUGAGCGUGAGAUAGUGCUAGCAGCUUUUAAUAUGCUCACAAGGAAAAGGUUCCCUUCCACUUCAGACUUGACUGAAAAGGGCAAGUAAAAUAGCAAUUGACGCAUACCCUAGAGAGAGAGGAGUAAAAGCUAAUGGCUCUGAAUCUGAUUAAUCUGUUUGACACAAGAGUUAUUUAUGAUAUGGUGGGUUUCCCUCGUUUCGUUUGCACAUGCAUUGCAUUUAAGAACUCAUGUUUGGUUGGCUAGUGGGUUUGAGUAGUACCCUCCACCCAUUAGCUUCACUGCUUUUUAUCCACCCUUCUGUUUUUCUCUUCACCCCUAAUAUUGCCUGUUUGCUUCCUUACCCUUGCUUAAUUAAUUAAUUACCAAUAGCCCAUUGGCAUUUAAAUCAAACCACUUGUAUAUAAAAAACAAGAUAAUUACCUGAAUUUGUUGUUCGUUUUAAAUCUAAGAUUCUUUUUGUGUGUGUGUGUGUGUUUUCAUAUAAAAGAGGUUAACAUGUAUGUUAGAAUUUUAAUCAUUACACAAAUCCGUGAGGAAUCGUCUUAGCUAUUAUUGGUUUCUAACAUGGCUAUGAUUAGCCAAAUCUUUACCUUAAAUUUCUAGUCAUAUACUUAUACCAGAACAGUGUCAAAGGGAAAGGUCUUAUUAUUUUGUUUCCUAUCAUUCAUGUAGGGAUUGGGUUUCACGGGAGUUGAUUAUCUUCUUUUAUAGUUGAGGCAAUUUGUAUUGUCCCACUUCAGACUUUUUAACCUGGUCUUAGCUCUUUUAUAUUCUCCACUACUAUUCCUGUCUUUGUCCUAAUCUGCCGACCAAACACACUUCACAAUCAUGCCUGUCCUUUCUCCAACUUCUUCUUCUUCUUCUUCUUCUUCCUUUGUUUUCACUUGUUUCUUCAUCAUUCUCUUUAUAACCAUAAACUCCUCCAAUCCUGUAGCCAUUACCACCAAGGCCAAACGCCCCCCACGCCAGCUUUCUGUCAAUUACUAUGCAAAAUCUUGCCCUCAAGUUGAGCAACUCGUCGGCUCCAUCACCUCCCAACAAUUCAAAGAAAUCCCUGUCUCUGCACCUGCCACCAUUCGCCUCUUCUUCCAUGACUGCUUUGUAGAAGUAAUGCAAAUUAUAUUCAAUUACUUAUCAGUUCUUACUUCUGCAUGCAUGCAAGCACAUGUUAGCAUUAAUGCGCCUACAAUGCUCCAUUGAUUUCCAACCAUAUAAAAUUUUAGCUGAUGAUUGAUUCAAAAUUUUGGCUUGGAUUACUGUUAUAUUGUAGGGUUGCGAUGCGUCUAUCCUUAUAGCAACACAGCCUGGAAGUAAAAUAUUAGCAGAGAAAGAUGCAGCGGAUAACAGGGACCUGAGAACAGAGGGGUUUGAUACAAUAACGAGAGCCAAGGCUUUGGUGGAGAGCAAAUGCCCCGGCAUUGUCUCUUGCGCUGAUAUUCUUGCAAUUGCAGCCAGAGAUUUUAUCCAUUUGGUUAGUGCAACCGUUUUCACUUUUUAUUGGUCUCGGUUUGCUUCUCAUCUCAUGCAUUAGAUAUUAUCUCUGUUUACAAUCAUAUUGCUGAGGGGAAAAAAACAAAGAAAUUAAUUUGAUAUCGUUACAUGCAUAUCUUCCAAUUGGGAUGAUGUUUCCAGAGUCGAAGAUUGGAGAAAAAUAUAUAUUAAUAUUACUUAUUUUCUGCAUUACAGCUAUACUUAUCAGUUGAAACUCUCUAAUAAGACAGGAAAGAUAUUCAUAUUUCCAUGUGCCUAUUUUGUCUACAACGAAACUUGUUGAUUAACAGCCAAGAUUCUGCUACUAAGCUUGUCCUACUACCUGAUCUUGACUUCGACCUUAUGUUAAGUCUCCAACAUGUUUGAUUUUAUUAUAUCACUAUCAAUGUUAAGACAGCCGAGACCUUUGGUUUUAAUUAAUUCAUCUUAAGAUAUGUUGGUUUUUAACUAACGAGGAAGUUUAGUAAAUAUUUAAUGGACACUGGUUUUACUGUGAUUUAAUGUGUUUCCAGGCUGGGGGACCUUAUUACGUAGUGAAGAAAGGAAGGUGGGAUGGGAAAAUAUCAAUGGCAUCCAGGGUCCCCAACAAUCUCCCACAUGCAAAUUCAACCGUCGACCAACUGAUCAAACUCUUUAGCUCAAAAGGGUUAACCAUCCAGGACCUCGUUGUGCUCUCAGGUGCGCACACCAUCGGCUUUGCCCACUGCAAGAACUUCGUGGACCGACUCUACAAUUAUAAAGGCACUAAGCAGGCUGACCCUGCCAUUGAUCCAAGGCUACUAAAGGCCCUGAAGAUGUCAUGCCCACAGGUUGGUGGUAAUGCUGACAUUGUGGCUCCAUUCGAUGUCACCACCCCAUUCGUAUUCGACCAUGCUUAUUAUACAAAUUUACAGAGCAAACUGGGCUUGUUAGCUUCAGACGAAGGUCUAUUUUUGGACCCGAGGACCAAGCCUCUGGUCCAAUCUUUUGGGCUAGACAAGGCAAAGUUUUUCCUGGCCUUUUCAGCAGCUAUGGAAAAAAUGGGCUCAAUUGGCGUCAAAAGAGGAAGAAGACAUGGAGAGAAAAGGAAGGCUUGUAGCAUACACAUGUGAAGCUUUUUUUUCCCUUCCCAUUCAUAUCCCUCCCCCUUCCCUUUUUUUUAGUUCUAAGCUUUCUUUUAUUUAUUGAUUGGGAUUUUGUAGGCUUUUGUGAAUGUCUAGAAAUUUAAGUCCCCAAACAACAUGGAACUUGGUAGAUAGGAGACCUUUAUAUCGAUCACUUUUCAGUGGUUCUGUUUUUCUUUUUGAAUUAUCUUGACCGCAAAGUGAGAGAAAAUUUGUAGGCUUACCGUCAAGCUAUAAUUACAUCGCACUUUAUUUUAAGUUAUUAUUUCCUUUCCAUAAACCUCCAAGAAAGGAUAUAUUUGGGCAUGCAAACGAAAAAAAAAAGAAGCAUCUUCAAAUUUAGAGUCAAAGCCUCAAGUAGUCUCUUUAAGCGAGACUUCAGAAAGGGCUCCACACAAAAACAGUGGUGAAUUCAAUAAAUAUUUUUUAGGGAGGUUGGAAAUUUAAUUAUAUUUUUGAUAGAUUAAAAUAUAAAUUUAUUAUAUAUUAAUUUAUAAUUUUAUCAUUUUUGAAGGAAUUAAAAGUUAAGAAAAGUGAAAAACAUAGGCUAAAUACUAAGGAUAUACAGGAAAAUAAAAUAGAAUCAGAAAAUGAGAAAAUGAAUUCCUUCAUUCUCCUUAAUGGAUCAUUUUUUGGUACAUUUAUAGUAGAGAUUGAGAGCAAAAACAGAUUUUAGUAAUGGAGAAUAAGAGGAGCAACGUGGAGCAAUCUGUUGAGGAGAAUGAAAACAGAAAAACAGAAAUUCUUGGCUGCUGUGAAUGACGACAAAGGUUAGGAGCCUUCACUGGUCAUUUGACACCUGUCCAUACUAGUAACGUUUCUUUCAACAUCCUCUCCAUCAUCUACAGCUUGUGGUGAAGAAACACAUAAAGCUUUGCGAAAGUGAGAAAAGUCUUUAGGUAAGAUGGGUUUAGUGAGAGCAUCAGCAAUUUGUUUAUUUGAGGGGAUAUAGUUGACUUGCAAAGCUCCAGAGACAACCUUUUCCCUCACAAAGUAUAGAUCAAUCUCAGCAUGUUUAACUUUUGAGUGGUGAACUAGAUUGGCAGAGAUUGAAACGGCAGAGGUAUUAUCACACCAUAUAAUUGGUGUGUGUGAGAGACUUAUACCAAGUUCUUCAAGAAGUUGCUGUAAUCCAAGCAUUUUAGAGGCACAAUUAGCUAAGCUCCUAUAUUCAGCUUCAGUAGAUGAACGGGAGACAACUGACUGCUUUUUAGAUGACCAUGUGAUAGGAUUUGGUCCUAAGAAAAUACAGUAGCCGGUGGUGGAGCGUCGAUCUUCAGGAGUGGAGGCCCAGUCAGCAUCCGAAUAUCCAACAAGAUUAAAACACCCCUUUUUGAACCGCAAUCCAUAAUCAAGAGUUCCAUUGAUGUACCUCAAUACUCUUUUUACAGCUUUCCAAUGAGUGCCUAGAGGAUGAUUCAUAUAUUGACUUAGUUUAUUAACACAAUAGGUGAGAUCUGGUCUGGUAAUACAAGCAUAUUGAAGAGUGCCGAUUACACUUCUAUAUAAAUGAAUAUCUUCAAAUGGAGUACCAUUAUUGCGAGUAAGAUGAGGGAGACCUACCAUUGGCGUAGGAGUAGGUGUGGCACCAUACAUACCAGUUCGAUGAAGUAGUUCCAGAAGAUAUUUCUUUUGUGAAAGUAAUAAGCCACCAGUCAUAGAGCAAAUCUCAAUACCAAGAAAAUAUUGAAGAGUUCCAAGAUCUUUAAUAGCAAAUCGAGAGUGAAGUUGGGUGACAAUAUCAUCAAUAUCAGAUUGAGAAUUACCGGUUAAAACAAUAUCAUCAACAUAAGCCAUAAGAAACACUUGUGAGCGGGCAGUGUGUCGAAUAAAGAGUGAAGAAUCAAUUUUGGAAGGCUUAAAACCCAAGUUGGAGACAAGGAAAUCCUUUAGAGUGUUGAACCAAGCUCGUGGAGCUUGUUUAAGGCCAUACAAUGCUUUGUUGAGCUUACAUACUAAUGACUCACCGUUCAACCCCUAAGCUUCGAAUCCCGGUGGUUGUUGCAUAUAAAUUUCUUCAGUAAGAAUACCGUUAAUGAAUGCAUUAUUUACAUCAAUUUGACGAAGACUCCAUUCUUUCAUAACAGCAAUAGCAAGAACAAUCCGUAUAGUGUUGGCACGAACUACUGGGCUGAAAGUAUCAACAAAGUCAGAACCGACAUUUUGAGAGAACCCUUUAGCGACAAGACGCGCUUUGUAACGGUCCACUGUACCAUCUGGUUUCUUCUUAACUUUGAACAGCCAUUUACAUCUGAUAGCACGAUGAGAAGAUGGUAAAUGAGCUAAUGUCCAAGUGUUAUUUUUUUAUCAAAGCUUGAAGCUCACUGUGAACAGCAUUUUGCCAGUGAGGAUAACGCAUAGCACUAUGAAUAUCAGAGGGUAACUCAGGGUCAAAGGAAGUUGCUUGAGAAAGUAGAAUUUUGGGGCGAAAAAUUCCAGCUUUGCUUCUAGUUAUCAUGGGAUGGGUGUUUGUGGUGGAAGCUUGUUGUGGUUCAAAAUUUUCAGUUUGGUCAAUUUGUGGUGAGAGUAUAGAAGUAGAAUGUGAUGGUGGGUUAAUUGUAGUGUGGGAAUUGUCAGAUAAAGUAGGAGAGUGGGGUGGUAUAUAGGACAAAGAUGGGGGAUUAUCAAGUGAGCAUUUGGUGGGUCCCAUGGUGUGUGUAGGAGUAGUAGAAGAAAUAUGUGGAGGUGAUGGACUUGUGUGACGUGAUGGAGGGGAUGAGUUGAUAGGUGAUGGCACAAUAUACAAGGUAGUGGUUGAAUUUUUAUUUUGGUGAGGUAAAAGCUGAGAUUGGGUUUGUUUAAAGGGAAAUUGUUGUUCAUUAAAAAUAACAUGACGUGAAAUAAUGGUUUUACCCUCUGAUGUGCGGCACCGAUAUCCUUUAUAUAGAGGAGAAUAACCAAGAAAAACACAAGGCUCUGACCGAAAAUUUAAUUUGUUCCUGUUAAAGGGGCGUAAAUUUGGAAAGCAGAGACACCCAAAUACAUGACAGAAUUGAUAAUUUGGUUUUGUCCCAAAAAGUUUUUCAAACGGAGAAAAGCCAUCUAACGCCUUGGUAGGAAGUCGAUUAAUAAGAAAAAUAGCACUUGUAAAGGCAUCAUUCCAGUAGUGUAGAGGCAUACCAACAUGAGCAAGCAUCGACAACCCGGAUUCAACAAUUUGGCGAUGUUUCCGUUCAACUAUGCCAUUUUACUCAGAAGAAUGAGGGCAUGAUAAACGAUGAAUGAUACCAUGGUACGAUAGAUACCCUUUUAAAGCUUGAAAUUCUCCACCAUUGUCAGUUUGAAGUACUUUUAUCUUGUGACCAAGAAGACGUUCCACCAUCUUAUGAAAUUGAAUAAACACACUUAAAACAUCUGAUUUUCGAGUGAGAAAGUAUAUCCAUGUAUAUCUAGAAAAAGCAUCUGUAAAUGCCACAUAAUAGGAGAAACCAUUUGAUGUAAUCGGUGCUGGUCCCCAAACAUCAUAUAUAAUUAAUUGUAACGGUGUUGUAUACUCAGUCAAGGAAUUUGUAAAAGGCAGUUUACGAGCUUUUCCCAUUUGACAUGCUGGACAACAGUCACCAAUUUUAUUAUCAUGAAAUGAAACAUUACAAUUUUGAAGAGCUUGAACAAGAGUAGAGCGGCAUGGAUGCCCAAGACGAGCAUGCCAUAAAGACAACGGAGUAGCAUGCGAAGCAACAUAACAUUGGGCAGAUGGAUUUGAAGAAGAAAAUGGCAACUUUAAAUGAUAUAAACCACCAUGAACAUCUCCAUGCAACAGAACUUCAUUUGUCUUUAGGUCCCGAACCUUGCACUCCUUUGGAAAAAACUCAAACAUCACUUGAUUAUCACUAGUGAACUUGGAAACGGAGAGAAGAUUUUUAGUAAUGCCAGGAACAUAAAGUAAAGAGCGCAUGACUAAAGGUCGUGUUUGAGUAAUUAAAGACAAUUGACCAGUAUGCAUAACAGGAAGACCACAACCAUUACCAACAUAAAUUGUACCUGGUCCAGAAUAUGAAGCUUUUUCACCCAUGGAUUCAGAAGAGUGAGUUAUGUAAUGGGUAGCACCAGAGUCUGUGUACCAACUUGGAUCACUUACUGUCUCAGGAGUUGCAAUAUAAGUAUUGGCAUUAUUAGGCAGAGUAGUGGUUGGUGGCAUGGAGGCAUUAGCAUUCUGGAGAGGUGAGGUUUGAUAAAUCCAAUACCCAUGUGGUUCAAGUGAAGGAGGUGGGGCCCAUGGUGCUGUCCCACUAUUAUGCACAAAGGAUGACCCACCAGUUGGUGUCCAUUGAUGGGUGUUGAAGGUAGCAACAUAGGCUUGAGGAGCUUGUGUUCCCGGUUGUGAAGAGGGAGGUCUGUAAGUAGAAGCCUUAUAGUUUUGAUCGAAACGAAAGUAGCAUCGAUCUACCAGAUGCCCGGGCUUUCCACAAAGUUGGCAUUGGAGCCUAGAAUUAUUGGAUCGACCCCUUCCUCGACCUCGAAAAGAGGAAUGAUUGGGUGGUCUGUAAGAGGGUGUUUCUCCAUUAUUUUGAGAACUUUGAGUGGUAAUCAUAUUGGCAGCAGCUAGAAUAGAGGCGAGAAGAGUUUGUUGUCGCGCUUCAGUAUCAAGAAAAAGUGUGGAUACCGUUUGAACGCUGUAUGGAAUAGGACUAGCCGAGAUGACAGUAAUGACAGAUUCAAAAUCAGCAGAUAAACCAUUUAAAAUAGCCGUAACAUGCUCAUAUUCACUAACCAUUUCUCCACAAUUUGCUAAGUUAUCACAGAAACUUUUAAUUUUAAGUAAAUAAUCCUUCAUGCUCAAAUCACCUUUGCGUUGAGAGUGAAGUGCUCGACGAUAAAACAUUAACUUGGAGGUCGUUUUGCUGCCAUAGACACGUGCCAAAGUUUGCCAUAUUUGAGAAGAAGUGUUCAUUCCAAUAAGGUGAGGAAGAACAGUUUGACUCACUGAUGAAAGCAACCAAGAAGCAAGGGCACUAUCUUGUUGCUCAUAUCUUGCAAAAUCUGGGUUUGGUGUUGACCCACCACUUUCAUCGGGUAUCAUUGAGGGAGGUGGAACCAGGGUGCCGUCUAAGUAGCCUUGAAGUUUGAAGGUUUUGGCUGCCAGUAAAACUUGUUGCUGCCACAAUAAGUAGUUGUCAUCAUCUAGGAUAAUAUUAAGCUUUUUGGUUGCAAAAAGUCUUCUAUCAAAGCCAUCGACGGAGCUUCCAAUCGCACCGGAGGCAGUGACAGAUUCAGUCGUUUGACUGGUGGCGUUACUGUUGGUGUUGUUCAUAACGAAAGCUUAAUCCGUGAGGAAGAAAGGCUCUGAUACCAAGUUAAGAAAAGUGAAAAACAUAGGCUAAAUACUGAGGAUAUACAAGAAAAUAAAAGAGAAUCAGAAAAUGAGAAAAUGAAUUCCUUCAUUCUCCUUAAUGGAUCAUUUUUUGGUACAUUUAUAGUAGAGAUUGAGAGCAAAAACAGAUUUUAGUAAUGGAGAAUAAGAGGAGCAACGUGGAGCAAUCUGUUUAGGAGAAUGAAAACAGAAAAACAGAAAUUCUUGGCUGCUGUGAAUGACGACAAAGGUUAGGAGCCUCCACUGGUCAUUUGACACCUAUCCAUACUAGUAACGUUUCUUUCAACAUUAAAUAGAAAUUAUUUCAUUUUUUGGAAGUUAAAUGUAAUUUUAUUAUAUAUUAAUUUAUAUUUUUUUAUUUAUAAAAGGACUGAAUUGAAAAUUUAUUAUUUUGGGGCUAAAGUACAAUUUCACUAUAUAUAUUAAUUUAUAGUUUCUCUAUUUAUAAGAGGAUUAAAUUGAAAACUUUUCUCUUUUGAGUUACCUCUACACAAAAAUAAGCAGAAAAUUCUUUUACUGGUUGAGUAAACUACACUAACAGUCAUCUCAUAAUGAGUAAGUUUCUUUUAUGAUCAUCAACUAAAAAAAAAGUUAUAAUUUAGUCAUUAACACUUUCGAGAUUGUUUUUUUUAUCACCAUUAAGUAACGGAAUGAUAAUGUGACACUUUUUAAUUGAUCUAUAAAAACAAAUUUAGUCAUAAGCUUUUAUACUUAUUGUCUAUUUGGUCAUGAUUUUGUAUAAAAAAUUAUAAUAAAUAUAUAAUAAAAACUUAACAUAUAUGUAAAUACACAAAAUGUUAAUAAAUAAUAAAUAUUAUAUAAAGAUUGUUAUGGUACUUUCAUAUAUUAUUUAUGAGGAAGGAUUCAUUUACAUUGGUGCAAAACUAAAGUUGUUUUACAACAUUUAGUAUUUGUUUUUGUAGAAUUAAUAUUUUAACAAUCUAAUCAUAAUAUUUCAUAUUUCAUUCAUAUAGAUCAUGCAUGUUAAAUUUAACAUGAACUAAAAAUUUCUAACUAUUUGUUUUAUGCAAAAAGAAUUCAACCAUAUAAUAAAUAUUAAAAUAUACAAUAUUUUAGAUCAAAGUGAUAGAGAUAUCAAAUUGGUUCUAAAGUUUACAUACAUGACAAGUACAAUUAUAUCAUAAAUUAAAUGGUUGAAUUGUUAAAACAUUAAUCCUACAAAAAGAUAUGAAAGGGUGUAAAAUAAUUUUAUUUUAUAUCAUUGUAAGUAAAUUCUUCUCUAUUAUUUUUAUUAUUUUUUACAUAAUAAGUGUCUUGCUUAUAUAUAAUUUAGAUGUUGGCAUGGUUUUUUUUUUUCAAUGGUCACAUAGUCACAUGGUCAUAUCUUUAAUGUUUGUUUAUCUUCACAUGAUAGGGUUUUUUUUUUUACUUAAUUAUGAGGAUCCUAAUUUAAUGUGCUAAUAUUGGACUGAUCAUGGAAACACUAAAGAGUUUAGGGCAUGACUUGAAUAGGAAGAUGAACAUUUACUAUGUUGAGUUUGGUAAAUCAUUGAGCAUGCGGUUGAGAAUGUUAAAUGAAAAGGAUGCCAUUGUGUUAGAACUAGCAACCCAAUUAGUGAAAGGUGGGUUCUUGACAUAUAUGUUAAACAUUUGGAUGCUAAAAUUGAGCAUGACAUCCCUACUGCAUUGCUUGAACCUUUUGAGGAUGUUCUUGACAUAUAUGUUAAACAAUAGUGUACUAUGUAAGGGUGAAGCAGAUGAAAAUAGUGCAUAAAUGGUGUUUAGGGUAAUGUUGGUAGUGUUUCAAAUGUUAGGGGUAUUAAUCUAGGAGGCAAUUGUUAGGAUGAGUAUAGCAAUAGGGUGAAGGUUUAGGGUGGUAAUAAGUAUUUUGUUUCAUCUUACUUCAAAAAUUUUAAAGGCACCAACAAGGAAUUAGAUGAAAAUUAUGUUAAGAAAGUGAAGUCUUAUAAUACUUAUAAUACUUACUAUAAAUUUGUUCCUUUAGAUGAUUUUUUUAUUAGACUUUUUUUGAAUAGUUUUGUUAUAUAUUCCGAUCAUAUCUGCUCUUUUUGAUACAAUACCUAAAACUACCCAUAGACCCUCCUAACUCAUAAAUAGAAAGAUAAUGCGCUUCAGCGUACUCGAACCCACAUCCUCCUGCGUUGACAAUAAUAUUCAUACGAAUUAAGCUAAUACUCAAUCGAUUCUAUUGCUCUUAUAUAUGGUGUAACAGCCUAAUUUUCAGUGGUGUCGGAAAUAGUGAUUCGAGAUCACUAAAUCCGACCAAUGAGUCUUAAAAUUUAAUAAACUAAUAAUUAUGGGUAAAGUGUGAAUUUAUAAGAAUUUUUGAAUUAAUGAAUUUUUUUAUUUAUUGAAUUUUGUGAUUUAAAAAGAAUUUAAUAGGUAAAUUGGGUCUAAAAUGAGGUAUUGAGACCUCGAGUUCAUAAACCAAGCUAUAAAUAUUUAUGGAGUGUCAUUGAGUUAGUAUAAAAGUUUCGUUAGAAAAUUUUAACGUUUGGAUAGUCAAUUAAUUAAAAAAGUCUAAAUUGAAAAUAAUGUAAAAUUUGUUAAAUUGUGAUUAAAUAGCUUAAGUGACUAAUAAGGAGGGAUUUCAAAGGCAAUUAGGCCUAAAGUAUAUAGGCUGGAUGGUUGGGUAAGAAAAAUCAGCAAGAAAGUAAGGAGAAACAAGGGCAAAAUUGGAAACUUUACAAAUUAAAUAUAUAAAACAAAGACAAAAGUGAAAAAUCUAGAGAUUUCUUCAUAAUUUGUCAGCAAAAACGCCAUAGGAGGUCUGAAACAAGCUGGUUUCUCAUAUUUUUAUAUCAUGUGAGUUCAAUUCUUGCUUUUUCUUUGAAAUUUUUAUGUUUUAUAAAUUUUACAAUUAGGUCCAACUAUUGAAUUCAUUAGUUUUUGAUUACAUGGGUGAUUUUUCAAGUUACUAUGAAUAAUUUCUGGAAUUUUAUUAUGAAUUAAUAUAUAUUUGAAGUUUUAAUUUCAUUAUAUUAUGAUUUUAUUAAGUGAUUUUAGCAUAAAAUGAUUUUUAGGACCUAAUUGUGAAAGAGUUAGGAAUUGAGGUUUUGUACAGAAAUUAUGAAUAUAAAAGGCUUUAUAGUAGUCUAAAAUGGUUGGAUAAGGUGUUAAUUGAGAAAAAUUAGAUCAAUUGAAGGGUUAAUUGAGUAGGGACCAAAUUGUAAAAAUUGUAAAUUUUGGGGGUAAAUGUGUAAUUUCGAAAAUUGAAAGGCAUAAAUUGUGAAGUAAAUUAGUAUUGAAUUAUAUGCUAAUGAAUGGAAAAUUUUAUAUUAUAGAUCGGGAAUCCGAAGAUAAACGCGGAAAAGAGAAAGUAUCGAACUAGUUUCUGAACUUUUACAACUCCUACUAGUUGGCCCAGGUAAGUUCAUACGGCUGAACUUUUAUGAUUAAUUGUUAAUGUGGGAAUGAUAUAAUGUAUCAAUGUAACAACCCAAUUUUGACCCUAAUCGGAACAGUGGUUUCGGGACCACAAAUCCGAAUUAGAAAAAAAUAUUUUAAUAUUAUUUUGUGUGUUUAUGAUGUGUGAAUUUAAUUGUGUGAAAUUUUCGUGUUUUAAUUUUUUCGUUUGAGAGAUUGAUUAAAGAAAAUGGCUUAAUCGCGUAAAAUGAAAAUUUAGGGGUUAAAUCUAAAGGAACCAAAUUGUUGUUGUCUUUAUUAAAUGGAGGAUUUAUGAUGUAAUAAGGCCAAAAUAUAGUUAGUGGGUGGCAAAGUACAAGUAUAGCCUUAUAUAUAUGUAUAUAUAUUUAUAUAAAGGUUAAUAAAGUAAACUAAUUAUUAAUGUUAGUGUAUGUUUAAUAUAUUAAAAUUAAAGCAUUAUUUCUCCAUCUUUUGGUCGAAACUAAGAACAAAGAAGAUUGUUUAAAAGCUUUAAUAUAUUCGGCACUUGCAAGCUUGAUUGAGGUAUGAAUUUUGUUUGUUUUUUUGAUAAUUUUUACGUUUUUGAGAUCGUUGCUUUGAAUACUUCAAAAUCCAUGUCUUAAUUUUGUGAAUUGUUGAUGAUUUUGAAAUGUGUCAUUGAUGAAUGUUUAAGUUUCAUGAUGUUAGUUGAUGAAAUAUGAAAUAUAAUUGUUAGAUUAACAUGUUUUGUCUUUGAAUUUUUGGUGAAUUUGAGUAACUAGGGCUAAAUUGAGAAAAUAAAUUUUUGAAGGACUAUAAUGUGAAAUAAAUAAAAUGCAUGAGCUUGUAUAGACACUAGGAAUAUUCGGCCCUUAAGCAGUGUAGUCAAAAUUUGUGUAUUUUGUGUUUUGAGCAAAAAGGAUUAAAUUGUAAAAAGUGUGAAAUUUUAGGGGCAAAAUUGUAAUUUUCCCAUUCAUGUGUUUUUAGGGUAAGUUGAACAGAAUGGUGUUUAAAUAAGCUUAAUUUGAAUAUUUUUAGAUCAAGAAUUAAAGAAAUCGAUUUUGGAUCGGGGAAAGACAAAAGUGGUCGAGUAGCCGAUUUAGCAAUCGACGACAUCCGAGGUAAGUCGAUAAGCAUUUAAAUGUUGUUAAAUUCAAGAAUAUAUAAAUGAUAAGUGAUAAAUUAAAUUAUUUAUUUGUUAUAUGUUUUGGCCGAAAAUGAUUAUUAAGAUAGGAAUUUUCUUUCGAGUUCGAUUCGAUCGAUAAUCAACGCCUAAAAGCCCCGUACGAACCCUAGGAAUAGAUAGGAUACUUAUGUCUAGGACUCCGAUAUGUGUUUUCGUGUAAGACCACGUCUGGGAUGUCGGCAUCGACUUGUGUUUUCGUGUAAGACCCUAUCUGGGACAGUGGCAUUGGUAUGUGAUUACAUGUAAGAGCACGUCUGGGACGUUGGCAUUGUACUAGCUUUUUAAUUAUCCAUGUAUCCUUUUUAAUUCCGAAUGGUUCAACGGGCAAUGUUAAGUGAAGACCAAAUGUGAAAUUGAAACAAUAAUAGUGUUCAGGUAUGUAUUUAUAUCAUGCUAUGAAAUUAAGGUAAGUUGUAUAUUGAAUUGAUGAUACAAAGUUAUUUGAUAUAUGAACAAUAUGUGAGCAUGUUUGUGCUUAUAAGUGAUUUGUAGUUUGGCUUAUUAUUGUAGUUUUUAAAUUAUAUUUUGAUAAGUAUACAAUAAUUGGAGUAUUUGUACAUUAAGCUAUUAAAGUUAAAUGUUUAUUUAUAUUUGAUUUGGUUGGUUUAAUAUUAAUGUUAAAAUGAAUAAUGUUUGCUUAUGACUUACUAAGCUUAAAUAGCUUACUGUGUGUAUGUUGUUCUUCGUUUUAUAGAUUUUGGAAGUUGGUUACGAGCUCGGGGAUCGUCAGAGAACAUUAUCACACUAUCGACUCCUCUCGGUAUUUUGUAAAUUUUGAAUUCGAUCUUAUGGCAUGUAUAGCGUAGCUGAAAUGCUUGAAUUUAGAUUAUGUAAUAUUAAGCCAUGCGAAAAUGGUUUAAUUUUCUUGUUUGUGUUCGGUUUUGGGCUGAAUUAUGGUUUAAGCAUACUUUAAUCAUGGAUUAGUAUUUUAUGGUUAGUAUUUAUAUGGUAAUGUAUAUAUAUAUGUGUGCAUGGUGAUUUCAUUCAAGUGUUUCGGUAAUUAUGUGGUAGAAGUAAUUAAGUUGUUAUAUUCAUUAAGAUAAGUAAUGUUAAGUUAAGUGUCUAGGUUAUGUAUUAUAUAUGAUUUGGUUGGAUUUAGUAGUUAAGUGAAUAUAGGGGAUGAUUUAUAAAUUGAAGUAUGCUUGUAAAUGUUGGUGAUUAAUUACGUUUGGCUUAUUGAUAGAGUAAAUGAUUGUAUAUGCUGUCAAAUUUUGAUGUACAAAUGCAGUCCAAUUAUAUAUGUAUAUGCUGUCAAAUUUUGAUGUAUAAAUGUAGUCCAAUUAUAUAUGUAUAUGCUGUCAAAUUUUGAUGUACAAAUGCAGUCCAAUUAUAUAUGUAUAUGCUGUCAAAUUUUGGUGUGAAAAAUGCUAUCUAGUUUGGUAUAUAAAUGCUGUUCAAAUUGAUGUAUAAUAAUUGUCCAAAUAGGGUAGACCACCUAUGUUGUAAUAUGUAGUAUAGUUAGUAACUUGAAAUGAAAUAUGUGUACAAAUAAAUGUUUGGAUAUAUGCUUGAAUUUUGAUAUAUAAUCAUAUAUGUUUGGAAAUGUUUUAAGAAUUUGAAUGAUAAUAAAUUUUGAUUAGGUAAAUGAUAAUGAUAUGGUUGAAAUUUUGAGACAUGGUUAGUAUAUGUAAUUUGAUUUAUGAUGCAUGUUUGAUUUUAAUUGGUUAUGUAUUUAUAUAUAUGUAUAUAUAUAUGGAAUGAAAUUUCGUGGUUGAGUUAGUAUAAUUUAUAAUAAAAAAAAUUUGAGUUGGGUUUUGAUCUGUAAAGCCUUGUAACUCUAAUUCGGCGACGGACUCGAGUUGGGGGUGUUACAAUCAAUCUGUAUAUUGUUGUUGAAUUAUGAUUAUGGUAAAAAUGAGAUUAAAAUGAGAUUGUUAGUUCAAAUUAAAGGAUAUGUAGGAUUGAGUACAUACGUUCGAAAACCAGUGAUGAAUUGACGAAGAAGUCCAUGGUGGAUCCAUGGCAAAGUGUGAAACGUAGGUAUGGUAUUCCAGUGAAGAAAACCAUACUGAGCUGUGAAAAGUAGGUAUGGUAUUUCGGUAAAGAAAACCAUAUUGAGUUGUGAAAAGUAGGUAUGGUAUUUCCGUGAAGAAAACCAUACUGAGUUAUAGCCUUGUGAAAUAUUCAAGCAAAUUGUGGCACCGGGCAAACGAUGUACUCAAUUCCGUAAGACGAUCCUUAAUUUGACAGGUAUUUGUAAGUGCAAUUGAAGCUAAAUGUCGAAAUAGAAGUUGACAUCUAAUAUUGAGUUCGACUGGAUAGAUUCAUUGUUUGAGAUUGUGGUUGGCAAGAAAUGUUGAAUUUUUAUUUGUUUAUUAAUGUUGUUAGUGAAAUUUUGGCAAGAUUUUAUUAUGAGCCUAUGAACUUACUAAGCUUUCUGUAAGCUUACUUAUACGUGUUUAUUAUUUCUUGUAGAUUGACGUAUAUAUAUAUCUUCGGAGGAUCGGAUCUACAUCAACGAUCACACUAUCCAGAUUUACUCCGGUAGAUUUUGUUAAACAACUUUUUGAUUUAUAUGGCAUGUAUAGGGAGUUGGUCAGUUUGUGUGUAUUCUUAUGAUAUGGCUAAGAAGUAACAAGUAAAUAUUUGAUAAUGAUUAACUAUUGAAUUGACUAUAUAAGAAUGUGUUUUGGUAUUGUGUAUGCUUAAAUGAUAGUUAAUGCAAAAAAAUUAUAAAAGCGUAAAAAUUUGCAAUGGAACAGUUUUUGGAUAGCAGCAUUGAUGUGAUUUUGAAAAAUCACUAAAAAUGGUGGAAAUUGAAUUAGAAGUUUAGUGAGAUAUAAAAGUAAAGAUGAAUGAGUUUAUUUUCACAUGAAAGAUAUAGAGUAAGCAAAAGAGUAUAUUUUUAGAUAUUUUAAUUUUAGUGAGAUAAGGUCAAAAUAGUUUUUAAAAUCCCCUGUUCUGACUUUAGAAAAUAAUUAAAAAUUGUACAGAAAGAAUUGGGAGUUAUAAUUUAUAUGACUAGAUUCCUUAGUGAGUCUAUUUUCAAUAGAAAUAAACGAGAAUGUUAUCCGAAUUUUGUACAAUGAGAUAAUUAUUUUUUAGUGAAGAGGGGUUAGAGCUGUCGAAUAGUGAAACAGGAGAGACUUUAAAGAAUAAACUGUACUAAUUGGCUAAACCAAAAAUUUUGAAAAUUUUAUUGUAAGGAGAUAUAUGAGUCUAGUUUCAGGGAAAAUUUACGGAUCUAAAUUUUGAGUUUUGUAACUUGAGUUAUAAUUAAAUUAGUGACUAUUGUGCAGGUGGACAGUUUUAUUGUGAAUAAUGAAAUGAAUUGUUUUAAUUUGUUUUAGUAUUUGAAAAAUUAUUAAUGUUCCCGGUUUGGACUUGAACUGUUUUUAUUGCAUGAUUUAGGGUCUCGAGAUUCCUUUUUAGGGACAUAUUGAAUGAACGUGAGUGAAUUAAUUUUUAAAAGCAAAUUUUUUAUGUUCCGAACUAGUAAGUUAGGUUAGGUAAUGCUUCGUACUCACUCCGAUAAUGGUCUCGGGUAAGGGGUAUUACAUAUGGGCUCUUUAAAAAUCAAUUGCGUGAUUUUCCAAUUAGGAGAAAAUUAAAGUUUAAAUAUAAAAAGAGUGAUAAUUCAAGAAUAAAAAGUAUAUGUAGUAUCAAGGGAUACAAUUAUAGGGAGAGUAAUUAUUAGAGGCUACAAUAAAUGGAAUAGAACAGUUUUAACAUUUGUGGUUAGGCUUUAUUAUUUUAAUGAGUUUAUAAAACAUAAAAGAUUAAUUAUUACAAUUGCUUCAAUGGAUGUUUUGUAAAAAGAAAGGCUUAUAAUAAAUUUGACAAUUAAUAUUUAUAUGUUUUGUCAAAAUAAUCUUAAUUAUAUUUUUGAGUUUUUUUAUCAUUAAUUUUUGUUCAUUUUUUUCAAAUUAAUUUUUUUAACAGAUUUGAUGAAAAUACCCUUAAAAAAGUUAACGGGAUAAUGUGAAAUUUGAUAUGAAGAAUAUUUUUAAUGAGAUAUAAUUUAUUACUUAGAUAACUUAAAAAAAUAAUUACAUGUAUAAAAUAAUAAAAUAAAUAAAUAAUUCAUGAAAUUUAAAAAAUAAAUUUUAAUUAAAAGAAAAUAAAUGUAAUUAUCUAAAAAAAUUUCAAAAUGAAGCACAGAUUCAAUAUUUUUUGGUUUGAUUUACUAAUUAUCUUUUUGAAAUCUCUUAGUAAACAAACGUAUGCAUUCAUUUUCAAACCUUUUUUAGAUAAUUAUAUUUAUUUCCUUUAAUUUAAGAGUUAUUUUUUUAUUACAUGUAUGAUUUUUAUUAUGUAAUUAUUUUUUGGGUUGCCUAAAUAAUAAAUUACAUCUCAUUAAAAAUAUUUCAUAUAAUUUCUGUUAAUUUUUUAAACAGUACUUUCAUAAAAUCCGUUAGAAAAAACAGUUUGAAAAAGAAAACAAAGUUUGAUGGUAAAAAAAAACUAAAAAAAUAUAAUUAGGACCAUUUUGACAAAAUAUAUAAACUCUAGUGACCAAACUUGUGAUUAAGAAAAAAAGAGAGGAAAAGUUGAAAGGACAUUAAAGGCAGCCGACAAUUGCAGUCAGAAAUUCAAUCAAAGCAGUGCAUCGCCAAUCAAUGCGAAUAGCUCAAAAUUCAUUAAUUUUCUUUUUCGACAUUUUUUCUUGGAUCACAAAAUCCCCCAAAAAGGUAGCAAUAGCUGUAAGUUACCUGCAAUGAAGACUAAAGGUGGGUUUAGCAUUGAUGUUUGAAAUAAUGUUAACCUUAAAAAAGUUAUUAUAUAAAAAAUUGAAAAUUUUAAUUUUAUUCAGUUGUUCAACUAUAAAUUUAUCCCUUAUUUUUAUAAACAGUAAACUAUAAAUAUGAUUUAUAUAUUCAAAAUAAAUUUUGUAAAUAAAUUAUAUUAAUUACUUAAAGUAUUUAAAUCUAAAUUUUAUAUAUCAUAAUAUUAAUAAUGAAUUCUCAAAAAUUAUUUUACUAUAUUUGUAUUAUAAUUUAAGUUAAAUACUUAUUAAUUCCUAUCAAGCCGAGCAGAUUAUUCGGCCCUUAAACAGGUCUAAUGAUGAUGAUGAUAAUAGUAAUGGCAGCAAUAUGUUAGCUCAAUGACAAAAAUAUUAUGUUGUGGGUAUAAAAACUUGACUUUAAUCCCAAGCAGUUGAAAAAUAAAAAUUAAUUUGCACUAGAUUCAGAUUCAGUUAUUCUAUAACUUAUAAAAAAAUUAUUAAUUUAUUAAAGUUGUUAUAUGUGAUUUUAAUAGUUAAACAUAUAAUUUAUAUGCUUAAAUUAUAUUUUACAAAUAUUUAGAAUUAAAGUUUGAUAUAUCAUAGUAUUAAUUAAUUUAAAUAUAAAAUUUGAAUUUUGAGGGGAUAUGGUAUAAAUUUAUUCACUUAAUUUGAAUAGUAGUGAUGAAAGCUCAACUGUAAUGGACCAAAAAAUAAUUGUAACUGUAUUUUGGUGUGUUUUAUUUUAUUUUUCAUUAUUCAAUUUAUGAAUUAUUGAAAACAUAUAUAGUUUUAUUAAUUGUACUUGUCUCAUUUAAAAGUUGUCAUUGGGAGGAAGGUCGAAGAAAUAAAUACCAACAAAGAUGCUUGUAGUCUUCAUUUACAAGUUCAAAAGCAGGGAUUAAGGGGUACUAAUUAUACCCUAAUAGCCAGAUUAUAUAAGGGCUAAGAAGGGGCUUUUAAUAUAUAUGUACAUGCGGUAGUUGGCCUAGCCAGUUUAAAUCAAUAAGCUAGAAUCUUUUUAGAAUCAAUCCGGGCCUGGAAAGAUGAUCUGGAGGCAGCAUAUAGAUUUUUAUAUGCGCCACCUGGGAUUCCAUUUUAUUUGCUACUGAAUUUAGGGUAAGACAUGAUCAAUCACUUAUAACUAAACAGGUCUAUUUUGAUAGCUAGUUGUCAAUGGGACCAAACUUGGAUUGCAAUUUAUAUCAUAUAUAUUAAUUUGAUGCAUUUUUCAAUAAUCGUUGACAUAUAUAUAUAUUUAUGUCAACCACUAGAUACCAUACAUUUCAAUGAUUUCCCUUUUUUUCGGUGGAUAGUCGUGAAAGUUAAAAUAAUUUAUUGGAAGGGUCCACUUUGAUUAUUUGCCCUAACCCUACAUAAACACUGCAUAUAAUUUAUUUACACAUUAAUGGUGCACACAAUAAUUUUACAUGGUGAUUGGUUGUCUAAUUUGGUGGAAUUUUGCAUAGGGAAUCGGGGAUUCGUUGAUUUUCUUUUAAAUUUUAUUAUUAUAAAUAUUAUACAUACAUAAUUAUAAAUAUAAAGUCAAAACAGUUCAAAAUGAUGUAGAAAAAUUAAAAAGAAGUAAGACAAAAUUUAUACAUAAAAUUCAAGCCUAAAUACUCUUUAAGAUUUAGAAACUCCACCUUAACCAAUAAACUAAAUCCCCAGCCAGAAUCUGAGAACCUGCCUAUCAAAUAGUAUUAAUUACUCACGAAAUCUUGUCAACCAUUUUUAUUUUUACUUGUAUACAGUACAAUAGCCAUAGGUUUAAAAAAUAAAAAUAAAAAGUUUAAGUUUUAAGGAAAUUUAAAAAGUUUUAAGAUGUAACCCUAUAUUAUUUGGAUCCAAUUUAUUAUUCAAUUAAACUUGUUGAGUGUUUUGUUAUAUGUUCUCUCGGGUGAGAGGAAUCGGGUAUUUAUAAGAUACAAUUACUGAUCAUCGAAAUGAUAUCUUAAAUAGGUUCCAUGCAUACAAACACGUAUAUUGUUCUAGACUUAACACGUGUUCAUCGAACUACCCAUUUGACUUCACACCCUCUGUCUACGAACACCCAAGAACAUGCGAGUCUGACUUGAGAGCUCAUCACGUGAGCUCUCCCGGUGAGCCGGUGAUGUCUUUAUCUUGUGGGGCCCAGAUUCCUCUGUAUCUACUCAGGUUAUGGGUUGAUAGUUUGAAGUUUUAUUCGAGUUUCAAAUUAAUUGCAUAGUUCACCACUCUAUUUGAAUAUCAUAAUUUUUUAUUAUUGAAAUAUUGAAUUUUUAUUGAAAAAUAUCAAUUCAAAUUCAAAGAAUUCAAACUUGAAUUUAAGCAUAAAUAUCUACCUACUCAUUGACUGCAACGUGUUAUCCAUGGAGUGGAAACUUGAAGAUUUGGUUAAUAGGUUAUCCAUGAUCAACUUAACAAGUCCUAAACUUUUACGACUGUAACUGUUCAAACUCCAUAUUUAAUGCAAUUAGUUUGCAUUUCUCCAUAACUUGGCAGACGCUGUUAAAUGUUUCAACCAACACAAACCAGCCCGUCUGAGGCCUAUUUAAGAUUUGAAGUACGGCCAUGGAAGAGUAACAUCCAUUCCGGAGUAUAGUAUUUCUAAUAAAUUAAGGACCGGAUUCCCUUUCCAAGCUUCAGCAAGCCAGAUAUGGCUCAAAAUAUGACCAGGAGAAGGGUUGUUUUGGUGCAGAUUUUGGCACUAGCCUUGGCCGCUGUUAUGCCAUUGCUCUCAGGAGGUGUGGAUAUUCAACAAGUUAGGGUGCUGGCUGUUAGUACAAAACUCCGGUAAGGAAAAAAACUCGAACACACGAUCGGAACUCGAAAAGAAAAAGAAGAAAUAGGACAGGCUCCAAGGCGUGUAUCAAGCCACUAUCUUUAAGGUUAUAUUCGCCCCCACUUAUCUUCAGUGUGCAAACGAGUUCCAAGCAAAUUAACCUCGAGGAUACAAUGAAGCCAAUGACUAUUUGCGUUUUGCACUGACGAGAAUAGUCCACUAUGCACUGAGUAAUGUAUAACAAAAACUCAAUUUCUACAAAGGAUUUCUGCAGCAAUACUUUAUAGAAUAAUCUAAUAAUAUUAGAAAAUGAAGGAAGAGAAGAAAUAAUAUUAGAAUUUGAUGAUAUGAUUUCCAAAUGAAAUCCCAUUCCUAUUUAUAGGAAUUUUCAUGUCUCUUCAUAGAGACAUCUUUCAAUAGGUGUCUUUAUGAAUAAAUAAAUAAUAAUAAUUAUUCAUUUAAUUUUGUAACUAUUCAAAUAAUAUUUUUUGAAUAGUUAUAAUUCUUUUUUAAAAAAUCAAAUGAUAUAACUUUUGACCAAUGACCAAAAGUUUUAUCUUUUGAUUAAUUACACCCAUUCAUUUAUAGUUAUUGGGAUACUAUAAAUAUUUGAAAAUAUUCCAACAAUCUCCCCCCAUUUUCAAAAUAUUUAGAUUUUGAUAUUCUUAGAAAUCAAUUUGCAUAAAUAAAGGUGUCUUACGAUUGAACCUUCACUUAGUGAAAACAUGUUAAAGUUAAUCGAAAUUGUAUGGUAGACUAAGCUUUGAACCAACUAUUCCAUUUGAUUAACUGAACACAUCUCACACAAUGAUUUCAACAUCAGUCAAUGCAUAGUAUCUAGGGACACUAUUAUAGCCAUGUGUCUAUGUCCUCUUUUCAUGAGUGCUGUCAGAGCCAAGCCCUUAAGCUCCUAGAAGCGGCCACACUUCCACUCACAUAGGUAGAUCCCAUCAAAAGUGUUCCCGUAAUUAUAACACUCUAACAUAUUUAUGUUAUGGGUCCAUUAAGAGUACAUUACUCAUCCUUCCCUUAUCAUUACGGGUACCUAGCACUUUAAUCUUAGGAUGGAUUUAUUUAUAGUGCUAACAGUCACAUACUAAUGAUGUACUUUGUCUCAUUGAACUCAAGACUUGACGUUAUACCAAGCGUUGAGUCGAGUUUCCAUCAUGGGUGACUCUAAUUAAUAGGCUUGAGUCCCAUCCCUUUUGAGGUCCUUUUUACUGCAUCUCUAGCAAGACUUUUUGUCAAAGGAUCUGCCAAAUUUUCACUUGACCUCACAUAAUUAAUAGUGAUCACUCCAUUAGAGAUUAAUUGUCGGACAUAACUAUGUCUUAAUCCAAUGUGUCUAGACUUUCCAUUAUAUACUUGGCUAUAUGCCUUUGCUAGAGUAGCCUCACUAUCACAACGGAUAGAAAUAGGUGAAAUUGGCUUAAGCCAUAAAGGUACAUCAUAAAGCAAAUUUCUUAACCAUUCUGCUUCUUUAGAUGCAGCGGCUAAUGCAAUAAAUUUUGCUGCCAUGGUGGAAUCAGUAAUACAUGUUUGUUUCUUGGAACCCCAAGAAAUGACUCCUCCACCAAGAAUGAAGAUCCACCCACUAGUAGAUGCAUGAUCUUCCAAACUUGUAAUCCAACUAGCAUCUGAAUACCCUUCUAAAACUGGAGGAUAUCCAUUAUAACACAAUCCAUAGUUAAUAGUUUUCUUUAAGUACCUAAGUACUCUAUUUAAAGCUUACCAAUGCAAACUACUUGGAUUACUUGUGUAUCUACUCAAUUUUCCAAUAGCAUAUGCAAUAUCUGGUCUUGUACAAGUCAUUAUGUACAUAAGACAACCAAUUAGACUUGCAUAUUUCAAUUGAUCAAUUUUCCUACCAGCAUUAGAUACUAAUUUUAAUUGAGGAUCCAUGGGUGUAGAUGCUGGUAUACAGUUGAAAAGAUCAAACUUUUUAAGCACAUUUUCAAUGUAAUGUGAUUGUGAUAAAGCUAUAGUGCUUUCAUCUCGGGUUAUUUUAAUCCCAAGAAUAACAUCUGCUACACCCAUAUCCUUCAUAGCAAAGUUGUUUGACAAGAUUUUCUUUGUGUUUUCUAUUUGUUCCAAAUACGUGCCAAAAAUGAGCAUGUCAUCUACAUAUAAGCAAAUUAUAACACCCUUUCCAUUAUCAAAUUUACUAUAUAUGCACUUAUCGGAUUCAUUUAUUUUAUAGCCAUUAGCUAAAACAACCUUGUCAAACUUUUGGUGCCAUUGUUUUGGUGCUUGUUUAAGCCCAUAUAAAGAUUUAACAAGCUUACAUACCUUAUGCUCUUGUCCUGGAACAACAAAUCUUUCCGGUUGCUCCAUGUACACUUCCUCUUCCAAUUCACCAUUUAAAAAUGCAGUUUUAACAUCCAUUUGGUGAACAACCAAAUUAUAUAUAGAGGUAAGUGAUAUUAAUAGUCUAAUUGUAGCAAUUCUUGCUACUGGAGCAUAGGUAUCAAAGUAAUCAAUACCUUGUCUUUGUGUAAAACCUUUUGCUACCAACCUUGCUUUAAAUUUAUCAAUGGUUCCAUCGACCUUCAUUUUCUUUUUGAAGAUCCAUUUACAACCUAUUGGUUUGGAACCUGGUGGAAGAUCAACUAAGAUCCAAGUUUGAUUUCCCAUUAUUGAAUCUAUUUCAUCAUUUAUUGCUUCUUUCCAAAAAGCAGAGUCUUGAGAUUUCACUGCUUCUUCAAAUGUAAUAGGAUCAGAUUCGGUAUUAUAACAAUAAGGUAUCUUAUUGCAUAUACUUUCACCUUUUCCUUCUACAAGAAACAUAAUGAAAUCUGGUCCAAAAUCUUUGACCUUUUUAAUCCUCUUACUUCUUCUUAAUUCUUGACAAGAUUCAUCAUUAUUAUCAAUUUGUUUCAAUGGAAUCUCAUUCUCAUUUGAAGAAUGAAUCAAUUGUUGUGGUUGUAAUUGUCUUGAUAUAGAAUUAAAUCUAUUUUCAUCAAAAAUAGCAUCUCUUGAUUCAAUAACCGUAUUAAUUGAAAUUGAAUCAUUUGGUUCAAUUACUAUGAACCUAUAUGCCUUGCUAUUAUGUGCAUAACCUAUAAAUAUGCAUUCAAUUCCUUUUUCACCUAACUUUUUACGUUUAGGUGUUGGAACUUUUACAAUAGCUCUACAACCCCAAACCUUUAAAUAAUUAAGGUUUGGUUUCCUUUUAUUCCAUUGUUCAUAGGGGGUUAUUUUAGUUUCCUUAUUAGGAACUCUAUUCAAUAUAUGACAAGCUGUUAGAACAGCUUCUCCCCAAAAACCCUGUCCAAGACCUGAAUAUGAUAAUAUUGAAUUUACCAUUUCAAUCAAGACUCUAUUUUUCCUUUCAGCUACACCAUUUUGUUGUGGUGUGUAAAGGGCUGAAACUUGAUGGAUAAUUCCAGUGAGUUCAAAAUAACUUGGAUUAUAGUAUUCUCCACCUCUAUCCGAUCUUAAGCACUUGAUAAAUGAUUCACACUGAAGUUCAACUUCAGAUUUAUAAACUUUAAAUUUAUCAAGCGCUUCAUCUUUUGAAUGCAAUAAAUAUACAUAACAAUAUCUAGAACAAUCAUCAAUAAAAGUAACAAAAUAUUUCUUUCCACCUAAUGUAGGAGUAUUAUGCAAGUCACAUAAAUCACUAUGUAUCAAAUCAAGCAAUUUUGUUUUCCUUUUAACCUUAGGGAAAGGAUUUCUUGUAAUUUUAGUCAACAUACAGGUAUUGCAUUUUUCAAUAUUAUUAUUAAAAACAGGAAUUAAAUCUAAUUUAUACAUGUCAUUCAAUUUUCUAUAAUUCAAAUGACCUAAUCUAUAAUGCCACAAACAAAAUGAUUCAACCAUAUAAGCAGAAAUAGUAUUUUUAUUCUUAUUAAUAAUAUUAAGUUUGAACAUGCUUUCAUACAUAUACCCUUUUCCCACAAAAAUUCCUCCCUUAGACAAAAUAAACUUAUCUGCCUCAAAAACAAGUUUGAAACCAAACUUAUUCAACAGACUUCCAGACACUAAAUUUUCCCUAACUUCUGGUACAUAAUAUACAUCAUUUAAGGUUAAAACCUUUCCAGAAGUGAAUUGUAGUUCAACAGACCCUUUGCCUUUAAUUGUUGCGGUGGAAGAAUUUCCUAUGUACAAGACAUUGUCAUUUUCACAUUGUGUGAACUUUGUGAACAUACUUUUGUCUUUGCACACAUGUUUGGUUGCUCCGGUAUCAAUCCACCAUGUAUUAUCAUCUUGUGCCAUAUUAAUUUCAGAUAUCAUUGCAACGAACUUUUCGUUAUUAUCAGCCUUAGAAGAUGAUUUCUUCUUUAAAAAUUGACAUUCAUUCUUGAAAUGUCCCGGCUUUCCACAAUGAAGCAUGAGCCCUUUUGUUUCUUUUUGAACUUAGGUGCUCUAUCAGUCUGAUUGAACUUUCUCUUGAAUGGUUUAGUAGUCUGUACUUCCUCCGUAACAUGUACUUUGGCAUUUUCAGAAUUUAGGUUCUGAUCUUGUUUUCGAUACUCUUCUUCAAUACGAAGAUGAUUUGCCAAAGCCUCAAGAGAUAUUUCCUCUUUCUUAUGUUUUAGACUUCUUUUAAAGUCUUUCCAAGAUGGAGGAAGUUUGUCUAUUAUGGAGGAUACCACAAUCAUUUCAUCCAUUUUCAUAUCAUAUUGCUUAAAUUGAUUCAGCAUCUUUUCAAUAUCACGAAAUUGUUCCAUAACAGAACGACCAUCAACCAUUUGAUAAUUAUUGAAACGACUGACAAGAAAUUUCUUACUUGUAACAUCUUCGGUCAUGUAUCUUGCCUCCAAUUUGUCCCAUAAUUCUUUAGCGGUGACGUCGUUUUGGUAGGUGUCGAACAAACCAUCAGAUAAACCAUUCAAUAUGUGGCCCAUGCACAUGUAAUCAGCAUUAUCCCAUUUUUGUCUUUCUCGGGUUGCAGCAACAGAUUCAUUUUCAUUCUCUUCAGGUCUUGGAGUAUCCAAAACAUAAGCAAUCUUCAAAGUUGAUAACAAAAAGUGCAUCUUUUUCUGCCAUCGUCGAAAAUUGCCACCAUCAAAACGAUCAAGUUUAACAAAGUUGGAAGCCAACUCCCUUAGUGUUCCACUUUCAUGUGUUGUGUUAGUCAUCAUGAAAUAUAACCUUAAAAUUGUUAGUACAAAACUCCGGUAAGGAAAAAAACUCGAACACACGAUCGGAACUCGAAAAGAAAAAGAAGAAAUAGGACAGGCUCCAAUGCGUGUAUCAAGCCACUAUCUUUAAGGUUAUAUUCGCCCCCACUUAUCUUCAGUGUGCAAACGAGUUCCAAGCAAAUUAACCUCGAGGAUACAAUGAAGCCAAUGACUAUUUGCGUUUUGCACUGACGAGAAUAGUCCACUAUGCACUGAGUAAUGUAUAACAAAAACUCAAUUUCUACAAAGGAUUUCUGCAGCAAUACUUUAUAGAAUAAUCUAAUAAUAUUAGAAAAUGAAGGAAGAGAAGAAAUAAUAUUAGAAUUUGUUGAUAUGAUUUCCAAAUGAAAUCCCAUUCCUAUUUAUAGGAAUUUUCAUGUCUCUUCAUAGAGACAUCUUUCAAUAAGUGUCUUUAUGAAUAAAUAAAUAAUAAUAAUUAUUCAUUUAAUUUUGUAACUAUUCAAAUAAUAUUUUUUGAAUAGUUAUAAUUCUUUUUUAAAAAAUCAAAUGAUAUAACUUUUGACCAAUGACCAAAAGUUUUAUCUUUUGAUUAAUUACACCCAUUCUUUUAUAGUUAUUGGGAUACUAUAAAUAUUUGAAAAUAUUCCAACACUGACAGCUAAAUUCAACGUGACUUGCGUAGUGGUAUUCGGAGACUCCAGCGUGGAUCCAGGGAAUAACAACUAUAUUGCUACGCCCUUUAAGGGUAAUUUCCUACCUUAUGGGAAAGACUUCUUCAGAGGCCACCCGACUGGACGGUUCAGCAAUGGAAGGCUAGCCACUGAUUUUAUUGGUAAUUUACUGCCUUGUCUCUCAGACCUUGAUAUGUCAACUAGUUUCAUACUGUAAAUAUAAUUUUUACGCUUUCGAGUUUCCAAACGCCCUGCAUCAUCUUAUCAUUGGCAUCAACUGCAGUUAAAAAAUUGUUAGCAAUAAAAUAAGAUUCAAAUUUUAAUGGAGCCUUCAAAUUGUAUUGGAAUUGUCGAAUUUGACUAAAAUAAUCGGUCGAGUAUGGUACAAAAGUAGGUGGCUUAUAGAAAUGUCAAUGGUGGACGAAAUUAUGGUAGUGCAAAUUUCAUUAAUUUUAAAGCACUGGUAAUUGAUAAACCUCUAAUUAUGAAUCUUUUUUUUUUUCUUUUUGAGAAAUUUUCAGUCACAUGUAAGCCUAAAUGGUAUCUGUUGCAUUAAAUUUACAUGUCACCGAGCAUUCAAUGUACUAAACCACCCACACAUGCAAAAAAUAUAUAUUAUUUGUAAAGUAAUAUUAGCUUUAAUUAUAUAUAUAUCUAUAUAUUUAUACAUCACUCCACCAGUCGAAUAUCAAUCCUGGAUCAAUGAAUCGAUGACAGGACGACUAGCCAUAAACAAGUUGAUGUAUGUCUUUUCAGUUGGGUGAAUUGAGUCAAAAAAUACAUAUUUAGAUGCGUCGUUGCACACAAAUGAUCCUGGAUUACACAAAAAUCCUGCUUCUAAAUAACCACUCCCACAGCAGCCAUGGCUAACCUCAUCGAAAUCUGCAGAGAAAUAAUGGGAAAAAUAAAUAUAUAGCAGAUGAAAAACGAAAUCUGGGUUACUGAUAUAAUUACAACGUAGAAAUUAACCACACAUUAUAUUUUAAUUAGAAGAUCAUGCUUACCAUGUUUUCCGAGCCCUUGAAUAAUAUCAACCAAUGGUGUGAAAAUAUCGACGUAAGUGAUUUUUGAAUCCAGAUGAGCUAAUCUACCCUGCAUGGAAUUCAGUUCAUUUUGGAGCAUUUGGUUAUAUUCCAUUCCUACUUGAGAUAACUUUUCUAUGCAACCACGUUCGAGGAUGGCGUUUUCAGAAUAGAGAGUGAUCACAGCCGGCAGACAACCCAUGGGAGGCAGCCCAGUAACUGCGAUUCUCCGAGCUCCUUCAUCCCAUAAAUCCUGCGGUAAACAUAUAUAUACACACUAAUUAAUUAAUCAACGCCUUCCAAGUUGUAGGGCUUGAAGACUGCCCUAGGGCCUAGGCUGUUCUAUUAUUCUUAAACACUGCCCUCCAAUACCUAUCCAGCAAGUUGAUUGCAGUAAGUCAACCAAUGGAAGAAUUGGAAGGUGGUGGUAUUUACCAUGUAGUUAAUGCUAGGACUCCAUACAUUCCUUACAGUCCUUUCUACGUGCAUUACAAAUUUGUUCAGAUUACUUAAAUUCGGCAGUAACUUUAAAUAUUUUAUUUAUCUGUACUGUUAAAAAUUUGUGUGGCUGAAGAAAUAAUCAUAUAAUAACACAUGGCAUGUUAUGCGUGCCUCGUACUGAUGUACAAUAAUAAAAUUUUAACAGUAGAAAUAGUUUAUAUUUUUAAUAGAAGAACUGGUUUAUUUUUUGAUCUAAUAUAUAUGAACCAAUAUAUUUAUUUUUUGAGUAAAAAGAGCAAAGCAAAAUACACCCAACCAUGCAACCUUUUAUGUUAUCCAACAAAUAUAUGAAUGGAGGAGGUAACUAUUUGUAACUCACAUUUGAAUAGUCAAAUUUUGACUCAAGCCCCAUAUCCCUACAACCUUGAUUAGCUAGCGUUUUUCUUAUCCAGAAAAUAUAUGGAAUGUUGUAGCCACUUGUAACUCACAGUCGAAAAGUAAAAUUUUGGACGGCUCAAGCAACCCCUUCCUCUUCAUCAAAAGGUAGAUGAAUAAGUUAUAUACCAUGAAACAUAUAUGGUAAACUAGUAGCAUUUGUAGGUUAUCCCUAGUUAUUAACAAUCUACUCCUCCGUAUCGUUAAAAAUAGGAAAUUAAUUUUGGAUUUGUUAAAUAUAUUAUUAUGAUCUCUUUGGAUAAUUGUAGUAGUUCUAAUUAAGCCAAACCUGUAGGACUUGCUUAAAACUUUGCAAGACGAACUGUUGAUAAGCUGAGACGGUAUAGCUCUUUCGUCGAAUUGGUAAGGUGAAAUAGUUGACUACAAAGUCAUUAGUACCACAACUGAUGAGAAACACAGCUUCUUUGAUAAUAGCUUCCGUUCUUCUAUUUCCAAUGGCAGAUUGCAGUCGGUUUUUAUACUCUUUAAAAUACUCCAGCUGCUUGGAUAAUGAAAUCACGCUCUGCAUUUCAACACAUUAACAUUUAAACUUAGUUAGCUUUUCACACUCUACAUUAUAACGUAUACAUCAAAGAGAAAAAAAAGGGAAAAGGGAGAUCAGAUGCGGACAGAUAUCUGUGGUGUAAGUGGAUCAAAUCCAGAGCCGGCGGAGGCGAAGCUAACUCCUGUCAUCAGCUCCUCAAUGCUAAGGUUGGGAUCCAAAUAUGGUGGCAAAUAUUCUUUUAUGCCUACAUAAGAAACUGCCCAAACGUACCAAAUGAAAGCAGCUCAAGUUUACUUGCACCACAAAGGAUAAUGUACCAAAUAUCAUGUUUCAUUUGAAUGGAUAAUCAACCUACCAAUGAGAUCGGUGGAAAGCUUCCCGUUAGUAAACCUUCCGGUCGGCACGUGGUCUCUAAAAUCCUUUCCAUAAGGAGGAAAAUUGCCCCUAAACAGGGUCUUUACGUAGUUGUUGUUCCCAGGAUCUACCGUCGAAUCUCCAAAGACAAAAGCAGCCGUAAUCUUGUUGUUGAAGGGCCUUGGCGUUAGCGAACCUUCAGCAUGAGCAACAAAAAACAUGUAGAGAGAGAGAAGAGUAAGAAGAGGAAAAGAAAAUUUGUGACAAGACUCCAUGUGAUCCUCUAGUUUGAUAGUGGGAACUGAACAAUUUUUGGACUGAUCGACUAUUAUUGAGUGUAUGGGGGAUAUGCUUAUUUAUUAUAGCCUCCCAUUAGCCAGCGUUAUUUUUUGUCUGUCACAAAGGUGAAAGUGGGACAACUUCAAGCAGCAGUUUAAGUUUCUUGACAAAAAAAAAACAACAACAACAACAACAUCACUAAUGUACAGUGUUUUAUCGCCCUUUCUAUAUUAGUUUGGUUGCUGUAGUUUGGAAGCCUAACCUUUCCUGAUUAGUCUUUAGCUUCUCAACUACCAAAUUACAGAGCAAAAUUUGCCAAAUUAAAAUUAGUCAGAGGCUUUUUACAUAUCGGGAAACAGUAUCCUUUUGACAAAAUUUUGCUUUGGUAAAUUAGCAGUUGAAAACGUUGUACUGAACAUUUUUUAUACAUAGUAGUAACUAUGUUGUGUCACUAAAACUUGUCCAAAACGACUAUUAUUGAAUUCUUGUAAAACGGGUUUUUUUCCCAUUUGAUUACCCAAAAGUGAUUGAGUGUGUUGAAACUUGAAAGUAAGAAGCUUCUGCUACAAAUUUGGUUGUUUCGUGUCCAUGACUUUGGUCGACAAUUACAUGAGACUAUGAAAUGUUAAUCUCAUAGACGUGGUAAGCUACUUAUGGGGUUUAGCAUUUUAGAUUUAAAGUUGAGAUAAACACUCUGCUCUAAUUAUUUCCCUAACAAGUUAAUGCUACUGCGUAUAUAUAUAUACACAUUAAUUAUCAGAAGAUGAGGUGGUUACUAAUUAAUGAAGGGAUGUCCCAACACGGAAUAUAUAAAAUUAUAUUUUACACCCAAUAAGAGAAAAGAUGUGGAGCCACUAUUAAGAGGAAACAGCCACAAGAUUAAAUAAAAUAAUAUAUAUAUAUAUAUAUAUAAACAGUUGAGAUAUAUAUGGUGAGGAUGAAGAUCCAUAAACGUGUUAACAUUUUGCCUUAUGCAGUGAGCUAUGGGCCUAUAUUAUAAAUAUAUAAAAUUUUCACUGUAAAUUUCAGAACUCUAUUUGCUUUUCGAUAUCAUCACACACAAAAAUGGGGGGAUGGCUGGUGCCUGGAGCAGAUUCCUGUUUAUUUUAAGUUGUUUGCAGAGCUAUUCAUCACCAGAAAAAAAGACAAAGUUAUAAACAAAUAAACAGAGAUUGAAAAGUUUUCAAGCCAAUCGAAUUGAAAAUGUGUUGCCAUAAUAGAGGUAUGGAUCAGAGUCUGGACACUCAAGUUGAGGCAGCUUCAAGUGCCCGUUACAUCGAAAGCAUAAUCUAAUGGGAGAAAUUAAUGUGGGUGUCCCAACUUUCCUUUAAAAAAUUGACAGUUUCAGAACAGAUUAGUUUAUCAUUUCCUCUCUCUCCCAGCUCCAAAAUUCUGCUGUAUGGAAAAAGUACAGUGAGAUAGCAACAGGAUGAGCGAAUAAGUUGUCGGAGAAGACACAUUAUGUUUGUGAAAGAAAAUGAUGAUGUGAAUCCACAAAAGUAGAAUUUUAUCGUUCUGGAUACCAUGUAAAUAUUUUAACUUGUAUAGGCAUUUCAUAUUCAUCGUGAACAUAUAUAUGUUAUAUAGCGUGCAGUGUAUGUUAAUUAAUCAAAAUUUGUUAGUAAUGCCAUUAUGGCACAGCUGCAAGUACUCCAAUGGUGACCCCUGGACCACUAUUUGCAACUAAACAUGGACACUUUUCUUUUGUUCUGAAUUUAGGACUCAACCACUUUUGGUUUGUUUUUUUGGACUGGUGACUCAACCACCAAUUUACUUGAAAGCUAAUGUUAUUAGCUUAUUGAGGUAAAGUAAAAUGAGUAUAAAAUUAAAGAAAUAAUCGUCAUAUAAUAAAGCUUUGAAUGGUUGAUCUUUAGUUACAUUCUCUUACAUCAAACUUUUGAAGGAUGGUGAGAUGUGAUAUUAGAAUUUGAACCCACUAUUUCUUUUAUCAUUACAAUUUGUGCUCCUUUUUUUAAAAAAAUUACGGGGUUUGCCAUCGUGGGUGCUUUUAUUUUUGGUAAAUCCUACAAUUGGACAUACAAUUUUCAUAAGUUUUUAUUUUGGAUAUUAAAAAUAAAAAAAGUUGCAAAUUGGCGCUGUCAUUAACAACUGUAUUCAUUUUAGUUGUAACAGCCCAAUUUUGGGCCUAGUCGGAACAGUGGUUUUGGGACCACAAAUCCGACGAGAAUAAAAUUUAUUUUUAUUAUAUUUUUAUGGUCUACAAUUUCACAAAAUGAUUUUACGAAAAUUUUGUUCAAAAAUUUCAACAUUUGGGCACUCAAUUUAGUCAAAAGGACUAAACUGUAAAAAAUGCUAAAGUUGAAAUCUACAUGUUAGAGGUGUCCAAUUGUUAUGAAAUUUUAAAUUGGAGGUCCUUAUAUGGUAAUUAGACCAUUGGUUAAUUUGGUGGACAGUUAGGCAUGUUUCCAAAGUUUUCAUUAAGAGUAUUUUGGUCAUUUAGUUAUUAAAAUGAAUUAAAAACAAAUUUAAAAGCCAAUUUUUGUCCGUCUUCAACCCCUAGGCCGAAAAUUGCAUGGAGAAACCAUGGCUAGGGUUUUUCAAGCAUCCAAGUUCGAUUGUAAGUCCGUUCUAGCCCUGUUUUUAAUGAUUUUUACGUUUUUGAAAUCCUCGUAACAAGAUUUACCUAUUUUUACCAUUAUUUUGAACUAGGGUUUGUGUUUAAAAAUUUACCCAUGAAUUAUAUGCAUUUAUUUUGAUGUUUUAUGGAAGAAUAUGAAUGUUUGGAGUGUGAUGAAUGUCUUUUACUAAGUGAUUUUCGUUGAAAAUGCCUAAAAGGAUUAAUUUGUAAAAGUUAUAAAAUAUGUCACAAGUGUGCGAAUAAGGGAGAAUUGUAGACUGCUAUAGUUAUGAAAAUGGUUCGGCUAGGCCUAAAAUGCAAGGAAAUUGAAUAAAAAUUAUUUUACGAGCCUAGGGGCAAAAUUGUAUUUUUGUGAAACUUUAGGGGCAAAAAUGUAAUUUUUUCAAAAGUGAUUUUUGGACUAAAUUGAAUAAUGUGAGUGUUAAGUAAGUUAAAUGUGUUAUUAUAAAUCAAGAAAGACUAGAAAUUGACUUUGAUCAGUGAAAAAGAAAAGUGAGAAAUUUCUCGGUUGAACCUCCAAAAUAGAAAAGAUACGAAUGAAGUGACAAUAAUGAUCACAUGUGUGGCACAGGCUGUGUGCAAGCCACUAUGUGAAAGAGAUAGUAAUGGUCACGUGUGUAGUACUAUGUGCAGGCUACUACGUGUACCGGGUACCAUUGAUUAUAAAGGUGGUUGCUGUGUGCUGAUUCUGUAACAGCCCGAAUUUAGGCUAGUCGGAAUAGUGGUUUCGGGACCACAAAUUCGAUGAGAAAAAAAAUAUUUUCAUUAUAUUUUUAUGGUUUACGAUUUCACAAAAUGAUUUGCGUUAAAAUUUCGUUCGAAAAUUUUGACGUUUGGGCACUCAAUUUAGUCAAAAGGACUAAAUUGUAAAAAGUGCAAAAGUUGAGUUCUAUAUGUUAGAGGUGUCCAAUUGUUAUGAAAUUUUAAAUUGGAGGUCUUUCUAUGGUAAUUAGACCAUUGGUUAAGUUGGUGGACAAAAAUGGGUAUGGUUAGGCAUGUUUCCAAAGUUUUUCAUUAAGGGCAUUUUGGUCAUUUAGUUAUUAAAAUGAAUUGAAAACAAAUUUAAAAGCCAAUUUUUUUCCGUCUUCAACCCCUAGGCCGAAAAUUGCAUGGAGAAACCAUGGCUAGGGUUUUUCAAGCUUCCAAGUUCGAUUGUAAGUCUGUUCUAUCCCCAUUUUUAAUGAUUUUUACGUUUUUGAAAUCCUUGUAACAAGAUUUACCUAUUUUUACCAUUGUUUUGAACUAGGAUUUGUGUUUAAAAAUUUACCCAUGAAUGAUAUGCAUGUAUUUUGAUGUUUUAUGGAAGAAUAUGAAUGUUUGGAGUGUGAUAAACGAUUUGUACUAAGUAAUUUUCGAUGAAAAUGACUAAAAGGAUUAAUUUGUAAAAGUUAUAAAAUAUGUCACAAGUGUGUGAAUAAGUGAGUAUUGUGGAAUGCUAUAGUUAUGAAAAUGGUUCAGCUAGGCCUAAAAUGCAAGGAAAUUGAAUAAAAAUUAUUUUAUGAGCCUAUGGGCAAAAUUGUAAUUUUGUGAAACUUUAGGGGCAAAAUUGAAAUUUUCCAAAGUAUGAUUUUUGGACUGGAAUGAAUAGUUUGAAGGUUAUAUAAGUUAAAUGUAUUGUUAUAAAUCAAGAAAAACGAGAAAUUGAAAUUGAUCGAUAAAAAGAAAAGUGAGAAAAAGUGAAAAAUUCCUGAAUGAACAUUUGGAAUAAAAAGGGAUACGAAUGAAAUGACAGAAAUGAUCACAUGUCUGACACGGAUUGUGUGUAGGCCACUAUGUAAAAGUGAAAGUAAUGGUCACGUGUGUAGUACUAUGUGCAGGCUACUAUGUGUACCGGAAUGAUAGGUCGCAUGUGUAGUACUAUGUGCAGGCUAUUAUGCGUACUGGAUAGUUUCGAUCACGUGUGUAGUACUAUGUGCAGGCUACUACGUGUAUCAGAUGGUAAUGGUCACAUGUGUAGUACUAUAUGCAGGCUACUAUGUGAACUGAACAUCAUUGAUUAGUAAGGUGGUUGCUAUGUGCUGAUUCCACCGGACAUCAUUGAUUAAUAAGGUGGUUGCUAUGUGCUAAAUCCACCGAGUAUCUGUUAUUAUUCCGAAGUGUUCAUCGGGAAAUUGACUAAGUAUAAUUGAAUAAUGAAUAUAGGUGUGGAAUUGAAUUGAAUAUCGACUUAGAAAUGGAAAAGUGAAUUUUGAAUAGAAUUGUGAUUGAAAGUGAAAAAGUGAAAUUAUGAAAGAGUAUAUUUAGCAAUAAAACAGUUUACACAACAACAGUUGUGUGACUUUGAAAAAUCACCAAAAAUGAUGGAUAUUGAAUUAGAGGCUGAACAAUAUAUGAAAUUGAAGCUGAAUGAGUCUAUUUUCACAUAAAAGAAACAGAGCAAGCAAAAGAGUUAUAUAUUUUGAGAUAUUUGAAGUUUAGUUAGACAUAGUCAGAAUGAGUUCGGAAUCCCCUAUUUUGACUUUGGAAAAUUGUCAAAAAUGGUAAAAAAAUAAUUAUGGGAUAAAUUUCUUAUGUUUAGAAUCCUCAGUGAAUCUAUUUUCAAGAUAAAGAAACAGAAACAAUAUAUGAAUUCUUUACAAUGAGAUAAUUAAUUUUAAGUGAAGAGAGAUCAGAACUAUCGAGCUAUGAAACAGGGGAAACUUUAAAGAAUAAAAUGUACUAUUUGGCUAAACCAAAAAUUCUAAAAAAUUUAUGUUAAGAAGAUAUGUGAACCUAGUUUUCGGGAAAAUUUACGGAUAUUAAUUUGGAGUUCUGUAGCUUCAGGUAAAAAUAAUUUAGUGACUCUGACUCGAAUAGACAGCUUUGAAUAUACAUGUGAGUGAAUAGUGAAAUUGUAGUUAAUGUUGUUUAAGUGUGUUAUACACAUUAAGGAUGUGGAAUGGAGAGGAGGAGGAGGAAAAUUGGAAGAACAUAUGAAUGAUUUGUGUAUAAUUAGCCAUGUGCUCGAUUAUAAUCGAUAAACGAUUGAAAAGAAAUGAUGUUUAUAAUUGUGCAUUAUUAGUUAUAGUUAAAGUUCAUGUGAGAAAAUAAAGUUUCAUAGUAUGUGUAUGUGGUAUACUUGGCAUAUGAUUUGGUAUGUAGCAAUGUCAAUAAUGGUUUAUGAAUUAACUCAUGUUGAUAAGUUUGAUACAUAAAUAAAUGUGGUGCUUAUCCAUGCUUAUAAUGCUUAUACUAUAUGUUUAUUUGGCUAGCAUAUGUUUGGUGUGUAUGCUUAGGCUUUGGCCAAGUUGUGGCUGGAUUACGCCACAUUAAAUUUAUAAAAUUAUGCAUUGAGAUGGUAAAUGUCUAGAUGGAAAUAUGCUUGUGAUCAUAAAAGGGUGGUAAUGUUUAAAGUUUGUAAUCUUUAUUAAGAUGAUUUAUCAUGUGGUUAGUCUUCAAAAAGACUAGCUUGCAACUAUGGUUGAGUGUAAUGUUUAUAUCUUGUGUGAUAUGCAUAGGAAACGGGAGUGGAAAGGAAAUGAAAUACUAGAUUCAUGCUUGAAGUGUAAAAUGAUGCAAAAAGGGGACGUUAAGUUAAACGAUAAAUAUAUAUUAGUAUUGAACUUAAUAAAAUUGAAUUGUACGUGAAUUAAAUGGAAAUUGCAAAUGAUAUGAUUUGAAUUAAAUGAAUUAUUAUGGUAUUGAAAUGUAUAUUAGAUUGAGAAAUUGAAUUGAAUCGUGAACAUGAGAAUCAUGAAUUAAAUGAAAUGGAAAUGAAGUAUUGAAUUGCAUGAGUAUGCAUUGGGUCUCAGAAGCCCUAUUUGUUACAAAUAUAGUAUUUUGAAGUUAUAUCGUGAAGAUUUAUAAAAGCAUGUUAAAAAUUUGAAGAGUUUAAAUUUGAAUGAAAUUUUAUAACUUGGUUUAACAUGUUUAUAAGUGUAUUUGUUCUGGUAAUGUCUCGUACCCUAUUCCGGCGUCGAAUACGGGUAAUGGGUGUUACAAUGUGACAUCGUCAGAUUCGGUCAUAACAUUUAGACCAGAUUUGGGGUGUUACAGAUUCCACCGGGUAUCAUUGAUUAUAAAGGUGGUUGUUGUAUGCUGAUUCCACCGGGUACUAUUGAUUAUGAAGGUGGUUGCUAUGUGCUGAUUCCACCGAGUAUCAUUGACUAUAAGGGUGGUGCUAUGUGCUGAUCUACCGUGUAUCUGUUAUUAUUCCGAAGUGUUCAUCGGGAAAUUGACUAAGUGAAAAUACAUGAGAUCAAGUAAAGACUAAUUGUAAUUGAAUAUGACUAUGUGAUGAAUGAUUGCAGGUAUAACUGUGAAAAUUUAUGAACAAUGUGCUUGAUAUUUGAUCAAACUAUCGGUAAGAUGCAAUGGAGUAAGUGAAAUUAUGAAAGAGUAAAUUUAGCAACAAAACAGUUUUGGACAACAGCAGUUGUAUGAAUUUGAAAAAUCACCAAAAAUGGUGGAAAUCGAAUUAGAGAGUGAAUAAGAUAUGACAUUAAAUCUGAAUGAAUCUAUUUUCACAUAAAAGAGACAGAGUAAGCAAACAAAUUUUAUAUUAUGAGAUAUUUGAAUUUUAGUGAGAUAGGGCUAGAAUGAUUUCGGAAUCCCCUGUUCUGACUUUGGAAAAUCAUUAAAAAUUGUAUAAAAAUAAUUAUGGGAUAAAAUUUAUAUGUUUAGAAUCCUAAAUGAGUAUAUUUUCAAAAUAAACAAAUGAGAACAUUAUCUGAAUUCUAUACUAUGAAAUAACUAAUUUUUAGUGAAGAAAUGUCAGAACUGUCGAACAAUGAAAUAGGGGAAUUUUAAAGAAUAAACUGUACUUUUUGGAUAAGCAAAAAAUUAUGAAAAUUUUAUGGUAAGAAGAUAUAUGAGUCUGGUUUCAGGGAAAAUUAAUGGAUCUUAAUUUGGAGCUUGUUAGCUCGAGAUAUAAAUAAAUUAGUGACUCUGGCUCAGACAGACAGUUUGAAUUUACAUACAGGAAAAUAAUGAAAGUAUGAAUAAUGUUGUUUAAGUGUGUUAUACACAUUAAGGAUGCGGAAUGGAGAGGAGGAGGAGGAAAAUUGAGAAAUAUAUGAAUGAUUUGUGUAUAAUUAGUAAUAUGCUCGAUUAUAAUUGAUAAACGAUGAAAUAGAAAUGAUGCUUAUAUUUGAGCAUUAUUGGUCAUGAUUUAAGCUCAUGUGGGAAAAUAAAGUUUCAUAAUAUGUGUGUAUAGUAUAUUUGGAAUAUGAUUUAGCUUGAAGUAAUGUGUUGAAUGGUUUAUGAAUUAACACAUGUUGGUAAGUUUGAUACAUUAAUAAAUGUUGUGCUCAUCCAUGCUCAUAAUGUUUAUGCUAUAUGUUUAUUUGGUUAACAUAUUUGAUGUACAUGCUUAGGCUUUGACCAAGUUUUGGCUGGAUUGUGCCACGUUAAACUUAUGAGUUAUGCAUUGAAAUGGUAAGUGCCUAAAUGGAAAUAUGCUUGUGAUCAUGACAGGGGUGGUAAGGUUUAAAUUAUGUAAUCUCUAGUGAAAUGGUUUAUCAUGUGGUUAGUUCCAAAAAGAAUUAUGCUUAAAUGCACUAGCUUGCGACUAUGGUUAAACAAUAUGUUUAUGUCUUAUGUGAUAUGCAUAGGAAACGAGUGUGGAAAGGUAAUGAAAUAGUAAUUUCAUAUUUGAAGUGAAAAAUGACGAAAAAGGGGAUGAUGAGUUGAAUUGAUGUUGUUAUUUAAGAUAAAGUGAUAUUUUCAUUGCAAAAUUGAGAAUUUCAUAAAUGUGUUAAUGAAUGGUAUAAUCGAAAAACGUUGAGUUAAAUGGUAAAUACGUAUUAGUAUUAAACUUACUAAUAUUGAAUUGUACGUGAAUUAAAUGGAAAUUGCUAGUGAUAUGAUUUGAAUUGUGAGUAGGAGAAAUUGUGAACUGAAUAAAAUAGAAAUGAAGCAUUGAAUUGCAUGGGUAUGUAUUGGGUCUCGUAGGCCUUAUUUAUUAUGAAUAUAAUAUUUUGAGGGUAUAUUGUGAAGAAUUAUAAAAGCAUGUUAAAAUUUUUUUGAAAGUUUUAAUUUAGAUGAAAUUUUAUAAUACGGUUAAAUACGUUUACAAGCGUUUGUGUUCUGGUAAUGCCUCGUACCCUAUUCUGGUAUCGAAUACGGGUAAGGGGUGUUACAUUAGUCACCAAAUUUUAAUAAGUUUUCAUUUUGGUCACCCCGUUAACUCAAUGUUAUUAUUCACUCAUUUUAGUCACCCAACUUUAAUAAAUUUUCAUUUUGGUCAAUCAUUUACUUUUUAAAAAUUUAUUUUAUUUUAUUAAUUCCUUAUAAAACUCAGGUAAUUUUAUUAAUCCUAAAAAGGAAAAAAUAAAAAAUAAAAUUAAUUUUUAAAAAGAUAAAAUGAGUGACUAAAAUGCCAACGCAUUAAAGUUGGGUAACUAAAAUGAGUGUAUAGUAACAUAGAAUUAAGGUCAGAUGAUCAAAAUAAAAAUUUAUUAAAGUUGGAUGACUAAAAUGAAAACGGUUGUUAAUAGCAGUGCCUAAUUAGUAAUUUUAUUUUUAUUUUUUCUGCCCAAAAUGAAAGCUUAUAAAAGUUGGAUGGUCAAAUGUGUAAUUUACCCUUUUAUUUUUUUUUAAUUAUCAGAGAAAGGUAUAAAAGAACCCAUACAGGGGAAGCCCAUUAUGGGAAAAUAUCGUAAAUUUUUGACAAAUGAAAGUGUCAGCUAAAUACAUCAGAUAAUAAAAUUUAAUAAUUUUGUAGAGCUUAACUAAUAUAUUAAUUACCUUAAAAAGUUAAUAAAUUAAAAAAAAUAUUUGGUACGACAUCAGUGGAGUUUUAAAUUUUAUAAAAUUAUAUUAAAAGAAUAUUUUAAAAAAAAUAUGACAAUUUAUUAAGAUGACUGUAGAAUAAACUAAUAUAGUAAAUACUAACUCAUAUGUUUAUUAAUAACUUCUAAAAAAAUUUUAAAAAAAAUAUUUGGUACAUUAUUAAUGGAGUUUUUAAAUUUUACAAACAGAGUUAGAGAGUCGAUAAAUAUUCUAUAGGGUUAUAAUAAAUUAUUAAAAAAAUAUAUUUUAAAAAAUAAACACAUGUCAAAACUUUAAUGUUGCAUGUGUAAUAAUAACACAUGAAAUAUAUAAUAGUCCUUUUUUUAGUAGUGUCGGAAACAAUGGCUUCAGGGCCACCAAAUUCGACAAGUAAGUUCGUAAAUAUUAUUAUUUAAUAUUUACGAGUCAAAUGUGAUUUUUAAAAGGGUUUUUGAUUUGAUAAUUUAUGUUAUAUAAGUGAUUUAUUAAGUUCAAGUGGCUUUAGAAAAUAAUGUAUCGAAACCUUGUUUUUAUAAACUGAACCGUAAAUAUUUUUAUAAAUAUUUACGGAGCGUCAUUAAGGUGAUAUUAAAGUUUCGUUAAGAAAUUUUAACAUUUUGAUAGUUAAUUAAUUAAAAAGAAUCAUAUUUAAAGAAAAGUGCAUUCCCGGGACUCUGUUCCCAUAAAUCGGACUACGAAGCCAGUUGUGUAGUUAAUUAGGUUUCGGUUAAGUGAAUUUACUUGAAUUAAAAGUAAAUUAGGUAUAAAGACUAAAUUAAUUAUAGGGUAAAAGUUAAAUUAUAGACUAAAGAAAAAUUAAAAAGAUUAAAGAAACAAUUAUGCCAUUGUUUCUUUAUGGGACGGCAUAAGAUAGAUUUUCCUUGUGAAAUCAUUAUAAAACUUUAAGUUAAUAAUAUUUACUUAAGUAUUAAGUAUAUAUUAUAUUAUAUUAUAUUAUAUUAUAUUAUAUUAUAUUAUAUUAUAUUAUAUUAUAAUAAAACAAAACAAUAUAAUAAUGUAUAAUAAAACAAAUAAAUGAAAGAAAAAGAAAUAGAAAGUGAAACGAAACAGAAGGGAAAAAGAAAGAAAAAAAAGAAAAGAAAGAAAGGCUAAGGGUUUCAAUUGUUUAAAGCUCAAUUGGCUAGUCAAUUUAGUCCAUUUUUCUUCUAAUUUUUAUGUUUUUGGAAUUCCGGUAUUAAAUACUAUCCGACCCAUGUCAAAAUUUUAGAAAUUAUUGAGUUUUAAGUGUUGUCUAUGUUGAAUAAUUUUAGUAUUUGGGAUUAAAUUGAUAGAUUUUUAAGUUAGAAGUGAAAAAGGAUUGAAUUGUAGAAUAAAUUUUGAGUAAUAGGGAUUAAAUUGUGAAAAAAAUUAAAAUUUAUGGAUUUAAGUGAAAUUAGAGAGUUAAAUCUAGUUUAAAGUGGAAAUUGAAUGAAAAUGUAGAAUUGAUUGUGAAGAAAUAAAAUUAGCCUAGGUUUAGGGACUAAAUUGAAAUUUAGACAAAUAUUGAGUAAAAAUUAAAAUAUGCAAUAUGAAAUUGAAUUGUAUUGUAUUGAUGAAUUUUAAUUGUUUUAAUUCCGUAGCUAACGUCGUACCAAAAUCCUGGAUUAAAAAGGGGAAAGAUAAAGUCGACGUGGAAUAGCUCGGAAUUUCUGAUUUGUAUUUCUAUAAUCCAAAUCUAAUUAUUAAUUAUUGUAUUUUGAUUUAAUGCUUAUGGUAAGUGGUUGAGGUGAGUAUUUGGUAUUUUGAUAUUGAAUUGAAUUAAAGUUGAUGGAAAUUGAUUGAAUUGGUAUAUAUAUAUAUUAUGAUUGUAUUGAUUAUUUGAUUUGAAUUGAAUUUAUGGGAUUAUAUGAAAAAUUGAUAUUGGUUAUUGGUUGUUUUUGAAAUGUCAAAUUUAAACCCUAUUAACUGUAUCGAGCUGAGUCGGAUAUAGAUGGCAUGCCAUAGGAUUGGAAGAGUUCAGGGAUUUCUUCGACUUCGAGUCGAUGAGACACUAGGUGUCAAUUUACUAUACUUCGGAUUAAUUCAAUAAGGCACUGGGUGUCAAUUUAUUUCGGUUUAACUGAUGAGACACUGGGUGCCAAUUUAUUACUUCGAAUUAUCUAAUGAGGCACUGGGUGCUAAACUGGUGUGUUUUGGUUAGAUUCAUGUAUCCGUCCGAGUCCAAGUCGUGUUAAUAGGGAUAAAUGAAUAAUAAAGUAUUAUAAUUGAUAUUCAAAUGGUAUGGUAUGAGAAAUGGAAGUGAAAUAGUGAAUUGAAAAUAGAAUGUGAAAUAUGUUGCAAAUAUAUGGAAUAUAUGAGUUAUAUACUCAUGAAAUGACUAUGGAAUGGAUAUUGCAAUUGUAUAAUGAAAUGUGAAAUAAAUUGUGAAAAGCUAUUUAUAUAGCAAGUAUGAGAAUUGAGAUAUUUGUGAAACAAAUGAAAUAUGAUUAGGUUGUUGUAGUAAUUAAAUAUAAAUUUGUGUUUAUAUUUCAAUUGUAUAUUUGUAAUUUCUUAUCUUUAAAUAUUCGGAUUAUAGAAUUACCACUGAAUUUUACUCAGCUUACGGUUUUGUUUCCCGUGCACAAGUUAGGUACUUAACUUUUGAUCGCGGAUUCAGCAUCCAAUAACGAUCCCGAACUCAAAUGUGGCGAUGUUUAUCCUUUGUGCCGGUAUGUACCUAGGGUGUCUAAAUAAUAGUUAUUUUGUGGUUUGAUUGUAAAUGAGGUUAUAAGUUUAAUUUUGGUUGGUUUUAUACAUAUAAAUAUGUGUUUCUUUUUUAAACCAUAUUAUGGCAUGAUUAAUUGAACUAAAUCUAGAUAGGUGCAUGUGAAUUUAAUUUUGUAUUUAAGUGUUCAUGAACUAGGCAAAUUGAUUUGGAUUUGGUAUGUUUAUAAUUUGGAUUAAAAUGAUACUUUGAUGACUUGUUUUGAUGAUAUGAAAUGUUUAAAAUUUAUGUCUGUUUGGUUUGUAAACUCCGAUAAUGCUCCGUAACUCGGUUACGGCGAGGGAUAAGGGUUGGGGGUGUUACAAAAUAUUCACGAUAUUAAAAUGUAAAAAAUAGGUUAAAUUGUUUAUAAUUGUGUUGUCAUCAAUCUUAAGUCAGUCUCGAGUUAUUUUGUGACACCAUCUCAAUCAAUAACAUUAUUAAUACUAGAAAUCCUAUCAAACAAGUAUGUGCGUGAAACCACAGAUUUAGAACAUAGAUGUUUGUUUAAAAAUAACAUAAAAUAAAUAAUAAAAUAUAUGGUUUAAAACUAAUUAAUCAUAAUAACACAUAAAGUAUGUACAAUAUUAAAAUAAAAAGUAGAUUAAAUUAUGAGUAAAACGAAAUUUACACACAUAAAUUCAUCAGAUAAACAAUACUAAAUACGCUACAAUUAUUUAUCAUGAUUUUGUUAACAAUUGUGAGUUAAUAUCGAGUUGACUUAUAACACUAACUCAAUUAACAACAUUAUUAAUAUAUAUAAUUAAUGGAGAUAAUAAAUUAUACAUAUUAAAAUGAAAAUACAGAAUAUUAGAGUGAUAAAUUUAAUAUUUUAAUAAUUUAAUUCAUACGAGUUGAAAUCUUUAGGGGAAUUUGAUGCGGCUGAAGCCCUGAACCCCAUUCAUCAAAUGCAUUAACUUGCAUUGGCCUACGAAGCUUUCUACCCGUACCCACUACCCGCCGCAUUUGCAUCAUACUCUCCCAUCUUUCUUUGGUUAAUUUUAAUUAACCCUUUAAUUCGUUUUAAAUGUUGAAGCAUGUGGCCUUAUAAUAACAAAAUGUUGUUAUAGUUGAAAUUGGUUUCCUUAAUUAAGGAUGUCAAUGCUUGGACCUCAAGAAAAAUGGAUUUUGCAUUGAUGCACAUGCAACUCCCGGAUUGAUUUGAAAUCACAAAUCGGAUUUACAUGAAAUAAAAUAAAAUUUCAAUAUUAUAAAGCUCAAAAGGUUGUCAAUUAUCUGUAGCUAAUGUUUUAGAUUCUUAAUUUUCAAUAAUUAAAAUUUUAAAAAAAUCAAUCAUUUUAUUGAACGCCGGUAAUUUCCUUCACCCUAAUUUCUUCGGUUAAUCCCAUUUUUCUUUGUUUUUUUUCUAUUGAUUCUAUUUUUCUUCAAUUUUUAUUCUUUUCUUUCAAUUUUUUGUCAUUCAAGGCGGAAAUUAUUCGCAAUUUCAAAUGAACAGAAAUUAAAGUAUUAUCCACCUAGGAAAGUAUUAUGCUAGUGAAGCAUCUCAAAGAAAUAAUUGAUGAAGGUACCCAAUAUUGACAAUUUUCUCUGGUUGCUCAAUUUCUGGGAUACCAUCGAAUCUUGAAGUAUUAUAAAAUGAUAACUCAUUUAUGAGGUAAAAAAGGGAACUAAUCAUGAAAUCUAUAAGUGUAACUUGUUUCUUCUUCGGUUUUUUAAUAGUGACACUUGAGAACGACCCUAGGCAUUUUUCAAAAAACUCCAAUAAUUUUGAGGAGAUGAACUCCAAACAUGAAGAGUCUAGAUUUCAACACAUCCAAAUCUCAUUUGAGUAGGAUCCUUUUGGAAUUGUUUACAUAGAAAGGACUCAACCACAUCGUUAGUGCGAUUGGGAAUCCGCUCUACACGGAUGUUAUAAUAGCUAGAAGGCAACAAUUGGCAUUUGCAAAGGUGUGUGUAGAGGUAACUACUAGCUCAACUAAGCCUAGAUUUAUUGAUGUUACACUAAGUGAUGGCUCCAAUUCAUUCAUUAAGGUGGAAGUUCCAUAGUUUCCACUUUGAUGUUCUGAGUGCAAGACCUUGGGACAUUAUGAGAAACUUUGUCCUAAGAAGCAGGUUAAAGCUAUUCAAAUUUGGAAACCCAAAGAAUCUUCAGUUGUGAUGACUACAAAUUCAGACUUAGGUGUAAUAGUAGAGAAAUUGGUUUCUGAUAUACUGAGUGCGCUAAAUAAAUAAAAUAAAAAAGAUGAAAGGCGAGUUGAAAAGUAAGAAAGGUAAAGAAGUGAUUGAACAAUGAAAGUUUCUAUACCUGGAUCUAGCAGCAUAUUUUAGAUAUUGUGUUCAACAAGUGAUGAGGAAGUUGUUAUUCAGGAUAGAGUUGAACUUGUGCAAGCUUCUCCUCGCAAGGCUAGAGUUGCAUCAACGGGGGUCGCAAACUUCGCGAAUGCUACGAAGACAAAAAAGAAAAAUCAAAUGGAGGGGUAAGAUUACAAGUUGGGCUGCAGUGCAAUUUGUUAUUUUCAGAUUUAGAACUUUUGAUGCAAGCACUUCAUUCUACCAAAUGCAAUUCUUAGAAAGAUCAACCAAAUGUGCUUUAGUUUUUUUUUGGGAAGGUAACGAAGACCUGCCCAAUGUGCAAUAGUGAGUUAUAAAAGAUACAUACCCCUAAAGUCGAAUGCAGACUUGGAAUGAAGGAUCUUGAAUGUUGGGAUCGAGCUUGCAUUAUCCAACUCAUAAAGGGCAUCUUGUGUUAAAGUAUACCCAAAGAUCAAAUAAUGAGAUAAUUGUAAUAAGAUGCUUGAUUAAUUAAUUUAUUAGUAAAGGUAUUGCCAUUAUUAUUUCCAGUCUUUAUUAUUGUGUUAAAUAAAUUAUAUAAUGAUAUAAGUCCUAAUAACAUCAUGAUUAUUUUUAAUGCCCCUAGUCAAGUAUUAUUGUGGGUUUGAGCAACAAUAAUGCAUUGAAAUUAAUAUGUACUUAUGACAAGUGUUGUUAUAGAUAUGUGAUAUCAAGUUAACACAUAGUAUAUAUUAAAGAACAAUAUAUUGGAUUGACCCAUCAUGAGAAUGCUUGUUGGAUUAUUAUAUAAUAGUCAUAAUUGUAUGUAUGAUUCUUAAACUUGAGAUCACUAUGGUUCCAACAUUGUGAGUUGUUUGUUUUGACACAAUCAAACAUCUAUGUAAAAUGAUUGUACUAUAAAAGCUGGUGUUGUAUAUUCCACAAUCUAUGUAGUGGGUGUGCAUGAUCAAUAUAGUAUUUGUCUCUCCUACAUAAUUGAAGCGAUAUCUUGGACCCAUUGAUCAGGUGAGACUAAAAAUGCAUGAUUAUACUUAAAUGAGUUUAUUUGAGAUAUCACACCUAUUAUAUUUUCACAGUCUACUCGAGAUUGAAGAAUUAAAAUAUUGGACUAUACAAUUGUGAUUGUUUCAUGAUUUGUGUUCAAUCUAAAUAUCACGAAUAAAAAGACAUACUACAUGAUAAUAUUAUCAUAGAAAGAUUAUAUUAAACCACGACUUCCUACAACUUGGAUAAUAGUGAUGCAUUGUUAGAUGCUAUUAACUGUUUGUAACGUUGGAAUUGUUUUAAUAUUACUUCUAACCUUACAAAAUCCUAAAAGGUCUCCCCUUAUAGUUGAAAUAAUCAGAAUAAAAGAAAGUAGGAUUAUAUUUAAUUGUCUUUAAUAAAUUUCGAUUAAAAGAGUAUUUUUAAAGUUUGAAGAAAAUUAAUAUCUUUUAUGGAAGGGAUAUACUUUAUUCUAGUCCCCUGAAUCACGAACUGAGAUUUUGCAAUUCAAUAAGGUAUUUGAAUAUAGACGAGUCUUGAUACCUUCUCCCAGACUUACCCAAAAUUCACUUGUCAAGCAACAUUAAGUAUUUCGAAAUACUCUGAACAAAUUUCGAAGAGGUUUUUUUUACUUUUCUUCUUCUUGGUGGAUACUGUAGAGGUCAGAGCGAAACUUGUUGCGACUACAUUUGAGUGAAGAUCAGAAGCUUUCUGCCAUAAUCAAUACUUUACUCAGAUCGAGAAUGAAUGUUAUCUAACUUUCUAUCAACUCGAAUUCGUUCUUCGCAAAUGGAUUCAUGCGUCAGAAUUUUUUCCUUCCAACCUCUUGGCUAGACAUGGUUCACUUAGGAUUGCUUGGCUCGAAGAGUAUAUGCUUAGAAACUAUUCUUUGAGGCAGGCUCCAAUGAAAAGCAACAUCAACUGGAGUUGGAGGGAAAUACUAAAUUUAAAGAGGAAGAGGUGGUAGUGCUGGAGAGCCCUAAGUUAAAUGGAAAGAAAAUCACCAUAUCAAGAAUCUGGAUAGUGUUCAGGCCAAAGUAAGAAAGGGUUGUAAGGCAAAGAAUAGUAUGGUAUCCUUUACACAUUUCCAAACACUCAUUCAUCGCUUGGAUGGCAAUUCUGAAUAGACUUCCAUCCAAGGAGAGGUUGAUACGACAGGGAAUGAGUAUUGAAGGUCACUGUUUGCUUUGCCAUAAUGAAAAUGAAACCGGAGAUCACCUUUCUGCAGAAUGUGUUUUUGCAAUAAAGAGUGUGGAACAAGUAUUUCUUCUGUGUAUUAUCAACAGGACAAUGGCUAACUGGCAACUUGAAUUCGAUUGGAUUUGUAGCAAACUCAAAGAAAGAGAUUUGAUUAUAGUCAUUUCAAAGCUGGCUUGGAAUGCCUUCAUUUAUGUUAUCUGAAAAGAAAGAAAUAGAAGACAAUUAACAAAUUUAGAAGCUAAUGAUGAAGAGAUCUUCAGGAGUAUUAAAGAAGUAGUUGGCUUGAGGCUUAGAAGUAAAAAGAUUAAUAGAAUAGAUAAUGUAAACAUUCUCUUGUGUAUAGCUUAGAACAUUUUGGAAUAACUAGGCAUUUGUUUUGAUAUUGACUUUGUAACAAUUUUUGUUAUUUCUUUGGAUAAUAAUAAUAAUUAAGAUUCAAUUUCUGACAUCAAAUUUAUUGGAUGGUCAUAGAAUAAUUCAAUAUCCAGAUAUAAUUAGCAACAUAUAGGAUGUAAGGAAUAUCUGGAAAAGUCAAUGCCUUCAAACAUUUAACCAGUAAUUUAUCUCAAUGGGAACAGACAUUUGAAAAAGUUGUGAGUACAAUAUGUAUAUCCGAAGAAACCCACUAGCUUAUUAUUUUAAAACGUACAUAAUCAUUAUAUCAUUUAUCCUUGAUGUUUAAGAAGCUUGGAUUGGACUACAUGUUAAGGGGGUGAGCCUUUAGCUGGAAAAUUGGUGUUUUUUUUAAGUAUAAAACCGAGGCAUUUUAUGUCAUUGAAGAAAUAUGUAAAAGAAAUUACGAGAAUAAUAUAAAAUGCCAAAAGUCAAUUGAUUCUUCAGCCAUUCCCCUGUUUCCGCUAGCUCUUGGUCAUGGAUUAUAGGACGGACAAUAUGCAGGUAUCUCCACAAAUUCAGCCGCCAAAUUAUUAGACCAACCGUAUGAGCCUUAAAACGCACAAAUCCACUUAAUUCUUUAUUGUUUGAAUUCGAAAUCCUUCCCAUGAAUUGAGCGGCUCAGUUGAUUAAAGAACAAGUUUCUAACUGGAGUUUGUGAAUUGAGUAGGAUAAAGGUUGAAAUUAACGCGUAUUUAUAGCUUUAUAUACAUAUAUAUAUUCUUAAUUCUCAAUACCAUAUAUAUUUGGUCAAACUCUAAGAUUAAAAUCUGUAGCUAGCAAUAUGGCUGUAGAAAGCAGUCACCAUGCAGCAGCUGAAGAGUCAAUACUAGAGAAUGUAUGGGCCAACUUCAUUGGUGGGGAAGAAGGUGAUAAAGCAAGGAAACCAUCGUUCGGCUCCUGGGAAGAACUGCCUAGCCUGGAUGGUAGAGACGGGUCUAUGGAGAUUUUACAAAGGCUACCAAGUCUUGGGAGAUGGAUAUCAAUGGGAGCUGACGCCUGAGAGGAUCUUCUCCAUGGAAUUAUUCCUCCAGGGAAUAUACCUCAAUCCUGUAAUGAUGUUACAGCCAAUGAUAUUAUAAGCACGCGAGGGCAUAAGGCGAAUUCCAUGAGAGUAGAGAAACUGGCAACAAGACACUACCGGGGAGUCAGGAGGAGGCCUUGGGGCAAGUAUGCGGCAGAGAUAAGGGACUCGUCAAGGAAAGGAGCUAGAGUAUGGCUUGGGACGUACGACACAGCUGAGGAAGCAGCUAUGGCUUACGACAAGGCUGCCUUGAGAAUUAGAGGCCCCAAAGCAAAUCUUAACUUCCCGCUUCACACAGUUGCUAAGGCUAUGGGGAUCGACGAUACGAAAACUAACUUCAACCGUUGUUUGUCUACAACUAAUGGUCAAGGCACUGAGGAUUUCACAGAUCAUCGGAAAAGAGAGUGUAGAGCUUGGGAGCAAAACAGUGAGGUUGUGAUGGUUGAACAGCCUCAACUAAAGAGAAUGGCUAGUAUUGAAGAGUGUGGAUAUGAUGUAUUUUGGUUUCAGGAUUUGGGGAGUGAUUAUUUAGAGAGUUUGUUGUCUUUGUUUUGACACAGAGAAUCUAAAGGGAUACAAGAUCUGAAAGAUUAUUGCUGUACAUUGAGAUUGGUUGAUUCAUAGGCAUAGUACUAGUUUAAUUGUAUACAGUUGUUUGUUUGUUGGCAGGAUUACAUGUAUAAGUCUAAGUUUUUAUCAAUAGAAAUAUGUAUUAAACUUGAUAAUAUAUUUGUUUAAAACAAUAGUCAAACCCAAACCCGUAACAAUCAUAUGAUCUUCAAAAUAAAAUUAACUUGGAAGCCAAAUCCAGGUCAUAUUAUCGGUGCAAUGGACAUCUAUCUAAUUACGAGCAAGUCUUGUCAAAGUUUACGGGCCAUAUUCUUAAGUGGAUUAUAAAUUUGGAGAAAAGGAGAUGCAUAUAAUAACAUUCUUAUGAUGGUGAGAGGCUACAGUAGAUCCACACUUUCUUCUUGGUGUGCCAUCAAAAAAGCUUUUGAAUGAGUGGCUAAAGUUUGGUUUGGACCGCCUAUUGUGGUUUACAAAUCAUCAUAGGCUUCAGGGCCCAUGGACGGCCAUAUGAAGCUUCUCUGCAGAUUCUUGUGUCACGGGCCAAAGUGCAAAGCCCGUGACCAUGCCGUAAGAAGCGCCCCAUGGAGGUCUAUCGAUUAGAUGGGGGACAUUCAGCCCACAAGAACUAGCCCGAUUCAGAGAGCUACUAAAGAAGCCUAUCAGAUUAAAGCCUGGUUGGCCCAAUGAUGAAGACAUGGCAACUUAGGCAAUUUUGGUAACUAAUCUUAGAAGAUAGAAUAGAAUCAUAUCUUGUAAGAUUAGAUUAGAUUUGAUAUGGUAAAUCUUGUAAAUCCCUAAAAUCAAGGGAUAUAGUGAAUCUCAUUCGUCGAUGUACAUGUAUCUUGACCGUCGGUUUUGGGGGAGCUCAACUAUAAAUAGAGAGCCUCCCCCUCAUUUGUAAAGCAUCCAUUGUAACUUGAAUUCUUAAGAGUAAUAGAAUUCUUGAGCAUUUACUCAAACACUUUGUGUGCUUUCUUUCUUUAGCUUUCUGUUGUUCUCUUGUGGCUUCUUUUGGCACAAUCGCUUCCGCUAUAUAAAUUGGUGCCUUGGAGGAGUUCUAAAAGAAUCCUCUCUUUUGGGAGUAAGGCUGACUUGGGCGAGUUUGGACGAACGGAUCACCUAAGGCCGCACGGUUUGCGAGACGAAAGGUCUAGCCCCGUGACAAGAGGUAUCAGAGCCAAGUUUUGAACCAAGUUAUUCGAGUGGUUCGAAGGCACUGUUGGGAUGUCGAAAGAAGUCGUUGGUCAGAGUGAGCCAAUGGAGACCCGUGGGAGGGCUAGAAAAGCCAGUCGCUCGAGGGAAAUGCUGACAGCCUUGGAGAAUCGAGUGGUCAAUCUUGAGGAAUCCGUAGGGAACGUGAAAGAGACGCUUGAAUUGGUCGAGGGACGCACAGAUGGGUUAGACUCAAUGGAGGAGCAACUCAGAGAUUUUGUGUUGGAUUCUCUCGGUGCAAAUAGGGAAAAGAUAACGGAAUUACUCGAGUCCACUGAGGUAAAGCUGGCAGAGAGGGAUGAAGCUCUCGCGGAUAUGGUGCUAGCCAUGCAAAAAGAAAUGAAGGAGCUCAAAGGGGAGCUCGCGAUUUACAAAGUCGCUUUGAGUAAUGGGAUGUUGUCUUCAAGGCCGAAGCAACAUGCAAUGGAUGUUCCCAAACCGGAGAAGUUUAAGGGUGCACGAUCCGCGAGGGAUGUGGACAACUUCUUGUGGGAAAUGGAGCAAUACUUCCGAGCGAUGGGCAUCGAGGAUGAUGGCAUUAAGGUAAACACUACUUCGAUUUGCUUUUCUGAUGUUGCUCUCUUGUGGUGGCGACGUAGGUCCACGGAUGAGAAACGUAGAGGAACGGCUAUUGGAACUUGGGAGGAGUUUCAAGGAGAGUUGAAGAAGCAGUUUUACCCUCAGUUUGUCGAGAAGGAGGCUCGAGCAAAGUUGCGUCGUCUCACGCAACAAGACACUGUUCGGGAGUAUGUGCAGGCAUUUAGCGAGUUGAUGCUUCAAAUCUCCGACUUGAGCGAGAAAGAAGCAUUCUAUUAGUUCGAGGAUGGGUUAAAGCCGUGGGCAAAGCAGGAGUUACGAAGGCAAGGAAUCACCGAACUUACUGUAGCCAUGGUCGAAGCAGAGUCCUUUGUUGAGCUUGAUCCGGCGAGAGACAAGAUUGAGGCAUCUAAGCCCAAUGGAAGGGGCAAUGGUGAGAGAAACCAUGAAGAAGAUGAAAGGGGACAUAGCGAUGGGGGCAACAGUACUGAUAGCACAAGUGGCAACGGGAAACCACGAGAUGCGAAGCGGGGAUUAGACAACCCAAGGGACAAGAGGAAGAAGAUGAAAUGCUUCCUUUGUCAAGGACCACACAUGGUGCGUAAAUGUCCAAAUAAAGUGAUGAUUUCGGCAAAGAAUGAUGAGCCGAAGGAGGAGGCGAAGCCUACCGAGGGAAACACAUCGAAAGUCAAUUCAAUGGUGCUCAUUCCUGGGAAGAGGAAUGGAAAUGGGUUGAUGUUUGUGGACGUCAACAUUGCGGGUCAGAAGCGGAGUGCUCUUAUUGAUACGGGAGCAUCGGCCUUGUUCAUGUCGGAAAAGGCUGCGAAGAAGCUUGGUCUGUCGAUUAGGAAAUCGAAUAAGAAGAUCAAGGUAGCAACUUCUGAGAAAGCCCCAACUGUAGGAGUAGUUCGUGAUGUGGAAAUACAAAUCGGCGAAUGGAAGAGCAAGGAAGAAUUCGAGGUAAUCCAAUUAAGUGAUUACGAUUUUGUGCUUGGCUUAAACUUCCUUGUUAGGAUUCAGGCAACUCUGCAACUAGGGGCCGAUCAAAUCCAUAUUGCCACCGGUCCAUCAACAAAGAGUAUUGUGCCGGUGCAUCGGGAUGUGAAAGUUGGGACUAAGGUGUUAUCGUCAAUCCAACUAGUCGAAGAUGUUUCGUAUGGGAGAAACAUUAAAUCGGCAAAACAGAAUGCUACGAAAGCCUCUUCGGAAGUGUUAGUGGCGCAAGGGACCGAUAUGAAGCCUGCGGGAUCGACUGUGGAGCUGACACCUUUGGGAAAUGUGGGUUGUGCAUCGGGCUUCAAGGGAAAAGGAGCGAUGCAAGGACAGUCGAGACGAGUAAAUGCUACGAGUAAGGUACAUUGCAAACACUCUGAUAGUGUUUUGAAUUCUGACUUGUUGGCUUGGCAAGGUCGUAGGGGCCCUUUCAAAGUUCAUAAGCGAGGAGGCUAAGGAACUGUGGGCGGUACGAAGCCGAGGUAUGAGAAUCGAGGGGAUUCCAACAGAAACAAGUCAAAAUUGGGGCAAGUUAAAGCGGAGACUACUUGCCAACAGAAUGUACCAACGAGUGGAAUGGUUCAAGAUAAGAGGCGACGGAAUUCGAAGCAUAAGUUUCGAAGGAAGGGACAACCCGAUCGCAAGACGAGUCGGGAAGAAGCCGAGGCAACGAGAAAGUUUCACAGUGAAUCAAGUCAGUGUCAUCCAGAAAACGCAACGAGGGCAUUGCGAGAUUGGGUAGGGGAGAAUGUCACGGGCCAAAGUGCAAAGCCCGUGACCAUGCCGCAAGAAGCGCCCCAUGGAGGUCUAUCGAUUAGAUGGGGGACAUUCAGCCCACAAGAACUAGCCCGAUUCAGAGAGCUACUAAAGAAGCCUAUCAGAUUAAAGCCUGGUUGGCCCAAUGAUGAAGACAUGGCAACUUAGGCAAUUUUGGUAACUAAUCUUAGAAGAUAGAAUAGAAUCAUAUCUUGUAAGAUUAGAUUAGAUUUGAUAUGGUAAAUCUUGUAAAUCCCUAAAAUCAAGGGAUAUAGUGAAUCUCAUCCGUCGAUGUACAUGUAUCUUGACCGUCGGUUUUGGGGGAGCUCAACUAUAAAUAGAGAGCCUCCCCUCAUUUGUAAAGCAUCCAUUGUAACUUGAAUUCUUAAGAGUAAUAGAAUUCUUGAGCAUUUACUCAAACACUUUGUGUGCUUUCUUUCUUUAGCUUUCUGUUGUUCUCUUGUGGCUUCUUUUGGCACAAUCGCUUCCGCUAUAUAAAUUGGUGCCUUGGAGGAGUUCUAAAAGAAUCCUCUCUUUUGGGAGUAAGGCUGACUUGGGCGAGUUUGGACGAACGGAUCGCCUAAGGCCGCACGGUUUGCGAGACGAAAGGUCUAACCCCGUGACACUUGGGCAUUGCUAUGGGAGUAAGACAUGUUUUAAGCAAAACCCCGAAAAUAUAUAACUUUGUAUGUACAUCGAGUAAACAUUUACUUUCCCAUCAAACUAAACGUUUUUAAAAGCACAAGGACCACGCCAAGGGUGGAAUUCAGAACAAAACUUUGAAUUUACUUUCUAUUUUAAAAGCAAAUCCCACUUUAAAAAUUCAAGAGAGUAUUCUAGAUAUGUAAAUUCUUCUAGAUCACUUGACCCUUUAUUAGGGUAAAUUAUCACAUGGGUUGAACUUUAAUAAAAUCAAGUCUUUUGUUGCAAUUUGUUCUUUACAUUCAGUGGUUAUUGUUAUCAAAAUUAGUACACUUGUAAGAGGAAGCAAACCUCCAAUUUACUACCAUACCACUUAUUCAGAUGCAAUGGAUGAAAUAAAAAGUAGAGGUUAGUCAAUUUCGUCGUCCACGAUGAAGUCAUGUUAUUAAGAAGAAUAAAACAUCACCUUGAAAAUGAUAACACACUCAUUUUUAUUAAACUCGAAUAAAUAUAGUCAUACAAUAGUACUAGUAUUCUAGUUUUGUUACCAAAUUUAAACAAUUUCUGUUCAGUACCAUUCAUUUGUCCUGGAAUAGGUAAACCCAUGUCUUCAACCUGUUAAAUCUAUUUGUAGUAAUGAUUUCUCCACCAUGCUAAUCAAAUCUAUUGUGCCACCCCUGUUAUGAAACAUUAAGAAAUGAAAUAUGGUUCUUAAAGGUGUAGUUUUGCACUUGUAGCAAUGAGCAUUGAUUAUCAUCCUUGAUCUUAAACCUAUUAUUAACUCCUAUACACAAAAAAUGCCAAGGACACCAUGAAGAAAACAAAAUAUCGAACGGCAAAAUGUAAACCCGAAAAGGGGAGAUGAAGACUUUCUCACAUCUGAACCCUAGUACUGGUUUUUAGGUCUUCGAGGUAGAUAUUGAUUCCUGAAGAACUGUUUCAAAAAACUUUCAAGAUACUGUUCAAGUGAUCAGAUUCUGAGCCUUUACUAUGGGACUUCCCAGUUGUGCUGCUCUCUGAUUCUGAUUCUGAUUUCGAUGUCCCGGUCGAAACGGUGCGGGAACUACUUCCUGAAUCCAGAUCAGUUUUUGCCAAGCUUUUUGAGCUUGAAUUUGGCCUUAAUAUUCUUUGGACCGACGAUGCAGCCAAUUCGGCUGGGAAAUUGAGUAAAGCCUUGGAGCCACGCAUCUUGAAAGCUGCCUUGUCAUAAGCCAAAGCAGCCUGUUCGGCUGUUUCGAACGUGCCAAGCCACACCCUUGCACCAUGCCGAGUGGAGUCACGGAUUUCCGCGGCGUAUUUGCCCCAAGGGCGACGCCGGACACCCCUGUAAUGCUUCUUGGCGAUGGUCCUGGCUGGCUCAAGCAUGCUGCUCGCAACGGCAGUUUGGUUUCUUUGGGAAGCAUGAAAAUAAUGAAGGUUAUUGAUUCCCAGGCCGUGAGCGUUUGCUUCGUUCAACACUUGAUAGAUGAACAUGUCUUGGGAGUCAUUCUCAUUAAAUGGCAGCACAUUAUCACUGUGGGAUUGCAUGUUUGUUUCCAGGGAUACUUCUAUCUGGAUGAGGCCUGAAGUUUGUAGAAAGUAGCUCUGGACUUGUAUUUAAGGAAGAAGAAUGGUGGGUCCAAGUGGGGCCUUUCCUUGGAAAUUUAUUGUUAGGCAAAACGAAGGUGAGAGGAACCAAAAACUUUUGUCUAUUCUACACCAUAAACUUUGCCCCGUAGUUUGCUAGUUAUUACAAGAACACACUUCUUUUCCCCAAAAAAAUUAUUGUAGCCUUGUAGGUGAUUUGGAACAGCUUUUCUAGUUGAUACUUGGCUUAUAAAUUAUUAUAGAUAAUAGAUAAGAUGUUUGCUGAAAGCAUUUUUUUGGGGGGGGGGGGGGUUAUCUGAGCCUCACAAAGGGAUAGAUGGUUUUAUUUGGGGAAAUCGGGAUUGUCUUAUGCGAAUAAUUUACAUCAAUUAUAGCGAAAAUUGGGAACAGAAAAAGCAACGUUUGGUUUGAUGUCAAUUCUGAAGACGUGCAGAGACGUGGUAAAUCAAAAUGGGACGAUGAAAAGUGGGAUAAUUUUUGCAAUUGAUGGUCAAAAUAAUGGCAAAUGGGCUGACUUUUUAGUCUUCCGGGUGUUAUUGAAAGCGAAGAACAAGGUUGACCUGCUCCUAUCUGGACGUAAUGAAUGACGCAAAGAGUUUUGGCAUUCACUGGGAUCUCUGACCUCAUCACCAUCGUCAUAUUUCUUCCUACAACACCCUUGGCAACAAGAUUACAAAAUUGCAAUUCAAUAUCUUCGACUUCCCACAAUAAAAGUUGAGCAUAUGCACCAAAACUUCUGUUAUGUAAUUGUAACUCAGAUAGGAAACUAAAGAUAAUAUUAUAAUCACGAAUUUUAAAUAUAAAUCAUAAAUUAAACAUAAAAUAUCUUCCCAUGAAAAGAUUUUUUUCUUUGGUUUAAUUCACCAUUGGGCUCUUAAAGUAUACAUGUUUUCUUCAUUUUGAUACCUACAUUUUUUUUAUCCCAAUUUAAUACUUUAGUAUUGAUCCAUAUGGUUUUUGUUCGAAUUUCUAACUAAUGUUUUAAAAAAAAUUGAUGGCUAAUCAAAUAAAAUCUAUAUUUUCAUAAACUACUUUUUUUUGUUAAAAAGAAAAAAAAUAUUAUUAAUAUAAUGUAUUUCUUAAUUAAUUUUUUAUUAAUUUGCUUUUUUACCCUCCCUUUUCACCCCUUCUCGAUCCUUCAACGAAAAUCCAUUUUUAAGAAAACUCGUAUUUGCUUCUUUUUUUGCAUUUCUUAUAUUCUCUACUUCUAAUUUUACUAGAUAUCAUAUUCAAAUAUCAUUCACUCUCCAUAGAUCUAUUGUUGCUGAGGGUGUGAAAACAAAUGGAGAGGGUCUCCAUCCUUUUUAAAAUAUUUGUGAAAGGUGGUUUAAUACUUGGCCGUUGGUUCUUGAUUUGAAGCUGUGGAAUCUUUUGGAUGUAUAGUAUAAUGCAUUUUGUGUGUGUGUGUGUGUGUGUUUGAAUUCGCAUUGCAGACCACAGGUUUUAUCUAUGAGUUAGUCUGAAAUUUUCCAUGUGCUGAUGAUGAGAUAUAUCAUUUUCAGACAAUAGGUUACAUGUUAAAUUUAUAUGGUGAAGCAAAUGAGAUACUUCUGGCUUUGAAGUUACAUGGCCAAAAGCUUUAGUGGGUAUAUGAUGGAGCAUUAGAUUAUUAAAACUGUGAGGGCUCUUAGGAAUUAGUAAACCAUAACAGAAUUUUACUUUUGUGAUUUGAGAUGCUUGUCGCGCUUAUAAUUUUCAGAUCAAUGGAUUUUAUGAAUUAUGAUGAUCUGAGGUUACAUUUGGUUUUGCGUAUUUGAAGUGAGUUGUAUUCAAGUAUUCCAAACAUAUUCAUUAAUGUGCUUCUUCUAUUUCCAUCGUUUUCAAUCUCAAAUUUUAUUUCUUCUCUUUUGUUUUUGUUGUUGAAUUAAGUUUCAGGUUACACAACUUAUUUAUACCUGAAACAAAUAGUAGCAACAAAGAUGGAGUAAGAAGAAAAGGGUGCAAAAAGAAAUUUAAUCAAAAAGUCAAUUAAGAAAUACAUUUUUCAUUUAAAAUAGAUUUUAGUUUUUGAAAAUAUAAAAAGAAAAACCAUAGACAUUAUUCGAUUGGCUUCCGAUUUUCUUAACAUCUGCUAAAAUCUGGACCAAAAAUUAUAACAAAUAAAUAUUUUAGGUACCAAAUUAAAAUAAAAAUAAAUAAGUAUACUUCAAAAGCUAAAUAAUAAAUUAAACCUUUUUCUUUUACAAAUUUGAUCCAUAGACUAGACUAAUGUAAAGCACGUGGUUUUGAACGAAAACUGAAAAGUACUAAGACAAUCGGAGGAAAAUGAAACGGAAUUUCUUGUGUUAUCACAAACUACAGUUUACUUGUUUGAAAUGAAAAUUAAAAAUUAAAAAGCAAUUGAAAAUAAAUAUUAAAAAUAAAUUAUUCAUUAAUAAAAUUUCACAAAUACAAUUUAUCAUUCAACACAUUUAAAUAAACAAGAAGCGAAUGCGACUUUAGCUCAGUUGCUAAAAGCGGAGGCCUUUAGCCUUAAACAUUCAAGUUUCAAGAUUUAUCAUGCGUAAUUUUAUAUGUAGGUCUUCAAGUACCUUCAUGUGCGGUUAUUAUAGGUGGGUUUUAGUUUGUCAGUCUGGAUUGUACUAGUUUUUAAUUUAUCUGUUUGCAAUAAUUUAAUACUUGUAAUAACUCGUUCUUGUAUUUAUAUUUUUUACACUUUAAAAUAAAUAAAUAGGGAAAAAAUAUUUCAUACAUUAAACAAUUGAAUAAUCUUAUUAAGUGUUAUGCUAAUUCAUUUUACAAAUUAAAAAUAUAAAAUAUUUUUUAAAAUAUUAAUAUUUAUGUGUGUAAUAUUCAAAUUUAAUUAAAAUUCAUUUCUUACUCUUAUUCAAUAUUUUUUGGACUCAACUCUGAUUCAAACGAUUGCUGAUGCACUUGUUGGUAUACAUCAUUGUAGCCAUUACGCACAAUCGAUGCAAAUCGAAUAUUAGUUGGAAUGAAAAGGAUAUUUUGAACUUCUAUGAGAGAUAUGAAUCGAUGCAAUCAAUAUCAAUACGAAAGUUGACUAUUAUGAUCUUUGUAAUUAAAUGAACUUAGUUAAUAAAUUAAAUGAAAAUCUUGAUAUUGUAUUAAUCAAAUAACAAUACAUAGUUAUGUUAUUUGAAAUUGUUAAAUAAUAUAUGUUGUAUAAAAAAAUACACACUUUAUUAAAACUUAUUUAAAGUAAUUGGUUGAAGUUGUUGUGAGAGAAACUCAUACCCAAAUGAGAUAAAUUCAUUUCCUGUCGUCUCGAUAAAAAAAAUACAACUCUUUAAAAACACAACCACUCCCUUAAAAUAUUUUUUAAGGUUUUCUUAUUUAACUCCAUGUACAGGAUGAAAAUUUUAUAAUAAAAAAUAAUAUAAAUUGAUUUUAAAAACCAAAUAUAACUUUGGUUAAAUAAUGGUAUAAAUAUAGAUAUUGUAAGAGGCAAGAGAAGAAUAUAAGGAAUUACCUAAAAGCUGCAUUAAUUGGGCCAACUUCAUGGGCUUAAAUUGCUCCUCAAUCCUAUAUUUGUAUGCAAUACUACCGGAAUCAACAAGUUCAUUUCAUUUUGAAACAGAAAAUCGAAACAAUCAUGUGUUUAAAUACAAAUAAUCCUAUACAUCUGUGUUUACCCUUUUUUUAAGAAUGUUAAAAAUAUAAAUAUAUACUAAAAUUAAAUCAGUAAAAAAACACAACGAAUGAAAAAUUAAAAAUAAUCUAACUAAAUUAAAAAGAACUAAAAAUAACUCACACACGACACACGCGCAUAAUGUGAGACAAUAACUCACGCAUGAUAAGACUUAAAUCUAAUUAUUGAAGACUCGGCCCUAUGCUUUGGGGUGUUUAAAAGAUUUCGUGUUCUCAAUGAUUUCAAAUCUACCCAUUCCCUCCUCUUAAACAAAAACAAUAAUUGUAUUAUAUUCAUAACUACAUGAUUAAUAUAACAGAACCAGAAUAAAAUGCAAGUAAAAAGUGUAGUACACUUAGUAUACUAAAAUUUGUUAUUAUUUAGCAUAAAAAAAAGUAUAUACUAAUCCUUAACGAAAAUACAGAACUGAUAAUUAAUAAAAUGGCAUUGUGUAAUUUCAUUGUUAAUGCAAACCUCUCCCUUGAGAUUGAGAAGCAGGUCUUUGGAGAACUCCAUAUUGAUAUCUUUGUUGGCUUCCUCUUCGGUGAUUCCGUAGAGGAAAAUGAUUAUUAGUGAGCGGUCUCCUUGAAGGACCCCAAAUUUGGUUUCUCUGAGCCAUCGUCUCUUGUUUCGGCGGCAAUGUUGGACUUGGAGUAGAUGUUUGAGCAACAUUAUCCACACCGCCACUUUCUCGGAAUACCGCUAACCUGUCCGGGAUUCCAUAGUAACCUGGAAAAUAAUUAUUUACCACUAAUUGAUUUUCGUUCAAGCCAUCAGAUGAAAUUGGCGGCACUCCAUCGUAGUUAUCGAUGGGUGGCACAUCUAUUCCUAAAUAUGGGUUACUACCAUAACCAAUAUUUGUAGCAUUGAUGUUGGAAUUAGGUACAAUUACACGACCAGUUACAGAAUUGUGGUUGAACCCAUUCAAGCCUGCAGAGUUAAUCUGGUUCUGCUGGUAAGGCUCAACCAAUUGAUCGAGUAGGUCAUUCAAGUGUUGAAGCUCUUCCUCGAGCCGCCUGAAGAGCCCUAGAGGCCCUCGGACUGGAUCUUGCGUCCAUGCCAAGGCUUCCCAUUCAAGGGACUCCACAGCUGUUUUCCUCUCGUCAGGAGUACGAGGCGUCAAUAUCCCUGUCAUGUUUUUCACACCAAAAAUCUUGUGAACUUCACGGAAAGAUUCUGCUCUGCUUGCAGGGAAGAAGGGAGCAAAUACACAGUUGCUUUCGCACUUUCUCCUUUGAUGCUUGCAUGCUGCGCAUGCGUGGCGAGUAUUUGGAGCAGCUUCUUCACCGUUCGACAUUCUUCUUCUUUCCUCGGACAAACAAACAAGAAUUUAGGGUUUGUUGAGACAAUCAAGUAAAGUGCUCCUCCUUUUUCUCAAGGUUAAACUAGGUUUUCAUAAAUUCGGCUUGCCCCUAGUAGUUUUUGUCCAUCAAAUUCCCAAUUACAUAAAUAUCAUAUAUCUUUUCUAUUUAGGGUUUUAUUUUUUUUACUUUUUAAAUAAGAGUAUUAGAUUUUUUUUACUUCUUAAAUUAAUUAUUAGUUAAAGAAAUAAGUAGUCCAAAGAAAUAUUUUAUGUUUAGCAUAAUUAAUACAAGUGUUCUAAUAGAAAUAAAUAUCUACCACUCAUCUUAACAAUUAAACUGAUAAAAUAAUAUGAUUGAUAUAAUAUUAAUAAUUUUAUAAUUCGGUAACAAGGUUUAAAUUUUUAUAAACUAUCAAUUAUAUGCAUAAACUUAACUGGACUUGUCAAGGGCCAAGUAGUUCACCCGACUCAAUAAGCUCAACUCAACUUGGACAAAUAUUUUUACACUUCGUGUUGGUCCGAAUUUAUUUUAAAUAGUAAAAAAUACUUCAAAUUCAAAUUUAAAUAUAAAAAUAUAUUUUAACGUUUUACUUUUUUUUGACAGUGAAAUGAGCUUUUGAGCAGGACGAGUCAAAAUCAGGCCUGGGUUGAAAAUUUUUUGAAACCAGAAUAUAAGAUUUGGGGUUUAUAAAAAAAUUAAUAAAAAAAUCAUUAGAUGCAAAUCUUGAUAUUGAUUUCUUUCUUUGAUUGCAAAGAAAAUUGAAGAAGAUGAAUGAUUUAGUUGUUGUAUGGUUUAGGGAUUACCUUUUGAAUAGAAAAGGUAAAUUUCUUAUUUUCAGUUAUUAAGUUUUGUGAAGAAAUUCCUAAAAUAGAUUAAAGGAAAUUAUUUUUUUAAUUUAAAAUUUAAAAUUAAGAAUUUUUAUGUAUUUUUCAUGUAUGAAAUUGUAAUGAUGUCAUAUGCAAUGUGUCGAUCAUACAUUUGUUACGUGCGCCACCUCAUAAAAAAAUCAACAUUAUUAGUGUUUUGGGUAAUUUAUGUAACGGUUGGCAAGUUUAAGUACUAAAUUACACACACAAAAAUUAAAUACUGAAUUUUAAAAAAAAAAUGUCACGUUCAAAUAUCAAAUCUUAUAUUAAGUCUAGAUUUAUUUAUUGAUUUUGUACAAUUAUUUCAUAGGAUGGGGGUGUAUGCCAAUCCAUAUGCCACUAGAUCUCAUUUUUGGACAGCUUGAAAAUAAUAUUUGUUCUAUAUACAAGUAUUCAAACUUUAAAAAGCAUAGAUGGUAGUAUUUUGGAGGAGGAUCCAAAUUAAUUUAUAAGGAUUAUGCUGAGUGUGGUAAAGACUAAAGAGAGAAAAAACACUCUGCUUUGUAGGUUAUGAUAAAGCUACUACCGACGUACCAGUUCUCCAUUCACAUUUUUCUUUAAUUCAAUACGCUUAGGUUCACCAUUCAUUACCAUAAAUACUGCAUUCAUGGCAACAAUAGAUCCUCGAGCUAAGACAUUAUGCUCCUCAUGUGUCCACUGUGCUUGUUGGAACCAAACUAGCUUAGAUAUGAUCCCAAUAAUAAAAUUAUUAAGACAAGCAUGAUUGAGAUUGCGUCAAAGCAAAAUUAAUUAUAAUUAUCUUACAGCUAACUCAGCAUAUCUAAAACCUCGUAUUUUAUGGUGGCUAGAAAGUAUCUUAAUUUUACAUUUUGACUCUAAUUGGAUGCAGAUUUGCUAUAUAAGUUUAAUUACUUGUCAAUUUUGAUUUUUUUAUGUAUAAUGUUAGUGUGAUAUAUUGCAUAAUUAAUUUAUAUCAUAUCAUAUUUUUCUUUAUUCGUAUUUAUUUGUGUAUCUAGUAUCUAUUAUAAAUAAGUUACAUAACUUGAUGCAAUAUUUUUCUUCCACACAAAAAUUCAUUCCUCCUCCUUUGGCCUCUUGUGUAUUUAAGUUAUAUAAAUUUUUUUAAUGCUACUUAUAAAUGUCUUCAACCUUUUUCCUUCUUGAACAACCACGACAAUACUCGAGCUUUAGUGACUUGCUUUGUUUGAUAACAACCCUUUGUUUUUCUUCUAGUAAAAAAACAUUAUUUUAAAUAUAACAUCAACCCAAUUACUGAAUUUCAGUACUUUUUUAAAUUUUUCAAUCUCUCUUAAUCUUACGUGAAAUAAUAGAAUUUAUACACGUCUUUAAACAUUUUAUUUUGAAAUUUCUCAAAUCUUUUUUUAAAAAUUUCACAUGAAAAUAAGUUGAUUUUUACAAUUGAACCAAUUGACUAUUAUAAGAAAAAUAAAGAUGGACAUCAAAAAAUUAUUUAUCCAAUUCUAAAUCUCUUCCUAUAUCUGGUGGUGUCUUGUUAAAGAGUAAUCCAUUAUGAAUCAAGUCUUGAACCUCUUCUUAUAUGCGUGGGGUCUUGUCCAAAAACUAAUCUACUAUGAAUCGACAAUACAAUAUGUGUGUUAACUUCAACUCUCUUACCAAGUAACAACCUCACUCAAAUACAUUCAAAAUCACUCUUUGACUAAGACUUUUUCCAAUAAAAGCUAUGUUAGAACAGGUUGAAUAUAUCCCAAAAUCACUCAAAAAUGUUCCUUACAAUGAAUAAAUUGAGUUCUAUAUAGAUCCACACCUAAAAAAAUACAAAUUUUCAAUAUAUAGACCCUUGUAAUCAAAGUAAUUCAAUUAGUGUGAUCUGGUUGAACCAUUAGGGUUUUUGUCCAUAUCAAACAUGUUUAAUGAAAAAGAUAAUCUUGAGAUAUUUUCUUCAUAUUUUCUCGAUCACAUAUCUCUUUGUUUAUGGAAAGACAAUCACACUAAGCUUCUUCAAACUAUCCUUAACUGAAUAUUAUACCAUGAAAUAUACAAUAUAAUAUCCCUUAAGAAGAUGCACAAAAAUGCCACAAUAAUUGGAUCAAAAUAUACCAACAAAAUAGGUAAUUUAUAAUGUUCGUCCAACUUUUUCUUAUGUUGCAACUAGUCUUUUAAGGUUAAACAAAGCUUCCAUAAAGAGUUAGAGUUCAACUUCACAAAGUAAUCUUCGAUCCAUCUAGAUCUGUACAAAUCGCACUAAAUCAAUUACCCUUAACAUAAAAGGAAUUAGAUAAAUCUUCACAAAGUCAACUCACAUCUUCUUGUAACUACAUAUCUCAAUAUAUGUGUGUGUAUAUAUAUAUGUUAGAGUUGUGUGACCCAAAUUCUAAAAGAUUGUUUGCAAUUCAAGUUAAACAAAAUAUAUCUUCUUUCUAGAAGAUUUAGUAUUUAUGAGUAUAAUAUAUUUAGCAUUUAUUAAUAUAAUAUAUUUGACUUUGAUUAGAAUUAGAUUUUUUCAACCUAGAUGUAGUCGAAACUCAUUUUGAAAUCAUUCAAAUUCAAUAUAAUGAAUUUUCUUCUCCUCUGCCCGUGGUUUUUUUCCCGAAAGGGUUUCCACGUAAAAUUUGUGUGUUCUUUAUUUUUAUUUCUCUUUUCUUUGUGAUAUAUUGUCAUUACCGAUGUUCUUUUUUUUUUAAAAUAUAUAUAAGGUAAGUUAAUCACACUAGGAGUCUUCAAAAUUAACCUUGCUUAAUCCAACUUCUUCUCCAAUUAAAUGAGAAGUCAGAAAAGUUUUUGAAGGGGGCCAAAACUAAGUUGUAUAUUUUUACGGUAGCAAAAGUGAAAUUUCAUUAUUUUAAUAAUCUAUAUCUUUAUCAUUUUUAAAGGAUUAGAUCAUUUUUUUCUCAUUUUUAAGGGGGCUAAAGUGUAAUUUUAUCAUAUAUUAAUUUAAACUUUUUAAAAUUAUAAAAGGACUAAAUGUGAAAAUUAGGUGGGAUAGGCCGAGACCCCUACCAACCCCUUAGCUUCGCCCCUAUCUCUAAUUAUAAUCUCGUGAUUGAGUACUAAAAAAAUACAAGUAAAUAAUCAGUCAAAUAUUCCAACAAAGAGUUUUAAUUUACUACUAGCUAUGUCUUAAAUUGUAACUGGUACUAUGGUUGGUAAGUAAAACUAGCACUAACAUCAUGUUCUAACAUUAACACGAUUUGAAAGAGGAAUCAAGUUUAUUAAAAUAGAUACCUCUUUUUAUGCUCAACGAAGACUAUUUUGAGCCUAAGACCUUGUUUGUAACACCCUCUAACCCUUAUCCGCCGCUAGAACAGGGUUACGGAGCAUUACCGAACUUUUCAGAUCAACUAUGAACAUUAUAUAAUCUUCUAGCAUACACAUCAUAAUUUAAUCAUAUUGUCCCUUUUAUGAGCCCCCGAGGCUCAAAAUAUGUGUUAGAAACAAAUCGGGACUAAAUCAGGUACUCCAGGAAUUUUUUGCAAAAUUUCAAAAAUUUUCCUAGGUGUAGGGGACACACGCCCAUGUGUUAGCCGUGUGUCUCACACGGUCCAGUCACACUCCCUUGUGUCUUCCCGUGUAGACUCAAAAUGAACCUUAAACAUCAAGUUUACCCUUCCCUGCAACCUUGAACACCAAGCAACUCAAAAACCAAUCGUUCAAUCACUUUAAAACACGAUUUAAUACCUUUAAAACAUGUCAAAACAAUCAUCCUAGUUUUCUAACCAAUGUACCCUCAUAGGUACUUCACAUAUAUUAUCAAAACAAUCAAAUAAGACAGCAUCUAAGCCAAUUCAAAAUUCAUACCAAUUUCAGCCCAAAUUUGCCUAUAUCACUCUCACUUAUGCAUCAACUUAAACAUUCCAUAUUAAACCUCAACUUAACACGUAUAAUCAUGUAUAUAAGUAACCAAUAUCAUCUUAUAACAUCAUUUACAUUCACUUCCCAAAAUGACAAGCAUAAGACAUCCUAGGUACAUGCUGACACAAAAAGAAAUAUACAUCACCACGUUUUGAGUUCGGGAUCGUUGAUGGAUACUGAAUCGGCAAUCUGACUUUAACCUAACCUGCGCACGAAAAACAAAUUGUACGCUGAGUAUAAACUCAGUGGUAUUUCUAUAAUCCAAAUGUUUAAAAGUAAAAUAAUAUAAUAUACAAUAACUAUAGUCAUACAAUUAUUCAAUUCAUAAAUAAGGUAUUUAUAACACAUUCAAUUUUUAUCAUUUGCUAUCUCAGAUAGCUUUUCACAAUACAAACACAAAUCAUUUGAACAACAAUGUUGUUCAUUCAUAUUCAAUUCAUAAAUACACAAAUCAUAUGUCUCUAACCAUAUUUCAAAUCACCACUCAAUAUCAAUCAGAACACUAUUUUAUUCAAUAACCCCCAUUAACAUGACACGGACUCGGACGGAUACACGGAUCCAACCAAAACACACCAGUUUGGCACCCAAUGCCUUAUUGGAUAAUUCGAAGCAAUAAGUUGACACCUGGUGUCUCAUCGGCCAUGCCGAAGUAAAUUGGUACCCAGUACCUCAUCGAAUUUAUCCGAAGUAAUAAUUUGACACCCAGUGUCUCAUCGACUCGAAGUCGAAAAAAUCCUUGAACUCUUUCAAUCCUAUGGCAUGUCAUCUAUAUCCGACUCAGUCUGAUACAGUUAAUAGGGUUUAAUUUCACUUUUCAAAUACAACCAAUAUUCUAUUCAAUUCAAAUAAUCAAUAUAUAUAUCAAUUCAAUCAAUAUAAAUUUAAUAAGUUCAUCACACUUAUCAUAUACAUUAAAUUGAAUUAUAGCAAUUAACAACUAAAUUUGGAUUAUAGAAAUACAAACCGGAAAUACCGAGCUAUUCCUCGUCGACUUUAUCUUUUCCCUUUUUAGUCGAGGGUUCCGGUACGACGUUAGCUACGGAAUUAAAAUAAUUAAAAUUCAUCAAUACAAUACAAUUUGACAUUGAACAUUUCAAUUUUUAUUCAACUUUUGUCUAAAUUUCAAAUUAGUCCCUAAACCGAGCUUAACUUUAUUUCUUCAAAACUAAUUCUCUAUUUUCAUUCAAUUUCCACUUUAGACUAAAUUCAACUCUCUAAUUUCACUCAAAUCCCUAAAUUUCAAAAUUUUUACAAUUUAGUCCCUAAUACUCAAAACUUAUAAUUUAUUUUACAAUUCAAUCCCUUUUUCAUUUCUAACUUAAAAUUCUAUCAAUUUAAUCCCAAAUACUUAAACUAUUCAACAUGAACAACAUCUAAAAAUUCAAUAUUUUACAAUUCACAACAUCUAAAAAUUCAAUAUUUUACAAUUCAAUCACUUUUUCAUUUCUAACUUACCAAUUAAGUUUUGAACCUUGAAACCCUAAUUUCUCCUUUCUUUCUUUCUCUUUUUCUUUUUUCUUUCCUUUUCUCCCUAUUUUGUUUCUAUUUUGUUUCUUUUAUUUAUUAUAUUUACUUAUUAUAAUAUAAUAUAUAUAUUUAAUAAUUAAGAUAUAAUAUUAUAAUAUAUAUUUUAACUUUAAGUUUUAUAAAUAUCUAUCUUAUGCCGCCUCAUUUAUAAGCAAUAGCACAAUUGCUCAUUUAGUCCUUUUAAUUUUUCUUUAAUCUAUAAUUCGACUUUCACCUUUUAUGCAAUUUAGUCGUUAUACCUAAUUUCUCUUAAUUCAUGCAAAUUCACCUAACAAAAACCUAAUUAACCACACUACGAGUCCGAUUUACGGUAACGGAGUCUUAAAAAUGUACUUUUUGAUGCCCGUGACUAUCAGGUCGUUACAUUGUUAGCAUUGUUUGUCUUGUUAAAUUAGUGUUUUAUGCCCACCAAAGCAAUGGUUAAAUUUAAAUUAGAUUUUUGACUUGAAUAAGAAAGAUGGAUUUGAAUGUGUUUAGGUUUUUAGAAAGCUAGUUUCUAUGUGAAAUUAUAAAAUCAGUGUCCUUGUUUGUGUGGGGGUACUGUUAUACAACUAAACUAAAUUGUAUAUACAAUUCACUUUAAAUUGCAACUAUGUAAAAUUUAAAUUGGAUAUACCAUUAUUUUCCUUUCUAAAUUUUAUAUAAAUUGUAUAGCAUUAUAUAUUUUAAUUUAUAAGGGUUUUAUUUGUAUGUGAUUUUAAUCUCUCAAAUAUAGUUAUAUAUUCAAAUUAAAUUUUACAUAUAAUUUAUAUUAAUUACUUAAAAGCAUUUAAAUUUUAUAUUUAAUAUAUUAUAAUAUUAUUUAAAUUAUUUUUUUUCAACCUUGAGUUUAAUAUUAAAAAUUGUAUAUUUCACAAUAUUUUUUUUAUAGUAAUGUUAAACAAUUAAAAUUAAAAAAUCACUUCACCGUACUUUUUCAUAAAACUUUACAAGAGCAUUUCCCCCCUAAAAAAACACCUUUUAAUGCAACACCAAACCAUUUGAAUUAGGUUCAUGUAUAGAGGUGUUCAUAGCUAGACAGAGUUUGAGUUGAGCUUAUAUAUAAUAUUGAUAUACUUUAUAUUUGCCCAAAUUCAGCUUAGUAAAUAUGAGCUUAAAAUUUUGUUUUAGUCUACACAUCUUUAUAAAUGACUAACCCAAAUUCAUUUUAGACCUAACAUCUUUUUGCUUAAAAUAUAUUUAUUUUUAAUUUCACAUUUAACAUUUUAGAAUUUUUUUUUCUUUCAUUAAAUUUUUAAAUUUUAGAAACUGCAUAUUUUUUUAAUGUUUAUUUAGUAUUAUAUUAUUAUAUAUUUAAUUUUAUGUAAUGUAAACUACAUAACCUAUAAAAAAUAAAAUUAUAUUAUAAAAGUACAAAAUGAGUUGAAUGGAUUAAAGUUAAAACUUAAGAAUUUAAUUUUUUAAAAAUCCAAUUUCCAGACCUCUUUUUUAUCUAAACCUAAAGUGGAGGGAGUUAGAAAAUUUAUUGUGUUUUCCUCCCUUUUCCCCUCUUUUAAAAGUUGUUAUUUUUUGGCCUGAAAAGUGGGGUUAAUUGCCUUAAGGGCUUUCCCAGCAUGCUCUUAAACAGUAUUUAGAUUAAUAAGUAAUCAUUGAUUAUUUUAUUUAGCACUAUCCAUGAAUUAUAUCCGGUAAUCUUAAAGACCGUCAACAGAACAUUAAUCAGCAAAAUCUUUACUUUAAUUAUUAAUAAAUUAACUGUUCUCUCAAAGUUGUUCCCUUUUGUGAGACAAGUAGAAAGAUUCAGUAUUUACUAAGAAUAUUAAGCACUAAUAAUAAUAUUCAAGUACAAAACAUGUUUGCUAUUAACAAAAAUACACUUUCAAUUAAUAUAGUACCAUAAUUUGACAUUCCUCGUUACCCCCCAAAAGAAAGAAUUUGACAUUCCUUAAUAUAAUACUGUAUUUCAUUUAUAUAUUGGUAAUAAUUAAAUAGGGUCAAUGAAAAUUUGGGAAUUCCUUCAAUUUCCCAAGAUGAUGUUGUGCCCCCCAUUAAACUAUGUUUUAGCUGUAGUGGGAUUUAGAGGUUUUCAAACUUUGAUUGAAAUUAUGUGCUUAACAUAAUUUUAUUAUAAUUGAAUUUUUAUUGAUUUUAUGGAAGUGUAAAAAAAAAAAUACCCUCAUCACAUAUAGAAUGAUAUUUUAAUGAUUUCGCAGUCGAAUAAAACAAUUAAAUCUAUGACUGCCCUUCAAAUCAAUGCAGUUCUUGAGAUAGCUAGGAAUCUCACGUAAGGAAUAAGUAAAAUGAUGAUGAUUAAGUGGCACCUAUUUCAGUACAAAAUAAAAAAGGUAAUUAAGAAGUAGAUUCAUUCAUAAUUUUUUUCUCACAGAAUAAAUGAUGUUGUUGGGCCACUAAAAUUUGCAAACAAAAGCAGUCCUCACAAAUUUUCUCUUAAAUUUUCUGUGCCAUCGAUAUAAAUAUAAAUCGGUUAAAGUGGUAUAUUAAUAUAUAAAAAGAAAUGAGUCUAUGCUCUAUUUAUAAAAGCAAAAGUUGAGUCUGGAAAUUUUAAUGAAAACAAUAUACUAAAUUCAAAAAUAUAUAUAUUAAGCAGCUAAAUUGAUCUACUUAUAAAAGCAGAAGUUGAGAGUGGAAAUUUUUGUUACAAAAUGUAGGAAUAUUAUAUGAUGAAUUGCAUGUGCACCUAAAUUUAGGCAUUUAAGCAUAGUCAUGUUCAGUAUUUACUACAACCAUGUUUGCUUUAAGUGAUUAUUCUCUUAAACCGCAUUUCUAGCUAACAUAUUCUCAUUUUCAUUGUUCAUGUUGGCUUUUAUUGAUUCAAAGUACCAACACCAUUUAUUGUAAUAAUGUGCUUUCAAGUUUCAACUUCUACUCUUUUUUAUAUAUUUUUUUUGAAGUUUUGCUUCUUGUUUUAUUGUGAAUAAUCAUGAAGAAAGAAUUGGUCUAUUUAUUAACGAUGGGUGAGUACAAUUUAUAUUUAUAAAAGAUUUAGUGCAAGUGAUAAAAAUUUAUGUAUACAUCUAUCAAUCUUUAGUUCAAUCUAGGGGUGAGCAAAACUCGAUUCGACUCGAAAAAAUCGAAAAAAAUUUGAAUUUCGAGUUAAACGAAUCAAGUUAUUCGAGUUAAUCGAGUUAUUCGAAUCAACUCGAAUUUUUUUUUUCGAAUUUCGAGUUCGAAUCGAGUUAAGUUUUCGAAUUCGAAUAACUCGAAUAAUUCGAAUAAUUCGAAUAUCAAACUAUAUAUUUGACAGUUUUAUCCUAAACUCCCAAACUUUUUUACUUUUCCCUCAAAACUUUUACUCCUUCCCACUUUUCUCCCAAAACUUUUACUCCCCUCCCCUCCCCUCCCAAUCCCCCAAUCUACCCAAAAUUCAUUUCCCACCAAAAUUUUACUCUCCCAUUUACUUUUUCUCAAAAUUUUACUCCCAAAAACCCUCAAAACCUUUUAUUUUCUCUCAAAAUUUUUACUCCUUCCCACUUUUCCCCUAAAACUUUUAUUCCUUUUCCAUCCCACCUCCCACCUCCCAUCUACCCCAAACCCUCCCCCCUCCAAUUUUUUUUUUUAAUAUUUUCCCUCCAAAAUUUUACUCCCCUCUAUUUACUUUCCCUCAAACUUUUAUUCCCCAAAACUUUUUAUUUUCCCCCUAAACUUUUACUUCUCACUAUUUACUCUCAAAUAAAAAAUCAAAAUUAUCCAAAAAAAUCACUAAACAUAAAAAGUAAUAAUUUUAUUUAUAUUUACUAUUUAUAUUAUUAAAUUAAAUUUCACAUUUUAUAUUCUUUAUAUUAUUGAAUUGUUUAGUCAUAUUGAAUAUUUAUAUUAAAAUUGAAUUAUUAAUUAUGCCAUAAAAUAUUCGUGUUAAAAUUUUAUAUUGGUAUCAAUUUCACAUUUUAUUUUUGAAAUAACUUUUAUUAAAAAAUCAUAUUUUUACAUUUAAUAUAUUUUUUAAUUCCAAAAUACAUAGUGACAAGAAUCUGAAGAUAAUUGAAACAACUAAGCAAGAAAAUAAACUAAUCAGUAUAUAAAAAAUUAAUAAAUAAAUUAUGAGGUGAUGAAAGUUAAUAAAAAAUUUGAUUAAGGUAGCCAAAUUUUAUUACGAUGGGUGACAACGGUUAUAAUGACCCAAAAUUAUUUUUUUAAAAUUUAACUCGAACAAAUAUAUUCGAUUCGAUUCGAUUCGAAUUUCAUCUCACUCGACUCGAUUCAAUAAAACUUCAAAUAAAUUUAGGAUGAUAAAAUGAGAUUCGAAAACUCGAUUAACUCGAAAAUUUUUGAUUCGAUUCGAUUUGAUUCGAUCGAAUGCUCAUCCCUAGUUCAAUCUCUAGAGAUUUGUAAUUUAUAUGUAAUUCUUUUAUUUAAGUUUUUAUAAAAGAACAAUAUGAAAAUACAAAAAGAAAAAAAAAUAUCAUUACAGUAUUAUUGAUUUAACCACUACUCUGCUACGCUAUUUGCGUCCACAUUAUAUGUGGUGUGAAUAAUCGAAAAAGUUUCAGAAACUAAGAGGGGGAGUUAAUUCAUUUCAAGAUUUGUCACAGCCAAAUUGGUAGGACCACACAGUAUAAAAGAAAGAGCAGAAAGGGAAAAAUAACACAAAAAGAGAAAUUGAGUCUUAAAAUAAUAAUGCACGUUUUGCAAUGUGCGAAAUUGCAGCAGAGAGGCAGAGAUCCCCUCCCCCAUAGCCACAGUUCGUCCUGCAAAGAUAAUUUAAAGGAAGUGAAUGGCCUUGGGUUGGGAAUGGUUCACUUUGGCUUGACUCUCAGUCAUUCAUCAAUAAAUAACGAAGGCUAAGCCCCUACACACGUUUGCAAUGACGGCGACAUAAAGGCCAAAGCUAGUGCCAAAACAAGCACUUUCCUGUGUAUACUUCAGUUUGCUAAAGACCUUUGAUGGGAUUGUCUUCCCAACUUUCUGUAAACUUUCGUCUCUGUCUGCCCCUAAACAGAGACUGAAGGAAGACUUGCUUUAUUACAUUAUUUGAAACAGAGCCAUGGUGAUGGUCCCCUCGGUCCCAUGUGCUCCCCUUGUAGUUGUAUCAGACUUCCUUCCACCACUCGAAUAUUAUGUAUAAUUUUAACUUUUUAAUAAACACGUAGCUUUGGAAAGAAAUUCGAUGUAAAGAUAAUCCUACCCUUAAAAAGCUUCCAUACAUGAGCAUACAAGUAUAGGCGAAGGAAUCAUAAAAGGGAAAGGAUUUAAUAUGCAAUUUAUGUUAAAAUAGCACAAUCUCACAUUUAAAAAAUAUAAGAUUGUGAAGUGCUUGUCUUAUUAUAAAUAGAGUUGGUUUCUCCACCUUUAAAUCAUUUCAAAAUUUGUCAUUUGCGGUGAAUUAUAUUUGAUAGUGUUCGAUGGUGUAGGUGUAAUGUAUUGAACUCGUUAAAAAUUUUUGGUGUUCUUUAUUGUUUUUCUUUCAAUAUUUUGCAAGUACAUUUAUAGUGAUAUAUUGUGUUAUUAAAUUAGAUUAGAGGGAGAUUUUAUCUAAGAGAUUGGAUUUUAGGAGGUGAAACAUUUUCAUUCUUUUAGAAUUAAUUCUUGUAAGUUGUAAUUAAAAUAAUGAAGAUUUUCAAACUAAUGAAUUAACGGUAUCACAUCAAUCAUGGCAUGUCAAAACACAAAUGAUUCAAUGUAAAGAAUAAGGAUAAACAAUAAUUAAUUUUAUAUAAUUAAAAUUUAUAAACUAAACAAUUAGAAUGGAUGGAACAUAUCAGAAUUAAAGAAAAAACCAAACUUUUGUGAAUCAAUUUAUGAUGGAAAUAGAGCAUUCCAACCAGUACUAGAACGAAUCUAACCAUGGUUCCAAGACACUUUUUCAAAAAUAAAGUUAAAAAAUGUUAGAUAAAGAAAUCAUACCUGAAAUACAUAGAACUAAACCUUGAUAUCUAUAAUUGAUUAUCAAGUUGCCUUUUUUUUUUUGGCUGAACAACUGAUCCUAUUUGUUAUUUAUGGUUGUUGUCUGCUCAUUUUGCAUGUUUACUUGCUGGUAGAACAUUUCUCUAUGAAGGAUAAUGGAUAUGCCUCAUAUGGGCAACACGUUUAUUAGAGCAUGAGCUCCUUUAAAGCUCUUUUAUUUUUGGUAGUAAGAGAAUUAAUAGCAGGAACAGAGUUGGAAAGUAAAAAUCACCUAUCUAUCCGAAUUUUAUCAUCAACCAAAGUAGGGGCAAAAUGAAAAUUUUUUAAGUCAAUGGGAAUACUUUUCAUCAGAUCAGUUAAAGUUCACAUCUCUAGGUAUUUAUUUAAAUAGUACUCUCCACUUACGGCUGCACAUGUCUUGGAUUCACACAAUUAAUAUCCUCAACAAUUUCCAUUAAUACCUUUGAUAACUAGACCGUAAUCAAUCUCAAUAAUAACGUUUAUCUAAUCUAUUUUUAAUCCUUGGAGUCCAUCUUAUGUGGUUAUAGCAAAAUUAAGUUUUAGAUCUUUCCAAUUUUAUGUUCUGCAUUAAUGUUAUUUAAUUGUAUGCACUAUUUUUUUAUGCUCGAUUUGAUAAGAAUGAAAGCAUAAAAAAAAUCUUUUAAUCUAAUAAUUACACUAUAUAAUAUAAAAAAAAACAUAAAGCUAAUUAACGCAAAUUUAAGAUUAUCCAUAUGACGCCUCGGUAAUUUUCUUAAGAUCUGUUUGAUUGACGAAAUUGACUUUCCGGAAAAUCAUUUCCAACUUUUCCAGCGUUCGAUUAGAGGAAAACAUUUUCCAUUUGGAAAAUGAACUCCAAAACAAGGGAAAAUGGGUUACAGUUUAGGGAAAAUGUCUUACCCUUUCAAUUUCCGUAAGACAUUUUUCGUGCUAUCCUCUCUAUCGUCUCUAUCGUCUCCUUCAUUCAUUCCUUCAUUUCCGGUAGAAAACUGCUUCUGUUUAUCGAUUUUCCAGUAACUUGUUUUUUUAAUUAUUCAAUACUUGUUUUUUUAACACAAUUACAAAUAAUUUAUUUGAUAUUAGUUUUUUUCAAUUUAUAACGAUUAAUAUUGUAGCUUAAUAAUUGAGUAUUAUUAUAAAUAAAUCAUUGCAAUAUAUGUAAAAAUAAUUUAAAAUAUAAAAAUUUAUUAAUAUAUAUUAAUAUAUGUAAAAACAACUUUUCCGAAAAAUAUUUUCAAAAAAUCUGCCAAGCAACAGAAAAUAUUUUAUACAGAUUCAAUCAAACACCAGAAAAUAUUUUUCAAUAAAUCAUUUUACAGAAAAGUAAAACAUUUUCCAGAAAUCAUUUUACGGAAAAUAUUUUAUUGGCAAUCAAACAGACCCUUAGUUAGCCAAGUAAAUCGAGAGAGAGAAAAGAAAUCCGAUUAACCUUUUCAUAUUAUGUUCAGAUUUUUAAAAGAAAAAAAAUAAAUUUUGAUAUAUUUUACUGACAAAAUAUAAUUUGAUAUAACAUCCACACACUAAACACACUCUUUAAUUUGAUAAUUAAUUUUCAAUUUAAUAAAUUUUAAAAAUUACGUAAUUGUAAUUGGGUCUUAAUGUAAUUUAUAUUGAAAACGUGGGAUUCAGCGUUUCUCUUUUUAUUCAAGCAUAUAAGAAUUCUACGUGAUUAUUAUAUAAUAUUACAAAAAUUAAAAUAAGAAAAAGCUUAAAAAUAAAUACUUAGAAAUAUUGAAAAGAGUUUGAACGUCAAUGCAUGUUUGGUGCUAACCUCUAACGCCAGUUAAGAAAAAACAAGGGAAUUUGGAGGAUAACCAUUGACCUGACCGCCAUGAUAAUCAGCAGCUAAUUCAUGCCAAGGCCGACAAUUCCCCCAUAUUCUUUCAGUACCAAAUGCAAAUAUCCCUCGGAUAAGUGCAGAAAUGUUUUGCCCUCUUCAGUGUACUGUUUUAGAUAAGUAUGGAACUAAUCAAUUUAAUUCACUAGGAAAGUCCUCGGAUGGGAAAGAUUAAGUUUUAAUGUCAAAAAAAAGAAAACAAAAAACCAUGCAGAUAAACAAUAAAUAAAACCCUCGAGUCAAUCCAUAAAUAAUAAGCCACCACUCUGAUACCAAAUCAAAGUAUGAAAACCCUACAAGCUAUACAUCCCUUAUUGACUUUCAAACCCCCCUAUUUAUUCUUCAACAACCUAAUUUUCCAUUAGAAUAAUCCAACACUUACAUCUGCCCCCCUCCACCCUUUCAUUAAUACACUGCGAGCAGAAACCGAAGAGAACCCCAAAAGAAAUAUUAGUAUAUAUAUGUGAAACAUAAAAUAAGAUAGACAAGCUGGCCAGAAUAACCCAUUUCUCUAAAGCAAAAAUACAAAGAAAAAGCCUCUCUCUCUCUCUCUCUCUCUCUCUUCUCUACUCUUUGGAACCUUACUCCACUUUCUCCUUCGCAUUAUGAGCUUUCUAUGUCACCAUUGAUGGAAGAUUCUAGUUAAGCACCAAGCAUGUAUCUAUUUCCUUGUUUCCUUUGUUUCUUGUCUGGGGGAAUUAGCUUGUACUUUUGAGUAGAAAGCAAGUACUUUAGUUUUAAUGUAAAAUGGUAAACGAUAUGGGAGACUACUUUCAAUCUUCCCUUUUUCAUUUAUUGUGAUUUCCUUUCUUGUUUAUGUUUUUGAUGGGGAUUCCUGUUGUGGUUUUUGCCAGUUACAUGGUUUUUUUUAUCAAAGAAAGGAAAUUUAUUAAAUGUUCUUUUUUAUUAUUUUAUUUUCUUUGGGAGAUGGGAAUGACUUUUUAUUUAAUUGAGAGAAAAAUAUUAUUAUAUUAUGAAACAUAAAAUAAGAGAGACAAGCUGACCAGAAUAACCCAUUUCUCUAAAGCAAAAAACAAAGAAAAAGCCCUCUCUCUCUCUACUUUUUGGGGUCUUCAAACCUUACUUCACUUUCUCUGUCACCAUUGAUGAAGAUUCUAAUUAAACACCAAGCAUGUAUCCAUUUCCUUGUUUCCUUUGCUUCUUGGCCGGGAGAAUUAGCUUGUACUUUGAGUAGAAAACAAGUACUUUAGUCUUAAUAUAAAAUUGUGAACGAUAUGGGAGACUACUUUCAAUCUUCCACUUUUCAUUUAUUGUGAUUUCCUUUCUUGUUUAUCUUUUUGGAGGGGACUCCUGUUGUGGGUUUUGCCAGUUACAUGGUUUAUUUAUCAAGAAGGGAAAUUUAUUAAAUGUUUUUUUUUUAAUUUUCUUUUCUUUGGGAGAUGGGAACGACUUUUUAUUUAAUUGAGAGAAAAGAAAAAUAUCACAGGAGUAGGUGAGGAGGCUAUAAGAAGAGAUGUUAUAUAUGUCUGCCUAGUGCAAAGCAGUAGCAAAAACUAGAGCAACAAAAGGGCAAUUAUAUUUCUUAUUCCUCUUUUGGUUGGCAACUUUAGAUUAGAUAUCUAACUCAGAUUUUGGCCAUUAUCAUCAGCACCAUCAUGUCUUCAUCAAACAGACACUGGCCUAGCAUGUUCAAAUCCAAGCCCUGCAACACUCACCACCAAUGGCAGCAUGACAUCAACCCAUCUCUCAUGUCAAGUGCUUGCCAAAAAGCCCCUUACACUUCAGGUAAAUGACAAUUUUUUCAGUAGCCAUGACAAACUUCAUUCAAGGUUUCUUUUGUUCUUGAAUAAGGGACGCCUAAAGUCAUCUACUUCACCUGAAAUCUUCCUACGUUAGAAAUCUCGGAUUUGUCUUUACCUACAUAAAUAAAUCGUCAGUUUUCUCAUUAAUUUGCUUCUUUUAAACUGAUACUUCCAAUAGUUAUAGUAUUACUUGAUAAUUUUAUGUAAUUAAGAAAAACAUCAUGUUUGAAUUCUUCACAAGUUCCAAUUGUAUGCUAACUUCUUGAACAACUAUUGCAGGAUGUGAAGAGCGUAGUCCUGAGCCUAAACCAAGAUGGAACCCGAAGCCUGAACAAAUUCGCAUACUGGAAGCUAUAUUCAACUCCGGGAUGGUUAACCCACCUAGGGAUGAGAUAAGGAAAAUCAGAGCUCAACUGCAAGAGUAUGGCCAAGUAGGCGAUGCCAAUGUCUUUUACUGGUUCCAGAACAGAAAAUCAAGAAGCAAACACAAGCUGCGAAAUCUCCAAAAUUCUAAACAACAGUUGCAGCAAAAUCAACAAACUCCUCCUAUCACUAAUAUGACCACCAUCUCUGCACCUUCCUCUUCAUCAUCCUCAUCCGAGAAAUCUUCGCCAAAAGGAGCUAACAAGAGUACCUUCUCUUUGAGCAGUACAAAUGUCGUUGACGUUUCCAGUUCUCCAACUGCUUCCGUGAACCAGACCUACUUUCAUCAGCCUCAGAACGAGUUCUUGAACGAACCGUUUUUCUUUCCCAUGCAACAGCCUGCUGGAGGAUCCGGAUUUACACAAGCGUUUGGCUUCUCAGAACUGACCAAUGUGAUUCAAGUCCCUGAACAAACAGUUGGACCCUGUACAAGUCUAUUGUUGAGUGAGAUCCUAACGCACGGAGCUUCAAGGAAAGGAGAGGAAAAGAUGGAUAUGCAGCUCCAGCUUAGUUACAGUACUAUGACAACUGCCCCUAGUACUAACCCUAUUGCUCCUCAUACUGAUUCCACCAGUGCUACAGUUACUGUUCCAUCUAAUACUCACCACAUUCAUGGUAAUUUUCACACACAAAAAAAUUCAGAAUUAAGGAUAUUAAUACAAGAUUUAUCUUUAUUAGUAGGAAAAGGGUUAGUACAAGAAUAUAUAGAUGUUCCAGGAUGAGGAUAAAAGUGUCAUUUAGGACCGACACGAACGUGUGCAUGGCUUGUUCUCUGUGGAAAUUGACUACUGCCUUGGUGUUUUUAAUAUGUUGAGUGAUUGGCAGGUGUUGGGGAACCGGCUGCAGUGGGCCAUGGAGAUCUGGGUAGAUCAACGGUGUUCAUCAAUGAUGUUGCAUUUGAGGUGACGGUGGGUCCGUUCAACGUGCGGGAGGCUUUCGGAGAUGAUGCAAUCUUGAUUAACUCCUCUGGUCAACCUGUCCUCACCAACGAGUGGGGCUUGACCCUUCAGUCCCUUCAACAUGGUGGAUUUUACUAUCUGGUUCGCUCAUUAAGCCCCUUUUCCAUCUAAGGAAGGUGACUAGCUUUGAAAAAACCUUCCCCUAAAUUUUGCUUUACUGCAUGUCAUCAAAUACGUAUGUGUACAAUAUUUAUAUCGAUGUUCUACAAUGGUAUUACGCAUAUAUAUAUACUAGUUUUAGGUAAGAUAAUGUUGAUCGCAGCUCCAGCUUGUUUAUUCAUAAAAGAGAUCACUUGGGGCCCUUUUUCUUUCUCGUGUAAGCGUUGGAAGCUUUUGCUUACCAAUUGAACUCGUUGAUUUGCGUGUUAUUUUCUUGAAUUGCAGGUUUAGGGAUGUGGAAAUGGAAGCUUUUUCCUCUCUCUGAUCUCUCCCUCAAUCUCUCUUUAUUAUCAAGGUUGAACUUUCGCUUUAGCUUUAGCUAGUCCUUAGGGCUCUCUCUCUAUAUAUGUUAUGGAUAUGUAGUAUGAAAACUUUGUGAACCAAUGUGUUCUCUAAUUUCGCGUUAAGCCAAUGCGUAUGAAUUAUAUAUGCUAUUUUACUUUCGAUAUGCAUGAAAUAUUGCAAACUAUUAUACCUACAUUUAACUUAAUUUUCAGUUUUACUUUGCACAUUUUCUCUGGAAAGUAAAGCUAAAAACUCAGUUUUCCAUAUUAUAUAUAUCAUGUACUUUACACUCGGAAAUGCAGCCCUCUUACAGGCUCAAUGAACUGCUGGUAAUUUUUUUUCGAGUGAUGAUUUACUUGUAUAUCUAGGGUUUAGACUACUUUGCCUAGUUAAAAUGAGCUGAUUUGAAAAUUUUCUUAAUUUAGGGUUUAUGGUACUUUUGCAAGUUAAAAGGAUGUGAUGUAUUUUUAAUUUGUUUCAUACAUUCUCCUAGUAUAAAUACUUGCCAAAACUCUAAUCUCUAAUAUAACCUCUAGUUUAAAAUUUUAGUAGUAUUUUGUACAAUUGAGUGAUAAUAUCUUGUAAUACAACGUGGGCAUAUGACCUGCUCUUAAUUGUUUUGGUUGGAAGUAAAUAAUCUGGAUCUAUAAGCAAUUAAAUUUGGUACCGAACCAAUCGAGAUUAAUUAUUUCCUCGAUGGCCAUGAACAAAAUUUGAAAGCCGCUUUGACUUUUCCUUAAUUGCUAUACCAUUCAGCAAGCCAGAAAAUUAUUGAGAUUUGAGAAUCUAAUAACUUGAGAGACAACCUUUUUGUCAAUGCCGGGCAGCUGUACUUCAUGCAUGCAAUGCAGGAGGACUCAGUUGAAAUGCUGAAUACUAUUUUAUUAUUUGAGGUUUUAAAUGAUUAAUUACCGACCAACCAGGCGCAGGGUCCAUCGAGUUUAAUUUAUGAGGAUGGUUUGAAAGGAUCCAUGCUCUAAAGAGACAAAUAAAAUAGAUGAGAGGCAUGCAGGGUCAUCAUAACUAAUCAAAUAUUGUGUAUGUCUUGUAGGCUUCUAAGUUUGUCUUACUUGUUGUACACGAUAAAUUUUGCAAUUCAUUUGUAAAUCUGAAAUAGGGUUUUACUUAGGAUUCAUCCAAACAUGAAAACAACCUAUUCAAAGCCAGCCAAUCUGUUAUAUUGUAUUGUUUAGAGCGUCGGCCAUGGAGGUGGUGUUGGUUUGUCUCAACGUUCAAACCCCCCCCACCACACCAUUUCGUCACACACGAAUCUUGAAAAGGCUGAAAACCCUGAUGGGUUGGUCGAUCUGUCCGAACAUUUUACUGUUGUGUUUUCCGUGUUGCAACGAGGAGUUAAAAAGGAUGAGAGUCAAAUGUGAUGUUCAGUGGUGCAGAUAUUUGACGUGCACUUUGGUGAGAACAGUUUUAACCCCCUCUCACACUCUCGAUUUGACAUAGCAAGUAGUGUUGGAUAAUGUCAAAAAAAAAAAAGUGAAUCAUUUCGCUAUACCUAUUUCUGGUUGCUUCCUUUGCAGCUACGUCACAAAUUGCAAAAGACACUGGGGGUUUUCCAUGAAGCAUCACCGAUGAUAAUGAUGACUGAGUGAUGACAACUCCUCCGAACCCCACAAAAUUCAAACAUGGAAUAAUUAAAUUCCAAAGUGGAUGGAGAAAGAAGCAAUGGAGAUGGAGUGACGGUGCAACAGCUAGCUCAAGAACUUGAAGGGCGAGGGGGGGGGGUUCAGGAGGGCUGAGAAAUGGGAGAACAGUUCAUGAACAGAAAUCGUGGCAUGAUAAGAGUGGACAGAUUAAUGUAUACAUGUGGGUCAACAGUAGGUUUGAUUGGAUAGAGGACUUUUCUCCAAUCAUACUGCAAAGUGCAAACAAAACAAAGAUUUGUAGGCUGCUGCUAAGCUUAGGCAGGCAGGUUGGCUCUCACAAUCCGCCAUGGAGAGCAGGCAAUGCGUAACGGGACUGAAGACAAAGAUUAGAUUUGCAUUUUUUCAUCAUAAGAUUUUGGUUAAAUGGUUUUGCAUUCAAAAGUAUAUAUUAUUUUUUGUGUAUUAAGCCUAAAUGACAGUAUUUAAUUACUUUAAAAAGUUAUUUAUGUUUAUAUAUUUUUAUAAUUAUUUUUAAAUAAAAUAUAACUUUAAUUAAUAAAUCAUAAUUUGUAUUAAACAAGUAACCCAACUUUUUUUAAGGGUAACCCUAUUUUCUUUUUUUGAAUAAACCCUAUUCUUAAAUACAUCUAGUUGUAAAUAGUUGUAAGUUAUACAUUUAAAUAGCUAGACCAUUAAUGUUAUACUUGCUCAGAUUAUGAGCAUUGAAAAAAGAUGUUAAUAUUAAAUAGUUUUGGUAUGUGAAUCAAAAUACUCAAAUAGUUAAUAUUUUUUUUAGUAUUUCAACAAAAUUUAUAAAUAAUUUUUCAUCUUUUGAAUUUAAAAAUUCAGAUCCAAUUAUUAAUACCGUUCAAAUUCUUCUAUUAAAUUCAUUGAUUUGAUAUUUUAAAAUUUUUAAAAAAAUUUACUCAUCUGGUAACUAUGUGUAGAAAAAAUAGGAUGGCAAUGAACUUAAAUCUAACAAAAAAAUUUUAACAAUGUUAACAAUUCUUAAAACUUACAUCUAAAUUCUAAUUGGAAUAAAUUGAUUGAUCACAUUAUAAACGUUGAGGUAUCAAAUAAUGUCAAAAAUUAAAAUAUAAAGACUAAAUCUCAAUUAUAGGUGUAGUAUAGAGAUCGAAAUAGAAUUUUGACAGUUUAUAUAAUUUAAAAAAUAGAGGGAUCAUAAUUGAUAUUUAACUGUUAUAUUAAAUAAUGUACAGAAAAAAAGGGAAUGUACUUGAGAGGUCCCUCUAUUAUAGGACCUGAUCAAAUUAUUUCCUCUACUAUUAAAUGAAUCAAUUUAAUCCUUAUACUAUUAAAAAGAAUUACACAAGGCUAAAUUGGAAUAGAGUCGAUAUUUAUGUUUGGAAUUAAAUUACAAUUAAAAUAAAUAAAUUUCAAGACAUUUUUUAUACAAUAAAUGUUAACUCUAUUAUAUUUUAGACUAAUUUAAUUUUUUUUAAUUCAAUUUAGUUCUUAAAUAGUUUCAAAAGGUGAAAGCCACCAAUCCAGGUGUCCAUGUGUAAAACCCCUAAAACUUAAAUGGUUAUAGAUAAAUUUAUUUUGUUAACUCAAUAAUUAAUAUUAAUAUUUAAAAUUAUUUUCAAGUUCAUAAUACGGAUCAAAGUUAUCAUGAACUAAAACACUUUCACCCCAUAAUAAGGAACAAGAUUUGCCCGUUAUAAAUCUAAGUUGCUGGAGUUAGGCAAAUAUAUAAACAAUAAAUCCCUGGAUGAAUCUCUAUCUAUUUGUCCCUUGGCAUUUUUCACCCCUCAUCACUCGAAAAAUUCUGUAUGAGGAAGCUUGUUGAUACGAGAUUGAAGUUAAGAUUGAUGGAUAAAAGCGUUUCAAACCAUGGUUACAGAACAGUGCGGAAAGCUUUAGAGGGAGAGUGUAAGGAAGAAAGCGAGUAACGAGGGGUGAAGAAAAUCUAAAGAGGGUUUUUUAAGGAAUCAAUAAGAUGUGAUUAAAUCAUGUUAAGAGGUUUAGUAUUGAUUUACGGAAGGUCCUGCAAUAUGUCUGUCGAAGGUGAUGGAUGGUUAAGUAAAUCCCUUGUGGGCGAGCCUGUAUUGGCAUAGAUCACUCUGACGGAAGAGUAGUGCAUAACGAAGCUAAAUACACAUUUACAAGUUACUGAAAGCAUAGAACAAGUUAUAACGACCCGAGAAAUGUAUUCCAUUCAUAUAUACCCAGUUACAGACUGAGAUUAUCUUUCAUGAGCAGCUGAAAGAUUUAGCAUACAAGUAUUAAAACCCUACAAAUAUAAUUAGCUUUAAGGUUUUCAAAUGGUCGGUAUGAAGAAAAAACAGCCAUUUCUUUUGCUUGUCACCCUCUUCCAGAAGUUAGCUCAGGGCAUCAACCCCGAAAAUAUGAGCACUGUACAAAUUUAUGGCCACCAAAAAUAAGAGCUUGACUUGGUUUUCUAGUAAUUAAGAACUGCAGAAAGGACCAGUAAAAAUUCAGAAUCUCCCACCACUUUCUUUUGAGUAAAAAAGCUUCAGCAGAUUUAUAUAACUAGAUCAAUGGUUGUGGCUAUUUCACCUUUUAUCCAUUUUCUGACUAUGUUAGAUAAUAGCCACUUAAAUCGUCGAUGAGAUAGUCGUACUGCAAACCAUGCCCGUAAUCGAACUUCUCACUGGUUGGUGCCACCGCAUUUUGGGUGGAAUAAGUAUUUCCAACAGUGACCUUUGCAUUAAUCUUUGCCCGUCCUUUGACAUAGCGUUUGUUGUCAGUUGGGAACUCUGCAGUGAGCCUUCCCAUCUGCUUCUGCAGAUCAGCAACUGUAUCGUUAGCUGAUUUCCCCUUUGCACUUUUCUUGCCGUCAAUGAGCUUCAACUCCAACCUAUACAAGGCACAAGCAUCACACUUGUUGAUUUCAUAUUCAUAAAGGUGCCACUCAAAAUGGUUCAGUGGCUGAGGAUCCAUGUAGUAUGAUCUCUUCAGUCCUCCAAAUUCAUUCAUAACUUGCUUCCUUGACUCAUGCCAGCCACGCCCGCUGUAAUCUGGCAAAGACCUCUGCUUCCUGUUCCCACUUUCAAAUGCUCUUCGAGGCUUAUCAAAAAAGAGCCACUCCCUAAUUGAUUCACCGUCAAGAACCGAAAGAUCAAAGAGCUCUGCAAUCACAGCAGACAAUUAAUUAAUUUCACAAAUCAUAAAGAAUAUCAUGUCUGAUUAGAGAAUAUAUUCUGGUCCCACUCGUAAAAGUUGCCACUAGAACCAAGCAAUAUUGAUAAGACGUACCAGGAGCAUUCCAUGGAGACUUCGCAGUUGCAGCCCCCUCGCAUUCUGGUAUACCCACAUCUUUUCCUUGUGCCUUAGCACUGAGAGCAGCAAAGAGCAGCCCAUCCUUGAGGCCUAUGCCACCAGGUCGCAGAAUCGGGCCCAUUCCAGGUGGCCCUUCAUUCAUUGCUAAAGCAGCAUGAAAGCUACUACAGUAGUCUUGAGACCAGUCCAACGCUUGAGCUGGCCUUGGACAAUCCCAAAGUGCACACUUUGGACCUAGGAAUGCAGAUGGUGGCAGGCAUAUACUUGGCAGAUAGCUAGAAGUAUGAAGCAUGGCAUCCUCCCCAGAGAAACCAGUACCAUUAAAACCUGUGUAGAAGUGCUCAAAAUCCUGAUGCAAAUCAAACUGGUGGUAUUCCAAUUGAGUAGCUCCAUCCAAGUUGUUAAUUGGCAUGGUACGGACUCCUGAAGGUGAGUCUUUGCAAUGAUCAACUAAUGGAAAGCCACGCUCAUGUUGCCCCUGAUUCACUCCAUAAACCUGUCAGAACAUGUUAAUUAUAAAACUUGCCAGUGAAUGCCUUUUCAACAUUAUAGCAUGCCAAAGAAAAAUGGAAACAAUUAACUACAAAUAUUCAUGAAAUAUAAUUAGAGAAGAAACAAAGGAUGCUCUAAGGAAAGAUAGCUUUAAUUUAAGAGUACAAACAAGAAAAAUAUGACAGCCCUAGUAAACUCAAAUAAAAUUCUACGUACAAAGCAUGCAUAAUGCUGAAUACAAGGGAGAUCAGCAAUAUUGAUGCUGUGAGGAGAUAUUCUGGAAUGAAGUUCACUGGUUGCACCUGUCCUAUUCAAUGUGUGUGCAACGGAUGAAACAUAUUUGAUACUCUGGCCACAUCCUAGGAUAUCAUAUAUCCUCCCAUAGUUGUCACAGAAAUACCCACUUAGUUAUUAGAGAGACCAAUAAAUAUUCCCUUAAGGUGGCCAACUUAACCUGAAGCUCAUGUUGGCCUAAGCAUAUACAAUAAACUUGAUUUCAGUCCAAACAUCAUGCGAACUCCAAAAGAAAACAAAUAGUAAAAAAAUCCAAGGACAAAGAGAAACCACCUCUUGGAAAGCAGCAGUAUCUCCUACUUGCAGAUUUUGGUCAUCAGGCUCAGGCUUUGGAGCUGCUAGGACACUAGUUGCAUCAUCUUCCUCCUCGCAAAGCUGCAGCAGCCGGCAAAUGUCUGAUGAAAAUGAACCAAGACUCCCUCCCUGUAAGUCACAUGAAGAUCACAAUUCUCAUUCACAACAUUUUAGAUAGUUUUUUCAACCCCUUUACGAUCAAAACUAACAAGCAUUUAUCUUGGGUACUAUUCAUAACAGCCAGACCACUUCAAGCAACAUACAACCUAAGAAAAUACACAUUCCCACAAAUUCACACAGACAUGAAGUUAUAAAUGUGAUUCAAAUGAAAAUUAUAUGUGCAGUACUAACUUGUUGCAAUGAAGAUGCUGGAGAAGGUUCAUUGAGUUCUGCUUUCCAUUCACGGAGCAUCUGAUGGACUUGCUCCUCAAGGACAGCAACAUCGACACUGCGGCUCUCCUUCCUGGCAAAUUGCAGAUCCAAGAACAUCCCCUGCAGGUCAUCCACCCGGUUCUUUGCCCUGUCCUUGAAGAGUUUGUGGGAUGCAGACUUGCAGUUGCUUCUCGAACCCUUCCCCAUUAAAAUAAACAAUCCUCAACAACUCCAACCAAAACCCUGGAAUCCAAAACGCAAUAAGUCACAAACUUAAGAUCAACCCAGAUGAAAAUUUACUCCAUAUUUCACUACUCUUAUUCCUAAAAUUUAUAACUAAAUCUCGGUUCACAAAUUACAACUAACAAUAGUGGGCAAAAAGCAACUCCCAAUUUGCAAUCAAAGCAACUGAGAUUCCCAUGGUUAUAUAACUUAAAUAAAAAAGAAACCAAGCUAGAAAAAUUCACUAAAAUCUUGAUAAAUAAAUUCAAAUCAUAACCAGAUAAACUGAAGUCCUAUAAAUAAAGAAAUAUCAGAAAAAAAGUGGAAAGCAACACCAAAUCUGAAUUACAUCUAAAAACAAAGCCAACCCAGUUUUCCAAGUACCUUAAGAUUGAGAUCAAAGGCAGAGAGCAUGAGGUCAAAGGCAAAUUGCAGAAUCAAAAGAGAUAUAAAUAGUUAUCUUAGAAAGCUAACCAGAGAGUGAUCAAAGACACAGAAGUUCCUCAAUUCGUAUGGAGAAGGUCUGAGACAAAAGUAGAUUAAAGUGCUGGGAGUGGCAACCAAGAUAGGAAAAGUAAAUUAUUCGAUGAGAAAAAAAACUAAAAGAACAGAUGCUCUUUACUCCUUAAUCCUUAAUCCUUACCUCCAUGUUUUUUCUUUCUUUUUUGGUUUUUGGCCUUUUGAGUUUUUAUGUUUUAUGUUUUAUUUUUAAUUUUUAUUCCCGUACGGGAAAUAUUAAAAAAAAUGGUUUAAAUUAUAAGAAUUAUUUUGGUACAAAAUAAUAUAAAAAUUGCCAUUUAUGUUAAUUUUUUGUAAAAUAAAUAUUAUGUAGUUUUCAAUUUAAUUUAGUUUAAGAAAUUGUAAGUAAGUUUCUUCAAAAAAAAAGUAAGUUUGUAUAUUUCAGGAUGUGUUUUCUAUAAAACCAUCGUGUUUUAUUGUUAGGUUUAAUAAUUUUCCAAUUAUUAUUAAUUUUCUUUAUUUUAAUUUAAAAAAGGAAAAAGAAAGGCCUUAUUUUCAGUUGAAGGAAACAUUACACAUAUUGUUUUUCUAUAUUUUUGUUACAGACGAUUUGUUUUAUAAAAGGAGAUUUGUAAUAUUUGUUAUAAAAUAUCUUAGGCCAAAAUAAUUAAAGGUAAAAAGAUUUUUAGUUCACUAAGUAUUAAAUUUAAAGUUAAUAAAUUAGGACUAACUCUCAAAAAUUUAUGUAAAUAAUUAAACAUUCAAGAUUUAGGACUUCCACAUUUACCAACUAAAUCAAAUAAAAACAAAAAAGGAUGACCCCUUUUCUAACGGUGGGGUGAGAAAGCAAAAAAAAUAAGUGGGGGCAUGAAAGGCAUAAAAAGAAAAGUCCCACUAUCACCCACCACCAGAUUCCUUUUAUAUCUUUGCUGGUGUGGUAACAUCAAAGAUGCCCUCUUUCAUUCACAUUUUAAGAUAGCGGUGUUUAACAUGACAAUGAUUCUCUUCUAUUCUAGAUAAGCACCAUAAGUUUUCUUACCCACUUCAAUCCCUCCCAACCCAAGGAUGGUUACCUAACUUCAAUCACUCAUCUAAUUCAUAAACAACAUGAAAGUCUCCAUAUUAUACGAUCAAAAUCAGUACAAGUGGGUCUACCUCCCAAGAACCAGUACAAAACGACGGCACGGGCACCAACAAUGUUUAAAUCAAAAACAAACCAGGCCUCCUCAACAAUUCUCCCCGGCAGAUUAGCUCCUGUCAUUUCCCUAACAACCCAUUACUUAUCAGCCAAGUUUUAAGCACACAAAUGGACCUAUAUUACCAACCCUCCACACUUGGCAUAUGCAUGCAUAUAUUCUUUGUGCGAGUGUCAAAGUGUUCUACACAAGGCUGGCAAAACUAGUAAACAUUUCAGUUCAUAUAAGGUAAAUUAGCAGACCAUGCCAACCCACAUCCUUGAUUAUAAACUCUUUAAAUCAUCAUUGAUAUAAUCUCUAUCUUUAUAAUCUUUUUAAUGAACAAGUGAAACCAGAAUACAGUCCAAAAAGAUGCCUCGAUGUUGAAAAGAAUGAAAAAGAAGAAUGAUUCCAUUAAUGGAGGGGUUGAUCAGAGAAACUGUAUAAAUAAAUUAGUGUUCAACUUAUUUGUCGAGUCUCCCGUUUACAUCAAGCUGCUUUGGCCAAUUUUUCCCCCUCCAUAUUAGCAGGUUUCAAUUUGAAAAUACCACUGAGUCCCUGUCGCUUAGCAAGUUGCUCCAGUUCUUCAAGUUUAUGCCUGAGAAGUUCUACUUGUGUUGCUAGUUCUUCAUUUCUUUGCUUCAUUGCCUGAAAUAGUAAUGAAGAAUUGGGCUUGCGAAUUAGAGGGAUUAGAAAUCAAUAAUUAGAUGCAAAAUACUAGAUCACUGUGCUUCUUUCAUGAAUAAAGUCAUAGAUUAUACCUAUGUUACUCGAACUCAGACGAAGAGUAUCAGAUAUAGGUGCAUAUCUAACAUGGGUAUGUUCAAAUUCCUUUAGAACUUUUUGUAUCAUUUUCCGAGUAUGUGUUGGAUCAUGAACAUAGAUGUCGCACACGGGUAUUUCAACAAAUAUGAAGAGUUAGAGCAACAUAGGACUAAACUCCAUCUUGGUUAGCAUCAUGUUUAUCACCUUGAUACAAAAGAGGAAAACAAUAAAAAGAAAGGAGACUGCUCAAUGAAUACCUCCAAAUCUUUUCGGCGUGCUUCCUCCUUCUUGGCUUCCGACCUAGAACUUCUUUGAACUUCAAAGAUCAAGACAGCUCCAGCAACCUAUAUGCACACUCCAACAUGUACAAAAUCAGAAAUAUUCAUGUAUUCAACAGAGUGCAAAGUAUGGUAAGUUUUGGCAUUUCAUGCAAUACCAGCUAAAGGGGAAAAAGUGCUUCAUGAUAACCAGUGAUAUAUCAAGAAUCUAGUUAGAUUUGCAAUUCACUAAUGAUGCUAAAUAUUUAAAUGCAAUGUAACUCAGGUGAUAGAUUAUUGCAUUCCAAAUGAUUAUUCCUAAAAAGAAGAUAAGACAUCUACCAAGUGAGCAUAUGUCUAAUACAAGGUAUUGGCUGGUAGACUAUCUGCAGUAACACUUUUUGUUCCGGUAGAUACAAAUAAGAAUCAAAAUACAUGCAAAUAUGUGUCUGCGCGAUUUUAGCAUAUUUCCAGUUUGAUUUCCUUUUCUUCUCUUUUCUUGUUCAUUUUCUUUAUUUCAUUUGGAAGGCGAUGACAAGAAGCUUUAAGCGACAGCAUCAUCAAAUUAGUAAUCCAUACCAUGCAAAAAGAAUAGUUCUGAAGACUACUAGAAACAGUAACAGGAAGAAUGGCAGGGACAACAAUACCGUGAAGACAAAAAGCUCCCCCAUAAGAUCUACAGCAGCCUGCACAGCUUUCUCCUCAUCCAAGGGGCGUAUCGCAGCAUCAGUUGCAUGACUGUAAAUGCGCCUUUGCAUUCUAGUUGUGAUUCGAUGGUUUGCCUGGUUUCAUACAUUGGCACUAGGUUUACAUUUAUGGAAUCUAUUAAUUUACAGCAGAAAAUACAGUUGUUGUACUAUACAGCAAUCUUGAGCAACAAGUUGUGGAAAAUGUUGGCUCAAAAAAGAAACAUAACUUCAUAGCAUAAAUUAAACACAAGUGUCGAGCAUUGAAGGGAAAACCGAAAAUUGUUAAAGUGAGUAUCAGGAGAAAAUGAACUUAAGGAGAAAGAGACAGAUCACAUCAUCUGAAUCAAAUCUAUCAACGCUAUGGAAAUGGAUACUUGAACACUGGCAGCAGUAAGAAUCUAAAAAUGCAACAUCACAGAUUCCUAGUGAUUCAAUUUGCUAAAAAGGGGUUAAUAAUCUAAUGGAAAUAUAUGAUUGAUUCCAUUCUUCAACCAAAUGGAUUAUCAAGUUAGUUAAUAGUUCUGGCUAAAUAUAUUAAGAUCAAGAACGAUAUACCCAUAAUUUAUUAUCCCAUUCUCUAUGCAUUUAAUUGCAAUUUUUUUUCUCUAUCUUCCAGAAAAACAGAAUAUGGGUGAUCUUUGAUUUGCUUUGCAUAAGCAGAUUUUACAGAAAUGUUACGAUAUUAUCUAGUAUGCCAUCAGUGAAAAUGCUGGUUUCUUGAUGUAUCAUAAGAUUUCACUCACAGAAAUUUAUCUCCAGAGCAAACGGCAAAGCUUGGUUUUGGAAUAUUAGAAAAGCAAGCAAACCCAUUUUAGCAAACAAAAUUAUAAGAAGAGGGAACUUAGCUUUAGCCUCCCCAAAUCAAAGUGUGAAGAAAUCAAAAUUAUAAGAAGCAAGCAAGCAAUUUUGUACCUGAGCAAUGGCGACGAUGAACUCGCGGAACCUAGGGGCAUACGCAGCUUGUUUCUUGAGCCUAGCGGCCACAGGCUUACUCAGAGUUUUUAAGGCCAAAGUUCCUAACUUCAACAAUGGCAGUACCAUUGGUUAUGAUCUGGGUUUUUUUUUCCCCAAUUCAAAGGAACUAAUAAUCAGAUAAAGGGAACGCGAGAAUGAAAUGAGAAAACGGGUGAUCGCUGCCGGGUUUGACUUCGUCAGGGUCAGAGUUUCUUGAUAAGCAAGACAAUUAGACUUUGCUCUAUUUUUAUUUUCCUUUUUUUUUCAUUUGAUUGCCGCUGGGACCGUAGAAGAGAGAAGGGUAAAGGAAGGAGAUGCCAUUACUGAGUCUGAAAUGGGUAGCCCUUUUAAUAUUUAUAUAGUUUUUAUAUUACUGUAGAUAUCUGGGAUGACUCCCACCAAACUGGACUCUAAGGCGUAUGAGCAUGCGACAGUUGGAUCACCAUGGUUGGGUACUGCAAACUCGCAGCCAAGGCUUUCUUGGUUAAUAUAUUAUUGGCUUAAGUGACCUUUCAACUAUAUACUUUUAGUAUUUGAAUUAUAUUUUUAUCUUAUUUUAUCCUCAAGUAUAUCACUUUUCAGCUUAGGACAAACUAAGACGCAUAUGAUAAUUAAUAAUGAAAAAUAUAUAUACAACCCUUUUCCGGAUAGUCAAAAUAUACAUAACCCUUUUCUGGAUAGUCGGAAGCAUUGAAGUUUCAAUCUUCCACAUCCCCCUCGAUAUAAACAUAAUAAAGGAAAUAUAUAUACACCACAUUAACCACAAUUAAUAAUACAACACGACCGAACAGUCGCACGAAUACAGGGUUGCUGUAUCUAUCUUCUACCUCCGAGAGGAUUGAACAAGUUCUCAAAUAUUGCAAAACAUAGUGCACAGAUAAUGGUUCGAACUCGACGCACACCAUAAUUGCGAAUCAGAAACCGUUAAGCUCUAGCGAUAGACAAAAUACAAAAAGUCAUAACAUUGCAAAAGAGAAUUAAACAAUUAGAAGUAUACAUAUACAUAUAUCCCUGUCUUACAUAAUCCUAAAUAAAGUUCAACAAUUUCACAAGCACAGAAGAAAAAUGCUUUCUCCAUUCAGCAUGUUCCAAUCAUCGUUUAUUCAACACUUUGACAUCACACCAACCAACUCCUCUAUGUUCCGCAGCUCCCAUGGUUAUAUCCAAAUAUCAGACUUGUGUAUAACAAUCAGAAGACUAAGUGAGGAAGACCAGAAUGAAUAGAAUAAUGAACAAAACUAGCAAAAAUAAUAUCAUCAUAAUCUGGCCCUUAGCACUUGCCUUCUUCAUAACCAUAGCCACUUUUUUCUGCAAUGGAAAAAAACAUGAAUUUUUCAAAACAAAGUAAUCAUUCAAGACAAGCUAUUAUGUAAUUAAUGGGCAGCAAACUCAGCUCAAGUUAAAACGUAAGCACAAAAGGCCAAACAAUUCACUCUCAGAUUGCAGAUAGGAUUGUUUCGCAUCUACGAAACUGCCAUUAAAGGGAAUUACCUGAACAAAAUCCAGUCGGUUUGUUGUACUGUCUAUUUCAGAACCCAAGUCAUCUAUUAUUUUCUCCUGAAACACCAAAGUAUUAGCAUAUGAAAUCGUAGAUAUUGAUCCUACACUGAAAUUGAACAGAACAUAUUAAAUAAUUCAUGCAUGACUAAGUAAAGAUUAAAAAGAGAACAACCAGGUAAACCAUAGAGAUUAUACCGUUACACACUCACCUGUGCAAGAAGUUCUUCAUGUAUUGUAAGGCCAACACCUCCAAUUCUCUCAACACUUGCACUAAGUUCAUCCAACUCCUCAUCCUGCUGCCUACAACCACCAAUUAAUAAGCAACCGAAAACUAUUAAAAUUGGAUGACGGAGUAUGUUAGUGAAACAAACUCAAGGCAGUGUAGUCAAGGACACUCUACUUUAUAAGAAGCAUUUGUCUAUCUGAUUCUGAUGCGAUAAAGUCAUCAUUAUCUUCUGCACUAUACUGAUAUGAUCUGUCCGAUUGAUGCGAAAUUGGCAGUUUCAUUAAUUCACGGCGCAUUGCACUUGUGGAAUUACCAUUUUCUUUUCGAGCUACUACAGAUUUCUUCACAUCUCCUACCUAAUUCAACAAAACAAUCCUUAAAAAGGGUCCAUGACAUUAAGACUAAGAAUCACAAUAAGUUACAAUUAUAUUAACAGGACAAUGCCUGCAAUGCCCCAAUCAGCAAAUAAACAUUAUUAAUAUAUCUCCAGUCCUUAAUUAAAAAAAUGUAGCAACUAUAAAGGCGAUAUACCUGAGUACGAGCAGUGGUGGUCCAUCUUCUCCGGCUUUCAAGUUCUCUAUCAUCAAUGCCAUACCAAGAAGGAUCUCUUGCUGCCACAUCUAUUGUUUUGUUCAACUCAUCUACCUUCCUAUCAAGAAAUGUAUCUUUUUCAGCAGUAGCAAAUUGGAUUAAAAUUGUUCAAUUAACCCAACAAAGAUGAAGUAAAACACAGCAUCACAACAUAGUCUUUUCCCCCAUCUCAAGGAUCCAGUUCAAUUAAGGAGGAAUACUUAAUUUGAGUACCUGCCAUUCGAUGCUCUCACAAUUAGCAAGUAGCUCUUUCGUGAGAUGUACUUGUUCUCCAGUGUCGGGGAGAAUUCUUUCCCAUUGAUGAAAACUUGAUUGCAACUUAUCAAUCUAUACCAACAAAAAAGAAACACCCCAAACGUCAUCUAACUGAAAAUCCUAAACAAAGAAGAUCAAGCAAUCUCUCUCUCUCUCUCUCUAACAGGGUUCAAAAAAUAAAUAAAGACCCAACUUACAGAUUCUUGAAUCUCUUCUUUGACGAUGUAAAAUGGAUCUUGAGCUUUAGACAUCUUGGAAGUAACUUAUAUCACGUAAACAUGCAAAGAACAAUUCUUUAGCAAUAAUUCAGAUUAAACAAAAAGAAGCAUAAAGUUGUAACAUGGUUUCUCACCUCUGCCGCCAAUCUGAGGAAAACCAAGUGGUGAAGAUCAGUGGUUUUCCACAAUUCGGAAGGAUCGGGAAAAGGGGGGGGGGGAGCGUGCAGUUCUCUGAAAUGAUGUGAAAUCCCAAAAACAGAGUGCAAUGGAUUGAUAAUCAUAGACGUGUUUUAGUUUAAACUUGAGGGCUGUACGAGGCCCUCUAUCCUUAUCCAACAUUUGAGGCCUUAGGCCUAGCGUUAAACAUUUGGUCUUUACGGGCUUUGGGGGUUAAAUAAAGGCUAACAAUCUCUGAUUAAGGGGAAUAGGCUAAUGCAAAUUUCAAAACUAGAUCGGGAAAAGGAUAGCUAAAGGGUUGGUAGUAUUUUCUAAUCACAAUUAGUUGAUUUGAGUUGUUAAUGAAUGAAGAAAUAGUUGAAAUUUCUGCAUCUAUAAUUUAGCUUUAUCACUAAGCAAAGUUAAACUAUUCAAUAACUCAACUCCCAACUAAUUUAACUAUUGCAAAAAUGAGAAAUUAGUACGUAAUAUUAUUAUUCAUCCUCCCAAUAGAAAUACCAGGAAAAGAUUAAGCGCAAAUUAUCAUUAACCAGAUCCUGGGCUCAAAUAGGCCCGUGUUCUUAGUUAUUUUGUUGCAUUCGCAAAAUUGGAAAUUAAAGCGGUGCAUUUUUUAGGAAAUAGAAUAAUUCCAAAACGCAUUAAUAUAUGCUUAAGUGCUUCUUUUAAAAGGUAACAACCUUUCAUGAUGAAAAGAUUAUUUAAUGGACAUAAUUUUCGACUUUCAUUUCACCAAAUGGACACAAUUAUUCAGAUUUGAAAGGCUAUCUGACAAACCCAACCAUUACUCAAAUCAAUAUUAUUAAGAUUAUGAUUUUUUUAAGAAAAAUAUUAUGAUUAUUAAAUAAAUAAUAAAUAUAUUUUUAUACACAUAAAUUUUAUACAUAUAUAAAGUUUGAGUUAUCUAUUGGCUAAAAGUACCAUCGAGACAUUUAUACUAGAAUUUGGAAUACAUUUUACCAUUUCUACUUAGAAACUACACAAAUUAGUUAAUGUAUAUUAGAUCAAAGAUCAAACUGAUUCUUUUAUUAAAAAUUCUAUCUAUUUUUAUGGUUAAAAACUGGUCAUUGUAUGUUGACAUGGGGUACAUGUAGCAUGCCACGUGCGACUGUUUGGUUAUUUCGUCAACCACGUCAAUUUUUAACAGUGGAAAUAAAUAAAAUUUUAACAGAAAAAUCAAUUUACUCUUUGAUUUAACAUACACAAACUAAUUUAUCAUUUUUAUGAAAAAAUAAAAUACAAUCUAACUCUUAAUAGAAAUACUUCAUAAUACUUUUAUCACAUCCAUUGUUUUAAUUUUCUAUAUAUCCAUAAAUAAGUCACAUGUUGGAACCAUAACAUGAAAUUUGCAGUGUACUUUAAAUCUAGGCUUAAUAUCCUUUUAGCCCAUGCAGUAUAACUAAAUUAUCAUUUUAGUAAUUGUACUAUUUUAUUUUAUUAGUUUUGCCCUGUACUUUCAAUUUGUAUAACCCCAUUACCUACUAGAUAUUUGUCGAUAAAAGAAUUUAAAUCAGCCAAUGACACAUUGACACGUGUUAAUUAAAAUUAAAAAUUUUAUUCUUUUAAUAAUAUAUCAAAAUAUUUUAAAAAUCAUUAAAAAUCUAAAACAAUCUAAAAAAACUCAAAAAUCUUAUAACUUAGAAAUUUAUUAAAUAAAUUUUAAAAAAUCAUAAUCUAUUUUUUAAAAUUAUAAAAAAAUAUUUUUAAAAUUAUAAGUAUGUUAAACUUAAAAAUAAUUAAAAUAGUUUAACAUUUUUCAUAAAAUGUUAAAAAAAAUUCGUUUGUUUGGAAUUCUAGGGUUUUUAGAAAAUUUUAAAUAAUUUUAUGAUAUUUUUUGAAAAUUUUAAAGACUUUUUUUUGCAUUUUUAAAUCAAAUAUUUUAUUUUUUAAGGAACUUUGAGUUUUUUUAAUAAAAUAAUAUCACAAAAUUCUUUAAAAUUCGGCUCGGUGGGAUAGAUGUAUUUAAAUAAUACUCCUUAGAAAUGCAUAAAAAGUUUUCUCCUCUAACUUGAGAAAAAAUAAUUAAUUAAAUGUUAUGUCUAUGUAUAAAAUUAGAAUGUCAAAAAAAAAAUUCAUACUCUUAUAACUCAAGUUAAAUAAUUCUCAAAAUGUUCAAAAAACAUCUUUAGGCAUUCUUUUAUUGAGUGAUCUCUAACCCUUUUAAAGAAUUUUAUGAUUUUUUAGCUAAAAAAAUCAUAAUUCCUUUAGAAUAUAAAAAAUCCAAAAAUAUCAUAAAAUUAUUUAAAAAUUUCAUAAAUUUUUAAGAUUGUCUAAAAAAUAUAAAAUUCCAAACAAAUGAUUUUUUUCUAAAAAAAUCUUAUGAUUGUCUUUUAAUUUUAUUUUUAGAUUUCUCAUCCUUAUCAUUUUAAAAAUGUUUCUUUAUAAUUUUCAAAAAUAGAUUAUGAUUUUUAUUUUUUUAAUAAUUUUCUAAAAUUUAAGAUUAUUUGGUGGGUUUCCAUAUUUUUAUGAUAUUUUUGGAUUGUUAAUGAUUUUUUUUAAAAAUUGAUAUAUUUUUAAUAUCUAAGUUUUUUUUUACUUUCUUUAACACGUGGCAACAUACCAUUGGUUGAUUUAAUUUUUUUAACAGAAAAUAUAUAGAUGGGUAACGGGGUAUACAAAAUAAAGUACAAGGACUAAACUGAUAACCAAAAUAGAAUACAGAGGCCAAACUGAUAAAAAAUAGUAUACGUACUAAUGUAAGGAUUUAGCUAUAGUGCAGGGACCAGAAGAGAUAUUGAGCCUUAAAUUUAUUUUUGAAGGCAUCCAUAUGAUAGAAGCACCAAUUUGGGUAAAAUAUCGUAUUGUGCACCCAUCCCGGGUAAAAACUGCCCCGUCAGGGCCCCUUCCUCUCACCCGAGUCUUGGCCGUUGCUUUUUGAUUCUCUGACAGACAGACAGACACUUCAAAUGUAGUUUUUGUUGUUGUUCCUUAGAUAUACGAUGGACAGUAUAGACAGCUUCCGAUCAGACGAAGACCAGUCUAGUUUCUCUUACCAAGUUUCAUAUGGGUCCUACAGUUAAUAAUCUUAGCCAGGUCUCCCGUCAAACGUCUUGGGAUAAGAGAAGUAAGAGACCAAACGGUGUUGAGGUUGAGAGGCCUUGGUUAUUCUGGCGACCGACAACAGCAAGCACCGUCUCACACUUUGAAGCACUCGUACAUACUUAUACUCUUUUAAGACUGGGCACAAUGAUCUGAAGGGCAGAGCCAAAUGACCCAAAAUUUCCUAAAAGAAAGUGCAGCAGGUCAUGCGAGAGAGGAAUAGGAUUUACUGUUGGUAUAAAGCCAUAAACGAGUGGCCAAGGAUCUAAAAUUCAAAGCGCAUAGGUAGCCAUCGAUUGAGUUUUCUCAACGGGGAUUCAUGCUCAAUGAACAAUAAACUAGAACACAGGUAAAAUCAAGAAACAAUAAAAAGAAGAUUGAUCUUCAUUGAAAUCACUUGACUGAAUUACUUUCACAAAUUAUCUGCUGAUGGAUAUUUACUACACGUGACUGCUAUAGCUAAGCUGAGUUAGCUAGGUUAGCAUACUGCUAAACUUAAGCUUGGUUAGCUUAAUUCGCACUAUUAUGAUUACAAUAAUAAAAAAAUAUAAAUUUGAGUGUAAUUAAAUUGUAUUAUUUUUUAAUUUAAAAAUAUAGAUAAUAAGAAUUAUAUAAAAGAAAAAACUUCAAAAACAUAAUGAUAACUCUUUGCUGCAAUUUCAAAAUUGCAUUCAUAUCUUGAAAAAAAACAAAUCGAUGACUCUGGCUUUACAGCGCCAUUAGAUCAAAAUGUCGUGAUAAAAAAAACUUUUAUUAUAUAUAUUUAUUAUAAAAGAAAAAUAUUUGAUAUAUUGUGAAUACAUUUUUUUAGAUUUUACAAGUGUGAAAAUUUAAUAAAUAUAUUAUAGAGUGUAAUAAAAAAAUAAAAAAUAUAUAUAUAAUAUAACAUUUAUUAUAUCUUUGACUCGCUUAUGAAGUUUAAAAAUUUUCAUUAACCAUGUAUCUAAUAAAUAUCUUAUUAUAAAUUUAAUUGAAUCAAAUUCAUCUUUAAAAAAAUAAGAGAGAGACAGAGUUGGACUUAUACUAACCUGCCCAAACUUGAACAGCUAUAAUGAAAAAUCAAGUGGGGAGAUAGAUUUUUUUUUUGACAAAAAGUGGGGAGAUAGAUAUUUGAGGGACAUGGGGUUGUUUUAUAAGAUAAGGUUAUGGCAUUGUUCGGGGGCAAAAGCAAAACGAAGGCAGGCAGCGGAAGAUCGGUACUGAGGUAGGGACAUAUAGAUUGGGGUAAGAGAUUACUCAACUGAAAAAAGUGUACACUCCGUAAUUAAGAGAGACAUAAUCUAUGGAUGAUGCAUUGCAGCUUCUUCAUCUCUGUAUUUUUAUAAUUUAUCCUUAUUUGGUCCUGGUCCUGAUCCUGCUUCAUCUUAUUAUCUUCCAAUAGAAACUUGCAACGUAAAUAAUUCUACAAUUCCUUACACAUACAAGUGUCACGGGCCGCAGUUCAAAGCCUGUGACCAUCGCACCAAAUACAUCCAAUGGAGGUCUAUUGCUUAGAUGGGGAUUAUUUGGCCAACGAGAAUUGGCCCGAUUCAAAAAGCUAUUGGACAAGCCUAUCAGAUUGAAGCCUAGUUGGCCCGAUAAUGAAGAAAUGGCAACUGAGGCUAAUAUGGUAACUAAUCUUAGAAGAUAAAUGGAAUCAUAUAUUGUAAAGAUUAGAUUAGAUUUGAUAAGGUUUAUUUUGUAAAUCCCUAAAAUUAAGGGAUAUGGUUAAAUAUCAUCCGUCGAUGUAAAUGUAUCUUGAUCGUCAGUUGUGGGGGAGCUCAACUAUAAAUAGAGAGUCUCCCCUCAUUUGUACUCACUCCAUUCCAUUGUAUUCUGAAUUCUUAAGAGUAAUAGAAUUUUGAGAGCAUUUACUCUAAGUACCUUGUGUGCAAUUUUUUCUGUGGCUUUUUGUUGUUCUUUGGUUAGCUUCUUUUGGCAUAAAUCGCUUCUACUCUUCAAUUUGGCGCCUUGAAGGAGUUCUAAAAUAAUCCUCACUUGAGUUAAGGUUGAUUUAAGUGAGUUUAGACGAAUAGAUCGCCUAAAGCCGCACGGAUUACGAGACGAAAGGUCUAGCCCUAUGACACAAGCACACACAUAUAAGCCAUAAGUAAAUAUACAAGAUUGAAAAGAGAAAAAGCUAAUGGUAACAGUAGUUUGUCCUAAUGAGUUGAAGACAAGUGGUAAUGGGUAAGGACUAAGGAGUGUUGGUAUCCUAAAAAGAUAAAAACAAUAAUGGUGGGGAGAAGACUGAAGAGGUUUCAAGUAAAAUAUAUAUACAACACUGAUAUGAAACGAUUAUGACUGUCUUCCACCUUUAAACCUUUUGUUUUUUCUUUUCCAUUCAUCCGAUGUGAUAUAUAUGAUUAUUAUUGGGUAAACUACAAAGAGUUGCGUGUGAAUUAAUCUGGGUAAUGAAAUCCAUGUCAUAAUCAAGAAAGCUUGAUACGUUUUGUCUGCAACAUGACAACAUCGCUUUUUCGGUUUCCUUUUUACGUGUUACCGAUGUUUUAAUUUGCCUCCUUUUAAUUUCUUUUCGCUUACCAUAAAAAUUCAUCAAAAUAAAUACUUGAACUUGAGUAAAGAUGGUAUAAAACAAAAUUUCCAUCCUUUCUAAUUACUUAAUAAUAUUUUAAUAUUUUUUUAUGUUAUUUAUAUAUAAUUUUGAUAAAUUUUUAAACUUAAAUCUUAAAUUUUAAAUUCCAAACCUCAAACUCUAAAUAUUGAAUUUAGAAUCUCAACUCUAAACCCUAAAUUAAAAUAUUAAGUUUAGGAUUUAAGAUUUAGAGUUCAAAAUUUAAGUGUUUGGGAUUGGGUUUAGGAAUCUAAAUUCGAGAUUCAGUUUUAAAAAAUUAUUAAAAUUAUAUAUCAAUAAAAUAAAAAAUUUAUUAAAAUGUCAUUAAAUAAUUAAAAAGUGAUAUAAAAUAAUGUGACGCUCUUAUUUGAUUCAAUGUUUUAUCCUUGAAUAAAUAAUAAUUUUGUUGUGCUAAUAAAUUAUAAUAUAUAAAAUAAGAUAAAACUCUUCAGGACGUAAUUAAUUACAUUUUUUUUUCUUUCUCAUUUGUUUGAAAUUGUUGCAAUUAUGCCAAAAAAAAAGGGAAGGAAAAAAAAGAAAAAAAGAAGCUUCUGUUUACAAGAAAAGAUUCAACAUUGCGUACGACAAAAUGAAUUACAAACAUCUUUGCUUUCCUUCUCCUUAAUUUUUGGUAAUUUCACAUUUUCUUUCCUUUUUUUUUAAUACUUUGCAGUGAUUUAUAUAAAAAGAAUUUAUCCACAUUUUUAUUUAAUUAUAAUAUAAAAUUAUGUUUCUUCCAUAUUGUUUUUUUGGUGGACUUUACAAAACAAAUUGCAUGACAAUAAUUGUAACAUAAUAAUAUACUUUCAACUUUUAAAAUGUAAUAAAAAUAAAAUCCUAAAUGCAUUAACUCAAUUUAAAUAAUAAAAUCGCAUAAGAUGCCAUUAAACUCAAGCAAAAACACAUAAAGACAUCUUUGAUGGUGAUUUUUUUUUAAAGGAUGCUUUAUAUAUUAAUCGGCCCGGAAUAGUAUUCCCUUUUUUUAAAAAUUUUGGUCUAAUUUCAACAAAGUGGAAGUACAUUAUCAGUCUCAAUGUGAAUCUAAGAACGACUUUGCGGUACCCCCUUUGUUGUCUCAAAUGACAAUUAUUAAAUUUGGAAAAAUUAAUGGACAAGUAAUUAUUUUGAUGUUUCUUAUGUCUUAAAGUAAUGAUUAGUACCUAACUUAUAAGAUGCUAUAAAAAUUAACAAAUUGUCUUAAAACACGGUCAAAAAGGCAUCAUUAUAACUUAUAGGAUUGGUUAAGAUAAGAUUUAAGUUAAAAGAAUGAUCCUCGUGAUUUAGCACAACAUUAUGAUAGUAUCAAGCAUAAUCAGAUUUUUAUUUUUAAUCUUUGGGGUUCCUUUUUAUCGUAUGGUGCACGUGAGACUGAGCACCAUCAUUUCUUUCCUUAACCCCCACACACAUAUAUGACUGCUAAAAGGCUUUGCUUUUGGAUUUGGUCUCUUUCCAUUUUUGCCAUUUUUUCAAAACUAAUUUUCGGAUACCAUGAAUAGGAAAAAAAAACCCUGCCACGUUGAAAGACGAAAGAAAAGUACAUUUUUUUACUAAUUACAUAUACUGAUAGCUAGGAGUGAAAAUUAUAUACAGGUAACUUUUUAAAGAAUAGUCGGUAAUUCCUUUUUUUUCUUCAAUAAUCAGGAAAGUUACAAGAAGGAAGAGAGUUGAUGAAGUGGUGAGACACUCCAAUUACUGAGGUGUCGUUGAUGUAACGUUUCAAUCUACAACUUCACAUUUGAGCAAAAAGAGAGAAUAUUAAAAUAGUAGAUGAGAGCAUCAACUUGCCAAACAACUCCACAACUAGGGUAUAGAUGAGGCCAAAAUUUUAAGGUUGAACUACCUCCAGUUGUCAAUCCCAACUCAUUUAAUUUAGAAUUAAGCCCUAAUGUUGGAUGCUUAUAUAAAUAAUAUAAAAUUAUAGUAAGAGAAAAGAAAAUAUUUUAUCACUACUCGUCUUUUCCAAGGAAACAAUGCCUUCAAAACGAGGCAGAAAAUAGCAAUGCCUAACCAACUCCGUAUUUUAUGGAAGAAGGAUGUUUUAGGUUUCCCAACAGAGCAACUGCCUCACAAUUUCACUCCGCUCCAAAAAUACCCAAUUUCAUAAAUAUAUUUUAUUUGGAGCACUCCCCUUUUUUUCAUUACACCUUCCUCCUAAAUCAUCACAUGUUUUGGCUCCUUCAAUGCUUUCACUGAAAGGUGCUUAUAGGAUAUUAAUGUUUAUAUUUUUUUUUUGUUAUUUUUUUAGUUAAAUUUGGUCCUUGGAUUUUUAAAAAUUUUGAAUUUAAUUAUUAAUUUUUUAAAGGGAGUCAAUUUGUUUUUUAACAGAAAUAUAAAUUAAAAUGUUAAAUUUUGAAAUAUAGCAAUCUGCAUACCAAUUUAUAUAUACUUCAUGCUAUCUUUUAUUAAUUUUUUAACAUUUUUUUAUAAAUUUUAAUUUUUUUAAUUUUAAAUUAUUUUUUAACAUAACAUAUAAAAUAUUUAUGUUAAAAAUUUAAUGUAUUAGAAAGCAUUUACCUUAAAAAAUAUCUUAAUUUAUUUUGUAAUAUUAAUGAUUAAAUUUAACUAAAAAUAUGAAUAAUAAUUUAAUUAAUAAAAAUAUAAGUAUUAAAAACUAAAUUUAUCGUUAUACUUAUAAACGUUAAAAUUUGAAUUUCUAAAUUACUUAACGGGUCAUCAAUUAAACGUUGGCGCCUUAAUUACUAAAAUUUAAAGUUUUAUAUAUUUUUUAAGUGUAGUUUGCAGUAAAAAAGAAAGAAUUUUUAAGCCUCACCAAAUUUUAAUUGAAGAACUAAUGAAUUCAAAAUAAAUAUUACAAAUUAAUUAACAAUAUAAUUUUCACCAUUUAUAUGGUAAAAUAUUAAUUUAUAUGGUAAAAUAUAUAUUUUACAGUAAAAAAUAUUAUAUAUAUAAUAUAUGGUAACAUAUAUAGGGAAACAUUCUUGUAACUUUCUAAUCAAUUUAAUGACUUGAUUGAGAGCGACAUCAACUUAAUUAAGAGCUUAAAUAAUAAAACGGGAAUACUAUAAAUGAUAUUUUCUAGAUUUUUUAUAUACUAUAACAUGUUGAAGCAAUUUAUUAGAAUUUGAUAAUCACUAUAUUACUAAUUAUUAUAAUUAGGGCAAUGACUUAUUUGAGUCUUUAAUUUUAUAAAAAAAAUUAUUUUAGUUUUUAGUUUAAUUUUUUCAUCUAUUUUAGUCUUUAAAAUUGCAUUGUUUGUCAAGUUAGCCCAAAAAUAGAUGAAAAGGUUAUUGUUAGCUUUGCUGGUGCCACAUACACGUGGAUGCUACGCUAGCAAUUAAUUUUAAAAUUUAAAAAUUCAAAAAAAAUUAUUAAGAAACUAUAAGACUUAUAAAUUUUUUAAUAUUUUAAUUUUAAAAAGAUAAUUAAUUGCUAACGUGGCAUAGACUACCAUUUGGGUGCCACAUCAACAAAGUUAAUAAAUAUUAAUUUUGUCGAUCAUUUUAGGGUGAUAUGAUAUAAGUUUAAGGGUUAAAAUAAUCAAAUAAUUAAAUAGAAGAUUAAAAUGAUUAUUUGUAUGGAGGACUAAAUAAGUGAUUGUACCUUAUAUUAUUAAUUUUGACGAUUUAAAUAGUGUUGUAAAAAUAAUUAAUGGAAGAUUAUAUUAAAAAGGUGUUUAGCGCCUAGUUUAUCAAAAGUAGAGUGAGCGCUCUAAUCAACAGCCGGUCUAAUAACGAGACAAUCUUAGUGCGGUUGGUGGGACUGACGCAAAAGAUUAAAGUGAGGCAAAAGGGAAAUAUAUAAACAUGUUAUGUUAUUUCUACGCCUGUGCACCUUCAUUCUGUUUUAAAUAGAUUUUCAUGUAAGUAUUUCUUUUACUAAAACAUUAUGGAUAAAGUAGAUCAAUAAUCACUUAUUUUUUAUUUUAAUAAUAAAAUAAUGACUUAAUUUUUAAUUCAGUGACUCGAUUUUAGAAAAAUAACAAAUCAAUCUUAGUAACCAUUUAACCGACCGUGUUGAAGUGCUUCCGGUCAUUUAAACAACCACAAUUUAUGAACCAUAACUGGUAGUAGAAGAAGAAUAAGAGAAAAAAUGGUGAUGCCACUGUAAUUCCGGUGACAAUAAAAUAAAAAGAAGAAGAAGAAAAGAAAAGUGAUGCUAAUAGGGGUGUAGCUAGGGGGCUAACACCUUAAAAUAGAAAAAAUUUCACUUUAAUCCUUUAAAAAAUUAAAAAUUUAAAAUCGUAUCCCUUAAAAAUGAUAAGUUUUAAUUUAAUCUUUAAAAACUAUAAAAAUAUAUUUUUGUGCCAUAAAAAAUUAAUCUAUUUUGGAGUGAUGCUAAUACUAGUUUAUGCUUUUACUGAAUCGAUAAAAUAAUCAUGAAAUAGAUCCGUUAAAAAAUGAAGAGUUGUUUUAAAUUAUUUUUUAUUAAAUAAAAUUGAAAUGUUAGGUGGCUAAUAAUUGUUGUUGUAUGAAAAGAGGUAAUGCUCAUAAUUAUUAUCACACUAAACAGUUUUGGAGUGAAAACCAAAUCAAAAUUGGUUUCAUGCGCUUUAACUUUAAACGCGGUAUACAAGAGAUUGUGGUUAUUUUUAUCCUAUCAACAACAAAUGUAUACUUUGAUUUGUAAAUGAGAUGCAAUAAUAAAAGUUUGUGAAACAACGAACAUGCUAAGCCCAUUCUUUUAUCGCGUCUAAUUAAAUUAUAUUUAAAAUAUAAAUACAUUUUUUAUUAUGAAAGACAUUUACAAAUUGAAAAGAGAUAGAGAAUGAGAAUAUAUAUAAAGAAAGAGAGUUGGUGAAAUGAAGAAGAAGAGAAAUAAUAGCACCGUUGCUGCUGGGCAAAAUGAAAAAUUUUAAGAUUUUGGAUUGAAUUUAUUAAGGUAAAAUGUUUAAUAUGAAUUAAAAACUUCCAAGACGUGAUAAAUUUAUAAUUCUAACACCAAAUAAGUUUAAAGAAGCAAGUAAUGAUUGAAUGAAAAACGCUCGUUGGUAUGUCUCUUACAAGUAAAAUAAUAAAAGAUAAAAAGCUUAAAGGGUUGUAAACCCGUUUGGUCCGGGUCAUCUGAUGCAUUCAUCAGCUAGGCUUUUAAGGCUUGGGUUUUGGGUCAUUUACAAACAAUUGAUGGCUCUGAUAAAGACCUGCCCCUUUUUCCAUUACUGUGACACCCUUUGUCCUUACUUUCCCAAUUUCCCUUUUCUACCCCUCAGAUACAGCCACUCACAUCUAAUGCUAACAUAACACACCCCAUUCAUCUCAUAUUCUGAUACACCACCAAUACUAACAAGGUUGGUCCUAUGGCAUCAUUUCUCUGGUUUGCACUUUUAUGCAUAUAAAUGAAUGCUGCUUUGCCUUCUUUGAAAAAGUGAAAGAUAUUAUUCUUUAAUUUGCACUUUUCUUUUGUUUGCACUUUUAUAAAUCUAUGUACUAUAAAGUCAUGUUAUUAAAUAACCAUUGCAUUGCAUGCACCUUUUUGUUUUAGAACGAUGGGUCUCCAAAUUUUCAUUUAAUUUCCAGCUACCAUAAACAAAGAUCACUGCAUUUAGUGAAUGCUUAUUGUUACAUCAUGUUCAUCUUUAAUUAGAUUAAUGCAAUACAAGCUACAUGGUAUAGGCUACCUCUCUCUGUAUCCUAGAGUUUUUUCCUGCAUAUUUGAUCCCCCCCCCCCAACAAAAAAUUAAAGUUCAUGUUUGAUCUUUAUAUAUAUAUGAUAGAAGAUUACAAAUUAGGGCAUCACGGUUGAUCAAAUAUGAUACGAAACAGUACAAAAUAAGCAGUGGAUGUAGGGGCUAUUCAAACAGAAUACUGUCUCUAUAAUAGAAAGGGUUGCUAACUCUGGUCUCUUUCAGGGUUUGGCUAUUUUAGAGUAAAUUCAUUUCCCAUCCUCCUUUUUUAAAAGUAAAAAAUAAAAAAAGUCAAAUGCAGGAAGAUUGGGGAAAUAAUGGUUAAUUAACGCAAAAGAAAAUACAGAUGAAAUUAAAGACAAGUGGGGGAGGGACAGGAGUGAGAAUUGGGGAUGUAGAUGGGGACAGAAUAGACAUCCACCCGCAAAUACAGGGGACCUCGUACACAAACCCUCUGCAUUUCGUAUUUCUUCCUCUCUUUUUUUCUUAUUUUCUUAACAUUGUUUUUUUUUAUUUUAUUAUUAAAAUUUAGAAUUUAACUAAAAGUACAAACCCAGUUAAAAGCUCAAUUAAUUGUCAUCACUUCAUAUUUUUUUCUCUUUUCUGCCACACAUCACCACCCAGCGGUCGCAGCAGCAUUGCAGCAGUAUCAGUUGCAGCACUCUGCUGCUUGCAGUCGACGAAAACCCACAAAAACAGAACUUCAGAAUAAAACUUCUUUCUAUAAUCCCAAAAGCAAAUUUGAAUAUGUAAAAUUCCAAUUAAUUAAAAGCUCAUAAAAGCUUUGAUUUGAUAUCUAAGAAAAAGACUAAAACUCCAUCACUCCCUAAAAGAAAAGAGGAAAAAAAAAGGGGUUUUGUCUGUGGUUCUUUUUCAGGGCGUGUCUUGAUGACUCCAACUCUGCUUUUUGUAAUGCCAAUGUUGAAUUUUUAGUCUUUACCUUGAAAACCCAUUCUCUAAAAUGCAGUCAUGAAAUAUCCUCUCCUUCAUAUUUCAUUUCUUGUGCACAUAAGGCCCAAACCUUUCCCUUACUUCCUUAAAGUUACCAUUUUUUUCUAAGCUUCUUUUCUGGGGGGCACUAAUGGGGGGUUUAAUCGAUCUGAACACAACAGAAGACGAGGAAACGCCAUCAUCUGGUUCUUUAUCCCCUUCUUCAUCUUCAGCUUCCGUGUUAAGUGCUUCUGGCUCUGCUUCAAGUUCUCCCGUUUGUUUAGAACUCUGGCAUGCGUGUGCCGGUCCACUUAUAUCUUUGCCCAAGAGAGGAAGUGGAGUGGUUUACUUCCCUCAGGGCCACUUGGAACAAGUGUCCGAUUUUUCCGGCGUAGCUCCAGCACAUGAUCUCCCUCCUCACGUGUUUUGUCGGGUUGUUGAUGUCAAGCUCCAUGUAUGCUAACCUACACAUAUUUUCGUUGACUGUCCCUCUUAUCUUGUGUGUUCUAUAGAUUGUCUUCGUGUCAUGAAUGUUUUUUUUAUUAAGGGGAAGUUCUGAGGAUUGGGGGUUCUUUUUUCCUCCUUUUUGAAAACAUGGAAUUGUGGUUGUGGAUUCAUGGGUUUCAAUCCUUCUUUUCUUCUUUUCUCGGUUUUUGGGUUUUGAAUAUAGGUUUGAUUCGGCUUUCAAGAGAAUUGGGUUUAAUUUACAGCUAAUUCGAAGUCUCGGGGACAAAGAAGAGUGCUGCAGCGUGUGUGAGUGUGUUUAAAAUGUGAAAUUUGCUAUUGAAAUGUUUAAUUUUGUUGGCAGGCUGAGGGUGCCACAGAUGAGGUUUACGCUCAAGUUUCACUUGUUCCUGAAAAUGAGGUGGGGUUUAUUCCAUAGUUUCUUGUUACAUCUGAUUAACGGUUGCUUAUAAAGGUAGUAACCGACUGACUACUAUGAUCAGUACGAACCAAGUUACUUUAUUUAGGUGUUUCAGUUUCUUAAAACCAAAGAGAUUGGACAAUGACAACAUUCUGAACGAGAAUCAUUGCUCAAUGAUACGUUGAAAUUAAUUCUAAACUUUGGGUUAUUAUCUAGGUUAAUGUACUUGUUCAUGGUGCUUUUUUCUGGUUACCUCCAAAGUUGAGUCUUAUUUUGCUUACAUUAUGCUGUAUGUGGCAAAUUGAGCAGAAGUUGAAAGAAGGGAACAUAGAAGUAGAUGGUGAAGAGGAUGCCGAAGCAGAUAUCAAGUCCACCACGCCCCACAUGUUCUGCAAGACUCUUACGGCUUCUGAUACCAGUACACAUGGAGGCUUCUCUGUUCCUCGUCGAGCUGCUGAGGACUGCUUCCCUCCCUUGGUAAUCCUCAUGCACUUUUCUCCGUAUUUCGUUUUGUUGUUUUCCUUGUUUUCUUAAUAUAUGUUCACAACGAUUGAUUAUGUUUUGUUAAAGCACUCUUCUAUUUGUAUAUAGUUUUGAGUUUUAAGUAGACUGGUAUUGUAGGAUUAUAAUCAGCAGCGGCCCUCCCAAGAGCUUGUUGCUAAAGACCUGCAUGGCCUGGAAUGGAGAUUUCGACACAUCUAUAGGGGUAUGCACUAAAUAUUGAAUGCAUUUUAAUCCAACAUUUUGCUAAUGAUGGAUUUCCUUUCAUGGUACAAAGGCAUGUCGAUCAGAUCCUUGAUUAGCUGUCCAUUUCUCAAUUUGCUGCUAAAGGUAUCUUUUUGGUUUGAAUAGGACAACCACGGAGGCAUUUGCUUACAACUGGAUGGAGUGCUUUUGUAAAUAAGAAGAAGCUUGUCUCUGGAGACGCUGUGCUUUUUCUUAGGUUAAAAAUUUCCCCCUCUUGUGAAAUUUUAAUCAAUACCUCAUACGAAUCUUAUUUAGUGUCCAUAGCAGGGGUGAGAAUGGAGAACUGAGGCUGGGAAUCCGAAGAGCUGCUCACAUUAAAAAUGGCACUUCUUUUCAUUCUUUGUGCACCCAGCCGUUGAACCGCAGCAAUUUCGCAGAUGUGGUCCAUGCUAUAUCUAUGAAAAGUGUGUUCAGCAUUUACUACAAUCCAAGGUAUGUUGCUGCUCCAAUUAGAUGCUUUACAGCCAAUAUUAUGGGGUUUCUAUUGGAAAUUUUAUGAGAGACCGUGCAAUGCUGGCCUUGGAGAGGGAAAAUAAUUUGACCUGAGUGAAUAGCAUGCAUAAAUGUUUAAAUGGUAAAUUUAGUGCUUGUAGAUGCAACUUGGUUUUUAAGUGGGUGAUUUUGGGUUGCAUUUUUCACUUGUUUCCUCAUUUAAUUAAAGCCUGAAUCGCACUGUACCGUAUUGGGACAUCCUUUCUCUAUCCCGAAAUAAUUCACGUCUUAAUAUAUAUAAGAAGUUUGAACAGCUAUCUUUAGUUUAAAUGCAUUGUGUCAUAGAUACGAAUUGAUAUUAUUAUAGAAAAAUAAUCGCAAGAUUGACCCUUCGUCCUCAAUAUCGUCAUGAAUCCAAACAGGGGGAAGUACUGUGUCCUUUUUCACGCGGAGAAAAUAUUUAAAUUACUAUUGGUCCUAUAUACCAUUGGUGGUUAAGUGCUUGUGACCCAUUUGUGCUUAGUUUUGUGCAUGUUCUACUUGUUCGGAUGCUUCCUCAGUCAUAUUUUUGUUGAUAUCUAGCAGGGCCAGUUCAUCAGAGUUCAUAAUACCAGUGCAUAAGUUCUGGAAGAGUCUUGAUCAUUCUUUUUCCGUUGGAAUGAGAUUUAAGAUGCGGUUUGAAUCUGAAGAUGCAGCAGAAGGAAGGUCUGACCUGAUCGAACCUUUCAACUCUUCAGAUAUUAAAUCAUAUUAUAUUUAGCCUAAAGAAGGGAUGAAAGACCUACUCAACCAAGCUAUCAAAGCCUUAAUUCAACUUUUCAUUUUGCAGAUACACAGGAGUUGUAACCGGAAUUAGUGAGAUGGAUCCUGUUAGAUGGUCUGGUUCAAAAUGGAGAUGCCUGCUGGUAUGGUUGCAGACAUUGCUUAUACAUUUCCAAAUAUUAUACAAUUUAAUAAAUGAAAUAUGCCUUUCUGCUUUUAAUACUGCCAUAGCUUGUAAUAAGGCUCCAUUCAAACCUUAAGGUUAUUAUUGUAAAAGGGCUAUAUAUGUUUAGGCUUUGACAAAAGUAAUUACACAGGACAAUUCUCUUUUAAUGAUUUGUCUUUCCGUCCUUGAAAUUAAGCUGAUAUACCUAAAUGGAUAGUGUUCCUCCAAUUAUUUGUUUCAUUACAUAAUUCAUGUAGAAUUUUUGCUUUUUGUCUACGCUUGUUUAGAAGCAGUGUCGAGCAAUACUGCUUUAUCCUGCAAAAUACUUCUCUUGUAUUAUCAAUAAUUAACCCUCAUUCGUCCAGCCUAGAUAUGCAUUAAGCAGAAUGAACAUAACAAAAAAUGGCCUUGUUUGGUGGACCUUAUUUUCUCGAGGAAGCGCUGUACUCACUCUUAGUUAGAUGCCAAUUAUUUAGGUUUGCAUAUUUGGAAGGUGCUUGCACUUCAGAACUUAAAAAUAAUGUUUCGAGUUCGUUCGCCUGUCGAGCUUCACAUGGUUGUUUUGAUUGCUUUGGUUUGGUCUUGCUAAUUAGUUCUUUCGUAGGCAAUGUUUUGAAUACCACCUCAUUGGUUUAUGAUUUUAUCAAUAAAUUACUCAGGAGUUAAGCUAGUAGAUUUUGGGCUUAUUUUGCAGGUAAGGUGGGAUGAUAUUGAUGCCAAUAGGCAUAAUAGGGUCUCUCCCUGGGAAAUUGAACCAUCCAGUUCAAUAUCUAGUUCUAACAGCUCGCUCUCUCCUGGUUCUAAAAGGAACAGGGUUGGACUGCCUUCAGGGAAACCUGAAUUUAUGGUUCCUGGUAGGUGCUUCUGCAUAACUAAUUCUCUUUCAUCUGUCAUGCAACAUUGUUUGACAUAGUCCUUUACAACAGAAGGAAUUGGAGCAUCAGACUUUGGGGAAUCUUUGAGGUUCCAGAAGGUCUUGCAAGGUCAAGAAAUUUUGGGUUUUAACACUCAUCAUGAUGGUGCUAAUAGUCAGAUAAUGCACCGGUCUGAAAUAAGUCGGCGCUUUCCUUGUUCUAAUGGUUCUGGUAUUGCUGCUAUACGAAAUAUUGGUAGAGACACAUUGGUGAAUCCUGAUAUUUCUUAUAAAGGUGUAGGCUUUGAGGAAUCUUUCAGAUUCCAAAAGGUCUUGCAAGGUCAAGAAACUUCUGUAAGCCCUCCAUGUAGAAGAGGUCCAACUGCAGAUGACACUCGAGAAAGUGACAGUCCUGGUGCUCCUGAUGUUGGUCAGUUGUCAGGAACUAGAAGUGGAUGGUCUUCUUUGAUGCAGAGCUAUAAUACUCAUAGUCAUAUAGGACCAUCUGCACAAGUGUCCUCACCUUCUUCAGUGCUAAAGUUCCAACAUGUAAGCAAUCCAUUUGCAAACGUCAAUCCUAUACAUAACUUGAAUAGCCAGGAAAAGGAGCGAAGAGUUCAUAAAAGUAGUUCUUUUCAUGCUCCCGAAACAUAUGGGGAUAGGAUACCAUCUUCAACUGGUGGACAUGGUUCCCGUAGGAGGCAUCUCGGAAGCCUGGAUUCAUUUGGUCCUUCAGCUGAUACUGUUCAGCUUGGUGAUUCUCAACCUCUGUCAGCACAACCAACAUUUAGGACAAGUCAAGAAUUAGCUUCUUCAUGUAAAAGUAGCUGCAGGCUUUUUGGUUUCUCCUUGACUGAGGGAGGACACGAUGCUGCCAAGGAGGACAACAUGGUGCAAGCAACCUCGUCAUUGGGUGCCGGAGCUUUCUUACCUCGCAUUGGGGAACAGUUUAACACACAACCUCCUGCAGUGACAAACACAGUUGGAAGCAGUUAUACCAAAGUAAGCAACCUCUACGCCGUCAGAGAUAUUGUUUAUGAUAUUGCAUUAUAGCUUAGUGAUGGAAUAGAAUGCAGGUCCCACCAAUAAGGAGUUGUGUGUACACAGGGUUUUGGAGCUUGAUGAAUAUGAUGUUGUGAUGGGAAAGUAAUAACUUUUAUUAGGUCUGCUUAUUAUUAUUAUUUUUUUUUGGGGGGGGGGGGGGGGGGGCUCGUUGUGGAGAUUAACAUCUGACAUCUUAAAUUUCUAUCAAGAGUGAAAGUAUUCAUUCUAGAGUGCCUUGGGCGGCACGAAAAGUGUUAUUUGGUGUUACACGAAACGAGGAUGUUGGGUUUGGUGUGGUAUGCUAUCUGGUUUGAAGUGCCUUGGGUGUGACUGUGGUUGAAAAUGGCUAUGUUGGAAGUUUGAACAGCUUUCAGUAGUUGGUGGCAUUUCCUUUUACAGGGAAUCCUGCAACAUUGUCUCAAAAAUUAUGAUGACAGAGCAAGAAGAUGCAUGCAUGCCUAUAGUCUGCUUUAGAUGCAUGCGUGUUUGGAUUGCCUCCUCAUCGCCUAAAUUUGAUGAAUUGUAAUUACUUUUAAUGAACUACUUUGUUCUAUCUUUUUAACUGACUUGUGGCUAUUCUUGUAUUAACCUUCAUGCUUAUAUGGUAUCAAUUCUAUAGUAUUACAAUGUUUUGGUUAGUCAACUGAAUGUUAAAGAAUAUAAUAUUGAAAUUAAGUUCUAGAAGGAGAAUUAAACGUCGUUAGAUUGAGUUCUUUUGAAAUAUAAUAAUAAUAAUAAUAAUAAAAUCUUGUCCAAUCUUUUAAUAAAUAAACACUUAGUUACAUAUAAUUAUAUGUGGGCCAAAAAAAAUAAACACUAUGAAUUGUAUUAAAUCUUUUUAAAAUAAUUUAAUUUAAUUGUAUUAUUUUAAGUCUCGGCGCGACCUUUCGCUGGAGACCUGCCCCUAGAACUUGGGCUUUCUGGAUGAAGUCAACGCCCUGCCGGCCAAGCAAAUUGCCAUUGAUAAUGCUACUUGAUGGCCGGAUUGCAGCACUCCUUUACUUGCACGAUAAAACCAUUAAACGAAAUGGUUGGUAAUUACCGUCUCCGUAUUCUUUGGUCACUCUCUCUACGUCUACGGCACACAUAUCAUUGGCUCUUCCGUUUAGGUUGGUUUCUCUGUAUAAACCGUCUUGCUGCUUGCUGUGACUUGGGUAAUGACCAAAAACUUGAUGUUGAAUCGAACGGCGAGAUCGUUUAAUAAAUUUAUUUUUAAAUUCGGAUAUAAAUGCAUUUUAAAGUGAUCCUAUGAAGUGAUUGGCUUAUUUUUUGGAUCCCAUCUUAGAUAUGCAAACUUCUGGUUUUGAAGCAUGGAGGAGCAUGAUGUAAAAAACUCAAAAAAACUUAAUUAAACUGUUGUAUAACGAAAGAAGAACAGAAAGUGGUGUCCAAAUGGAAAUGUAGGGGAAGAAACUGACUCAUCAAGCAUACCCUGCAAUUGCAUGCAGCUUUGAACAUUGCUUUUGUUGAAUGAUUUGAAAACGGAAGGGUGUUUGAUUAGUGGGUUAAGAAAAUGACCACUUCAUAACUGCCUUCCAUCAAUAGUGUGUGGAUGGACCGGCCACUUUCAUUUUUUCAAACUCCCCCCUCCUUUUGGGGUCAAUUUCCUUUUCUAUUAUUUAUAAUAUCAUUGUGACCUCAUUCUUUACCCCCUACUUUACUCUUUCUUUAUCUUUAAUAUGACUAAAAACAGUAUUCUCUUUUGGGACAAAAACAACCUCCCAUAAUUCUUUUUUUUUUCUUAUUAAAUAAGUAAAUGCACAAUGUGGGGGAUAUUUAAACAUUCAUUUGUUUGUUUUCUUUUCACAUAUUCAAUUUAAUCAAAUGUUAAUGAAAAUUGAACCAUAUACAAAUAUCUCAUAUUAAAAACUGAACCAUAUAUAAUUCAAAAUCACUUGAUCUUGUACGGAAAUAAAAUCAAAAUGAAAUAUUCUAGAUGAUGCCAUGUGAUUUACAGUUUAAACGUUUUAAAUAUUUUAAAAAAUUAGCAAUAACUUAUUUUUCAAUUUUCAAACCCUUUUUUUUUUUUAAUUCAUGACCCUAUCUUUUGGGGUAAAAUAGAUUUUAAAACUCAUUAGUAAAUUUAUAUUUUGAUAAUUUAACUUUAAAAACUUACAAAAUAAUCAUUAAAUUAUUUGAAAGUUUUUAAUUAAUUCACUGAACUAUUCAAAAGUUUUCAUUUUAGGCCCCAUGGUGUUAAUUUUUUUAAGAAAAAAGAGUCGAGCUAGUGAGCUUCAAGCAACGAUUCAAUUGGUAUGGUGGAUUAAUACCUUUUGGUAAGUAGUAGAACUAGUGGUGAAGCCAAAAACAAAAAUUUUAUUGGGGGGCGGAAUUAAAUUACAUAUUUCUACUAUAGUAAAAAUAUAAUUUUACCAUUUUAAUAGUCUAUAUCGUUAUAUUUUGGGGGCAAAGUACAAUUCUACCAUUACUUGUUUAAAUUUUAUAAAUUAUAGAGGGCUAGAUAGAAAAUUUUCCAUUUUAGGGAGGUCGAGGCUCUUGCCAACCCCUGGCUCCGCCACUAAGUAGAACAUACCUUAGAUCCUAAUCGAUUUGUCGGUCAAUAUAAAAAAUUAGAGAAGAAAGCUAUUUUGAUUUUGGCUUGCAAAAUUGUUACGUUUAAAGUUAUUUUAUAAAAAAAAAAUUGAAUUGUAGAAAAGAAGAGAAAAGAAAUCUUUUAAUUGAUAAAAGUAGUAUAAACAGAGAAAAUCAUACAAUAAUAAUUUUAACAGCCCAUUAAGAAUAAUUUAAUGAUUAUUUUAUAAUUUUUUAAAAUUAAAUGAUAAAAACAUAAAUUUAUUAAUUAUUUAGUUUUGAGUGGUAUAUAUAUAUCUUGGCAUCUUGUUUUCAAUAAUGAAUCGAUGAUGACGAUGGUAUGGUGAACGUGGGAAUAAACAAACGACCACGUCGGGAUGGGGCCCAUCUCAGUUCUCAAAAAUCAUCAAUCGUCACGGUGGAAGACAUGGUGUAACACGUGGAUGAAUGUGACAGGUAGGGAGUAAUGUUGUAAGAAAAGGCCGUGGUGGAUCCUUUAAUGUUAUCCAUAUAUAUACCAUGUGUUGUCCCAUGAGUCAGUCCAAGGCGAUUAUUAAAUUAGCCAUUUAACCUUUCGUACGUUAUCUUUCAGAAAAAAAAAAAUCAUACGUUAUCCGACCAACAAAAUUAUUUUAUUUUUUAUUUAAUUUCAUACUUAUCCCUUGACAACUCCAACAUUGUGAUUAGAAAACUCUCCCAAAGAUUAAAAAGAAAAAUAGAUUUUUUCAAUAAAAGAAUAUUUUUAAAAAUUGUUUAUACUUAAUGCACAAUGUGUUAAACUAGUGGUCUUCAAUUAUAUUUGAAUUAAAAUAUUUAUGUUAUUUUGAAGAUGGAGAUAUCUAAAAUGUUUAAAAUAAUAUAAAAAAGGAUUAUAUAUUAUCAAUCAAGAUUUUUUUUUAUCAGAUGAAUUUUGUAUUCAUGCUGACGUGUUAUAUGGCUUGUAAAUUGGACCAUCUGUAGUAGGUAACAUUUUGAUCACUUUGUUAAAAGUAUUUAAUCAAUAAUUAACGAAUGAUGUUUAGAUUUUUUUUUUUUUAAUCUUUGGCCAUCUGAAUCCAAAAGUUGACUUGAAGACUUUGUUAAAUUUUUAAAUAGAAAAAAAUGCAAUUAUGCAUUAAACUUCCCUUGGAAUGGCCUUCUGCAGCAGUACAGCGCUUUCCUGAUCUUUUCCAACUAUUAAUUUGGUAGUGCGGGAGAAUUUGGUAAAAACAGUUUAUGAAAUGUUACAAGUGUUUAAUCCCAAUUAAAAUCUUUUACCUCUGCGCCGGGAUAAUUUAUAGUUUGAUCCUUAGGUUAGGUUAUGAAGAUUAAAUUGGCCCACGUACAAUUCAAGCGAAUGCCGAUGGGAAAUAAAUGACUUUCCUUUCGGUUCUUCUGCUAGACAGAGUGUAAAUGAUGAAAGGGAAUGUGACGUUCAAUUUGGGGACCUAGCAAAUUGCAGUUGGCUAACAUAUGGCAAUCCAUCUACCAAACGGUCACGUAGGCCGACAUCACCCUCACCACCCCCUGACGUACUAGAGUGCGUAACUGGCGUUGACGUUAGAGUCUUCUCCGCAUUUCCCUAUUUAUAUAAUCUCAUAACAACAAUAGAAUACCCCCCCCGUUCCCUUUCUAAGCAUAUAUUAUAUAUGUUCCAUGCAAGAAGCAAUCCCUUAUAAAUCAUACAUGGCUGCCACCGCCGGUGGCCGUUCGCGGCUUCACAAUUUUCUCGAAGGCGCCGGUAAUGGCGGGGAACAUCGACUCGUUGCCAACGGCUGUGAAAACAAUGUAACGAAAUUGGUUGUGGAGAAUGCGGUGAUAGUAUUCGGUAGACGUGGUUGCUGCAUGUGCCAUGUCGUGAACAGGUUGCUACUGGGGCUCGGAGUGAAUCCGGCGGUUUGUGAAGUGGACGAAGAGAAGGAAGAGGCGGUGCUCCAUGAACUGUCAGUAACAAACGGGGGUGGAGUUCAGUUUCCGGCUGUUUUCGUGGGAGGGAAGUUGUUCGGCGGUUUGGAUAGGGUCAUGUCUACGCAUAUUACAGGUGAAUUGGUGCCUAUUCUGAAAGAAGCAGGGGCUUUAUGGCUAUGAUGACUUAUAAUCAAUCUGUGUUUAUACUCAUGUUUCUUCUUCUGGCUUCCUCUUUUUUUGCUUUUAGUUGUAGAAAUGCAGCAAAUUUAACUUUUAAUCAUGUCUUUGAGGGAAUAGAUCGUGUAGUAAUUGUAUGGAUGUUGAGUAUUGAGACAGAGGCAAGGGUUUCGGGACUUGUAAAUUCCUUCAUCAUAUCGAAAAGCUCUUUCGGGAGAACUCAGAUUGAAUGUAAAAUUCUUGCCAAUUUUCUCUUCUAUUGAAAUCAGAGAUGGAGGCUAAAAUUAUAUUGGGAUUUUUGUAAUGAAAAAUCAUUGAAGAUGAAGGAUUGAAUGAUCAUCUGGAUCUGGAUUUCUACAUGCUAAACCUCAACUCCUUCAAUCUUGCUUUGUUUAAUCUUUUUCCAGAAACUAACUAAAAACCGAUUAAAACCAAACAAUCAGCCACCGUACUUGUAAAAAUAUGUAAGCAGAAUUUUUACCUAAUUUAUGCAAAGCAGGUACAUUUUGUGCAGAAUUGAAGUUCAAGGAUGUAACGGAAGUUAUCUAGAUCGUUUUAGCAUCAGACCUCAUUAUUUCUUUCAAAUAACAAGCGAUUUUGGGGUUCGUUUGACGAAGAUGAUCAGGUUAAAAAAUUAUUAAUUUAAUGGGUAUAUUAUAAAGAAAAAAAAUUCCUAAUUUUCUUAUACUCAUUAUUCAUCUUUCUUCUCAAACAAAGUCUAAAUACCAAAGCUUUGGAGAGAAAAGAAAUCAUGGCGGGGCCAGCUAGAUCCCUCAGCCGUUUGAUGGUCAACCAAAUUCGGCCUUCUUUUCUCAUCUUCUCCUUUUAAGCCCAAAUUAAUUUGAUGUUGGCAAUAAAUGAAAUUUGUAUUUGAUUAAGGGUGGGAUGUACCAAACAAAUGAAUUAAAGUUCAUAUCGACAGGACUUAGAUUUCCUUAGCUGGGUGAGGCGAAGGGACGAUAGGCGUGCAUGUGAGUUGAGGACCGAUGAUAUUUAUCCAGUAGGCCACCUGUCGCACACAUACUUGCUAAACAGGAAAGUCCACGAUUUAGGUAAAAAUGAAAAUGUGGUACACAGAAUCCAAGCUGUUAGUUCCUCGGUUUAUCAAAUCUGUUGUACGAUGAUAUUAAAUAAAUAAAAAAAUCCGAUCAGUUGCUCAAAAUUUCAAAAUUGAAUAUGAUAAUUAAGAAAUUAACUACACGUGUUAGCUUCAAAGCCUUUACCUGAUCAUAGUACUUUAGAAACUUCCAUUAAUCAUUGACCGUUUCUACUUCCGAGAAAGAAAAAAUAAAUUAUGGUAUUCGUAAAUUGGAUGGUCAUGCAGUGGUGGGCUGGGCUCUGGCUGAAUGGUUAAUGUCCAGUUUCAUAUCUAAUAAUAAUUUCACUGUAUUUGGAAUGCACGUAAUUCUUGAAUCCCAGGACGUAUUUAUUGAUGGUACUUGCAUUGAACUUGUGGGUUUAAUGUCCCACGUGACUGCAUUGAGAAUAAGCGUUAGGACACUAACGACAUUCGGAGCUACCUAUAACGAAUUCAUUCAUUUCUUUCCACAGUUAUAUUGGUAUCUGUGUUUAGGUCAUAUAGCUUAUAGCCACAGAUUUUCAGGAUUUGGCGUUUGCCUUGUCUGCAAGACAAGAACAUAUGAUGUGAGCUUUUUUUUUUUUGGAGAAAAGGAAAAUUCUUGUUUGUCUUUUCGUUUUGUUUGGUGUUGUUUUGGGGGUCUUUCAAUUUGUUAAUUGGAGCUAAUAAAAGUGGGAUAGUUAUGCCAUUGAUUGUAAUGUGUAACUGAGUUUCUUACCAUUUUUUUUUUAAAUAUGCGGACCACUACGAAAAUCUUCCUUCACAGUUGACGUACAAAUUGAUGUUUAAUUCUUACCAUGUUAUUUGUCUGCGCCAAAGCCUUUUCCUGUCUUGUUAUGCAAUUGCUUCAACUGCAAGCAAAUAGAAAAAAGAGAAAAUCCUCCCAAUGAGUGGUGAGAUUAAGACAUAAAAUUUUCAGUUCCACUCCAAAAAUUAAUUUGGAAAAAAAAAAUGCAAAAUUAUGUACAGCAAUUUGAAAACAAGAAUACAAAAUCUGGUGGGUGGGCAGAAGCAACUUGAGGGGGAAAUAAAUAAAUAAGCCAAAAUAGUAACUGGAAGUGUAAACAGAUAAACCUUCUUAAUUAAGCUUUAUGCCUGUUUGCGAUAAUGACAUUUCCUAAUUGUCUAUUAUUUUAUAACAACCCACCAAGCUUUCUUUUCUUAAUCCAUUUGAUGGAGUUAAUGUCUAUUUUAAGCUUUUAACUAUACCCCCUUUUUUAUUUUUUCGAUUUAAUAGUUUCUGCGAAACUAAAACUCAGCAUUAAAUCUCCCAAAUUUCCAAUCCAUCAUGAAAAAGACAAUGUAGAUUUCCUGGCCGGAACAUGAAUUCUUCGUCCAGCCGGCGUUGGUCUGUCUAUUCAAAUCCAAAUCCAAAAUUCUUGCAUUACAUUUUACACAUGCCAAUAAUGAGAUAUCAAUAUUUUUUCAAGUCCUUGUUUGAUAAAAAAAAAAAAAUCUCUUGCACUUGGUGUUUCAAUGAUUAUGGAGGAAUUCAAGUUAGUUUGGGUUACAAUGAUUUCAUAUGCUUGUCUAGGGCUGUAUGCUUACUAAUAAGAAAUAAGUUGGAUGUUGUUUAAAUUAAGUCAUUACUUGAAUCUUCAAAGAAAUGUUAUUAACAAUUUUAGGUGCCAACAGUAUCAAAAGUUCACGAAAGAACAAAAAAAGAAUCCAUAUAGAUAUAUGAUUAAUCCAGAAAUGGGGAUGAGAACAAACUCAGGAUGGAGGAUUCAGAUUUACAAUAACAAAAAAAGAAGAAAAGAAUCCAUGAUAGAAUGAAAAAGGAGUACAUAUACAUAUGAUAAUGAUAAACCUAAUUAUUAAUCAGUAGGGACUAUUACUAGAAGUUUUAUGGCAGUCAUAUCUGUGCAAUCCUACUAUAUAUAUAUAUAAGUCAUCAAACCUUAUAAGUGGAUAAAAUAAGGUAAAAAAUAUAUAUAAAUAUUAUGCAAAUGCCAGCAAUCUCCCUUGUUUAGUCGUUUGCGAUCAAGAGCGUGGUCUCAUGGGCAAAUCUUCCCAAAGCAUCCGACUCUUUAAUUUAUUUGACUGUUACAUGGCAACAGCAACAACCGCAUAAGUCCUUGUCGUAGCUGCUCAUCUUUCCAUUGCUAUUUUCUUUCAACUCUCCCUUUGCUUGUAUCAGAGGUUAAUCGAAUAAUCGAGGAUCCAUCACCUUGAACAACCAAAUUUGGGAUGAGCUGAGGUGGGCUUUCCCUAUUAUGGUGACUCCCAUCAUCGUAUGGAAUAAAAGGUGGAUUGUUAUGCUCAACAAGACCCCGGCUGCCACUGCUCUUAGCCAUAGGAUUAGGACUUUGGUGCAGCCGGCUUCGGGUUUUAAGCUUUCGGUCGAGCGUAUACUUGACACUACUGGGACCGCAUUGUCUCGGUUGAGUUUGGUAAAAAACUUUGGAAACCACCAACUCUCCAUCUUUCUCUUCUUCAUUGUUGCCGAGGUGAUAUUGAUGCAUCACCCAGUUAGUCUUCUCAGGCUUCCUUUGCCUGCCAUAGUUGGUGUAGAGCACUAAGAUCUUUUUGAAACCCUUCACUGCCCCACCAACCGAAACUGCUCGGGUCUUGCCUGUUUUAUGCCACCUUGUUUCGCUUCCCUCUUCAUCCGUGUGAACUUUUCUUCUCUUCCUUGUCCCGGUUGUGUACGCCUUGGAGGGUCGAUGGAAGAAGUGUCUAAUUUGGCCAUCUUUGCUUACUCCUGCAGAUCGAAGUGAUCAAAUAUAAAUUCAUGUUUUAUUAGAUUACGGAAUGUUAAUAUCAAGUGAUCAUAAGGUUUAGCAUCAGCACUACUUUGAAACUUUAGUAUUAAUUAGAUCAUUGAAUGAUGAAGGGCAAUGCCUAAAACAUAGGUUUAAGCUAGCAAGGUGGGAGGGGAAUAUCUAAGCCUAAUCACAUGUCUCUAAGAAAACAUGUGGCGAGAGUAGAACCAAAGGACCUCACGUAAUCAAGCCACCUAAGAAACACUGCACACAAGCAAUGCUUGGCAGCUAGUAUUAGCCAACUUAGGUACUUUCCUUACAGUACACUUAACUGGAUUCUAAUAAAAAGCUGUAAGGUUUUACGUUUUCAUCUAAAAUUCUUCAUAGAUCAUUGCUAGUCCCCAAACCAAAUAUACAUAUGUAUUUAUAGAUAGAUAGAUCAUUGAUAUAGCUAACCCUACAAAAGAGAAAAUUCAACACAAAAUGAAAUACUAAUUGUAUACAAUUAGAAAAGCAAAGAAGCUAAAAAUGUUGAGAAAGGUAAUAAUUAAGUUUGAAUUUGGAGCUAAAAUUAAAGCAUCAAAGUGUACCCGGCAACUUCUCAGGAUGAGUAUAGCAUAUCCCAUUUUCUCCUUCCAGUGUUGGAAUAAACUCAUCAAGCAACGGAUGAAGCUUGCGCAGAUCAGAUAUUACUUUGGCCUCUAAAUGCUCUAAAAUUUCUUGGUCAGUUGGAUCAAACUUCACUCCGGCUGGUAACCCAGGCAAAUCAUGAAUUCCCGUCUAACCCCACAAAAGAUCAUAGUAUUUUAGUGGAUCAAACCAUAUGGAGUAAUACUCUAGCAAAACAAUUAUAUUAGGAUUAAAAACAUGUAGUACCUGAUCUUGGUAGGGUAUGUUAAAACCACAUGAAGGGCAAAUAAUGGUUUGGAUUUCAUGGAUUUUGGUGUAGGAAGCGGCUGAGGUGGCAGCGACGGCGAGAGAGGGUUCUUUAGUGGCUGCUGCAACUAACUUUAUAGCUCUAGCAUCAUCAUCUGGGUUAUUGCACCAUGUCAUCUCUCCUGUUGUUGUGGUGAUGGUCUUAUUCCCAUCACAAAGCUGGGUUAUGGUUCCACCGUCUUCCCCACUUGUCAAACUCCCCCACCACACGAAAUUCUAGCGAGAUUUACACAUACAAAAAAAAAAAAAAAACAAGUAAAGCAAAACUUGUCUCCUUUAGAGCACGUUUCCAGUUCCCCCUACUUUAUUUUUCUUGAUGUUUGGCAAAGGAAUUUAAUUCUUACACGCUUUUUUUCUAUUUCUCUUUUUCUAAUUUUCUGCUUAUGAUUGAGAGGACAUAGCUGCUGUGUGCUAUAUCCUCCUAUAUCUUGGAAAACAAAGAAAGGGAGAGAGAGAGAAAGAAGGUUAAAGGGAGAAGGGUAUAAUAGAAAGGAGAGAAUGGGAUUUAAUUCUUUUUAGAAAAAAAUAAUAUAAAAAAAUUUAUAGGGUAAGAAAUGUUGCUUGGACGCUAAGUUUGGUUAUGCUAAUGUAGAUACGAUCGUAUGAAAGUAUAAAUGUAGUCUUGGACCUUGAUCUAAACAUUAAAACCCUUUACAUUGUUUGAAUUAGUUAAAGAGUGGAGUUCAAUUUUUAGUAAGAUAUAAAAUAAAAAUCUCAAUAUUUAUAAAUACGAUUUUGUGUAUACCAAGGGUUGGGUGGUAUUUUUCCCCAAGACAUUUGAUCUAAUUAGCUCCAAUGUCAUACUGGAGUAUUCUUAAAGCUAAUAUAUAAGACAAAAUAAAUAAAUAAAUAACUAAAUAGCAUACAAUAUCGUAACAUAGAAAAUACGAAUGUAACAAUAUUGGUGUUUUGCACCAAACUUGUUGUGUAGCAGCAAUUUAUCCAUUUCUUCACGUAAACUUCUCAUGUGUUAACCAAGCUCCAUCCUCUCUCUCUUUCAGGUUUGGAUGUUUAUUCUGGGACAAAUUGGAAGUUCUUUUACAGUUAAAGUCUCUCUUUAUUAUUUAUUUGGUUUUAUUAGUAAUUUUGGAUAUUAAUGGUUUCGAAAACUCCUCCCAAUGAGAUUAAUGUGAUGUGAAGAUUCUAACUAUGUUUUUCAUAUGUACCAUACAUAAUGUAAUUAAUUAUUAGAAAACCAAUUGGACAGAGUUUCAUUUUCUCUUCAUUAAUUUUUAAAUGGUGCACCAAUAAAUAAAUUAAAAACUUUAUUUCUAGGUUUUACAGUUAAGGGCUACCUAAUUCGAAUUAAUUAGCCCCAAACUCCAAAGUGAUGAUGUGAUGAAUGAUCAAAGGGCUGGGAGAGAGUUGAAAAGUAGAUGAGCGUGGGAAAUCACACUCCUUCACGUAAUUAAAUAUAAAUGGGCUUUCUCUUUUUUCAUUUCUCGUGUUAUCUGUUAGUUUGAGACAGCUUCUCCGAGAAGCCACGCAACUGCAUCAAACUUCUUUCUUAAGCUUUCAAACUUUAACGUAUGGGCUUUAGGGUUUUCUUUUUCUUUUGUUUUUAUUGUUCGAACCAAAUAUGAAUAUUUUUAUUUGCGUCCAUUCAAAUAAUUGUCCCAUUCCUCAUCAGCUUUUGGCUUCUUAUUUGUUCAUACCAAAAUUUAACCCCAUUUUCAUUUUCAUACAACUCACCUAAUCAUUGUUUCCUUUACUUACCGAAGGAUUAAUGAGCAACCCAAGCAUUAAGUUAAGCUUGGGGAUACUUGCAGGCAAAUAAUGUUCAUUCCUACUCGGGAUUCACACUUUUGAAUUUCAACAUUCAGACCGAAUGGUCACUUCUUUGCAAUUUCCAGCUUUUUCACAACCCAUUAUUUAAAACCGAUGACUACUCUAAACCUUUUGCAUGGUCCCUUCAAAGUUGACACAAAUAUCAUCAGUUUGUAAUUUUGCGUCUAGAUAAAAUAUUACUAAUACCAUACAUCUAUUUUCCAAUUCCUACAUCUCAAAAUAUUAGUAUUAUAUUAAGUAAAUCCUUUUACUAAUUAGGGCAACGUUAGCUUAGACUUGAUAUUAAAUAUUGGUUAAAGGGUAAACACGUAUUUUCAUAUUAUAUAGAUAACUUGAAUAUUGCCUGUAAAAAAAAAGAAAUUAUCAAUCUUAAGUUUUAAUGAUACUUUUUCGGCUUAAUGGUCCAUGAAGCUAUUGAACUUUUCAACGACAAAAAAAAUUCAAUCAAGUCACUUCAAAAAAGGAAAGUAAACGUUAAAACGAGUCAAUUAAUUCAUUAAUAUGCUGAUGUGGUCAUUGAGAAAAUUUAAAAUUUUAUUUAAAAGAUUCAACAAAUGGAUGUCCAAGUUCAUUUACCAUAUUCAUUAUCAAUAUAAUUUUUUAAAUGAUACGUAGGAAAAUUAUCUUAUACGUAGCUUGUGAAAUAGAAUAUUUUAGACUUCACAGAUAAAUUAAGAAUAUGACCUCCAUCUUAUAGCGUAUAAUAAAAAAAUAAUAUAUAAAUAAAUGGAAUAUUUGUUACACCCUCACUAAUCUAAAAAAGCACCACAAACUAUCUAGCUAAUAAUUACUUUUAUAAAUAAAUUUUAAGAAAUAUUAAAAGCAUUACAAAAAUGAAGGAGAAACGGUGGCGGUUGCUUUUCUUACUACGUCACAACAAGUAAAUCCAGAAAUGGUGUUGGUUUUUUUUUAUAAUAUUUGUACAACUUUUUAAUAUUUUUCUAAUUUCUAAUUUUUUAUUUAUAAUUCAAAAUUUUAUAUCUAUAGUGAAUUUGGAUAAGUGUAUGUUGAUAUUCAAAUGCACUUAAAUGUUUUUUUGUUCGAUUUUAUUCUUAAACUUAGAAUUUUUAAAUAUUUAUAUUUAUGUAAAUUAUCACGUCAACAUUAUAAUAGUUAGUUGAUAAUCAUUAACAAUUAGAAUAGCACAGUAACAGUCAACUAUACAAAACGUUAGCCAAUGAUCCUAAUUAAUGCGUUUCUAAUCUUUAUGGUUUAAUUGGGUUUUCUUCAUAGAGGGACUUGGUUUUUUAAUCUUAAAGUCAACUUUUUUUAGUAGAUAUGUUAGAUUCAUGUUAUCCAUUCGUGUUUAAUUUUUAAUCCAUGCAUUUAAAUGUCAUUUACAUCAAAUCUAAGUUGACAUGGGAUUAUGAGAACUCAAUUAGAAUGUUUUGAAAUUUAAGGGCUAAAUUACAAUUUGGACCAUAAUAUGAAAAUGUUUAGUGCAAUUUAUCUUAUAUAUAUAUAUAUAUAUGCCUCUCCUAUUAUUAAAUAUCUGAUUGAGUUGGUGUCAUGAGUUACUUGGACAUCAAUUUAAUUAGAAAAAAUAAAAAUAAAAAUAAAACAAAAAUUCUAUUACAAAUGAAUUUUAUAUUUAUUUUAAAAUAAAUAACUUAAACUAUUAUUAAAAUAAAAUUUUAAUAUUUUUGGAGUACGGAUUCGAAUCUUAUUAUAUAUAUUCUGAUCACUGAAUGUUACAUAAUCUCAAUAUAUGUGAUGUGAAGAUAGCAUAUUUCUGGUCUGUCAUUAUAUUAUUUUUAAUGGAUUGAAUUUUUAGAUUGUUUUUGGGGGAAGAUAGAAAUCAUAUCAUUAAAGAGAAUGCGCAGGAGAUACACAAAGGUUCUGCAUCAUAACAAGCAGUGGUGGUCGAAACCAGAUAACCCAACCCAAUAGGUAAUUUAGCCACAACACACAUGCUAACUUGAAAUUAAACACUAAUAGUAAUAAAUUGAGUCAGGUGGAGGUUUAAUUCUAAAAAUUUCUUUUGGUCCCAGCCUAACUUCGCUUAGUUUGACGUGUUUUAUUAUUUAAAAAAUAAUAAGAAUUAUUUUAUUUAAAUCUAAUAUAUUAAUGUAAUUUUUUAUAUUAUUUUAUUAUUUUAAAUUAGUAAAACAAAACAGAUUGGGUAUAUUUUAAUUAUGGUUCAUGAUUUCAUAUUCUAAAUUAAUUUUCAUACAUUAAAAUAUUAUAAAUAUUAGUAUUAUAUCAAUCAGGGCAUUAAAUGUUAGUUCAAAUGUGACAUAGAACAUAUAGAUCAAAAUUUAAAUACAUAUCUAUACAUUGUAUUUAGAAUUUGAAUAUCACAUGUUAGAAAAAAAGAUAUAAAUAAAUAGCCCUCAUAAGUUUUAAUGAUUCAUUUUUUUUAUUGACAUGUUAGAUGUAGACUAGUGUUUAAAAUUUGAUCCAUGCAUUUAAAUAUCCGCCACAUCAAUCCCAAAUUAACAUUAUAGUAAUGGAAGAACUUGAUUAAUUUGAUAAUGAUAUUAUGAGAAAAUAUUUUGAAAAUUAAAGAAUUCAUUAUUUAGUUCAUGGUUUUCGUGUAUCUGAUGUAAUUAACCAAUGUUUUUAGAAUCAGAUCGUUGUUAACCAGUCUAAUUAAAAAUAUUAAAAAUUAAAAACCCAAUUCAACCAAUUUGUACCCAAUACAUCAUUCUCUAGACCAAUAGAAAAAUGAUAUCAAACAACUCAUUGAAUUAGAAAAGUAUACAAAUAAAGAAAUAGAACUAAAAAUAAUCAGCAAUACGAUACAUGUUACGCAAUGCAUCUUGCCUGUCUGUUAUAAUGAAAAUAGUAAAGAGGUGAGUUUUAUAUAUUUGUGAAUAUCGUUUUACAGUUAUGAUGUAGAAGUUGAAGCAACGACACCCAACAAUCACUCUUGACCCAUUUAUUUCUUAUGGCUAAGGGAUACAAAACGAACCUAUCAACCAUAGCAAGGUUUUCUUUUUAAGAAAGAUUUUAUUUACAUUUAUAGGGACCAUUUUGUUUUUCUUCUGUUCAUUUAAUUUUCCAACUUUUAGAGUAAAGUGGGCUGUUAUAUCACCCCCAAUGGUGGGCUAACCCUCCUCUGGGCCUUUCUAAUUUACAACAUUUUUUCCAAGCCCAAUUCAUAGCUGCAUCCCCUGCCUGUACUCGACAAGCGAAAUUACGACUACCAUUUAUAUAUUCUUUUUCAAUAAGUGUGUGUACAUAAUAACUUGUUCCAAUGAAUGUUUGGUCCUUGCAUACACACUACAGGGACCCGAAUUGCAAUCCUUGUGGAAAUCUAACACUUGUUUUAGAAUUUAGAUGGAGCAGCUCCGGUUUGUUGGGUAUAUACUAUUAUUAACAAUUUAAGCAGAACAUUGGUUAGAUUCACUCCACUGCCUUGGGCUACUUUUUCCAAUCCAAUAUGAAUAAUGUAGACUUAAUUAAUAAUGGGCAAAUUGUCAAAACUGAAUAUUUGCUAAUUAAAAAAAAACACCAAUGGCUAUAAUUUUACUAUAUACAGACAAAGCAAACAGAAUCUAAUGAAAAUUAAAGAUGUAUUACAUUGAAUAGUAUGUUGGAAACAAGAAGAAGAAUAAUUGGAGAGAGAAUGAAAGUCCAAUCAACGCAAAAUUGGGUCCCCAAAACCAAUUUUUUUUAUAUGAACAAAAUUGUAGAAAUAUUGUGAUUGAUUCUAAACACAAAUAAUUGGGUAAUGAUUAAUUUACAAAACGAAGUUGUAGUGAAAUGAUGGAGCCAUAGCAAACCCCCCAAAAUCUGAUAAUCAGAUUGAGAAAGGCAUAAUAUAAAAAAAAUUAAGGGAAAUGGGUCCCUUUCACCACCAAUGUAAGAAAAUCCCCCCUAUUUCCACACGGAAACAAUGAUUCCCCCAUCACCGCCCCUCUCCCACCUUUAUAAUCUUUCAUUUCAAUAUUUUCCCACACAGUUCUUACCCUCGUUGGCCAACUCUAUCUUGCAUCCAUUUUGAGGACAACCCACGUGUACAAUCUUAGCUUUAGCUUUUUGAUGAUCAAAGUCAAAUAAAAUAAAACAAACCCAAUAUUCAAAUUUGGCACUCUAAUGACAGACCUCAAUCUCCAGAUUGUUCAAAAAUGGAUGCCACUUGAGAAAUGGAAGGCCUGUCUUUUCUGUAAUUACCAACACAAGCUGAAGCAACUUUUGCCAGUCUAAGAACAGGUUUUAUAUCAGAGGGAAUUACGAGUCUAGGGUCUAAAAGUUCACUAAACCUUUUGGCUUUGAUCAAUGGCAAUGCCCAUCUCACAAGCAACCCUUGCUCACUUCUCCUCCCCGUCAAAAGUUCCAACAACACCACCCCAAAGCCAUAAACAUCGCUUUCCUUGCAAGCACCGCCUCCCUUUUCAGCCCAAUACUCGUCAUCUACAUGCCCCACAAGCCCCGUCAUCUCUUUGGGUGCCAAAAACGAUAGCCCGUAAUCACAUAACUUUGCAACAAUUUUCACAUCUAAUAAUAUAUUCGACGCCUUUAAUGCACCGUGUACUAUAUUGGGUGCUAUCCCUUGAUGCAAAUACUCGAUCCCCCUAGCCACCCCGGCAGCAACCCUCAAACGCCGGUUCCAAUCUAAUAACGAAGCACCAUCGGAGUUUUCAUGCAAAUAAAAAUCCAAAUUCACCAUGCCGACAAACUCCAUCACGAUGAUUCUCUCACCCGGCGCUUGUGAAUACCCUAUGAUUGGGACUACGUUAGGAUGCUGAGCCAAAGAAAGUGUUUUUAUUAUCGAAGCAAACCCGAAUCCAGCAUUGCUUAAAACAAGCCGUGGAUGUAUCCUUUUCACCGCAACGAGCUCCCCGCUCGGCGAUAUGGCUGCAUAAACGGUACCUAAGCGGCCUUUCCCGACGAUCCUUCUAGGGUUAAAGCCAUCUGUCGCUGCAUCUAUGUCGGUUAACUGAUAGGAGCUGGCACAAAACUUGGCGGGGAGCUCUAAUUGUUUCUGAUCGGGCUUUUGUGGUUUCUUCCUGCAGAUGAUGAUGAUGAGGACGACACCAAGAAUGAAAAGAGAGAUGGAGAGAAGAACCAAAAUCGAAUCGUAAGCAAUAUCGUCCGUUUGGGUCAUGUUUUGUGAGCUAAAUUAAACUCUAGCGUCUGAAAUGGGUUGGGAGAAAUGGAGAAGGAAGGAGAGGGAGAUUGGCGGGGGAGUUGUCUAGUCCAUUCCAUAUACUAACGUGUUGAAAAGGGUUAAUCCUAGAAAUGGAUGGGUUUGGACUUUGAAGUUUGAAGUUUAAAAGAGUUGAAUGAAGGGAAAAUGGGAGAGGUUAUGAUAGUUUGAGUAAGUGCACAGACUUUGAAAAAAGGGGUUAGAUUUGGUAAAAGAGUUGGUGUUCCGUUUCUCCAAGUCUAGCAUUUUUUAUUUUUGUUGGCCGACUCUAGCUUUAGAGGCUAUUAUUAUUAUUAUUAUUAUUUUAGGGUACCAUACUUAAUCAUAUUUUUAAUUGAAAAUUUUAGCUAAGAUAACCUAAUUCAGUAAGGAUUAGGAGUGAUUUGGAUUCCAAUAAAUUCAUUUCUAUUUAUUUCGUACUUCUCAUAAUACUUCGGUUUAAUUUUUAGUUUUUUUUAUUUUUAUAUAAAGUUGGAUUUUGAAUCUUAUUUUAUUUUCUUGACAAAAUAAAUACUGUUUUAAUAGUUUCUUAAUAUUUUUUAGAAAAUUUUUAAAUCUUUUGAGAAAUAUUUCUAGACAAAUAAAUUUUCAAAUAAAUAAAAGAUAAUAAAAACUCUAUUUUAAAAAAUAAUUCCUACAUGAUAUUUUUAAAAAUAUAUUUUAUAUAGAAUUUUUAAUUUAUUUAUACUAUUAAUUAUAUAAAAAUUUAAAUUAAGAAAUAAAAUUCGGUCAAAUUUGAUUAAUUAUAAUUUUUUUAACUUAUAUUCCGUUAACCGUUUAAAUAAUUCGACUCAAAUUGAUUUUCAAUUGUAAAGGUCAAAUCACAGAAAGUUAUUAACAGGGAUACUUAAUGACAAAACCCGAACUCUAAUGAAUUUCAAGAUGUUAUGUGAUACCCAACUUACGAUUUAGGGAAAUUUUAUAUAAAAAUAAAUAAAAAUUAACUAUUUAAUUUUUUUUAAAAAAAGUAAAAUUAUUUGAAAGAUAUAAAUAUAUUAAUAAUAAAAAUUUUGGUAUUUCGAACAUUUUCAAACUGCGUUGGUAUCGACUUGGCAGCUCAUAAAUUAUGGAGGAUGACUAAUGUAACAUUGUUUUAUAAAAUAGAUUAUAUGAGAAUUUAAUUUUAUAUAAAAAAUUUCAUAAAUCAUAAAGGAGGAUAAUUUGUUUUUAUAUUGGAUGUGUGUUGUAUUGUGAUAUAAUAUUAUUAUAUUCAAAAUCUGAAAUAUACAUUUCAAAUGCAAAUUAAAUAGUAAUGUGAGUGAUGUAGGCAAUAAAUUUGGAGGGAUUAUGGAGAUAAUGGAUGAGUAAAAGAUCUUUGUCAUUUGCAUUGUCAUGAGGCUUUGAUGGCAAGUUCUUAAACUCUAGAUUUGCCAAGUACUUGUCAAGGAUUCAAAAUGUGAAAUGUUGUUGUAAAAAAAUCUCAUGUUGAUUAAGAUAUGGAUAACGAAAGUUUGGUAAGUUCCACUUUGAAUGAUGUAUCUUCGUUAUAUGUAUUUCCAAUUGCAAAUAAUAAUAAUUAAUGGACUAAUUUAACAUUUGGUGCUUGGAAUAAAGUGAAUUCCUUUUUUUGUACAAAGGUUUGAACCAAGGUCUUAAAACACAAAUGCAGGUACCAUUUAGACAAGCUCCAUGCCCACCAAGAUAUAUGGGCCAAACGAAGUGGUUCAGAAUUUGGUGGAAGAAGUAGGUGGGUCGGUCCACGGCACGUAUAAUUUUAAAUCACCCAUGUUUACCUAACAUUUUCAUCUCUAAUUUUGUUUUUGAAUAUUAUAAACUUGGCACUCUCUUGCCUCAUGCUUAAUUAGUUCUUGGGGAGCUUUUAUACAAGCCCUACCCACCAUGGUUUAUGGAUAUUCUUUCCAUAAUAUAGCAUUAUAACAUUGCAUUUACUACUUCGGAACUAAAGAAUACUAGUCCCUGGGGCCUGAGUUUCAGUUUUAAUAUAAUGAAUUGAAGUGAUAGAGAAUAAAAUCAUAUAAUUUAAACUAUUAUAUUCAAGCAAUUUUCUUUUGUUUUUCUAAAAAAGUGAGUGUGCAAAAUAUUAUUCAACAUUACUAAAUAUAAACUAAACAUGACUUAAACCCAACUAACUAAGCAAAGACAAAUUAGGGCAUAGUCACACAUAGAUCAUAUAGGAUAGGACUUAAACCUAAACACCUAAAGUUCGAGGAUCUCAACCUUGCCAACACAGUCAAAGGUUAAUUGAAGGGUGCUAUGUUUUAUUUUCAAAUUACAUUAACAAAUUUAGAUUUUGAAACAAUAUAUAAUAAUAGGACUCACCAAUAAUCUAAUAUUACUAUAUUUUCAAAUUAAUUAAAACUAUAUUAUUACAUUUUAAAAAUCAUUGCACUAAGUUUAAAUUUUAUCAUAAUAAUAUUUUAUAAAAAAUAAAAAAUAAAUUAUUCUCAAAUUAAUAUUUAUUACAUUUUAAAAUAAAAUAAAAAUCCUUUUUCAUAAAUAAUAGUAUAGAUGGUAGAGAAUUGGUAGUAUAGUAGAACCCAACUCGGGGCCUUAUUAGAGGCAAAAAGAAGCCCAGAAAAAUGAAAUACUUUGGGUGGUAAUUUAGUGCGGCUCAAUAACAAACGACCCACGUGGGCUUCUUGAGUGGAGCUUUGCUUUGAGUUUGACUUGUUACUGGGUAAUGUAGGAAUCGACACAGCCGAAAAUAAUGAAAACAAACCCAAAUUGAUUCCCGAAAAAGGGCCAUAGGUUCACACUAGUAGACACUAUACACUAUAGAUCCAAAAUGCUUGUCACUAUGAUUGGUUGUUCUUCCCCUGAACAAAAAGGAAGGUAGAUAAUUGGAUAGGUUUCAAAAUGCUCAAUUAUGUAAGAAUUCAGGGGUUAAAAAAAAAAAGGAAUUUCCUUACUACUACUAGUAGACCAAGACUAUAGAAUAUAGAUCAGGGACCCUAAAAUAAAAGAAAAAGGCGGACAAUUUAAUUAUCCACAGAAAAUGAGAUUUCAAAUAUGGUCCCCCUCCCCUUCCCUGGAUAGGCCUAGGCUAAUGCCAAAGAGCUGCCUUUAAUGCGUGUCAGUAGUGUUAGAGAAAGGGCAUUUUCAGCCCCUUCUAAGUUUAAUGCACCCCUGCUUGCACUGGUUCCUGCUUUUACGAUUUCCACAUUUUGGUAAGAGCUAUAGCUAACCCACACUUGGGAUUUUCCCUCUAUUAUCCAUUAAAUACCGGUGAUCAUUUUUACUAGUUUUGGAUCACCCUUUUUUGCAGCUAAAUCCUGGCUACCUCAAGAAAUUUCGGCAUGCUAAACAUUUGGUUUCCAUUGGACAUCAAUAAUUGUUUAGAAAGAGUUACUUAAACUAAAUUGUUGUAAUUAUCAAUCCAUGUUCCUUGUUUGGUAACAAAAUCAGCGUGAAGUAACGAAACACAAAGCAUCUAAUGAGCUGCCAUGAAAACGACCUCCAAAUUUUGUUUUUAAUUAGAAAGGACAACAUGUACAGAGCUUUUCUAAAUCAUAUGUUGAAAGUAAAGCCUGGCCUAACUCUGAAACAAACAAAAAAUGCCACUGCCCCCUUUAUGUUGAAACUUUGGCUUUAUUCACAGGCAUUUCAAUUUGCAGCAAAAGCCGAUGCUGAAGAAAAAGCAUUAAGAAUCACUACUGCUAAUGUAAGUGAGAGAGCAGUACAAGUAGGAGAUUUGGUGUAUGCUUGUUUACUGUCGCAUUAAAACAGUUGAAUUCCUCGGAAAUGCUUUUUUAAGGCUGUAAUAAUAAAUUUGAGAAGAGGUAGAUUUUGGAACACGACCACUUAAAAACAGGCUUAAGGCCGCCUGUCUAAACAUACCUAUGGGUCUGGUCUUGUCGUUAUCGUCGCUUUCCAAAAUGAUGUAACGAUUCACUAAUAGGUGAAAGAAGCCACUGGCAUUGUGGACCUACGUUAGUUGCCCCACUCAACUACUUCAUUAACGGAUUUAUAGCUAUUUGAUUUGAUGAACAAAAGGUUAAAACCACUGUAAAAGCAAAAUCUUAUAGCAUGGAGCAGUGAAACUAAAUGGGUUUGACUUGGGUUGAAUGAAGAUUAAUACGGUAGUUGGUGAUUUAAAUGUCACCUGAACCAUACGCUACACAUCAGAUUCAGGGUCCUAAUAUUCAUUCAACACUUCAUCAAUAUCUCUAGCUGUUUUUGGAGAGGUGGGAAUAUAACUUUGAUUUUUAAGAAAUUUACAGUGUACAUUAAACUCCAUAGUAAAUCUGCCUCUGCUUUUUUCUCCCUCUUUCUCUGUCUUUGAGAAAAUUCCAAACCCUACUACUCUUCCCAACCCCACACCCCCAGUCCCCCACUAAACCAACCUGUAAAGCAAAACAGCAAGUGGGAUCAAUGAUUGAAAACCAAAACUUGAGGGCAAGAAAAAAAAACUAGAGGCGUAACACACUCGCACAAUCCUUCUAUUACUCUUUGUUUAUGGGACAAAUCUACGAGGAAAACCUUUUCUUUUCUUUUCGUUUUUCUCAAGCUACACUUCCUUGAUCUGAGCCAUCUUCGUAGUAGUAAGGAGUCAAUUUCCCAUCCUUUUUAGCAGCAGUUUUUGGCAGGCUAUCAGCGCCAGCUUCUUGCAACAUUUUAACCACCCUUCUCAUUGAUGGUCGGUUGAUUGGGAGUGGACUAGUACACAGGAGGCCAAUGUUGAGGAUCUUGUAUAUUUCUUCUUUGAAACAUGGAUCGAGCUUGGAAUCGAGAACAUGGUCCACUCCUUUCUGAUCUAGAGUGGUGCAGACCCACCUUACUAGGUCCUUCUCUCCGAACUCUGGGUCAAUUGGGAGUCUGCCUGUGACCAACUCUAGUAUAACUACACCGAAGCUGUAUAUGUCACUCUUCUCGUUCACACGCAGUGUAUAUGCAUACUCUGUACCAAAAAAUUUCAUAGAAAGAUCAGUUCAGACUGAGUGAAAUAUGCAACGACACCAGUUAAAAGGCAUUUUAUCAGUCAAUGUACUAUUAGUGGCAAUUUGUUUUAGAAUCUAAAAACAGCUAGAGGUAUUGAUGAAGUGUCAAAGAAAGCAGUCAAAAUAGAGAUUGUCCGAAUAUUCAUUCAACACAAAGGCUAGACAUGAAUACUAACUGAUUGCAGUAGCUAAUCUAAGGUCAUUAAAAUAGUUUCCAGAUGAUUUCUGACUGAGCAUUCAAAGAGCAUGGCGUAACCAAAUAGCAGUGAAGUAAAUAAACAAAGUGCAACAUUCAAUUAUAAGAAUGAUGAUAAUGAUUUCAGCAACUAACCUGGAGCAAUGUAACCACAAGAUCCGGCAAUGACAGACAUUGAUUUAACAACCUUUCCAGCUGCAUCAACUACCUUGGCAACUCCAAAAUCAGCCACUCUAGCACCAAAGUCCCCAUCCAACAAGAUAUUGUUAGAUUUGACGUCCCUAUGCACAAUCGGAGGCAUGCAGUCAUGGUGCAAAUAAGAAAGCCCCUCAGCUGCAUCGACAAUAAUCUUGUACCUGGUCGGCCAAUCCAGCAAACCACCUUUACUGCUAUGCAACAAGUCACCCAAGCUACCGUUUGGCAUAUACUCAUACACCAAAAGCUUGCAAUCCCUGGUAGUACACGAGCACCACAACUUAACAAUAUUCUUGUGCCUAAUUUUCCCCAAUGUCUCAAUCUCAGCUUGAAACCCGUCAUCCUGAGCCUGACCUUUCUCGAGAUCUAAGCUAUUGCAACCCUUUUUCACACCUCUCCAGAGUUUCUUCACCGCAACAGCCUCUCCAUUACUAAGCACAACCUUGUAAACUUUCCCUGAAGAUCCUCUCCCUAUCACAUUAUCCUCAUCAAGACAAUCCAAUAUCUCAUAUUCACUAAAACCCAACUUAUGAAAAGACAUCAAAGUCCACUUAGACUUGUCGAUAGCCUGAGCUUUCUUAUAACUCCUGUAUUUGAAGUAAAACCAAACCACACCAACAACAAACACCAAAGCAGCUAAGAUAAAAAUGGAUCUAAGCAACCAAACGUAACCUUUAUGCUUGUUUCCAUCCCUCCCAACACACAAACCACUGAUAUUCCCACACAAACCUGGGUUCCCCAUGAAGCUAUAUUUGUACAUUUCUUUAUCAAACAAAGGUGGUAACUCACCGAAUAACAAGUUAUUCGACAAAUUAAGCUGAUUAAGCUUCAAAUUCUGCAAACCCAAAGGAACUCUCCCAGUUAACUGAUUAUUAGACAGAUCAAGAUAGUUCAACACUGACAAACUCCCUAUUCCAUCAGGAAUCUUCCCUGAAAACUUAUUAUCAGCUAAAUUCAACUCGUUUAGCUUUUUCAAGGACUCAAUCCCACUAGGCAACUCCCCUUCCAACUCAUUCCCAUGAAGAUCAAGAAUCCCUAGCCCAUCAAGCUUCACUAUGCUUUUAGGCAAUGACCCACCGAACUUAUUGCCGCUAGCAGAAAGUUGAACUAAAUUAUCAACUAAACCAAUUUCUUCAGGCAGUGAACCAUUGAACUCGUUCCUAGAUAUAAUCAAAAGAGAUAAAUUCGCUGCUUUUGCGAUUGAUUUCCCAAUUUGACCAGAGAAGGAAUUAUUAACGAGCUCGAGUAAGUAGACGUGAGGGAGACCCCAGAACCCGGCGGGUAUGUCACCAGAUAAUUUGUUGUAACCGAGUCGGAUCCGGUUCAGACUCCGACACUCUGCUAAACUCGAUGGUAUUUGACCCGAAAACGAGUUGUGUAUCAUUAGAAGCUCUUCUAGGCUCCUUUUUUCGCAUAAACUCGGCGGUAUGGGACCAGUAAAUUGGUUGCUGGAGACGUCGAGCCAUAUAAGAGGCGAGUUUUUGCCGAGGUUCUGGGGCAACUCCCCAGUGAGUCUGUUCUGAAAGAGCCUGAGUUCAUACAGAGCUGGGGAGUCGGCGAUACUCGAUGGUAAAGUCCCUUCAAAGUUGUUCUGGUAAAGGUUGAGACUUUCAAGUGGCAGCUGUGUCAACUCGUCCGGAAUCGUUCCCGUUAACUGGUUCAUCGACGCAUCAAGAAGUCUCAGGUUGGUCAAUUUCGAGAACCCGCGAGGUAACUCACCGGUCAACGAGUUGUUGUAUAGCUCAAUCUGAACGACACUAGCCAACUCAGUGAGCGAGCUCGGGAUGUUGCCCACCAAGUGGUUAAGGGCAAGGUCCAAGUCUGUGAGUUUCUUGAGUCGACCCAGCGAGUCAGGGAUCUCGCCAACCAAGUUACACUCCGUGAGCCACAAAAUCUCCAAGUUAGUUAAGUUGCCAAGCUCCGGCGGGAUCCGACCCGGACUAAGCGGGUUGUACGAUAAAUUGAGCAUUUUGAGCGUACUAAUGUUCCCUAAAAAAGCGGGGAUUGUACCGUCUAGAAGGUUGUAAACGAGAGACAGAACCUCGAGCUUUUGGAAUCUCCCGAAAGACUCGGGAAAAUCUCCCGAUAUAUUGUUACCGGUUAAAUCAAGGUACUUGAGGUUAGGGAGGUCAGCCAAAGUGUGGGGGAGCUCACCAGUGAGUAGGUUUUGGGCGAGAUCAAGGUGGACGAGAUUUUGACACGUGGAGAUAUCGGAAGGGAUGGUGGAAUUGAUGUUGUUGUAGAAGAAGUUAACGAAGGAAAGGUUUUGGAGACGGCAAAGGAGGGAAGGGAAAGGGCCGGCAACGUUGGCGUAGGAGAGGUCGAGGGAAGUAACAGAGCCAGUGGCAGAGUCGCAGGAAACGCCACGCCAGUUGCAUGGGGUGGGAUCACGAGGAUUCCAUGAGGAAAGGACAGAGUCAGGGUCUGAAAGGGAAGCUUUGACUUGGAGAAGGUAGAGACCUUCUUGGUUGAGAGAAAGGGACGGUGAAGGGAAGGUGAAGAAGAGAAAAGAGAAGAAAAGGAGAAGCAUUGUCGUUCUUUUUGUUUCUGUGUUUUGCAGAGAGGGAAAGGGACGAGGAAGGAAGUGAAGAGGUUUGGUGUGAAUAUAUUUGAGAGUCAGCCUCAGGGGAAUGAAGAGUUAUAGAGUAAGGCUUUUGAAGGAGGAAGAUGAUGUUUCGCCAUUUGAGAGACAGGGAAUGAAUGAGAGAGAAAAAACGGAGGAAGAGGAAGAGUGGGGAUUGUUAUGAUGUGGUUUAACUAUUAUUGUUGUCUAUGGUGAGUUUUAAACAGAAUCAUGGUGGGAAAAGAACACUGAAAACUGAAGCAAAGGGGGAUUACUGUUACCGUUUAAAAAGCUAAGAAAAUGAAGGGGAAGAAAGAAAAGAGAAAGGAGUGUAAAAAAUUGUAAUUUCUGAAAACAGAAUCAAUGGGGGUUGAGACAGGUAGAGGAAGCCAAGAAGUUUUAUCAAAUCGGUGUCAUCACGGGGAGUGGGGAAAUGAUCUCGAGGAAGAUUAAAAAAAAGAAAGCAGAAGAGAGAUAGAGGGUGGAGAUUUUGAGAGAGAAAACAGAGACGUAGUAGUAAAUAAUUAUUAAUGAGUGUAUGAAAAAUAAUAAUUAUUAAAGAGACAAUGACACUUUUAGUUUAGCCGUGGUUUUAUUAUGACAGCAUGCAUAGCAGAGAGGCACACAAAAACACCAACAGCAAUCCUUGCGUAGUGUGUUUUUUCUUUGUACUGCUAGUAAUAGUUUGUCGACUCUUGAGUCACGCUUCAAAAGCUCUCUUUAUUGGCUUUGCCAUAAGAAAACGUUUAGCCGACGGUUUAAACUUUGCGUCGAGUAAUGAGUGAGUGCUUCCUUUUCUGCAAUUAGAAAGGGUAAAUGUAGUUAUAAGGUCAAAAUAGUGGAUGUCAUUUCAAAGGAGAGUCAAUUUCUAUAACCAAAUUUGACAUCAUUUCUUUGUCUCGCUUAUGUUUCUCUUUCUGUGGAAAAAUGCAACCCCAAUGUUUUAGUCAUUAGAUUUUGUUUGGAAGCCCCAAGUCUUUGUUUUGUUUUAUACAUCUUAUUUAAUUUAAAGUUCUAAUUCUAUUGGAUUCUUUAUUAAUUAAAAUUUUAUUUUGUUUGAAUUUAAUUAUAGACAUAAAUUGAUUUUUUAAUUUCAAGUAAAUUUUAUAUACAUAUAAAUUUUGUUUGGACAGAUUAAUUUUUUUGGGAGAAAUUUUCAAAGUUUUGUCGGUUAGGAGUUAGUAGAUCUUUUAACUAAUUGGUAUUGUUCUUGCUAGAGGUUUUGUCUCCUAACUAUAUAGAAGAAUUAAAAUGCCUAAAGAGACGACGAGUUCAACAGAAUGUGAGUGCAUUCACCGAGUAGCUAAAAAGGUGAGCUAUACAUGUGACAUAACCAUCUACAGCGGAAAUGUCAACAUUUGUGCUUGGUAAGAUUUAAGCUUGUACCUUACAACAUAUAGGACAUUUAUGGGCAAGAAUACUACCACUUGGGCUAGCUAGUCUGCUCUUUUGAAUUGUUGCCUCUUUAGGUGCCCAAGUUUUUCACAUAGUUGAGAGACAAAACUCUCAUUGAAAAUAAUACCAACCCGUUGAAGGGUUCAUUGACUUUAACGGAAUACAAAAAAAACCCUAAACAAUUUUUUUUGCCUAAUCAUCAUUGAUUUUGUUCUUUUUCUUUUAUUUCUAAACAUCAUUGAUUAUGUUCUUCGACUACAAGGGAUAAGUUCAAUGAUAGUGGCGAAUUAAAGCUACCCAACAAGGAUAAUAAACAAGGAAUGUGUGUUAUUGAAUGAAAAGGUAAGAAUACUUUGGUAAUAAAUUUCAUUAAUAAUAGGGAAUGUGACUUUAUUGUUUUAACUCUACAUUAAGAUGGGGAAGUUUAGGUGUAGGGGGUUCCAUAAAACAAUAUACAAUGAACAUCUUUAAAUCUUUGCACUUUGUACUAAAAUUUUGAACCCUAAGAAUGGGUUGGUGUAGUGAUAUAUAUUUCUCUCUCUCUCUCUAAUAUAAUGGUAAAAUAAAGUUUCUAGAACCAAUAAUUAAAAGAAUCAUGGGAUGGGAUGAAUAAAUCUGAAACCCUCAAUAAUUUGGAUGCACCCACGCUUUAACAUUUAAUGCUUUCAACUAAGUUACACAUAUAGAUCCAUCUGCUUUGAAUUUUAUAAGCAAGUAGCCAUCCAAUUUGGUUUCAACGUCAACUAAAACACCAUUUGAAUUAUAUCUAUUUAAGUUUAAAGUUAACUUAAAGAAUGGGCCAAGUAAAUGAAAUCUUUAACCAAAUUUCCCAUUUUCCAACCAAACUGGGUAACACAUCAAUUAAUUAAGUUUAUAAACAUCUUUUGAUUGUAAAUGAAAGACAUAAAGCAAGUGGCUGUAAAAUGGUGGAAAGCCUAAAGCUGAGAUGUCGGGAACAAGCGCAGUGAAUGCAGUUCAGAGGCAAACACCAUGACUUGGAUUCAGAAAAAUUUUUUUCCAAAUGUCGAAAUCCAACAUUUACACACAGUGGACCCAAUGUGUGUGCGUGUAUUUCUAAUAACUUGAGCUGGGCUGGCAUUGGUGAAGGAACUUUUUAUUUCUAUUUUUUAUCAUCAUUGACUGCUAUUUUUCGAUUAUGAAAGGAUAUGGAGCUAUUCAUCAAACGUGAAAAUCGUGAACCCAGUAAAUGGUUUCAGCACUUAAAUAAUUUUCAUGUUGGUAACCCAACCCUGACUAAAAUAUUGUGCCAUAAGCAGCUUUGAUGGGAGGAAAUGACAGAAGAGAAGUUUGAUUGGUGAGUGGAAACAGAAAAUUAGAAUCUCUUAUCACCACAGUACCUGCAAAAGUCGAUUACAAACAGUGAAAGAUGUUGUGUAGAUUCUCUGCAAAGUGGGUGAGAUUUAAACCACAACCCCCCCCCUGAAUCACGACAGUUGCCAUUUGUUCUUGUUUGGUCUAAAAUACUUCUUAAAAAAAAAAUCUAGAAGAAUAAGUGAAAUCGAAUAACUGCAAUCUUAAAAAUGACAAUUGUACUGUCUCGUAUAAAAUGUUUGUUUGUGAAUUGUAUGAUCAAAUAAAAUCACGUAUUAGCAAGCAAGUUUAAAUGACAUUGGGAAAUUUCUGGAUUCUAGAUAUUAAGGAUGAUAAAUAAAAGAUAUAAUUAUUUAUUUCUCUUUUUAAUUUUAUAAAAAAUUGUUUUAAUUUUUUAUUUAAAUUCUUGUCUCUUUUAAUUUUUAAAUUUAAAUUAUUUAUCAAAUCACUCAAAAAUAUAUAAGAAAAAAUGAAUGUAGAUUAAACAUUGUCAUGUUAAUAAUUAAUUAAUUUUUAAAACAUGUAUUCCAAAAAAUUCAAGAACUUAUUAUAAUUCUCAUAAAAUUAUAAUUUUUAAAUUUUAAAAAAUAACUAUUUGCUCACCGAUCAGUAAAAUUAAAAAAUAUUUUAUUUUGGAGUGUUUUGAAAAAAAAAAAAGCUAACUUAUGAGUAAAAAGGACAAAAAAAUAAAUAAAUAAAAAUAAUUUUUUAUAAAAUUAGUGGUGCAAAUAAAUUAUUAUGUCCAAAUAAAAAUUAAUACUACUAAGGGUGAAACAGACAUUGUGAAACAAGUCCUGGACCAUUGCCAUUUUAGCGGCUACCCCAUGCUUACGCAUACAAGCCUUGGAGGCUUUCACAAUCCACACGCUUAACUAGUUGAUAAAGUGCAGUCGUUUUCAACAUUAACUUUAGAGGUGGAGUAGCUCAAAAAGGUUAUUAAAAAAAGGAAGUGCCCAGUUUUGCAUGUUAAACUUGUUUGGUUUAAAUGUUACAAAGUAGGUGCCAAAUUUGAAAUUAAUUAGCUUCAAUGCGGGUAUUUGUUGUUAAAAGGCUGUUUAAACACUUAUUAUCAUCAAAGCUAGCCUUGCAGCAGUACAAUAUUACUGUAAUAAUUUAAUUUUAAAUGAGCAUUCGGUUAGUUGCUAGGAUUUAAAAAGACUUCCACCAACCAAUAUCAAAUUAAAUAUAUACAUAUUAAUCAUUUCUGAGCUAAAGAAUAAAAAUGUAACACAGAGUUAGGUAAACUAAUAAAUAAGGGUGAAUAUUAACCUUCUAAGCUCCCCAUGCUGAGUUUGCAUAUAUCUGUUGUUCCAAUAGGGUCGGAAGCGUGUAAAUUAUUGUACUAAAAAAUCACACAAAGUUCAAUUCUCAGGGAAGAGAGGUGGAUCACAAGGAUUUCUUAAAUACCAAGUCUUUCCUUAGUCAGAAUAUUCCUUCUAAUGUAAUUUAAUAGCACAAUUAAAUACUACUAUUAUACCCUCAAAUAUUGAAAGAAAAAUAGGACAAAAAGAACAUAAGAGUUUUAACGAGGUUCGGUAAAUUAUACCUACGUCCUCGGGCACUAACACCAGAUGAUAACUUUACUAUCUUCAAAGUAUUACAAACAAAUAGAAUUCCUUAAGAAUUCUCAAAUGAGAGAAGAGAGAAAACUAAGAGAGAAAGAUUGGUUGGGAUGAAUUGAAAUGAGAAAUGAGAAGACCUAUUUAUAGUUAAGGUUUAAGGACCAAACAAUAAAUAGCCCAUUAUCUCAAGGACCAAAAAAAAAUUAUCCCAUGCCACUUUUUCAAAGUCAACUUUAGGGUGCUAAACUUGCACCACUUUGUAUUGUUUGCCAUUAAUGUUGUCUCCCAUUAAUGUUAACAAUCUCCACAUUGAAGAUUUGAUUAGGAUAAUCAUAUCUUCACACACUUCCUUCAACUCUCCAAAUUCGAUAAAGCUAUCUUUUGUAGUGCCUACAAAUGCACUCUCGAGCGCCAUACACCUGAAGGUGCUCAAAUUCUCAGGAUGUUAAUCAAGUUCAAACAAUGAUUAAACUUGAUUGUUGUUACCACCUUGGUCAUCAUAUCUGCGGGAUUAUCUGCUGUCGGAAUCUUCUGAAGUAGAAUUUUUCCUUUUUCAAAGACUUCCCGCACAAAGUGAUAUCUUACGUCGAUAUGCUUGGUUCUUGAAUGAUAGACUUGAUUUUUCGCUAAAUGAAUAGUGCUCUGACUGUCACAAUAUAAACUUAUGUGAUUUUGAACAACUCCUAAGUCUUUCAACAAUCCAUUAAGCCAAAUAGCCUCCUUAACAGCUUCUGUAACUGCCAUAUAUUCUGCCUCUGUAGUAGACACAGCUACUGUAGACUGUAAGGUAGACUUCCAACUCACUGGGGCUUUCGCAAGAGUAAACAGAUACCCCGUAGUUGAACGACGUUUAUCUAAAUCACCAUCAAAGUCGGAAUCAACAUAUCCAACUACAAACUGACCAAGUGCUUCAUCCUGUUCAAAAAUUAAACCAACAUCUACGGUUUUUCGAAGAUACCGUAGAAUCCAUUUCACAGCUUGCCAAUGUCCUUUUCCAGGAUCAUGCAUAUACCUGCUCACAACUCCAACAGCUUGUGAAAUGUCAGGCCUCGUACACACCAUCGCAUACAUCAAACUCCCAACUGCAUUAGCAUAUGGGACUUUCGCCAUAUAUUCUCUUUCAUCUUCAGUCUUCGGAGAUAAUUGAGCACUAAGUUUCAAAUGAGAAGCAAGUGGGGUACUUACAUGUUUUGUGUUUUCAUUUACACCAAAACAUUGUAAUACCUUUUUCAGAUAUUGCUUCUGAUUUAAACAGAGCUUGCCUCUCGGUCUAUCUCUACUUAUCUCCAUGCCGAGAAUCUUUUUGGCCUCACCUAGAUCUUUCAUCUCGAACUCUUGAUUCAACUGAGCCUUCAGCUUAUCUAUCUCAUUUUGGCUCUUCGAAACGAUUAACAUAUCAUCAACAUACAAGAGUAGAUAAAUGAAAGAUCCGUCAUGCAGCUUCUGCAAAUAUACACAAUUGUCAUAUUUGCUUCUUGUGUACUUCUGCCUUCUCAUAAAGCUAUCAAAUCGCUUGUACCACUGCCUCGGGGAUUGUUUUAAUCCAUAUAGCGAUUUGUUCAGCUUAAAAACCCAAUUUCUACCACCAGCAUCUGUGUAUCCUUCGGGCUGAGUCAUAUAGAUCUCCUCUUCUAACUCACCAUGCAAGAAAGCCGUCUUAACAUCAAGUUGAGCUAGCUCCAAAUUCAACUGUGCUACCAAGGCUAACAAAAUUCUAAUGGAGGAAUGCUUCACAACAGGGGAAAAUACAUUAUUGUAGUCAAUUCCCUCCUUCUGAGCGUAGCCUUUAGCUACCAAUCUUCCAUUAUAGCGAAUAUCCUUCUUUCUAGGAGAUCCAUCUUUCUUUGCGAAUACCCACUUGCAUCCGAUUGCCCUUUUACCUUUCGGUAAUUGCGCCAACUCCCAAGUAUUGUUCUUCCGGAGAGACUGCAUUUCUUCAUCCAUGGCGCUUUUCCAUUUAUCACUUUCUAAGCUUUGCAUUGCUUCUUGAUAAGUGAUAGGAAUAUCAUCAACAACGGGAAGGGCGUAGGCCACCAUAUCAGUAAAUCGAGCAGGUUUACGAAUUUCUCUCCGUGGCCUUGCAACUGCAACUGGUUCUGGUGUACUUAGUGGUUCUUGGGUCAGAACCUUUUCAACCUCUAAUUCCUCCAUAGUGGCUGGAGAAUUAGACUUAUUAACUGGGCAAAUCCCCAUCUGCUCAAACUCCACCUGUUUUGGAGUACACUCCACCUGCUGUGGAGUAUUGCUCAUCUGAAUAUCUUUAUCUGCUACCUUUUCAAUGUGGCAGAUUCAUCAAAGGUAACAUCUCUGCUACAGAUCAUUUUCUUUGUGCUUAAGCACCAAAGUCGAAAUCCCUUCACUCCAGAAGUGAUUCCCAUAAAGAGAGCUUUCUUUGCCCUCGGAUCUAACUUUGACUCCUUCACAUGGUAAUAUGUAGUGGUUCCAAACACAUGUAAGGAAUCAUAAUCUGUAGCCGGUUUUCCAGACCAUACCUCCAUAGGAGUUUUUCUUUCUAAUGCAGAUGAUGGCAAACGAUUAACAAGAUGGCCAGCGUAUGUCACAGCCUCAGCCCAAAAUUGCUUGCCCAACCCAGCAUUGGACAACAUACAUCGAACUUUCUCCAGCAAUGUUCGAUUCAUACGCUCUGCCAAUCCAUUCUGCUGUGGUGUAUCCCUAACUGUGAAGUGUCGAACAAUACCAUACUCUUGGCACACAUCGAAGAACGGAUCACUUUUAUAUUCCCCUCCAUUGUCCGUCCUAAGCCGCUUGAUUUUCUUGUCAGUCUGGUUUUCGAUUGUAGUUUUCCAUUUAAGAAAAACUCUAAGCACUUCAUCCUUAGUUCUCAUGGUAUACACCCAAACUCUUCUGGAAAAGUCAUCAACAAAAGUAACAAAGUAGUAUUUUCCUCCCAAUGAAGGUGUCUUGGAAGGCCCCCACACAUCUGAGUGAACAUAUUCCAAAAUACCUUUUGUAUUAUGGAUAGUAGUACCGAAUUUCACUCUCUUUUGCUUUCCCAGAACACAAUGCUUGCAAAAUUUUAAUUUGCAAGCCUUUGCACCUUUCAACAAUCCUUGCUUUGCCAGAAUUUGCAAGGAUUUUUCGCUGGCAUGUCCCAACUUCAUAUGCCACAACUGUAUUGAGUCCAAUUCUUUGUUGCCGGAAGUUGUAGCGACUGCUCCAAUAACUGUACUACCUUGGUAGUAAUACAAGUUAUUUUUCCUGAUGCCCUUCAAUAUCACAAGUGCGCCAGAUGUCACUUUCAAAAUCCCAUCUCUCAUAGUAACAACUGAACCAUUGGAUUCCAAGGCUCCCAAUGAGAUGAGAUUUUUCUUCAAACUGGGCACGUACCGAACAUCAGUCAGAACUCUGGUUGAUCCAUCUUGAUUCUUUAAUUGGAUUGAACCUAUCCCAACAGUUUUACAGGCAUUGUCAUUGCCUAUAUAAACAACUCCUCCAUUUAGUUCUACUAAAUCAGAGAACCACUCCCAGUUAGGGGACAUAUGAAAGGUACAACCUGAAUCCAAUAUCCACUCAUCUGAAUGGAACGACGAUGAUGAUGCAACCAGUGAUAGUUCAGAGUCACUAGUAUCAUGCUUUGCAACACAAGCAUCUACAGCAGCUUUUCCCUUAUUCUUCAACUUUGGACAAUUUUUCUUCCAGUGGCCUUUCUCAUGACAAAAGGCACAUUCAUCUUUCCCAAGUCUAGACUUUGACUUUGAUCUCCCCUUUUGAGUUUUCUUCCGAGUGUAUGAACGACCUCGGACUACUAAAGCUUCUGUAUCUCUGAUUGAGUUUUUCUGUUUGUCCUUCUUUCUCUGUUCAUAACUGUAUAAGGCCGCACAGACUUCGCUCAGAGAUAUAUCACUCCUGCCAUGAAGUAGAGUAGUUUCUAGGAACUCAAACACCUCAGGAAGUGACCCCAACAGCAUCAAAGCCAAAUCUUCAUCUUUGAAUGUCUCAUCCAUAUUCAGCAAAUCAGUGACUAACUGAUUAAAUUUGGUGAUGUGAUCAUUCAUUGUGGUACUUGGGACGUAUGUGAAGCGAAACAGUCUUUUCUUCAAGUGGAGCUUAUUUUGACUGUUUUUCUUCAAAAAAUUUUCUUCAAGUGCCACCCACAACUUAUUUGCAGAAGUCUCCUUUGAAAAAGCAUACCUCUGCUCUCGAGAAAGGCAUGAUCGAAUUGUGCCACAUGCCAACCGAUUGAUCGCCUUCCAAUCUUUCUCCUGUACAUCAUCUGGUUUCUCUUCAUCAAUGGCAAUGUCUAGACCCUGCUGAAAAAGGGCAUCUAGAACCUCACUUUGCCACAUACCAAAAUGGCCCGUGCCAUCAAAGAUCUCCACGGCCAAUCUUGCAUUUGCAAUUGUCGGUCUUGUCCACAUGGACGAUGUUGAAGCUCCUACACCGACCGUUUUCUCCAUAAUCUUUCAAUAUACCUAAGGAAAUCUUUUCUGAUGUGGAAGAUCAGUUUAAACUGCAACCACUGAGCAUACUACGAUUAACCUUCGGCUCUUGAUACCACUUGUUGUUUCAAUAGGGUCGGAAGCGUGUAAAUUAUUGUACUAAAAAAUCACACAAAGUUCAAUUCCCAGGGAAGAGAGGUGGAUCACAAGGAUCUCUUAAAUACCAAGUCUUUCCUUAGUCAGAAUAUUCCUUCUAACGUAAUUUAAUAGCACAAUUAAAUACUACUAUUAUACCCUCAAAUAUUGAAAGAAAAAUAGGACAAAAAGAACAUAAGAGUUUUAACGAGGUUCGGUAAAUUAUACCUACGUCCUCGGGCACUAACACCAGAUGAUAACUUUACUAUCUUCAAAGUAUUACAAACAAAUAGAAUUCCUUAAGAAUUCUCAAAUGAGAGAAGAGAGAGAACUAAGAGAGAAAGAUUGGUUGGGAUGAAUUGAAAUGAGAAAUGAGAAGGCCUAUUUAUAGUUGAGGUUUAAGGACCAAACAAUAAAUAGCCCAUUAUCUCAAGGACCAAAAAAAAAUUAUCCCAUGCCACUUUUUCAAAGUCAACUUUAGGGUGCUAAACUUGCACCACUUUGUAUUGUUUGCCAUUAAUGUUGUCUCCCAUUAAUGUUAACAAUAUCGGUAGCUAGUAUUAUAAAUAUAUGGUAGGAAAGUUUGGUCGGACAUAUUCAUAAUCAUAUUAAUUCUGAUGUUAGAAUUGGAGAAAUAGGGACCCUAGGGAAUUUCAUCAGUAAACGCUUGCUUAAAAUGCAAUGUUUAGUCAGCAGUAGAGUGCAUUCCCAUGGUUGAGCAUGGUGGGCUGGCCACUAAGGUCGAUUUAGCACCGCGUUGAUUUGAUUGGAUUCGCCACUCGCACUCAACAGUGGCGGUGCCACAUGCAAGGUGGGGGGACCGUGGUCCGUCCAAGAAUUUUGAGAUGAGUGGAACGGCGGUUACGGAUUUGGGAAAUUGGUUGGACCGUGUUAAUAUACUCGCUAUAGGGUCUUGGUUCAUUCUUUUUCAAAGUUAAUAGUUUUGCUUUUUGUUUUUUCUUUGAAGAUAUUUAGAUUAGGACAAAUUCACUAAUAAAUUUAUAAAAGAAAUGAUAUCAAAAUUAAAUCUACUCUUUGUUAAAAUGAUAAAACUGAAUUAGUGGAAAAUAGGAUGAUUUGGAUUCAAAUUCUAUAAUUCAUAUUAAAUCUUAAAUUUAUCAAAAUACAAAAACUUUCAAUAUAAUAUUUUUUUACUUUACAUACAUUUAAAAUCUGAUCGAUUAUUAAUUAUUAGUAAUUAAGCCGCAUGUGCUUCAGAAUAAACGAUUUAAAGUUUUGCUAACAAUUAAGAAUAAAAUGAAAAAAGAAAUUCAUGUUUAGAAUUCUAGAAUUGAAGUAGACAGUCGUCUCGGGGGUUCCACUUCCUAUAAUAAUAAUUGCAGUUGAAAGACUAUGAACACUGUGUGGAAAACAAUGUUUACCGACAAAAGACAAACAUGUUAUUUUCAAUAACUAUUCUCUUUACAAUUAGCAAUAAAAAGCUCUUCUCCUGUUCUUAUAGUAAAACUAAAAAUAUUGUUCUCCCAGUAAAAAAACAAAACAAAACACUAAGUUUUCAUUUUUUGUAAUGAGAUGGAAUUCAUAAUUCAAACUUACUACUCAUUGUACAAGCCAAAGUUAAACUUGUAAAUUUCAUUUAUCUUGUUAAGAAAACAACAAUUUUUAAAACAAUUAUAAUGAAAUAAGUUUAUUUUUUAAAAUCAAGUCAUAAAUUUAGUGGAUGAAAAAGAGAAAAUGGAGGAUUGGUCAAUGGUUUGAAUGAUGGCGUUUUGAAGUGGGUCAAGCAUGGAACUUAUAUCAACAUUGAAGGGGAUUAGGGUCCCAUGUUGGUGGUGGUUGUUCCAUAGUUAAGAAUGCUACCACGCAUCAAGGGCAAAGGGUCCCAAUGCUUUGCCUAGCCGGACCACACACCCCCGCGCACCUUGUUACAUGAAAUUUAAGGAUACCGAAAAGGUAAAAAUAAAAUAAAAUAAAAUCUAGAUAAUAGUUAUAUAUAGCUAUGGACACAAUAUUACGUAAUUAUUUUGUGAAAACCUUGUCAAGUAUGUAGAUCCACUCAAAGGAUAGAUGUUGCCUACCGCCAAUAAAAUGUACCUAUUAAUCAUCAUGUAGAUUGAGAAUCAGAUUUUGAUAUACAUAUCAUAUGAAUCAAUUUCAAAAUUAUAAUAAACAAGCACUUACAAAUAUGUAUGUAUACUCUCAUUCAUCACCAAAUGUGACAUGAAAUUUAAGAGAUCAAUCUCCUUUUUGAACUCUUUACACAAUUUUUGUGUGAAACAUCACAAACCUUCAAACCUUCUUCCUAUAAACCUUCAAGCUUCCUUCCUUGCAUCAAAAGAUAUUAUCAUAAAUUAAUGAUGCCUAAAAGUAAUGUUAUUAAAAUUGAAUUGACCGAUUGGACCAAAAAUUAAUUGGUAUACUGAUGUAGGCAGAGGAGGUGAAUUGGUUUCAGAGUAAAUUACUUGGAACUGAUAAAAUUUUAAAAUUUAAGACAAAAAAAUCAACAAUUGAACCGAUAAAAAUUUCAAGCACUGAGACAAAAAAUCAAAAUUUUUUAAUAAUUUUUAAUAAUAUUUAUAACAAACGAUUACAUCAAUUAAAUAGGGAAUUGAUAUUCUCAUUGAGUAUAGUAGUUCACAAUUUGGAUGGGAAAAUUAAGAACACUAUUAACUAUAGGAAUCUAUUCAACGAGAUAAAAGUAAUUAGGUGGGAGUAUAUAAAUUUAUAAAUUCACCAUGAUGAGAAGUCACCUUGCGUGAAAAAAAAAAAGAGGCAUCAGAGAGUUGCGGGGAAUUGCCGAAAUGUGCUUUUCAAAAGCUUUGGAAAUUAGAGCAUAUGAUAUAAUUUAUAAAUUGGCCAUAUCUUUUUAACCAUAAGAUUUAUAAAUUGUUGAAAAAAAUAGAUUUAUAAUUACCCCUUUUUAGAUUGACAAUCAAAUGUGUCUUGCCUUGAGUUUUGGCGACCAUUCUGAUGUUCCAGGAUGAUGCUGCAAAAUUAUGGCAUCCAUUUUUCUUUUAACUUGAAAAGGUUGUAGUUUGUCAUGCAAUUUUGUCAAGCUCAUCAUUAUGGUCAAGUUUUAAUUUUUUUUUUAAAUUUUAAUGUAAAAUAAACAUUGAAUUCAAACAAAUACGGUGGAGAAAUGUUUGUUGAACUUUUAUGAGACAAUUUAUGGUCGAAUUGUACAUAGUUUUGUUCAAAGAUGUAUGAACAAUUAUCAUGAAUAUCAUUCAAUGAUCACUGAGCAUCAGCCCAUAAUUGUGCAAUUCCAACAACUAGGCAAGACAAUUUAUUUAUUUAUAGUUUUUGCUCAAUAAUUAUGUGCCUACUUUCUUACACAAGGAAGAUCCAUGUAAUAAUGAGCUCCAAUGCUUUUUUCUUUUACCCAGUAGCUCGUGCCUUUACUUAUGGUAGCUAGCAAUCACAAUCCUACAUCCUUGUUAAUUAAUUUUGUUUUUUUAAUAAUAUUCAAUUAUAUAUUCUACUUAACUCGUGAUUUGGUCAAUUUGGUUCGUUGGGUAAUAAUUUUUUAGGCUUACAUAAAAGACUGGGAGUAAAAUUUGUGAAAGUACUUUAUUGUCCUUCUACAAUGCGACGUUGGAUUAGAGUUAGACAAUAAAAGGUGAGGUUGCUUUGAUUUAGGAAAGGAAUGGUUGUCAUUGAGCCCAAAAAGCAGGGGAGACAACAGUCAUUUGGACUUCAUAGUACUAAUCAUUUGUCUAGUGCAAAGAGAAAGAUAUGGCACGAAAACAAUGAAACGAUUGUUCCAAAUCAAAUGUUUCCAAACCAUGCAACUUCUUUUGUUAAUAUGGAUGUAUUCGUUAGACUCGUCGCAAUCAUUAAGAUUUAAUUCUAGUUAGUAAUUUAAUUUUAUAACUAGUAUAUAAAUAUUAUUAUUAAUUUAAUUUUGAAGUAAUGAUUAAAGUUCACUCCUUUGGUACUGAUCAAAUCCUAUUAUCCCAUCUUCACUUUAAUAUUAUAUUAUCAAAAUAGUUUAUUCUCAUUCAAGCAUUUUAAAGAAAGAAAAUUCAUUUUUUAAGAGGUAAAUCUCAAAAUUAUAUAUGAACUAUAAUUUGGUGCAAUUAUAUACGUAAAAUUCUAAUUGUGGUUCAAAUGUAUACUUGAAGCUUUAAUUUUAAUUUAAUCAUACACAUUUAAAGAAAUAAAUACAUCAAUUUAUUUUAUAUUGAAUAAAUAUAAUUAUUUAUAUAUACAAUAUAUAAACAUAAAAUGAUGUUAUAUCAAUAAUUGUGUUAAUAAUUUACAAAAACUUGAUCAAAUCAAAAUUUUAUGUAUAAAGUUACACAACCAAAAAUUACGUAUACAAUUACACAUUAAAUCAUAGUUCAUAUAUAGUUUUAGGAUUUAUCCCUCUAUUUAAACGUGUAACCUACUUGUCAGCUCUCAAUUAUUACGUUCUAAAAUUAAUCACUUAUAACUUAAUUCAAAACAAUCAAAACUCGUUUGCAUGCAUGUUUAUUACAAGCAAAAACAUGUUUUGUGAUGGCUUUCGAUUUCUCGGACAGUGUAGGAUUAAACAACUUUAUUUUAAGUUUUAAUAAAAUUAUUCAUAUCGAAUUCAUUAUUUGAAUAUCUAUAUGAUUGAUUAUCAAUUUACAAGUUUAUAAAGAUAUGAAACAAAAGAAUAGAAAAAGAAAUUUACAAAUGAUUUUGGAAAUACAUCUAAUUGUAUAUUGUAGUAUGCGAUAUGGUCAUAAUGUUUGACACAAGUAAGAAUAUUGAGUAAAUAAAUACAAAAAAAUUAAUUACGCAAUCUGUAAAACAUUUCCAAAAGAAAAAAUUUACUACUAAACUUAUAAUACAAAAAAUAAUUUAAACUCAAUCUAACCCUAACCCUUGAACUACUAAGUUCACAGUACAACAAGCUCAAUCUAACCCUACCUCCUGAAUAUUUGAGCCUCACCCUAAUAAUUCUCCUCAAAUAACUUCUGAAAGUUGUUAACUAAUAACUUAAAGAUGAAUAAAACAUUCUUACACAAUUUCUUACAAUGAACAUAAAAUUACCAUCAUAAAUCUUUAUCAAAUCUCAUAAAUAAUUCCGCUAUUGGCUACUCUACAAAUAAGGUUGCAAAUGUCUACUUUUCAUGCUCAAUUUAGUCAUGUAUGGUAGAUAAAUUAGAGUAUUAACUUGGUUAAUAUUGACAAUCACAAUAGUUAGGAGGGUCGACAGGAGUCCCGACUCCCCUAAAAUAGAAAAUUUUCUAUUUAGAUCCUUUAAAUUUUUUAAAUUUUAAAUUAGUAAAAAUAAAAUUACACUUUGGCCCCCUAAAAAUGAUAAAAAUUUAAUUUAAUCAUUUAAAAUUAUAAAGAUAUAGGCUAUUCAGAUGGUGAAAUUGUAUUUUUACUAUCGUAAAAAUUACAAAUUAAUUUUAGGCCCCCUAACAAAAUUUUCUGACUUCACCUCUAAAAGAUUAAAAUUUAAUUUCGUAAAUUUAAGCACACUUAAGCGCAUUUUAUUAUCCUAUUUAUGAAAUACAUUAUACAAUAUAUAUAUAUAUAUCUUCUAACUCAAUUUUCAAGCCUCCGACUUGGACUAAACUACUAGAGUUUUCAAAUACAGAACUAAUAAUAUUGAUACACAAAUGAGUUAUAUUUGAUCACGUGAGCGCAACUUAUUUCACAAUUCAGUGGACGUUGUUGAUCCAUCAAUCUAGAUUUUUCUUUCCCAAUUUUUUUACCAAAAUAGAUUUGUUUAUUACUAAAGGUAGGAAAAUAAAUUAUAUAAAAACAGUACAAAAAGACAAUGCACCCUAUUGCUAGAACUGUUUUAGCUAACCCCAUGACAGCAGAUCACACAGCCUUUUAUUUAAAAGAUUGGGAGCCAUUUCCUUAUUUGGACCCAUUAGACAGGAUUUGAGUGGGACCAAAAAAUCAAACUCCUUUUACAAACUUUGAUGCAGGUAGGGAGCUCAUCUAUUUUAUUCAUAAAUAUAUUAUACUUUAAGCAUAUUAUAAUCUAAAAGAAAAAACUAAUACCAACAUGAAACGAAUAGAUAUAUAUUACAUAAUAAAGUAGGAGGUAAGUAUAUGCUCAGAUUGAUUAUAAUAACGUUGAUAAAAGAUUGCAAAAGUGUAGUAAAAUGGCAAGCGUGGCUCCAACCCAUUUGAGCCUCUUUUUUAAACCACAAUCAUAAUUUUCCUCUUAUGCUUCAUUUCAAUAUUUAUUGCAUUCCCACCAUGCCAUUAUCUUUUGUAGCAAAAAAAGAGCAUUUGUAUCUUCUCUGUAACUUUCUCUUCUUUUUUGGUACAAACUUGAAACCAUUUCUUUGCUAAUACAUAUCAAAGAUUAGUGGGUUAGAGAUAAGCAUCAAAAGUAACAUAUUCUAGCCUCAUUCUUAAUGUAUAUUUGGGUGAUUAUGUGGUGUUAAUUGUAAAUUAUAUACUCCUAAUUCUUUAAAUUCAUGUUUUGAAGCUUAAUACCACAUUUGAGAGCAAUAGGAGCCAAAAACGAGUGAAAAUUAGAACAUUGGAGCUGUCUGAAAGUUGUACAUAGGCAGUAGAGAACCACACGACUAGACUAGACGACCAUGUGAGCCAAACGAGUUGACCACACAGCCACGUGAGCCACACAGGCGUGUGGCCAGCGAAUGUAACUUUUGGGAACCAUGUGCGCUGACAGCUAAAAGUUCCGUUUUUUAAGUUUUUUGUGCACUUUAAAAACGUAUAAAUAAGGAGAUAAAGAGGGGAAUAGACAACCAUCUUAAUUUAGCACAAAAUUAAGUUACCCAAAAGAACCCCCUAGAAGUUGAUUCUGAAGCAGUUCUCCAUCCAGAUUGAAGAUUUCAAAUUGGUUUUUGAGGAAGUUAUCAUGGGUUUCUUUUAUUUUAUUGGUUAUAUUGUAUUUUUUGUGUUUCUUCUUAUGAGUAUGAACUAAUUUUUUAAAUACCUAGGGGAGAUAAAGUGUAGGAUGAAUUCUAUUAUUUGAUUUCUAAUCUUAUGCAAUAAAAUCUUAGUUUUUUUUUUGUUUUCGACUGUGAAUUCUAAAUUGUUCUUGGGUUAUUAUUUCUAGGAUUUAAUUCAUGUUUGAGUGCAUGAGUUUGAGGUUGAACAGUCUCAUCUUAUGGCUAGAUCUUGUGUCGUCGAAUGGAGUUGCAUGCAAUCCUAAAAAUAGGAUAACAUAAAUAUACCAUAUUAGAGUCAAAUCUAAUAAAGGAAUCCAUAGAGCGAAUUAAUGUGAUAAUAUGGAUUUUAAUUAGAAAGAAAUUUUAAUUAAUCAACCUAGAGUUAGUUGCUUUUAUACUCGAAAGAGAUAUUAGCAUAAGUUAGGGAUUUGUACGGAUCAAGGAAACUAAAUUGCAUAAAUUAGAUUGAGAAUUGUAGAUGAAUUCUAGGUGGAUUCUUACCUGGGUAUUGUUUAGUCAGUCAGUUGAUAUUCUAUUAUUUCUGUGUUUGGUUCUUUGACGCAUUAGUAGUUAACUUUAGUUUUAGUUAAUCUUUUGAAUUAUUAGAUAAUUACUAAAAAUUGUAGUUCUCAAGAAAACGAUAUUUGUGCUCGCUGUAAGUAUAUAUACUAUUAAAUGAUAAGUGCACUUGCCUUAAUCGAUUUAUUAAUUAAUUUAGUGGACAUUAAUUAAACUACUUGCAAAGAAAUGAAAUAAAAUUGCUUCUGAUUCUUUUGUUUGUUUUUCUUUUUAAGUUUGAUUGUAAAGAUGUUUGAUGGUGUGAUAAUUAAUCAUUAGAUUCAAAAAAGGAAAAACAAAAAGAACCAUUUAACUUAGCUGAUGAUUCUUUGCGUGAAUUGAAAGAAUUUAUUACAUUGCUUGUUGAUGAAGCAAAAUACUUACAAGUAAUCACUCUUUCAAGGGAAGAACAUUAAUUUGUUUCUACAAGUCAUUAACUGAUGAAAACAUCAAUGACAAGUUCAUGAUUUCCGUACAAUUAAUCACAAGUAUGGUCUCUAUGCUUACCUUAAACAGACAUUAAUUUAAUUAAUAAAUAAUUUAAAAAAUUAUGUUUUUUCCAAAGUAAGUUGAAUUAUUAAUAAAGUGCCUUUUAUCGCUUUUUUAUAUUUUUAUAAAUGAAUAAAAAAUUAUACUUAAUGAGAUUUAAUCAAAAAUAUUAUACAAUCAAAACCUAUUUUAGUUUUUAUAUAAACUUUUACCCAAUACAUUUGUUAUAUAAAAUUUUUUUCAUCAAGUGUGCUAUAAUUUAAUAUUUAUAAAUCAUCCACAAGAGCAUAUGUAAGAAUUUGCAAUUAAGUUUAGCUUACUGUUUAUAGAAUGGUUAAAAUAUUUAUGGUUGAUAAUUUUAUUUUUUAAGAAAAAAUCGUUGAGUUACAAUCAGCAUGUUGGAGGAGAAGAAGAACUUUUGAUAAUUGAUGAAAUAGAGGUUGGUACUAGGUCGAGUAACGUUCCGAGGCUUGUCUAUGUAUCCAAACCUAAUAAAAUUAAAUCAAUGGCAACUACAAUUGAUUUAGAAAAGCGUCCAAAGAAUUUACAAUACGAACUUCAUCAAUAUAAGACAAAUCUUAAAAUGAUUCAAGCUCAAUUUAGUUAAUGUCGAAAUCCCAACGCCUUCACCACAAUUUUUAGAUAUACAAUAUCAUUAUUUUGAUUGAAUAGUUUACUAAACAAUUAUUAAUGUUUAUUGCAAUGAUUAAUAUAUUUAUCAUUUCUUGCGGCGACACCAUAAGCUCACCAACGAUGCAAGGUUUGGAUUGAGAAGCUCGCCACAAGUUGUUCUACAAAAUCUAUUAUGAUCAUAUUCUUUUUUAUUUAUUUUGAUUUAAUUUUAGUAUUUUUCUUUUACCCCAAGCAAUAACAAUUAAGAAAAUAAUUGAAUUUCAUACCAAGACCAAUUAAGAAUCAGUCAAAAGCAAACAUGAUUGCACCAUAAGACUUAUUAACCACUCUCUAUCUUACCCUAAUAGAAUCUCAUUCUCGAUCAAACACCAAUCUCGUAUACAUUAAUCUUCAACAUGAAUAAUCCUUUUUACCCUUUGCACAAACAAUCAAUCCCAAAUGGAUUUGCAGACAACAACUUUGACCAAGUUUCACCAUACAGCUUCUCUCGAUUCAGCCUUAGUGUCCAGGUAUAUUUUCUCUCGAUUCUCAAUGAUUUUAGUUACAUAUUUGAUAAUUAACUCUUCAUUGUCACUUGCAUUCAACCUAAAUAUAUAGUUUUACAAAUUGAUAAAUCACAUAUGUAUGUCGGAACCAUGACUAUAAUUAUUAAAUUCGUAGAGAAUCACGUACUUAAAUAAAAAGGUGGUAUAGGUUAAAUGAAAGGACUAAUCUAUUCAAUUUGAUUUUGAUAUUGGUUUUUAAAAAUAUGGUUGAUUGGACUAAAUAGCCUUCUUUUUCUUCCUUUCGGUACAAAAAGAUAAAAUUGAGGACUAAUUGUCAAAAACCUACUCUUUAUAGAUGGACAAAAUGACUGACUUACAGCAAAUUGGCAACUACUAGUACAUAUCGUGGAUUGAUUUUGUUGCUUGAGACGCUCCUGGGAAAACCAUGUCCUCUUCUGCGAAUUGAAACCAUACAAAGUGAGAAAAAUGUGCUAAUAAAUCGGCAUUAACAUCACUCCAAUCCAAGGUUUUGACCCUAUGUACCACCUCAACAGAGGUGUGUGCAAAAAUGGUAAAAGAAAUCAUAUAUGUUGAGAUUAUUCCACAUUUAUUGAAUGCUAUUUUUAUAAAAUAAUCAUAUUAAUCAAACUUUAAAUUGGGAAGAAAUUAGUACUCAUUAGUCAUGCAUGUAUUUGUGAUAAUUAUUUUUUUAAUCAAAAUUUUUUAUUAUAUGAUCAAUAUAUUAAAUAAUUACUAACUCUAUCAAUGUACUAAAUAUUAAUUAUUCAUAUACAUAAUUUUUAUUAUAGAUUCCAUGAUUAGUUUAUAUGAUUUUAUUUUAUUAAAAAUAUUUUAGGUAAUUAAAAAUAUAUAAUAGCUUUGAAACUUACCUAAUAAUCUAGGUUUAGAAGGUUACUUUAAUUUUAUUUUUUUUUGCAAGCCCCAAAAUUACAAGUUAUUUGUUUUUUUUCUUUUUGCUUAAUGUACACUUUAGUCUUUAAAAUAUAUCAUUUUUUUUCUCUUUGAUCUUUAAAUUUUUUUUUGGCUCACUUCAAUUUUUAUCGUUAUUUAAUGUUCUCAAUUUAAUCCUUUGGGUGUUAAAAAGAACCAUAGCGAUAUCCACCUAAUCACAAAUUGUCACAUGACAUUAGCUAAUGUCACAACAACAUCAUCAUCAUGAAAAACCUAAAAAUCCUUUAAAAAAUAAAAAAAUACAAGCAAUAUAAAUAAAAUUAUAAAUAAAUAAUUAUUUAAAAAUUUAUGGAAGGGUGUAAAAUCAUUUUAGUUUUACAUUAGUGUAAAUGAAUUCCUCUCCUUAUUUGUUUAUAUGAAAAUUGCUCGGAUAUGAAUAAUUUUAUAUUAUAUCGUCAAUAUACCAAAUAAUUAUGGUAAGUCACAUUAAACUUUUAAAAAAGAUUAUUGAAAGGGAUAAACAUAAAUUUUAAACAUGAACUAUAAUACGAAUAUAGAAACCAGCAAGUAGAGAAUAAAUAAAACCGAAAAAGGGCUAAAAAUUCCUAAGGUAGACUACUCUAGGAAAGCAGGAAUAAUUGGUUUGAAAUUUCACAAAAGAUGGAAUUGGCGUGAGACUUGUUCAAUACAAAUCAUUGUAACAUUCUCUUGUAGGACUGAAUUGAAGUUAUAAUAGAAUUAAUCAUUGUAUACACUAAAUCGAAUAAUUAAUGUAAUAAAUUUUAAAAUAAAAUCUUAUUGUUUUUAAAAAUGAAAAGAAAAAGAGAAAUGGAACGAGGAUUGAACAUAUUACGCAAAGAAAGGCAAUUCAGUUGUUGAGAAGGUUAGUAUUUGUUAAAGCCUUUAUAAAAGUGAGGUCAUGGCUUCCUCAUCAUUGAUACUUUUCCAAGCAGAUCACCUGAAUUUGAGGGGGGAAAAGGGUCUGAUAGCUAAUCAAUUUGGUACCAGUAAAAAAAAAAAAAGGCAGAAAGGCAGAAACUGGAGUGAGAAGGGGAAUCUCAAUUAUUAGACUGAGGUUUUAAAAACGAAAAUCCACCUCAUAAGUAUCAAGUAUCACAGUCUUUCAUUUACACACAUACAUACAUACAUACAUGCACGCAAAAGUGUGGUUCAUUUUAUUGGAAAAUGGAGAAAGUUCAUCAUCACGACACCGACUACUAUAGCCUUUAAAGCUUUCCCCUCUCUCUUUCUCAUGAUUGGAGUAGUUGUAUGACGGAAAACCUUUUGUGCUGUUUCAACAUGGUUGAGCAAGAAAAAUAUUUAAGGGUGUUACAAUUAGACAGAUCCUAUCCGAUUAACCACUAAUUUGUCUUUUGUUUUCAUUGUUUUUUGGUAAUGAAGCCAUAAUCAACGCAUUAGUGCAAAACAAUAGAGGAUUAGACAUUUGACAACUUCCCAUCUAUUUUUGACAUAAAUUCUAGAUGGAAACAAAGUUAUAAUUUAGGGUCCAUUUUGAUUGUGUUACUAUUUUUGCAUCUUCAUCUCAUAAUUAGAAGCAAUAGCCAAUGUUGGGAAUCAUGAUCAACAAAAAUAUUUAUCAAUUUAAUUUUUGUGAAUAUUAAUAUGAAAUUAAUUUAUUUUCGUAUUUUUUUAAUAUCCACCUCUCUUUUUAUUCUUCGCAAUCUGUGUUUUUAUUUUUUGUUAAAAAGGAAAGUAAAUCUAAACAUUAUAAUUUCAUCUAACCCAAAAGGAAAUUUUCUUAUAGGGAUGUUCAUCAUGUGAAGUAGGCAUGCAUGGCCUCUUCAGCUCAUUAUCAUGUUAUGGAAACAGCCACAUGAUCAUUACACUAAGCAAAUUAAGUAUGUUUGAGGUGGACAGUAGUGGCUGUGGGAGUUGUUAAUUUAAUGCUAAAUAAAAACUUGAAUUUGGGUUAAACUACACAGAUUCACAUUAGAGUGAUAACCCAAUGGCCCGCACCAAAAGAGAGUAGCUGCUUCUUUUCUUGAUUUAAAUGGUGGUUAUGAUUAGAUUAGGUUAAUUUAAUCCCGAAUUCCUUGAUUUAUAAUAAAUUGCAAGCACCUUCCAAGCUCCAGCUUGUAGACAGCUACCUAACCAUUUUGGACCAGAUUCUGCAUAUCCUAAUCUCUCAAGGAUUUUGCAUUCAAAAAAAUAAUGCAUUAAUUUGUGGGGGAAAACAGAUGGAUAAAUAAACAUUAAUUCAUGGAGAAUCUUUUGAACUGUUUGUAAACAAAAUUGUGUAACUAAGUUAGCUUUUGGCCUACAUUUCAUUAAUUAAGAAAAAUGACAAUUGCAAAUAGAUAUAUCUCUAGUGAUUCAACCUUCCCUUUAUAUAUUUCGCUGUCAAUCAAUUACAUAUGGUAACGGGAAGAGUUAAGAGUAAAAGGGAAAAUAAAAUACUAUUACUUGAAAGCUUUGUGAUAGCAACAUUGUAUAUAUCCACCCCAAUUUGCUCUUCUUUACCAAAUUAUUUAUGUCAUUCACCUCCAAAAUAUUAAAAUAAAACCUCCUUUUUUUAUGUCACUAAACUGAUAAAGUUGGCACCCUGCCUUGGUGAUGGGAUUCUUCGUUCUUGCUACUAGCUAGUAUAAUUAAUGUAUUUUGGUGCUAUAUGCCAAAUAGUCGAGUCAACAGAACCUAAUUUCUAAGUUUUUAUUGUAUUGUUUAUUACAUGUAUCAAUUUUAUAUUUGACAACAGGAACCCAAGGCAUGCAAGAAACAUGGCUUAGUGUGUCACUAUCCAACGGUUUAUGUUUACCAUCCAUCGCCUUCAUGGCACAUAUAUAUAUAAUUAUUGAAAUUUUGGUGCAUUGCAAUGUAGACAACAAUUAAUGGUAUACGAAUUGCAGCGAAGGUCGACUAAUUGCUAUUUACAAUCUGCUUUCAAGAACCCAUAAAAAAAUUUGAUUAAUUAGUGCAAAAUCCAAGACUUGACAUCAUCUUUAUGUAACUAAUACAAACAACUUUGUAUAAAAUCAAGAUUUGGGCAAAUGAAUGAAGUAAUUCAAUUUCUAAACAUUGAGCUUAUUGGUUAAGGAUUUAUUUACUUUUCAUCAUCUGUAUUUUUUUAAAAAAAAUAUCAACCUAACCAGCAAUAUUAAAUAUUUCUUAGUAUUGUUCCUAUAUCUUUUACUAUUAGAAAUUGUGAAUUAAUAAUUGGAAAAUCCUUUUCACCUUUACGAUUACAUUUGUUGAAAAGCAUGUUUCAAUUUAAGAGUUGGAUUUGUAGUCCAUCUUGAGCAUACCAUCUAAAUUUGACCUAACAGCCUAAUCCUACAGGUAAAGCCACUUUACCUACUAAAUUUUUUCAAGACAACUUUACCUACUAAUUAAUCAAAUUAUAUAGCCUUCAUCUACUUGCUCAAUAACAAAAAAUAAAUAAAUAAAUUGUAUGCUCUUGGGACCCCCCCAAAAGAACUUGAGAUAAGAUAAAUUGGGCUUGAUCUGAACUUUUGGGCCCUUAAUGUAGAAGGCCCAAACCUUCAAAUGCUGUUGAAUUGGACUUUCUUAGGAUCCUUUGCAUUACAGAUCACAAUCUAGGAGUUGGGCUUUAUGGAUGCACUGAUUGGCAUCCACCUCAUGAAUUCACCAUCGAUCAUCUCAAAGUUACUAGUAAGGACUCUCCCUUUUUGCAAACUAAGUGGCUUGAAAGUGCUGAGACAGUAAUUUGUCGUAUGAAACUAACAUUGAAACAAACCAAUUGAGAAAUGGAAAGUUCCCCAAUACCCAUAGUAGAAGAGAGCCAGUUCCCCCAUAACAGGAUAAUAGAAUUCAGAAAACUUCAGCUCCUGCAGGAUUUGGCUGUAGAUUAAGGCACAAGGUGAAGAAAAAUUACCCCUCCCACAGGAUUGGAUAUUGAAAAGAAAAGCCUCAUACAAUGCACUUAGUCAUUUCAACCCAUAGCGCAUUUGACUGAUCUAUUGUUCACUGGAUGGCGGCUUGGCAAGCGGGUAGCUCAAAAUGUUUCGAGAAAACAAGAUUCCGAGGAGUGUGUCAAGCCUACUAGGGAUGAGGGAAGUGUCUAGAAGGUUGGAGAAACAUGUGGAUUGCAAGGGCUGUCUGGUGUAAUAUUAGCCGUAAGAUGCUUAAGGAGUUACCCAUAAAUAGGGACCCUUCAUUUGUAACCUGCAAGAGCUUAGCAAAGCAUAGCAUGAGAACAACUAAAAGUGUGCUGUUGUACCCUUGAUGUAAUAUUUGGUUGAGCAAUAAAACAGCAAAGCAUUCUCCCAUGUGGUGCAAGGGCCAAGCCAAAGACCGCAAGUCUCGGCAUGGCAAGACAUAUGACUAUCAUCCCAUGAAAGCUGGCUUCAUAGGAAUAAGUGGAUUAUCAUGUUCCCGAAUAAGAUUCAUGGAUAAUUUCGGAUACCGAACGGCAACUUGGCAAGGUUUAUUCUGAUAGAUUGAGGGUCAUUGAUGGUUUAUUUUUUCAAUGAUUAUUUAGGGGAAUUUGAUUAUGGUGUUUGUUAUCAUCCUACCACACACAAAACCAGCUUCUUUCUUGUUUGUCAAUUAUUUAUUUUUGUACAUUUUCAAAAUCAUAAAACAUUUCUACAAAAUUAUCAAGUCUAUUCGAAAGUAAGGCCAAGCCAGAAAUAUGUAAUUAGAAUAAUUAACAACAAAACUUGCAUACCAAAUCAAAAGGCUUCAUCUUGAAUUGUAAUGUCAGCUUCAGCAAGUUCACUCAUCACCUCAGCCUGAAACAACUCAACAGCUUCUUGAACCGUUGUUUGAUUCCAAAAUGCACCAAGAAGCAUACUCCAUUCUCCCUCUUUUGGAGUACAUCCAUCAAUCAGCAUUUCAUCAACAAUACGAGCAGCUUUGUGUAGGUCUCCAUCCUUAAAGAAAGAUUUCAUAAGAAUCUCGAAAGUCGCAAUCUCAACAGAGAUGGCCCUAGUUCUCAUGCUUAGAUACAACUUGAAAGCUCGACUUAAAUCACUCUUGGUGCAAAGGCCUUGGACCACCAUAUUAUGAAUCCUAACAUGAAGACUCCAAGUUAAUCGGUUUGGCAAGAUUCUGUCUAAAACCAUCUCAUCAAGGAAAUGUGCUGCCUCCUCAAACUUGUUGACAUCACAGAAUCCGCUUAUGAUUUUCCCGUACAAUCCUGCAUCUGGUUGCAGACCCUGAAGUUUCAUCCUGUCAAGAAUCUCCACAGUUUGUUGAAGCCUUCCCUCUUUACAUAGUCCAUGAAUUAAGCUACUAUAAGUUAUCAUGUUUGGUUUACAACGUUUGCUAACCAUUGUCUCCAGUAGUUCCAUCGCUUUGGAAGAACGACUAUCCUUGCAGAGACCAUCCAUUAAAGAACUAUAAGUAAACACAUUUGGCUCCAUACCAUUGUUUUUCAUUUCCUCAAGCAAAUCCAAAGCUUCAUUUAUAUUAUUUGACUGACAUAACCCAUGUAUCAAGGAUGAAUAUGUAAUAACAGAAGGAGAACAAUCUCUCAUUUUCAUCUCUUCAAAUAAAACCUUUGCAUCCAUUAACUUUCCGAAUUUACACAACCCAUUAAUCAAAGUUCCGUAAGUAUAAGAAUCUGGAGGACACCCACGAUUGGGCAUUUCACGAAAUAUAUGAAUAGCAGAAUCCAAGGUUCCACUAUUCUUACAGAGUGCUUUAAUCAAAAUAUUCAGGGUGACAACACUAGUUUGAACACCUACUUCUCUCAUAUUCCUGUAAAACCUAAAAGCGAGCUUUAACAGGUUCUCAUCAACCAGAAUAUCAAACAUAGUAAUAUAAGAUCUUUUACUGGGUUCACAUUGGAAGUCCUUCAUCUUACCAAAGACCCUCAUGGCAUCUAAUGGUCUAUGAACCCUUCCAUACCCUCUACAAAUAGAAAGGAAGAUAUCUUCUCUUACAUCACACUUUUCUUCUUUCAUUCUAUCAAGAAGAUCUUCAGCUGGUCCAAAUUUGUUUGCAGAAACUAAUCUAUUUAUUAUAACACCAAAAGUGCUGUGAUCAUGACGAAAACCAUUGGCAUACUCAGCUGUUGCCAAAUCAAAUAUAGCAAGAGCCUUGUCUACGUUCCUCUCUGCUUUUAUUAAGUGCACCACUUGAGAAGAAGUUAUUUUUUUCGACCAUUUAAAUGCAACCUUGGUGCCCAUUAUAGCCAACUCCCUAGGUUAACAGUAAAAAGCUCCCAAUUCAAAUAAUGUAUCAAAUGACAUGCUUCAAUCCUAGUCAGCAAUUCAUACAGACACCUAGACAAGAUUAUGAUAUAAAAGUUCAGCAAAUAUCUAAGAGGUGAGUAUAUAAUAAAUAUAUGAGACCAAAUUCGAAAAUGGAUGCCUCUAAAUUUAUUAAACAUGCCAAAAAGGAGAACCAAACGAUACAAUAAUGAACUGUUAAUGCAUUGGAUUGCUGGUGUGAGCAUUUUAUCGAACAUUUGGAGGGUGGAAAUCAGAAGAUUGCCAAAAUCAAUACAUGAGAAACCAGAAAAUUAAUUAGCAAAAUAAUCAACGCAUGAGUAAAUUCCCAACAAAUUUAACGAGAAUAAAAAAAAAUCUUCAAAAAGAUAAUUGAGCAAACAAGUGGCUUACUAUUCGCUGUGCUGACGUGAAGCGAGUGAUCCUAAUAUGUUUGAGAAAUCAAACUGCUAGUGCGGCUUGCUUGCUUGUGCCGUCGCAAUUCCUCAUAAACCAGGCUGUUGCAGGCCGAAUGCUGCCCAUAUUUCUGGCCCAAAAAGGGGUUCGAAACCGUAUUCUAGUAAGAAAACGAUCCAGCCCAGAAUUUGUGUAACAGAACAUAAUAUCUUGGACAUGAUAUCCCUUGCUUCACGAGACUUAUACUGGGGAAAAUAACUUGUCCCAUACGUCCCCUCUGCCCCAGUCUCUCGCCUUCCUCGGUUCUUCCCCUCCCUAAGCUAAAUCCUCAGCCACAGGCCGCAUUUUCCCUGUUGUCUAUUUUUUAGUGCAUUAUAUCACUGUUUCGUUAUUCGUCGUAUUAUUUGCUUACUGUCAAUGACUUAAAUAACUUUUUAUUUUGUUGACGUUUUUAAAUCAUAAGGUAAUAUGUUAACUUUUUUUUUUUUUUUUUUUUUUUUUUUUGCUUCUAAUACAUUUUUUGGAUUAGCCCAAUACAAACGGUAUGUAACCGUUAACAGAUACAAUUGAAACAUAACAUAAACUGGUACCAUUCAAACACCACCACCAUCACAACAACCAAAUAACUUAACUAAUCAAAUAGUUGUGACACGUAAUUGUGUUUAUUUAUACUUAUUAUAAAAUCUUCGAACUAGUGGAGUACCAACUUGAUUGAGGAAAGAUUAAUGUAUCAAUUUUUUUAAAUGAUAAUUAAUAUUCUUAUUUUUUCAUAUUUUCAUAUAAUCUUUAAAUUAAAUAAUUAAAAAUUACAUAUUCGAUGAUUAAAUGCAUGUUUAAUAAAAUUUACAUACAAAUUUUUUACCAUUUGAAUACAUUUCACUCGCAACAUAAGUGAAAUAUGAUUUAAUAUUAUAUAACCUUUUUUUAAAUCCUGAAUCUUGAUCACUUGCAUGAGCUUCUUUGAAUUAUAACCAUGUAAUUAUAGAAUUGUUAUAGAUCUACAUUUAAUAUAUUUUCAAUAUCUACGCUAUAUAUUAAGAUUUCAAGUUUUGAUUAAAUUAGUGCCAUUCACAACUAGAUUUCAAUUGUAAAAUUACUUUUACAAAGCAAAUAUUAUUAUUUUGAAAGUAUUUAUGCGUUGUUUAUUUUUAUAUAAAAUCCGGGAAAACAAAUUAAUCCAAUAUACUAUAAAAAUCAGUCUCUCAACCUUACCAAUUCAAUUAAAACCCAUAUUUAAUUUUUAUACUAAUUUUUUUUAUAAAUUCAUUAUAUAGUUAUUUUCUCUAGUUAAAUUAUUUAUAUCUAUAUUUAAAAUUUUUGCAAAGAUAUUUUAAACAAUGUAUACUUGAGUGAUUUAUGCACCAUUUCCUAAUAAAAAUUAUGCAGUAUUACGUAUCGCAUACAAUAGGUAAAAACAACAAAAGUCAUAUUUGUUCAUUCCCCCCUCCCCCUUAUUAAAAGAUCUCACUCUACCUACCAUCCACGCACAUUUUGUUCUUGAGAGAGUUAUAAUUAUUUUAUAUAUCAAUUGCAAGGUUUGGAACUUGAAUUCCACAUACGAAAAUAUUAAAUUUUUUAAUAGGCUUUGCAUGGAUCUAGACUCUCUAACCUUAAUAGUUAGCUUUUGGGGUGUGAUUCUCUAAAGGUCUAUAUCAAUUCAUAUUAGAGCCAACCAUCAUGUCUCUCAUUGCAAUUGUAUGACAUGGGUGGUGAUGCCAACAUUGUAAUGUUCACCUGAGAUUACAUUAAGCUAGUGCAAACCCAGCUAGUAUGGGCACAUAACUGCAGAGCCUGGUGGAUGUUAUGUACCAAUUGCAAUAUAUGAGACUUAUGUAACAGCCUAAUUUUUCAGUGGUAUCGAAAACAGUGGUUUCGGAGUCACCGAAUUCGGCAAGUAAGUUCAUAAAUAUUAUUAUCUAACAUUUACGAAUUAAAUAUGAUUUUAAAAAAAGGGGUCUUUGAAUUGGUAAUUUGUGUUUUAUAAUGAUUUAUUAAGUCAAGUGGUUUUAGAAAGUGAGGUAUCGAGACCUCGUUUCUAUAAACCGAGCCGUAAAUAUUUUUAUAAAUAUUUACGGAGUGUCAUUAAGGUAGUAUUAAAGUUUCGUUGAAAAUUUUAAUGUUCUGAUAGCUAAUUAAUUAAAAAGGACUAAAUUAAAAAGGUACAAAACUUGUUAAUUAUAAGAAUUAAGUGAUUAAAUGGUUUAAUUAAUAAAUAGGGAAGGACUUAAGAAAUAAAUAAACCUAAAUUAAAUGGAUGAGGCGGGAUAAGAGAGAAAAAAAAUAAAAUAAAGCCAUUAAUGGUAAAAUUGUAAUUUUGGUUAAAUUAUAAAUAAAACAAAUUGAAUUUGGAUAGUUUUCUAGACAAUUCCUCUUCAAAUUCGGCCAAAACAGCCAUAGGGGAAAGAGUUUAAGCUGGUGCUUUAUAUUUUGGCGUAAAUACUCGUGAAAAAGGAAAAAUAGUGGAAUAAUCCUUGAACUUCUGCAAUUAUUACAAUUCAAUCCAAGUAAGUUCGUACAGUUAAAAUUUAAUAUUUUGUAUAAAUUGAUGAAUGGUAUUAUUUAUUUAUUCUAUUUUUGGAAUUGAACUAUUGUUGAAAUUAUAAUAUUGAAUUGGAUUUCGGUUUGAAUGGAACGCGAGAUUUGAGUACAUUCGUAUUUUGGUGUAUGAUGGUUUGGAAAGAGACAACGAUAUUUUUUCAAAGUAAAUCGGGGUUCAGCAUUUGUUGCGAACUCUCGUGUUUUACUUUUUGUUCAGCUCUUAUGAGUUUCUGUUCAGCUCUUAUGAGCUUCUGUUCAGCUCUUACAAGCUUCUGUUGGUGUAUUCAGGAAGACUAACUCUUGUGAGCUUCUGUUAACGAUGUACUAUUAUCCGUAAGUUGUUAUUCGAAUGGAAAAAUUUCGGUAAGGUGAUUUAUCUAAUGAAUUUGAAAGAUAUGUUAUUCAUUUUUACAUUGAUUUGAAAACGAAUGUAUUUAUUAAUAGAAUUUAUGGAUGAUAGGAAAUUGUCAGUGAAUGAUAGGGAAUUGACAUGAAUGAUUUUAUUUAUUUGACUUGUUAUAGUAGGUUCGGUAAGAUUUUGUUUAAACCAUCGAACUUACUAAGCUUCAUUAAGCUUAUUUGUAUUGUUUAAUGUCUUUGUAGAUUUUUAGAAGGUUGGACGAUAGGAUCAGCACUCAAGUCACACUAUCCAGCUUAUCUCUGUAGUUUUUAAAACAUUAAAUACGAUUUAUAUGGUAUGUAUAGGCUUUUGUUCGAUUUUGGUCAAAAUUUAGCUUAUGUAAAUGUUAUGAAUAAUAUUUUGUUUAUAUAACCAACAUACAUAUUGAUAUGAAUUUAAAGUAUGAGUGUGAUGUUAGUAUAAGUAAUAUAUAUAAUUGAGUUAAAACGAACUUUGGUAACUUAGUUAGGUAAAUUAAAUAGGUAAGUUUGGAUAUUUGUGGACUUAUUUUUAAGUUGUCAUUAGAGGUACUUAUGAGUAUAUUGGUUGUAGAAUUACAUGUAUACGGCUUGAUUUUAGCUUGUGUUGAAUGCUUUGUUAUGGCUUAUUGAUAUGUAAAUUGUUGAGGCUAUGUUGGUAUCAAUUUGGGUGAGAAAUAUGGUUUGGAAAAUGACCUAUUUUUGUCCACAGGGGCGUGUGUCUCAAUCGUGUGCAAUACACGGCCAAGUGACGCGGCUGUGUGUCCCCUAUAUCAUUUAAAUUGCACAAGUAAAUAUGCACACACGGCCUAGCACACGGGCGUAUUGCUUGGCCAUGUGGCCCAAGUCAAAGAGUUAUACGGGCAUGGACAUGGGCUGGAACACGGCCGUGUGUCCCUAUUUUAAAUGCCCACACGGCCUGGCCACACAGCCGUGUGUCCCCUGCAGCUUUGAAAAUUUCAAUAUUUUCUAAAAAAUUCUUUGAGUAUCCGAUUUAGUCCCGGCUUGUUUUUAACACGUAAUUUGGGCCUCGAUGGCUCAUAUAAAGGACAAUAUGUUUGAUUUUGAUUAGUUUAUUACAUGAAUGUUAUAUUAUAUGAAAUGUCUAUUUAUUUGAUCUGUAAUCUCUGGUAAUGCUCCAUAAUCUUGUUUCGGCGACGGAUACGAAUUAGGGAUGUUACAACUUAGGGUCUGUUUGAUUGAAGGAGUUGAUUUUCCGGAAAAUCAUUUUCAACUUUUCCAGCGUUUGAUUGGCGGAAAACAUUUUCCAUUUGGAAAAUGAACUCCAAAACAAGGGAAAAUGGGUUACAUUUUAGGGAAAAUGUCUUACCCUUUCAAUUUCCGUAAGACAUUUUCCGUGCUCUCCUCUCUAUCGCCUCCUUCAUUCCUUCCUUCAUUUCCGGUGGAAAAUUGCUUCUGUUUAUCGAUUUUUCAGUAACUUAUUUUUUUAAUUAUUCAAUACUUGUUUUUUUAACACAAUUACAAAUAAUUUAUUUGAUAUUAAUUUUUUUCAAUUUAUAACGAUUAAUAUUGUAGCUUAAUAAUUGAGUAUUCUUAUAAAUAAAUCAUUGCAAUAUAUGUAAAAAUAAUUUAAAAUAUAAAAAUUUAUUAAUAUAUAUCAAUAUAUGUAAAAACAAUUUUUUCGAAAAAUAUUUCCAGGAAAUCUGCCAAACAGCCGAAAAUAUUUUACACAGAUUCAAUCAAACACCAGAAAAUAUUUUCCAGUAAAUCAUUUUACAGAAAAGUAAAAUAUUUUCCCGAAAUCAUUUUACGGAAAAUAUUUUACUGGCAAUCAAACAGGCCCUUAGAUUCCACAUAGAAAAAUAUAAAAAUAUAAAAGAAGGAUGCAUUGGAUUUUGAUUCAAAUAAUUUACAAUUCAAAUAAAAAAGUUGAUUGUAAAUGAAAUAUAAAUCUACCUCAAGAUGUUUUAUUUUGCUUUGCAAAACCAAACGUUGACUAUGAGAUAUGGCAUUUUAACUAUCACAAAAGAAUUUUGAACAUUGAAAUAGCAAAAGUUUGAAACUCUUUUACUAUAUUCAUAACCCCAAAAGUUUCAAAAGUAAUAAUUGUGAUGACUUGAUAUUUAGUUUAAGUGGAAGAGUGGGCAAUGAUUGGUUCUCCUUUGAAGACCAACUUGUUAGUUGUGGAUCAAAAUAAAGAAUGUAAUCAAUGUUAAACUGUGAUUAGUGUGAUCACUUGCCUAAUCCACGUUUGAAUACAUAUAAAGAUUUAGUCAAGUAUUGAAGAAUGCAUUUUACUUCUUUGGAGCAUGCAUAAACUUAAAAAGUUUGGUUCAUUGGAAACAAUCAAAUUUUGUGAAGGAAAGAAAUUAGAGUUUCCCAAUAGUUUAUCAAUAUAUAGUGACAUCAAUAUGGUCAAAUGCUCUUGAAGUUUGUAAGGAUAAGAGGAACUAAUUGAAGUACAAACUCAUAUACUGUAUUGCAUCCCUCUAUCAUUGAUAACAUGCUGAAUGUAUUUGCUUUGCGUCAUUAGGUAUAGUCCUAUCGAAUGUGCAUUUAUAUUUAUAAAAAAAGUCGGUAUGUAAAGCAAAACUCAUUCAAUUUGGAAUUGAAUAACUGGCUUGCGAUAUGGAGAAAGGUUCUUAACAGAUUUCUUUCACCCUAAUACUCAUGCAAGGGAGGGAUUUGCACGGUUAAAAUCCAAAGAAUAUGACGACAUGAUCUUUAACAUAGAUCCAUCUAUUAACAAACUUCGUUGGAAUUAUAGAGUCAGGUUGAUGGUCUUAAAAACUUUGCUCUCUUCUGAGCAGUACAAAAUAGACUAAAAGUUCUUUAUUCUUCUCAAAUGACAAAUGCAUCACUAUUAAAACCACACACUAACAGUAAACAAAACACUAGAAAUCAGGCAUCCUUUUCCAUACGAGUGGUGGAAUGAUCACAAGCAGGUAUUCCCAAGUUCCUACUGAUCAUAUCUUUCAUUUUUCCUAAAUCAAAGCCCACCCGAUGGUCCCAAUAACUUCUUGAUUCCAGAUUUCUGCUCUGCAGUUAACCUUGUUGGGAACUUAAUGUUGAACUUGAUUCUGAGGUUACCUCUUUUCGAUGGGUCUUUGGGAAUUGGCAUACCUUCCUUCGGGACUACCUCCUCAUAAUUUGGAUGGAUCACACUGUUGAUGGGGAUGUUCAAGCUCCUUCCAUCCAAUGUUGUAAGAUGAACGGUGUAGCCUGUUAAUGCUUCGGCCAGCGAUAUCUUUUGCGUGACAACCAGGUCAUUGCCAUCGCGUGUGAAUGUGCUGUGAGGUUUUUCAUCGAUUAUGAAAACAAGAUCUGCAGGGAUUGUGUUUGGUUGUUCGUUUCCUUUCUCAGGGAAGGUGAUCUUUGUUCCCUUUUUCCAACCAGGUUUGAUAUCAAUGGUCAGGAUUUCCUGCACUGGCAAUGUCUUCCUGCAACACAGUCAAAUUUUUAAGACAACCUUGUUAGCAAGCGAACCAUCAUUAUCAGGCAUGCCACGAUCUUAUCUCGUAUAGGUAUGUUUCUAAAUAACAUGUACGAAAUAUGAUCAAGAUAAACUCUUCAGCUCUCUUUUACUGCUUACUUAUAGACUAAAACAGAUCAAUUAGGAAGUUAACAAAUACGUUUCAAUAUAUCAUUGAAAACCAAUAAUUGAAUGAUUAAUAGUACUGCAAACAUAUUUCAAUAAAUAGAUACUUCUUGUUACUUCAGAAAGAUAUCAACCAAAUUCAAUGAACGUUCAGCUGGAAACUCGAGAACACAUACAAAAAGGAAGAUAAAAAGUCAAAUUAGUAAAGUGAGACAUACCCGCUAGCAUCUGCAAUUUCUCUAGAAAUCUUCAUCUUCUUUGUGGUUCCUUUAUAUAAAUCUUCAAGGCUACAAGGCAACGUAUUUUCAAUAGGAGGAGGUUUACGAGGAUUCUGACUCAUUGGCCUUCCUUCACCAAACGAACUGAAUAUAUCAUCACCAAACAUACCACCGAAUGACCUCGAGCUACCUCUCAUCCCACUGCCGCCCAUUCCCCCAAAGGGGCUAGAAUACCCAAAGAACUCGGCAAAGAUGUCAUUAGCAUUUCUGGGGUUGAAUCUGAACACAUUUGGACCAUCUCCGGUUUGGAAAAAUGUUGCUCCACCAGGUCCGCCAGCAUCUUGCGGUGGUACUUGGCCUUUUAGCCCUUCUUCACCAUACUGGUCGUAGAUAGCUCUCUUCUGUGGGUCACUCAGAACCUGCAAACAUGAAAGUUGGUCAUAUUUUCCUCUUAAAUUUUGACUUCCUGUAGAUGUAAAGAUCAAACUUUCAAUUGAUGAGAUGGGCAAUCGCAUAGUUUGAAUUGAGGAGACCUAGGUGAUAAGCAUGUGAUUUUGAAGUCUCAAUAACCAAAGAGAAACCACCAAACUUGAUCGAUGAUCAUCCUGAUUAUUAAAUAAAAGCAACCCAAUUUUUCCUUUGAACUUUAAGAAUCAACAACAUAAAUGAAUUUAUAAAAAAAGAAAAAGAGAUAAGCUAACCUCAUAAGCUUCAGAGAUUUGCUUGAAUUUGGCCUCAGCUUCCUUUUUGUUAUUUGGGUUCUUAUCAGGGUGCCACUUCAUGGCAAGCUUCCUAUAAGCUUUCUUCAAAUCAUCAUCUUUUGCAUUCUUGUCAACUUGUAGAAUCUUGUAAUAAUCUACACCCAUCUUCUUCUUACUCAACCUCUGCUUUUUUUCGCAGAGCUUCUUUAUUCGUUGCUGUAGCUUUGCCGCAGAAAAGAUAAAAAAAAAUGAAAAACUUGUGAGCACCUAGAAGAUAGAGUUGUGUUUGAAGUGGUUUAGUGUUUGAUUUAAGGGAAAAGAAGAAGAUAUGUCUGGAAGGCAAAUGAAAAUGACGAGAAGGGUGUCGAAGUUUCCAGAUAAGCCCAAGGGGCUACACGAUUUCUCCCGAUUUUGUGUUUCUAAUUUCUAAAGCAAACAAAACUACCUCUUCCUCGCCUCAUUGAUUAGUUUUUACAGUUACAACCCCAAUAGUUGGACCUGUUCUUGGCCCUCGCCUCUCCCGCGGGUAGUAACUAUUCCUACACCCAUACAGACGAAUCUUUCUAAUUUAAACCUGAUCUACUCAAAUUAAAUAUAAUUUCUAAAAUAAAAUUAUAAAAUAAUGUAAAUACUAACAACACGUUUGGUUCGCUGUAUUAGAUUAGAGGCAUAAUGGAAUAGAGGUGUAAUGGAUUAGAGGUGUAAUGGAAUAGAGGUGUAAUAGCAAAUCAACUGUUUGGUUGAAUGUAAUGGAAUAGAGGCGUAAUAGUAAUCUUGUGUUUGGUUGAAUGGAAUAGAGGUGUAAUAGCAUAAUGGAAAAAACUAAAAUGACUAGAAUACCCUUAGCAUAAAUUUGUUUUGGUAAAUGAUUAUUGUUAUUGUUAUUUAAAUUUUAAUAAGAUUAUUAUUAUCAAUAUUAAAUAAUUUAAUCAUAUUUAAACAUAAUUAUUAUUAAAUAUAUUAUAAUUAAAAUAUAUAAUUUAAUAAAAUUCUUAAUAAUCAAUAUUCUUAUAUGAAUUUACUCAAAUCAUAAUAUAUGAUACUAUAAAAUUUACUAAAAUCAUAAUACAUAAUACUAUAAAAUAUAAUUUAAAAUAAUUAUUAUUAAAUAUAAUUUAAUAAAAAUAUAUAAUUCCCCCCACGUUAUUUGGAGAUACAGGAUACGAAACGAAUUAAUUGUUUGACUAAUCAAGGGACUGAUUUUGUCUAGCCAUAAAAUAUAUCAAUAUAUAUAUUUAUGUAAUGAGAGUUUUUCAUUUACAUCCGAGUUUAAACUUUUAAUGGGAGAAAAAUUAUCAAAUUUAAUUAAACCAAAAAAAAAAAACUUUAAUGAGAAAAAAAUUCCAAAAAGAUCUAACUCUGCAAAAAGAAAUAAAAUAUCAAACUGUUUUACUUAAUUAAUCAGAUUGCUUUGCGUUGAGAUCUUAUUUAUCUUUCAAUUUCCAGAGCUAAAAUAGAUCAAGAGUGCUGAAUUAAAUUCCUCGUUCAUGAAAAGUAUAGCAGAGAUUACUGAAGUUACCAAAAACAAUUAAAUUAAAAUACAGUAUUUAAAACAAAUGGCGACAAUAGAUCAAACGAUGCCAUUAACUAUUAAGUGCUUAAAGAACACCAUAUCCCUCAGAAAACAAUACAUUAGAAAAACUAGAAUUCCAUACUGUCUUAAAAAGUUCCCAACAACAUGACAUGACAUGAAAUGAAAUGAAUAAACACCAUUUAGAAAAGAGAUGUUCCCUUCCCCUUCUUGUCGCCACCAAUUUCAAAAUGCUUGCACCUCUGCAACAACACAAGACACAAACACCAACACAUUAGCUCAUCAAGCAAACACAUUGGUCAACAAAGGUUUUUUCUCAAUGCACAAACCUUGAUUGGAUGCUAGGAUACAUGCUUGCAACCCUGGCAUUGCAGCCUCAGCACAAUCUUCUUGGUGGUCUUGGCCUAUUCAAACCAUACAAUGCCAUUAAUAUUAUAUAACAUGCUAGGAGUCUUGACAAAUAGCAAUGAUCAGAAUGACAAAAUGAGUUAACACUUGGUACUAACUAGUACCAGAAGAUGCAACAUAAGAUAUUAGAUCCUCUCUCGGUGUAUCAAGAAAUAGCAAUAGCUAAACAUCCUUUACUAACUAGUAUCAGAAGAUGCAGCAUAAGAAUUCUAGAUAUUUUGGUUAUAUAACUAAACACCAAGCAAGAUAUAAAAGACAAGUGAAGAGGAAUUACCUUCUUGUGGAACACUGGUUUGGUCUGACCACCAUAACCUGAUUUUUUUAAGAAAAUUUCUACUGCAUUUUUAAUGCCAAUUUGAUGUUCUUAACCAACUUCCAUUAAACAUUUACAAGAAAAAGGGAGAGUCGGCUAUUAAUUAAUAAUAACCAAUUAAAUAAUCAUGCAGAGCUUAGUUACGCAAUAUUUAUUGCGUCAUUAGGGAAUAUAUUGACCUAAGCAAACCUUGUAUUCAUCAAGCUAAGGCUGAAGAUAUCUAUGCAUUAAUUUCAACCCCAUAGUGUGGCAUUGAAAGGGUUCUGAGCAUGUUAACAGACUGAUUUGAUUAUUGAUGCAAGAACGAAAAUGAUAAGAAUCGGGUUGAAAAACAGGUAGUAUAAUCCAUGAACAAGCAACAGAAUGUGAAUCCCAUGCUGCGAAAUGUAAUAAGACAUGUUUUUGCAUGGGAUAAGCAAACCAGAUAGCAUACAUAAACCUUAAGACAUAACAUUGCAACAAAGUAUAAUCAUCUAGGCCUAUUGAAUAGAGGUUUGAUUCUACAAGAAUGAAUAUGGUGCAACUUUACGACAAAAACUUGAUUGCGAUUUCAAGCUGCAUAUAAAGCAAGCAAAGAAGCAGAAUUGGGUUCUAACUGACCAUAGUGCAGUGUCAUAGUGAACAUGUAGAAAGCUUCAUAGCUUCCAACUUCAUCCGGGUUCGAAAAUUAACAGCCUUAGCAUAAAAACAUGCCUAAUAUGCCACAAAAGUGAGAACCCUAUAGGCCUAGACUAAGGUCAUGCAACUGAAAGCUGCAAUAGAAGAAGCUGAAACCUAUACUAGAUGAUAAGAUAAAACUGAUAUACAAUUUGUACGAGCAACGGUAUAAACAAGUCAUCAAGUGAAAGCAUUACAAAUUGUUCUCUAUCAGCAAACAUGAAAACUUGCUCUAAUGAAAGCAUUGUUGCAAACGGUUUAAACACGAAAAUAGAAUAUUCGUUGCAACCCCAUGGUACAAAUAUGUUUCAAACAAAACCGAAUAGUAAACGGGGAACAAAUUCUGUCUUGCAAUGAACAUGUAAGGCAUAUAUCGAAUCGACGUAAACGACAUAAUGUAUGAAUUAUGAUACAAUAUAACAAAGGAUAAGCAAAACAAAGGAUAACCAAAGUAACAUGAAUACAAACAAGCAAAAUAGAAGCAAUUCAUUCAAACUUAAAUGGAAAUAAUUUAGCAUAUAUCAUCUAUGCUAGUUGAUCAAAUGGAAAUAAUUUAGCAUGUCAGAAGAGAGGACCUAACAUUCUUUAGGGCCUAAGAUGAAACUUAAAUGAUAUAUGACUAUGCAUGCCUGGAAUUUUAACAUUAUUUCUACUUUUAUGUUACUAAAACCUUGUCCCUCAGAGAAUUUUGCUCUUUUGAUCAGGUGACAGAAAGCAAAUUAGAUCAGUCCCAGCCUUUAGAAGACAAUUCUAACUCAAUUUCAAACAAUGGAAUGCACUAAAUCGAAAUUUUAAACUAAAUAAAUUUAAAACACUAAUCAGGAAACAUAGAUAAACAUCUGAAGCGUAAAAAUUAAAGGAAAGGAGACAAGGUAUUCUCACUGGUAGUAGAGGCGCAGGCGGCGGUGCUGGAAGUUCAAAUCUGUGAAAGUGAUGAAAUUUUUGGGUCCUGAUAAAAAAAAGAGCAAAAACGUAUGAGAAGAUGGAGCUGAAGGCAAAAAUCAGUUUUAAGUUUACCUCUGCAAUCAAUGGAAGGGAAACGUCGGAGAGGAUGAAGCUUGAUAAGGGCAGAAAAAGAUUACCUCCCUUCCCGCUACUGUUUCUCAGUCGUUGUAAGAAGCGGAAGAAUGGUGAAGCCCUUUGGCUGUCAGCGUACCUUUGGCUGGAAGAAGAUGAAGGCGAAUCGAUUUGGCUGGAAGAAUAUGUGAAAACGUGAAGGUGAAUCGAUUUGGCUUGAUUUGAGGAUAUGAAAUCGACGGGAAAUUUUUGGGGAGAAGAAGGCAGGUUAUUUUGAUCUCAAAAUUAAAGAAGAAAACGGUGAAUAGCUAUUACAAACUAAAACCCAGGAAUACCUAUUACAGCUGCUGAGGGAAUAGGCAAGGAAUAGCAAAACCUCCGAUUAGGUAAACGGCGAAACCAAACGGCGUAUUAGGUGGGGCCACCGAAUCGGGGUGUAAUGGAUUAGCCAUUUCACCCAACCAAACAUGGUGUAAAUACAUAUGGUACACCAACUUAUGGAUAAUAAGAAAAUUUUUAAAAAUAAAAUUUCAUCAAUGAAUAGAUUUCUUUUUUGGUCAAUUACGAAGAGGGUAAAGCCCUAACAACAACACAAUUAAUACAACUUGAACUCAAGUCACACUUAGGAUGAUGAACACCUUAACUAUUAAGCCAACACACAAGGUUCUCAAUUGAUAGAUUUUUAAAAUAAAAGCAUUUGUAAUCAUCAAUAAAUCAUAAUAACUUUUCUCUUUUUUCUUCAAGUCAUUUGUUUUUUUGUCUAGUGAUGGUGUCGGCUUCGGAGUUAACUAUCGUCCACUUUUUUUUCCCUCACAUCAAUCAUUUUUUUCUUCUUUCUUUUUUCUUUUCAUUCACAUCAUGUGUGUUUUCUCUUUUCAAUUUGCAGAUCUAUUUUGUGGUAUAUUUGCUCUCUUCACAAGUUGUGAUGGACAAAUGACGGUGUUUGUUGUCAUUGAAAAUCCAUCGACUACUAGCAAUUUUUCUUGAAAAGUGAGUGACUCUCCGUCAAUUUCAAAAUAAUAAAUGAUUUCACAAAUCGGUUUGGAUCCGUAAUGUCUUGAGUUUUAUAUGUUUUUUUUCGUUGUUUAAUUAGUUUUCACGAAGUUUUUGUUUGCUCUUAUAACACAUUUUUUACUCUUGCUUAUGCAUAUAGUCUUACUUUUGCAAGUGAUUUUAAGGAUGGUUUUGUCGCUGUCCUCUUCUAUUUGGUGAAUGCUUGGGUAUUUUGUUGAUUUUUGUCCACCGCUUUGGACCAUCCGGUUGAUUUCCUUAUCAUAUUAAGUGCUUACAAUCAUAAUUUGUAACACCCCUUACCCGAGACCAUUACCGGAGUCGAGCUCGAGGCAUUACUUUACUUAACUUAAAAAUUCGGGGCAUAAAAUUUUACUUUUGAAAUUAAUUUCACUAUUCACAACAAAGCUGUCCACCUGCGCAGCAGUUACUAAUUUAGUUAUAACUCGAGCUACGAAACCAAAAUUUAAAUCUGUAAAUUUUCCCUGAAACUAGACUCAUAUGUCUUCUUACCAUAAAAUUUUCAGAAUUUUUGGUUCAGCCAAUUAGUACAGUUUAUUAGUUAAAGUCUCCCCUGUUUCACCACUCGACUAUCCUGACCUCUUGUCACUAAAAAUAAGCUUUCUCAUUGUAGGAAUUUCAUAUGGUGUUAUAAUUUAUUUCUACAGAAAAUAGACUCAAUAAGGAAUCUAGAAAUAUAAAAUAUAACUCAUAAACAUUUUUGUAAAAUUUUUAAUGAUUUUCUAAACUCAGAACAGAGGACUCCAAAAAUAGUUUUGACCCUGUCUCACUAAAAUUCACAUAUCUUAAAAUAUAAAAUUCAUUUUGCUACACCAUUAUUUUUAUAUGAAAGUAGACUAAAUAAUAUUUAAUUCUAUAUAGCAUUCACUUUCUAAUUCAUUUUAUACUAUCCUAUGUGAUUUUUCAAAUUCACGUCACUGUUGCUGCUUGAAAUCUGUUUCUUUGCAAAUUUUUCUCUUUCAUGAUUUCUAUGCAUGAUUUAUCACCUAAACAUUUAUAACAACAAACACCUUCAUACUAGCCAUUUUAACAAUCAUUCAUCAUCAAAUACUUACAUAUCAUUCUUUAGAAAAAUCAUAAAUACUAACAUUCAAAAUAACUAAGUCCCUAUACAUGUCAUAACCCAAACAUGGUUCAUCAUAAAAUACCGAGUUGUUGUCGUUGAUAGUGUGGACAAUCUCCGACGUAUUUAAGUUCCCGAAAGUAGCUCUACAAUACUAUAUGAGAAAGAAAAAUAAAAGAAGUAAGCAUAAAGCUUAGUAAGUUUACUAGCAAAUAAAUAACAACAUUUAACACUAAUAAUUAAACUCAAAUGUCAAGAUCUCUAGUUUACUCUUUAUUUAAUCUCAUUCUCGUUCUCUUGCUGGUUUACUAAGUUAACUCAUGAUCGUAACUUAUUCUUCUCUUGCUGAAACAUUGAGUACCAAUUGAUAAUAUAGUAAGUUCUUAACUCUUAUAACUCAUCUGAGCUUGCCAUUUAUGCUUUUAAAUGAACUUUCAUUAACAUGAUUCGUUUACUAGCCCGUUGAGCCACGUUGGAAUAAUAAGGAUACUUGGGUCUUUUCUGAUAGUAACAUGUUAAAGCCAUGUCCCAAACAUGGUCUUACAUGGGAUGUUCUUAUAUCGGUGCCCAUGCCAUGUCCUAGACAUGGUCUUACGGGGGACCUUUCAUCUCGGUGCCAAUGCCAUGUCCCAGACAUGGUCUUACAUGGGACCUCUCAUCUCGGUGCCAACGCCAUGUCCCAGACAUGGUCUUACAUGGGACCUCUUUACCCAAAUGUCAUGGCAUUUGUAUCUGAUACAUUCAUCAUGUUUCAACGGGGCUUUUUAACACCGAUUCACUGUCAUCUCAUACUUGAGUCAACAUUAAAUAAAUUCAUAAAAUAAAUGCAUAAUUGCUGGAAAAUAACAAUAUUAAUAAUAAUUAUUGAAAUAUUGUAUUUAUUUACCGUAAACUUACCUCGGUACAAAAUAUAGCCAAAUUCACCAACUUAGCCUUCAACUUUAUUCUUUCCUUUGUCUAACCUCAAGUUUCAUUCUUCUUGAUCUAAAAUAGCAAAUUUAACUCAUUUAAUACUCACAUUUAUCAAAACAGCCCUCAACUCUAACUUUGGAAAAAUUACAAUUUUACCCCUAAACUUUUACAUAAUUACAUUUUUUCCUCAAGGCUCGGAAAUUAAACUUCAUCUCAUAUUCUUAUGUUUUAUGACAUGCUGAACAUUUUUCCCUUCUAUGGCAACAUAAAAUUUCUACUCUAACACUUAUAAACAUUAGGUAUUUUUACUGAUUAUGUCAACUUACUCGUUUUCACUUAAAAUCGCUUAGCAAAAGUUGUUUAACAUAAUUUCUAGUUUCAUAUUCCACCAUAAAACAUCAAAAUAAACAUAUUUCACCUAUGGGUAUUUUUCCAAAUAUGAACCCUAGGUUAAAUUAUUGCUAGAAUAGGCUAAAUUAAGCUACAGGGAUCUUAAAAACGUAAAAAACAUUAAAAACGGGGCUUGGGAUCACUUACUAUGGAGCUUGGAAGCUUGAAAACCCUAACUAUGGCUUCUCCCAUUGCUAAAUUUGGCCUAAUGAAGAAGAUGAUCAAAAAUUGUCUUUUAAUUUUGUUUUUAAUUCAUUUUAAUAACUAAAUGACUAAAAUGCCCUUAAUGAAAAACUUUAGAAACAUGCCUAACCAUGUCCAUUUUUGUCCACCAACUUAACCAAUGGUCUAAUUACCAUGUAAAGACCUCCAAUUUAAAAUUUCAUAACAAUUGGACACCUCUAACAUAUAGAACUCAACUUUUGCACUUUUUACAAUUUAGUCCUUUUGAUUAAAUUGAGUGCCCAAACGUCAAAAUUUUUGGAUGAAAUUUUCAUGAAAUCUUUCCGUGAAAUUGUAGGCCAUAGAAAUAUAAUAAAAAUAAAUUUUUCCUCAUCGGAUUUGUGGUCCCGAAAUUACUGUUUCGAUAACCUUAAAUUUGGGCCAUUACACAAUCACUCCAAAUAUGUCGUGAAAGUAGUGACAGGGUCAAUUGUCAAUGUGUCUACUGAUGCUGAUGUUAAAGCUUUUGUUGUGUUGAUGGAGCUUAUCCUUAAUCAUCUAAGACCAGUGUUUAUUUUUUUUCCUGAAUUGUAUAGUUCCAGUCAUUAAAUGAAUUAAUGAAUUUUCCUUUUAAAAAUAAACUAUUUGAUUUUUUAAAUAUUUUUAUUAAAAAUUUAUUUUAUACUAAUUUUAGGGAAAACUACACAGAUAGUCACCCAACUAUAAAAAUUUUCAUUUUGGGCAUCCAAAAUAAAAGUUUGCAAUUUAAGCACUCAUGCUAUAUAGUUCAGUCAUUUUGGUCACUCCCGUUAAAAUCACAAACGACAAGCUAACUUGAUUGUUAAAAAAUCGGUAUAAUAAUAAAUUUAGCCCUCAACUUUUAUAUAUUAUAUCGUUUUAAUCAUAAUUUUUAAAAAAUUAACCAUCGAAAUUUAUAAAUAUUCUCAAUUUGAUCCUAAUUCUAAAAAUUUUAAAAAUAUAUAAAAUACAUAAAUAUUUUUAAAAAAAUAUAAUAAUAAAUAUAUAGAAAUAGAAAUUUGAUUGUUGACAAAAAAUUAUAUAUAAAAAUAAAAAAUAUAUAAAAAUACAUAAAUAUUUUUCAAAAAAAUAUAAUAAUAAAUUUAAAAUUUAUAUUAGCAUUAAUAUUAAAUAAAAAUAUUUAUAUUGAUAUUAAACAAAAUUAAAAACCCUACCUCACCCCAUCCUUCUUCCCCACACCCUAUAUAUAUACUCCACUAAUCUCUUCAUUUUUUUUGUCCCUUUCCUUCGGACCUCUCUUUCCAGCAAUUGAAAAACAAAUAAUUUCCAUGUUGGUUUUAUUUUUUAUUUUUCGAAUUUUUUUUAUCUUCUUCUUUUUGUCUUGAAAGGGUAGUCUUUAGUUGGAGUCAUUAGAUUCCUAUGUGUUCAACAAGUGCAAAAGGAAGAAAGAAAAUGAACUAGUGAUUGUAGAAUUCAACUAAAAGUGUUAUCUUGGGUGUUCAUUAAAUGUUCAUUGUUAAUUAAUAUUCUUGGAAUGAUGCUUUAUCUAAAGCCUGAAGCUUUGGAUGAAGACCAUCAUCCUCAAAGUCCUAUUGUCCUAAUAGUAAUACCAUUAAUGACAAUGAGAAUGAGAAUUGCAAUGGUGGUAAUAAUGAGGUUUUAUUCUACCAAUCAAUUGGUAUGUCUUUAUUUAUUUUUUACUUCUUUAUUUAUGCUCAUGUAUUUUUUUUUUAGUUUUGUUAUGUUGAAUGCAAUAUGGUUGAUAGUUUUGCUGUGGUAGCUCUAUUAAUAGGUAUUUAUAAUGAAAAAGUAGUAAGGUUUGGAGCAAGUCAAUUUCACCUGGGGAUGAAUCUUAUAACUUUUGUUCUUAGUUGGAGGUAAUUUGCAAAAACUAAUUUUAUGUUCCUUAAUUUUCAGCAAAGAGAGAGGGGGGGGACAGUGGUGGGGCAAGGUUCGGUGGGGGAGGGGGAGGCGGGUUUUUAUUCUAUUUAAUAUAUUACUUUUUCUUGUCAACAGUUUAAUAUUUUAUCUUUAUAUUUAUUUAGAAAAAAUAUUUAUAUAUUUUUUAUUUUUUAAAAUUAGAAUAAAUUUGAUAUUAUUCGUAAAUUUUGAGAGUUAAUUUUUAAAAUUAUGACUAAAUUGAUAUAAUUUGUAAAAAUUGAGAGCUAAAAUUUUUAUUAUACUAAUUUUGUUAAUUGCUACGUCAACUUGCCGUUUGUGAUUUUAACAGAGUGACCAAAAUGACAAAAUUAUAUAAUAUGGGUGCUUAAGUUAUAACCUUUUUACUUUGAGUGCUUAAAAUAAAUUAUUGAUAAUUAAGUGACUAUUCGUAGUUUACCCUUAUUUCUAAACACCAAAUUAAUCAAAUUGUUUUUUUUUAAUCAUAGAAGAAGAAACACAUAAACAAAAUAGAUGCAAACACAUAAAUAAAAUAGAUGCAAUUUUUGGUGUUAUAACACCAAUAAUAUCAACACCAAGUUGAUCAAGAAGAUAAUAAUAGAAAACACUUUGCAAUGUUUGUCCCCAAGCCAUCGAUUCUAAAGAAAGUUUAUUACCCUCCCUGUAAACAUGUUGGAUAACCACAUCCCACUCCUUUAAAUAGUCCCAAUCUUUUCAAAUUAAAUUGAUCUCCCCAUCUUUAGCAUUGUUGGUUAGUACGUUUACAACAUCAAUACUGUCCACUUCGAGAAUCAGUCGGCGUUGUCCACUCCUCCAAGCAAGUAUUAACCCUUCAACCACAUCCCACAUCUCUGCUUCCCAUAUUGAACAUGAGCAAUGAGUUUAGAAAAUCCAACAACCCAUUCUCUAUUCCAAUCCCGUAUAACACCCUCAGAAGCAGACACACCAGUAAAGGACUUAUGAGCACCAUCAAUAUUCAACUCGUACCAUCCCAAAUCAGGUUUCCUCCAGUUAGCUGACUUCACAUUCCUCGAGUAGCUGCUUAUAAUACUAUUAUCAGCAUACUCCAUCGCACCAAUACAUUGUUGCUGCAAUCACAAACUCCUUUCCGAUACCGAUUCAAGCUCUACAAAAUUACCAUAAAAAAUGAAUCUAGUCAUACGCUUCCAUAGGUUCCAACAUAAUACUCCAACUAGCACUAUCUCGAGCAAAGUAACUAAUAUUAGAAAGAUUCUGGUUCACCCAUUCAAGAAUCUGCAUAGUUAUGAAUUCAACAAGUUUCUUCUUCCAAACCAACCAUUUCCAAAUGACUGACGCUACGAUACAUCCACGAAGCACAUGGUCUAAAGUUUGAUGGAUGGGUAAAUAACACGCUUCUUGUGUUGAUACCAAAGCUAAAGAGUCCAGAAAUUGUCCAUCAACUAAGGCCUAUUAGUUUGUGCAUAGUUCUGUACAAGAUAAUUACAAAGGUAAUUGUGAAUUGAUUGAAACCGUUUAUACUGAAAUGGGUGUUACCAAACUAAGUGAGUUUUGUGCCGGACAGGAACAUUAUAUAUAAUAUUAUUAUUGCUCAGGAAAUUAUACACACGAUGAUGAGUAAGUUUGGGAAGAGAGGAUGGUUGGUGAUAAAGGUUGACUUGGAAAAAACCUAUGACCGGUUAGAGUGGAGAUUCAUCGAGGAUACUUUACUCGAUAUUGGGAUUCCGACCAAGUUAAGAACUGUUAUUAUGCAUUGUGCUAGCUUGGUCUCAACUUGGGUGGUAUGGAAUGGGAAGGUGACGGAUACUUUUGCUCCAUCUCGAGGUUUUCGACAAAGUGAUCCGUUAUCCCCUUUUCUUUUUGUUUUAUAUAUGGAGAGGCUAGUUCAAACUAUUUGUAAAUUGAUGGAUUUGGGUCUAUGGAGAUAAAUUUUUUUACUAGAAAUAUCACGAGCAUCUCACAUUUAUUGUUUGUGGAUGAUCUCGUUUUGUUUGUUAGGGCCUCAAUGGAACAAAUGAGUAUUAUUUAUCAAAUUAUCAAUGAUUUUUGUGCUUGCUCGGGCCAUAGAGUGAGUGUGAAAAAGAUGAAAAAUUUAUUUUUUGAAGAAUGUUGAGGACAACCUCAAACAAUAAUUGAGUGAUAUGGUUUUGCAUGAGUGAAUGAUCUUGAAAAGUAUUUGUGUAACAGCUUAAUUUUCAGUGGUGUCGGAAACAAUGACCUUAGAUCACUAAAUCUGACCAGUGAGUUUUAAAAUAUAAUAAAUAAAUAAAUAUGAGUCAAAUGUGAUUAUAGAAGAAUUUUGGAUUUGUGAAUUUUGUGAUUUAAAAAGAAAUUAAUAAGUAAAUUGGGUCUAAAACGAGGUAUCAAAACCUCAAACUCAUAAAUUGAGCCAUAAAUAUAUUUAUAAAUAUUUAUAGAGUGUUAUUGAUUUGAUAUUAAAGUUUCGUUAGAAAAUUCUAACGUUUGGAUGGUCAAUUAAUUAAAAAGGACUAAAUUGAAAAUAGUGCAAAAUUUGAUAUAUUAUGAUUAAAUAGCUUAAGUGACUAAUAAGGAGGGAUUUAAAAGGUAAGAAAAUCAGCAAGAAAAUAAGGAGAAACAAGGGCAAAAUUGGAAAUUUUGCAAAUUAAACAUAUAAAACAAAGACAAAAUUGAAAAAUCUAUAGAUUUCUUCAUAAUUCAUCAGAAAAAACGCCAUAGGAGGUCUGAAACAAGCUUUUUUCUCAUAUUUUUAUACCAUGUGAGUUCAAUUCUUCUUUUUUCUUUGAAAUUUUUAUGUUUUGUUACUUUUACAACUAGGUCCAACUAUUGAAUUCAUUAGUUUUUGAUUCCAUGGGUGAUUUUGCAAGUUACCAUGAAUAAGUGCUGGAAGUUUAUGAUGAAUUAUCAUAGAUUUGAAGCUUUAAUUUCAUUAUAUUAUGAUUUUAUUAAGUGAUUUUAGUAUAAAAUGAUUUUUCAGACCUAAUUGUGAAAAAGCUAGGAAUUGGGAUUUUGAACUGAAAUUCUGAAUAUAAAGGGUUGUAUAAUAGCCUAAAAUGAUUAGAUAAAGUGUUAUUUGAGGAAGAAUUAGUUUAAUUAAAGUGUUAAUUAAGUAGGGACUAAAUUAUAAAAACUAUAAAUUUUGAGGUAAAAGUAUAAUUUUAAAAAUUGAAGGGUAUAGAUUGCGAAUUAAGCAUACAUUUAUAUAUAAAGUACUCAGUGCUUAGUAAGUUCGUAUAACAGAAAUUAACUUACCAUACAUUUAUACAUAAAGUAAGCAUACAAAAUGCAUCCAAAGCAAUUUGGCCAUUUGCCUAACACAUAACUUCACCAGGCAUGUUAGUCUUUCAUUUCAUGUAAAUAUCAACAAUAAAAAUGAGCUCAUCAAAUAUAAAAAUAUAAUCUGAUGUAAUUAAUGUAUAUACGGGUAUUGAUUAAUCUUGAUUUCAUAUGUUCUUAUAUCAGAAUUUCACCCGUUAAUUUAUUUGAAAUCUUGAUGGAUACUUAGGUAGUACACCUGAAGUGUACAAUAAUAUAAACCCGUCAAUUCAUAUCCAAGAGUGCUUUUAUGAACACUUAAACAGAAAGCUCUCUCUCAAGAACUAUAACGGGAAGCUCAUUGAGCCUUGUACAGGAAGCUUAUCCGGGCAAUAUAAUGGGAAGCUCACAAAGAGCCUAUAACAGGUAGCUCCGAAGAGCAAUUAAAGGGUAACACCGGAUAGCCAUAUAACGGGAAGUUUAAGCGAGCAGUAACGGGAAGCUCACAAAGAACCUUUAAUCGGGAAGCUCACAAAGAACCUUUAAUCGGGAAGCUCACAAAGAGCCAUAUAACGAGACACUCAUAAGAGCUGCAGUGUGCCCACAACACAUGUAAGGUCACAACCGAUCGGGAUGCUCCGAAGAACAUUUAACAGGAAGCUCGCAAGAACACUAUAUAAUGGGAAGCUUGAGAGGGCUUAUAACGGGACGCUCUUUAGAGCUACGAUAUGUGACACCCCCAACCUGUAUCCCUCGCUGGAACUGGGUUACGGAGCAUUACCGGAGUUUACAGAUCAAACAUACAGAAAUUUCAAACAUUUCAUAUCAUCAAAACAAGUCAUCAAAGCAUCAUUUUAAUCCAAAUUAUAAACAUAUCAAAUCUAAAUCAAUUUGCCUAGUUCAUGAGCAGUUAAACAUAAAAUUAAAUUCACAUGCAUCUAUCUAGAUUUAGUUCAAUUUAUCAUGCCAUAAUAUGGCUUAAAAAACAACUACAUAUUUAUAUGUAUAAAACCAACCAAAAUUAAACUUAUAACCUCAUUUACAAUCAAACCACAAAAUAACUAUUAUUUAGACACCCUAGGUACAUGCCGACACAAAGGAUAAACAUCACCAUAUUUGAAUUCGGGAUUGUUGUUGGAUGCUGAAUCGGUGAUCAAAAGUUAAGCACUUAACCUACGUACGAGAAACAAAACCGUACGCUGAGUAUAAACUCAGUGGUAUUUCUAUAAUCCGAAUAUUUAAAGAUAAGAAAUUACAAAUAUACAAUUGAAAUAUAAACACAUAUUAAUAUUUAAUUAUUACAAUAAUCAUAUCAUAUUUCAUUUGUUUCACAAAUAUCUCAAUUCUCAUACUUGCUAUAUAAAUAGUUUUCACAAUUUAUUUCACAUUUCAUUAUACAAUUGCAAUAUCCAUUCCAUAGUCAUUUCAUGAGUAUAUAACUCAUAUAUUCCAUAUAUUUGCAACGUAUUUCACAUUCUAUUUCCAAUUCACUAUUUCACUUCCAUUUCUCAUACCAUGCCAUUUCAAUAUCAAAUGCCAACUCAUUUACCCCUAUUAACACGACUCGGACUCGGACGGAUACAUGAAUCCAACCAAACACACCAGUUUGGCACCCAAUGCCUCAUCAGAUAAUUCGAAAUAUUAAUUUGACACCUAGUGUCUCAUCGAUUAAACUGAAGUAAAUUGGCACCCAGUGCCUCAUCGAAUUAAUUCAAAGUAGUAAAUUGACACCCAGUGUCUCAUCAACUCGAAGUCAAAGAAAUCCCUGAACUCUUCUAAUCUUAUGGCAUGCCAUCUAUAUCAGACUCAGCCCGAUACAAUUAAUAGGGUUUUAAAUUUACUUUUCAAAUACAACCAAUAUUCAAUUCAAUUCAAAUAAUCAAUAUAUUCAAUAUAUAUACCAAUUCAAUCAAUAUAAAUUUAAUAAAUUCAUCACAUAUUAAAUCAAUCCAUUUCAAUUGCAAAACACAAUAAUUCUCACCUCAACACUUACCAUAUACAUUAAAUUAAAAAUACAACAAUUAAUAACUAGUUUCGGAUUAUAGAAAUACAAACCAGGAAUUCCGAACUAUUCCACGUCGACUUUAUCUUUCCCCUUUUUAGUUUAGGAUUCUGGUAUGACGUUAGCUACGGAAUUAAAACAAUUAAAAUUCAUCACUAUAAUACAAUUCAAUUUCAUAUUGCAUAUUUCAAUUUUUACUCAACAUUUGUCUAGAUUCCAAUUUAGUCCAUAAACCGAGACUAAUUUAUUUCUUAACAAUCAAUUAUAUAUUUUUAUUCAAUUUCCACUUUAAAAUAGAUUUAACUCUUUAAUUUCACUUAAAUCCCUAAAUUUUUAAAUUUUCACAAUUUAGUCCCUAUUACUCAAAAUUUACAAUGUAUUCUACAAUCCAAUCCUUUUUCACUUCUAACUUAAAAAUCUAUCAAUUUAAUCCCUAAUAAUAAAAUUAUUCAACAUUAACAACAUUUAAAAACUUAAUAAUUUCUAAAAUUUUGACAUGGGUCAGGUAGUAUUUAAUAUCGGGAUUCCAAAAACAUAAAAAUUACAAAAAAAGGAUUAAAUUGACUAACCAAUUAAAUUUGGAACUUUUAAAACCUUAAGGCCCUUCGUCUGUUUCUUUCUCCUUUUUUUUUCGUUUUGCUUCUCUGUUUCGUUUCUACCUUUCUAUUUCUUUUUCUUUCUUUCUUUCUUUUUGUUUGUUUUAUUAUUAUAAUAUAUAAUAUAUAUACUUAUAUAUUAAGUAAACUUAUUUUAAUAUAAUAUAUAUUAAAUUCACAUAUAUUUAACUUAUGCCGCCUCACCUAAAGAAAAAUGACAUAAUUUUGUGAAACUUUAGGGGUAAAAAUGUAGUUUUUCCAAAGUAUGAUUUUUGGACUAAAUUGAAUAAUGAGAGUGUUAAACAAGUUAAAUAUGUUAUUAUAAAUCAAGAAAGACGAGAAAUUGACUUUGAUCAGUGAGAAAGAAAAGUGAGAAAAAGUGAAAUUAUGAAAAAGUACAUUUAGCAACAAACAGUUUAGACAGCAACAGUUGUGUGACUUUGAAAAAUCACCAAAAAUGGUGAAAAUUUAAUUAUAGGCUGAAUAAUGUAUGAAAUUAAAACUUAAUGAGUCUAUUUUUACAUAAAAGAGACAGAGAAAGCAAAAGAAUUUUAUAUUAUGAGAUAUUUGAAUUUUAGUGAGACAGGGCUAGAAUGAUUUCGAAAUCUCAUGUUCUGACUUUGGAAAAUCAUUAAAAAUUGUAAAUUAAUAAUAAUGGGAUAAAAUUUAUAUGUUUAGAACCCUGAAUGAGUUUAUUUUCAAAAGAAACAAACGAUAACAUUAUCUGAAUUCUGUACUAUGAAAUAAUUAAUUUUUAGUGAAGAAGGGUCAGACCUGUUGAGCAGUGAAACAGGGGAACUUUAAAGAAUAAACUGCACUUAUUGGCUAAGCCAAAAAUUAUAAAAAAUUUAUGGUAAUAAAAUAUGUGAGUCUAGUUUUAGGUAAAAUUAUCGGAUCUUAAUUUGGAGCUUGGUAGCUCGAGAUAUAAAUAAAUUAGUGACUCUGACUCUGACUCUGACAAACAGUUUGAAUUUACAUACAAGAAAAUAGUGAAAGUAUGGAUAAUGUUAUUUAAGUGUGUUAUACACAUUAAGGAUGUGGAAUGGAGAGUAGGAGGAGGAAAAUUGGAAAAUAUAUGAAUGAUUUGUGUAUAAUUGGCCAUAUGCUUGAUUAUGAUUGAUAAACGAUGAAAUAGAAAUAAUGCUUAUGUUUGUGCAUGAUUGGUCAUGGUUUAACCUCAUGUGGGAAAAUAAAGUUUUAUUGUAUGUGUGUAUGGUAUAUUUGGAAUAUGAUUUGGCUUGAAGUAAUGUCAUGAAUGGUUUAUGAAUUAACACAUGUUGGUAAGUUUGAUACAUGAACAAAUGUUGUUUUCAUCCAUGCUUAUAAUGCUUAUGCUAUAUGUUUAUUUGGGUUCACAUAUUUGGUGUACAUGCUUAGGCUUUGGCCAAGUUGUGGUUGGAUUAUGCCAUGUUAAAAUUAUAAGUUAUGCAUUGAGAUGGUAAGUGCCUAAAUGGAAAUAUGCUUGUGAUCAUGACAGGGGUGGUAAGGUUUAAAUUAUGUAAUCUUUAGUGAAAUGGUUUAUCAUGUGGUUAGUUCCAAAAAGAAUUAUGUUUAAAUGCAUUAACUUGCGACUAUGGUUGAAUGAUAUGUUUAUGUCUUGUGUGAUAUGUAUAGGAAACGGGUGUGGAAAGGUAAUGAAAUAGUAAGUUCAUAUUUGAAGCGAAAAAUGACGAAAAAAGGGAUGAUGAGUUUAAUUGAUGUUGUUAUUUAAGCUAAAGUGAUAUUUUCAUUGCAAAAUUGAGAAUUUCAUAAAUGUGUUAAUGAAUGAUAUAGUCGAUAAAUGUUGAGUUAAAUGGUAAAUAUGUAUUAGUAUUGAACUUACUAAUAUUGAAUUGUACGUGAAUUAAAUGGAAAUUGCUAGUGAUAGGAUUUGAAUUGUGAGCAUGAAUAAAUUGUGAAUUGAAUAAAAAGAAAUGAAGCAUUGAAUUGCAUGAGUAUGUAUCGGGUCUCGUAGGCCCUAUUUAUUAUGAUUAUAAUAUAUUGAGGAUAUAUUGUGAAGAAUUAUAAAAGUAUGUUAAUAAUUUGAAAGUUUUAAUUUAGAUGAAAUUUUAUAACUCGGUUCAGUACGUUUACAAGUGUAUGUGUUCUGGUAAUGCCUCGUACCCUAUUUUGGUGUUGAAUACGGGUAAGGGGUGUUACAAAAAAAAUAUUUACGAGUCUAAUUUACGGGAACGGAGUCCCAGGAAUGCACUUUUUUUAGUUUGAUCAUUUUUAAUUAAUUAACCAUCGAAACGUUAAAAUUUUUUAACGAAACUUUAAUACCACCUUAAUGACACUCCGUAAAUAUUUAUAAAAAUAUUUAUGGCUCAGUUUAUAAAAACAAGGUCCCUAUACCUCAUUUUCUAAAACCACUUGAACUUAAUAAAUCACUUAUAUAACAUAAAUUAUCAAAUCAAAAACUUUUUUUUAAAUCACAUUUUACUCGUAAAUACUAAAUAAUAAUAUUUACGAACUUACUUGUCGAAUUUAUUUGCCCCAAAACCACUAUUUUUGACACCAUUGAAAAAUGAGCUGUUAAACGGUAUGUCCGCAACAUAUGCAGGACCACUACCUUUUCAGGAAACAGAACCUUGUAUCCAAUCGAAUUUCAUUCAUUCAAACGUGAUUUAACAUUUAUCGGGUAUUUUCCGGAUAUAUGAUUAGAUUUCAUAUACAAAUCAUUCAAAUCAAUUCGAACAUAUAAUUACACAAUUAAGUUACACGAACUUACCUCGACAAUGUUCAUGAGUCGUAAUCUACCAAUCCGUUACUUUUCUUUACCUCGAUCUAGCUCCGUAUUUUGUCUUUUCGGAUCUAUACGAGUAAAUUAACUCAAUUUAAUACAAUUUCAUACUCAUUUCAAUCCAAUUUACAUCUUAGGAAAAAGUACCAUUUUGCCCCUAUACUUUUGAUUCAUUCCAAUUUCAUCCCUAGGCUCGAUAAAUGAAAUUCAUGCAAUUUAAUCCUUAUUCCAAGAUCAGUCAAAUUUUACAUGUAUCAAUAGCAGCCCAUGUAUUUCACAAAAAUUAGAAUUUUUCCAUGAAUUUUACUUUUUUACAAUUUAGUCCCUAAAUCACAUUUUCAUCAAAAUUCCUUUAAGAAAAGUUGUUUACCUAUCAACAACCUUUCAUUUUCUACCAUCAAAGUUCAUAAUUCAACUAUAUUCAUCCAUGGAAAAAUCCUAGAACUUUGAUAACUUUGCAAAUUAAUCCUCAAAAUAGCUUAAUUAUGCUAUUACAAUCUCAGAAACAUAAAAAUUACUAAAAACGGGACAAGAAUUCAUACCUAAUUAAGCCAAGAAAGCUUGAUUGAGAUAUUUUCUCUUAGCUAGGGUUUCCAUAAAAAAAUUUGGGAAAGGUGAUGAUAAAUGAUGAUAUUUUCUUUAUUUAAUCAUUUAUCAUCUUUUAAUAUCUUUUAUUUCCAAUUUCAUCCUUUUCUUUAAUUAAAUUUCCAUGAAUGAAUCAUCAUCCUUAUCUAUUAACUUCUCUUAAUGGUCUAUUUGUCAUAUAAGGACCUCAAACUUUGAAUUUCAUAGCUAUUUGAUACUUAUAGCUACUAGAACCCAACUUUUGCAUUUCAUGGAAUUUGGUCCUUUUAUCAAUUAAACAUGUAAUCGGUAAAAUUUUCUUAACAAAAUUUUCAUACGAUUUUCUUAUUAUAAUUUAGACCAUGAAAUAAAAUUAUAAUAAUUUUCUUUUCGUAUUCAAAUUUGUGGUCCCGAAACCACUGUUCUGAUUUCACUGAAAAUGGGUUGUUACACUAUUAAAGUGUUAGGGUUUUUCCAUGGAUGAGUACAGUUUAAUUAUGAAGUUUUAUGGUAGAAAAAUGAAAGAUUGUUGAUAGAUAAACAACUUUUCGAAAGAGAAUUUUGAUGAAAUUAUGAUUUAGGGACUGAAUUGAAAAAAUGAGAAAUUUAUGGAAAAUUUUUAAAUUUUGUUAAAUACAUGGGCUUCUAUGGAUAUGUAUGAAAAUUAAUUAGGCUUGAAAUAAGGAUUAAAUUGCAUGAAUUUCAUUUUUUGAGCUUAGAGAUAAUUGUAAUUAAUUAAAAGUAUAGGAGCAAAAUAGUAAUUUUGCCAAAGAUGUGUACUAGAUUGAAUUGAAUAUGAAUGAUAUUAAAUUGAGUUAAAUUCAUUCGUACAAAUCCGAAUAGACCUAAUACGGAGUUAGAUCGAGGAAAAGAAAAAGUAUUAGAUUAGUAGCCUACGAAAUUGUGAACAUUUGUCGAGGUAAGUUCAUGUAAUUAAAUUGUAUAUUUGUAUUAUUUGAAUUGAAUAUUGUUGUGUGUGUGAUUUUUAUAAAAAGCCAUAUAUAUUAUUGAUCACAUAUUCGACAAGUACAGAAUCCCGUUUGAACCUUAGACAUUCAAUGGAUACAAAUGAUAUGUCAUUAGGUUUCCGGAUUGGUUGUGGUCCUACAUGUGUUGCGGACACACCACAGCUCUUAUGAGCAUCCCGAUAUUUGGCUCUCACGAGCUUCCGAUUAAUGGCUCUUAUGAGCUUCCCGAUAUACAGCUCGAUUGAGCUUCCUGUUAUACAGCUCACAUGAGCUUCUCGUUACAUGGCUCAAAAGAGUUUCCCGUGUACAUGCUCGUAUAAGCAUACCUGUAUAUGAAUUGAUGGAUUACAUAUUUGUACACCUCGUUUGUAUUACCCGUGUAUCCAAUGAUAUUUUAAAUGGUUCAACGGGCUAAGUUUUGAUUUGAGAUAAUAUAAGUUUGAAACGAACUAUUACCCAUGUAUACAUGAAGUACAUAGAAAUGAUAUUACUUGAUAUACUGAAGCAUGAAAUGAUUGUUACAUGUAUGUGAAACUUGCUUGAUGACUUUGUUCAUCCAUGAUGAUGGGCUAUUAUAUGUGUUUAGGCUUUUGUCCAAGUUGAUUUGAAAUAUGUUUUGUAUGCUUACCUUAAAUGUAAUUGAAUGGUAAGUUAAGUUGUUAUACGAACUUACUAAGCGUAAAUGCUUACUCUAUUUUAUUUUCCCUGUUUUAUAGUAACUUGGAAGCUCGUUUUGGUUGGAAGUUGGUCAGAGGUGAUUCGCACUAUCCAUAGGCCUUUUUGGUACAUAUAGUAAACUAAUUUUGGUUAUAAUGGCAUGUAUAAGUUAAUUUGGCCAAUGUUGGCAUAAAAUUAUCUUGUUUAGACUAGCCAUUAGAGUGGCUUGUGUUUGAUAUAUUUUGAGAUGUAUAUAUAUGGCCUUAUCAUGAUUAAUGUGUGUUUGGUAUGGUUGAGUGAUGAAUAAUUUAUAGGCAUAUUGAAGAUUGGUUUGAGAUAGUAUGUUUGGUACAAAUUUGCAUAUAUGUGUAUUUUGUUAAUUUGGUAAGUUUGGAUACUUGGAUAUAUGUGUUGAAAUGUCAUGUAUAAAACUUGAUUUUGGCUUGAUUUGAAUGUCUUGUUAUGGUUUGUUGAUGUCAAAAAAUGUUGAGAUGGGUUGAUGACAAAUUGGGUGAGAAAUGUGGCUUGAAAAUGACUUAUUUUUGUCCACACGGGCAGAGACACAGGCGUGUGUCUCAGCCGUGUCAGGUGACACGGUCGUGUGUCCCCUGUAUCUUUUAAAUUUUGCAAGUCAGUAUGCUCACACGGCCUAGCACACAAGCGUGUGGUUUGGUCGUGUGACCUCAGUCAGAGAGUUACAAGGGCACGGACACGGCUGUGUGUCCCUAUUUCGAAUGCCUACACGGCCUGAGACACGGAUGUGUCUCUUGACCGUGUAAACGACACGGCUUAGCCACACGGACGUGUGUCCCCUGUACCUUUGAAAAAUUUUAAUAUUUUUCAAAAAAUUCUUUGAAUACCCGAAUUAGUCCUGACUUGUUUCUAAUGUAUGUUUUGGGCCUCGAGGGCUCACAUAAGGGAACAUUAUGCUUGAUUUCGAUUGGUUUUUGAUAUGAAUGCUAUAUGAUAUGAAAUAUCUAUUUAUUUGUUCUGUAAAUUUCGGUAAUGCUCUGUAACCCUGUUCCGGCGACGGAUACGGGUUAGGGGUGUUACAGAAUAGGCCAAGUAUGGGAGAUGAUUCAUCAAAGAAUGGUUUGGAAUAUUCAAACGGUGAAAAUUUUAAUUUUUGGAGGGAUGCAUGGAUGGUUGAUGUAACAGCCAGAUUUUUAGUGAUGUCAGAAAUAGUGGUUCGAGGCCCCUAAAUCUGCGAGUAAGUUUGUAAAUAUUAUUAUUUAAUAUUUACGAGUCAAAUAUGAUUUUUAAUAAAAAAGAUGCAUUCUCAAGACUUCGUUCCGGUAAAUCAGAUUCGUAAAUAUUUUUAAUAAAUAUGUACAAAGCUAGCUGUGUAGUUAAUUAUGUUUUGAUUAGGUGAGUUUGACUUAAUUAAGGUUAAUUAGAUAAAAGGACUAAAUUAAAUUGAUUGUGAAAGUUUAAUUAUGAAAUAAAAAAAUCAAGGGACUAAAUUAGUAAAUAAACCAAAAAUGUGACACUUGUGUGGUAAUAAUAAAAUACAUGUGUAAUAAAAUAUAUACAUACAUUUGUAAUAAUAUGUAUAAUUUACUUAUUAUUUAAGUAUAAGAUAUUUUAGAUUAAAAUAUUUUUAUAUUAUAUUAUUAUAUUACAUUAAUUAAUCAAAACAAAAUAAAGAAAUGAAAUAAAAAGAACAAAGGAAAGAAACAGAGAAGCAAAACGAAAACAGGGGAGAAAGGAAAGAAAAAGAAAAAAAGGGAAUGAAAGAAAGAAAAUUUGGGAUUUUAAGGUUCAAGGUUUGGUUGGUAAGCUAAUUUAGUCUAUUUUUUUAUAAUUUUGAUGUUUUUGGAAUCCCAGAACAAAAUACUAUUUGAUUUAAGUUGAAAAUUUGAAAGUUAGUAAAUUUUUAGAUGUUGUUCAUGUUGAAUUAAUUGAUGAAUUAGGGGUUAAAUUGAUUGAAUUUUUUAAAUUAGUUUAAAGUGGGAAUGGAAUGAAAAUAUGAAAUUAGUUUUCAGAAUAAAAGUUAGUCUUGGUUCAGCGACUAAAUUGGAAUUUUGACAAAUAUUGAGUAAAUAUUAAAAUAUUUAAUGUGAGAUUGAAUGGUGUUGUAUUGAUAUUUUUAAUUGUUUUAAUUCCGUAGCUUGCGACGUACUGGAAUUCUCGACUAAAAGGGGAAAAAAUAUAGUCGACGAGGAAUAAUUCAGAAAUCUUGUUUUGUAUUUCUAUAAUCCGAAUCUAAUUAUUAAUUGUUGUAUUUUGAUUAAAUGUUAUAGUAAGUGAUUGAGGUGAGAAUUAUUGUGGUUUACAAUUGAAAUGGAUUGUCUUGGUAUGUAAUGAAAUUAUAUUGGUUGAAUUGAAUUUGAAUAUAUAUAUUAUGAAUAUAUAUGUGUAAAUGUGAAAUUGUGCAAAUAUGAUAAUUGGAUUAUUAUAUAUAUAUAAAAUUCAGUUUUAAUGCCCAAGUAGACGGAAUUUAGAACUACUGGGAUAUUAGUGGCAUGUCAUUAAAGAACUUUAGCGCACUCUCUUAUUAUUAGCACGUUGGUGCUCUCUGAUUACUAGCACGACAGUGCUUUCCGUUUAGCACAUCUGUGCUCUCUGUUCAUUAGUGCAUAAUAAUGCACCUCUGUAUUUGUUCCGUAUAUCCGGUGUGUUCUAUAAAAUCUACUUUGGGAUAAGAAUAUGAGAUAGUAAACUGAAAAUAGAAUGUGAAAUAUGUUUUAAACACAUGGAAGACACGAGUUAUAUAUUCAUAAAUUGAUUGUGGAAUGGAUAGUGCCAUUGUUUAAAUGAUACGUGAAUAAAUGAUGGAAAUGUAUUACAUAUAGCAAGUGAUGACAAUUGAGUAUUGUGUGAUUUUAAAUGUUCAAUUGUGUUUAACAUUUUAUUAUACAUAUUUUAUUGUUUUAUUUUUUUAAAAAAAUUUGGAUUAUAGAAAUACCACUGAGUUUUUACUCAGCGUACGGUUUUGUUUUCCGUGCGCAGGUUAAGUACUUAAGUUUGAUCGCUGAUUCAGCAUCCAACAAUGAUCCCGAACUCAAAUAUGGUGAUGUUUAUUUCUUUGUGUCGGCAUGUACCUAGAGUGUCUAAAUAUUAGUUAUUUUGUAGUUUGAUUGUAAAUGAAGUUAUAAGAUCUAUUUUGGAGAGUUUAUAAUUUGGAUUAAAAUGAUGCUUUAAUGACUUGUUUUGAUGAUAUAAAAUAUUUGAGAUUUCUAUCUGUUUGAUCUAUAAUCUCCGGUAAUGUUCCAUAACCCAAUUCCGACGAGGGAUACAGGUUGAGGGUGUUACAGUUGACAUUAGACCACUAAUUGAUUAAUUGGGUUGAUAAGAGGAAUAGUGCCAGAAUCAUAUAUGGGUCAGUGGCUUCAAUGGUUACACCAAAUGGUGAUUGAAAUUGGAGUUUAUUGGAAAAUGCUUUACCAUGUAAUAUUUUGCUUAAAUUAGCAAUAAUGCUUUCGCCGGACAAGGGGGCAAUGUAGAUUAUUUGGCUUGGAGAUAGGAUGCUAAUAGGAGAUUCACUAUCAAAUUGACCUACUCAAUGGCGUCAAAUAAUUUAAUGGAAGGGUGCAAGAAUGGUGGAAACCAGUAUGGCAUUUCAGAGAACCCUAAAGAAUUCGAAUUUUCUUAUGAUUAAUGUGCUUGAAUAAAUUGUUAACAAACAAUGAAAAGAAGAAAAAGCAUAUGAUCAUUCAGGUGUGAUGUGUGCAAAAUCAAUUUAUUUUCUAAUAUAAUAUUAGAUAUAGAUGCAAUAUCUAUAAAAGAAACUAUAUAUUAAAUUUUAUGUUCAUAUAAAAAAUAAAUAUGAUAAGAACAUAGACCUAAAAAUUAAUAUAUAAUAAAUUAUAAAACAAUUUACUACAUUUAUUAUUAGUAUUUAACAACAAUGAAGGUAAAAAGAAAUUACUUAAUUAAUCUCUCGUACUAAUAGCAUCCUUGAAUUUAGUGCGUCGUGAUUAUGGGACAAAUCCAUCCAUCUUGGAUUGGAUAACCCCCCCCCCCCAACACAUCAACAAAAUUUGUUGGAAAAAGAUAAAAUGAAAAGUGGGCAUGGCAUGCAGUGCACGUGAUAUUUAAAAUGUUAAAUUUACUAACGUGGCGUAUAUUUAAACUAGAUCUCACGGUUAUCAACUCACCUCGUUUUCGCUUCCUACCAUUUUUAUUACAUUUUCACGAAUCUGUAAUUUUAACUAAUUUUCCUCCAUCUUCUUCAAUGAUUAUGUAAAAGCCUGCAAAAUCUCAGUUGUCCAGUACAAUGGCUACCCUCUCCUUUUCUCCCCUCAAACCAAACACGUUAUUUUCUUCUUUUCUGUUCCCUUCUAAAAACUUAUCCUCCCGACCAAUUAUCUAUACUCUUCCUCAUCGAAACACUCCUCCACUCACUUUCUCUGCUGCCAAACGCCCUCCCGCCGCAUCCGCAACCAAUUCAUCCUCUUCCGUUACCGUCGAAACCGUCUCUCCUGAAAAUGACGCCAACUCAACCGUUUUCGUCAUCCGUGCGCGUAACCGUACCGGUCUCCUCCAAGUUAUCACGCGCGUCUUCAAUAUCCUCGGUCUUAGCGUCGAGAAGGCCACCGUAGAUUUUGAAGAAGACUAUUUUGUCAUGACGUUCUUCGUAACCGAUUCCCGCGGCAACAAGAUCGAUGAUCAGAAGAGCUUGGAAAGUAUCAACAAGGCCUUGAUCGACGCAAUCGACGGUGACGAUGAUGCCGCCUUGUCUGUGGCUCCGCCAGAUAGAGGGGUCGUGGUAAGGAAGCCUCGGUUGGAUUUUGGGGAGAGGAAAGGCCAAGCUGAAAGGAUGCUUGGAUUGAUGGAUGUUUUCUUGAAGAACGACCCGAUCAGCUUACAAAAGGAUAUUUUACAUCACGUUGAGUACACGGUGGCUCGAUCGCGAUUUAGUUUCGAUGAUUUUGAAGCUUAUCAAGUAAGAUUAAAGUUUCGUUGUUGGGUUGAGAACGAAUUUUGACUUCCUUUUUAAAAAUUUGGCGGGAAUGUAUGGUAUAACUUAAGUGCGAUUGUUUAACAGGCUUUGGCGCACAGCGUAAGAGAUCGGUUGAUUGAACGUUGGCAUGAUACUCUGAUACAUUUCAAGAAGGAAGACCCAAAGCGAGUUUACUUUCUUUCGCUUGAGUUUCUUAUGGGUAUACUUUCUUACCGUUAUGAGCCUUAUAAUGUUUGGUCUAAUUAAAAUGAUGGAUAAGUUUAAGAGCUCUCGAGAAGUUUGGUUAUGCUUUCUGUUACUCUCCUAGCACCUAUAGUUUAUCAAAUCUAGAGGAUCUGACUUUGGUUUCUAUUACAAGUAGAACUAGUUUUUGAAUUCACAUGUUAUUCUGGAUUUUCUUCAGUGCUUUAAAUAUCAUUCAUGCUAAACAACUGUAUGCAAUUUAUAUUUUCAGGGCGUUCGUUGUCAAAUAUUGUCAUCAACCUUGGAAUUCGCGACCAAUUUGCAGAUGCUUUAAGCCAGCUUGGUUUUGAUUUUGAAGUUUUAGCUGAACAGGUUAACUUGACAUUCGAUUUUCUUCUGUCCUCCUUUAUUGUCCUAAUCUUAGAUUAUUAUUAUUAGCAUAUCACGAUCCGGAAAAGUAAUUGUUUGUUUGCGAGGAGAAUUGAAUACAUCAAGUAUAUUUAUUGGAGAUCAUGUUGUGUGGUAGUCGGAGAUUUGAAACUAGGUGAAUCCAAUGGAUGGCCAUAUUCUUGGGAACCUAGAGCCACAAAACUGUAUGAUGUUAAGGUGUGCUCGUCCUUUCGAAACAGCCUCUCCUUGGAAUUAGAGCUCGAGGGAGAUCUCUGUUUGAACAAGUUAAAACUGAAUUCUUAAUCAUGUUGGAAGAAAGCUUUUCUUAUAUAUAUAUUGUACACUCAGAUAAUUAUUUACUUUCCUCUUUAUCUUAUUCAUUAUGAUAUUCUAAGGAAGGAGAUGCUUGCCUGGGUAAUGGAGGCCUUGCUCGUCUUUCAGCAUGUCAAAUGGAUUCUCUAGCAACUUUGGACUACCCUGCAGUGGGGUAUGCCUCUAUUCUAUAUUUUUCUUGUAAGAUUUGUGGAAGCAUUUCAAGUUAAAAGUAAUACAUAUAAGUCUUCCAUUAAGUAGGGGUACUGAAUCAUUAUCCAUACUGGCUUUGAAACCAAAAUGGAUUAUGGACCGUGAAGUUGACUGCUUAUCUUCUAAUUAGUAUUAGCUUAUUUAUAAUCUAUGCUAGUUUUCCUUUUUCAAAAUCAUUUAGCGAAUUCUUGCAUCAAAAUCAUGUCAUUUAGUUCAUGCAUAACUUGUAUAUCCUCAAACGAGUAUUGGCUUUUAUGUUUAAUAAUCUAAUUCUAGGGGAUUGUUUCUGCAGCUAUGGAUUACGCUACCAGUAUGGGUUGUUCCGUCAAGUUAUAGUGGAUGGAUUUCAACAUGAACAGCCUGAUUAUUGGUUAAAUUUUGGAAACCCUUGGGAGAUUGAGCGAGUUCACAUAACAUAUCCUGUAAAGGUUUGUAAGCACUUAGAUGUGUUCAAUUAUCUGUGGGAAUAUUGGAUGUUUGACUUUAUCUUUCUAUUCUUUUGCAAUUCUGUAUUGUUUACUAAACUUCUGUUCACUAUGUUUUUGGAUGGUAAAGUUCUAUGGGACGGUCACAGAUGAAUUUUUGAAUGGAGAGAAAUGUAAAGUUUGGGUUCCUGGAGAAAUGGUAAGGCUGUAAUUCUUUUCAUAAAUUGAAGCCUAGACAUUUGCAUAAAACUCUUUAUCCAUUAUUUAUACUCAUGGGCGAUGCAUGAUUUAAAUGAGUGCUAAAUUUAAGUGAAUGUGGUUGGCUUUUUUUAGCUUAGCAAUAUCUUCAUAUUCGUAGGUUGAAGCUGUGGCAUAUGACAAUCCAAUACCUGGUUAUGGAACAAGGAAUACCAUUAAUCUUCGCCUUUGGGCUGCGAAACCAAGUGAUCAACAUGAUAUGGUAAUUUCGACAAAGUCCAAUCAGUUAUGCAUGAGUUCUAUGCACACUUAGGUGGAUUAAACUAAAGUACGAAGAUCUGGCACAUAAAACUAAUUCUUAUGAUCUAGAUUCGCUAGAAAUGCUAUAGUUGGACUGAGCUAACAAUGCUGAUUUGGUAGCUUAAAACAUAGUCAUAUAUGCAAUCAUGUGUUUUUUUCUGUACGGAUCUCUUCUAUAUCCUACCCAUCAAGCUCUGCUUAGACAGCGAGGGAUUUGGAAAUCUUUUUGAAUAAUUUCUUUCAAUUGUUUUGGCUUAAUUGUUUUGAAACAUGCUUAAUCCAACUGAAGUGAUAUCAGUUAUUUGCUGUUUCAAUGUGCUUGUUUCUUUUAUCUUUCUUUUCUUUUUUUUUUCUUUAUUUCACUAUUUGCAUUUUGGAGAAUUAUAUUUUGGUGAGAGCUUAUGUUAGUAAGGUUAGCAUCUAUCCUGUCUUGUAUAGUCUUUGAGGCAGGUAUUUGAUGUCGGUUCUAGAAAGAUUUGUUAAUUAGUAAGAAUUUUGUAUAUUUCAGGUAUUUUGUUACUUUUAGUUUUAGAGACUUUAAUUUUUUGUAGGUGUUAUUUUGGAAAAUUCUUUAAGAUUCUGAUUUUUGGUUUUGUAUGAUAUUUAUUGCCAUACAUGCUUAUGGAUUCUUGUUAGUAUGCGACCUUGUUAUGUCUCAAAUUCUUGGGUUUGGAGCAUGGCAAUGCAGGAGUCUUUUAACACUGGGGAUUAUGUUGAUGCUGUAGUCAAUAGACAGAGGGCAGAAAGUAUUAGUAGCAUACUAUACCCCGACGAUCGUUCUUAUCAGGUGUGAUUGCUUUUCCUUAACUUGAUUGGUUACAUCAAGAUUAGAGUCUGCCUCAUCAAUUUUUUCAUGCUUCGUCUUCUAAAGUUUUUACUGCAAUUGUUUGAUUUAUGGGAAAUUAAAGGUACUUAGUCGGAGAUUAUUAAUGUUGCAUUCACUGAAAACUUGGUUGAAAUGUUUGCUAGGGGUUGAACAAAUAUGUUUCUUUGUCUUUCUGUAGAUCUACAUUCAUAUUUCUUUUUGGUGGUUUCUUUCAGGGUAAAGAAUUGCGGUUGAAACAGCAAUAUUUCUUUGUAUCCGCGUCAGUACAAGACAUCUUCAGAAGAUUCAAAGACACUCAUAAAAAAUUUGAUGAGUUUCCAGAGAAGGUUCUUAGCUGCAUGUUUCAUGUGUCUAUUAGUGCAGAAGCAUAUGUAGAGACACCUCAAAUCGGAUUAGUUUGUACUGAUCUGAUCAUGUAGUGAGGUGACAUGCCUUGGUUCUACCCUCCUGAAUCUUGUGUAACAUAGCUGUUCUCAAGGUUCUCUCAGGUUCUCAAUGUCACAUCCUUAACAAUUGAUUUGCUUUCAGAUGAUGGCAGUUGUGAGAUUUGAGUGAGGAAUCUUUCUCUAUACUGAGAAGGAUUUCUUUCCACUUUUAUUAUCAUCCCUAGGUUGAGUGCUGACUGCUGCUUGACUCCUGUUCUGUCAACUCCAAUUGCAUUUUAUAUAGGUUGCACUGCAGCUGAAUGACACUCAUCCAUCUCUUGCAAUAGCUGAGGUGAUGAGAGUGCUUCUGGAUGAAGAGCAUUUAAGCUGGCAUAGAGCAUGGGACAUCAUAUGCAAAAUAUUUUCGUUCACAACUCAUACUGUAUCACCUGAAGGACUGGAGAAAAUUCCUGUGGAUCUACUGGGCAACCUUCUCCCUCGACAUUUGCAGGUGUGUUUUGUUUGAAUUUUGCAAUGUACUUUCUUCUUUGAUAAAGUUUACCCGUUUCUUUGAAUUACUUUAUGUGAUUGAAAGCCUAAGUAAUUCUACUGGACAAGAUUCAUCUUACAAUAUUCUUUCAUUUAUAUCUGAUGUCAUAUGGUAUAAGCUUCAUCUUAAUAAUUUUCUUAACUACAGCAUCGUGCCUCCAAGGUACAGAAGCAUGCAUGUGGUUAAUUAUUAUUUUCCGCAUAACUCUUUCCUGUAUUACCACACUCCUUUAGAUUGUAAUUUAUUAGUUUGAUUGGUUGUCAACUUGUUUCGUACUAUUUUAGAAAAUUGCUCUUUUCAGAUUAUAUAUGACAUAAACUUCAACUUUGUGGAAGAGUUAAAGAAGAUGAUUGGUUUAGAUUAUGAUCGGCUGACCAGGAUGUCAAUUGUUGAGGAAGGUGCUGUGAAGGUAUAUAUCUCAAAUUUUAUGGGUUUCUAAAAUUUAUAUUGUGUUGAUGGAUUGCUAGAAUGUUAUGAAAAUUGAAGUCCAUAACCAUCCCUUUUGUCAGAAUAUUCGAAUGGCAAAUCUAUCAGUUAUUUGUUCUCAUACCGUGAAUGGUGUCUCCAGAUUACAUUCAGAGUUGUUGAGAACAAAAUUAUUCAAGGUAAAACUUAUAUUUGUUUUUUCCUGCUUAAACGUUGCCUUUCCUUGUAACAAGUUUGAAAUAGAACUCAGCUUCGAUGAAUGUCUUUAAUUAGUUGAUCUUAGUUGUUGUCUAUUAAUGCUUUUCAGGACUUUUAUGACCUAUGGCCGCACAAGUUUCAAUACAAAACUAAUGGGGUGACACAGGUUUAAAAUAAGUAACAGUUUUUUCAGUACAUUAACUUACUGAUAGGUUAAGUUGUUUCCUACCUGUAAAUAAAUUUUAGACUUGUUACUGUGAUGCUGUGAUGCAUCUUGCCCUGAUAACUAAAAGUACGCGAAUAAUUUAAAUUCACCUGCUGUGUAGUUAUUUUGAUCUCUUAAUAUUUGGUUUCUCAGCGUCGCUGGAUUGUUGUUAGCAAUCCUAGUUUAUGCGCUCUUAUCUCAAAAUGGCUUGGAACAGAAGCUUGGAUCCGUGAUAUUGACCUUUUAAUAGGCUUGAGAGACUAUGCAACUAAUGCUGAAUUGCAUCAAGAAUGGAAGAUGGUACUUUCAUAGUUGGCAUGCUUCACCUUUGAAACAAAACAUAUCAUUGGCUAUCUCAUUCAUUUAUUGUUAACUAUUAUCUCAUAGGUUAAGAAGGUCAACAAAAUAAGGCUUGCCGAGUACAUUGAAGCGAUGAGUGGUUUGAAGGUUUUGAAGAAAGCUAUAGUUUUUGCACCUACAUUUCUUUUUCCAUUUUUAAGGAGCUCUGAAAUGAUGUAAUGUUGGUGUGCAUUAUUUGUAAUGGGCAGGUCAGCUUGGAUGCAAUGUUUGAUGUGCAGACAAAGCGAAUACAUGAAUAUAAGCGGCAGUUGCUUAAUAUACUUGGCAUUAUCCAUAGAUAUGAUUGCAUCAAGGUUAACACCAUCUUUGGCUGAAAGAGCCAUGAAAACUUGUGGAAUUUAUCAAAUGCUUCUUUUUAUAUGCGCCUUUUUGAAUUGUCCGUGUAGCAAACUAACAACAUAGGUUUAAGUUAUUACCAUCCUGUUGCUGGAUGUUUGCAAGACCAACAAUUCCUUACUCAUUGUAAUAUGAGUUGAUUAACCAUUUCCUUAACCAUCAUCUUUUUGGCUUUGCAUAAAGAUGUUUAAGUAUUAGAAAUUGUACAUAUUUUCGAACAUUGUAAAAUAAGUUAAAAGAAUGUGUAACUCAGAGGUAUCUUUGCUCAUGCUAUUCUCAUUUGGUGCAGAAUAUGGACAAGAAUGAUAGGAAAAAUGUUGUACCACGGGUCUGCAUAAUUGGAGGAAAAGCUGCUCCAGGAUAUGAAAUUGCAAAGAAGAUUAUAAAACUCUGUCAUGUUGUGGCUGAAAGAAUCAACAAUGAUAAUGAUAUUGGAGAUCUUUUAAAGUUGGUAAGCUAGUAUUUAUUUUAUCUAGAAGUUCAAUGGAACUCUGAAGCGUGUAUUGUUUACUCAGAAGGGUGAGUAAUUUACCCUUAAAACAGAUAUAAUCAGCAACCAUGAUGAUGAAUUAAAGCUGCAAGGACCUUUAUAUUUGUCUUCUAAUAACAAAUCUGUCUUUCUAAGUCAUUAAGUAUUAUUGCAGGUCUUUAUCCCUGAUUACAAUGUUUCUGUUGCUGAGAUGGUAAUACCAGGGGCUGACCUUUCUCAACAUCUAAGGUAGUAUGCAUAAGUUUUGCACAUUAGAUGAUAUUAUCAAUUUCGUUAGCAGUUACAUUAUGUUUUGUAGUGAUUGCUGAUUGGGAUUUUUCUGUGGUCAACUAUUGGCUUCACUUAUAUAGAUAGAUCUAUUUGUCACUCUAAAGUUGUAUGCCUCCAUUUUACCAUUAAUUUGGGUCGAAAUAUUUUGGAAUCUUUUAGUAUUAAUUGUCAUUAAGCUUAUGUAUGAGCAGUUCAGAAUCACUAGGUUGAUGGAAUAAUAUAAUAUAAUAUAAUAUCCAGGUGAUUAAUUGGGGCAGAAUUAGUCUCUCCACAUUCUGAGCCCCGUUUUCCAGAAUUAAAAAAAAAAAAACCUGCUUCCACUCAACUUGUCUACUUCUGAUGUAUACUUCUUUUACUUUCUGAUCCAGCACUGCAGGACAUGAGGCAUCAGGAACUGGCAGCAUGAAAUUCUUGAUGAACGGAUGUUUACUUUUAGCCACAGCAGACGGUUCUACAAUUGAAAUGGUUGAAGAAAUAGGUCAGGAUAACAUGGUAAGUGCUAAAUCAACAGUCAUACAAAUGAAUCAAGGUAAAAGUACCAUGAAGUCCUCUAUAUUAGGAGUCAGAUUGUAUUUUACCUCCUCUACUCAAGAAAUGAGCAAAUUAGUCACUCUACAUUAGAUCAAAGAGCAAACUGGUCCUUUUAUAGAAAAUUUCAUCCAUUUUUGCUGUUAAAAGUUGGUCUCUGUACGUUAGCAUGAGGUACACAUGGCAUGUCACAUGUCACUGUCUAGUUAUUUCAUCAAUCAUGCCAGUUUUUAAUAGUACAAAAGAAUGAAAUUUUUAAUAGAAAGGACCAAUUUGCUCUUUAAUCUAAUGUAUAGGGACUGGUUUGCCUAUUUUUUUAGUAGAGGAGGCGAAAUGCAAUCCAACUCUUAGUACAAGAGCCUCCAUGGUACUUUUACAAUGAAUUAACAAUAUUAGUUGGAGUAGAUUUUGAUAACAUUUCUUUCAGUUCCUGUUUGGAGCAAAAGCGCAUGAAGUUGUUGCAUUGCGCAAGAAAGGACCCACUCUUAAAGUUCCUCUUCAGUUUUCGCGUGUUGUAAGGUAUUAUACCCCUUCAUUCUACGUAAUGUAUAGCUUUAUCAGUACGUUGCAUCUUAGUUUCUCUGUAAAGGAGAGUAUAUGUAUCCUUGCUUUUCUUAUACAGAGGUAGAGUUGAUUUAGAUAUUAUUGGUUUAAAUUUCAAGUGAUUUGAGUGGCAUUGUGUAACUAUUAUAUGUAGGAUGAUCCGAGAUGGUCAUUUUGGAUUUGAAGACUAUUUCAAAUCUUUGUGCGACAAGAUAGAGGGCACGAGUGACUAUUUUCUUCUUGGUGCCGAUUUUAUGAGCUAUCUAGAGGCCCAGGUAAAUAGUUGGUUUUCCAUCAGUUAGAAAUAAGAAUGCCUUGUAAAAGGGAAUUGCAUUUUAAUUGUGGACUGUGUUGAGAUGAACAGGCAGCCGCCGAUAAAGCGUUCGUUGAUGAAGAGAGAUGGACAAAAAUGAGUAUACUUAGCGCAGCUGGCUCUGGGAGAUUUAGCAGUGAUAGGACAAUCCAAGAGUAUGCUGAAAACACUUGGGACAUUCAACCUUGCAGAUGUCCCUUUUGAUUUGGGAAGUGAGAGCUACUCGAAAUAGAAUGAAGCUCUCGCAAUGUCAUGUGCGGGGCUUCUCUAUUUAUUAAUAAAAUAAAACGAAUUGAAUCGAAUAAAAUUACAAUGAAUAAUAACAAUGUUUCUAAAACUAAUAAUAGAAAAUAAUCAAAGCAUUCAAAAAUAUUUGAGUUGGAGCUUGACAUAAAUAUUGUUGUUGAUAGGACCUUAUAAAUGUUUAUUUAAAAAAAUUCAGACGGAAACCUAUUGCAAACUUUUUUGCCCAUUUCAAACAAUUUUGAUUUUGGACGAAUUAUAAUAAUUUCUUCUCUUUUCCUUUACCAGAAAGAUAUACCUUGUCUUUUUCGUAAAUAGAAUUAACUUUAUUCAACUGAUUUUUGUUUGGUUGUUCAUACUUCAUGAAAUAACAAUUUUCUCCUGGAUUCUACAAGCUUCGAUUACCCGCCACUAUUUCUGUUUACUUCUUCCGAGAAGAAAAAAGGAGGAAAGAUAGAAAAAAAAAAAAAGGUUGUUUAGAAGAGGCAGUAAUGGCGGUUAAUAUGAUUCUCCUUCCCUCCAUUUUCAGUUUUUUCUUCUUCCUCUUCUUCUUCUUCUUCUUCUUGUCACUCACAUCUCAAGAUGAACAAAGUAACAACCACAAUCUCUUGAUCCUUGAAUUGCGCGACUCCAAGCUCAAGAUCUCUCGUUUGGGUAAAAUUUCUUUUUUAUUUCUUCAUUGAUAAAUAAAUACCUUACUUAGAGUUUCCAAACAAACACUGAUCUUAACCUCGAUUCCUUGACUAUUGUAAAAUAUGGAUGCAGAAUCUGUUCUUGAAGAAAGAAUUCAAAACCUUAAUGCUAAAACCCUUUCUGUUAAGGAACACGGGAAAUCCCUCGAGGACAUGGCAAACAAGAGCACUUAUCUGCAGUCUGCUCUAUUUGAUCUUAAGGUUCAAUUCUUUCCUAAGAAGCUUUGCUUUUGUUUUUAGCUUUGUUUUCAUUUGUAUGUUACUCGGGUUUAUUUGGAUUGAAUGUCUUCUCCCUAUUGAUGUCUCAAAAUGAAAAAAAAAAAGGGGGGGGGGCUGCUUUUGAAAGCAGAAAAUUGAAUUGUGGUACGGUUUAUUCACUUAGUAAUCUUGUUCCAAAAAUACAUAGCAUAUUGACAUGUGAUUUUGCAAUUUCUAAAUGUAUAUAGCAUAUUGACAUGUUAUUUUGCAAUUUCUAAAUUGUAGGAUUAUUCAUUUCUUGCUGAUGAAAAAAGCUUAACGCUCUGGAAGAGGAGGUUCGUUUUAAAUGCUUCUAUAAAUAUAAUCGCUCUUUCAAACUUUUUUUCGUCCUAUUUGAUUCCUUGUCAUGUUUGUACGGGUGAGUGGCAAGAAAUAUUUGCUUUAGUGCAAUUCAACUUAGUACCAGGCUUCAUGAUCCUAGGUACACGGCCUUUGGGCUGUUUCGAGAAAGAACAAUUUUGAUCUUCAUGUUUUAGAGUUGAAAGCACAGGACGCCGAGGAUAGACUGGAAGCUGUUACUUCAUAAGUUGGAAAGGUUAGCAUUUACAUUCGUUAAUUUUGUUUCUGUAUAGAGACUCUGCUUGUAAAUGAUGAGGGCUUCGUCUUUGUUUUUUUUUUUUUUGGGGUACUAUUAUAAUAUGAGGUGAACCCUAAACCCUGGGGUGUCAACAAGAGAGCAUCAAUCACUGCUCCAAGGGGAUGUUGGUGAGGGGUUUUUCUUGUUUGUCAUACACCAUGACCAUCUAAUGCUGAAUGACUAAGCAUUUCUUCAUAUUAUAACGUUAUAUAAUCUAUAAUAAACUUUAAUGCCUCGUUUAGUUAUCUAGUGUAUUAACACAAGGAAAAGCUUACUACAUAAGUAUUAAAGUAGUUUGUCAUAACAUAUAGUGUAUAUUUAAACUUGAAAUUAGAAAGAUAAGUAGAACUCUAGUAAAAAAUAGGACCUCUUCAAAAUAAGAAAAAAAAAUUCUUUCUCAUUGCUCAAAACAAGUUGUGCUAGUGGUUAAAAAUUACCAUCUGAAGUUAGUUAGUUUGUAACUCAUGUACUAAGACAUGAAGAAAUAAUAUUCCUACCGAACGUAGCAUAAGAGUUUCAUCAAUAACUGCAAGAAUGCUUUAAGCACCUAUUUGCUGCUGUUCCAAUUAUUGAAGUUUGUGUUGCCUCAUUUCUAGAUUUAAAUAUCCUUGUUGGGUUGGGAGAGGUUUUGUUGGGUUGGUCAUCAGGUAUUAUGCUUUAGGUACCAGUCACUGGCUCAACGCUAAGCUGUAUUUCUUUAAAUGGAAGAGAAAUAUUAUAUCCUCAUAUUCUUUCUAAGUUGUUAAUGAAAAUGACCAUAUUUUAUCAGAACUCUUUCUUGGUUAUUUGAACUUUCUUUUGAUUGUUGAUGUGUAAAAGGCUUGAAAACUUGUUUAUUCCCUAUUGGUUUUAUUAUCUCUUGAUAUAACUAAUAUUGAAAUAAUUUGUAUUUUACUCACUCAAAGUUCCAUUCCCUUGCAUUUAGAUGGCAGAAGUUGUUACAGAACAAUGGGUUCAAAUUCAACAUCUUGAGCAGGCACUUCAAAUUGCUAAAGUAUGGUCUUAGGCCCUAAUGAUAUCAGUUAUUUGUUAAACUCAGGGAAAUUUGAAAGAAAAUGAAGAUAAAGGUUUUUCUCAUUAUAAUUAUCCUUUAUUUGCAUCAUUUCUUUGUGUUACAGAUGAGGGCAUUGCAAGCUCAAAAGCAAAGGAAUAUGAGAUGCACAUUCUUGAAGGUAAGAUAAUAAGUUGACAGUCUUUCAGACCUCUUCUUUUCCUCAGUCUCUGUCCCUUUAAAUUACUGUAAAUUUUAUCUUUGUAUAUCAAAGCAUCAGCAACAGUUAUAACUUUUAUAGUUCCUUUUAGUUAAGGAAAAAAUACUUUGUCAUAUGCUCGUGUUUCAUGUUAGUCAUAAGAUAAUCUAAUCUUGUAUGUGAAUAGUUCAUAGAUGGCAUUUCUGGAAGACAUCUCCCGAAGCCGUUCAAGGCCUUGGAUUCUUAUUCAUUGGGAAAAGGACCUAUCAUAAGAUACUACGUGUCUUAAGCUCUGCAACAAUUGAAAAGAUUUUACUCAGCAAUUAGAAGGUUUCACCCUGAGGUAUGUUUGAUACUGCAUGACUUUCUAGAUUCUUGUCUGAAAAAUAAUGGUGUCACUCUUGAAGGUCUUCACAUGUCAAAACUUACUUGACAUUACCUUUGUGAAGUUUCCAUUAAAAAAAAGUGGUCAAGAAACAUUUGAAUUUCAGUAUUGCGCUUGCCUCUAUCAACACCUCUUCCACUCUCCUUAGCAAUUUGACACAGAAGACUGUAAGAUAUAAUGGCUUCAAGAUUGCAGAAUCUCUUUCUUUUACUAAGUUCUGAAACUUAUUAUGGAAACUUUUGGUCUUUUCCAGCCUAAAAAAUGGAAAAUCGGUGGGUUGAUUGGUCAUGUAAAUAAGACCGAGUAUUCGUGGAAUUAUAGUUCUAUCAGCCAAGAAGAGUAUAUUAUGAACCUUAAACUAUGUACCUACAUAGACUUUGAACCUUAAUUGGCCCGUUAUCAGAUGUGAAUGUUGCCUUGAAUGAUAUUAACCAUACUUAACUUUUAUUACCAAGGCACUGAAAUUGCUUGUAAGAGAAGGAUAAUAAUUGUCUUGCACUUUCAACUUGAAAUUCUCUGCGUACAAUCAUCUCUGUUGGAUGUAUGCAGACAUGAAUUCUGCAAUCUUGUGCUUUAGUUCAGAAUAUUAUUUAGUAACAAUUCAAUUUCCUCCAAUGCACAGAAUUUGGCCUGCUUUACAAUUGAAGGAGUUAAAUUAGCAGCAUGUUAAAUUUCUUCCAUCUGUCUCCUUUGUGCUCAUCAGAGGUUCCAGUUUACAAGUUAAUAUGCAUUAGUUUUAGAAAAUAUUGGCCAAGUACAAAGAAGUAUAUCCCUUCCCUAGGAACCUCUGGCUUUCCAAGAAAUAAAUGUUUUCUGUUUGUUUGCAGUUGCAAGCUUUCAUCAAAUAGGAGAUGCAAAGAAAUGAACUUACUGCUGCUUUUGUCAAUGAUGAACUGGUAUUCUUUCUGGUAUGUUCUUGAGUACCAGCUGCCAUCUUCUGUACAUGAAGAUUUACUUGAAUUGCUGGUAUAAUUCAUUUUAUGGUAUUUCAGGCUUCUGCUUUCAUUACCUUCCCUAUACUGGGUUCUUGGAUGCUGCUUUUAACAUAGUUCAGCUAGGUGAAGAAAUCUUCUUUUAGGGGGUAGUGUCUUACCCUGAAAUAGUAGGUGACAUCCAAGCUGUUGCACUUUGUUUUCUCUGAUCUCUUUUACAGAUUGGUUUUUGAUAUUAAAAGGUGAAAGAAGAGUUAGACACAUUACUGCGUACAGCACCGGGUCAUUUUGUUGCCAAUGAGUCAAUUUUACAUGGAAGUAUUCCAGGGUCCAGAUCAAUACAGUAUGAUAUUCAUUGACCCAAAUGUUGAUUUUUGAGGCUUAAGAUAUUUGCAUCUAUUUGUAGCCUAAUCAAAAUUGGAGUCGAUCAUUGAAUUGAUUGUGUACAAAGAUACGCAGACAUUUACACACUGGGAGCGUUUCACGUCCAUGACAAUUUUAGUCAUUUUCUUUAAAAAAAAAUGUUGGGAUUUGAAUUUUAAAUCUUUUUUUCUUAAAAAGUUGGUUUCGGUAACGCCGUUGAUGAAACUAAAGAACAGCCGUGGCAUCCAUGAGUGAAGAUUAACUAUUAAACAAAAACAAAUGAGGAAAGUGGUGAGGAGGAAUCCCAGAUUUUUGUUAAAAGAAAAAGGAAAACGUGAAUUCAUUCAUGAUUCAUCAUCUCUCUGUAGUCGGUCAUCAUGAAAUCAACGUAAAGAAAGGCAAAUGGCAGGCGAUAUGGCAAUUCCUUGAUGAAGGUAUUUCAAGCCUUGCAAAAAAACAAAAACUUCCUUUGUUUCUUUUUCUUUUUUUUGUCUCCUUCCGAAGUCACAAGGCUAAUCCAUAAUUGAGACUGAAAAAAGCAAAAAUGGAAGAGUCGACAUGGGAGCAAAAGCUCCAGGCUCUAACCCACAUCCUAACAAGCCCCACAACCUCACCGCCUCUCCACUCUCAACUCUUCAUCUCCACACAAAUACCAUGUUUCCUCAACUGGGAUUUCCCUCCAAUUCUCUGCAAUAAACCCAACUCCCAUACCUUCCCUUCUCUCCACCUGAAAUGGGGAAUCUCUCUUUUCCUCAGAAGGGUCUCAAGAUUGGGUGUCCCCGAAACUUCCUGGAGGUCCAAGUGCCCUUACUAUCAGCCCCCACCACUGAUUCUGGCCAAGGGAGUGGAUGAAGCACAAUGGGUCGAUGCGCAAAAGCGAGAGUAUGUUAGGAAGAGGCUGAGAAGGAAACGCCUAGAAAGCCAUGUCCACCCUUUAAUUCCGAUUUUGAUUCCCGAUUUAUUAUUGUUCUCCCUGCUCUGGUUCAAUCCAUUUCCUCUUAAUGAUUCCUGACAAUUUUCCUUGUCUCAGAAUUGUAUAAUAAUAAGUACAUAACUCUUAUGUCUUAUCACUUCUCUUGUCAACGUUGGAUCAUUUUAUUUACUUUGGUCGAUUUCGGAUUUCUUUCUCGGUAGCACUGUUGUUUGCCUUAUCAAAAUCUCUACUCUCAGAAAUUUUUCUUUCUUUUAUAGAAGAUGAUGAUGAUGAUGAUGAUGAUGAAAAGGGGCUUAAAUUGAGGCCCCAAGUAAAUUAAUUAGAAGCUACAACAUCAUAAAGCAAAAUCAGUAAUAAAGAGUUCUGAUUCACUUUGCUUAAUAUAGAAUUUACCUUUGCCAGUUAAGCCCGCCUGUAAUUUUGGUUAACGUCUAAACAUGCAUUUAUUUAUUUAUUUACAACUUACCUCAUUAAUUUUCUCCCCAUGUAUAACCCACCAAACUCCAACUGCACUACCUGAAACUCUUUAUUCGGUUUAGUUAAAUCUGGCCUCCACUUUACCACAACAUAGUGGGGCUGGCCAUCGCCUCCACUUUAUUCAAUACAUUCAGCUUCUAGAAUUCCAAAAACAAUACAUCAUGAUUUGUUUAUUAUGUUACUUUAAUUUUUUUUCCCCUUUUCGUCUAGUCUUGUUUUAUAUUAGCAGUGUUGAUCGUUGAUAAAGGUUGAAGUUUCGGAUUUUAAUGUUUGAGUUUAAGUUCUACCAUCUAUAAUUGCAAUACGGGUCUCUCUUACCUUGUGUAUAUGCGGUGUGUUUUAUCUAAUUAUUUUUAGAUUUUACUAUGUUUUUGUUCAGUUCUUCAUCUAUUAUGAAUUGCAUCAGUUGAAUUUUACGUUAUAAUUUAUUGAACAUAUAUUUAUUUUUGUCUUCUAAUUGUACAAUUUUUAUACCAGUGAAUUUUUUUAAAAAAAAUCAUGUGAUUAUGGAAUAUACGACAUAUAUUUAUGAAAUUUUAAGAAAAGAAAAAAAGAAAUGUUAAGUAUACACCAUUUUCAGUCACAUUAGAAUCCUGUUAAUACAUUAUUUCUACGGCUUCUACAUCACUAAACUGAUGAUCACAUUGGAUACUACCUUUUCUUUUCUUUUUGACUUAAUAGUAUUAAUGGUUUUCGAGUUUGGCAAACAUUUUUUUUCAAAAUUGGGUAGGAUUCGAUGGCCAGAUUGAUACAAUCUUUGUACGGCCGAAACGCUUCCCUACCGUUAAUCAAGCAACCAAACUUCACUUAAUCCAAGGAAAAGAAGAAAAGCAAAAAGUAAAAGCCAAAAGAAAAAUUAUUCAAUUGAUUGGUCAAACACUAACGUUGACAAUAAAGCUUCUUUUUUUUUUUAACUCUCUACCAUUGAUCUUUUAUUCCACCCCUUCCUUACAGCUUUUUGUUGUUGUUGUUUUCUAAAACAGAACCUCAUAAUAUCAGACAUAUUGGGACUCUGAAAAUUCAACCUUCAGGGAGAAAAAAUCCUUCUUGUUUCCAUUAUGUUUAUUUUGUUAUAGAUGGAGGCAUCGGUGCUUGAGUUGUGAAUGCAUAAGCAUGAACCAUAAAGUUCAAUCAAGAUAUGAGGAGAAUCUUCUUUUUCCUUUAUCUUUGCUUUUCUGUUUUUCCUUUGUUGAUGGCGCCAAACGUAGUCUUAAAGUAUAUUAGAUACAUCUGGUGACCAACAUUCAAUUAUAAUAAAGAGUAUAGAUAGAUACAUCAAUACUAUCCAGCCCUCUUUCAUGAUGAUGUUGCAAGUUUUGCACUCCACCCCCAUAUUAUUAUGAAGAGGAGAAAUUCCUGUUAGUUGAGCUUUAUUUUCUAAGAAAUGACUUCUAACAUUAAUAAAUUUGAAUCAUGAUAUAUUUAUAGCUAUUUCUCUUACUCUCUCGUAUUAUAGCUUUCUUUAUAUGCUAAAACAGGAGAUGAGUAGGAAGAAACAAUUUUUGUUAAAAGACGUGAAGUUGUCUUAAGAUUGACAAGGCAGUUAGAUGCAUUUAAAUUGGUAUUUAAGGAUAUGUCUGUAUAUAACUAGAACUAAUUAAGAUUACAAUACACUGCAAAAUGAUUCCACCUUUUUUUUUGGGGGGUUCUCUCUUUUAUAUGAUCAAAUACAAUGUUGAUAUGAACAAGGUUUUGCAGUUGUAGAAAAUCGUGGAGGACUUUUUUUUUUACAAAAAAGAAAGAUAAAAUUCAUAAAAAAUGUGAAGUUAAGCAUAUUUAGCGACGGGUGGGGUAUGGGGUGGUUUGCUAACAUGGAAUGCGCAUGGCAGAUUGGCACUUUAAAGAAGGGAUGGGGCCGAGGGGGCGGGAGUUGUUAAAUCCUCGGGGUAGAAAAAGGUAAGUAAGCGUGUCCCUGGCAUUAGACAAGGAGUAGAGGGGGCAGCACAUGCACAGCAUAACUAUAUCUCUUUAUUUUAUGUCCCACUCCACUCCCCCUCAUCUCUGCCGCAACAUUAAAUACCAUAUGCAUCCUUACUAUUCAUAAUGGUUUUUUGUUGGGUUGAUGUUACAAAAUUACAAUUUUACUAUAGAUGUAUUUAUAAUAUUUAAGAUUUUUUUAAGUAGGAGUUUAAUCUUUGGUGGUGAUGUUGAUUUUAGAUAUAUUCCCCACCCGCAAGUAGAUAUCAUACAUUCUAAUAUAAUUAAAAAUGGUAUAAUUAAAAUAUUUUUAAUAUUUUUAAUAUUAUUUUUAUAUUUUUGAAUUUUUAAAUUUUAAAAAAUUAAUUAAAUGUUGGUGCGUCAUCUACAUGUAUGCAACGGCGAAGCUUAAAAAAUAUUAAUUUUUUUCAUUCGUGAUUUGACAAAAAAAAGUAAGUUUAAAGGCUAAAAAAGCAUAAAUUUAAAUAAAUAGCUAAAAUAAUUUUUUUACAAAGUUAGAGAGCCAAAUAAAUUAUUAUUUUAUUUAAAAAUAUUUUUUUAAUAAAUUAUUAAUUUAGUCACAUAAUCUAAUAUAAUUUAAUUCAAACCCGUUGGUUCCAUCAACAAAUUGAUCUGCAUGAGACUUAAGGGUUAGAAUUUGGUGCGUAACUCUUUUUCCUCCUAAUUUUUACUUUUAAAAAGAAAUUGCAAUACAAUUUUUUUAUUAUAGAAUUCUCCAAUUUUUAUUUAUUUAUUUGAUCAGGAAGCUUUAUUGACACUGCUUUUAUUUUUCCAUCAAUCCAAUUUAAGAGACAAUUCACUUUUUAUAAUUAACAAAAAACAAAAAGAAAAUAAAAGAAAUUACUUUUUCCUUUUUCGUGUUCGAUACAAGAUAGAUGAAAUAUGGAAAAUAAAAUGCAAUGAAAAUAUAUUAUUAGUGAUAUAUCACCUCCAUUAUGUAGGGGAAAGAAAUAAAAAUAAUAUUAAUUUAUGAUACUUUCAUAAUGUGGUUAAAAAUAAUUAUCUAGUAUUUUUUUGUAAAAAAAAAGGAAAGUUGAUAUCUAUGCUACUAAUGAAGUUUCUUAGUGAGUUUGUUACUAAUCAUAUUCGAAUUUUAAAAAUUGUGAAUUUUUAAAAAAUAAGUUAUUUAUAUAACUAGUAAUAUACUAUUUUGACUCUUUUUUUAUCCGAGUUAAUGUUAGUUAUCUCGUGAUACCAAUUCAAUAAAACACUUUAUUUAUAUUAAAUUAAUAUAGGUGAGAAGUAAAAUUAUUUAACAAAUAUAUUCUUAAAAAUACUAAAGGAGGUUUUGGUUGAAUAGCAAAAUAUAAAUAUUACAAAUUAUAAAGAUGUAGGUUCAAUAUUUUUACUAUUUUUCUAUAUAAAAUGAUAACCUUAUAAAAGUAGUUUGUGGUUGAUGGACUAAUUUUUUAAAAAGAAUUAAUAUUAGUAAAGAUAUAUAUGGUACUAAACAUAAGGAAAUAGGGGAAAACGUAUCAUAUUUGUAGUGGGAGAAUGGGAUCAUUACAAGGAAAAAUGAAAUAUAUAUCAUUAACAACAAACAUAAAAGAAAGCGUCUUUUGAUAAAGUUGUUAUUGGUGUAAUGUGAAGGGACCACAAUCAUCACCAUUCACCACUUGCUCCUAAUUGAGUUGAAAUCUUUUUACAACAUAGAAAACUAGAACAUCUCCCUUUCUUGCUUCCUAUAUAUAGAUUUUGUAUCAUCGCAAUUCCACAUCACACACGCAAGCAAAGCAAAGCAUUAGCAACCAUAGCCAUGGCUUCCUCACCAAAACUCUUCUCUAUGUCUAUCCUCUUCCUUUUUGCCCUCUUCUCCAUGCAAAUCCAUGCUAGAGAGUACUUCAGCAAAUUCCCAAGAGUUAACACCAAUGAGAAAGAGACAACAACCAGAGAGCAAGAGCACGAGACCUUCGUUCCCCAGACCACCCAAAAGCCAGAAGAGCAAGAGCCAAGGUUCAUCCCUGAAACCCAAAAUGGUUAUGGCCUUUACGGCCACGAGUCAGGCUCAGGCUCAAGCCGGCCCAGUUUCACCACCAAAGAAACCUAUGAACCCUAUGUCACCCCUGUUAGAUUCCACCCUGAUGAACCCUAUAACAGCAUCCCCGAAUCCUCCAACAAUAAAGACACUUACUACUACAACAAGAAUGCCUACAAGUCCACUAAGCAGCAAAACUUGGGCGAGGCCAUUUUCACCGAGAAAGGAUGGAGCACCAAGGAAAACCAGAACAACAACUACUACAACGGCAACAUUAAUGGCGAGAAGCAAGGCAUGAGCGAUACUAGGUACUUGGAGAAUGGAAAGUACUACUAUGACGUCAAGAGUGAGAACAGCUAUUAUCCAAACCAGCUCGACAACUCAAGAGGAGUUGCUUCCAGGAACGAGUUCGAUGAGAAUCGUUACAACAACAUGGGAAGGUACCACCAGAACCAAGAGGAGUUCGAGGAAAGCGAGGAAGAGUUCGAACCCUGAUCACCUGUCGUACAGUAUUUCUACAUUUGAUGUGUGAUUUGUGAAGAACAUCAAACAAAACAAGCACUGGCUUUAAUAUGAUGAUAAGUAUUAUGGUAAUUAAUUAAUUGGCAAAAACAACAAUGAAGCUAAAAUUUUAUUUAUUGAGCCUUGCGGUUA